RNAcentral lists this long non-coding RNA (415781 nucleotides) under Capsicum annuum. Its description in RNAcentral is "long non-coding RNA (CANN_LNC016686)". The record is from RNAcentral. Lineage: Eukaryota; Viridiplantae; Streptophyta; Magnoliopsida; Solanales; Solanaceae.
CUCUCUCUCUCUCAUGGGUAUUUCUCAAGUUUUUCAUUAUGAGUAUGUAAAUAUUCACUUGCCAUAUUUCUGGAUCCUUGUAAAUAUUCACUUGCCAUAUACAGAUCCUUGUAAAUAUUUACUUGCAAUUUACAGAUCCUUGUUAGUUGUAUAUAUGCAUUGUACGAUGAUGAAUGAAAGAUAUAGAAAAAAAAGUGUUCUCCAUUCUAGUCUUUUGCUAUUUUUACAUUUCAAGAAAAAAUGACAAGAAUCCUACAGAUCCUGACAACCUUUUGCCGGGUCUUACUCUUUCAACUCUUUGAUUCAGUAAUUUCUCUUUUUUUUUAUUAUUUACCAUGAUUAUUUGUUUUAUCAGAAGGAUUUGAUAAGUUCUUUGAAUUGUUCUUGUGCUAUUUGUUUGUGGGGUAUUUUAUUAAUUUUCAGUAGAAGACUAGUAGUAAAUAGUUUAGCGUCAUGUCUCUUCUAGUAGUAGUAUUAGUAUAUAUUUUUCUUUUCUACUUGUUGUAUGUUUUUUUCUUGUUGUAUCGUAUACCUCUAUUUUCUUACUUGCUACUGUUGUUAAUAUCCUCGUGUUUUUGCUUUCCUUGCCGAGGAUUUAUGGGAAACAAAUUUUUUGCUUGCCAAGGUAAGGGUUACGUAUGUUGCUGUUGAAGAAGAAGCAUGUAGAAAGAGAGAUGUUUUGCUUUGUCUCAUAAGUAUUUAGUUAGCUUGCAGUAUUUUCAUGAAUGGACAAUGAUUUGUGAGUGGCUGUUUAUGAGUGUUUUGCUUUGUCCUUUGAAAUCUCAUGGACAUUAGUUUGAUUCAUGUACAGUCUCCAUACAUAGAGAUGAUGAAGAACAACUUCUUCUUUUUUCGAUCAUCAACUAAUGAUGCAAACUAGAUCCCUUCACCACCAUUAAAGUCCAAGGAAGUUUUUUCUUGGAGGAGUGUUUCAUUGUCAUCUGGAUCCUUCUAUGACAGUGGGUCAGGAAAAAAGAAUUUCACAGAUCUGAGCAAAUAUCUCCAUGGUCACAAUAAGAAAGUUUAUCCUAAGAAAUCUGGUCGUGAUUCAAGCCAGUAUGCAUAUCAUUUUGCUAUAGCUUCCCUUUUCACACUUAAACUGAUGUUUUAAUUUGCAUUUACUUGUCCAAAGUAAUGAAAAAUGUUUCUUCACGGCAGAGGCCUUAGCGUUCCAGUGUUGAUUCGGACUAUUAGAAGAUUGACAAAGGAGAAGGUACAAAUGGCUUCUGAAGUUUCAAGCAUGCUACAGAAUCAAGUUGCUGAAAGGGCUUCUACUAAGGAAGAAUCUCAUAUAUUAUAGGCAGAACUAGAUUCAUGGACACGAAUAUUAGAGACAAAAAAAAAUGAGUUACAAUCAGUACUAGAAAAGGAGUUGGAUACAAGAUUCAGUGAUUGGUCUAUAAAACUUGAGAAAUACCAAAUUGAACAACAUAGACUCCGUGAAAGGGCGGGGCAGCUUGCAGAGCAGAAUGUCUCUCUACAAAGAGAAGUCUCUUCAUUUAAUGAGAAGGAAGUAGAUAAUAGAAUCAAGAUGUCAUUUUCGGAGAAACACCUUGAAGAUUUGUCUAAGAGAAUAGAGCAAGUGUCAGAGGAGAAAAAAAAUCUAAGGCUGCAGCUCACUCAGUUACAAACAGAAUAUUGGGUAGCUCAAGACAAUAGAGAUUAUGUUCGGGAAAACUACCAGGAAAAGGUUAAAGAUCUUAAAUUGAAGACUUUGCUGACAACUGUGCUAAGGGAGAAGCUCUAUUCUGAGGAGAUGGACAUAAAGCAACUUCAGGCUGAUCUAGCCGCAAUAGUUAGAGGUAACGAAAUUCUCAAAUUUGAAGUGCAAAAUGCGCUGGACGCUCUUUAUUAUGCCACACCCAAGUUGAAAUAUCUCGAGCUUCAGGUAAGCAGGCAAUGUUAAGAUCUCAUUACAACGGAAUAGUUUUUAUUUUCAACUUUGGAUACCUCUUCUUCAUAUAUGAUAGCCUGUUCAUAUGUUACUCUCUGCAUUAGCUUUCUACUUCUGUUUAAUUUUUGGUUCAUCUUUGUUCUAUCUGAAGUUCACGAUUUUCUUUAUGAACUUAUAUACAUGAGUUACUGGCAUAUGGUAGUCUUCUAUGAAAUGUCUGAUCGCCUUAAUGUGUAAUCAGUUGAACCAACCAAGAACAUGAUAAACUUUGUGAUAUCCUCAAACCCAUUGAUCUAAUUGUGCUCUGAUGUGGUAAAGUUAACUGAAGGGGUUUCGGUAAGUUUGCUUGUUCAUCUGACUUAUUUCUUGGACAAGCUCACGAGUUAUCUACUGUGAAUUUUAACAGUUAAAGAGGAUUCAUGAUUUGGUUGAACUUCUAGGCUAUGAGUUUAUUUUGAAUUUCUGAUGAAAUGUUAUUGGUGAUCUUUAUGUAUUUUUUGUUUUUCAUGGUUUACGGUUGAUUCUAAAAGGUGCUAAAAAGGAUGAAAAUAUCAACCAGCUCACUAAUGAUUUGCAAGAAUGUAUAAAGGAACUUGGCGUUGUGAAGGCGAUACUACCAAAAGUGUUUCAGGAAAGUGAUUAUAUGUGGGAGGAAGUUAAGAGCUACAGUGAGAUUAACAUGCUUUUAAAAUAUGAAUCAACAUGUUGAAAAGGAAGGUAGAUACCCUCGACGAAGAUUUUCUUAUGAAAGAGGGUCAAAUCACAAUCUUGAAAGACUCGAUAGGCAAACCUUUUGACCUUCUUGCAAGUCCUGAUUCUCUGUUGGAGUGAUAGAUGCUAAAUGGCCAAACUACAAUUCAUAUUUUGUUCAUUGACUAUAGUGUUCAUACUUCUCGUAUACUUACUGGUUUUACUCUUAUUCUUUCCCCCCUUUGAUACUUGUUAAAUAGAAAGUUUGUUUCUUUCUUUUGCAACCUUUUUGAAUCUCUAAUUGUAAACAUUUCUUUUACUUGCUGGUGAUCAAGACAAUGAACUUCUUUUGCUUUAUUUGGUUUUGUAAGUAUUGGAUGUUUUUUGUCUUAUGAAGUAUUUAGUGAGGAUUGAUGCUACCAUUUUCUUCUCGUCUCUGAGGUAGAGGUAUGGUUUGCAUAUAUUCUGCCUGAAUAUACAUCGGGUAUGUUGUUGCUAUUGUAUGGAGAUUUUGUGUAUAAUAACAAUCGUAUAUUUGAUGUCGGGUCAUCCACACUUUCAUUUCUUGCAGGGGAAAGCUCAUUAAGAUUAUUGAGUUAACUUCUCAUUGAUCUGAAUUGGUAUCAGAGCCAUGUUGGUAGAUUGUGUACCUAGCAUGAGCGGCUAAGUACAUAAUCUGUCUAGAGCAUGGAAAAGCUAUUUUCAUAUAAGUAAUUUAAGACUUUAAUCAUCUAAGUUUAAACUUUUGAUAAAUUAUUUCAAUAUGUCUUGUCUGAUAAUGGGUUUUUAAUCCAAGUUCGGGGUUUCUAUUUACUGUUUAAGUGUUUAACAGAACCGUUUAAUCUCCGGUGAGGACGUUGGUCAGCUUGAAAAGUAGGUCGUUAAGCUUAGAAGAAGCGUGUUAGACCUUGUUGGUGGUCCCGUCACUGAGUAAACACUUAGCUGUCUUUAGAGUAAUGCCAUUAAAACUUGUUAGGGUCCCAUAAGCCAUAGAUGUGUUGCUAUAAUUUACUUUAAGUUCUUUCUUAGAUGAUGCUUGUCUUAUAUUCUCUUAGAUGAAAUUACUUGCUUUUCCAGUCAGUCUCUAGACAGUAUUUUCUAAAUGAAUUCUAAUAUUCAUCCCAAAAAUACUAUCAACCUUUCUUCUAAAGCAACCCAGAUUGCUACUAUUGAAAACAAUCUUCAAAACUGGAGUAUUCCAGAAGAAUCCUUUAGUACGAUUUACCAAAUCGGAAAGUUUAGUUUUUUCAAAAAACAUAAUAUUAAGACCUCUGAGUCUACUGUUGCUAUCAAUAAUUCUUUAGAAAUUAUUCAACUCUUAAAUGAUUUAGAUAUAAACCGAUUUAAAAAUCAGUUUCAUUAUCUUCAUAUCGGGCUUGUUCAGGUAGCAAUCAAGCCACUCUUCCGCCAGGGCUUAGAUAUCCCUGUCUGUGCUAUACUAAGAGAUGCUCGUCUAUUAAAUUUUGACGAUUCUCUCUUAGGAGUAAUUCAAAGUAACCUAGCCGACGGCCCGGUAUACUUUAACUGCUACCCUAAUUUCUCAGUUGAUAUUAAUGAUCCUAACAUCAUGGAUGUUUUAACUCUUAAUGUUAAAACAAAAAACAUGAACAGUAAGGAUAAUACCAGAGAAAUUGCGAUAAUAUACAGAGUAUAUUACCGACUCAUGGGAACUACUCUAGCACCUCAAGCUAGAUUCCGACUGAUGGUCUCAAAGGAGUGGAAGCUGUUGGUGGUGAAUCGAAUGGUCUAGCCAUUCUUGUUUGAUCUGAUUUGGUGGCUGAGAUCUUGCCCAGCAUGGUUGGUCUCAUUAUGGCCCUGUAAAAAUUCUCUUGUUAGAAAAUCGGGGAGGGAAUUGUGUUCUCCUUUAAUAAACUCAAUUUGAAAAUCAAAGCUAGAUAGGAGAGCUUGCCAUCUAGCGAAUAUUUGUUUUGAAACAAGAUUUUUAACAUCCUUUUGCAGGAUCUCUUUAGCAGAUUUACAAUCAACUCUGAGUAAAAAUUCUUUAUUAAUAAGAUCAUCUUGAAACUUUGUGAUACAUAGCACUAUAGAUAAAAUUUCUUUUUUAACAGUGCUAUAAUUUUUCUGAGUGGAAUUCCAAAUUCCAGAGGUAAAUCUGACUAAUUGUUCAGGAGAGGUUUUUGCGAUCUUUUGUUUUAAUAUACCCCCAUACCCAAUGUCGGAGGCAUCAGUUUCGACUAUCAUGAAGGCUUCUGGGUUAGGAAUGCCUAGACAAGGAAGGUUUUGAACUAGAUUUUUGAUCUGAAUGACGGCAUUAGUUUGAUCAAGACUCCAUGGGACUGGAUUUUUCUUGAGUCUUUUAUAAAGAGGUUCACAGACCUGCCUAAUAUGCGGAAUAAAAUCUGCAACAUAAUUAAGACUUCCUAGAAAUCUUUGGAGUUGAGUUUUCUCAAUAAUUUCAUUAGGAAAUUUAGAGGAGAACUCAAUGGCUCUACAGAUAGGCUUGUAGCUACCUUGAUAAAGAUCGUGUCCUAAGAAUCGGACGGAGGUUUGAAAAAGCUUCAUUUUCUUGGCACUAACCACUAAACCAUUAAGCUUAAUGAUUUUAAAGAAAGUUUUUAAAUGUUUGAAAUGAGAAUCGAUGUUCUCGGAGAAGAUAAGCACAUCAUCAAUAUAAACAAUAGACAUAUGGGAGUAAGGAUUAAAGAUUUUGUUCAUGAUGUUUUGGAACUCUGAAGGAGCAUUUUUGAGUCCGAAUGGUAAAACGUUCCACUCAUAAUGUCCAAAUGGAACAUUGAAGGCUGUUUUAUAUUUGUCUUUUUCAGCAAUCUGAAUUUGCUAGAAUCCUGACUUCAUAUCAAAUUUACUGUAAAGGUUGGCCUUGUAGGUCCUUUUGAGAAGAUCCCUCUUGUUAGGGAUCGGAUGUCUGAUCCAUUUCAGGACAACAUUCAGAGGCUUGUAAUUUAUUACAAGUCUAGGAGUGCCACGCUCUUUUUCGGCACUGUUGUUGACAUAAAAGGUAGAGCAGCUCCAGGGAGAGUUGGAGCUCCUGAUGAUACCUUUUUCUAAAAGAUGGUUGAUUUCAUUUUUGCAGAUCUCCAUCAUUUCCUGAUUCAUUUGGAUGGGUCUGGCUUUAGUAGGGAUGGUUUGUUCAUCAAACCCUGGAAUAUAAGGUAGUUCAACCAAGUGGGUUUUUCUUUCCCAGAAGGCAUUAGGAAGAUCGGAACAGAUUUCUUCUUCAAAUUGUUUAUGGAGGUUGCUUAUUUUAGUGAGCAUCUCCGGGGUUUGUAGAGAAUGUUCAAUUUUCUUGAUCUGAACAUCUUGCUUCAGAAAAUUGACAUGGGAAGAAAGUCGGUUAAUCUUAAGGACUGUUUGUUCCUUAAUACGUGAUCCAUCUUCUUGCGAGAGUGGCCGUAAUAGAGGAAAGAACAGAGUCCGAUUUAGAAGUGUCGUCCGAAUUCCAUCGUAGUCACUCCAAUAAGGUCGAAUUUGGUUGACGAAAGGAAUUCCUAAAAUGAUAUCUUCAGUGAUAUCAUCCGUGAUGACGAAGUCAUUAACAAGGCAAAUGCCAUUGUUACAGAUAUGAGCUUUAGGGAGUUUAUAAUGGAUUUCCAUUUUUUCUCUAGUGGCCGAGUAAAGACGAGAGGUACUCUUUUGAAGGUACCUUGUAGGGAUAAGUCCUUUAACGAUACAGUUACUGUCUGCUCCUGUAUCGAAGAGCGCCACCCUGUUAAGAACAAAAUCUUUAUUGAUGACAAUUUUUACGGCGAUAUGUUCGCUAUAAGCCUUGAUGGCUGUUAUAGCUUUGCCGGACGUAGAAGGAGGAUCUGAACCAGGGAAGGAUCUGGGCUCUGGUUCUCUAAGGUGGUCAUUAGAAAUGACUGGGAAAUUUUUGGGAGAUUCUGGAGGGGAAAUGUUUUCUGGAAGGGAAACAUUUUUUAGGACUUGAUCUGUAAGAGCGUUAAGCUCGAGGUGAUCAAGACGAAUUUUAAGAUUUUUGAUUUCUCCCUUGAGGGUAGAGAUCUCUCCUUUGAGAUCAGCAAUAGAAGGUUCGGCAGGUUUGUCAAACCUCGACAUAACCUGUUUCAUGCUAAAAGGUUGAAUUACUGGUUUGGGAGGCUUUUCUUCUUGAGAAAGCAUUAAUCGUUUGAGUUCUAGAAGAUAUUUAUUUCUAGCCUCAUCGUCCUGAAUGUGUUCUAUAAUGUCGAACAGGAUCUCUUUAGGAUUUCCUGAAAUGACAUUGACAGUCUUUCGGGUGCAGGUGCAGAACAUACUAUUACAGUCACAUUCUUUACCGGACUGGGAUUGAUCAGUUUCGUAAGCGGCGUUGAUAAAUUCUUCGUCGCUAUAGUCAUCACUAGACGAGGUGUAGGAGUCUGAAGGCUCGGAAGAUUCAGGAGAUCCUUCCAUGAUAGAAAAUAAAUUUGCUCUAGCCUCGUCGGAGAGAUCUAGUUGAUUUAUUUUCUUCUUUUUGCUAGACUUGCAAUCUUUUGCUCUGUGGCUUGUUUUGCCACAAGUCCAGCAGGUAUCUUUAGCCUUAGAGGCUUUCCUUUUGGCAAACUUUCGACUUGGUUUAUAAGAUUCCCUUUUGAAGGGUUUCUUACUAGAGGAAGCUUUCUUGUGAGGUUUCGAAGACUUCUUCUUAUGUCUUUGGCUAGGGCUGGUAAAGCCAUAAUCUUAGCAGAAGGUACCCAGUCCAUAUUUGGAGGCACUAUCCUUCUUAAGCUGUUUCUUAAGCUUGAUAUCGGUGCAGAGAUCUAUUCCCACGGUGGUAAUAAAACUGAUUAAGUCACCAUAGGUUAGGAUGUCAUAAGGGAUUUUUCCCUCGAAUCUAUCCUUGAUCUUGGUUCUAACCUUUUCGGCAAAGAGAGAAGGGAGACCACUAAUGAAUCUUUCUUUCCAGAAAUCGUUGUUACAGUCAGGUCGAAUCAUAACCUUUACUAAGAAGGUAUCCUUGUACCAACGAAAGUCUGCUAGGUCUUUGCAGGUGAGGUUAUUGAGGAUUUCUAGACUCCUAUCCUGGAAUAACUUAGGUUCUCCUAUGAAAUGUCGNNNNNNNNNNNNNNNNNNNNNNNNNNNNNNNNNNNNNNNNNNNNNNNNNNNNNNNNNNNNNNNNNNNNNNNNNNNNNNNNNNNNNNNNNNNNNNNNNNNNNNNNNNNNNNNNNNNNNNNNNNNNNNNNNNNNNNNNNNNNNNNNNNNNNNNNNNNNNNNNNNNNNNNNNNNNNNNNNNNNNNNNNNNNNNNNNNNNNNNNNNNNNNNNNNNNNNNNNNNNNNNNNNNNNNNNNNNNNNNNNNNNNNNNNNNNNNNNNNNNNNNNNNNNNNNNNNNNNNNNNNNNNNNNNNNNNNNNNNNNNNNNNNNNNNNNNNNNNNNNNNNNNNNNNNNNNNNNNNNUUUUUGUAAUAGUUUUUCCUAGUAGAAAAAUGAUCACUGGUGAGUUUGGAGAGAGAAUUCUUUUGACUGUUAGACUCCCCUUUCGAGUUACUGGAUUCGGCUUUCUCCGAGAUCUUAAACUUAGAGAGUUUGUCGUUAAUGUGUUCCAAGAUUUUUCCCGAUACCUUAAAUUCAUCGCUAAGGUUAGGGAAUUUAUCCUUCUGGAAUUCAGGAAUCUUGAAGAUGGGGUUGGUUAUAGGAUUGGGAUUUGAAGCUCCUUUCUCAGGCGCAGGAGGACUAAAGGAGAGCACCGAGUUUUUAGUUCCUUCUAUCUGUUGGGAGAUAGUGUGGAGGACCUGAUUGGUAUAGUUGUUUUGUUCGACUAUUCUAUCCAGGUCUCUAUUGAUAGGGGUGGAAAGAGGUCUGUCAUGCUUCUUUUUGAAGGGAGAAGCAUUAAGGACUUCAUUAGAAUGGGGGAUUUUUAUCCCUUCAAGAGGAGGAGUAACAGAUUCAAUUAUCUUGUUACUCUGAGUGUACCAUUUAUUAAUGAUAACGUUGAGGGAUUCAUUUUGAUCUUCCAUUCGGCCAGUAAAUUCGAACCACCGGAAGAAUUCAAUGUCACAUCGGAGUCAUUUCAUAUCAGCUAUCCAUAGCCGACCAAACUCCUUUUGCUGCUCCUUUGAAUAGGUACUGGUAUACCAUUUUCUUUUAAGAGCAUCUUUGGGACGGUACCAACGGACUUCGAGAGCCUUAAGGUCUGGUGUAUACUCGUCAUCAGAUUUGAUAACGAGUAAGCUAGGAUCUGUCCUAAUUUUCUGGCGUGAUAUGGAAGGAGGGGGUUCCAUAUCUGAGGCUGUAGGACUGCCUGGGUCGUAAAGAUUAUCAGGUUCAUGGACCCUUGCGGGUUGCUGAUAAUAAACUUUUGGGACAGGGCCAGAGAAAUCUACUCCUCUUACUUUGCCCUUAUCAUUGCCAUUCUCGUUUUCAUCGCUUCCCUCCUGGGUUUUUGAGGUAGAAGCUCGGUAUGAGACGGACUGUCUAAAGGAAGAAUUUCGAGGAGUGUCGAAUCCGAGGAAUUUUAGAUCAAUCGAGCCAUCCGGAUACUGAAUAACUCGUUGUAUCUGAGAUUUUUCAGGAUAUGUACGAAUAGGUUGGGUGAUAGCAUCAAAGUGCCAUUCAUUAUUAUGGAUGACCUCGUCCCAGACCAAGGGUUUGGGGACAAAGAUAUUGGAUCUAUCUUUGUUGGCUUCCAUAAGGGUGGUAACGCCGCGAGGACUGGUGAAUCUAGCUUGAGGUGCUAGAGUAGUUCCCAUGAGUCGGUAAUAUACUCUGUAUAUUAUCGCAAUUUCUCUGGUAUUAUCCUUACUGUUCAUGUUUUUUGUUUUAACAUUAAGAGUUAAAACAUCCAUGAUGUUAGGAUCAUUAAUAUCAACUGAGAAAUUAGGGUAGCAGUUAAAGUAUACCGGGCCGUCGGCUAGGUUACUUUGGAUGACNNNNNNNNNNNNNNNNNNNNNNNNNNNNNNNNNNNNNNNNNNNNNNNNNNNNNNNNNNNNNNNNNNNNUCGGAAGAGUGGCUUUAUGGCUACCUGAACAAGCCCGAUAUGAAGAUAAUGAAACUGAUUUUUAAAUCGGUUUAUAUCUAAAUCAUUUAAGAGUUGAAUAAUUUCUAAAGAAUUAUUGAUAGCAACAGUAGACUCAGAGGUCUUAAUAUUAUGUUUUUUGAAAAAACUAAACUUUCCGAUUUGAUAAAUCGUACUGAAAGANNNNNNNNNNNNNNNNNNNNNNNNNNNNNNNNNNNNNNNNNNNNNNNNNNNNNNNNNNNNNNNNNNNNNNNNNNNNNNNNNNNNNNNNNNNNNNNNNNNNNNNNNNNNNNNNNNNNNNNNNNNNNNNNNNNNNNNNNNNNNNNNNNNNNNNNNNNNNNNNNNNNNNNNNNNNNNNNNNNNNNNNNNNNNNNNNNNNNNNNNNNNNNNNNNNNNNNNNNNNNNNNNNNNNNNNNNNNNNNNNNNNNNNNNNNNNNNNNNNNNNNNNNNNNNNNNNNNNNNNNNNNNNNNNNNNNNNNNNNNNNNNNNNNNNNNNNNNNNNNNNNNNNNNNNNNNNNNNNNNNNNNNNNNNNNNNNNNNNNNNNNNNNNNNNNNNNNNNNNNNNNNNNNNNNNNNNNNNNNNNNNNNNNNNNNNNNNNNNNNNNNNNNNNNNNNNNNNNNNNNNNNNNNNNNNNNNNNNNNNNNNNNNNNNNNNNNNNNNNNNNNNNNNNNNNNNNNNNNNNNNNNNNNNNNNNNNNNNNNNNNNNNNNNNNNNNNNNNNNNNNNNNNNNNNNNNNNNNNNNNNNNNNNNNNNNNNNNNNNNNNNNNNNNNNNNNNNNNNNNNNNNNNNNNNNNNNNNNNNNNNNNNNNNNNNNNNNNNNNNNNNNNNNNNNNNNNNNNNNNNNNNNNNNNNNNNNNNNNNNNNNNNNNNNNNNNNNNNNNNNNNNNNNNNNNNNNNNNNNNNNNNNNNNNNNNNNNNNNNNNNNNNNNNNNNNNNNNNNNNNNNNNNNNNNNNNNNNNNNNNNNNNNNNNNNNNNNNNNNNNNNNNNNNNNNNNNNNNNNNNNNNNNNNNNNNNNNNNNNNNNNNNNNNNNNNNNNNNNNNNNNNNNNNNNNNNNNNNNNNNNNNNNNNNNNNNNNNNNNNNNNNNNNNNNNNNNNNNNNNNNNNNNNNNNNNNNNNNNNNNNNNNNNNNNNNNNNNNNNNNNNNNNNNNNNNNNNNNNNNNNNNNNNNNNNNNNNNNNNNNNNNNNNNNNNNNNNNNNNNNNNNNNNNNNNNNNNNNNNNNNNNNNNNNNNNNNNNNNNNNNNNNNNNNNNNNNNNNNNNNNNNNNNNNNNNNNNNNNNNNNNNNNNNNNNNNNNNNNNNNNNNNNNNNNNNNNNNNNNNNNNNNNNNNNNNNNNNNNNNNNNNNNNNNNNNNNNNNNNNNNNNNNNNNNNNNNNNNNNNNNNNNNNNNNNNNNNNNNNNNNNNNNNNNNNNNNNNNNNNNNNNNNNNNNNNNNNNNNNNNNNNNNNNNNNNNNNNNNNNNNNNNNNNNNNNNNNNNNNNNNNNNNNNNNNNNNNNNNNNNNNNNNNNNNNNNNNNNNNNNNNNNNNNNNNNNNNNNNNNNNNNNNNNNNNNNNNNNNNNNNNNNNNNNNNNNNNNNNNNNNNNNNNNNNNNNNNNNNNNNNNNNNNNNNNNNNNNNNNNNNNNNNNNNNNNNNNNNNNNNNNNNNNNNNNNNNNNNNNNNNNNNNNNNNNNNNNNNNNNNNNNNNNNNNNNNNNNNNNNNNNNNNNNNNNNNNNNNNNNNNNNNNNNNNNNNNNNNNNNNNNNNNNNNNNNNNNNNNNNNNNNNNNNNNNNNNNNNNNNNNNNNNNNNNNNNNNNNNNNNNNNNNNNNNNNNNNNNNNNNNNNNNNNNNNNNNNNNNNNNNNNNNNNNNNNNNNNNNNNNNNNNNNNNNNNNNNNNNNNNNNNNNNNNNNNNNNNNNNNNNNNNNNNNNNNNNNNNNNNNNNNNNNNNNNNNNNNNNNNNNNNNNNNNNNNNNNNNNNNNNNNNNNNNNNNNNNNNNNNNNNNNNNNNNNNNNNNNNNNNNNNNNNNNNNNNNNNNNNNNNNNNNNNNNNNNNNNNNNNNNNNNNNNNNNNNNNNNNNNNNNNNNNNNNNNNNNNNNNNNNNNNNNNNNNNNNNNNNNNNNNNNNNNNNNNNNNNNNNNNNNNNNNNNNNNNNNNNNNNNNNNNNNNNNNNNNNNNNNNNNNNNNNNNNNNNNNNNNNNNNNNNNNNUAACAGUCAAAAGAAUUCUCUCUCCAAACUCACCAGUGAUCGUUUUUCUACUAAGAAAAACUAUUACAAAAAACCUUCACCUCCAGACGUUCAGUUUGAAGAAAAUCCCUACCUGUCUACCUCCAACCAUGAUGGUAGAGGAAUAACCGAAUGGAAUGUUGACGGUUUGGCAGAACACCAAAUCUACAACAAACUCCAUGAAAUGGGCGUUGCCAUUACCGCCUACAAGAUUAGGGGAGCCACUGAUAAAGAGGCUGCUACUAUGAUUGUAUCAGGCUUCACAGGUAUGAUAAAACAUUGGUGGGACAAUUACUUCACCGAUGAUGUCAAAAACCUAAUCUAUGGAGCUACUACCGUAGAAACCAUAGUUAAAACCGAAAAUGGCCAGGAAGUUCUUGAGCAAGUUGCUAAAGAAGAUGCCUGUGCAACUCUCCUAUAUCAUAUAGCACGACAUUUCAUAGGAGAACCUAAGUUAUUCCAGGAUAGGAGUCUAGAAAUCCUCAAUAACCUCACCGAACUCUUUCGUGAAUCUCUCAUGCACCUCAAGAUCUGCUUUGCUUACUGUUGGCUUCUGUUUCCAUAGCACUCUGUCAAAAUCCCUUAUGCUGAUUGGUGGUGGCGUAAUGUUUGAAGCUAGGCCUUUUGCAGCAAGUUCCUGCAUAUUAGUCUGAAUGGCACCUGGUUGUCUAGGUCCACAAGGCACCCACAACCCGUCACUAGUCUUAAUGAAAAACUCAGCAUCUUGAGUUUUACGUACAGGUGUAAACAGGGGUGUAUCUUCAAACACAGAAAUGUCUGAACCUGAAAAACCUUCUGUUUUCCGAGCUAGUUGCUCAAAAUCACUUUCUGUCAAGUUGUGAGGGGUGUCUCCUAAAUGUACCUUGAACAUGUGCUGCCUUGCCUUCAAAUCUGGUAGGGGGAUGUAUAUUCUUUUGUCAAAUCGCCGCCUAAUGGCCUGGUCUAAUGAGUAGGGAGUGUUUGUCGCUGCAAGAACAAGAACUUUUUUGUCAUCAUCGUGCCCUACACCCUGCAUCUGUACAAGAAGCUCAGUUUUGAUACGUCUUGAUGCUUCACUCUCACUACCCUCACCUCUUUGGCCACAUAAGGAGUCAAUUUCAUCUAUGAAUACUAUUGAAGGUGCACUUUCUCGGGCCAUCUGGAAUAGAUUAGACACAAGCUUUUCACUUUCACCCAUCCACUUUGAAACAAGGUCUGAGGAAGAAACACUGCAUAGCCGAAACAGGAUACUGUCAAAUCCAUUAUGUUCUUCAAAGAAGUCAAAGAUACUAGGUAGAAUAAACAUGGAUUUCUAGUCUAACUCUUCCUGUCGCUCUCCAGUGUCGACGCUUGCCAGUGAAAAACUGAGGAAACUUAACCGGCAGUAUAACAGCCUCCUGCAAUGCCUGCUUGGCACUCUCAAGUCCUGCUACAUCAUUCCACUUCACAUUAGGCUUUUCCCUUAUAAUAGCGGAAUUAAGUCCAGCUCUUAACUUUACAUUCUCUAAAUCAUCACCCUCUCCUCCUCCAUUCUUUGGCUUUGAUACCAAUUUACUGUAAAGGUUGGCCUUGUAGGUCCUUUUGAGAAGAUCCCUCUUGUUAGGGAUCGGAUGUCUGAUCCAUUUCAGGACAGCAUUCAGAGGCUUGUAAUUUAUUACAAGUCUAGGAGUGCCACGCUCUUUUUCGGCACUGUUGUUGACAUAAAAGGUAGAGCAGCUCCAGGGAGAGUUGGAGCUCCUGAUGAUACCUUUUUCUAAAAGAUGGUUGAUUUCAUUUUUGCAGAUCUCCAUCAUUUCCUGAUUCAUUUGGAUGGGUCUGGCUUUAGUAGGGAUGGUUUGUUCAUCAAACCCUGGAAUAUAAGGUAGUUCAACCAAGUGGGUUUUUCUUUCCCAGAAGGCAUUAGGAAGAUCGGAACAGAUUUCUUCUUCAAAUUGUUUAUGGAGGUUGCUUAUUUUAGUGAGCAUCUCCGGGGUUUGUAGAGAAUGUUCAAUUUUCUUGAUCUGAACAUCUUGCUUCAGAAAAUUGACAUGGGAAGAAAGUCGGUUAAUCUUAAGGACUGUUUGUUCCUUAAUACGUGAUCCAUCUUCUUGCGAGAGUGGCCGUAAUAGAGGAAAGAACAGAGUCCGAUUUAGAAGUGUCGUCCGAAUUCCAUCGUAGUCACUCCAAUAAGGUCGAAUUUGGUUGACGAAAGGAAUUCCUAAAAUGAUAUCUUCAGUGAUAUCAUCCGUGAUGACGAAGUCAUUAACAAGGCAAAUGCCAUUGUUACAGAUAUGAGCUUUAGGGAGUUUAUAAUGGAUUUCCAUUUUUUCUCUAGUGGCCGAGUAAAGACGAGAGGUACUCUUUUGAAGGUACCUUGUAGGGAUAAGUCCUUUAACGAUACAGUUACUGUCUGCUCCUGUAUCGAAGAGCGCCACCCUGUUAAGAACAAAAUCUUUAUUGAUGACAAUUUUUACGGCGAUAUGUUCGCUAUAAGCCUUGAUGGCUGUUAUAGCUUUGCCGGACGUAGAAGGAGGAUCUGAACCAGGGAAGGAUCUGGGCUCUGGUUCUCUAAGGUGGUCAUUAGAAAUGACUGGGAAAUUUUUGGGAGAUUCUGGAGGGGAAAUGUUUUCUGGAAGGGAAACAUUUUUUAGGACUUGAUCUGUAAGAGCGUUAAGCUCGAGGUGAUCAAGACGAAUUUUAAGAUUUUUGAUUUCUCCCUUGAGGGUAGAGAUCUCUCCUUUGAGAUCAGCAAUAGAAGGUUCGGCAGGUUUGUCAAACCUCGACAUAACCUGUUUCAUGCUAAAAGGUUGAAUUACUGGUUUGGGAGGCUUUUCUUCUUGAGAAAGCAUUAAUCGUUUGAGUUCUAGAAGAUAUUUAUUUCUAGCCUCAUCGUCCUGAAUGUGUUCUAUAAUGUCGAACAGGAUCUCUUUAGGAUUUCCUGAAAUGACAUUGACAGUCUUUCGGGUGCAGGUGCAGAACAUACUAUUACAGUCACAUUCUUUACCGGACUGGGAUUGAUCAGUUUCGUAAGCGGCGUUGAUAAAUUCUUCGUCGCUAUAGUCAUCACUAGACGAGGUGUAGGAGUCUGAAGGCUCGGAAGAUUCAGGAGAUCCUUCCAUGAUAGAAAAUAAAUUUGCUCUAGCCUCGUCGGAGAGAUCUAGUUGAUUUAUUUUCUUCUUUUUGCUAGACUUGCAAUCUUUUGCUCUGUGGCUUGUUUUGCCACAAGUCCAGCAGGUAUCUUUAGCCUUAGAGGCUUUCCUUUUGGCAAACUUUCGACUUGGUUUAUAAGAUUCCCUUUUGAAGGGUUUCUUACUAGAGGAAGCUUUCUUGUGAGGUUUCGAAGACUUCUUCUUAUGUCUUUGGCUAGGGCUGGUAAAGCCAUAAUCUUAGCAGAAGGUACCCAGUCCAUAUUUGGAGGCACUAUCCUUCUUAAGCUGUUUCUUAAGCUUGAUAUCGGUGCAGAGAUCUAUUCCCACGGUGGUAAUAAAACUGAUUAAGUCACCAUAGGUUAGGAUGUCAUAAGGGAUUUUUCCCUCGAAUCUAUCCUUGAUCUUGGUUCUAACCUUUUCGGCAAAGAGAGAAGGGAGACCACUAAUGAAUCUUUCUUUCCAGAAAUCGUUGUUACAGUCAGGUCGAAUCAUAACCUUUACUAAGAAGGUAUCCUUGUACCAACGAAAGUCUGCUAGGUCUUUGCAGGUGAGGUUAUUGAGGAUUUCUAGACUCCUAUCCUGAAAAAUCUCAGAUACAACGAGUUAUUCAGCAUCCGGAUGGCUCGAUUGAUCUAAAAUUCCUCGGAUUCGACACUCCUCGAAAUUCUUCCUUUAGACAGUUCAUGUUCAGUUUGUGUAUAUAUUAAGGAACGUCCAAAUUUUUAACCAUAUAACUUUACCUCAAAAUGGUGCAUGGACCAGAGCUGCUCUUAAAACUAGUCGGUUGGUAGACUCUUCCAUUUGAUCUGCAAUCAAAUGCCUGCUUUGUCUCAGUACAUUUAAUUCUAUUGUGCUCAUUCACACAUGGUUUAUGCCAAGUAUGUGAGACACAUACAGAAGCCUCUAGUUUCAUCUUCUUUAUAUAGUUUUAAACUUUAUUUGACUUGCUAUGAGGGAGUUCUACCCUGCCCUCUGAUUAUUCUUUCAGAUACCCUCUUUCAUUUGCCUCCACUAUGUUUUAAAUUUUCCUUCCAGUACCUAAUGCUUCACCUGCCACAUUAAAUGUUGUUUGCAUAUUUUUAAACUAUACGCUGCGUUCAAUUUCAAAAAUCAAAAAACACUAUGCACUACAUUGUAGAACACUUUGAUAAUUUUUUGGUAUGUUCUUUAUGUUUAGGCUUACAUCAAGCAGACACAGUUAUUAUGAAGGUGGAAUCUAUUUCUGUACUAUUUUCCUUUUGCGUGUAACUUCUGAAGUUAUUUGGGAUCCAUAAUUUAUAUGUCAAUGAGAGUCUUUGAUGUCUUUCCUGAUAAUAUUUAUGCUUACAUCAAGCAGACAUAGUUAUUAUGAAGGUGGAAUUGGUUUCUGUACCAUUUUCCUUUUGUGUGCAACUUUUGAAGUUAUUUGGGAUCCAUCAUUUAUAUGUCAAUGAGAGUUUUUGAUGUCUUUCCUGAUAUUAAACCUGUCGUUUUUUCUUUAACAUGUAUAAUCUCCUAUAUACCUGGCUUUCUGAUCUUUAAUGAUGCAAACAAUCUCCCUUCAAAAACUUGCACUUACCUAAUUCCUAGUAAGACAGUCUUAGAAUCUUCUACGCUGAAAGAUGCCUAUUGGUGGUUAGUUUUUUCGCCAGGAGGUUGCAUUGGAAGGUACAAGCAUACAUGAUAUUGGUUAAACCAGCAAGCACCAUAUUUUUUUGAAAAUGAUAGCAUAUAUACUAUGUGGACAGUAUUUUCUUUACAAAAAUGAGCCUCUCUGUGCUUUACAAGGCCUCCAAAGUUGCAAAAUGGAUUCAGCACCCUCUAUAAGAAACUCUUAACGUCAAAAUAAUAAGUUGUCUGAUCUUAUCUGCAACAAGAAUGACGAGCACUGUGUUCAGUUUGGAGCCUGUCCCUAAGCUUGUCUAGACUUAUCCUUAUCUUCAUUGCCUUCUAUUUGCUUGUUAUCUUUGUUCUUGCUAGAACCUGUAUUUGAGAAGCUUGUGUUGUUGUCUCAAGUUAAUAUUUAAUUUUUCUUUCCUUACUGCAGUGCAUCAAAAUUCAACUUGUGGUGUUGUUGAAAAUGUUGGAACUACUGCAAAACCUAAUGGCAUAAUGCAUGAACCUGUACGUGCUGAUAGAAUGAAUGCAUUCAGUAACAACAGCUCAUCUGUUCUCUCUUGCAUACAAACAACAGCUCAUCUGUUCUCUCUUGCAUACAAACGACAGUUGAUAUUCCUUUUCAAACAGCAGGUCCAUCCACGUUUGAGCUCCCAGACCACGCUCUUAUUGGGCCUGAGCGUGAAGGUUGUGUUAGAGUGGGUGAAAGUUCCACAUUAUUGGGGAGUGAACUGUCGAUCUUGUUAUAUAAACUUGAGCAAUCCUCCCCUCAUGUGCUAGCUUUUGGGGUUGAGUUAGGCCCAAGAUCCUUUCUUUACACAAUCAACCAUCUUUUCUUACAUUGGAAACGGACAGAGCAGCUGUAGAGAAUGUUUUCAACCUGAAGGGGAUCAGGUGGGCAGAACCUGAGAGCAUUAAAAAAGUACUAAGCAUCUGGAAUGGGGAUGUAAAUGUAAUGAAGGAGGAGAGAUGGAAAAUUGUUCAACAUGUAUAUGGUGGACAGUUUGGACAAAAAGAAACAAGGGUUGUUUUGAGGAUGUCCAUAAGAUCAACAUGAAUAGUUUAACACUUCUUUAUUUUUGGUGUAAACACGAUGGUUAGCUCUAACUGAAGACAUCAUUGAUCUGCUAGACUAUUUAUAGGCAAUAGAAAGACAGAGUAGGAUGUAAUACUUUCUGAAAGGGGACAUCAUUCUUGUUGGCUAGGGAUUUGAACAAAGAUGGGAAGAGCUCUAUAUAAAGGACAGGAAUGACUAAUAGGCCAAAAUGCUCUCAACUAACAGACUUUCAAAAUUAAGAGCCAAAGAACACUAACCAAUAGGUGUAACUCAAAUCUAUUUGAAUAAAAGGAAUACAAACUCUGAGAGAACAAAACACACUCUCUAGUAGUCCAGUAAAAACAGUAGAUCUUAAAAUCCCACUGCUAAGCAAAUUAAUUUAAAUGCUGCUUUAGAUUAGAAAGUCACCUUGUUAUAUUAUGUGUUCAGUGGGUUCUCAUUUAUACUGCUCAUCAUAUUUUCUGCACUAUCUUUUCAACAUUUUCUCUGAAGUCUAUAAUUUACUCUUCUUCACUUUAAACUUGGGCUUUGCAGGGCUCUGCAUCUUCGAAUUCUAUCUGUUGGUUCACUUGUAGUACUUCUUGUAUAUUCUAUCCUGUAUGGUCUGACAACAAAGGAAUCAAACUGGCUUGGGGCUACAACAUCAACUGCCAUGAUAAUCCUUGGUAGUUCAUUUCCUACAUAUAUCUGUCUCCUUUUCGGAAUGGUAUUGUGAAAUAAUUUCUUAUUUUUUUUGUGGUAAGUAAUGAAUUCACUAGCUUUUCAUUCAAUCAGAUUGGAACUUGGGAUCUUGCUUGUAUGGUUUUAAGCUUCUAAAAAGUUGAGUUUUCGUACUUUUUGUUGCCGGUACAUCUCGGGUGUUCCUGAUCUAUUUUGGAGUUUAUUACUGGUUUGUUGUUAACCCAUGCUAAUUCAUUUUCUUCCAUAAUCAAGUAUUCUUAUACUUGUGGCAUAUGCAUCCCUUUUAAUAUUAUUUGUUGAAUAUAAACUUCUAAUCUUUUGUUAUCAAACAAAAUCUUCUAAUCUUUUACUGCAACAAUUUUGUUUCAAGUACUUUGGACAUUGUAUCAGUUAUGUAGUUGUAGCAUCUGUGCUAUUGGAUGCUGCUAUUUCACGGUAUUUAUCAGUUACAAACCCAUUAGCAGCUAGAAGAGAUGCCUUGCAGAGCACAAUCAUCCACCUUAGAGAAGGUUUCCACAGAAAAGACCAAAAUAGCUCCGCAAGCUCUUCUAAGGGGUGUGGCUCAAGUGUUAAACCCAGUAGUAGUGCUGAUGCUGUUCAUCUUGGUAAUGCAAUUUUGCCUUGCAUUGGUGAUGGUAGUACCUAGAAUAACAUUGAGGGUAUUAAUAGUGAUAAGAGUAUAGACAGUGGAAGACCAAGUCUAGCUCUACAUAGUAGUUCCUGUCGUUCAGUUGUUCCAGAGCUUGAACUAGGAUCAUCAUAUGUUGACAGAAAUUUAGAGCAUAAUAGUUCAUUGGUUGUUUGUUCUAGCAGUGGACUUAAAAGCCAAGGCGGUGAUUCUAGUACAUCCGCUUCUGCAAACCAACAGAUAUUGAAUUUUGCACUUGCAUUUCAAGAAAAUUUGAGUGAUCCCAGGAUUACAUCUAUGUUAAAGCGAAAAAGAAGACACACUGAUCGUGAAUUAGCUAAUUCAUUGCAAGAUAAAGGGCUUGAUCCUAAUUUUGCAGUGAUGCUGAAGGAGAAUGGAUUGGACCCAAUGAUUCUAGCCUUAUUGCAGAGAAGUAGUUUGGACGUUGAUCGAGAACAUCGCGACAGUAACCCUCCUAUCACUGAUUCAAAUGAUAUUGAGGAUGUUUUACCUAAUCAUAUUUCUUUCUCGAAAGAACUUAGACUCCAAGGAUUAGGAAAGUGGCUUCAACGUUGUAGAGUAAUGUUACAUCAUGUAGCAGGAACUCCAGAGCGAGCAUGGCUUCUUUUCAGUUUAAUAUUCAUUCUUGAAACUGUCAUUGUGGCUAUCGUCUGACCAAAGACAAUAAAACUUUUGAAUGCUACACACAACCAGGUAAGAAAUGCAUUAGUACUUUUAAAGCUCAGUUUGGUGUAUUUGGAGUACGGCGCAGCCAAAAUGUACUCUAUAUGGUUGUAUUUUCCAUUUUCUAACAAAAUUUUGUAACACCCCGCAUUUCGGAUGAGAAUGAAAAUCGUCAUUUUCUUCACGUAAAGGUUUCAAAAGCCAUAAAUCCAAUGCAAGUUUAGUGUGUAAAUAAAUUAUGUAGUGUGGAAACCUAUUUGAGCAUGAAUUCAGAACAUAGAGGUCCCCACAAGUUGAAAGUUUUCCUAUCGUUCGAAUUUUACUGAGCAUUGAUAAUUAGGUCAAAUUCAAUUGACCAUUACUCUUUGUAUAUAUUUAAUUAGAGUGCCUACUAUAUAUCAAAUGAAAGGUAUUCAAAUUAUCUUUCCAACGAUAUCAAUUUCACAAAAUUCUGACACCCAAGGAGGAAGUUAUGGCUUUGCAAAGUGGAGUAUGUCGUGCAGCAUAAGGUGUGCGACACACACCCUAACUUAUGCCAUAAGGUGUGCGAUGCAUAACCUAAUGUGUGCAAUAAAGAGUGCACCGCACAACCUAUAUUAUGCGAUAAGGUUUGCGUCGCAUAUAUUAUUACUCAAGUGACUUAAACACUCCAUUUUUGGGGCAAAAUGGUCCUUUUCCCACCCUUAUUUAGCAAUAAAUAGGAAAUUCAGUUCCUAGAAUACCCCAAAAUACACCUUCAUUCAUCAAAAUUGCUCAAGAACUCUCCUUAGGGUUUCAAAAUAAAAACCCAAGCAACUCCAGAUUCAACCGUGGGUUUUUGAAACUAAUUGCAUAUUUGGAAUCCCCAGAACGUAGGCUUUAAGAAACACCUAUUAUCUUCACGUAUAGAGGUACGUGGGGUUAUCUCAAAAAUCUCAUGAGCUUAAAAAUUCAUGUUUUAAAAAUGGGAGUUUUGAAAUUAUGAAUAUAAUCCCAUUUUAAACAUUUUAUGAUAUUGAUUUGGUCUUUAGGCCUAUUCUCUAAGUGGUUUGAUAUAUGUAUAUGCAUGUAUUCCAAAAAGAUGUUAACUUGAGAGGAUGAAUUAUAUGAAAUCCCUCUUUUUAUAUGAUCUCGUUUUAAGUUCUCAUAUGAUGUGAAAUGUUUGAAAUCAUCUUGACAAGCAUGACAUGAAAUAUUUUGAAAAUGGUCAUGGUUUUGACUUGCAAUGAGAGGGUUGUUAUGUUAAAAUAUGAUGAAUAUAAUGGUUGCAUGAAAGAAUGAUGUGGUAUUGAUGGCUUGCAAGUCGGGUAUGAAGAUACCCUAAAGAAUAAGAUAUGUGAUUGAAUUAAAUGGAGUUUGAUGCAUUGAUUUUACAUGAGAUGGGUGGAUGCCUGAAAAAGCCAUUUGAAUGUAAGGGCUCAUCACUGGAAAUCGUGUUUGCCGACAUGGUGAUUUGGUACUAGGAUAAGUGAUCUUGUGUACUUGACUUUAUGUCAUUCCCAAACUGGGACUAUGGUUAGGAGCCCAGGCUAAGUGAUCUUGGGCACUACUAUACUUUAUUGGGUAGAGACACCCUGCUGUGUGAUCUUGUGUGUCUUUCCGUCACUUAUACUUUAAUCUCGACGGCAAUCGAGAUUUGACAGUUGGUGUAAAUGUUAUAUGUAGGGUAUUCUACCUAGCUCAGCUGUAUUACAUUGUUGUUGAAAACUAUUAUAUUAUGCCCAUGUGUUUUCAAAUGAUUUGAUAUGGAACUGCUUUAUAAUGGCUCUCACCUAUAUUUGGAAAAAAAUAUUAUAUUUUGUUUUUAGUUUCUCUGCAUACUAGUACUUUUUUAUUGACCCCUUCUCUCCCAGGUUUGGAGGCAUAGUUUAGGGAUCCAGAUAACCAGUAGAUCUCUUCUGAUAGAUUUGCAGAAUUAAGUGGUGAGCUUUCUAUACUUUGGAAGGCUGAUGUCUGUCAGUUCAUUUAUCAUUUAGUAGUUUUGGGUCUACUGGAGGCCUUGUCCCAGUUUUCAGACAGUAAUUUGUUUCAGUCAUGUAUUAGAGAUUUCGCAAAUGGUUGUUCAGAUGUCUAUACAUGUUGUGGGACAUUAUUUCCCCAUGUUUUUUGUAAUAUUGUGUAUCUUCCGUAUAUCUUAUUAUCGUAUGAAUUAUGUGCAUGAUUACCAGAUAGAUAGGGGUGUUUUGGGCCUUCGUGGUUUGGAAUGCUCGUCACGGCCAGGGCCCUGGCUCGGGUCGUGACAAACUUGGUAUCAAAGCACGGUUCAUGGUCCUAGGGUGUCUAUGAAAUCGCGUUGGGUAGAGUCUUGUUUAUGGGUGUGUAGCGCACAAUACUUAUAAGCAGGAAGCUACUAGGCAUUUAGGAAUGUCUGUCUUUCUUUAUGUUCUAGUUAGUGCAAUAGAGUCAGAAUGUUCCUCUUUCAUACUCUAAUUCAUGCUAUGGUGUUGCCCAUACGAAAGUAAAAAAAAAGACAUCCCAAAUUCUUUCCUUACACUAAUAUCCUUAGAUAUGUCUCAAUAUUUAUGUGAUUCAAGUUUAGAAUCUAAAUGGUAUGUACAUCACUGCCAAGAAAUCCCUCAAGUAUCCACAUCUAGUGCUUUGUACAUCAUUCUGCUUCCAUUAGCACUGGAGAUAAUAGGCCCCUUUGUUUUAGUCCUCUUUGUCAAAGUUAUCAUAUGGGAUUCCGUUCACCACUACCAAAUUCUACCUGACUGUUGAUCAGCAGAACUUGAUACACCUCUACCGGUAACUUCAUUUUGACCCCAUUUCUCUAUUAUCCUACAUAUUUUACAUGUGGCUAAAUGCUAGUAGGUAUUGCUAUUUUUAGCAUCUUUUGAUGAUCAGUAGGCCAAUUAUGGUUGCUAAUGUGGUCAUAUUUCCUAUGGCUUUAUUACUCCAACCAAUUAAUAACAUUCUUACAAUUAUUGAAUUGAUUUUUAGAUACUAUUAUAAUAGAAGGACAAGAAUCUCUACCUAGGAGAAACCUUGAGAGCUGAUGAAAGAAAUGGAGGUGAGGUCUCGUGUCAUCGAGAUUUUUAUGGGUAGUUUUAUCCAUUUUCCUGUGCUUAUCAAUGAAAAAUAAGUACAUAAUUCUUUUGCUAUGAAGCUUCGUAGAACCACUUUUUCUUUCCUAAGUAUAUGUGAUUUCUGUUGAAAGUUUGUUUAGCCAGCAGAUUUCCUCGAUCUUACUAUACUAUGUAGGCUUCAUUUGGGAUUUGCAUUGACCUUUUAUUUCCAAUAUAGUUCUAAAAGAUUUUAUAUUUAACACUAUUGUUCAAAAAAAUGUGUUUAAGCAUACACGGCAGGAUUAUAUUUGGUCUAUUUUAAACAAUUUUAUUUACUUUCUGAUUAAUGUAAUGUUAUUGUAACUCUAUGGCGAUAUGGAGAGAGGAAACUUGAUAUAAUAUUGUGGUUCACACUUCUCAUUCUGGUUUACAGAAUAAUAAUUUGGCUGAUUGCACACUUGCACCCAAAAGUGUGACCUAGUGUUCAAUGAAGUAGAUUGAGAACCAUGAGGUCUCAGGUUUAAUUUGAAACAGAGAUAAAAACACUAGGUGAUUUCUUACCGUCUAUCCAAGCCUUGAUGGACAGAGUUACCCAGUAUCUAUACUGGUGGGAGGUAGCAGUACCUGGUGUAACUAGUCAAGGUAUAAGCUGGCCCAAACACGACGGUUAUCAAAGAAAGUUUGGCUGGUUGUGAGGGACAAGUAUUAAGGGACCAACAACUGGAGCUGUAAGGAAGUUUGAACAUUUUUAUUCUUUUCUUUUUCAGAUACACUGUUUUUUUUUCGGAGAUAUUACUUUGUAUUCAUCAGCAUUAAGGUUAUGCUAGUAGUCCAAAAGUAAUGAAAAAUAUUGAAAAUAAUGCGAGGAUUCGAAGAGAUCUACUACCAGUUAUGCAUCCUGUAUACAUUGUCCCUUAAACAAAAAACAAAAAUCUACAAUGCUAUUCCAUUUAACUUUAUGAAUGGAAUUAUAUUUAUCUUCAAAAUACCUUUAACUUUUCUCGCUCCAUACAGUCCACCAAAUACAAGGAAGGAUUGUUCUCCCCCAUUUCUUCUAACUCUUGCUAAUCCCCUCUAAUCCAACAGCUCAACAGAUUGUUGUGUGUCCUUUGAUAGUCCACUUUACUUCAACUCAAUAGAUCUGGUAUGUGUUCUGGCAUGGUCCACUUUACUUCUAUUAAACUACAUGUAUCAAAUGGGCGGGGUUGGCUAGAUUUGGGCGGAUCAAAGAGGUUUGAGUUAAUAAAUGGGCGGGUUAUUAACCCUCCCUAAAGCUACUUGGGAUGAAAUGGGUUGGGUUGAAAUGCUCUAAAAUGUCGGUCAUAACCCAACCCACCCAAUUUGAACUCAGAUUUAAUUGCUUUAUUUGUUAUUUUAUAAAAUUUUAGUACUUGAAAAAUUAUUAUCCUUUUUUUUAACUUGGUAACUUUGUAUUAUAUCACACAGUACAUGGGUUGUACUGAAAUCUUUAUAUACAAGAGUACUCCUAAAUCGACUGUUCUACAUCUAAAUUUAGUCUAGAACAUCAAUUAUUGAGGUAGUAUCAUUAGAGUAUAGUUGAUUACACCAAAAACGUUAAAGCAAAAUGCAGUUGAGUUUAACCUUCUGGACACUACUCUCAACACUCUCAAAACAUCUAGAAUUCCUUUCUUUCCAUAUAGCCCACCAUAUAGCACUAGGGUUAAUUCUCCAUCUACCUCUGUCCUUCGCAUGUACACCUGCUUCUCUCAGCACAUUAAAGUGUCGGAUACUUUCCUAGGCAUUGUCAUGGAAAUGCCUUUUAGUCUUAAGACGAUUCUCCAAAGUUGUUAGGUGUACUUACAAUGUAUAAAUAUAUGGUUAACCGUCUCUAAAGUUUCUCCACAGAGGAAACAUCUGGAGCACAAGGUUUUCCCUUUCUUCAUGAUAUUAUCUUGUGUAAGAACUACUUCCUUAGUCAAUAACUAGACAAAGACAAAGCACGACACUGUGUGAGGUAUCCUACUUUUCCAUAUUUGUUUCCAUGGCCAUCUUGGAUCCAGGUGAUUUAUUUGGUUCAUCAUCUUGUAGGGUUUAUUGACACUAAACAUUUUUUUUCAUUUCCCAUCAACCAUAGUACGUCCUUCACUGUCUGCAGUCCAUUGAAUAAGUCCACGGUAUUAAAAAAUUCAACUACUCUCAUUACCUCCUGAUCAUUAAGUUGCUUUCUGAAAUUGAAGUUCCACCCAUGUGGUGUCCAUAAUUCUGCUAUAGUCCUCUAUUGAAACAAUACCAAGUUGUAGAUAUCUGGAAAAAUCACUUCCAUAUUCCCAUCCUCAUGUCAAUUAUCCUUCCAGAACCUAGUCUUGUUUCCAUCCUUCACUUUAACCUUUGAGUUCCUUUUAACUUGAUUCCACUAGUGUAUAAUAGAUCUAAUAGACCUCUAGAGGCUAACCCCGUAUGGUGUGGUUAGCUCUUUAGUCAUCCAUCUAUCUUCUUCAGGAUAUUUAGCCCUAAUCACUUUCCUCCAUAGCAGUUGGUUAUUAUUUGCAUAUUUCCACAACCAUUUCAUUACGAGAGCCUUACUUUGAAUUUUUAGGUUCUUUAUCCCCAACCCUCUAGUCUUCUUGUCAAUUGUCUACCACAGAGAGAACUACUACUUUUUCUCCAACAUAUAUUUGUUCCUUAUUCUAUCUCUCCUUGUAUGCCCACACAUCUAUCUCAACAUCCUCAUUUCUGCUACGUUUAUCUUUUUAACAUGCGAGCUCUAGACUAGCCAAACACUCUGCCCCAUGCAAGAUAGCUAGUAUAACAACCACUUUAUAAAUUUACCUUUAAGUUUAUUUUAACAAAAUUCUUAUACAUGGCAUGAUAGUUACAAACUCUUUUGCAAGAGCUAAUUGGGACAAAAAAUAGAUGUUCAGAAAUUGAUUCAUCAAAAAAAACAUAAUUGUAGUUUAUGAGUUUCAAACGUGUCCAAAUGGAGAAAAUAUUAUGGGGGGACUGUGUUGAGUAUGGAACUUAGAACCUCAGUGCAGGAUUUGAACACCCUUACUAUCACACUCAGUGUUGUUUUUUGUGGCAAUGGUGUUCAUUAAAAAAUACUCAGAAAAUAUAGAAUUUGACCUAUAUAUAUAUAUACAAAUGCGAUUAUCAGGCGAAUGUUGUUCAGUUAAUCACCCUUGGAUAGUUGUAGCUCAACUGCAGCUUGGCAAUGUUUCCACCCUGCUUGUAGUUAUAUUCUACGCAGUACAUUCCAGUCCUUUUCCAUGUGGGACAUUAUGUCAUUCAUAUUCUAACACUUCCAUCUAGUAUUGUACUGCUGGAAGUUACUAAUUUCUACUCUCAGGGUACUGUUUAUGUUCUAUUUUUGGACUUGACCAACUUUCAUGUUGUUUUCAUUAGGAUAGAGGGCAGACGCAUCAACUGACUGAAGAGAAUUUACAUGUCCUGAGGGAAAAAAGUGUGUAACUUAUAUAUUUUCUUGGCCUCUUUCCAAUUGUUCUUCUACAGUGGGUACUUUUGUGUGCUACUUGUGCAUAAUGCUGAUUGCUUUGUUUGUUUUCUGUAGGUAUUACUACAACAAGGUUAGUAGAAUGUACAAAUGGAGAAUGCCUGAUGAAGUCAAGGUGAUGUUAGAUUUAAAUCCAUUAUGGGUUUGUUUUGUACUUUAAAUAGCAUGAUAAGAAGGGAUUGUUCUGUGCUUUAAAUAACAUGAUAAGAAGGGACAAUAUUCUAUUUUCUUGGAUGCUCUAGUUCUCAUAAAAUCUUUAUGCAUUCACAGUUGCUAGCAUGAUAAUAAGGGGCAAUAUUCUGUUUUCUUGGAUACUCUAUUCUCAUAAAGUUCAAUUAUUUAUAAAUUCACAGUUGGCUCGUGAAAAGGACACCAUUUCGCACGCUUCUAAUUUUCGAUCCAUUUCUAUUGUUAAAAUAUCAUCCCGGGGGCAGAUGGUUCAUUAGUCUCGGCACACGGUGCUAAAUCAAGCCCGAUUGCUAUGUCACCAGCUGCUAACUUACCAACUAUUGUGGCUUCAAAAUCAUCAAGUUUAUCUGGUAAGGUUUCUUCUCUGAUGAUUGAAACAGUUGAAAUAACGAAUUCUUCAGAACCUGCUUCGCCAGCUGUUGCUAAUUUGGAGAAAAUUGUAAUAGCAGUAACCUUGGGAAAUUCUGUCGCACCACCGGUGUAUGUUUUCAUAUUUAUAUGUUAUAAAUUUGCCUCUGGUUUGUGUUGCUUCUUAUUUAGAAUUCAAUUUUUCUGUAGUGCUGAGACUACUACAACUCAAGAUGCAGUAGUGUAUGGUGAUGGAUUUUCUUCAGAGAAUAGAGAGGUACUUUGUCCUUCUGAAAUACUUAUGCGAUUAGUUAAUUACUACUGGUUAGUGUUUAAAACACCAAGAAAGUUUUUCGUAGCUGUUAUGCUGGAUGUUGAUCGAAUAAUUUUAUAGUGCAGUUGUUAGUCAACUGCUAACAGGUGAAAAAUAUGCUCCAAAUUCCAAUGAGGUUUGCUUUUGUCCUUUGUGCUUGAUGUUGUGCCUAAAAUGCAGAAUGUCAAGAAAGAUGCUGCAAUAACUGAAAUCGGAGGUGCUACUCCAUUAGAUGAGAAAACAGUUGAGUUGGGACCAUUAAUUUAUGAGAGAAAAACGGUAUAGUUGAUUAUUUCUUUUUGGCCCGUUUAAUGUAUGUUCUCAAAAUUUCUCUUAUUUCUAUUUUAAGUAUUUGAUUUUAUUUAGGAUCCAAAGAGUGCAUUCAAAACUCUUUUGGAAUCUGCAAAUAUUGGGUCUGAUUGCACGUGGGAUCAGGUUUAUUACUUGACUAUUUUGUGCGUACCAAACAAUUAAGGGAGAUCAUUUGACAUGAAUUGUAUUUGUCAUGCCAUGAGAGCAGUAAUUAAUGACCGAAGAUAUGGUGCUCUAAAAUCCCUUUGUGAGCGGAAGCAAGAUUUUAAUGAGGUAUCUCUCCAAGUCGGCAUUGGAAUGGGUUAAUUACUGCUUCAAUGUUUCAGCAUAGCGUAUUGCAAAAAUAUAGAUUGUGUUUGAUAUCCAAUUGUUUCAUGUUUGGUUGACUUAAAUAUUUUGAAAAAUGUUUUCCAAAUCAACUUAUUUUCCUUAAAUUUAAGGAAACUGAAUUCCCUUCAAAAAGUAGGAAAAAUAUUUUCCAAAACUCUGUUUCAAUCUCACUCUUAAAUUAAAAUAUUUAUACAACUCUCAAAUGUAUUUUUUGAAAAAUAUUUUUUUAUUCACCAAUCAAACACUAGAAAACAUUUUCUGAAAAAUGUUUUCCUUCCAUCAACCAAACAUAAGAAAACCAGUAAGAAACCAACUUUUUUUCUAGGAAAACAUUUUCCUUCAUCCCAAACACACCCAAGGUCUACAGUGAUCAUUUUGAAGUUGUGUGUCUGUUCCAGUAUCUGAGCCAAAAGAAAAAAUUGGAAGCUGAAGAGAGGCAUGUUAAACAGAAAAAAGCUCGGGAAGAUUACAGGAUAAUGUUAGAAGUAAGUGAAAUUUUCUUUUGUGGUGUCUUCCAUUUGAUAUAUCAUGAUAUUCACAUAACUAGUUUCAAAAAUAAAAAGAUAUUAUCAUAAUAUUCAUGAUGUGUUAGAGACUGGUAUUUGAUUUGUUCAAAAGAAUAAGUGGUAUUUUUCACAACAAUGUCCGUUGUUCUCAAUCUUACAGGAUUGCAAAAAGCUGUCACCAUCGUCAAGAUGGGAUUUGUCUUUCACUUGUAAUGUUAAGUUGUUGCUGCUUGUUUUCUAAUCUUGGUCAUUAUUUGUAUGUGUUUUGGUACCUUGAAGUUGAUCCAUUACUUGUGUAAAUUCCAUUGGAUCCAUUAACUAUUUGCUAUUGAUUAUUCAGUAAGGAAAUCUCCAUAUUCGAAUAUGAUGAACGUUUUAAAGCUGUUGAGCGAGCUAAAGACCGUGAGGACUUUUUUGAAGAUUAUAUGGAGGAACUUGAGAAAAAGGUGAAGCUCCUUUUGAGAACUUUCUUUUAAGCUUCUAUAUGUUAAAAACUAGGUGUGCGGACUGUAGUUUCCUUAUAUGGUCUUUGGCUCCUCACAAAUUGAGUUAGCCUUUCAUUUGAGAUAGAAACAAGGUCCAAUUUCUUGAACAUGGUAUUAGAGGCAGAUCUAUCUUGAUUUUAGACUAUUAGAUGUUAGCCAACCUAGGUUAACUGAUGCUACAAAUGUCUAGUCUUGGUGUGCGAUUAAUGUAUGAGAAUCCCACACUAGUAAGGUGCAUGUGCUGCAGUUUCCUUAUAUGAUCUUGGACAAUCUUCACCACCUGACCUAGUUUUUAAAGUUGAGUUACGCGCUGGUCCACUUGAUUAACAACAGUCAUUCCAUUCCUUUCCUUUGCAGGAUGUCUUUUAGUUUGUUUCCUUUUUUUGUUUUGCUUAAAGAUUAGAAAGAAGGAAUCUUGUAGAUAUUCAACUUAAAAUCUACUGUUCUUUGAAUACAUUUUUAAUGGCUUCUCAAGGGUACAACAUUUAAAUUUGUUCACCAUUGAAUUCCAAUUUAAACAGACUUCCAUGUAUUGUAUGUAAUUUUUCUUGAAACUUGAAACUAUGAUAUGCUUCUUCCUCUCCCCCCUCCGUCGUAAAAUAGAAAAAGUUUUUCAAUACUUUCAUGCAAGUGUAAUUAAAGUCUCUUUGUAAAUAUUUUCUUCUUUAUAGAGAAAUUUUAUUUUUUUUACUUUGUAUUGGAUUUUAUUAGGAGCAUGCGAAGGCAUUGGAGGAGCAGAAGCGCAAUAGAGUGGAGUACUUCGAAUUUUAAAAAUCCUGUGACUUUAUUAAGGUAUUUGUUCUAAUGGAAUUAGCAUCAGUUCCUAGAUUAUGUUUUUCUAUUUCUUGGAGAUAGAACUUCCAUAGUUCCAUUGUUGCUGACUUCUUUUGUUCAGGCUAGUAGCCAGUGGCAGAAAGUUCAGGAACGCUUGAAAACUGAUGAAAGAUGCUCCCGCCUUGAGAAAAUCGAUUGCUUGGAGAUUUUCCAGGUAUAACUCAUUUUUCUAAUACAUCAUAAAUAACUUUUCCAAACAUCUCAUUUGUACGCCUUAUUUUUAAAGUUAUGUUGCAACCUUUUCUGUUUUAGGAAUAAUUAUGUGAUAUAGAAAGCGAAGAGGAGGAGCAAAGGAAACUGCAGAUGGUAUAUUGCUUAUUAGACUCGGGGGUUAAAAUUAAAUUUAUGUUUGGAGACUUUGAUUUAUCUCUUUCUCACUUGCAUACACCAUUGAUUCAAAUAGGAAGAAUUGAGGAAAGCUGAACGUAAAAAUCGUGAUGAGUUUCGAAAACUAAUGGAAGAGCAUGUUGCUGCGGGAAUACUUAAUGCAAAAACUAACUGGUGUGAUUAUUGCAUCAAAGUUAGUUUUUCUUUCUUGUGUUCAGUGAGUGAUUACCUUCAUGAGUUCCCUUUUCGUCUUUUUUAAUUUUUCAUCCAAUAGUUUUCUUCUUUAUUUUGUGCUUGCAGAUUAAAGAUUUUACUGCAUAUCUAGCUGUCUUAUCAAAUACUUCAGGAUCAACAGCAAAAGACUUAUUUAUAGAUGUUAUGGAUGAGGUGGAGAAAUAGGUGAAAUAGGUUGCUAAUAGAAGUAUUGAAUUGUGUCAACUACAUUUGUUACACUAAGCCAUAUUUAUAGACUUUACACUACAAUCCCUUUUCAUUGGCUUUCACUUAAUGAAUAUCUGAAUUUGAAUGGUUGAGAUAUCAGCCCAUUAAGUGUUUUAUUUUAAGAGAUUCAACCUAUUAAUACAUCUUUAUGAAUCAGAUGUUAAACAAAUUCUUAAGGAAGUUAGUGCAUUACUAUGUGGAAAUAUACUGGGUUUGUUGUUGUUGUUGUUGUUAUGCAUUAAAGAAUAGAACAUGCUUGGUAGGAUAAAAUCAUGAGAUUGAGAUUUGAGAGUUUCCCCUCUGCUUGCUUUUUUUUUAAAUAACACAUAUUUUGUUGAGAUAAGAACAAUGAUCGGUUGUUACUAUUAAACAUCUGUGUUGUUUCUCUUUAUGCCAAUUAGAUUCCUCUUUUUUUUUACUAGAUAGUAGGUAUUUUGGCUGAUAGGAAUGGUAUUGUCGUAAAAUUUUAAGUUAGGGGUUCCAUGCUUUUAAUGUUGUAUAGAUAUAGAUGAUUCUUUCAAUCUAGCCAAGCUGUAUUAAAUGCUACUUUGCGGACAAUUGUAAUUGACUUCUCCUCCAUUGAAUGUUGUUAAUGGUUAUAUUACCUUAAUUGUUAUAGUUUCUCGAGCAGAACAACUCUGAGAAGUGAUCAUCAAACUUCUAUAUUUUCACGUAGUUUCUUUGACUUUUGAGGACUCCUUUAAAGUAUCACAUAACCACACCAUUGUGUUUCACCUAAGACUGCAUUUGUUUUUAUUAAUAUUCAAACAUUUGAAUCAUUUUGAAUGCACAUCUGAAUGGUUAAGAUAUUGUCUCUAGAUCUAAAAACUAAAUCAUUAAGUUUGGGUGUUUCUCAAUAUCUGAAUGUGCAAAAUUUAUUUUUUUCUAAAUAUAAUAUAGUUAUAUAUUAGAAAUUUUUUUUAAUUUAAUGCAAUUAAAUUAUUAUUUGAUUAAAAAAAGAAACAUUUAUGUUUGUUAGUGAUAGUGGAGAUGGUUUAUAAAGGUGGUGGUGGUUGUAAUAAAUUAAUUGAUGUCAGUGAUUAGCAAUGUAGGUGAUGAUAGUUGUGAUAGCAGAGAUAGUUUGCAUUGUAGUAACUAUCAUGAUAUUGGCGAUUGGUAAUGGUGGUGGUGGUUGUGAUGUGAAGUUGGUUAAUGUUAGUAGUUGGAGGUGUUGAUCGUGGUGAUGGAAAAUUGCAUGCAUGAUGAUUGACGAUGUGUUGGUGGUCAUUGGAGACGUUGUUAGCUGUGAUGGUGGAAUGGUUGUUAGUACAGAUACUGUAUCGAGUGUAGCAGAUGGUAGUGGUAUAGGUGGUGACGCCGGUGACAGUGGUGGUGAUGGUGUCCGAAGAAUGUGUGGAAGUUGAUGAUGUGUUAGGGGUUGUUAGCGAUGUGUGGAAGUUGAUGAUGUUUCGGUGGUUAUUAGUGGUAGUGCUAGUUCUGAUAGAUGAGUUGGUUGGUAGUAGGGAUCGAUCGGUAGCAGUUGAUGGUGGUGGCGUUGUCGAUAGGGGUGUUCAUAGGUCGAUAUGGGUUGGUUAUUUGUCAAAACCAUAACCGAACCAACUUAAUCGAUUUUUAAAGUUCAAAAACCAAACCAAACCAAACAAAAAAAUAACCAUCGGUUUGGUUCUUGUCGAUUUAGUUCGAUUUGAUUCGGAUUUUUUGGUUUAUAACUUUAGUUAAUGAUAAAAGUUGAAAAUUUUAAAAAACAAAUCCAAUCUAACAUAUGAGAUGUCAAGUGAGUGUUGUAUCUCAAUCUUGAAACUAUGAUGUCAACUGAGUGUUAUAAUUCGGCAAAGCCAUGAUAACACCAUAUGAACGCUUUUAAAAAAUAUUUAAAAACUAUAUUUAAUAGAAUGAUAUGAUAAACCCCCAAAAGCUGAACACAUAAACUUCUUGCUCAACAAGGUUCAAAAGAAAGUUUAAAUUAGUGAUUGUGUAUAGUCUAAUGAAUUUCAGUUGUAAAUUUCAAUAUAUAACAAGAUAUUAUUUUCACAAUUAGUAUCAUUUGUCAUUCAAAAUAUGAAAUUCAUUUUGAAUCUCAUAAUGUAUUGUCAACUAGAUGAAGACAUAUGACUGAAUGUGCGACGACUAAAGUUAAAUCAUGAUUAAAAUAUAAAAUGUAACAAAUAUUUAGAUUACAUUUAUGAAAAAUAUAUAAAUAAUUAUAAUAUAUAUGUAUAUCAGUUCGGUUUGGUUAUUUUGUCAGUUAUUUUAGAGUAAAACAAAACCAAACCAAACCAAAUUAGUAUCGAUUUUUUAAAAUUUAAAUCAAAACCAAACAUCACCAAAUAUAGGUUUUUUUUAAAUCGGUUUGGUUUGGAUUCGGUUUAGUUUGGUUAAAAACCAAACUGUGAACACCCCUAGUAGGCGGUGGAUAUAAUUAGAAUAAUGGAAGGGGUAGGUGUGGUAGCGGCUGGUAGUGUAGUUGGUUGUGAUGGUGGAAGUGGUUGGUGGUGGUGACAGGUGAUUGUGGAUAGAGUGGUGGUGAAUUUUAUCCUACACAAGAAUAUCUGUAAAUGAUAUUUAGACUUGGUUCCAUAUCUGAAUGAUUAAGACCUACUCAGACCUAUUAAGAGCUAAAAUCCUAAUAAAAACAAAUGCACUUAAUGGUUUGAGGUCUGAAUAGGUUCAUAAAUCCAAUAAGAGCAAACAAAUGAGACCUGAAAGUAGUUUGUCUGGUCAAGUUUCGACCAUGUUUUGUCCAUUUGUACCACAACCCAGUUUUGAUUUCACUUCGAAUGAUAUCUUGCACCUUAAAACCCAAUUCAGAAUAUAUGGUGUUGUCAACCAUAUAAAUUGGACUAAAUAAAAUUAGUGCCAGAAUUCGCCUCUGAAGAGGUAGUUGAGAUGUAAUGAAAGUAAAGGCUUAGAAAAGAUUAGCCUCGAAAAAAGUGCCUGAGAGCAUCUCUGUUUCUCUAAAUAAAGUUGCAUCUCCCUCACUAUGAUUUUUUUGGCCGUAAUACACACUUGCGACUAACUGAACGAUAUAUUGUUUCAUCCUCUGCCCUUUCUGAAAAUAAUUGAAGUUGAAUGAUCAAAUGUUAUUAGCACUUAUCUCCUUGCUUGAUGAAAGAGGGAGUUUACCUGGUAUCCUAGCAUGGUAAUGAUCCUGUUCGUACUCUUAUUCAAUGAUUGAAUUUGGUAAUGUUUUCUUGAGUUAGGCUCUUGCUAUGGGAUGGUGAGAGUUAUACAUAAACUCAGAUGCUGAAAAUCUUUUCUUUUUCCCUUGUAAGAUAAAGAUGUCAACUUCUAUCUUUAAAGUUUGUAUUACUGUUUGUGUACAUAACUGAUUCUUAUUAAGUAAAUAUAACGAAAGCAUUGUUAACAGAGAUGCUAUCCAUAUUUAUUUAUUCACUUUUUUUCUAUUAUCCAAACAGGGCUGCUUGAUUUUUCCUUCAAUUUAACCUGAUCAGUGCAAUUAAGUUUAUGUGUCAAGUGUCUUGUGAUAUUGUAUAUGACUUUGAACAAGUGGAGAAAUGUUGGUAUUCAUGAAAGAAAUUUCAUCCCCAUCACCCUGCUUGUAAUUUAUAGACUUUAUGGUAACUCAAAUGCAUGGACAAGGCUUCAUUUGGUAUCCUAUUUUUGUUACUGAUAAGCAUUCUGAAUUUGUAUUACUUGUAUGUUGCUUCAGUAGAUGACAAGUCACAAAUUAAAGAUGCAAUUAGGAUGGUCGAGGUAAUCACCACUCUUCAUUUUAACCUCUGUUGUGCUACGGUUAGUACCUAAUAUUUUGGCUGAGCCGUCUUUACUUUAGAUUAGAUUGACAUCAGCCUGGACGCUUGAUGAUUUUAAGGUUGCAAUCACCAAGUAUAUUAGCGCUCCACCAAUGUCAGAUACCAACUUAAAGGUCUAAUUAUGGCUAAGCACUGUAUACUAUUUCACAUCGACCCAUGUUGAAUUGAAUGUUGUGAUUGAAGUACCCCAUUCACUAAAUGGAUUUCUAUGUAUUUGUCCCCUUUUUUUCUUUGGGAUAGGUCCUGCAUAAGAUGAUUGGAUUGAGUGCAAAAGCAUUAGUAGUACUUCCAUGUUAUGUUUCAAUGGAAGUCGGUCAGUUUGUGAUUGCUAAAUUGGCAACUCGUAGGAGUCAACUGUGGUUAGUGGCAUUUUCCUUUAGUAUCAACCAUAACCUAUCCCAUAAUAAAUUUGGAUCUUCUUGUAAUGGAGUUAAUAGAAGAGUAGUGUGUCGGUUAGCAAGUAAGCCUAAAACCUUCAAGAAUAAAGAUGAGGACCACAUUGAUCAAAUAUUUGGUGUUAGCUUUUUCUUCCAAUUCUUCAGUUUUGGUACGAUUUUCCUUAGUUUUUAUUUCCUGGACGGCGGUGUUUAAUAUUACACCUACCGCACUUAUCUUAAGUUGCUUAAUUCAAAGUAGUUUGCCUUGUAGUUUUUUGUUUUUACAGUUAGUGGAUAAGAGUUUUACUUUAUGAAACUGGUUAAACAGCAAACUGGAUGAUAUCAACGAUCAUUUUUUAUUUUUGUAAUGAGGAUAUUCUUCAUAUAUCAUUUGGAUUUUGGCGGUUAUUUAUGGUCAUGGCAUAUAAUCUAUGUAUGUGGGAAGAGGGAAUUGCAAGGGGUAUCUUGUCGAAGAAUUAUGCUUAGACGGUUGGGACUCUUAAGGCUUUUAGUUUACUUUCAAUAGCUCAAAACUUUUGUAAAGCAUUUUAUCAAAGAUUAUAAUGUGAGGAGUUACUCUAAAAGAUGGUAAUAAUACUCUUACAUUAUAUCCCUCUUGCCUUCCAAACGAAGGAAUAAGAGGACAUACAUGGAUUAUACUGAAUCUUAUUCCAUACUUCCUUUCUAAACUUUAUGUUCUACGCGUUUGGGCUUGCCGGGUCAUUGAGUAUUAAAUGUGCAUAUUUCAUCUGCAUAGUUUGUCUUUGAGGAGUUACUAGAAAGGGCCAGGGAGAAAGAAGAAAAAGAAGCUAAAAAGCGUAAACGUCUAGCAGAUGAGUUCUAUGAACUUCUUCAUGCAACAAAGGUAUAGUAAACAGUUUACAAUCUCUCAUAUUGCAAUGGAUGGGAUCCCAUGAUAUUUCCUUUAAACCAUAAUCUAUUUGUUUGUUGUGGUUGUAGGAAAUUACUGCAUCAUCUAAAUGGGAGGACUGCAAAUCCCUCUUCGGAGAUAGGCAAGUAGCUUCUUUUUCUUUUAUUGAUCUAGAAUUAGUAACACGAUUGCAAGGACCAUUGGAGAAUGAUAAUUGAUAUUAUUUUCAAGGACCAACUUCUUCAAUAUUCUAAACUCAGUAAUUCACAUAGUUCUAGAAUGUACCUUAGAAUAAUAGCUGUGUUGAAUGAUUUGUUGUUUUAUAUUCCUCAACAUUUAGGUAGGCUAUUUAUUUAUAGGAUUAGCAUGAAUUACCAAUUUGCUAAGUGAUUUUUAAUGUUGAACUUAUCUCUCUAGAAAUUGGUUGAUGUCAAUUAUUAGUUGUUCCAACACUGGGCGUUUAAUAGCUCUAGCAGUUAGUGUUUAAAUUUCUGACAUUUGUGAUUGUUUCACGGUUCUGAUGAAGUAUGCUACUAAAUCUCUAGUUUCAAUUUGUCUAGCCUCUUUGGCUAUAAAAUGAAAUGCUUUGGAUUUUUACUUUUUUAUUCAUAAUCUCAUGAUUCUCAUUAUGUUGUAACAUUGAAUGUGAAUUUCUUUGCUGUUAUUAUUUUACAGAAUAAUGGGUGAUGAGGGCUUGCUGCUUGAAAUAUUUAACAAAUUUGUUAAUGAACUAAAAGAGAAGGAGCGCAAGCGUCAAGAAGAUAAGGUACUUGAAUUACUACAAACCCUUAUUCUUCUGCUACUUUCGGGUGGGGGUAGUAGAUGUGUGGAUGUGAUUGUGGUUGAAAAGGAAUUAAGAAACCUUUAGAGAGUUACUGCAAACGAUUCAAAAUAGAAAAAUCAUUUUAAGUUAGAGAUUCUAGAUAAGCGGUUCCUAUUAACAUUUUAGGAAGGUAUUAGGCACCUAAAAUGUCCGCUAACUUGCGGUUAUCCAGACUGUUUGAAAAUCGUCUUCUGAUUAGCUUUGAAAAAGUUUAUUUUUUGAAAAUAAAAGCAAUUUUAGGAAUAUUUUGGUGUUUAUGCAAAACCAGUUUUUUAGCGACUUGACUAAGGAUGUUACUAGGUUCACAAAACACACGUAAAACAAGUAAGCAAAUAGAAAUAAGGGAAAGGGGAGAAGUAGUGAUUUAGGCUUUUAAGCCCAAACCUUCGACUCUAUCCUAAUCUAGCUAGGUUUUUGACCCAUCUUUCACCUGUCUUAAUUUUAUGUUUUCGAGCCCUUUUCGGCUCGAGUCUCGCUCCACCUGUUUUAAAUUUACAACAUUGGCUUCGAGGCCCAAAUGAAUAAAUAAAUGUCAGUAAAUAAACAAAAAUAUAAAUAAGUAAAUAAAUAAAUAAUGGAAACAAUGGAUAAAUAAAUCAAUAAAGAAGAAAUAACGAGAUUUUCAAGUCCCCUUUGCUGCUUCAAAGAUGGAACUUUAACCCAUUCUUCUUUCGAUUCCUCGUAUCCAUACGCCAUGUGAUGGAUUCUUGGCUUUUCUUUUGGGCUUAACUCGGAAGGAUAGGCCUCAUUGGCCCAUUUAUGAAAUGCAAAGAGAGAAGGGGNNNNNNNNNNNNNNNNNNNNNNNNNNNNNNNNNNNNNNNNNNNNNNNNNNNNNNNNNNNNNNNNNNNNNNNNNNNNNNNNNNNNNNNNNNNNNNNNNNNNNNNNNNNNNNNNNNNNNNNNNNNNNNNNNNNUGUUUGAAGAAAAUGUUCAUAAUCAAUUAAAGAAAUUUCAACUACAGGAAAAAUAAAGCUUCAACAAGAAAUUCUUAUGGUCUUUAGCGAAAUAAAGAAAAUAAUUUAUCACUUUAAUGCCACAAAAGGACCCAAUUAAGCAUGUCACAAAAAAUAGUUACAACUCCUGGAUCAUACUACAUAAACGAUGGAUCACAAGCAACGUUCAAAUUCCAGAAUGCCAAACAUACAAAUUUAAAGACUCCAUCACUUUAGGCAAGGAAUACGAUAGCUGAAACUUCAAGAAAAGCAAGGCUGAAAUCUUAAUGCCUUUGUUACCACUGGGUUAACAAACAAACGAGAUUCAAACACUACAUAAACCCAAUUUUAGGUAAUUUAAUCAUGAGACAAGAUUCCACAACUUAUAUGUGAACAAGAAAAGCAAGAAAGGAAAGAAACAUUAGCUCGUUAAACUUUAAUUUGUUCUCAUGAGUCAAUUACAGCAAAUUGAAUUAGCCAUGAAGAAAACAUAAUUCAUCCCUAUGGUGCACUCUAAUAUUUUAAAAGAAACUUUAGAAUCAAAUGAGACUAUUGUACAUCGAGAGUGGCAAGUCGGAAGAAAAUAACAUUCGGGUUCUUAGUUAUAACAAUUUCCUGCGUUUGAGCGAAAAAGAUAUGCUAACAGGCUGCCUCAUAUCUAUUCUUUGAACAUUUUUUCGAAUUUUGAAAAUACGUAAAGAUUUUAUUCUCCUACUCAAUGAACUACAAAGCAACAUCGAAUAUGAGACCAGAAAAAUAGUUUCUAAAGUCGAAGCAAUAAACCUAACUAGUAACAUUCAGACAGAAUAAAAUAAGAGAGAUCAAGCAUGAACGACAGCCAAUCAAACACGGGCAAGUAUGAGUUUUUUAGUAGAACAAUAUAUCAAAAAUGAAAAUCCUAUGCCAUCUAGGACUCUACAGUAGUCAUUCCCAGCAAACAAAGUGGAACCACGAAGAAGAAAAUGAUAACCACAACAAAAUUAAAAACAAAGGUGUAUUUACCUCUUUCGCGGCAGCAAAAUGUGAUAACAGCUCACGAUAGGAUUCCCACCACCAAAAAACUCACAACUGCUUCGACAGUUCUGACGCACCUCCUAAGAAUAUAUGUUUCUUAGGCAUAAAGAGAAUAUUUUUUCCCUCUGAGAGCCCCCCUUUUUGGUGUAUUCUGAAUUUUUGAAGAUUUUCACUAACCCUAAAUUUUCAACCCAAAACUUUUGAACCCCUUUUGCCUCUAAAAUUUCGAACUCCAAAGAGAAAGAAGAGGAGAACCCAUAAAGGAAAGGAGAGGCCAGUAAAAAAAAUUCCAAAAUCCCCCAAAAAAUCCCUUUUUCUUACUCUAAAGAGAGCUACUUAUAGAAGGGGAUUAAGGGUUUAUUUUUGAAAUUCAAAAGAUCUGGACCCUAACGAACUGUACCUCUAUUUUGAUUUUAUUGAAUGGAAUUCCAAAAAGUGGCCAAUAGAAAUUGGUGGAAAGGUAAUAAUCUUCACAAGCCAAUGAAAAUACUCCACCUAUGUACGAAUUCGUAAACCUCUAUCCCAGAAUUUUGGGAUUUGAAAGUUGGAUGAGACACCUAAGUGUGUUUCUAGAAGAUUCUUGGCAUCUUCUCGUAUGGAUUCGCGUGGAACGCAUGUGAUCAUAAAGAGGAAAAAGAAAACGGAUUGCAUUUGGGUGCUGCAUCCUAUUUGAAGUUAUCCGCACCUGUGGUUUUGAUUUGAUAUUUUCAUACUCUCGGAUGCUCUCGAAAAUGCUUCAAGCAAAAAGUAUUAGUGCUAAACAUAAUUCACAAGAGAGGUAUGCAGUCUUUUACCAUAUCUCCAUGUGAGUUGUGACUUGAAAAGCAGAGUCAUCUCUUCAUGUACCUGUUUGGAAUGAAAUAACCAGCAAUACCAAACACAACAACCCUCUUGGUUGUCAUAUAAUUAUGACAUUUGUCGGUUGAAUACGUCUUCAAAGUGGGUGGCCCUUUUGGACACCGGCGAUACUUUAUGCAGAACGGUAUCUACAAUCGUGUAAUCUUGUGCUAGUGUGGAAACCCUUUAGGUACCUGUAUCAUUUGUUGCAUAUGGAAUAAUAACCUCUCCGGUUAUAGCCGAUGAUCGAUUUAUAAAUUUCCUUUAAAUUAUCAAUCUUUGGAUAAUCUUACGCAUUAUUUGAUGUUGGAUACGAGACAACUUACAGAUAUCCUUUUGAUUUCUAGCUUUUAGGUAAUCCUGCAUAUUAUCUGACUUUGAAUAAGAGAUGACUUACAGAUAUCCCUCCAAUCGCUAGCUUUCAGGUGUUCCUGCACAUCAUCCAACCUUAGAUACAAUAUGACCUAUAGAUAAUCCCUCAAAUUGUUAGUCUUUGGGUAAUCCUGCACAUAAUCGAUCUUGGAUAUGACACGGCUUAUAAAGAACCCUUGGACGUAUCAAUUUGAUAAUCUUCCAUAUUCUCUAGUAAGGAUUUAGUUGCGACUUAUGGAUAACCUUUGAACUAUCAAUUUUUGGGCGAUCUUGCACACUAUCCGGUUAGGAUGUUGUUGUGGCUUACGGAUGACCUACAGGUGAUCAACUCAUAGGUGAUCUUGCAAACUAUCCUAUUUCAAAUAAUAUGACUUAUAAAUGACCCUCAAAUUGUCAAUUUCUAGGAAAUCUUAUAUAUCAUUCAUCCUUAGAUAGUGACUUAAAGGCGUUCCUUCAAAUCGUGUGCUCUCGAUACAUUUAGAUGCUGAUUCAUAAAAUGAUAAGAUAUCCUCGAUGCCAAUGUUUAUGUCUUGCAUGUCAAUAGAUAUAAAAUAAUAAGAUAUCCUCGACGCCAAUGUUUAUGUCUUGCGUGUCAACAGAUAUAAAAUAAUGAUGAUAUUCUCGACGCCAGUAUUGUGUCUUACGUGUCAACAGAUAUAUUGAAUGAUGAUGAUAUCCUCGACGUCAGUAUUGUGCCUUGUGUGUCAACAGAUAUAUUGAAUGCUGAUGAUAUCCUCAAUGCUAGCGUUGUCUUGCGCAUCAACAGAUAUUGCAUGAUGAUGAUAUCCUCGACGCCAGCGUUGUAUCUUGCAUGUCAACAGAUAUUGCAUGAUGAUGAUAUCCUCGACACCAGCGUUGUGUCUUGCGUGCCAACAGAUAUAUAAUAAUGAUGAUAUCCUCGACGCCAGCAUUAUGUCUAGCGCAUCAACAAAUAUUGAAUGAUGAUGAUAUCCUCGACGCAAGCUUUGUGUCUUGCGUGUCAAUAGAUAUAUUGAAUGCUGAUGAUAUCCUCGAUGCCAGCAUUGUGUCUAGCAAGCCAAUAGAUAUAGAAUGAUGAUGAUAUCCUCGACGCCAGUGUCAGGGUCUUGCUUUUUGCAUGUUCUUGUACUCAAGGUAGACGAUUAGUAGACACAAAGUCGCUUUUGGUAACGACUAUUUUUUUUAGAAAAAUUCUAAAUACAUCAUUUGUAAAGAAGACAAGACACUUUUGUUUGUCCUCCAUGAUCUCAAGAAAUGAGAUGGACAAUUCAAAAGGUCAUCCAUAAAUGGGUGUUGAGCUGGUUUUGGGCGACCAAAAGUACCGUCAUUAAGCCUUAUAUUCUCUGUCAUGGCUCCCGACUUGCUUGGGGAUUUUUCAAAAGAAACGCUCAUUUUGUGUAUCGAUCCCUGCAUCCACAAAAAAUGAUUAGUUUGAAAGAAACUACUCCUUGUUGACCUCCUACGAUCCUUGAUUUUCCCUCGCCAUCUUUUAGGUAUUUCAUCAUAUUGGGACUUCCACCCUUGACUCCCCGUCUUAAUUGAUGUCUAGGCAAUCACUAAGUAAAAGAUUUCUAUAGAUUUUUUUCAAAGUACUCUUAAUUUUUUAGAAAAUAGUUUCGAGAACUCCUGCAAAACUUUGAAAAAUCUCUGCCAGUCAUGUAGUACUAUCUGAAUACCUCAUAAUUUGCUACAUACCUUCUCAUAGUAGUACUAGUUUACAACUACCAACGAAAAAAUUCAAGGGGUAAGGUCACAUAAUAGACAUGAUCAACCUUAAUCUUAUAUUAUAACCCCAUACGAUCUUAUCUACUUAUGCGGAUUUCUCACCUCAUACUUACUUACUCAAGCAUACAUUUAGACUGCCUUCAAAUCCCUCAAACAACCAUGAGUCUAUAAUCAUAACUUACUCACUAAUAUAGCCAUUUUUCACAUUCAAGAAACCAACAAAUCACCCUGACUAACAACUCCUUCUCUACCUUAUACUAAACUAACUCACAAGGACUAAUCACCUCUUUACCAACUCAAUCUCAUGCAAACAGAUUCAGACAUACAUAUAUUAAACCAGCAAAAGAACAACAAGUUGCUAGUGAAUAGAAAUAGGCCUCACACGGCUUCACUAGACUUUGGUUUUGUAUUUUAAAUAAGAAAAUGAUAUGGAUGACAAGGCAACUAUGCUAGUGAAUCGAAAGAGCCCCAUACGGCUUCACUAGACUUUAAUUUUUUUUUUAAAAACACCAUGAUAACAAGAUUACAUAUUACAAGAGAUAGGAAAUUGACGCAUAAUUUUUAAUGGUCUAAGAAUACACAUCUUACUCUGUAUAAAUAAAAAUCUGAGUAAAAUAAUUCCCCCAUGGACUACCAUACCAUCCACAUGUGCUACUAGCUACCACAUUAGUUUAUCACUAUAAAGGGGUAAAUCAUCCUCAAAUAUAGGUUAUUCAACUGAAGUAUUAAUUUACACCAAAAAUUACCCUCACUCUGACUUCUAACUUUGUGACUUCACAUCACUAACUUCUUGGUCUAAUUUCAUUACCGAUUGGUCAUGACAGCAACACUUUAACUUUUGCUACUAUUCGGGUGGAAAUACAGUUCCAACAUUCUGUUAUACACUGUCCACAUUUGUAUCAAGAUUUUUGGGAGGGACUAGAUUCACUAAAUACCUUAAGCUGGAAAGCACGAUUCCAUCAGGAUCAAUGUUUACAUCAGAAUCAACACAUAUUGAAGCACCAACAGACUCCUCUUGAGUCUUUGCAUAAUUUUUUUUCCUUAUAUGACACAAUCGAAAAAGACUAUAUCAUGUAGAUUCUAAACAUUUUGCACUUGAAUCACCCCAAUAAUGGGACAUGUCUGAGAACAUCAGAGUAAGGAAAGAAUUUGAGAUGACUUUACCUUCAUAUGGGCAACACCAUAGAAUGAAUGACAGUAUGAAAGAGGAACAUUUUGACUCUAUUGCAUGAACUGGAACAUGAAGAAAGAGAGACAUUCCUAAACGCCUAGUAGCCUCCUGCUUAUAAGUGUGGCGCGCUACACACCCAUAAAAAGACUCUACCCGACGUGAUUUUGCAGACACCCUAGGACCAUAAACCAUGCUCUGAUACAAAGUUUGUCACGACCCGAACUGGGGCCCUGGCCACGAUGAGCAUUCCAAACCAUGAAGGCCCGAAACACCCCUAUUUGUCUGAUAAUCAUGCACAUAACUCAUAUGAUAAAAGAAAUGAGAAAGAAAAACAAUAUUAUGGAAACAUGGUCAAGAAUCAUAUGAAAUAAGUAAUGGGGAAUAAUGUCCCACAAUCUCAACACAACAUCUCUAUAACGUUUGCGAAAUCUCUACUACAUGACUGAAAUAAAGAUCUAUCUGAAAACUGGGACAAGGCCCUCAGUAGAUCCAAAACUAAUAAAUGAUAAAUGAAACUGCCAGAUAUCAGGCCUUCUGAAUUAUAGAAGGCUCACCAAGUGUUUCUACAAAUCUAUCUGAGGAAUUUACUAAUUUUUUGAACCCCUAGACUGUGCCUCCAAACCUAGAAGGGAAGCGGGUCAAUACAAAAGUACUGGUAUGCAGAGAUAUCAAAACAAAACAUAAUAUUUUUACAAAAUAUAGUUGAGAGCCAUUAUAAAGCAGUUACAUAUCAAAUCAUUUGAAAACACAUGGGCAUAAUGUAAUUGCUUUCAACAACAAUGUAAUGCAGCUGAGCUAGGUGGAAUACCCUACAUAUCACAUUUACACCAACUUUCAAACCUUGAUUGCCACCGAGAUUAGAGUUUAAGUGAGGGGAAGACACAUAAGAUCACAUAGCAGGGUGUCUCGACCCAAUAGUAGUAUGCAAGAUCACAAAGCAGGGCUCCUAACCAUAGUCCCAACUUUGGAAUGACAUAAAGUCAGGUACACAAGAUCACAAAGCAGGGUACCAAAUUCCCAUGUCGGUAAACACGGUUUUCAGCGAUGAGCCCUUACACUCAAACGCCUUCUUCGGGCAUCCACCUAUCUCAUGUAAAAUCAAUGUAUUUAAAUUUCAUCUGAUUCAAUCGCAUAUCAUAUUCUGUAGGGUAUCGUCAUACCCGACUUGCAAGCCAUCAAUAUCACAUCAUUUUUCUCAUUUAACCAUUGUAUUCAACAUGUUUCAACAUAAAUAGCCCUCUCGUUUUUAAGUCAAAAUCAUAUCAAUUCUCAAAAUAUUUCAUGUCAUGCUUUUCAAGAUGUCUUCAAACAAUUUACAUCAUAUAAACAUUUAAAACAAAUUCACAUCAAGAGAGGGAUUCCAUAUAAUUCAUGCUCUCAAAUUAACACUUUUUCGAAACACAUACAUAUACAUAUAUAAUAUGUCAAAUCAUUUUGGAAAUAGGCCUAAAGACCAAAUCAAUAUUAUAUAAACGUUCAAAACAUGAUUAUAUUCGUAGUUUCAAAACCCCCAUUGUAAAACAUUAAUUUAAAGGCCCAUGAGAUUUUAGGAUAACCCCACGUACCUCUAUAUGCAAAGAUGAUAGGUGUUUCUUGAAGCCUACGUUCUGGGAAUUCCAAAUAUGCAAUUAGUUUNNNNNNNNNNNNNNNNNNNNNNNNNNNNNNNNNNNNNNNNNNNNNNNNNNNNNNNNNNNNNNGAUCUUGAGCAAUUUUGAUGAAUGAAGGUGUAUUUUGGGGUAUUUGGGGACUGAAUUUUGUGUUUAUGGCUAAAUAAGGGUGGGAAAAAGACCAUUUUGCCCCAAAAAUAGAGUUUAAGUCACUUGAGUAGAAAUGUAUGCGGCGCACACCUUAUCGCAUAAUAUAGGUUGUGCAGAGCACUCUUUAUCACACACAUUAGGUUGUGCGUCGCACACCUUAUGGCAUAAGUUAGGGUGUGCAUCGCACAUCUUAUGCUGCACGACACACUCGACUUUGCAAAGCCAUAACUUCUUCCUCAGCUGUCAGAUAUUUGUAAAAUUGGUAUCAUUGGAAAGAUAAUUCGAAGGCCUUUCAUUUGAUAUAUAGUAGGCACUCUAAUUCAAUAUAUACAAAGAUUAAUGACCGAUUGAAGUUGACCCAAGUUUUGACGCUUACUAAAACUCAAUCGAUGGAAAAGCUUUCAACUCGUCCUUGAGUUAGGGGAUCUCUAUGAUCUCAAUUCAUGCUCAAAUAGUUUUAUACACCACAUAGUUGAUUAAAACACUAUAUUCACAAUAGAUUUAUGGUUUUGGAAUGUGUACAAGUAGAAAUGACAAUUUAUGUUCAAGUCUGAAAGUAUGGGAUGUUACAAAAAAUUAUUGGGUUAUUGGUUCGGUUUGAUUUUUUCUUAUUGGGUUAUUGGGUAAACCGAUAACCCAAUAAGAGAAUAUAUAAGACUUAUUAUAUACUUAUCUUUUAUUUCUACAAAUUAACAAACCUAUUAUUUCAAUUAUAUAAACUCUUAAUUUCUCCUAACAUUUAGUUCAAACUUGAAGAUUUUUGUAAAUUUAAACACUUCAUGUAGGAUUUUUGUUGCAACUAAGAUUCAUUUUUUACAUGUUAGUUACUACUAUUUCUAAUUUCUAUUUGAUGAGUAUUUUCUUAUCGGUUAAACCGAAAACCGAAUCGUUAAGGACUAAAAACCGAAAAAAAUAUUUUAUUGGUUUGGUUAUUGGUUUAGCAUAUUUAAAAAUCGAAAAUCGAUAAAUCUAACGAUAAUAUGUAAAACCCAAUCGAACAGACCAAUGCACUCCCCUAGACACAAACGCUUUAAUUAGUUGACAAAUUGUAUGAGAUGCACACAUUUUGCAUGACAAAUUAUGAUACAAGACUCGCAUAUAUAUAUAUAUUUAUUUUAACUUUAUAUGAUAGUCUAAGUAUUUAUUUGUGCAACACUCAAAAUUAAAAUAUAUGAAUAUUUGCUGAUGAUGUCAAGUUGAAAACACAUUUAUGUAUUAUGUCAAACGUAUAAUUCUCUUCCUUUUUUGAACUAUAGCUAUAACAUGUAGCAUGAGUGAAUGUGCGCUAAUUUUAAGUUGAUGAAUUCACCUAACAUUAGUACAAUUAGUAGAGUAAUGAACAAAAUUAAAUUCAUUGCUAUUUAUUUAUAUUUUAAAAAAGCAAGGUGGAGUCAGAGAGCAAUUAUCAUAAUUAAAGAGGAGCUAAAGGUAUAAUUAAAUGAGAAGCAUGGAGUCUUUUGAUAGAGUGUAUUAAAAAAUUAAUAACAACAACAAUAAUAAAUUCAAUGUAUUUCCACAUAGUGGGGUCUGGAGAGGGUAAGAUGUACGUAGUCCAUAUCACUACCUCCGGAGAAGUAGAAAGGCUAUUUCUGAUAGACUCCUAGCUCAAGACAAGGAAUAAUAAUCAAAUCUGUGAUAAAGCAUGGAAUGUAUUACGUCAAAACUAAUGCAUCCAUUAAUUUAAUGUGUAUUAGUAGUCCCUUGUUUGAUAUAUAUCUUUUUAUCUUAUGUAUAACUAAUGCAAAAAUUAGUUACAUACUCUAUUGUGUAUUGAGGUGUGCAUUACUAAUACCUCAAAAUUUAUGACAUUAGUAAUGCAAUGGAUCUAAUGCAUGCAUUAACAUGCUUAAAGUGGGGGUAUUAUGCAAAAAAAAAAUUAUGUAAUUCGUGUUAUUUUUAAUACAUUGAAUCAAAUACUAUAUAAGAAACAACAACAGCAACAACAACACCCAGUAUAUUCCAACAUAGUGGGGUCUGGAGAGGUUAGUGUAUGCAGAUCGUAUCACUACUUAGGUGAAGUAGAGAGGAUGUUUCCGAUAGACUCCCAGCUUAGGAUCAUAAUAAUAUACCAAACAUAAAAGAUAAAUGCAUAUAAACUAAUACGAUACGCAAAAUAAAACUAAACAAUCUACCAAGAAGUGUCAGCUUUGUGUUGGGUGGUUGGUAGUCAAGAAAGUGUCAGCUUUCCCAAAAAGAAAAACCCCAAUAAAAAAAGAAGUCCCUCCACUUUCACCAUUGAUUCAAUGUUUUUUUAAUACGUAGAAUCAAAUACUGCGUAAGAAAAUAGAAGCAUAAUUAAUGUAAUUAUUAUUAAUAUGCCAUAUUUUAUAGUAUUUUUAUAAAAUAAUAUUUUAUAUUAUUUUUAUAAGAAAAUACUCUAAUUAAUUUUUUUGAAAUUAUCUAUCUAUAUAAUAAAGGAGGAUAGUCUAGCCUAAAACUAAAACAAGUGUCAUAUUGAGAACUACCUAUUUGAUUUUUUACAACAAAAAAACAUCAUUUCAUAACAAAAAGCUAUUUUGUUAAUUAUUUAAAUAUUUAAUAUUAUUUCAUAUUUCAUAUUUAAUAAAUUACAUUUCAUAUGUUUUUAAUAAUAGUAUUAUAANNNNNNNNNNNNNNNNNNNNNNNNNNNNNNNNNNNNNNNNNNNNNNNNNNNNNNNNNNNNNNNNNNNNNNNNNNNNNNNNNNNNNNNNNNNNNNNNNNNNNNNNNNNNNNNNNNNNNNNNNNNNNNNNNNNNNNNNNNNNNNNNNNNNNNNNNNNNNNNNNNNNNNNNNNNNNNNNNNNNNNNNNNNNNNNNNNNNNNNNNNNNNNNNNNNNNNNNNNNNNNNNNNNNNNNNNNNNNNNNNNNNNNNNNNNNNNNNNNNNNNNNNNNNNNNNNNNNNNNNNNNNNNNNNNNNNNNNNNUUGACUACUACUUUAGCUAUAAAUAUAUUUUAAAAUUUACAUACAACAUUAAAUUUAAGGAACUUGAGUCUAUAUAUUAUGAUCAUAAAAUUUAUUCUAAUUAAUUGAAAUUAAUUAGUUAAUUGUAUAGUUUUAUUACAACAAUUCCGUACAUCAUUUAUUUAAUAAAAAUACAUAUAAUUAAUUAAUUGAUUUUGUGCAAUCUACUAUGAUUUUAUUAAUUCAAAUGAAAUGAUUUUUAAAUGAUAGGUUUGGAUUAUAAAAAUAAAGGUGAUUAUUGUAUGACUUUAGCAUUUGUUAUGUAUUAAAAAAGAUUUAUAGACAAAAAAAUGUCAUCCCUCAAAACAAUUAAAUUUGAAUUAUUUUAGUGAAAUAAUGAAAGAUUGAAUAUAAGAAAAUCUGUAAUUAAGAAAAGAAAUAAUUGUCACCUUAUUUGAGAUUUUAGAAAAUUGUAAAUAUAAUUAAAUAAUCAAAUUGUAAAUUGAUAAGAAAUUUUUUUGAGAAUAAAUCAGUAAUUAGGAAAAGAAAUAAUGGUUACCUUUUUAAAAUUCUUCCCAAAAUUAUAAAGGUAAUUAAUAUACAUUUGAUAUAACCAAACUAUAAGAAUAUGUGAAAUUCAUGUGAUUAAAUUUUUGAAAUUAUAAAAGUAAUUAAUUUCAAUUGUUUCCAUAUUUGAGUCCUUUAUGUAAUUGUAGAUUAAUUAAGUAUUAUCAAGCUAUAAAAUUAGGAUAAAUUUAUGGUAAAUAAAUAUAUAAUAUUAAUAAUAAUUUUAUUGUUAUAAAAUUAAUUAGAUCAAAUUGAGAUAGAAAUCAGUUAAUAUUGAUAAUUAUUUUAAUAAAGAAUAUAUUCAACGUUUCAUAAUUGAUAUACAUAUAUUGGUAAAAGACAACGAACACUGACUACUAAUUUAGCCAUAAAUAUAUUUUAAACCAUACAACAUUAAAUUUAAGGAACUUGACUCUAUAUAUUAUGAUCAUAAAAUUGAUUCUAAUUAAUUGAAAUUAAUUUGUUGAUUGUUUAAUUUUAUUACAAUUAUGUCAUACAUCAUUUUUUAUAUAAAAAUACAUAUAAUUAAUUAAUUGAUUUUGUGCAAGCUACAUUCUUAUUUCUUUGUGGUAAGUAAUGAAUUCACUAGCUUUUCAUUCAAUCAGAUUGGAACUUGGGUGCUUGCUUAUAUGGUUUUAAGCUUCUGAAAAGUCGAGUCGUCAUACUUUUUGUUGCCAGUACAUCUCGGGUGUUCCUGAUCUGCUUUGGAGUUCAUUACUGGUUUGUUGUUAACCCAUGCUAAUUCAUUUUCUUCCAUAAUCAAGUCUUCUUAUACUUGUGGAAUAUGCAUAUCUUUUAAUAUUAUUUGUUGAAUAGAAACUUCUAAUCUUUUGUUAUCAAAAAAAAUCUUCUAAUCUUAUAUUGCAACAAUUUUGUUUCAGGUACUUUGGACAUUGAAUCAGUUAUGCAGUUGUAGCAUCUGUGCUGUUGGGUGCUGCUGUUUUACGUCAUUUAUCAGUUACAGACCCAUUAGCAGCUAGACGAGAUGCCUUGCAGAGCAUAGUUAUCCACCUUAGAGAAGGUUUCCACAGAAAAGACCAAAAUAGCUCCGCAAGCUCUUCUGAGGGGUGUGGCUCAAGUGUCAAAUGCAGUAGUAGUGCUGAUGCUGGUCAUCUUGGUAAUGCAACUGUGCCUUGCACUGAUGAUGGCAGUACCUGGAAUAAUAUUGAGGGGAUUAAUAGUGAUAAGAGCAUAGACAGUGGAAGACCAAGUCUAGCUCUACGUAGUAGUUCCUAUCGUUCAGUUGUUCAAGAGCCUGAAGUAGGAUCAUCAUAUGUUAACAGAAAUUUAGAGCAUAAUAGUUCAUUGGUUGUUUGUUCUAGCAGUGGUCUUUAAAGCCAAGGCGGUGAUUCUAGUACAUCCACUUCUGCAAACCAACAGAUACUGGACUUGAAUUUGGCACUUGCAUUUCAAUAAAAGUUGAGUGAUCCCAGGAUUACAUCUAUGUUAAAGCGGAAAGGAAGACACACUAAUUGUGAAUUAGCUAAUUUAUUGCAACAUAAAGGGCUUGAUCCUAAUUUUGCAGUGAUGCUGAAGGAGAAUGGAUUGGACCCAAUGAUUCUAGCCUUAUUGUAGAGAAGUUGUUUGGACGCUGAAAAAGAACAUCGCAACAGUAACCCUCCUGUCACUGAUUCAAAUGAUGUUGAAGAUGUGUUACCUAAUCAUAUUUCAUUCUCGAAAGAACUUAGACUCCAACGAUUAGUAAAGUGGCUUCAACGUUGUAGAGUAAUGUUGCAUCAUGUAGCAGGAACUCCAGAGCGAGCAUAGCUUCUUUUCAGUUUAAUCUUCAUUCUUGAAACCGUCGUUGUGGCUAUCUUCCGACCAAAGACAAUAAAACUUUUGAAUGCUACACACCAACAUGUAAGAAAUGCAUUAGUACUUUUAAAGUUUAGUUUAGUGUAUAUGGAGUAUGGUGCAGCUAAAAUGUACUCCAUAUGGUUGUAUUUUCCAUUUUCUAACAAAAUUUUGUAACACCCCGCAUUUCGGACGAGAACAAAAAUUGUCAUUUUCUUCACGUAAAGGUUCCAAAAGCCAUAAAUUCAAUGCAAGUUUGGUGUGUUAAUAAAUCAUGUAGUGUGGAAACUUAUUAGAGCUUGAAAAUAUUCGAAUUAUCUUUCAACUGAUUCCAAUUUUGCAAAAUUUCGACACCCAAUGAAGUUAUGGCUUUACAAAGUGGAGUGUGUCGUGUAGCAUAAGGUGUGCGACGUACAACCUAACUUAUCCCAUAAGGUGUGCGAUGUACACCCUAAAUUAUGCCAUAAGGUGUGCGAAGCACAACCUAAUGUGUCUGAUAAAGAGUGCUCCGCACAACCUAUAUUAUGCGAUAAGGUUUGCGCCGUAUAUAUUAUUACUCAAGUGACUUAAACCCUCCAUUUUUAGGGCAAAAUGGUCCUUGUCCCACCCUUAUUCUGUCAUAAAUACGAAAUUCAGUUCCCAAAAUACCCCAAAAUACACCUUCAUUCAUCAAAAUUGCUCAAGAACUCUCCUUAGGGUUUCAAAAUAAAACCCAAGCAACUAAAGAUUCAACCAUCGAUUUUUGGAACUAAUUGCAUAUUUGGAAUCCCCAGAAUGCAGGCUUCAAGAAGCACCUAUCAUCUUCGCAUAUAGAGGUACGUAGGGUUAUAUCAAAAAUCUCAUGGGCUUAAAAAUUCAUGUUUUAACAAUAGGGGUUUUGAAAUUUUGAAUAUAAUCCCGUUUUACACGUUUUAUGAUAUUGAUUUGGUCUUUAGGCCUAUUCCCGAAGUGGUUUGAUAUAUGAUAUAUGUAUAUGCAUGUAUUCCGAAAAGAUGUUAACUUGAGAGCAUGAAUUAUAUGAAAUUCCUCAUUUUAUAUGAUCUCAUUUUAAAUUCUUAUAUGAUGUGAAAUGUUUGAAAUCAUGUUGACAAGCAUGACAUGAAAUAUUUUGAAAAUGGUCAUGGUUUUGACUUGCAAUGAGAGGAUUUUUAUGUUGAAAUAUGAUGAAUAUAAUGGUUGCUUGAAUGAAUGAUGUGCUAUUGAUGGCGUGCAAGUUGGGUAUGACGAUACCCUACAGAAUAAGAUAUGUGAUUGAAUUAAAUGGAGUUUGAUGUAUUGAUUUUACAUGAGAUAGGUGGAUGCCCAAAGAAGGAGUUUGAGUGUAAGGGCUCAUCGCUGGAAACCGUAUUUGCCGACAUGGGAAUUUGGUACCCUGCUUUGUGAUCUUGCACACCUGACUUUAUGUCAUUCCCAAGUUGGGACUAUGGUUAGGAGCCCUGCUUUGUGAUGUUGUGCACUACCAUUGGGUCGAGACACCCUAUUGUGUGAUCUUGUGUGUCUUCCCCUCACUUACACUCUAAUCUCUGCGGCAACCAAGAUUUUAUAGUAGGUGUAAAUGUAAUAUGUAGGGUAUUCCACCUAGCUCAGCUACAUUACAUUGUUGUUGAAAACUAUUACAUUAUGUCCUUGUGUUUUCAAAUGAUUUGAUAUAGAACUUCUUUAUAAUGGGUCUCACCUAUAUUUGGCAAAAAAUAUUAUAUUUUGUUUUUGGUUUCUCUGCAUACUAGUACUUUUGUAUUGGCCCCCUUCCCUCCCAGGUUUGGAGGCAUAGUUUAGAGGUCCAGAUAACCAGUAGAUCUCUUCCAACAGAUUUGCAGAAUCAAGUGGUGAGCCUUCUAUAUUUUGAAAGGCCUGAUGUCCGUCAGUUCAUUUAUCAUUUAGUAGUUUUGGGUCUACUGGGGGCCUUGUCCCAGUUUUCAGACAGUAAUUUAUUUUAGUCAUGUAUUAGAGAUUUCACAGACGGUUGUUCAGACGUCGAUAUAUGUUGUGGGGUAUUAUUUCCCCUUUGUUGAUUUCAUUUGAUUUAUGACCAUGCUUUCCAUAAUAUUGUGUGUCUUCCGUAUAUCUUAUUAUCAUAUGAAUUAUAUGCAUGAUUACCAGAUAGAUAAGGGUGUUUUGGGUCUUCAUGGUUCGGAAUGCUCAUCACGGCCAGGGCCUCGGUUCGGGUCGUGACAAACUUGGUAUCAAAGCAUGGUUUAUGGUCCCAGGGUGUCUGUAAAAUCACAUCAAGUAGAGUCUUUUUUAUGGGUGUGUAGCGUGCCACACUUAUAAGCAGGAGGCUACUAGGCAUUUAGGAAUAUCUCUUUUUCUUUAUGUUCUAGUUCGUGCAAUAGAGUCAGAAUGUUCCUCUUUCAUACUCUAAUUUGUGCUAUCAUGUCGUACAUACGAAAGUAAAAAAAUGUUAUCCCAAAUUCUUUCCUUACUCUAAUGUCCUCAAAUAUGUCUCAUUAUUGAGGUGAUUCAAGUGCAGAAGUUUAGAAUCUAAAUGGUAUGAUCCUUUCUGAUUGAACCAUAUAAGAGUUAAAUUUUAUGCAAGGACUUGAGAAGAGUCCAUUAGUGCUUCAAUGUAUAUUGAUCCCGAUGUAAACAUUGAUCCUGAUGGAAUCGUGCUUUUCAGCUUGAGGUAUUAAUUGCAUUUAGUCCCCUUCAAAUUUAUGUUACAAAUGUCUUGCUUAGGGGGGGUUGAUGUGUAAUAGAAUGUUGGAACUAUAUUCCACCCGAAUAGUAGUAUACGUUAAAGUGUUACUGUCAUGACCUAUUGGUAGUGAAAUUAGACCAAGAAGUUGGUGAUGUGAAGUCACAAAGUUAGAAGUCAGAGCGAGGGUGACUUUUGUGUAAAUGAAUAUUUUAGUUGAAUAACCGAUGUUCGAGAAUGAUUUACCCCCUUAUGGUGAUAGACUAAUGUGGUAAAUUGUAGCAUGUGUGGAUGGUAUGGUUGUCCGUGAAGGAAGUGUUUGACUCCGAUUUUAUUUAUACAGAGUAAGAUAUGUAUUCUUAGUUCAUUGGAUAUUGCAUAUUAAAUUUCUAUCUCAUGUAAUCUUGUCAUCAAGGUGUUGUUGAAAAAAAUAAAGUCUAGUGAAGCCCUGUGGGGAUCUUUCGAUUCACUAGCAUAGUUGACUUGUCAUUAAUCUCAUUUUCUUGUUCAAAAUACAAAAUCAAAGUCUAGUGAAGUCAUGUGAGGCUUAUUUCGAUUCACUAGCAACUUGUUGUCCAACUUGUUGUUCUUGUGUUGGCUUAAUAUAUAUAUAGCUGAAUCUGUUUGCAUGAGAUUGAGUUGGUAAAGAGGUGAUUUUUCCUUGUGUUUUAGUUUAGUAGAAGGUGGAGAAGGAGUUAUUAGUUAGGGUGAUUUCUCGAUUGUUUGAAGCGUGAAAAUGGCUAUAUUAGCCAGUAAGUUGUAAGUAUAGAGUCAUGGUUGUUUGUGGAAUUUGAAGGUAGUCUAAAUGUAUGUUUGGGUAAGUAAGUAUGAGAUGAGAAAUCCAUAUAAGUAGAAUAGAUUGUUUGGAGUUAUAAUAUAAGAUUAUGGUUGAUCAUGUCUAUUAUGUAACUUUACCCCUUGACCUUCUUUUCGUUGGUAAUUGUAAACUAGUACUACUUGUGAGAAGGUAUGUAGUGAUUUUUGAGGCGCUUGUAUAGUAUGUCCCAAAUUUUAUGGACUAGCAUAGUAUGUUGCAUUUUUCAGUAGUGAUAGAUGAUUGGUACAGGACUAUAUGCUUGAAUUUAAUGUAGAAUGUGGUGGUAAAAAUAGUGGCAUGAGAUUAAUUAUUAUGUUUUGUGGGAAAAAAUUAGUAUGCUUGAUGUGUUAAAAUAGUACGUGCUAAUGAGUUAUGAUAAGGAAGACUGUAAGGUCAAGAGUAAUUAUUUGUUGUUUGGAAGUUCUAGUGUACUAGUGUUUCUUGAUGUCUAUUUCAUGGUAUCCAAGCGAGAAUCAUGUGUAAGGUUGGGUUGUAAAAUCAUGUUUAGCACUAGACAUUAAGUUUUGAACAAUUGAUGUCCAUGAAGGUGGAUAUGAUGAUUUCUUGGUUAAUGAUACUAGUUUUAUGGAAGUAAUCUAAUAGGAUUGAACGAUAUAUGCAAGAGCUUAAGUUUAUUUGAUUCGUAGUGAAGUGUGAUGUUGCAUAUAUAAUGUAGAAGUAUGCCCAAGGUGAUCUAAGGUUGCCGUAUUUUCUAAGACUAUUACACAUUUUGUGUGACGAGUGUUACCGUUGAGUUGCUAGAUGGAGAAAGACUAGUUAGAUGGUAUAUGGUGUUCUAAAUAGCCAAGUUAAGGAGUUUUGAUUGAUAGUGUUGAGCCUUUUUAUAUGAUCUUCUUGAUUCUCAUAGUAGAGAUAUGUAAGCUUAGAGUCAUGAUAUUAGUAGGCUAUGUUGGAAGUAGUAUGAUUCAUUGAAGGCUUGGUGAUAUCCAUGUUGAGUGCUAGAUUCUAAGUUUGAGUUUUUGAAGGUUGAACUACUAGAAAUAAGAGUUAAAGCACUAGAGGGUGUGCACUCCGACUAUGGGGAUACCCAUGAAGACCCGAAUUUAGUAAGUAUGCAAGUAUUAAAUGAUGACUACUGGGUUUAUAAAAUGAUAAAGUGUAUCUCAGAAGGUAUUAUUAACAGUGGGUUUUCCACUUUCAGGUGUAGUCAUUCGGGUUAAGUGCCAUGAUAUGUGUGUAUAGUAGUUUUCCAGACCCCAGAUUAUAGUGAGUGUACUUCAGUUUAGAGUCUAGUAAGGGAUCUCCCCAACUUAAUAUGAUGGAUUGAAGCUAAGGGGGAGAUGAUAGAGCGAAUAACCAAGUCAGGCUUUCAGAUUCUAGUAGUGAUGUCAGUAUGACAUAGAACAUCAAAAGGGAACAGUGAGGCUCAACCCAUUCCGAACUCAGUAUUUUUUAGCUAUCCUAAUACCUACUUAUACCUCACGUUUCAGUUCCAUGAUCAUAGUUUUGCAUUAACAGAUGUGCUUCUUUACACCCGAAGAAAAGAUACUUAGGCCAUCUGUAGUUGUUUAACCCAAUCCAUAAGGUAAAGAUGCUUAUCAUUUUGUCCAUUCUUGUCUAACGUUGUGAUAGUUCAUCUAUUUCCUAUCUCUCUUUAUUCUCGUUUCAAGCUUUCUAUUUAUUAGAUGAAGAAAAGGGUUUCAUGUUACUAUGUGGUUUGGCUUCAAAAUUCUUGCCUUGUCCUUCAAACUAAUUUAGGGAGUUGCUCAUGGAUACAAGAUUUCAACAUUGAUUAGAAAAUUAACUAAAUAUGAUUAAAAAGUAGCUAUAUUCUGAUUUCAUCUGUUCUUCCUUGCAUGGAUAUUGGUUGAGAAGCCUCCUAUACCUUCUCUGGCUGGUCCUGCUCCUGGUGCUAUUCCAUCUAUGUCACUGCAGGUAAAGUUAUGGAGGCUUGGGGGAGGAAUAAAUGAAUUUUGAAUGUAGAGACAUUAUGACAACUAUUUUCCCCACAUCUUUAGCAGUUCCAGCCUAUGCUUCCAGCCCAGCAGGCACAACCCUAUGGUUCCGGGUCGUCUCAAAAAUUUCUGCCACUUGGACAGGCAAAUGUUGAGAUGUUUCAACCUUCUCAAAUCCAAUUUCCUCAACCUAUGCAACAGGUUACUACUGGUAGACCUGUAGUAGGAAUGCAUAGUAUGCCUCAGGGACCACCUAUUCCCCAUGAUUUUCAGCGAAAUCUUCCGAUGUCAAAUAACCACAUGCCUGGUUCUAGUGGCCCAAAUUUACCUCUUUCUUCUUCAUAUAAUGUAAGGCCUUGGGAAGAUCUUUUGUGAUUAUUAUCAAUCAGUUUCCAAUGUUCCAUUCAUAUAUUGAUGAAAUACAUUUUGUUAUCGUCUUUAACAGCAGGUAAAUGCAGAUUCUUCUGGCGGGUAUCAGACACAGAUAAAUAAUCAUAGGUUUCCAUCAGGGGUACAACCCUGUAUUCCAAUAAGUAAUCAUAAUGUGAAUUCUGCAACAACUAUGCAGAAGACUGGAGAAUUAGCAGCUCCCUUGGUUAUUCCGGUAAGAAUUCAAUGUGUUUUAUUGUACCCGUUUUGCAUAAAUAUUGUCAACAGGUAACAUGCUUAAGUUAAUGGGUUAAUGGGUGUGUGUUGAGGUGUAAAACCGCGGUAUACAAGAAAAGGAGCUCUGCAAAAAUAUCAUUUUCAUUCAGAUCCAAUCUUUUUACCACUUUGUGUUCUCCAGACAGAAAAAAGAGCAUGCCGAUUUGGCUUUCCGGAAUUCUUGCUUUUGGAUUAUAUUCACAUAGGUUAGUUAUAUGAAUAGGUUAAUGUCUGCAUCAAAAACACUUAAUGUCUUGUCUAUGAACAAGUGGUGGAUAUGUUGGCCCCCAUCACUGACAAGAAAUCCCUCAAGUAUCCACAUCUAGUGCUUUGUACAUCAUUCUGCUUCCAUUAGCACUGGAGAUAAUAGGCCCCUUUGUUUAAGUCCUCUUUGUCAAAGUUAUCAUAUGGGCUGCCGUUCACCGCUACCAAUUUCUACUUGACUGUUGAUCAGCAGGACUUGAUACACUUCUACCGAUAACUUCAUUUUGACCCUAUUUCUCUAUUAUCAUACAUAUUUUACAUGUGGCUAAAUGCUAGUAGGUAUUGCUGUUUUCAGCAUCUUUUGAUGAUUAGUAGGCCAAUUAUGGUUGCUAAUGUUGUCAUAUUUCCAAUGGCUUUAUUACUCCAAACAAUUAAUAACAUUCUUACAAUUCUUGAAUUGAUUUUUAGAUACUAUUAUAAUAGAAGGACAAGAAUCUCUACCUGGGAGAAACCUCAAGAGCUGAUGACAGAAAUGGAGGUGAGGUCUCAUGUCAUCGAGAUUUUUAUCGGUAGUUUUAUCCAGUUUCCUGUGCUUAUCAAUGAAAAAAGAAGUACACAAUUCUUUUUCUAUGAAGCUUCGUAGAACCUCUUUUUCUUUCCUAAGUAUAUGUGAUUUCUAUUGAAAGUUUGUUUAGCGAGCAGAUUUCCUCGAUCUUACUAUACUAUGUAGGCUUUAUUUAGGAUUUGCAUUGACCUUUUAUUUCUAAUAUAGUUCUAAAAGAUUUUAUAUUUAACACUAUUGUUCUAAAAAAUGCGUUUAAGCAUACACAACAGGAUUAUAUUUGGUCUAAUUUAAACAAUUUUAUUUACUUUCUGAUUAAUGUAAUGUUAUUGUAACUCUAUGGCGAUAUGGAGAGAGGAAACUUGAUAUAAUAUUGGGGUUCUCACAUUUCAUUCUGGUUUACAGAAUAAUAGUUUGGCUGGUGGUACACUUGCACCCAAGAGUGUGACCUAGUGGUCAAUGAAGUAGAUUGAGAACCAUGAGGUCUCAAGUUUAAUUUCCAACAGAUAUAAAAACACUAGGUGAUUUCUUAUCGUCUGUCCAAGCCUUGAUGGACAGAUUUACCCAGUAUCUGUGCUGGUGGGAGGUAGCAGUACCUGGUGUAACAAGUCAAGGUGCAAGCUAGCCCAAACAUGACGGUUAUCAAAGAAAGUUUGGCUGGUUGUAAGGGACACGUAUUAAGGGACCAACAACUGGAGCUGUAAGGAAGUUUGAACAUUUUUAUUCUUUUCUUUUUGAGAUAAACAGUUUUUUUUUGAGAUAUUACUUUGUAUUCGUCAGCGUUAAGGUUUGCUAGCAGUCCAAAAGAUAUGAAAAAUAAUGAAAAUAAUGCGAGGAUUCAAACAGAUCUACUACCUGUUAUGCAUCCUGUACACAUUGGCCCUUAAACAAAAGCAAAAAUCUGCAAUGCUAUUUCAUUUAACUUUCUGAAUGGAAUUAUAUUUAUCUUCAAAAUACCUUCAACUUUUCUCACUCCAUACAGUCCACCAAAUAUAAGGAAGGAUUGUUCUCCCCCAUUUCUUCUAACUCUUGCUAAUCCCCUCUAAUCCAACAGCUCAACAGAUUGUUGUAUGUCCUUUGAUAGUCCACUUUACUUCAACUCAAUAGAUUUGGUAUAUGUUCUGGCAUGGUUCACUUUACUACUAUUAAACUAAAGGUGUCAAAUGGGCGGGGUUGGCUGGAUUUGGGUGGAUCAAAGAGGUCUGAGUUAAUAAAUGGGCGGGUUAUUAACCCGCCCAAAAGCUACUUGGGCUGAAAUGGGUUGGGUUAAAAUGCUCUAAAAUGCGGGUCAUAACCCAACCCACCCAAUUUGAACUCAGAUUUAAUUGCUUUAUUUGUUAUUUUAUAAACUUUUAGUACUUGAAAAAUUAUUAUCUUUUUUUUUUGAACUUGGUAACUUCGUAUUAUAUCACAUAGUACAUGGGUUGUACUGAAACCUUUAUAUACAAGAGUACUCCUAAAUCGACUGUUCUAUAUCUAAAUUUAGUCUAGAACAUCAAUUAUCGAGGCAGUAUCAUUAGAGUAUAGUUGAUUACACCAAAAACAUAAAAGCAAAAUGCAGCUGAGUUUAACCUUCUACACACUAUUCUCUAUGCUCUCAAAAUAUCUAGAAUUCCUUUUUUUUUUCAUAUAGCCCACUAUAUAGCACCAGGGAUAAUUCUCCAUCUACCUCUGUCCUUCGCAUGUACAUUUGCUUCUCUCAGCACAUUAAAGUCUCGGAUACUUUCCUAGGAAAUGUCCUGGAAAUGCCUUUUAGUCUUACGAUGAUUCUCCAAAGUUGUUGGGUGUACUUACAAUGUAGAAAUACAUGGUUAACCGUCUCUAAAGUUUCUCCACAGAGGAAACAUCUGGAGCACAAAGUUUUCCCUUUCUUCAUGACAUUAUCUUGUGUAAGAACUACUUCCUUGGUCAGUAACCAGACAAAGACAAAGCACGACACUGUGUGAGGUAUCCUACUUUUCCAUAUUUGCUUCUAUGGCCAUCUUGGAUCCGGGUGAUUUAUUUAGUUCAUCAUCUUGUAGGCUUUGUUGACACUGAACAUUCCUUUUUCAUUUCCCAUCUACUAUAGUACGUCCUUCACUGUCUGCAGUCUAUUAAAUAAGUCCACAGUAUUAAAAAAUUCAACUGCUCUCAUUACCUCCCGGUCAUUGAGUUGCCUUCUAAAAUUGAAGCUCCACCCAUGUGGUGUCCAUAAUUCUUCUAUAGUCCUCUAUUGAAACAAUACCAAGUUGUAGAUAUCUGGAAAAAUCACUUCCAUAUUCCCAUCCUUAUGUCAAUUAUCCUUCCAGAAACUAGUCUUGUUUCCAUCCAUCACUUUAACCUUUGAGUUGCUUUUAACUUCAUUCCACUAGUGUCUAAUAGAUCUAAUAGAUCUCUAGAGGCUAACCCCGUAUGGUGUGGUCACUUCUUUAGUCAUCCAUCUAUCUUCUUCAGGAUAUUUAGCCCCAAUCACUUUCCUCCAUAGCAGCUGGUUAUUGUUUGCAUAUUUCCACAACCAUUUCGUUACGAGAGCCUUACUUUGAAUUUUUAGGUUCUUUAUCCCCAACCCUCUAGUCUUCUUGUCAAUUGUGCACCACAGAGAGCACUACCACUUUUUCUCGCAUAUCUUUGUUCCUUAUUCUAUCUCUCCUAGUAUGCCCACAUACCAAUCUCAACAUCCUCAUUUCUGCUACGUUUAUCUUUUGAACAUGUGAGCUCUUGACUAGCCAAAUACUCUGCCCUAUGCAAGAUAGCUAGUAUAACAGCCACUUUAUAAAUUUACCUUUAUAUUUAUUUUAACAAAAUUCUUAUACAUGGCAUGCUAGUUACUAGCUCUUUUGUAAGAGCUAAUUGGGACUAAAAACAAAUAUUCAAAAAUUGUUUCAUCGAAAAAAAGAAUAACUGUAGUCUAUGAGUUUCAAACGUGUCCAAAUGGAAAAAAAAUAAUGGGGAGGCUGUGUUGAGAUUGGAACUUAGAACCUCAGUGCAGGAUUUGAAAACCCUUACUGUCACACUCAGUCUUGUUUUUUGUGGCAAGGGUGUUUAUUAAAAAAUACUUAGAAAUGAUAGAAUUUGACCAGGGUGUUUAUCAAAAUGCAAUUAUCAGGCGAAUGUUGUUCAAUUGAUCACCCUUGGAUAGUUGUAGCUCGGCCGCAGCUUGGCAAUGUUUCCACCCUGCUUGUAGUUAUAUUCUACAUAGUACAUUCUAGUCCUUUUCCAUGCGGGACAUUAUAUCAUUCAUAUUCUAACACUUCCAUCCAGUAUUGUACUGCUGGAAGUUACUGAUUUCUACUCUCAGGGUACUGUUUAUGUUCUGUUUUUUAACUUGACCUACUUGCAUGCUGUUUUUAUUGGGACAGAAGGAAGAUGCAUCAACUGACUGGAGAGAAUUUACAAGUCCUGAGGGAAGAAAGUAUGUAACUUAUAUAUUUUCUUGGCCUCUUUCCAAUUGUUCUUCUAUAGUGGGUACUUUUGUGUGUUACUUGUGCAUAACGUUGAUUGCUUUGUUUGUUUUCUGUAGGUAUUACUACAACAAGGUUACUAGAACGUCCAAAUGGAGAAUGCCCGAUGAAGUCAAGGUGAUGUUAGAUUUAAAUCCAAUAUGGGUUUGUUCCAUGCUUUAAAUAGCAUGAUAAGAAGGGACAAUAUUCUGUGUUCUUGGAUUCUCUAGUUCUCAUAAAAUCUUUAUGCAUUCACAGUUGCUAGCAUGAUAAGAAGGGGCAAUAUUUAUUUUCUUGGAGACUCUAUUCUCAUAAAGUUUAAUUAUUUAUAAAUUCACAGUUGGCUCAUGAAAAGGACACUAUUUCGCACGCUUCUGAUUUUGGAUCCAUUUCUGUUGUUAAAACAUCAUCCCCGGGUACAGAUGGUUCAUUAGUCUCGGCACACGGUGCUAAAUCAAGCCCAAUUGUUGUGUCACCAGCUGCUAACUUACCAACUAUUAUGGCUUCAGAAUCAUCAAGUUUAUCUGGUAAGGUUUCUUCUCCGAUGAUUGAAACAGUUGAAAUAAAGAAUUCUUCAGAACCUGCUUCGCCAGUUGUUGCUAAUUCGGAGAAAAUUGGAAUAGCAGUAACCUUUGGAAAUUCUAUCGCGCCACCGGUGUAUGUUUUCAGAUUUAUAUUUUAUAAAUUUGCCUCUGGCUUGUGUUGCUUCUUAUUUGGAAUUCAAUUUUUUUGUAGUUCUGAGACUACUACAACUCAAGACGCAGUAGUGUAUGGUGAUGGAUUUUCUUUGGAGAAUAGAGAGGUACUUUGUCUUUCUAAAAUACUUAUGCGAUUAGUUAAUUACUAUUGGUUACUGGUUAAAACACCAAGAAAGCUUUUCCUAGCUGUUAUGCUGGAUGUUGAUCCAACAAUUUUGUAGUGCAGUUGUUAGUCAACUGCUAACAGGUGAAGAAUAUGCUCCAAAUUCCGAUGAGGUUUGCUUUUGUUCUUUGUGCUUGAUGUUGUGCCUAAAAUGCAGAAUAUCAAGAAAGAUGCUGUAAUAACUGAAAUCGGAGGUGCUACUCCAUCAGAUGAGAAAACAGUCAAGCGGGGACCAUUAGUUUAUGAUAGAAAAGCGAUAUAGUUGAUUAUUGCUUUUUGUCCCGUUUAAUGUAUGUUCUCGAAAUUUCUUAUUUCUAUUUUAAGUAUCUGAUUUUAUUUAGGAGGAAAAGAGUGCAUUCAAAACUCCUUUGGAAUCUGCAAAUAUUGGGUCCAAUUGCAUAUGGGAUCAGGUUUAUUACUUGACUAUUUUCUGCGUACCAAACAAUUAAGAGAGAUCAUUUGACAUGAAUUGUAUUUGUCAGGCCAUGAGAGCAGUAAUUAAUGACCGGAGAUAUGGUGCUCUAAAAUUCCUUUGUAAGCGGAAGCAACCUUUUAAUGAGGUAUCUCUCCAAGUCAGCAUUAGAAUGGGUUAAUUGUUGCUACAAUGUUUUAGCAUACCGUAUUGCAAAAAGAUAGGUUGUGUUUGAUAUCCAAUUGUUUCAUGUUUGGUUGACUUAAAUAUUUAGGAAAAUGUUUUCCAAAUCAACUUAUUUUCCUUAAAUUUAAUCCCUUCAAAAAGUAGGAAAAACAUUUUCCAAAAUUCUCUUUCAAUCUCACUCUUAAGUUGAAAUGUUUAUACAACUCUCAAAUGUAUUUUCUGAAAAAUAUUUUUCUAUUCACCAACCAAACACUAGAAAACAUUUUCUAAAAAAUGUUUUUCUUUCAUCAACCAAACAUAAGAAAACAAGUAAGAAACCAACUUGCUUUCUAGGAAAACAUUUUCCUUCAUACCAAGCACAUCCAAGGUCUAUGGUGAUCAUUUUGAAGUUGUGUAACUGUUCCAGUAUCUUAGCCAAAAGAAAAAACUGGAAGCUGAAGAGAGGCGUGUUAAACAGAAAAAAGCUAGGGAAAAUUUCAGGAUAAUGUUAGAAGUAAGUGAAAUUUUCUUUUGUGGGUGUCUUCCAUUUGAUAUAUCAUGAUAUUCACAUUACCAAUUUCAAAAAUAAAAAGAUAUUAUCAUAAUAUUCAUGAUGUGUUAGAGACUGGUAUUUGACUUGUUCAAAAGAAUGUGGUAUUUUUCACAACAAUGUCCGUUGUUCUUAAUCUUACAGGAUUGCAAGGAGCUGUCACCUUCGUCAAGAUGGAGGUUUGUCUUUCACUUGUAAUGUUAAGUUUUCUGCUGCUUUUUUUCUAAUCUUCGUCAUUGUUUGUAUAUGUUUUGGUACCUUGAAGUUGAUCCAUUACUUGUGUAAGUUCCAUUUGAUCCACUAACUAUUUGCUAUUGAUUAUUCAGUAAGGCAAUCUCCAUAUUCGAACAUGAUGAACGUUUUAAAGCUGUUGAGCGAGCUAAAGACUGUGAGGACCUUUGUGAAGAUUAUGUAGAGGAACUUGAGAAAAAGGUGAAGCUCCUUUUGCAGAACUUUUUUGUAAGCUUCUAUAUGUUAAAAACUAAGUGUGCGGACUGUAGUUUUCUUAUAUGGUCUUUGGCUCCUCACAAAUUGAAUUAGCCUUUCAUUUGAGAUAGAAACAAGGUCCAAUUUAUUAAACAUGGUAUUAAAGGCAGAUCUAUCUUGAUGUUAGACUAUUAGAUGUUAGCCAACCUAGGUUAACUGAUGCUACAAAUGUCUAGUCUUGGUGUGCAAUUAAUGUACGCGAAUCCCACACGAGUAAGGUGUAUGUGUUGUAGUUUCCUUAUAUGAUCUUGGACAAUCUUCACCACCUGACCUAGUUUUGAAAGUUGAUUUAGGCGUUGAUGCACUUGAUUAACAACAGUCAUUCCAUUCCUUUCCUUAGCAGGAUGUCUUUUAGUCUGUUCCCUUUUUUGUUUUGCUUAAAGAGUAGAAAGAAGGAAUGUUGUAGCUAUUUAACUUCAAAUCUUGUUUUCUUUGAAUACAUUUUUAACGGCUUCUCAAGGGUACAAUAUUUAAAUUUGUUCACCAUUGAAUUCCAAUUUAAACAGACUUCCCUGUAUUGUAUGUAAUUUUUCUUGAAACUUGAAACUAUGAUAUGCUUCUUCCUCUCCCACCUCCGUUGUAAAAUAGAAAAAGUUUUUCAAUACUUUCAUGCAAGUGUAGUUAAAGUCUCUUUGUAAAUAUUGUCUUCUUUAUAGAGAAAUUUUAUUUUUUUUACUUUGUACUGGAUUUUAUUAGGAGCAUACGAAGGCAUUGGAGGAGCAGAAGUGCAAUAGAGUGGAGUACUUAGAAUUUUUAAAAUCCUAUGAAUUUAUUAAGGUAUUUGUUCUAGUGGAAUUACAUCAGUUCCUAGAUUAUAUUUUUCUAUUUCUAGGAGAUAGAACUUCCAUAGUUCCAUUAUUGCUGACUACUUUUGUUUAGGCCAGUAGCCAGUGGCGGAAAGUUCAAGACCGCUUGGAAACUGAUGAAAGAUGCUCCCGCCUUGAGAAAAUCGAUCACUUGGAGAUUUUCCAGGUACUAAUCAUUUUUCUAAUACAUCAUAAAUAACUUUUUCCAAACAUCUCAUUUAUACGCCUCAGUUUUAAAGUUAUGUUGCAACCUUUUCUGUUUUAAGAAUAUAUACAUAAUUUAGAGAGCGAAGAGGAGGAGCAAAGGAAACUGCGGAUUGUAUAUUUCUUAUUAGACUCGGGGGUUAAAAUUAAAUUUAUGUUUGGAGACUUUGAUUUAUUUCUUUCUCACUGGGUAUACACCGUUGAUUCAAAUAAGAAGAAUUGAGGAAAGCUGAACGUAAAAAUCGUGAUGAGUUCCGAAAAUUAAUGGUAGAGCAUGUUGUUGCAGGAUUACUUAAUGCAAAAACUAACUGGCGUGAUUAUUGCAUCAAAUUUAGUUUUUCUUUCUUGUGUUCAGUAAGUGAUUACCUUCAUGAGUUCCCUUUUCGUCUUUUUUGAAUUUUUCAUCCAAUAAGUUCCUUCUUUAUUUUGUGCUUGCAGAUUAAAGAUUUUGCUACAUAUCUAGCUGUCUCAUCAAAUACUUCAGAAUCAACAGCAAAAUACUUAUUUACAGAUAUUAUGGAUGGGCUGGAGAAAUAGGUGAAAUAGGUUGCUAAUAGGAGUAUUGAAUUGUGUCAACUACAUUUGUUACACUAAGCCAUAUUUAUAGACUUUACACUACAAUCCCUUUUUAUUUGCUUUCAGUUAAUGAAGGUUUGAAUCUGAAUGUUUAAGAUAUCAGCCCAUUAAGUUCUUCUUUUAAAAAAAAGAUUCAACCGGUUAAUACAUCUUAAUGAAUCAGAUGUUAAACAAAGUCUGAAAAUAAUUUAGAUCCUCACUAAAAAGUUCAAUUCAUUCGGUAAAAAGGGAAGGUAGUGCAUUACUAUGUGGGAAUAUACUGGGUUGGUUGUUGUUGUUGUUUUUGUGCAUUAAAGAAUAGAACAUACUUGGUAGGAUAAAAGGAUGAGAUUGAGAUUUCAGAGUUACCCCACUGCUUGCUUUUUUUCUUUAAAUAACACAUAUUUUGUUGAGAUAAGAACAAUGACCGGUUGUUCCUAUUAAACAUCUGUGUUGUUUCUCUUUAUGCCAAUUAGUUUCCUCUUUUUUUUACUAGAUAGUACGUAUUUAGGCUGAUAGGAAUGAUAUUGUCGUAAACUUUUAAGUUAGGGGUUCCAUGCUUUUAAUGUACUAUAGAUAUAGAUGAUUCUUUCAAUCUAUCCAAGCUAUAUUAAAUGCUACUUCAUGGACAAUUGUAAUUGACUUCUCCUCUGUUGAAUGCUGUUAGUGGUUAUAUUACCUUAAUUGUUAUAGUUUCUCGAGCAGAACAACUUUGAGAAGUGAUCAUCAAACUUCCAAGUUUUAACGUAGUUUCUUUGACUUUCGAGGACUCCUUUAAAGUAUCACUCAACCACACCAUUGUGUUUCAGCUAAGACUGCAUUUGUUUUUAUUAAUAUUCAGACAUUUGAAUCAUUUUGAAUGCACAUCUGAAUGGUUAAGAUAUUGUCUCUAGAUCUGAAAACUAAAUGAUUAAGAUUGGGUGUUUUUCAAUAUCUGAAUGUGCAAAGUUUAUUUAUUUCUAAAUAUAAUAUAAUUAUAUAUUAGAAAUUUUUUUAAAUUAAUGCAAUUAAAUUAUUAUUUGAUUAAAAAAGGAAACAUUUAUGUUUGUUAGUGAUAGUGGAGAUGGUUUGUAAUAGUGGUGGUGGUUGUAAUAAAUUAAUUGAUGUUAGUGAUUAGCAAUGUUGGUGAUGAUAGUUGUGAUAGCAGAGAUAGUUGGCAUUAUAGUAACUGUCAUGAUAUUGGCGAUUGGUAGUGGUGGUGGUGGUUGAGAUGUGAAGUUGGUUAAUGUUAGUAGUUGGAGGUGUUGGUCAUGGUGACAGAAAACUAUAUGCAUGAUGGUUGACAAUAUGUUAGUGGUUGUUGGAGACGCUGUUAGCUGUGAUGGUGGAAUAGUUGUUAGUACAGAUACUGUAGCGAGUGUAGCGGAUGGUGGUGGUAGAGGUGGUGACGCCGGUGACAGUGGAGGUGAUGGUGUCCGAAGAAUGUGUGGAAGUUGAUGAUGUGUUAGUGGUUGUUAGCGAAGUGUGGAAGUUGAUGAUGUGUUGGUGGUUAUUAGUGGUAGUGCUAGUUCUGAUAGAUAAGUUGGUUGGUAGUAGGGAUCAAUCGGUAGCAGUUGAUGGUGACGGCAUUGGAGGUAGGGGUGUUCAUGGGUCAAUAUGGGUUGGUUAUUGGUCAAAACCAUAACCAAACCAACAUAAUCGGUUUUUAAAUUUCUAAAACCAAACCAAACAAAACAAAAAAAUAACCAUCGGUUUGGUUCUUGUAGGUUUAGUUCGGUUUGAUUCGGGUUUUUUGGUUUAUAACUUUAGUUAAUGAUAAAAGUUGAAAGUUUUAAAAAACAAAUCCAAUCUAACAUAUGAGAUGUCAACCGAGUGUUGUAUCUCAAUCUUGAAACUAUGAUGUCAACUGAGUGUUAUACUUUGGCAAAGCCAUGAUAACACCAUAUGAACGCUUUUAAAAAAUAUUUAAAAACUAUAUAUAAUAGAAUGAUAUGAUAAACCCCCAAAAGCUGAACACAUAAACUUCUUGCUCAAAAAGGUUCAAAAGAAAGUUAAAAUUAGUGAUUGUGUAUAGUCUAAUGAAUUUUAGCUGUAAAUUUCAAUAAAUAACAAGAUAUUAUUUUCACAAUUAGUAUCAUUUGUCAUUCAAAAUAUGAAAUUCAUUUAGAAUCUCAUAAUGUAUUAUCAACUAGAUGAAGACAUAUGAGUGAAUGUGUUACGACUAAAGUUAAAUCAUGAUUUUAAUAUAAAAUGUAAUAAAUAUUUAGAUUACAUUUAUGAAAAACAUAUAAAUAAUUAUAAUAUAUAUGUAUAUCGGUUUGGUUUGGUUAUUUUGUCGGUUAUUUUAGAGUAAAACCAACAAAUUAGUAUCGCUUUCUUAAAAUUCAAAUCCAAACCUAACCUAACCAAAUAUUGAUUUUUUUUAACCAGUUUGGUUUGGAUCACGGUUCAGAAUUUGCCUCUGAAGAGGUAGUUGAGAUGUAAUGAAAGUAAAGGCUUAGAAAAGAUUAGCCUCAGCAAAAGUACCUGAGAGCAUCUCUGUUUCUCUAAAUAAAGUUGCAUCUCCCUCACUAUGAUUUUUUUGGCCGUAAUACACACUUGCGACUAACUAAAUGAUAUAUUGUUUCAUCCUCUGCCCUUUCUGAAAAGAAUUGAAGUUGAAUGAUCAAAUGUUAUUAGCAUUUAUCUCCUUGCUUGAUGAAAGAGAGAGUUUACCUGGUAUCCUAGCAUGGUAAUGAUCCUGUUUGUAUUCUUAUUCAAUGAUUGAAUUUGGUAAUAUUUUCUUGAGUUAGGAUCUUGCUAUGGGAUGGUGAGAGUUAUACAUCAACUCAGAUGCUGAAAAUCUUUUCUUUUUCCCUUGUAAGAUAAAGAUGUCAACUUUUAUCUUUAAAGUUUGUAUUACUUUUUGUGUGCAUAAAUGAUUCUUAUUAAGUAAAUAUAACGAAAGCGCUGUUAACAGAGAUGCUAUCCAUUUUUAUUUAUUCACUUUUUUUCUAUUAUCCAAACAGGGGUGCUUGAUUUUUCCUUCAAUUUAACCUGAUCAGUGCCAUUAAGUUUAUGUGUCAAGUGUCUUGUGAUAUUGUAGAUGACUUUGAACAAGUGGAGAAAUGUUGGUAUUCAUGAAAGAAAUUUCAUCCCCAUCACCCUGCUUGUAAUUUAUAGACUUUAUGGUAACUCAAAUGCAUGGACAAGGCUCCAUUUGGUAUCUAUUUUUUUUACUGAUAAGCAUUCUGAAUUUGUGUUACUUGUAUGUUGCUUCAGUAUCUUGAUGACAAGUCACAAAUUAAAGAUUCAGUUAGGAUGGCCGAGGUAAUCACCACUCUUCAUUUUAACCUCUGUUGUGCUUCGAUUAGUACAUAAUAUUUUGGCUGAGCUGUCUCUACUUUCAGAUUGGAUUGACAUCAGCCUGGACGCUUGAUGAUUUUAAGGUUGCAAUCACCAAGUAUAUUAGCUCUCCACCAAUGUCAGAUACCAACUUAAAGGUCUAAUUAUGGCUAAGCACUGUAUACUGUUUCACAUCGACCCAUGCUGAAUUGAAUGUUGUGAAAAUUGAAGUACCCCAUUCACUAAAUGGAUUUCUAUGUAUUUGUCCCCUUUUUGUCUUUGGGACAGGUCCUGCAUAAGAUGAUUGGAUUGAGUGAAAAAGCAUUAGUAGUACUUCCAUGUUAUGUUUCACUGGAAGUCGGUCAGUUUAUGAUUGCUAAAUUGGCAACUCGUAGGUAGUCAACUGUGGUUAGUGGCAUUUUCCUUUAGUAUCAAGCAUAACCUAUCCCACAUUAAAUUUGGAUCUUCUUAUAAUGGAUUUAAUAGAAGAGUUGUAUGUUAGUUAGCAAGUAAGCCUGAAACCUUCAAGAAUAAAGACGAGGACCACAUUGAUCAAAUAUUUGGUGUUAGCUUUUGCUUCCAAUUCUUCAGUUUUGGUACCAUUUUCCUUAGUUUUUAUUUACUGGAUGACGGUGUUUAAUAUUACACCUACCGAACAUAUCUUAAGUUGCUUAAUUCAAAGAAUUUGCUUUGUAGUUUUCUGUUUUUACGGUUAGUGGAUAAGAGUUUUACUCUACGAAACUGGUUAAACAGCAUAACUAGAUGAUAUGAACGAUCAUUUGCUAUUUUUGUAAUGAGGAUAUUCUUCAUAUAUCAUUUGGAUUUUGGAGGUUAUUUAUGGUCAUGGCGUAUAAUCUAUGUAUGUGGGAAGAGGGAAUUGCAAGGAAUAUCUUGCCGAAGAAUUAUGCUUAGACGGUUGGGUCUCUUAAGGCUUUUAGUUUACUUUCAAUGGCUCAAAACUUUUGUAAAGCAUUUUAUCAAACAUCUAGCAGAUGAGUUCUAUGAACUUCUUCAUGCAUCAAAGGUAUAGUAAACAGUUUACAAUCUCUCACAUUGCAAUGGAUGGGAUCCCAUGAUAUUUUCUUUAAACCAUAAUCUAUUUAUUUGCUGUGGUUGCAGGAAAUUACUGCAUCAUCAAAAUGGGAGGACUGCAAAUCCCUCUUGGAGAUAGGCAAGUAGCUUCUUUUGCUUUUAUUGAUCUAGAAUUAGUAACACGAUUGCAAGGACCAUUGGAGAAUGAUAAUUGAUAUUAUUUUCAAGGACCAACUCCUUCAAUAUUCUAAACUCAGUAAUUCACAUAGUUAUAGAAUGUACCUUAGAAUAAUAGAUGUGUUGAAUGAUUUGUUGUUUUAUAUUCCUCAACAUUUAGGUAGACUAUUUGUUUAUAGUAUUAGCAUGAAUUACCAUUUUGCUAAGUGAUUUUUAAUGUUGAACUUAUCCCUCUAGAAAUUGGUUGAUGUCAAUUAUUAGUUGUUCCAACACUGGGCGUUUAAUAGCUCUAGCAGUUAGUUUUAAAAUUUCUGACAUUUGUGAUUGUUUUAGUUUUUUAAUUUCUAGCAUUUGUGAUUGUUUCACGAUUCUGAUGAAGUAUGCUGCUAAAUCUCUAGUUUUAAUUUGUGUAGCCUCGUUGGCUAUAAAAUGAAAUGCUCUGGAUUUUUACUUUUUUAUUCAUAAUCUCAUGAUUCUCAUUAUGUCGUAACAUUGAAUUUGAGUUUCUUUGCUGUUAUUAUUUUACAGAAUAAUGGGUGAUGAGGGCUUGCUGUUUGAAAUAUUUAACAAAUUUGUUAAUGAACUAAAAGAGAAGGAGCGCAAGCGUCAAGAGGAUAAGGUACUUGAAUUACUACAAACCCUUAUUCUUUUGCUACUUUCGGGUAGGGGUAGUAGAUGUGUGGUUGUGAUUGUGGUUGAUAUUGUUUUGCGAAAAUUUUGACUUUUUGAGAGUCGCCACUUAAUUUUGAAAAGGAAUUAAGAAACUUUUAGAGAAUUACUGCAAACGAUUCAAAAUAGAAAAAUCAUUUUUAAGUUAGAGAUUCUAGAUAAGUGGUUCCUAUUAAUAUUUUAGGAAGGUAUUAGGCACCUAAAAUGUCCACUAACUUGCGGUUAUCCGGACUGUCUGAAAAUCGUCUUUUGAUUAACUUAGAAAAAGUUUAUUUUUUGAAAAGAAAAGCGAUUUUAGGAAUAUUUUGGUGUUUAUGCAAAACCAGUUUUUUAGCGACUUGACUAAGGAUUUUACUAGGUUCGCAAAACACACGUAAAACAAAUAAGCAAAUAGAAAAAAAGGAAAGGGGAGAAGUAGUGAUUUAGGCUUUUAAGCUCAAACCGUCGACCCUGUCCUAAUCUAGUUAGGUUUUUGACCCAUCUUUCACCUAUUUUAAUUUUAUGUUUUCGAGCCCUUUUCGGCUCGAGUCUCGCUCCACCUGUUUUAAAUUUACAACUUUGGCUUCGAGGGUCAAAUGAAUAAAUAAAUAAGUCACUAAAUAAACAAAAAUAUAAAUAAGUAAAUAAAUUAAUAAUGGAAACAAUGGAUAAAUAAAUCAAUAAAGAAGAAAUAACGAGAUUUUCAAGUCCCCUUUGCCGCUUCAAAGAUGGAACUUUAACCCAUUCUUCUUUCAAUUCCUCGUAUCCAUACGCCAUGCGAUGGAUUCUUGGAUUUUCUUUUUGGCUUAACUCGGAAGGAUAGGCCUCAUUGGCCCAUUUAUGAAAUGCAAAGAGAGAAGGGGCCCAUUUGAAUUCCAAGGGGGGUGCAUGCAAAGAAAGGAAUGAAGAAAUUAACAUACGUCCAAGAUUUUAACAAUUAAUAAGCUAUAGCAUUCCUGCUUCAUUCAAAUACACUCAUACACAGGUAAAAAUGCNNNNNNNNNNNNNNNNNNNNNNNNNNNNNNNNNNNNNNNNNNNNNAUCAAUUAAAGAAAUUUCAACUACAGGAGGAAAUAAAGCUUCAACAAGAAAUUCUUAUGGUCUUUAGCGAAAUAAAGAAAAUAAUUUAUCACUUUAAUGCCACAAAAGGACACAAUGAAGCAUGUCACAAAAAAGAGUUACAACUCCUGGAUCAUACUACAUAAACGAUGGAUCGCAAGCAACGUUCAAAUUGCAAAAUGCCAAACAUACAAAAUUAAAGACUUAAUCACUUUAGGCAAGGAAUAUGAUAGCUGGAACUUCAAGAAAAGCAAGGCUGAAAUCUUAAUGCCUUUGUUAAUCAUAAAUUAACAAACAAAUGAGAUUCAAACACUACAUAAACCCAAUUUUAGGUAAUUUAAUCAUGAGACAACAUGCCACAACUUAUAUGCGAACAAGAAAAGCAAGAAAGGAAAGAAACAUUAGCUCGUCAAACUUUAAUUUGUUCUCAUGAGUCAAUUACAGCAAAUUGAAUUAGCCAUGAAAAAAACAUAAUUCAGCCCUAUGGUCCACUCUUAUAUUUUAAAAUAAACUUUAGAAUCAAAUGAGACUAUUGUACAUCGAGAGUGGCAAGUCGGAAGAAAAUAACAUUCGAGUUCUUAUUUAUAACAAUUUCCUGCAUUUGAGCAAAAAAGAUAUGUGAACAGGCUGCCUAAUAUCUAUUCUUUGAACAUUUUUUUGAAUUUAGAAAAUACGUAAAUAUUUUAUUCUCCUACUCUGUGACUACUAAUCAACAUCGAAUAUGAGACCAGCAAAAUAGUUUUUAAAGUCGAAGCAUUAAAGCUAACUAGUAACAUUCAAAUAGAAUAAAAUGAGAGAGAUCAAGCAUGAACGACAGCCAAUCAAACAUGGGCAAGAAUGAGUUUUUUAGUAGAACAAUAUAUCAAACACGAAAAUCCUAUGUCUUCCAGGCCUCUAUAGUAGUCAUUCCCAGCAAACAGAAGUUGAACCACGAAGAAGAAAAUGAUAACCACAACAAAAUUAAAAAGAAGGGUGUGUUUACCUCUUUCGGGACAGCAAAAUGGGAUAACGAGCUGACGAUAGGAUUUCGACCACAGAAAAACUCACAACUGCUUCGACAGUUCAGGCGCACCUCCUAAGAAUGUAUGUUUCUUAGGCAUAAAGAGAAUAUUUUUUCCCUCUGAGAGCCCCCCUUUCUAACCCCUUUUUUUGUGUAUUUCUGAAUUUUUGAAGAUUUUCGCUAACCCCAAAUUUUCAACCCAAAACUUUUGAACCCCCUUUGCCUCUACAAUUUUGAAUGAAGAGGAGAACCCAUAAAGGAAAGAAGAGGCCGGUGAAAAAAAUUCCAAAAUCCCCAAAAAAAUCCCUUUUUCUUGCUCUAAGUAGAGCUAUUUGUAGAAGGGGAUUGAGGGUUCAUUUUUUAGAUUCAAAAGAUCCGGACCCUAAUGAACUAUACCUUUAUCUUGAUUUUCUUGAACGGAAUUCCGAAAAGUGGCCAAUAGAAAUUGAUAGAAAGGGAAUAAUCUUCACAAGCCAAUGAAAAUACUCCACCUAUGUACGAAUUCGUAAACCUCUAUCCAAGAAUUUUGGGAUUUGAACAUUGGAUGAGACACCUAAGUGUGUUUCUAGAAGAUUCUCAGCAUUUUCUCAUAUGGAUUCGAGUGGAACGCGCGUGAUCAUAAAGAGGAAAAAGUAAACGGGUUGGAUUCAAGUGCUGCAUACUAUUUGAAGUCAUCCGCACCUGUGGUUUUGAUUUGAGAUUUUCAUCCUCUCAGAUGCUCUCGACAAUGCUUCAAGCAAAAAGUGUUAGUGCUAAACAUAAUUCACGAAAGAGGUAUAUAGUCUUUUACCAUAUCUCCACAUGAGCUAUGGCCUGAAAAGCGGAGUCAUCUCUUUAUGUACCUAUUUGGAAUAAAAUAACCGGCAAUACCAAACACAACAACCCUCUUGGUUGUUAUAUAAUUAUGACAUUUGUCGGUUGAAUAUAUCUUCAAAGUGGGUGGCCCUUUUGGACACCGGCGAUACUUUAUGCAGAACGAUCUCUACAAUCGUGUAAUCUUGUGCUGGUGUGGCAACCCUUUGGGUACUUAUAUCAUUUGUUGCAUGUGGAAUGAUAACCUCUCUAGUUAUAGCCGAUGAUCGAUUUAUAAAUUUCCUUUAAAUUAUCAAUCUUUGGGUAAUAUUACGCAUUAUUUGAUGUUGGAUACGAGGCGACUUACAGAUAUCCUUUUGAUUUCUAGCUUUUAGAUAAUCUUGCACAUUAUCUGACUUUGAAUAAGAGAUGGCUUACAGAUAUCUCUCCAAUCACUAGCUUUCAGGUGUUCCUACACAUCAUGCGACCUUGGAUACAAUAUGACUUAUAGAUAAUCCCUCAAAUUGUUAGUCUUUGGGUAAUCCUACACAUAAUCUAUCUUGGAUAUGACACGGCUUGUAGAGAACCCUUAGACGUAUCAAUUUGACAAUCUUGCAUAUGCUCCGAUAAGGAUUUAGUUGCCACUUAUGGAUAACCUUUGAACUAUCAAUUUUUGGGCGAUCUUGCACACUGUCCAGUUAGGAUGUUGUUGUGGCUUACAGAUGACCUACAGGCUAUCAACUCAUAGGUGAUCUUGCACACUAUCCUAUUUCAAAUAAUAUGACUUAUAGAAAACCCUCAAAUUGUCAAUUUCUAUGAAAUCUUAUAUAUCAUUCAUUCUUAGAUAGCGACUUAAAUGCGUCCCUUUAAAUCGUGUGCUCUUGAUGCAUUCAGAUGCUGAUUCAUAAAAUGAUAAGAUAUCCUCGAUGCCAGCAUUUAUGUCUUGCGUGUCAACAGAUAUAAAAUGAUGAUGAUAUCCUCGACGCCAGCGUUAUUGCUUGUCAACAGAUAUAUUAAAUAGUGAUGAUAUCCUCGAUGCCAAUAUUAUGUCUUGCGUGUCAACAGAUAUAUUGAAUGCUGAUGAUAUCCUCGACGCCAGCGUUGUGUAUUGCGCGUCAACAGAUAUUGUAUGAUGAUGAUAUCCUUGGUGCCAGCAUUGUGUCUUGCAUGUCAACAAAUAUUGUAUGAUGAUGAUAUCCUCGACGCCAGUGUUGUGUCUUGCGUGUCAACAGAUAUAUAAUAAUAAUGAUAUCCUCGACGCCAGCGUUGUGUCUAGCACGUCAAUAGAUAUUGAAUGAUGAUGAUAUCCUCGUCGCCAGCGUUGUGUCUAGCACGUCAAUAGAUAUUGAAUGAUGAUGAUAUCCUCGUCGCCAGCGUUGUGUCUAGCACGUCAAUAGAUAUUGAAUGAUGAUGAUAUCCUCGAUGCCAGCGUUGUGUCGAGCGCGUCAAUAGAUAUUGAAUGAUGAUGAUAUCCUUGAUGCCAGCGUCAGGGUCUUGCUUUCUGCAUAUACCUGUACUCAAGGUAGAUGAUUAGUAGACACAAAUUUGCUUUUGCUAGCAACUAUUUUUCUUAGAAAAUUCUAAAUACAAUAUUUGUAAAGAAGACAAGACAUUUUUGUUUGUCCUCCAUGAUCUCAAGAAAUGAGAUGGACAAUUCGAAAGGUCGUCAAUAAAUGGGUGUUGAGCCGGUUUUUCGGCUACCAAAAGUACCGUUAUAAGCCUUAUAUGCUUUGUCAUGGCUCCCGACUUGCUUGGGGAUUUUUCGAAAGAAACACUUAUUUUGUGUAUCGAUCCCUGCAUCCACAAAAAAUGAUUAGUUUGAAAGAAACUACUCCGUGCUGACCUCCUACGAUCCUUGAUUUUCCCUCGCCAUCUUUUAGGUAUUUCAUCAUAUUGGGACUUCUACCCCUGACUCCCCGUCCUAAUUGAUGUCUAGGCAAUCACUAAGUAAAAGAUUUAUAUAGAUUUUUUUCAAAGUACUCUUAAUUUUUUAGAAAAUAGUUUCGAGAACUCCUGGAAAACUUCGAAAAAUCUCUGCCAGUCAUGUAGUACUAUCCAAAUACCUCAUAAUUUGCUACAUACCUUCUCAUAAGUAGUACUAGUUUACAACUACCAACAAAAAAAGUCAAGGGGUACGGUCACAUAAUAGACAUGAUCAACCUUAAUCUGAUAUUAUAACCCCAUACGAUCUUAUCUACUUAUGUGGAUUUCUCACCUCAUACUUACUUACUCAAGCAUACAUUUAGACUUCCUUUAAAUUCCUCAAACAACCAUGAGUCUAUAAUCAUAACUUACUCGCUAAUAUAGCCAUUUUUCACAUUCAAGCAACCAACAAAUCACCCUGACUAACAACUCCUUCUCUACCUUAUACUAAACUAAAUCACAAGGACGAAUCACCUCUUUACCAACUCCAUCUUAUGCGAAUAGAUUCAUCCAUAAAUAUAUUAAACCAACAAAAGAACAACAAGUUGCUAGUGAAUCGAAUAGGCCUCACACGGCUUCACUAGACUUUGGUUUUGUAUUUUGAACAAGAAAAUGAGAUGGAUGACAAGGCAACUAUGCUAGUGAAUCGAAAGAGCCCCACACGGCUUCACUAGUCUUUAAUUUUUUUUUUUUCAAAAACACCAUGAUAACAAGAUUACAUAUUACAAGAGAUAGGAAAUUGACACAUAAUAUUUAAUGGUCUAAGAAUACACACCUUACUCUGUACAAAUAAAAAUCUGAGUAAAAUACUUCCCCCAUGGACUACCAUACCAUUCACACGUGCGACUAGCUACCACAUUAGUUUAUCACUAUAAAGGGGUAAAUCAUCCUCAAAUAUCGGUUAUUCAACUGAAAUAUUCAUUUACACCAAAAAUCACCCUUACUCUGACUUCUAACUUUGUGACUUCACAUCACUAACUUCUUAAUCUAAUUUCAUUACCGAUAGGUCAUGACAACAAUAAUUUAACUUAUGCUACUAUUCAGGCGAAAAUACAGUUCCAACAUUCUGCUAUACACCGUCCACAUCUGUAUCAAGAUUUUUGGGAGGGACUAGAUGCACUUAAUACCUUAAGCUGGAAAGCAUGAUUCCAUCAGGAUCAAUGUUUACAUCAGAAUCAACACAUAUUGAAGCACCAACAGACUCCUCUUGAGUCUUUACAUAAUUUUUUUCUUAUAUGACACAAUCAGAAAAGACUAUAUCAUGUAGAUUCUAAACUUUUUCACUUGAAUCACCCCAAUAAUAGGACAUGUAUGAGAACAUCAGAGUAAGGAAAGAAUUUGGGAUGAAUUUACCUUCAUAUGGGAGAUACCAUAGCAUGAAUGAUAGUAAUUCGUGUUAUUUUUAAUACAUUGAAUCAAAUACUGUAUAAGAAACAACAACACCCAAUGUAUUCCCACUUAGUGGGGUCUGGGGAGGUUAGUGUAUGCAGAUCAUAUCACUACUCAGGUGAAGUAGAGAGGAUGUUUCCGAUAGACUCCCAGCUUAGGAUAAUAAUAAUAUACCAAACAUAAAAGAUAAAUACAUAUAAACUAAUACGAUACGCAAAAUAAAACUAACAAUAUAACAAAUAUCAAAGAAGAUGUAUAUAAACUAGUACCGUAUGAAAAAAUAGCCAAUCUACCAAGAAGUGUCAGCUUUGUGUUGGGUGGUUGGUAGUCAAGAAAGUGUCAGCUUUCCCAAAAAGAAAAACCCCAAUAAAGAAAGAAGUCCCUCCACUUUCACCAUUGAUUCAAUGUUAUUUUUAAUACGCAGAAUCAAAUACUGCGUAAGAAAAUAAAAGCAUAAUUAAUGCAAAUAUUAUUAAUAUAUCAUAUUUUACAUUAUUUUUAUAAAAUAAUAUUUUAUAUUAUUUUUAUAAGAAAAUACUCUAAUUAAUUUAAUUGAAAUUAUAUAUUUAUAUAAUAAAGGAGGAUAGUCUGGCCUAAAACUAAGACAAGUUUCAUAUUGAGAACUACCUAUUUGAAUUUUUACAACAAAAAACCAUUAUUUUAUAACAAAAAGCUAUUUUGUUAAUUAUUAAAAUAUUUAAUAUUAUUUCAUAUUUCCUAUUUAAUAAAUUACAUUUCAUAUGUUUUUAAUAAUAGUAUUAUAAAAAAAAAAAUAUGAAUGAUUUCAUUACAAUUCACUAAAAGAAAUAUUACAAGAAAAAAAUAUUUAAGAGAAAAACCAAUUAAUAAAUAGUAACUGAUCAAUUUAUAUAGAAAAUAUUGUAAUCAUUCUGAAUAAAAAAUAUUAAAAAAAGGUGUCAUCCCUCAAAAUAAUUAAGUUUGACCUAUUUUUGUAACCAAAUAAAUGAAUGAAUAUAAGAAAAUCCGUAAUUAGGAAAAAAAAAUAAUUGUUACCUUAUUUGAGUUUUUAGCAAAUUAUAAAGAUAAUAAUAAUCAAUUGACUAUAAUUAAAUUAUAAAUUUAUAAUAAAUAUUUGAAACAUAAAUUAGUAAUUAGGAAAAUAAAUAAUUGUUACCUUUUUAAAAUUCUUUCCAAAAUUAAAAAGGUAAUUGAUAUCAAUUUAACGUAAUCAAUCUAUAAAAACAUGAGAAAUUCAUGGGAUUGAAUUUCCGAAAUUUAUGGUAAAUAAAUAUAUAAUAUUAAUAAUAAUUUUAUCGCUAUCAAAUUAAUUAGAUUAAAUUGAACUAGAAAUUAGUUAAUAUUGACAAUUACUUUAAUAAAAAAAUAUAUGGAAAUAUUUGUAAUUGAUAUGCAUAUAUUGGUAAAUAAAAACAACGAACCCUGACUACUACUUUAGUAAUAAAUAUAUUUUAAAAUUUACAUACAACAUUAAAUUUAAGAAACUUGAGUCUAUAUAUUAUGAUCAUAAAAUUGAUUCUAAUUAAUGGAAAUUAGUUGAUUGUAUAGUUUUAUUACCACAAUUUUGUACAUCAUUUAUUUAAUAAAAAUAAAUAUAAUUAAUUAAUUGAUUUUGUGCAAUCUACUAUGAUUUUAUUAAUUCAAAUGAAAUGAUUUUUAAAUUAUAGGUUUGGAUUAUAAAAAUAAAGGUGAUUAUUGUAUGACUUUAGCAUUUCUUAUGUAUUAAAAAAGAUUUAUAGACAAAAAAAUGUCAUCCCUCAAAACAACUAAAUAAUCAAAUUGUAAAUUGAUAAGAAAUUUUUGAGAGAUAAAGCAGUAAUUAGGAAAAGAAAUAAUCGUUACCUUUUUGAAAUUCUUCCCAAAAUUAUAAAGGUAAUUAAUAUAAAUUUGAUAUAACCAAACUAUAAGAAUAUGUGAAAUUCAUGGAAUUAAAUGUUUGAAAUUAUAAAAGUAAUUAAUAUCAAUUGUUUCCAUAUUUGAGUCCUUUAUGUAAUUAUAGAUUAAUUAAAUAUAAGCAAGCUAUAAAAUUAGGAUAGAUUUAUGGUAAAUAAAUCUAUAAUAUUAAUAAUAAUUUUAUUGUUAUAAAAUUAAUUAGAUCAAAUUGGGAUAGAAAUCAUUUAAUAUUGACAAUUAUUUUAAUAAAAAAUAUAUGCAAAGUUUCACAAUUGAUAUACAUAUAUUGGUAAAAAAACAACGAACACUGACUACUACUUUAGCCAUAAAUAUAUUUUAAAAUUUGCGACAUUUAAUUUAAGGAACUUGAGUCUAUAUAUCAUGAUCAUAAAAUUGAUUCUAAUUAAUUGAAAUUAAUAAGUUGAUUGUGCAAUUUUAUUACAAUUAUGUUGUACAUCAUUUUUUAUAUAAAAAUACACAUAAUUAAUUAAUUGAUUUUGUGCAAGCUACUAUGAUCUUAAUAAUUCAAAUGAAAUAAUUUGUAAAUGGUAAGUUUGGAUUAUAAAAAGAAAGGAGAUUAUUGUAUGCCUUUAGCAUUUCUUAUGUAUUAAAAAAGAUUUAGAGACAAAAGUUGUCAUCCCUCAAAACAACUAAAUUUGAACUAUUUUAGUAAAACAAUAAAAGAUUGAAUAUAAGAAAAUCCGUAAUUUAGAAAAAAAAUAAUUGUUACCUUAUUUGAGAUUUUAGAGAAUUAUAAAGAUAACUAAAUAAUCAAUUGACUAUAAUCAAAUUAUGAAUUAAUAAGAAUUUUUUGAGAAAUAAAUCAAUAAUUAGGAAAAAUAAUAAUCGUUACCUUUUUUAAAUUCUUCCCAAAAUUAAAAAGGUAAUUGAUAUCAAUUUAAUAUAAUCAAUCUAUAAAAAACAUGAGAAAUUCAUGGGAUAGAAUUGCCGAAAUUAUAAAGGUAAUUAAUAUCAAUUGUUUUCAUAUUUGAGCCCUUUAUGUAAUUGUAGAUUAAUUAACUACAAUCAAGCUAUAAAAUUAGGAAAAAUUUAUGGUAAAUAAAUAUAUGAUAUUAAUAAUAAUUUAUAUUUAUCAAAUUAAUUUUAUUAAAUUGAGUUAGAAAUCAGUUAACAUUGACAAUUAGUUUAAUAAAAAUAUAUGCAAAGUUUCGUAAUUGAUAUACAUAUAUUGGUUACAAAAACAACGAACACUGACUUCUACUUUAGCCAUAAAUAUAUUUUAAAAUUUACAACAUUAAAUUUAAAGAAUUUUUUGAGAAAUAAAUCAGCAAAUAGUAAAAAAAUAAUCGUUACCUUUUAAAAAUUCUUUCCAAAAUUAUAAAAGUAAUUAAUAUCAAUUUGAUAUAAUCAAACUCUAAGAAUAUGAGAAAUUCAUGGGAUUAAAUUUUUGAAAUUAUAAAAGUAAUUAAUAUCAAUUUUUUCCAUAUUUGAGUCCUUUAUGUAAUUGUAUUUUAAUUAAAUAUAAUCAAGCUAUAAAAUUAGGACAAAUUUAUGGUUAACAAAUAUAUAAUAUUAAUAAUAAUUGUAUUGUUAUCAAACUAAUUAGAUUAAAUUGCAGUAAAAAUCAGUUAAUAUUGACAAUUAUUUUAAUGAAGAAUAUAUGAAAAGUUCCAUAAUUGAUAUACAUAUAUUGAUUAAAAAAACACAAACAUUGACUACUACUUUAGCUAUAAAUAUAUUUUAAAAUUUACAACAGUAAAUUUAGGGAAUUUUAGUCUAUAUAUUAUGAUCAUAAAAUUUAAUCUAAUUAAGUGAAAUUAAUUAGUUUAUUGUGUAGUCUUAUUACAAUUAUAGCGUACUUUAUUUAUUUAAUGUAAAUAUAUAUCAUUUAUUAACUGAUUUUGUACAAUCUACUAUGAUCUUAUUAAUUUAAAUGAAACAAUUUUUAAAUGGUAAUUUUAGACUAUAAAAAGAAAGGAGAUUAUUGUAUGACUUUAGUAUUUCUUAUGUAUUAUACAAAGAUCUAGAGAUAAAAGAAAUACAAAAUUACAAUAUUUUUGGGUUAUUUAAUUAAUUUAUCACAUAUCAAAAUAUUGUUUAUAUCAAUUCAGUGAUGUUUAUAUAGAAAAGUUAAAUUUUGAAAAAAUAAAUAUCUUAAAUUUCAUAAUUUAAGUUAAUUUGUGUGCUAAUUUGAAAAAGUUAAUUUAUAGUUUACAUUUUAUAUCUUCUAUAUGGAAAAUUUGACCUCAUAUGGCUAUUUAUACCCAUUGAAUAACAAAAAUUAUUUGUUACACUUUUCUUCUCUCUCUCUCAUGGGUAUUUCUCUUGUUUUUCAUUAUGGGUAUGUAAAUAUUCACUUGCCAUAUUUCUGGAUCCUUGUAAAUAUUCACUUUCCAUAUACAGAUCCUUGUAAAUAUUUACUUGCAAUUUACAGAUCCUUGUUAGUUGAAUAUAUGCAUUGUAUGAUGAUGAAUGAAAGACAUAGAAUUUUUUUUUCUCUAUUCUAGUCUUUUGCUAUUUUUACAUUUCAAGAAAAAAUGACAAGAAUCCUACAGAUUCUGACAACCUUUUGCCGGCUCUUACUCUUUCAACUCUUUGAUUCAGUAUUUUCUCUUCUUUUUUUUAAUUAUUUACCAUGAUUAUUUGUUUUAUCAGAAGGAUUUGAUAAGUUCUUUGAAUUGUUUUUGUGCUAUUUGUUUGUGGGGUAUUUGAUUAAUUUUCAGUAGAAGACUAGUAGUAAAUAGUUUUGCGUCAUGUCUCUUCUGGUAGUAGUAUUAGUAUAUAUUUUUAUUUUCUACUUGUUGUAUCGUAUACCUCUAUUUUCUUACUUGCUACUGUUGUUAAUAUCCUCGUGUUUUUGCUUUCCUUGCCGAGGAUUUAUGGGAAACAAAUUUUCUACUUGCCAAGGUAGGGGUUACGUAUGUUGUUGUUGAAGAAGAAGCAUGUAGAAAGAGAGAUGUUUUGCUUUGUCUCAUAAGUAUUUAGUUAGCUUGCAGUAUUUUCAUGAAUGGAUAAUGAUUUGUGAGUGGCUGUUUAUGAGUGUUUUGCUUUGUCCUUUGAAAUCUCAUGGACACUAGUUUGAUUCAUGUACAGUCUCCAUACAUAGAAAUGAUGAAGAACAACUUCUUAAUUUUUCGAUCAUCAACUAAUGAUGCAAACAAGACUCCUUCACCACCAUUAAAUUCCAAGGAAGUUUCUUCUUGGAAGAGUGCUUCAUUGUCAUCUGGAUCCUUCUAUGACAGUGGGUUAGGAAAAAAGAAUUUUAUGGAUCUGAGGAAAUCUCCUCAUUGUCACAGUAAGAAAGUUCAUCCUAAGAAAUUUGGUCAUGAUUCAAGCCGGUAUGCAUAUCAUUUUGCUGUAGCUUUCUUUUUCACGCUUAAACUAAUGUUUUAAUUUGCAUUUGCUUGUCCAAAGUAAUGAAAAAUGUUUAUUCACGGUAGAGACCUUAGCGUUCCAGUGUUGAUUCAGACUAUUAGAAGAUUGACAAAGGAGAAGGUACAAAUGUCUUCUGAAGUUUCAAGCAUGCUACGGAAUCAAGUUGCUGAAAAGGCUUCUGCUAAGGAAGAAGCCAGCAUAUUACAGGCAGAACUAGAUUCACGGACACGAAGAUUGGAGACAGAAAAGAAUGAGUUACAAUCAGUACUAGAAAAAGAGUUGGAUAGAAGAUCCAGCGAUUGGUCUCUAAAGCUUGAGAAAUACCAAAUUGAACGACACAGACUUUGUGAAAGGGCGAGGGAGCUUGUAGAGCAGAAUAUCUCUCUACAAAGAGAUGUCUCUCAUUUAAUGAGAAGAAAGUAGAUAAUAGAAUCAAGAUGUCAUUUUCGGAGAAACNNNNNNNNNNNNNNNNNNNNNNNNNNNNNNNNNNNNNNNNNNNNNNNNNNNNNNNNNNNNNNNNNNNNNNNNNNNNNNNNNNNNNNNNNNNNNNNNNNNNNNNNNNNNNNNNNNNNNNNNNNNNNNNNNNNNNNNNNNNNNNNNNNNNNNNNNNNNNNNNNNNNNNNNNNNGACAACUGUGCUAAGGGAGAAGCUCUAUUCUGAGGAGAUGGACAUAAAGCAACUUCAGGCUGAUCUAGCCACAACAGUUAGAGGUAACGACAUUCUCAAAUGUGAAGUGGAAAAUGCGUUGGAUGCUCUUUCUUAUGCCACACCUAAGUUAAAAUACCUCGAGCUUCAGGUAAGCAGGCAAUGUUAAGAUCUCGUUGUAACAAAAUAGUUUUUAUUUUUCAGCUUUGGAUACCUCAUCUUCAUAUAUGAUAGCCUAUUCGCAUGUUACUCUCUCUGCAUUAGCUUUCUAUUUCUGUUUGAUUUUAGGUUCAUCUUUGUUCCAUCUAAAGUUCACGGUUUUCUUUAUGAACUUGUAUACAUGAGUUGCUGGCAUGUGGUAGUCUUCUGUGAAAUGUCUGAUCGCCUUAAUGUGUAAUCAGUUGAACCUACCAAGAAUAUGAUAAACUUUGUGAUAUCCUCAAACCUAUUGAUCUGAUUGUGCUCUGAUGUGGUAAAGUUACCCGAAGGGGUUUUGGUAAGUUUGCUCAUUCAUCUGACUUAAUUAUUGGACAAGCUCAUGAGUUAUCAACUGUGAAUUUUAAUAGUUAAAAAGGAUUCAUGAUUUGGUUGAACUUCUAGGCUAUGAGUUUGUUUUGAAUUUUUGAUGAAAUGUUAUUGGUGAUCUUUUUGUCUUUCUUGUUUUUCAUGGUUUACGAUUGAUUCUGGCAGGUGCAAAAAAAGGACAAAAAUAUCAACCAUAUCACUAAUGAUUUUCAAGAAUGCAUGAAGGAACUUGGCGUUGUGAAGGCAAUACUACCAAAAGUGUUUCAGGAGAGGGAUUUCAUGUGGGAGGAAUUUAAGAGCUACAGUGAAAAGAACAUGCUGUUGAAUUAUGAGAUCAACAUAUUGAAAAUGAAUAUAGAUACCCUCGAUGAAGACUUUUCUAUGAAAGAGGUUCAAAUGAUAAUCUUAUAAGACUCGAUAGGCAAACCUUUCGACCUUUUCACAAGUCCUGAUUCUCUGUUAGAGUGAUGGAUUCUAAAUGGCCAAACUACAAUUCAUAUUUUGUUCAUUGACUGUAGUGUUCAUACUUCUCGUAUACUUACUGGUUUUACUCUUAUUCUUUUCCCCCUUUUAUACUUGUUAAAUAGAAAGUUUGCUUCUUUCAUUUGCAACCUUUUUGAAUCUCCAAUUAUAAACAUUUCUUUUACUUGCUGGUGAUCAAGACAAUGAACUUCUUUUGCUUCAUUUGGUUUUGUAAGCAUUGGCUGUUUUUUCUCUUAUGAAGUAUUUAAUGAGGAUUGGUGCUACCAUUUUCUUCUCGUCUCUGAGGUAGAGGUAUGGUUUGCAUAUAUUCUGCCCGAAUAUACAUCGAGUAUGUUGUUGCUGUUGUAUGGAGAUUGUGUGUAUAAUAACAAUCAUAUAUUUGAUGUCAGGUCAUCCAUACUUUCAUUCCUUGCAGGGGAAAGCUCAUUAAGCUUACUGAGUUAACUUCUCAUUGAUGUAUUCUUUCACUAAGGUUGUCAGUAGGUAGCUACAAAAAGCACUUGUCUAACUGGGCAGUUCAUGUUCAGUUUGUGCAUAUAUUAAGUAACAUCCAAAUUUUUAACCAUAUAACUUUACCUCAAAAUGAUGCAUGGACCAGAGCUGCUCUUAAAUCUGGUUGGUUGGCAGAAUCUUCCAUUUGAUCUGCAAUCAUAUGCCUGCUUUGUCUCAGUAUAUUUGAUUCUGUUGUACUCAUUCACAUAUGGUUUAUGCCAAGUAUGUGAGACACAUACAGAAGCCUCUAGUUUCAUCUUCUUUAUAUAGUUUUAAACUUCAUUUGACUUGCUAUGAGGGAGUUCCACCCUACCUUCUGAUCAUUCUUUCAGAUACCCUCUUUCAUUUUCCUUCACCUCCUUCCAGUACCAGAUGCUUCACCUUCCACAUUAAAUGUUGUUUGCACAUUUUUAAACUAUGCACUACGUUCAAUUUCAAAAAAAUGAAAAAAACUAUGCACUACAUUGUAGAACAUUUUGAUAAUUUUUUGGUAUGUCAGUAUGUUCUUUAUGUUUAUGCUUACAUCAAGCAGACACAAUUAUUAUGAAGGUGGAAUUGGUUUUUGUACCAUUUUCUUUUGCGUGUAACUUCUGAAGUUAUUUGGGAUCCAUUAUUUAUAUUUCAAUGAGAGUCUUUGAUGUCUUUCCUUAUAAUGUUUAUGCUUACAUCAAGCAGACAUAGUUAUUAUGAAGGUGGAAUUGGUUUUUGUACCAUUUUCUUUUGCGUGUAACUUCUGAAGUUAUUUGGGAUCCAUUAUUUAUAUGUCAAUGAGAGUUUUUGAUGUCUUUCCUGAUAUUAAACCUGUCAUUUUUUCUUUAACAUUUCUAAUCUCCUAUAUAUCUGGCUUUCUGACCUUCAAUGAUGCAAACAAUUUCCCUUCAAGAACUUGCACUUACCUAAUUCCUAGUAAGACAGUCUUAGAAUCUUCUAUGUUUAAAGAUGCCUAUUGGUGGUUAGUUUUUUUGCUAGGAGGUUGCAUUGGAAGGUACAAGCAUACAAGAUAUUGAUAAAACCAGAAAGCAUUUUAUUUUUUUGAAAAUGAUUGCAUAUAUACUAUGUGGGCAGUAUUUUCUUUACAAAAAUGAGCUUCUAUGUGCUUUACAAGGCCUCCAAAGUUGCAAAAUGGAUUCAACACCCUUUAUAAGAAACUCUUAAUGUCAAAAUAAUAAGUUGUCUGAUCUAAUCUGCAACAAGAAUGAUGAGCACUGUGUUCAAUUUCGAGUCUGUCCCUAAGCUCGUCUAGACUUAUCCUUAUCUUUAUUGCCUUCUGUUUGCUUGUUAUCUUUUUUCUUACUAGAACCUGCAUUUGAGAAGCUUGUGUUGUUGUCUCAAGUUAAUGUUUAAGUUUUCUUUCCUUACUGCAGUGUAUCAAAUUCAACUUUUGGUGCUGCUGAAAAUGUUGGAACUGCUGCAAAACCUAAUGGCAUAAUGCAUGAACCUGUACAUGCUGAUAGACCCAAUGUAUUUAGUAACAAAAGCUCAUUUGUUCUCUCUUACAUACAAAUAGCAAUUGAUAUUCCUUCUCAAACAGUAGGUCCAUCCACGUUUGAUCUCCUGGACCACGCUCUUGUUGGGCCUGGGCGUGAAGGUGGUGUUAGAGUGGGUGAAAGUCCCACAUUGUUGGGGAGUGAACUGUCGAUUUUCUUAUAUGGAAUUGAGCAAUCCUCCCCUCAUGUGCUAGCUUUUGAGGUUGAUUUAGGCCCAAUAUCCUUUCUUUACAAAAUCAACAAACUUUUCUUACAUUGGAAACAGACAGAGCAGCUGUAGAGAAUGUUUUCAACCUGAAGGGGAUCAGAUGGGUAGAACCUGGGAGCAUUAAAAGAGUACUAAGUAGCUGGAAUAGGGAUGUAAAUGUAAUAAAUAAGGAGAGAUGGAAAAUUGUUCAACAUGUACAUGGUGGACAGUUUGGACAGAAAUAAACAAGGGUUGUUUUGAGGAUGUCCAGAAGAUCAACAUGAAUAGUUUAGCACUUCUUUAUUUUUGGUGUAAACACGAUGAUUAGCUCUAACAGAAGACAUCAUUGAUGUGCUAGACUGUUUAUAGGCAAUAGAAAGAUAGAGUAAGAUGUAAUACUUUUUGAAGGUGGACAUCAUUCUUGUUGGUUAGGGAUUUGAAUGAUAACAAGAUUACAUAUUACAAGAGAUAGGAAAUUGACACAUAAUAUUUAAUGGUCUAAGAAUAUACAUCUUGCUCUGUAUAAAUAAAAAUCUGAAUAAAAUACUUCCCCCAUGUACUACCAUACCAUCCUCAUGUGAUACUAGCUACCACAUUAGUUUAUCGUUAUAACGGGGUAAAUCAUCCUCAAACAUCGGUUAUUCAAUUGAAAUAUUCGUUUACACCAAAAAUCACCCUCACUCUGACUUCUAACUUUGUGACUUCACAUCACUAACUUAUUUGUCUAAUUUCAUUAAUGAUAGGUCAUGAAAACAACACUUUAACUUAUGCUACUAUUCGGGUGGAAAUACAGUUCCAACAUUCUUUUAUACACCGUCCACAUCUGUAUCUAGAUUUUUGGGAGGGACUAGAUACACUUAAUACCUUAAGAUGGAACACACGAUUCUAUCAGGAUCAAUGUUUACAUCAGAAUCAACACAUAUUGAAGCACCAACAGACCCCUCUCAAGUCUUUGCACAAUUUUUUUUCUUAUAUGACACAACCGGAAAAGACUAUAUCAUGUAGAUUCUAAAUUUUUUGCACUUGAAUCACCCCAAUAAUGGGACGUGCCUGAGAACAUCAGAGUAAGGAAAUAAUUUGGGAUGACUUUACCUUUAUAUGGGCGAAACCAUAGCACAAAUGACAGUAUGAAAGAGGAACAUUUUGACUCUAUUGCACGAACUGGAACAUGAAGAAAGAGAAACAUUCCUAAACGCCUAGUAGCCUCCUGCUUAUAAGUAUGGCGCACUAAAUACCCAUAAAUAAGACUCUACCCAACGUGAUUUUGCAGAUACCCUAGGACCAUGAACCAUGCUUUGAUACCAAGUUUUUCACGACCCAAACUGGGGCCCUGGCCGUGGCGAGCAUUCCGAACCAUGAAGGCCUAAAACACCCCUAUUUGUUUGAUAAUCAUGCACAUAAAUCAUAUGAUAAAAGAAAUGCGGAAGAUAACAAUAUUACGGAAACAUGGUCAAGAAUCAUAUGAAAUUAGUAACGGGGAAUAAUGUUCCACAAUCUUAACACAAUAUCUCUAUAAUGUCUGCGAAAUCUCUACUACAUGACUGAAAUAAAUAUCUAUCUGAAAACUGGGACAAGGCCCCCAGUAGAUCCAAAACUAAUAAAUGAUAAAUAAAACUGCCAGAUAUCAGACCUUCCAAAAUAUAGAAGGCUCACCAAGUGACUCUGCAAAUCUGUCUGAGGAAUCUACUGAUUUUCUGGACCCCUAGACUGUGCCUCCAAACCUGGGAAGGAAGGGGGUCAAUACAAAAGUACUGGUACGCAGAGAUAUCAAAACAAAACAUAAUAUUUUUACAAAAUAUAGUUGAGAGCCAUUAUAAAGCAGUUUCAUAUCAAAUCAUUUGAAAACACAUAGGCGUAAUGUAAUUGUUUUCAACAACAAUGUAAUGCAGCUAAGCUAGGUAGAAUACCCUACAUAUCAUAUUUACACCAACUGUCAUACCUUGGUUUUCACGAGAUUAGAGUAUAAGUGAGGGAAAGACACAUAAGAUCACACAGCAGGGUGUCUCGACCCAAUGGUAGUGCACAAUAUCACAAAGUAGGGCUCCUAACCAUAUUCCCAACUUGGGAAUAACAUAAAGUCAGGUACGCAAGAACACAAAGCAGGGUACCGAAUUCCGAUGUCGGCAAACACGGUUUCCAACGAUAAGCCCUUACACUCAAACACCUUUUUCGAGCAUCCACCAAUCUCAUGUAAAAUCAAUGCAUUUAAAUUUUAUUUGAUUCAAUCACAUAUUAUAUUCUGUAGGGUAUCGUCAUACCUGACUUACAAUCCAUCAAUAUCACAUCAUUCAUUUUAUUCAACCAUUGUAUUCAACAUGUUUCAACACAAACAGCCCUCUCGUUUUCAAGUCAAAUUCAUAUCAAUUCUCAAAACAUUUCAUGUCAUGCUUUUCAAGAUGUUUUCAAACAAUUUACAUCAUAUGAACAUUUAAAACAAAUUCACAUCAAGAGAGGGAUUCUAUAUAAUUCAUGCUCUCAAAUUAACACCUUUUCAAAAUAGAUGCAUAUACAUAUAGGGGUAUUUGAGGACUAAAUUUCGUGUUUAUGGCUAAAUAAGGGUGGGAAAAGGACCAUUUUACCCCAAAAAUGGAGUGUUUAAGUCACUUGUGUAGUAAUGUAUGCGGCGCACAGCUUAUCGCAUAAUAUAGGUUGUGCACUGUUUAUCACACACAUUAGGUUAUGCGUCACACACCUUAUGGAAUAAGUUAGGGUGUGCGUCGAACACCUUAUGGCAUAAGUUAGGGUUUGCAUUGUAUAAGUCAUAGUGGAAUAAGUCAUCCUUAUCCUUUAUAUAGAGCUCUUGUAAAUGUGUGCAUUAUGCAACGCACACCCUAACUUACAUGACUUAUGCGACGCACACCCGAACUUAUGCCAUAAGGUGUGCGACGUACACCCUAAAUUAUGCCAUAAGGUGUGCGACACACAACCUAAUGUGUGCGAUAAAGAGUGCACCGCACAACCUAUAUUAUGUGAUAAGGUUUGCGCCGCAUAUAUUAUUACUCAAGUGACUUAAACACUUCAUUUUUGGACAAAAUGGUCCUUUUCCCACACUUAUUUAACCAUAAACACAAAAUUCAAUUCCCAAAAUACACCUUCAUUUAUCAAAAUUGCUCAAGAACUCUCCUUAGGGUUUCAAAAUAAAAACCCAAGCAACUCAAGAUUCAACUGUGAGUUUUUGAAACUAAUUGAAUAUUUGGAAUCCCCAGAACGUAGGCUUCAAGAAGCACCUAUUAUCUUCGCAUAUAGAGGUACGUAGGGUUAUCUCGAAAAUCUCAUGAGCUUAAAAAUUCAUGUUUUAAAAAUGGGGGUUUUGAAAUUAUAAAUGUAAUUCUGUUUUAAACAUUUUAUGAUAAUGAUUUGGUCUUUAGGCCUAUUCCCAAAGUGGUUUGAAAUAUGAUAUAUGUAUAUGCAUGUAUUCUGAUAAGAUUUUAACUUGAGAGCAAGAAUUAUGUGAAAUUCCUCUUUUUAUAUGAUCUCAUUUUAAAUUCUCAUAUGAUGUGAAAUAGUUGAAAUCAUCUUGACAAGCGUAACAUGAAAUAUUUUGAAAAUGGUCUUGGUUUUGAUUUGCAAUGAGAGGGUUGUUAUGUUAAAAUAUGAUGAAUAUAAUGGUUGCAUGAAAGAAUGAUGUGAUAUUGAUGACUUGCAAGUCGGGUAUGACGAUACCCUAUAGAAUAAGAUAUGCGAUUAAAUUAAAUAGAGUUUGAUGCAUUGAUUUUACAUGAGAUAGGUGGAUGCCCUAAGAAGUUAUUUGAGUGUAAGGGCUCAUCAUUGGAAACCAUGUUUGCCGACAUGGGGAUUUGAUACCAGGCUAAGUGAUCUUGUGUACUUGACUUUAUGUCAUUCCCAAAUUGGGACUAUGGUUAGGAGCCCAGGCUAAGUGAUCUUGGUCACUACUAUACUUUAUUGGGUUAAGACACCCUGCUGUGUGAUCUUAUGUGUCUUCCCCUUACUUAUACUCUAAUCUCGGCGACAACCGAGAUUUGAUAGUUGGUGUAAAUGGUAUAUGUAGGGUAUUCCACCUAGCUCAGCUGCAUUACAUUGUUGUUGAAAACUAUUACAUUAUGCCCAUGUGUUUUCAAAUGAUUUGAUAUGAAAUUGCUUUAUAAUGGCUCUCACCUAUAUUUGUAAAAAAAUAUUAUAUUUUGUUUUUGGUUUCUCUGCAUACUAGUACUUUUGUAUUGGCCCCCUUCCCUCCCAGGUUUGGAGGCAUAGUUUAGGGUUCUAGAUAACCAGUAUAUCUCUUUUGGCAGAUUUGCAGAAUCAAGUGGUGAGCCUUCUAUAUUUUGGAAAGACUGAUGUCUGUCAGUUCAUUUAUCAUUUAGUAGUUUUAGGUCUACUGGUGGCCUUGUCCCAGUUUUCAGAUAGUAAUUUGUUUCAGUCAUGUAUUAGAGAGUUCGCAGAUGGUUGUUCAGAUAUCGAUAUAUGUUGUGGGACAUUAUUUCCCCUCUGUUGAUUUCAUUUGAUUUAUGACGGUGUUUUUCGUAAUAUUGUGUAUCUUCCGCAUAUCUUAUUAUCAUAUAAAUUAUGUGCAUGAUUACCAGAUAUAUAGGGGUGUUUCGGGCCUUCAUGGCUCAGAAUACUCAUCACGAUCAGGGCCACGGUUUGGGUUGUGACAAACUUGGUAUCAAAGCACGGUUCAUGGUCCCAGAGUAUCUGUGAAAUUGCAUCAGGUAGAGUCCUGUUUAUGGGUGUGUAGUACGCCAUACUUAUAAGCAAGAGGCUACUAGGCGUUUAGGAAUGUCUCUCUUUCUUCAUGUUCUAGUUUGUGCAAUAGAGUCAGAAUGUUUCUCUUCCAUAAUCUAAUUCGUGCUAUGGUGUCGCCCAUAUGAAUGUAAAAAAAAAAGUCAUCCCAAAUUCUUUCCUUACUCUAAUGUCCUCAGAUAUGUCUCAUUAUUAAGGUGAUUCAAGUGCAAAAGUUUAGAAUCUAAAUGGUAUGGUCUUUUUUGAUUGAACCAUAUAAGAGUUAAAAUUUGUGCAAGGACUUGAGAAGAGUCCGUUAGUGCUUCAAUGUGUAUUGAUUCCGAUGUAAACAUUGAUCCUGAUAGAAUCGUGCUUUUCAACUUGAGGUAUUAAUUGUAUUUAGUCCCUUUCAAAUUUAUGUUAGAAAUGUCUUGCUUAAGGGGGAGGAUGAUGUGUAGUAGAAUGUUGGAACUAUAUUUCCACCUGAAUAGUAGUAUGCAUUAAAGUGUUGUUGUCAUGACCUACUGGUAGUAAAAUUAGACCAAGUUGGUGAUGUGAAGUCACAAAGUUAGAAGUCAGAGCGAGGGUGACUUUUGUGUAAAUGAAUAUUUUAAUUGAAUAACCGAUGUUCGAGAAUGAUUUACCCCCUUAUGGUGAUAGACUAAUGUGGUAACUAGUAGCAUGUGUGGAGGAUAUGGUAGUCCGUGGAGGAGGUGUUUAACUCUGAUUUUUUUAUACAGAGUAAGAUGUGUAUUCUUAGUUCAUUGGAUAUUGCGUAUUAAAUUUCUAUCUCAUGUAAUCUUGUCAUCAAGGUGUUGUUGAAAAAAAUAAAGUCUAGUGAAGCCNNNNNNNNNNNNNNNNNNNNNNNNNNNNNNNNNNNNNNGUUUAAUAUAUAUAUAGCUGAAUCUGUUUGCAUGAGAUUGAGUUGGUAACGAGGUGAUUUAUCCUUGUGUGGUUAGUUUAGAGAAGGUAGAGAAGGAGUUGUUAGUUAGGGUGAUUUCUCGAUUGCUUGAAUUGUGAAAAUGGCUAUAUUAGCCAGUAAGUUAUAAGUAUAGACUCAUGGUUGUUUGUGGAAUUUGAAGGUAGUCUAAAUGUAUGUUUACGUAAGUAAGUAUGAGGUGAGAAUUCCGUAUAAGUAGAAAAGAUUGUAUGGGGUUAUAAUAUAAGAUUAAGGUUGAUCAUGUCUAUUAUUUAACUUUACCCCUUGACCUUCUUUUCAUUGGUAAUCGUAAAAUAGUACUACUUGUGAGAAGGUAUGUAGUGAUUUUUGAGGCGCUUGUAUAGUAUGUCCCAAAUUUUAUGGACAAACAUAUUAUGUUGCAUUUUUCAGUAGUGAUAGAUGAUUGGUACAGGACUAUAUGCUUGAAUUUAAUGUAGAAUGUGGUGGUAAAAAUAGUGGCAUGAGAUUAAUGAUGUAUGUUUUGUGGGAAAAAAUUAGUAGGCUUGAUGUGUUAAAAUAGUACGUGCUAAUGAGUUAUCAUAAGGAAGACCGUAAGGUCAAGAUCAAUUAUUUGUUGUUUGGAAGUUCUAGUCUACUAGUGUUUCUUGAUGUCUAUUUCAUGGUAUCCAAGUGAGAAUCAUGCGUAAGGUUGGGUUGUAAAAUCAUGGUUAGCACUAGACCUUAAGUUUUGAACAAUUGAUGUCCAUGAAGGUGGAUGUGAUGAUUUCUUGGUUAAUGAUACUAGUUUUAUGGAAGUAAUCUAAUUGGCUUGAACGAUAUAUGCAAGAGCUUAAGUUUAUUUGAUUCGUAGUUAGGUAUGAUGUUGCAUAUAUAAUGUAGAAGUAUGCCCAAGGUGAUUUGAGGUUACGGUAUUUUCUAAGACUAUUACACGUUUUGUGUGACGAGUGGUACCGUUGAGUUGCUAGGUGGAAAAAGACUAGUUAGAUGGUAUAUGGUGCUCUAAAUAGCCAAGUUAAGGAGUUUUGAUUGAUAGUGUUGAGCCUUUUUAUAUGAUCUUGAUUCUCAUAGUAGAGAGAUGUAAGUUUGGAGUCGCGAUAUUGGUAGGCUAUGUCGGAAGUAGUAUGAUUCAUUGAAGGCUUGGUAAUAUCCAUGUUGAGUGCUAGAUUCUAAGUUUGAGUUUUAAAGGUUGAACUAAUAGAAAAAAAGUUAAAGCACUAGAGAGUGUGCACUCCGACUAUAGGGAUACCCAUGAAGACCCAAAGUUAGUAAGUAUGCAAGUAUUAUAUGAUCACUACUGGGUCUAUAGAAUGAUAAAGUGUAUCUCAGAAGGUAGUAUUAACAGUGGGUUUUCCACUUUCAGGUGUAGUCAUUCGNNNNNNNNNNNNNNNNNNNNNNNNNNNNNNNNNNNNNNNNNNNNNNNNNNNCUUCGGUUUAGAGGCGAGUAAGGGAUCUCCCAAACUUAAUAUGAUUGCUUGAAGCUAAGGGGGGGAUGAUAGAGUGAAUAACGAAGUCAGGCUUUCAGAUUCUAGUAGUGAUGUCAGUAUGACAUAGAACAUCAGAAGGGAAGAGUGAGGCUCAACCUAUUCCGAUCUCAGUAUAUUUCGGUUAUCCUAAUACCUACUCAUACCUCACAUUUUAGUUCUAUGAUCAUAGUUUUGCAUUAACAGAUGUGCUUCUUUACACCUGAAGAAAAGAUACUUAGGCCAUCAGUAGCUGUUGAACCCAAGCCAUAAGGUAAAGAUGCUUAUUAUUUUGUCCAUUCUCGUCUAAUGCUGUGAUAAGUCAUCUAUUUCCUAUCUCUCUUUAUUCUCAUUUCAAGCUUUCUAUUUAUUAGAUGAAGAAAAGGGUUUCAUGUUACUAUGUCGUUUGGCUUCAAAAUUCUUUCCUUGUCCUUCAAAUUAAUUUUGGGAGUUGCGCAUGGAUACAAGCUUUCAACAUUGAUUGGAAAAUUAACUAAAUAUGAUUGAAAAGUAGCUAUAUUGUGAUUUCAUCUGUUCUCCCUUGCAUGGAUAUUGGUUGAGAAUCCUCCUAUACCUUCUCUGGCUGGUCCUGUUCCUGGUGCUAUUCCAUCUAUGUCACUGCAAGUAAAUUUGUGGAGGCUUGGGGGAGGGAUAAAUGACUUUUGAAUGUAGAGACAUUAUGAUAACUAUUUUCCCCACAUCUUUAGCAGUUCCAGCCUAUGCUUCCAGGCCAGCAGGCACAACCUUAUGGUUCUGGGUCACCUCAACAAUUUCUGCCACUUGGACAUGCAAAUGUUGCGAUGUCUCAACCUUCUCAAAUCCAAUUUCCUCAACCUAUGCAACAUGUUACUGGUAGACCUGUAGUAGGAAUGCAUAGUAUGCCUUAGGGCCCACCUAUUCCCCAUGAUUUUCAGCAAAAUCUUCCGAUGUCAAAUAACCUUCCAUUCAUAUAUUGAUGAAAUACAUUUUGUUAUCAUAUUUAACAGCAGGUAAAUGCAGAUUCUUUUAGCUCCCAGUAUCAGACACAGAUAAAUGAUCACAGGUUUCCAUCAGAGGUACAACCCUGGAUGCCAAUAAGUAAUCAUAAUGUGAAUUCUGUGACAACUAUGCAGAAGACUGGAGGAUUAGCAGCUCCCUUGGUUGUUCCAGGGAGAAUUCAAUCCGUUUUAUUAUACCCGUUUUGCAUAAAUAUUGUCAACCAGUAACAUGCUUAAGUUAAUCGGUUAAUGGGUGUGUGUUGACUGAAAGAGUCAACAUUUGAAUUCUAUGAUAGUUUUUUGAAAGCAAAUUAAGAUUCCAGUGAACAGAAAAGGUGUAAAACCGUGGUAUACAAGAAACGGAGCUCUACAAUAAUAUCAUUUUCAUUCAGAUCCAAUCUUUUUACCACUUUGUGUUCUCCAGACAGAAAAAAGAGCAUGCCGAUUUGGCUUUCCGAAAUUCUUGCUUUUGGAUUAUAAUCACAUAGGUUACUCAUAUGAAUAGGUUAAUGUAUGCAUCACAAACACUUAAUGUCUUGUCUAUGAACAAGUGGUGGUUAUGUUGGCCCCCAUCAUUGCCAAGAAAUCCCUCAAGUAUCCACAUCUAGUGCUUUGUACAUCAUUCUGCUUCUAUUAGCACUGGAGAUAAUAGGCCCCUUUGUUUCAGUCCUCUUUGUCAAAGUUAUCAUAUGGGUUGCCGUUCACCACUACCAAAUUCUACCUGACUGUUCAUCAGCAGAACCUGAUACACCUCUGCCGAUAACUUCAUUUUGACCCCAUUUCUCUAUUAUCAUACAUAUUUUACAUGUGGCUAAAUGCUAGUAUGUAUUGCUAUUUUCAGCAUCUUUUGAUGAUCAUUAGGCAAAUUAUGGUUGCUAAUGUUGUCAUAUUUCCUAUGGCUUUAUUACUCCAACCAAUUAAUAACAUUCUUACAAUUCUUGAAUUGAUUUUUAGAUACUAUUAUAAUAGAGGACAAAAAUCUCUCCUUGGGAGAAACCUCGACAGCUGAUGACAGAAAUGGAGGUGAGGUCUCGUGUCAUCAAUAUUUUUAUGGGUAGUUUUAUCCAGUUCCCUGUGCUUAUCAAUGAAAAAAGAAGUACACAAUUCUUUUUCUAUGAAGCUUCGGAGAACCACUUUUUCUUUCCUAAGUAUAUGUGAUUUCUGUUGAAAGUUUGUUUAGCGAGCAGAUUUUCUCGAUCUUACUAUACUAUGUAGGCUUCAUUUGGGAUUUGAAUUGACUUUUUAUUUCUAAUAUAGUUCUAAAAUAUUUUAUAUUUAACACUAUUGUUCUAAAAAAUGUGUUUAAGCAUACAAGGCCGGAUUAUAUUUGGUCUAUUUUAAACAAUUUUAUUUACUUUCUGAUUAAUGUAAUGUUAUUGUAACUCUAUGGCGAUAUGGAGAGAGGAAACUUGAUAUAAUAUUGCGGUUCACACUUCUCAUUCUGGUUUACAGAAUAAUAGUUUGGCUUGUUGCACACUUGCACCCAAGAGUGUGACCUAGUGGUCAAUGAAGUAGAUUGAGAACCAUGAGGUCUCAGGUUUAAUUUCCAAUAGAGAUAAAAACACUAGGUGAUUUCUUACCGUCCGUCCAAUCCUUGAUGGACAGAGUUACCCAGUAUCUGUGCUGGUACGUUGUAGCAGUACCUGGUGUAACUAGUCAAGGUGUAAGCUGGCCCAAACACGACGGUUAUCAAAGAAAGUUUAGCUGGUCGUGAGGGACAAGUAUUAAGGGACCAACAACUAGAGCUGUAAGGAAGUUUGAACUUUUUUAUUCUUUUUCUUUUGAGAUAAACAAUUUUUUUUUUGGAGAUAUUACUUUGUAUUCGUCAACGUUAAGGUUAUGCUAGCAGUCCAAAAUAAAUGAAAAAUAAUGAAAAUAAUGCGAGGAUUCGAAGAGAUCUACUACCUGUUAUGCAUCCUGUACUCAUUGGCCCUUAAACGAAAAACAAAAAUCUACAAUGCUAUUCCAUUUAAUUUUCUGAAUGGAAUUAUAUUUAUCUUCAAAAUACCUUCAACUUUUCUUGCUCCAUACAGUCCACCAAAUACAAGGAAGGAUUGUUCUCCCCUAUUUCUUCUAACUCAUGCUAAUCCCCUUUAAUCCAACAGCUCAACAGAUUGUUGUGUGUUCUUUGAUAGUCCACUUUACUUCAACUCCAUAGAUCUGGUAUGUGUUCUGGCAUGGUCCACUUUACUUCUAUUAAACUAAAGGUGUCAAAUGGGCGGGGUUGGAUGGAUUUGGGUGGAUCAAAGAGGUCUGAGUUAAUAAAUGGGUAGGUUAUUAACCUUCCCUAAAGCUACUUAGGCUGAAAUGGGUUGGGUUGAAAUGCUCUAAAAUGCGGGUCAUAACCCAUCCCACCCAAUUUGAACUCAGAUUUAAUUGCUUUAUUUGUUAUUUUAUAAACCUUUAGUACUUGAAAAAUUAUUAUCUUUUUGUUUAACUUGGUAACUUUGUAUUAUAUCACACAGUACAUGGGUUGUACUGAAACCUUUAUAUACAAGAGUACUCCUAUAUCGACUGUUCUAUAUCUAAACUUAGUCUACAACAUCAAUUAUCGAGGCAGUAUCAUUAGAGUAUAGUUGAUUACACCAAAAACAUAGAAGCAAAAUGCAGUUGAGUUUAUCCUUUUGCACACUAUUCUCUAUGCUCUCAAAACAUUUAGAAUUCCUUUCUUUCCAUAUAACCCACCAUAUAACACCAGGGAUAAUUCUCCAUCUAUCUCUAUCCUACGCAUGUACACCUGCUUCUCCCAGCACAUUAAAGUCUCGGUUACUUUCCUAGGCAUUGUCCUGGAAAUGCCUUUUAGUCUUAAGAUGAUUCUCCAAAGUUGUUGGGUGUACUUACAAUGUAGAAAUACAUGGUUAACCAUCUCUAAAGUUUCUCCACAGAGGAAACAUCUGGAGCACAAGGUUUUCCAUUUCUUCAUGACAUUAUUUUGUGUAAGAACUACUUCCUUGGUCAGUAACCAGACAAAGACAAAGCACGACACUGUGUGAGGUAUCCUACUUUUCCAUAUUUGCUUCCAUGGCCAUCUUGGAUCUGGGUGAUUUAUUUGGUUCAUCAUCUUGUAGGCUUUGUUGACACUGAACAUUCCUUUUUCAUUUCCCAUCCAUCAUAGUACGUCCUGCACUGUCUACAGUCUAUUGAAUAAGUCCACGGUAUUAAAAAAAUCAACUACUCUUAUUACCUUCCGGUCAUUAAAUUGCCUUCUAAAAUUGAAGUUCCACCCAUGUGGUGUCCAUAAUUCUUCUAUAGUCCUCUAUUGAAACAAUACCAAGUUGUAGAUAUCUGGAAAAAAUCACUUCCAUAUUCCCAUCCUCAUGUCAAUUAUCACUCCACAACCUAGUCUUGUUUCCAUCCAUCACUUUAACCUUUGAGUUGCUUUUAACUUCAUUCCACUAAUGUCUAAUAGAUCUAAUAGAUCUCUGGAGGCUAACCCUGUAUGGUGUGGUCACUUCUUUAGUCAUCCAUCUAUCUUCUUCAGGAUAUUUAGCCCCAAUCACUUUCCUCCAUACCAGCUAGUUAUUGUUUGCAUAUUUCCAUAACCAUUUCAUCACGAGAGCCUUACUUUGAAUUUUUAGGUUCUUUAUCCGCAACCCUCUAGUCUUCUUGUCAAUUGUCCACCACAGAGAGCACUACCGCUUUUUCUCACAUAUCUUUGUUCCUUAUUCUAUCUCUCGUAGUAUGCCCACACACCAAUCUCAACAUCCUUAUUUCUGCUACGUUUAUGUUUCAAACAAGCGAGCUCUUGACCAGCCAAACACUCUGCCCCAUGUAAGAUAGCUAGUAUAACAACCACUUUAUAAAUUUACCUUUAAGUUUAUUUUAACAAAAUUCUUAUACAUGGCAUGCUAGUUACUAUCUCUUUUGCAAGAGCUAAUUAGGACAAAAAACACAUGUUCAAAAAUUGAUUCAUCGAAAAAAAGCAUAACUAUAGUUUAUGAGUUUCAAACGUGUCCAAAUGGAGACAAAAUUAUGGGUGGGCUGUGUUGAGUAUGGAACUUAGAACCUCAGUGCAGGAUUUGAACACCCUUACUGUCACACUCAGUCUUGUUUUUUGUGGCAAGGGUGUUCAUUAAAAAAUACUUAGAAAUGACAGAAUUUGACCUAUAUAUAUAUACAAAAUGCGAUUAUCAGGCGAAUGUUGUUCAGUUGAUCACCCUUGGAUAGCUGUAGCUCGGCCGCAGCUUUGCAAUGUUUCCACCCUGCUUGUAGUUAUAUUCUACACAGUACAUUCUAGUCCUUUUCCAUGUGGGACAUUAUAUCAUUCAUAUUCUAACACUUCCAUCAAGUAUUGUACUGGUGGAAGUUACUGACUUCUACUCUCAGGGUACUAUUUAUGUUCUAUUUUUUGACUUGACCUGCUUUCAUGCUGUUUUCAUUGGGACAGAGGGCAGACACAUCAACUGACUGGAGAGAAUUUACAAGUCCUGAGGGAAGAAAAUGUGUAACUUAUAUAUUUUCUUGGCCUCUUUCCAAUUGUUCUUCUACAGUGGGUACUUUUGUGUGUUACUUGUGCAUAAUGCUGAUUGCUUUGUUUGUUUUCUAUAGGUAUUACUACAACAAGGUUACUAGAACGUCCAAAUGGAGAAUGCCUGAUGAAGUCAAGGGGAUGUUAGAUUUAAAUCCGAUAUGGGUUUGUUCCGUGCUUUAAAUAGCAUGAUAAGAAGGGAUUGUUCUGUGCUUUAAAUAGCAUGAUAAGAAGGGACAAUAUUCUAUUUUCUUGGAUGCUCUAGUUCUCAUAAAAUCUUUAUGCAUUCACAGUUGCUAGUAUGAUAAGAAGGGGCAAUAUUCUAUUUUCUUGGAUACUCUAUUCUCAUAAAGUUCAAUUAUUUGUAAAUUCACAGUUGGCUUGUGAAAAGGACACCAUAUCGCACGGUUCUGCUUUUGGAUCCAUUUCUGUUGUUAAAACAUCAUCCUCGGGUGCAGAUGAUUCAUUAGUAUUGGCACACGGUGCUAAAUCAAGCUUAAUUGCUGUGUCACCAGCUACUAACUUACCAACUAUUGUGGCUUCAGAAUCAUCAAGUUUAUCUGGUAAGGUUUCUUCUCCGAUGAUUGAAACAGUCAAAAUAAAGAAUUCUUCAGAACCUGCUUCGCCAGCUGUUGCUAAUUCAGAGAAAAUUGGAAUAGCAGUAACCUUGGGAAAUUCUGUCGUGCCAUCGAUAUAUGUUUUCAGAUUUAUAUGUUAUAAAUUUCCCUCUAGUUUGUUUUGCUUCUUAUUUGGAAUUCAAUUUUUCAAUAGUUCUGAGACUACUACAACUCAAGAUGCAGUAGUGUAUGGUGAUGGAUUUUCUUCGGAGAAUAAAGAGGUACUUUGUCCUUCUAAAAUACUUAUGCGAUUAGUUAAUUACUACUGGUUACUGGUUAAAACACCAAGAAAGCUUUUCCGUAGCUGUUAUGCUGGAUGUUGAUCCAACAAUUUUGUAGUGCAGUUGUUAGUCAACUGCUAACAGGUGAAGAAUAUGCUCCGAAUUCCAAUGAGGUUUUCUUUUGUCCUUUGUUCUUGAUAUUGUCCCUAAAAUGCAAAAUUUCAAGAAAGAUGCUGCAAUAACUAAAAUAGGACGUGUUACUCCAUCAGCUGAGAAAACAGUCGAGCUAGGACCAUUAGUUUAUGAGAGCAAAGCGGUAUAGUUGAUUAUUGCUUUUUGUCCCGUUUAAGGUAUGUUCUCAAAAUUUCUCUUAUUUCUAUUUUAAGUAUUUGAUUUUAUUUAGGAGGCAAAGAGUGCAUUCAAAACUCUUUUGGAAUCAGCAAAUAUUGGGUCUGAUUGCACGUGGGAUCAGGUUUAUUACUUUACUAUUUUGUGCAUACCAAAUAAUUGAGGGAGAUCAUUUGACAUGAGUUGUAUUUAUCAGGCCAUGAGAGCAGUAAUUAAUGACCGGAGAUAUGGUGCUCUAAAAUCCCUUUGUGAGCGGAAGCAAGCUUUUAAUGAGGUAUCUCUCCAAGUCGGCAUUGGAAUGGGUUAAUUGCUGCUUCAAUGUUUCAGCAUACCAUAUUGCAAAAAGAUAGAUUGUGUUUGAUAUUCAAUUGUUUCAUGUUUGGUCGACUUAAAUAUUUUGGAAAAUAUUUUCCAAAUCAACUUAUUUUCCUUAAAUUUAAGGAAAAUGAAUUCCCUUCAAAAAGUAGGAAAAACAUUUUCCAAAACUCUCUUUCAAUCUCACUCUUAAGUUGAAAUGUUUAUACAACUCUCAAAUGUAUUUUCUGAAAAAUAUUUUUUUAUUCACCAACCAAACACUAGAGAACAUUUUCUGAAAAAUGUUUUCAUUUCAUCAACCAAACAUAAGAAAACAAAUAAAAACCAACUUGUUUUCUAAGAAAACAUUUUCCUUAAUACCAAACACACCAAAGGUCUAUAGUGAUCAUUUUGAAGUUGUGUGUCUGUUCCAGUAUCUAAGCCAAAAGAAAAAACUGGAAGCUGAAGAGAGGCGUGUUAAACAGAAAAAAGCUCGGGAAGAUUUUAGGAUAAUGUAGAAGUAAGUGAAAUUUUCUUUUGUGGGUGUCUUGCAUUUGAUAUAUCAUGAUAUUCGCAUUACCAGUUUCAAAAAUAUAAAGAUAUUAUCAUAAUAUUCAUGGUGUGUUAGAUACUGGUAUUUGACUUGUUCAAAAGAAUAAGUGGUAUUUUUCACAACAAUGUCCGUUGUUCUCAAUCUUAUAGGAUUGCAAGGAGCUGUCACCAUCGUCAAGAUGGAGGUUUGUCUAUCACUUUUAAUGUUAAGUUGUCUGCUGCUUGUUUUCUAAUCUUGGUCAUUGUUUGAAUGUGUUUUGGUACCUUGAAGUUGAUCCAUUACUUGUGUAAGUUCCAUUUGAUCCACUAACUAUUUGAUAUUGAUUAUUCAGUAAGGCAAUCUCCAUAUUUGAACAUGAUGAACGUUUUAAAGCUGUUGAGCGAGCUAAAGACCGUGAGGACCUUUUUGAAGAUUAUGUGGAGGAACUUGAGAAAAACUAUUUGCUAUUGAUUAUUUAGCAAGGCAAUCUCCAUAUUCAAACAUGAUGAACAUUUUAAAGCUAUUGAGCGAGCUAAGGACCUUUUUGAAGAUUAUGUGGAGGAACUUGAGAAAAAGGUGAAGCUCCUUUUGCAGAACUUUUUUGUAAGCUUCUAUAUGUUAAAAACUAAGUGUGCGGACUAUAGUUUCUUUAUAUGGUCUUUGGCUCCUCAAAAAUUGAGUUAGCCUUUCAUUUGAGAUAGAAACAAGGUCCAAUUUCUUAAAUAUGGUAUUAGAGGCAGAUCUAUCUUGAUGUUAUACAAUUAAAUGUUACCCAACCUAGGUUAACUAAUGCUACAAAUGUCUAGUCUUGGUGUGUGAUUAAUGUAUGAGAAUCCCACACUAGUAAGGUGUAUGUGCUGUAGUUUCCUUAUAUGAUCUUGGACAAUCUUCACCACCUGACCUAGUUUUUGAAGUUGAGUUAGGCGCUGGUCCACUUGAUCCCAAUUGAUCCUUAUGGAAUCGUGCUUUCCAGGUUAUGGUAUUAAGUGCAUCUAGUCCCUCCCAAAAAUCUUGAUAUAGAUGUAGACGGUGUAUAGCAGAAUGUUGGAAAUGUAUUUCCACCUGAAUAGUAGCAUAAGUUAAAGUGUUGUUGUCAUAACCUAUCGGUAAUAAAAUUAGACCAAGAAGUUAGUGAUGUGAAGUCACAAAGUUAGAAGUCAAAGUGAGGGUGAUUUUUGGUGUAAAUGAAUAUUUUAGUUGAAUAACCAAUAUUUGAGGAUGGUUGACCCCUUUAUAGUGAUAUACUAAUGUGGUAGUUAGUAGCACGUGUGGAUGGUAUGGUAGUCUAUGGGGAAGUAUUUUACUCAGAUUUUUAUUUAUACAGAGUAAGAUGUGUAUUCUUAGACCAUUAAAUAUUGUUUCAAUUAUAAAGCAGUUUUAUAUCAAAUCAUUUAAAAACACAUGGGCGUGAUGUAAUUGUUUUCAACAAUCAUGUAAUGUAGCUGAGGUAGGUGGAAUACCCUAUAUAUCACAUUUACACCAACUGUCAAACCUCAUUUGCCGUCGAGAUUAGAGUAUAAGUGAGGGGAAGACACACAAGAUCACACAGCAGGGUGUCUCAACCCAACGGUAGUGCACAAGAUCACAAAGCAGGGCUCCUAACCAUAGUCCCAACUUGGGAAUGACAUAAAGUCAGGUACACAAGAUCACAAAGCAGGGUACCGAAUUCCCAUGUCGGAAAACACGGUUUCCAGAGAUAAGCCCUUACACUCAAAUGCCUUCUUCGGGCAUCUACCUAUCUCAUGUAAAAUCAAUGCAUUUAAAUUUUAUUUGAUUCAAUCACAUAUCAUAUUUUGUAGGGUAUCAUCAUAAUCGACUUGCAAGCCAUCAAUAUCACAUCAUUCUUCUCAUUCAACCAUUGUAUUCAACAUGUUUCAACACAAAUAGCCCUCUAGUUUUCAAGUCAAAAUCAUAUCAAUUCUCAAAAUAUUUCAUGUCAUGCUUUUCAAGAUGUUUUCAAACAAUUUACAUUAUAUAAACAUUUAAAACAAAUUCACAUCAAGAGAGGGAUUCUAUAUAAUCCAUGCUCUCAAAUUAACACCUUUUCGAAACACAUCCAUAUACAUAUAUAAUAUGUUAAAUCACUUUGAAAAUAGGCCUAAAGACCAAAUCAAUAUUAUAGUAAUGUUCAAAACAUGAUUAUAUUCAUAGUUUCAAAGCCCUCAUUGUAAAACAUGAAUUUAAAGGCCCAUGAGAUUUUAGGAUAACCCCACGUACCUCCAUAUGCGAAGAUGAUAGGUGUUUCUUAAAUCCUACGUUCUGGGGAUUUCAAAUAUACAAUUAGUUUCAAAAAUCCACGAUUGAAUCUUGAGUUGCUUGGGUUUUUAUUUUGAAACCCUAAGGAGAGUUCUUGAGCAAUUUUGAUGAAUGAAGGUGUAUUUUGGGGUAUUUGGGGACUGAAUUUUGCGUUUAUGGCUAAAUAAGGGUGGGAAAAGGACCAUUUUGCCCCAAAAAUGGAGUAUUUAAGUCACUUGAGUAGUAAUGUAUGCGACACACACCUUAUCUCAUAAUAUAGGUUGUGCGGCACACUCUUUAUCGCACACAUUAGGUUGUGUGUUGCACACGUUAUGCUGUACGACACACUCCAAUUUGUAAAGCCAUAACUUCUUCCUCGGGUGUCGAAUUUUUGUGAAAUUGGUAUCGUUGGAAAGAUAAUUCAAAGGCCUUUCAUUUGAUAUAUAUUAGACACUCUAAUUAAAUAUAUACAAAGAUUAAUGACCAAUUGAAGUUGACCCAAGUUUUGAUGCUUACUAAAACUCAAUCGAUGGAAAAGCUUUCAACUCGUCCUUGAGUUAGGGGACCUCUAUGAUCUCAAUUUAUGCUCAAAUAGAUUUGUACACCACAUAUUUGAUUAAAAAACUAUAUUCCUAAUAGAUUUAUUGUUUUUGGAAUGUGUACAAGUAGAAAUGACAAUUUACGUUCAAGUCUGAAAGUAUGGGGUGUUACAAAAAAUUAUUGGGUUAUUGGUUCGGUUCGAUUUUUUCUUAUUGGGUUUUUAGGUAAACCGAUAACCCAAUAAGAAUAUAUAUAUGACUUAUUAUAUAUUUAUCUUUUAUUUCUACAAAUUAACAAACCUAUUAUUUCAAUUAUAUAAACUCUUAAUUUCUCCUAACAACAUUUAGUUUAAACUUGAAGAUUGUUGUAAAUUUAAACACUUCAUGUAGGAUUUUUAUUGCAACUAAGAUUCAUUUUUACAUGUUUGUUACUACUAUUUCUAUUUUAUGAGUAUUUUCUUAUCGGUUAAAUCGAAAACCAAAUCAUUAAGGACUAAAAACCAAAAAAAAAUAUUUUAUUGGUUUGGUUAUUGGUUUAGUAUAUUAAAAAACCAAAAAUCAAUAAAUCUAACGAUAACAUGUAAAACCCAACCGAACUGACCGAUGCACUCCGCUAGACACAAAUGCUUUAAUUACUUGACAAAUUGUAUGAGAUGAACACAUUUUGCAUUACAAAUUGCGAUACAAGACUCGCAUAUAUAUAUUUAUUUUAACUUUAUAUGAUAGUCUAAGUAUUUAUUUGUGCAACACUCAAAAUUAAAUAUAUAAAUAUUUGUUGAUGAUGUCAAGUUGAAAACACAUUUAUGUAUUAUGUCAAACGUUUAAUUCCUUUUUUGAACUAUAGCUAUAACAUGUAGCAUGAGUGAAUGUACUCUAAUUUUAAGUUGAUGAAUUCACCUAACAUUACUACAAUUAGUAGAGUAAUGAGCAAAAUUAAAUUCAUUGCUAUUUAUUUAUAUUUUAAAAAAUCAAGGUGGAGUCAGAGAGCAAUUAUCAUAAUUAAGGAGGAGCUAAAGGUAUAAUUAAAUGAGAAGCAUGGAGUCUUUUGAUAGAGUGUAUUAAAAAAUUAAUAACAACAACAACAAUAAAUUCAGUGUAUUUCCACGUAGUGGAGUCUGGAGAGGGUAAGAUUACGUAGUCCAUAUCACUAUCUCCGGAGAAGUAGAAAGACUAUUUUCGAUAGACUCCCGACUCAAGACAAGGAAUAAUAAUCAAAUCUGUGAUAAAGCAUGGAAUGUAUUACGUAAAAAUUAAUCCAUCCAUUAAUUUAAUGUGUAUUGGUAGUCCCUUGUUUGAUAUAUAUCUUUUUAUCUUAUGUAUAACUAAUGCAAAACUUAGUUAUAUACUCUAUUGUGUAUUGAGGUGUGUAUUACUAAUACCUCAAAAUUUAUGACAUUAGUAAUGCAAUGGAUCUAAUGCAUGUAUUAACAUGCCUAAAGUGGGGGUAUUAUGUAAAAAAAAAUUAUGUAAUUCAUGUUAUUUUUAAUACUUUGAAUAAAAUACUGUAUAAGAAACAACAACAGCAACAACAACACUCAGUAUAUUCCCACAUAGUAGGGUCUAGGGAGGUUAGUGUAUGCAGAUCAUAUCACUACUCAGGUGAAGUAGAGAGGAUGUUUCUGAUAGACUCCCAGCUUAGGAUCAUAAUAAUAUACCAAACAUAAAAGAUAAAUGCAUAUAAACUAAUACGAUACGCAAAAAAAACUAAAAAUAUAACAAAUAUCAAAGAAUAUGUAUAUAAAUUAGUAUCGUAUGAAAAAAUAGUCAAUCUACCAAGCAGUGUCAGCUUUGUGUUGGGUGGUUGGUAGUCAAGAAAGUGUUAGCUUUUCCAAAAAGAAACCCCCCAAUAAAGAAAGAAGUCCCUCCACAUUCACCAUUGAUUUAAUGUUAUUUUUAAUACGUAGAAUCAACUACUGUGUAAAAAAAUAGAAGCAUAAUUAAUACAAAUAUUAUUAAUAUAUCAUAUUUUAUAUUAUUUUUAUGAAAUAAUAUUUUAUAUUAUUUUUAUUAGAAAAUACUCUAAUUAAUUUUGUUGAAAUUAUCUAUCUAUAUAAUAAAGGAGGAUAGUUUAGCCUAAAACUAAGACAAGUGUCAUAUUGAGAACUACCUAUUUGAAUUUUUACAACAAAAAANNNNNNNNNNNNNNNNNNNNNNNNNNNNNNNNNNNNNNNNNNNNNNNNNNNNAACAAAUAAAUGAAUGAAUAUAAGAAAAUCCGUAAUUAGGAAAAAAAUAAUUGUUACCUAAUUUGAGUUUUUAGCAAAUUAUAAAGAUAAUAAUAAUAAAUUGACCAUAAUUAAAUUAUAAAUUUAUAAGAAAUAUUUGAAAAAUAAAUUAGUAAUUAGGAAAAUAAAUAAUUGAUACCUUUUUAAAAUUCUUUCAAAAAUUAAAAAGGUAAUUGAUAUCAAUUUAAUGUAAUCAAUUUAUAAAAACAUGAGAAAUUCAUGGGAUUGAAUUUCCGAAAUUAUAAAGGUUAUUAAGAUCAAUUAUUUUCGUAUUUGAGCCCUUUAUACAAUUGUAGAUUAACUAAUUAUUUAUCAAGCUACAAAAUUAGGACAGAUUUAUGGUAAAUAACUAUCUAAUAAUAAUAAUAAUUUUAUUGCUAUCAAAUUAAUUAGAUUAAAUUGAACUAGAAAUUAGUUAAUAUUGACAAUUACUUUGAUAAAAAAAAUAUAUGGAAAGAUUCGUAAUUGAUAUACAUAUAUUGGUAAAAAAUCAAUGAAGGUUGACUAUUAUUUUAGCUAUAAAUAUAUUUUAAAAUUUACAUACAACAUUAAAUUUAAGGAACUUGAGUCUAUAUAUUAUGAUCAUAAAAUUGAUUCUAAUUAAUUGAAAUUAAUUAGUUGAUUGUAUAGUUUUAUUACAACAAUUUCGUACAUCAUUUAUUUAAUAAAAAUACAUAUAAUUAAUUGAUUGAUUUUGUGCAAUCUACAAUAAUUUUAUUAAUUCAAAUGAAAUGAUUUUUAAAUGAUAAGUUUGGAUUAUAAAAAUAAAGGUGAUUAUUGUAUGACUUUAGCAUUUCUUAUUUAUUAAAAAAUAUUUAUAGACAAAAAAAUGUCAUCACUCAAAAUAAUUAAAUUUGAACUAUUUUAGUGAAACAAUGAAAGAUUGAAUAUAAGAAAAUCCAUAAUUAAGAAAAGAAAUAAUUGUCACCUUAUUUGAGUUUUUAGCAAAUUAUAAGAUAAUUAAAUAAUCAAAUUGUAAAUUGAUAAGAAAUUUUUGAGAAAUAAAUUAGUAAUUAGGAAAAGAAAUAAUCGUUACCUUUUAAAAAUUCUUCACAAAAUUAUAAAGUUAAUUAAUAAAAAUUUGAUAUAACCAAACUAUAAGAAUAUGUGAAAUUCGUGGGAUUAAAUUUGUGAAAUUAUAAAAGUAAUUAAUAUUAAUUUUUUCCAUAUUUGAGUCCUUUAUGUAAUUGUAGAUUAAUUAAAUAUAAUCAAGCUAUAAAAUUAGGAUAUAUUUAUGGUAAAUAAAUANNNNNNNNNNNNNNNNNNNNNNNNNNNNNNNNNNNNNNNNNNNNNNNNNNNNNNNNNNNNNNNNNNNNNNNNNNNNNNNNNNNNNNNNNNNNNNNNNNNNNNNNNNNNNNNNNNNNNNNNNNNNNNNNUAUAUUUUAAAAUUUACAACAUUAAAUUUAAGGAACUUGAUUCUAUAUAUUAUGAUCAUAAAAUUGAUUCUAAUUAAUUGAAAUUAAUUAGCUGAUUGUGUAAUUUUAUUACAAUUAUGUUGUACAUCAUUUUUUAUAUAAAAAUACAUAUAAUUAAUUGAUUGAUUUUGUGCAAGCUACUACGAUCAUAUUAAUUCAAAAACAACGAACACUAACUUCUACUUAUGCAAAGUUUCGUAAUUGAUAUACAUAUAUUGGUUACAAAAACAAUGAACAAUAACUUCUACUUUAGCCAUAAAUAUAUUUUAAAAUUUACAACAUUAAAUUUAAAGAACUUGAGUCUAUAUAUUAUGAUCAUAAAAUUAAUUUUAAUUAAUUGAAAUUAAUUAGUUGAUUGUAUAGUUUUAUUAGAACAAUUUCGUGCAUCAUUUAUUUAAUAAAAAUACAUAUAAUUAAUUGAUUGAUUUUGUGCAAUCUGCUAUGAUCUUAUUAAUUCAAAUGAAAUUAUUUUUAAAUGGUAAGUUUGGAUUAUAAAAAUAAAGGAGAUUAUUGUAUGACUUUAACAUUUCUUAUGUACUAAAAAAGAUUUAUAGAUAAAGAGAUGUCAUGCCUCAAAACAAUUAAAUUUGAACUAUUUUAGUAAAACAAUAAAUGAUUGAAUUUAAAAAAAUCUGUAAUUUAGAAAAUUAUAAAGAUAAUUAAAUAAUCAAUUAACUAUAAUAAAAUCAUAAAUUUAUAAGAAAUUUUUGAGAAAUAAAUCAGCAAUUAAAAAAAAUAAUCGACACCUUUUAAAAAUUCUUCCCAAAAUUAUAAAGGUAAUUAAUAUCAAUUUGAUAUAAUCAAACUAUAAGAAUAUGAGAAAUUAAUGGGAUUAAAUUUUUUAAAUUAUAAAGGUAAUUAAUAUCAAUUGUUUCCAUAUUUGAUUCCUUCAUUUAGUUGUAGAUUAAUUAAAUAUAUUCAAGCUAUAAAAUUAGGACAAAUUUAUGGUUAAAAAAUAUGUAAUAUUAAUAAUAAUUGUAUUGUUAUCAAACUAAUUAGAUUAAAUUGCGGUAAAAAUCAGUUAAUAUUGACAAUAAUUUUAACAAAGAAUAUGUGCAGAGUUCCGUAGUUGAUAUACGUGUAUUGAUUAAAAAAAACAAUGAACAUUGACUAUUACUUUAGCCAUAAAUAUAUUUUGAAAUUUACAACAUUAAAUUUAAAGAACUUUAGUCUAUAUAUUAUGAUCUUAAAAUUUAAUCUAAUUAAGUGAAAUUAAUUAGUUGAUUGUGUAGUCUUAUUACAAUUAUAUCGUACUUUAUUUAUUUAAUGGAAAUAUAUAUCAUUUAUUAACUGAUUUUGUACAAUCUACUAUGAUCUUAUUAAUUCAAAUGAAACAAUUUUUAAAUGGUAAGUUUAGACUAUAAAAAGAAAGGAGAUUAUUCUAUGACUUUAGUAUUUCUUAUGUAUUAAAAAAAGAUCUAGAGAUAAAAGAAAUAUAAUAUUAUAAUAUUUUUGGGUUAUUUAAUUAAUUUAUCGCGUUUCAAAAUAUUAUUUAUAUCAAUUCAGUGAUGUUUAUAUGGAAAAGUUAAAUUUUAAAAAAAUAAAUAUCUUAAAUUUCAUAAUUUAAGUUAAUUUGUGUGCUAAUUUGAAAAAGUUAAUUUAUAGUUUGCAUUUUAUUUCUAUUAUAUGAAAAAUUUGACCUCAUAUGGCUAUUUAUAGCCAUUGAAUAAUACAAAUAUUUGUUACACUUUUCUUUUCUCUCUCUCUCUCAUGGGUAUUUCUCAAGUUUUUCAUUAUGAGUAUGUAAAUAUUCACUUGCCAUAUACAUAUCCUUGUAAAUAUUUACUUACAAUUUACAGAUCCUUGUUAGUUGUAUAUAUCCAUUGUAUGAUGAUGAAUAAAAGACACAGAAAAAAAAGUUUUCUCCAUUCUAGUCUUUUGCUAUUUUUAUAUUUCAAGAAAAAAUAACAAGAAUCCUACAGAUUCUAACAACCUUUUGCUGGCUCUUACUCUUUCAACUCUUUGAUUCAGUAAUUUCUCUUUCUUUUUAUUAUUUACCAUGAUUAUUUGUUUUAUCAGAAGGAUUUGAUAAGUUCUUUGAAUUGUUCUUGUGAUAUUUGUUUGUGAGGUAUUUUAUUAAUUUUCAAUAGAAGACUAGUAGUAAAUAAUUUUGCGUCAUGUCUCUUCUGGUAGUAGUAUUAGUAUAUAUUUUUCUUUUCUACUUGUUGUAUUGUAUACCUCUGUUUUCUUACUUGCUACUAUUGUUAAUAUCCUCGUGUUUUUGCUUUCCUUACCGAGGAUUUAGGGGAAACAGAUUUUCUACUUGUCAAGGUACGGGUUAUGUAUGUUGUUGUUGAAGAAGAAGCAUGUAGAAAGAGAGAUUAUAAAAAGAAAGGAGAUUAUUGUCUGCCUUUAGCAUUUCUUAUGUAUUAAAAAAGAUUUAGAGACAAAAGUUGUCAUCCAUCAAAACAACUAAAUUUGAACUAUUUUAGUAAAAUAAUAAAAGAUUGAAUAUAAGAAAAUCUAUAAUUUAGAAAAAAAUAAUUGUUACCUUAUUUGAGCUUUUAGAGAAUCAUAAAGAUAACUAAAUAAUCAAUUGACUAUAAUCAAAUUAUGAAUUUAUACGUAUUUUUUGAGAAAUAAAUCAAUAAUUAGGGAAAAAAAUAAUCGUUACCUUUUUAAAAUUCUUCCCAAAAUUAAAAAGGUAAUUGAUAUCAAUUUAAUAUAAUCAAUCUAUAAAUAACAUGAGAAAUUCAUGGGAUAGAAUUGCCGAAAUUAUAAAGGUAAUUAAUAUCAAUUGUUUUCAUAUUUGAGCCCUUUAUGUAAUUGUAGAUUAAUUAACUAGAAUCAAGCUAUAAAAUUAGAAAAGAUUUAUGGUAAAUAAAUAUACAAUAUUAAUAAUAAUUUUAUAGUUAUCAAAUUAAUUAGAUUAAAUUGAGUUAGAAAUCAGUUAAUAUUGACAAUUAUUUUAAUAAAAAUAUAUGCAAAGUUUUGUAAUUGAUAUACAUAUAUUGGUUACAAUAACAACGAACACUGACUUCUACUUUAGCCAUAAAUAUAUUUUAAAAUUUACAACAUUAAAUUUAAAGAACUUGAGUCUAUAUAUUAUGAUCUUAAAAUUGAUUCUAAUUAAUUGAAAUUAAUUAGUUGAUUGUAUAGUUUUAUUACAACAAUUUCGUACAUCAUUUAUUUAAUAAAAAUACAUAUAAUUAAUUGAUUGAUUUUGUGCAAUCUACUAUGAUCUUAUUAAUUCAAAUGAAAUGAUUUUUAAAUGAUAAGUUUGGAUUAUAAAAAUAAAGGUGAUUAUUGUAUNNNNNNNNNNNNNNNNNNNNNNNNNNNNNNNNNNNNNNNNNNNNNNNNNNNNNNNNNNNNNNNNNNNNNNNNNNNNNNNNNNNNNNNNNNNNNNNNNNNNNNNNNNNNNNNNNNNNNNNNNNNNNNNNNNNNNNNNNNNNNNNNNNNNNNNNNNNNNNNNNNNNNNNNNNNNNNNNNNNNNNNNNNNNNNNNNNNNNNNNNNNNNNNNNNNNNNNNNNNNNNNNNNNNNNNNNNNNNNNNNNNNNNNNNNNNNNNNNNNNNNNNNNNNNNNNNNNNNNNNNNNNNNNNNNNNNNNNNNNNNNNNNNNNNNNNNNNNNNNNNNNNNNNNNNNNNNNNNNNNNNNNNNNNNNNNNNNNNNNNNNNNNNNNNNNNNNNNNNNNNNNNNNNNNNNNNNNNNNNNNNNNNNNNNNNNNNNNNNNNNNNNNNNNNNNNNNNNNNNNNNNNNNNNNNNNNNNNNNNNNNNNNNNNNNNNNNNNNNNNNNNNNNNNNNNNNNNNNNNNNNNNNNNNNNNNNNNNNNNNNNNNNNNNNNNNNNNNNNNNNNNNNNNNNNNNNNNNNNNNNNNNNNNNNNNNNNNNNNNNNNNNNNNNNNNNNNNNNNNNNNNNNNNNNNNNNNNNNNNNNNNNNNNNNNNNNNNNNNNNNNNNNNNNNNNNNNNNNNNNNNNNNNNNNNNNNNNNNNNNNNNNNNNNNNNNNNNNNNNNNNNNNNNNNNNNNNNNNNNNNNNNNNNNNNNNNNNNNNNNNNNNNNNNNNNNNNNNNNNNNNNNNNNNNNNNNNNNNNNNNNNNNNNNNNNNNNNNNNNNNNNNNNNNNNNNNNNNNNNNNNNNNNNNUAUCAUGUUUCAAAAUAUUGUUUAUAUCAAUUCAGUGAUGUUUAUAUGGAAAAGUUAAAUUUUGAAAUAAUAAAUAUCUUAAAUUUCAUAAUUUAAGUUAAUUUGUGUGCUAAUUUGAAAAAGUUAAUUUAUAGCUUACAUUUUAUAUCUAUUAUAUGAAAAAUUUGACCUCAUAUGGCUAUUUAUAGCCAUUGAAUAACAAAAAUUAUUUGUUACACUUUUCUUCUCUCUCUCUCAUGGGCAUUUCUCAUAUUUUUCAUUAUGAGUAUGUAAAUAUUCACUUGCCAUAUUUCUAGAUCCUUGUAAAUAUUCACUUUCCAUAUACAGAUCCUUGUAAAUAUUUACUUGCAAUUUACAGAUCCUUGUUAGUUGUAUAUAUGCAUUGUACAAUGAUGAAUGAAAGACACAGAAUUUUUUUUUCUCCAUUCUAGUCUUUUGCUAUUUUUUACAUUUCAAGAAAAAAUAAUAAGAAUCCUACAGAUUCUAACAACCUUUUGUGGGCUCUUACUCUUUCAACUCUUUGAUUCAGUAAUUUCUUUUUUUAUUGUUAUUUGCCAUGAUUAUUUGUUUUAUCACUGGAUCCUUCUAUGACAGUGGGUCAGGAAAAAAGAAUUUCGUGGAUCUGAGCAAACCCCAUGGUCACUGUAAGAAAGUUCAUCCUAAGAAAUCUGGUCGUGUUUCAAGCCGAUAUGUAUAUCAUUUUGCUGUAGCUUCCCUUUUCACACUUAAACUGAUGUUUUAAUCUGUAUUUGCUUGUCCAAAGUAAUGACAAAUGUUUCUUCACGGUAGAGACCUUAGCGUUCCAGUGUUGAUUCGGACUGUUAGAAGAUUCACAAAGGAGAAAGUACAAAUGGCUUUUGAAGUUUCAAGCAUGCUACGGAAUCAAGUUGUUGAAAGGGCUUCUGCUAAGGAAGAAGCCAGCAUAUUACAGGCAGAACUAGAUUUACGAACAUGAAGAUUGGAGAUAGAAAAGAAUGAGUUACAAUCUAUACUAGAAAAAGAGUUAGAUAGAAGAUCCAGCGAUUGGUCUCUAAAACUUGAGAAAUACCAAAUUGAACAACAUAGACUCCAUGAAAGGGCGAGGGAGCUUGCAGAGCAGAAUGUCUCUCUACAAAGGAAAGUCUCUUCAUUUAAUGAGAAGGAAGUAGAUAAUAGAAUCAAGAUGUCAUUUUCAGAGAAACACCUUAAAGAUUUGUCAAAGAGAAUAGAGCAAGUGUCAGAGGAGAAUCAAAAUCUAAGACAGCAACUCACUCAGUUACAAGCGGAAUAUUGAGUAGCUCAAGACAAUUGAGAUUAUGUUCGGGAAAACUACCAGGAAAAGGUUAAAGAGCUUAAAUUGGAGAUUUUGCUACAACUGUGCUAAGGGAGAAGCUCUAUUCCGAGGAGAUGGACAUAAAGCAACUUCAGGAUGAUCUAGCCGUAACAAUUAGAGGUAACGACAUUCUCCAAUGUGACGUUUAAAAUGCGCUGGACGCUCUUUCUUAUGCCACACCCAAGUUGAAAUAUCUUGAUCUUCAGGUAAUCAGGCAAUGUUAAGAUCUUGUUGCAACGAAAUAGUUUUUAUUAUUCAACUUUGGUUACCUCGUCUUCAUAUAUGAUAUCCUGUUCGUAUGUUACUCUCUCUGCAUUAGCUUUCUACUUCUGUUUGAUUUUAAGAUCAUCUUUGUUCCAUCUGAAGUUCACGAUUUUCUUUAUGAACUUGUAUACAUGAGUUGCUAGCAUGUGGUAGUCUUCUGUGAAAUGUCUGAUCGCCUUAAUGUGUAAUUAGUUGAACCAACCAAGAACAUGAUAAACUUUGUGAUAUCCUCAAACCCAUUGAUUUGAUUGUGCUCUGAUGUGGUAAAGUUACCCGAAGGGGUUUCGGUAAGUUUGCUCGUUCAUCUGACUUAAUUCUUGGACAAGCUCACGAGUUAUCUACUGUGAAUUUUAACAGUUAAAAAGGAUUCAUGAUUUGGUUGAACUUCUAAGUUAUGAGUUUCUUUUGAAUUUUUGAUAAAAUAUUAUUGGUGAUCUUUGUGUCUUUCUUGUUUUUCAUGGUUUAAGGUUGAUUCUGGCAGGUGCUAAAAAAGGACGAAAAUAUCAACCAACUUACUAAUGAUUUGCAAGAAUGCAUGAAGGAACUUGGAGUUGUGAAGGCGAUACUACCAAAAGUGUUUCAGGAGAGGGAUUUUAUGUGGGAGGAAGUUAAGAGCUACAGUGAGAUGAACAUGCUGUUGAAUUAUGAGAUCAACAUGUUGAAAAGAAAGGUAGAUACCCUCGACGAAGACUUUCUUAUGAAAGAGGGUCAAAUCACAAUCUUAAAAGACUAGAUAGGCAAACCUUUCGACCUUCUUGCAAGUCCUGAUUCUCUGUUGGAGUGUUGGAUGCUAAAUGGCCAAACUACAAUUCAUAUUUUGUUCAUUGACUAUAAUGUUCAUACUUCUCGUAUACUUACUGGUUUUACUCUUAUUCUUUCUCCCCUUUGAUACUUGUUAAAUAGAAAGUUUGCUUCUUUCUUUUGCAACCUUUUUGAAUCUCCAAUUGUAAACAUUUCUUUUACUUGCUGGUGAUCAAGACAAUGAACUUCUUUUGCUUCAUUUGGUUUUGUAAGUAAUGGCUGUUUUUGGUCUUUUGAAAUAUUUAGUGAGGAUUGGUGGUACCAUUUUCUUCUCGUCUCUGAGGUAGAGGUAUGGUUUGCAUAUAUUCUGCUUGAAUAUACAUCGGGUAUGUUGUUGCUGUUGUAUGGAGAUUGUGUGUAUAAUAACAAUCGUAUAUUUGAUGUCGGGUCAUCCACACUUUCAUUCCUUGUAGGGGAAAGCUCAUUAAGCUUACUGAGUUAACUUCUCAUUAAUAUAUUCUUUUACUAAAGUUGUCACUGGGUAGCUACAAAAAACAAUUGUCUAACUGGGCAGUUCAUGUUCAGUUUGUGCAUAUAUUAAGUAACGUCCAAAUUUUUAACCAUAUAACUUUACUUCAAAAUGGUGCAUGGACCAGAGCUGCUCUUAAGUCUGGUCGGUUGGCAGACUCUUCCAUUUGAUCUACAAUCAAAUGCCUGCUUUGUCUCAGUACAUUUAAUUCUGUUGUGCUCAUUCACACCUGGUUUAUGCCAAGUAUGUGAGACACAUAUAGAAGCCUCUAGUUUCAUCUUCUUUAUAUAGUUUUAAACUUUAUUUGACUUGCCAUGAGGGAGUUCCACCCUGCCCUCUGAUCAUUCUUUUAGAUACCCUCUUUCAUUUGCCUCCACCAUGUUUUAAAUUUUCCUUCCAGUACCUGAUGUUUCACCUGCCACAUUAAAUGUUGUUUGCACACUUUUAAACUAUGCACUGCGUUUAAUUUCAAAAAACAAAAAAAACUAUGCACUACAUUGUAGAACAUUUUGAUAAUUUUUUGGUAUGUCAGUAUGUUCUUUAUGUUUAUGCUUACAUCAAGCAGACACAGUUACUAUAAAGGUGGAAUUAGUUUAUGUACCAUUUUUCUUUUGCGUGUAACUUCUGAAGUUAUUUGGGAUCCAUUAUUUAUAUGUCAAUAAGAGUCUUUGAUGUCUUUCCUGAUAAUGUUUAUGCUUACAUCAAGUAGACAUAUUUAUUAUGAAGGUGGAAUUGGUUUCUGUACUAUUUUACUUUUGUGUGUAACUUCUGAAGUUAUUUGGGAUCCAUCAUUUAUAUGUCAAUGAGAGUUUUUGAUAUCUUUCCUGAUAUUAAACCUAUCAUUUUUUCUUUAACAUGUCUAAUCUCCUGUAUACCUGGCUUUUUGAUCUUUAAUGAUGCAAACAAUUUCCCUUCAAGAACUUGCACUUACCUAAUUCCUAGUAAGACAGUCUUAGAAUCUUCUAUGCUGAAAGAUGCCUAUUGGUGGUUAGUUUUUUCGCCAGGAGGUUGCAUUGGAAGGUACAAGCAUACAUGAUAUCGGUAAAACCAGCAAGAACCAUAUUUUUUUGAAAAUGAUAGCAUAUAUACUAUGUGGGCAGUAUUUUCUUUACAAAAAUGAGCCUCUCUGUGCUUUACAAGGCCUCCAAAGUUGCAAAAUGGAUUCAGCACCCUCUACAAGAAACUCUUAACGUCAAAAUAAUAAGUUGUUUGAUCUUAUCUGCAACAAGAAUGAUGAGCACUGUGUUCAGUUUGGAGCCUGUCCCUAUGCUCGUCUAGACUUAUCCUUAUCUUUAUUGCCUUCUAUUUGCUUGUUGUCUUUGUUCUUGCUAGAACCUGCAUUUGAGAAGCUUGUGUUGUUGUCUUAAGUUAAUGUUUAAGUUUUCUUUCCUUACUGCAGUGCAUCAAAAUUCAACUUAUGGUGCUGCUGAAAAUGUUGGUACUGCUGCUAAACCUAAUGGCAUAAUGCAUGAACCUGUACGUGCUGAUAGACCCAAUGCAUUCAGUAACAAAAACUCAUCUGUUCUCUCUUGCAUAUAAACAGUAAUUGAUAUUCCUUCUCAAACAGCAGGUCCAUCAACGUUUGAGCUCCCGAACCACGUUCUUGUUGGGCCUGGGCGUGAAGGUGGUGUUAGAGUGGGUGAAAGUCCCACAUUGUUGGGGAGUGAACGUCGGUCUUCUUAUAUGGACUUGAGAAAUCCUUCCCUCAUGUGCUAGCUUUUGGGGUUGAGUUAGGUCCAAGAUCCUUUCUUUACACAAUCAACCAUCUUUUCUUACAUUUGAAACGGAAAGAGCAGCUGUAGAGAAUGUUUUCAACCUGAAGGGGUUCAGGUGGGUAGAACCUGGGAGCAUUAAAAAAGUACUAAGCAGCUAGAACGGGGAUGUAAAUGUAAUAAAGGAGGAGAGAUGGAAAAUUGUUCAACAUGUAUAUGGUGGACAGUUUAGACAGAAAAAAACAAAGGUUGUUUUGAGGAUGUCCAGAAGAUCAGCAUGAAUAGUUUAGCACUUCUUUAUUUUUGGUGUAAACACGAUGAUUAGCUCUAACAGAAGACAUCAUUGAUGUGCUAGACUGUCUAUAGGCAAUAGAAAGACAGAGUAAAUGUAAUACUUUGAAGGGGGACAUCAUUUUUGUUGGCUAGGGAUUUGAACAAAGAUGGGAAAAGCUCUAUACUAUAUAAAGGACGGGGAUGACUAAUAUGACAACUCUUUUCUUGGAUGGAACAUAAUUUUUGUUAUAAGAUAUGGAAGAUAUGAAGAUAGGCCAAAGUGUUGUCAACUAACAGACUUUUAAAAUUAAGAGCCAAAGAACGCUAAACAAUGGGUGUAACUCAAAUCUAUUUGAAUAAAAGGAAUACUAACUCUGAGAGAACAAAGCACACUCUCCAGUAGUCUAGUAAAAAUAGUAGAUCUUAAAAUCCCACUGCUAAGCAAAUUAAUUUAAAUGCUGCUUUAGAUUAGAAAGUCACUUUGUUAUAUUAUGUGUUCAGUGGGUUCUCAUUUAUACUGCUCAUCAUAUUUUCUGCACUAUUUUUUCAACAUUUUCUCUAAAGUCUAUAAUUUACUCUUCUUCACUUUGAACUUGGGCUCUGCAUCUUGGACUUCUAUAUGUUGGUUCACUUGUAGUACUUCUUGUGUAUUCUAUCCUGUAUGGUCUGACAGCAAAGGAAUCAAACUGGCUUGGGGCUACAACAUCAGCUGCCGUGAUAAUCCUUGGUAGUUCAUUUCCUACAUAUAUCUGUCUCCUUUUCUGACUCAUAUUGUGAAAUAAUUUCUUAUUUCUUUGUCGUAAGUAAUGAAUUCACUAGCUUUUCAUUCAAUCAGAUUGGAACUUGGGAGCUUACUUGUAUGGUUUUAAGCUUUUGAAAAGUCGAGUCGUCGUACUUUUUGUUGCUGGUACAUCCUAGGUGUUCCUGAUCUAUUUUGGAGUUCAUUACUGGUUUGUUGUUAACCCAUGCUAAUUCAUUUUCAUCCAUAAUCAAGUCUUUUUAUACUUGUGGCAUAUGCAUCCCUUUUAAUAUUAUUUGUUGAAUAGAAACUUCUAAUCUUUUGUUAUAAAAAAAAAAUCUUCUAAUCUUUUACUGUAACAAUUUUUUUUCAGGUACUUUGGGCAUUGUAUCAGUUAUGCAAUUGUAGCAUCUAUGCUGUUGGGUGCUGCUAUUUCAUGGUAUUUAUUAGUUACAGACCCAUUAGUAGCUAGACAAGAUGCCUUAAAGAGCACAGUUAUCCGCCUUAGAGAAGGUUUCCACAGAAAAGACCAAAAUAGCUCUGCAAGCUCUUGUAAGGGGUGUGGCUCAAGUGUCAAACGCAGUAGUAUGCUGAUGCUGGUCAUCUUGGUAAUGCAACUGUGCCUUGCACUGGUGAUGGCAGUACCUGGAAUAACAUUGAGGGGAUUAACAGUGAUAAGAGCAUAGACAGUGGAAGGCCAAGUCUAGCUCUACGUAGUAGUUCCUGUUGUUGAGUUGUUCAAGAGCCUGAAGUAGGAUCAUCAUAUGUUGACAGAAAUUUAGAGCAUAAUAGUUCAUUGGUUGUUUGUUCUAGCAGUGACCUUGAAAGCCAAGGCGGUGAUUCUAGUACAUCCACUUCUGCAAACCAACAUAUACUGGACUUGAAUUUGGCACUUGCAUUUCAAGAAAAGUUGAGUGAUCCCAGGAUUACAUCUAUGUUAAAGUGGAAAGAAAGACACACUGAUCGUGAAUUAGCUAAUUUAUUGCAAGAUAAAGGGCUUGAUCCUAAUUUUGCAGUGAUGCUGAAGGAGAAUGGAUUGGACCCAAUGAUUCUAGCCUUGUUGCAGAGAAGUAGUUUGUACGCUGAUCAAGAACAUCGCGAUAGUAACCCUCCUGUCACUGAUACAAAUGAUGUUGAGGAUGUGUUACCUAAUCAUAUUUCAUUCUCAGAAGAACUUAGACUCCAAGGAUUAGGAAAGUGGCUUCAACGUUGUAGAGUAAUGUUGCAUCAUGUAGCAGGAACUCCAGAGCGAGCAUGGCUUCUUUUCAGUUUAAUCUUCAUUCUUGAAACCGUCGUUGUGGCUAUCUUUCGACCACAGACAAUAAAACUUUUGAAUGCUACACACCAAUAGGUAAGAAAUGCAUUAGUACUUUUAAAGUACAGUUUAGUGUAUUUGGAGUACGGUGCAGCUAAAAUGUACUCCAUAUGGUUGUACUUUCCAUUUUCUAACAAAAUUUUGUAACACUCCGCAUUUCGGACGAGAACAAAAAUCGUCAUUUUCUUCACGUAAAGGUUCCAAAAGCCAUAAAUCCAAUGCAAGUUUAGUGUGUUAAUAAAUUAUGUAGUGUGGAAACCUAUUUGAGCAUGAAUUGAGAUCAUAGAGGUCCCCAAGCUCAAGGAUAAGCUGAAUGUUUUCCUAUCGUUCGAAUUUUAGUGAACGUUGAAACUUAAUUCAUUUUCAAUUGACCAUUACUCUUUGUAUAUAUUGAAUUAGAGUGCCUACUAUAUAUUAAAUGAAAGGUAUUCGAAUUAUCUUUCUAACAAUACCAAUUUUGCAAAAUUCUGACACCCGAAGAAGAAGUUAUGUCAUUGAAAAAUGGAGUGCAUCGUGCAGCAUAGGUGUGCAACGCACACCCUAACUUAUGCCAUAAGGUGUGCGACGCACACCCUAACUUAUGACAUAAGGUGUGUGACGCACAACCUAAUGUGUGCAAUAAAGAGUGCGCCGCACAACCUAUAUAAUGCGAUAAGGUAUGUCCCGCAUAUAUUAUUACUCAAGUGACUUAAACACUCCAUUUUGGGGGCAAAAUGGUCCUUUUCCCUCCCUUAUUUAGCCAUAAACACAAAAUUCAGUUCCCAAAAUACCCCAAAAUACACCUUCAUUUAUCAAAAUUGCUCAAGAACUCUCCUUAGGGUUUAAAAAUAAAAACCCAAGCAACUCAAGAUUCAACUGUGGGUUUUUGAAACUAAUUGCAUAUUUGGAAUCCCCAGAACGUAGGCUUUAAGAAGCACCUAUCAUCUUUGCAUAUAGAGGUACGUGGGGUUAUCUCAAAAAUCUCAUGGGCUUAAAAAUUCAUGUUUUAAAAAUGAGGGUUUUGAAAUUAGGAAUAUAAUCCCGUUUUAAACAUUUUAUGAUAUUGAUUUGGUGUUUAGGCCUAUUCCCGAAGUGGUUUGAUAUAUGAUAUAUGUAUAUGCAUGUAUUCCAAAAAAAUGUUAACUUGAGAGCACGAAUUAUAUGAAAUCCCUCUUUUUAUAUGAUCUCGUUUUAAAUUCUCAUAUGAUAUGAAAUCCCGAAGUUAGUAAAUAUGCAAGUAUUAUAUGAUGACUACUGGGUCUAUAGAAUGAUAAAGUGUAUCUCAGAAGGUAGUAUUAAUAGUGGGUUUUCCACUUUCAGGUACAUUCAUUUGGGUUAAGUGCCAUGAUAUGCGUGUAUAGUAGUUUUCCAGACCCCAGAGUGCAGUGAGUGUACUUCAGUUUAGAGUCUAGUAAGGGAUCUCCCAAACUUAAUAUGAUGGCUUGAAGCUAAAGGGGAGUUGAUAGAGCGAAUAACCAAGUCAGGCUUUCAGAUUCUAGUAGUAAUGUCAGUAUGACAUAGAACAUCUGAAGGGAAGAGUGAGGCUUAACCCAUUCCAGUCUCAGUAUUUUUCAGUUAUCCUAAUACCUACUCAUACCUCACGUUUCAGUUCCAUGAUCAUAGUUUUCCAUUAACAGACGUGCUUCUUUACACUCGAAGAAAAGAUACUUAGGCCAUCAGUAGCUGUUGAACCCAAGCCAUAAGGUAAAGAUGCUUAUCAUUUUGUCCAUUCUCGUCUAACACUAUGAUAGGUUAUCUAUUUCCUAUCUCUCUUUAUUCUCGUUUCAAGCUUUCUAUUUAUUAGAUAAAGAAAAGGGUUUCAUGUUACUAUGUGGUUUGGCUUCAAAAUUCUUGCCUUGUCCUUCAAAUUAAUUUAGGGAGUUGCGCAUGGAUACAAGCUUUCAACAUUGAUUGGAAAAUUAACUAAAUAUGAUUGAAAAGUAGCUAUAUUCUUAUUUCAUCUAUUCUUCCUUGCAUGGAUAUUGGUUGAGAAGCCUCCUAUACCUCCUCUAGCUGGUCCUGCUCCUGGUGCUAUUCCAUCCAUGUCACUGCAAGUAAAGUUGUGGAGGUUUGGGUGAGGGAUAAAUGACUUUAGAAUGUAAAGACAUUAUGAUAACUAUUUUCCCCACAUCUUUAGCAGCUCCAACCUAUGCUUCCAGCCCAGCAGACACAGCCUUAUGGUUCCGGGUCAUCUCAACAAUUUCUGCCACUUGGACAUGCAAAUGUAGCGAUGUCUCAACCUUCUCAAAUCCAAUUUCCUCAACCUAUGCAACAUGUUACUGGUAGACCUGUAGUAGGAAUGCAUAGUAUGCCUCAGGGACCACCUAUUCCCCAUGAUUUUCAGCGAAAUCUUCCGAUGUCAAAUAACCACAUGCCUGGUUCUGGUGGCCCAAAUUUACCUCUUUCUUCUUCAUAUAAUGUAAGGCCUUGGGAAGAUCUUUUGUGGUUAUUGUCCAUCAGUUUUCGAUGUUCCAUUCAUAUAUUGAUGAAAUAUAUUUUGUUAUCGUCUUUAACAGCCGGUAAAUGCAGAUUCUUUUAGCUCCCAGUAUCAGACACAGAUAAAUGAUCAUAGGUUUCCAUCCGGGGUACAACCCUGGAUGCCAAUAAGUAAUCAUAAUGUAAAUUUUGCGACAACUAUGCAGAAGACUGGAGAAUUAGCAGCUCCCUUGGUUGUUCCGGUGAGAAUUCAAUGUGUUUUAUUAUACCCGUUUGGCAUAAAUAUUGUCAACAAGUAUGCUUAAGUUAAUCGGUUAAUGGGUGUGUGUUGACUGAAAGAGUCAACAUUUGAAUUCUAUGAUAGUUUUUUGUAAGCAAAUUAAGAUUCCAGUGAACAAAAAAGAUGUAAAACUACGGUAUACUAGAAAAGGAGCUCUACAAUAAUAUAAUUUUCAUUCAGAUCCAAUCUUUUUACCACUUUGUGUUCUCCAGACAGAAAAAAGAGCAUGCCGAUUUGCCUUUUCGAAAUUCUUGCUUUUGGAUUAUGUUCACAUAGGUUACUCAUAUGAAUAGGUUAAUGUCUGCAUCACAAACACUUAAUGUCUUGUCUAUGAACAAGUGGUGGAUAUGUUGGCCCCCAUCAAUGCCAAUAAAUCCCUCGAGUAUCCACAUCUACUGCUUUGUACAUCAUUCUGCUUCCAUUAGCACUGGAGAUAAUAGUCCCCUUUGUUUCAUUCCUCUUUGUCAAAGUUAUCAUAUGGGCUGCCGUUCACCGCUACCAAAUUCUACCUAACUGUGGAUCAGCAGAACUUGAUACACUUCUACCGAUAACUUCAUUUUGACCCCAUUUCUCUAUUAUCAUACAUAUUUUACAUAUGGCUAAAUAUUAGUUGGUAUUGCUAUUUUCAGCAUCUUUUGAUGAUCAGUAGGCCAAUUAUGGUUGCUAAUGUUGUCAUAUUUCCUGUGGCUUUAUUACUCCAACCAAUUAAUAACAUUCUUACAAUUCUUGAAUUGAUUUUUAGAUACUAUUAUAAUAGAAGGACAAUAAUCUCUACCUGGGAGAAACCUCGAGAGCUGAUGACAGAAAUGGAGGUGAGGUCUCUGUCAUUGAGAUUUUUAUGGGUAGUUUUAUCCAGUUUCCUGUGCUUAUCAAUGAAAAAAGAAGUACACAAUUCUUUUUCUAUGAAGCUUUGUAGAAUAACUUUUUCUUUCCUAAGUAUAUGUGAUUUCUGUUGAAAGUUUGUUUUGCGAGCAGAUUUCCUCGAUCUUACUAUACUAUGUAGGCUUCAUUCAGGAUUUGCAUUGACCUUUUAUUUCCAAUAUAGUUCUAAAAGAUUUUAUAUUUAACACUAUUGUUCUAAAAAAUGUAUUUAAGCAUACACGAUAGGAUUAUAUUUGGUCUAUUUUAAACAAUUAUUUUUACUUUCUGAUUAAUGUAAUGUUAUUGUAACUCUAUGGUGUUAUGGAGAGAGGAAACUUGAUAUAAUAUUGCGGUUCACACUUCUCAUUCUAGUUUACAGAAUAAUAGUUUGGCUGGUUGCACACUUGCACCCAAGAGUGUGACCUAGUGGUCAAUGAAGUAGAUUGAGAACCAUGAGGUCUCAGGUUUAAUUUCCAACAGAGAUAAAAACACUAGGUGAUUUCUUACCGUCUGUCCAAGCCUUGAUGGACAAAGUUACCCAGUAUCUAUGCUGGUGGGAGGUAGCAAUACCUGGUGUAACUAUUCAAGAUGCAAGCUGACCCAAACACAACUGUUAUCAAAGAAAGUUUGUCUGGUUGUGAGGGACAAGUAUUAAGGGACCAACAAUUGGAGCUGUAAGGAAUUUUGAACAUUUUUAUUCUUUUCUUUUUGAGAUAAACAGUUUUUUUCUGGAGAUAUUACUUUGUAUUCGUCAGCAUUAAAGUUAUGCUAGCAGUCCAAACGAAAUGAAAAAUAAUGAAAAUAAUGCGAGGAUUCGAAGAGAUCUACUACCUGUUAUGCAUUCUGUACACAUUGACCCUUAAACAAAAAACAAAAAUCUACAAUGCUAUUCCAUUUAACAUUCUGAAUGGAAUUAUAUUUAUCUUCAAAAUACCUUCAACUUUUCUCGGUCCAUAUAGUCCACCAAAUACAAGGAAGGAUUGUUCUCCCCCAUUUCUUCUAACUCUUGCUAAUCCCCUCUAAUCCAGCAGCUCAACAGAUUGUUGUGUGUUCUUUGAUAGUCCACUUUACUUCAACUCAAUAGAUCUGGUAUGUGUUCUGGCAUGGUCCACUUUACUUCUAUUAAACUAAAGGUGUCAAAUGGGUGGGGUUGGCUGGAUUUGGGCGGAUCAAAGAGGUCUGAGUUAAUAAAUGGGCGGGUUAUUAACCCGCCUUAAAGCUACUUGGGCUAAAAUGGGUUGAGUUGAAAUGCUCUAAAAUGUGGGUCAUAACCCAAUCCACCCAAUUUGAACUCAAAUUUUAUUGCUUUAUUUGUUAUUUUAUAAACUUUUAGUACUUGAAAAAUUAUUACUCCCUCCGUCCCAAAUUAUGUGUCAUCAUUUCCUUUUUAAUCCAUCCCAAAAUAAGUGUCGUCUUUCCUUAUUUGGCAACUUUUUAAAGGUACAAUUACCCUUUUACCCUUAUUGGUCCCACUUAAUUAAAAAAAAAGAUAUUGACACAUUUUUUGAUGAAGGAUAAUUUGGUAAAAUUUACCAAGUCUUCCCUUAUUUCUUAAACUUCAUGCCCGGUCAAAUGGUGACACAUAAAAUGGGACGGAGGGAGUAUUUUUUUUUUAACUUGGUAACUUUGUAUUAUAUCACACAGUACAUGGGUUGUACUGAAACCUUUAUACACAAGAGUACUCCUAAAUCGACUGUUGUAUAUCUAAAUUUAGUCUAGAACAUCAAUUAUCGAUGCAGUAUCAUUAGAGUAUAGCUGAUUACACCAAAAACAUAAAAGCAAAAUGCAGUUGAGUUUAACCUUCUGCACACUAUUCUCUAUGCUCUCAAAAAAUCUAGAAUUCCUUUCUUUCCAUAUAGCCCACCAUAUAGCACCAGGGAUAAUUCUCCAUCUACCUCUGUCCUUCGCAUGUACACCUGCUUUUUCCAGCACAUUAAAGUCUUGGAUACUUUCCUAAGCAUUGUCCUGGAAAUGCCUUUUAGUCUUAAGAAGAUUUUCCAAAGUUGUUGGGUGUACUUACAAUGUAGAAAUACAUGGUUUUCCCUUUCUUCAUGACAUUAUCUUGUGUAUGAACUACUUCCUUAGUCAGUAACCAGACAAAGACAAAGCACGACACUGUGUGAGAUAUCCUACUUUUCCAUAUUUGCUUCCAUGGCCAUCUUGGAUCCGAGUGAUUUAUUUGGUGACACUGAACAUUCCUUUUUCAUUUCCCAUCCACCAUAGUACGUCCUUCACUGUCUGCAGUCCAUUGAAUAAGUCCACGGUAUUAAUAAAUUCAACUACUCUCAUUACCUCCCGGUCAUUAAGUUGCCUUCUGAAAUUGAAGUUCCACCCAUGUGGUGUCCAUAAUUAUGCUAUAGUCCUCCAUUGAAACAAUACCAAGUUGUAGAUAUCUGGAAAAAUCACUUCCAUAUUCCCAUCCUCUAGUCAAUUAUCCUUCCAAAACCUAGUCUUGUUUCCAUCCAUCACUUUAACCUUUGAGUUGCUUUUAACUUCAUUCCACUAGUGUCUAAUGGAUCUAAUAGAUCUCUAGAGGCUAAACCCGUAUGGUGUGGUCACUUCUUUAGUCAUCCAUCUAUCUUCUUCAGGAUAUUUAGCCCCAAUCCCUUUCCUCCAUAGCAGCUGGUUAUUGUUUGCAUAUUUCCACAACCAUUUCAUCACGAGAGCCUUACUUUGAAUUUUUAGGUUCUUUAUCCCCAACCCUCUAGUCUUCUUGUCAAUUGUCCACCACAGAGAGCACUACCACUUUUUCUCGCAUAUCUUUGUUCCUUAUUCUAUCUCUCCUAGUAUGCCCACGCACCAAUCUCAACAUCCUCAUUUCUGCUACGUUUAUCUUUCGAACAUGCGAGGUCUUGACCAGCCAAACACUCUGCCCCAUGCAAGAUAGCUAGUAUAACAACCACUUUAUAAAUUUACCUUUAAGUUUAUUUUAACAAAAUUCUUAUACAUGGCAUGCUAGUUACUAGCUCUUUUGCAAGAGCUAAUUGGGAUAAAAAAUACAUGUUCAGAAAUUGAUUCAUCAAAAAAAUGCAUAUCUGUAGUUUAUGAGUUUCAAACGUGUCCAAAUGGAAAAAAAAUUAUGGGGGGAUGUGUUGAGUAUGGAAAUUAGAACCUCAGUGCAGGAUUUGAACACUCUUACUGUCACACUCAGUCUUGCUUUUUGUGGCAAGGGUGUUUAUUAAAAAAUACUCAAAAAUGACAUAAUUUGACAUAUAUAUAUACAAAAUGCGAUUAUCAGGUGAAUGUUGUUCAGUUGAUCACCCUUGGAUAGCUGUAGCUCAGCCGCAGCUUGGCAAUGUUUACACUCUGCUUGUAGUUAUAUUCUACAUAGUACAUUCUAGUCCUUUCUAUGUGGGACAUUAUAUUAUUCAUAUUCUAACACUUCCAUCCAGUAUUGUACUGUUGGAAGUUACUGAUUUCUACUCUCAGGGUACUGUUUAUGUUCUAUUUUUUGACUUGACCUGCUUUCAUGCUAUUUUUAUUAGGACAGAGGGCAGACGCAUCAGCUGACUGGAGAGAAUUUACAAGUCCCGAGGGAAGAAAGUGUGUAACUUAUAUAUUUUCUUGGCCUAUUUCCAAUUGUUCUUCUACAGUGGGUAUUUUUGUGUGUUACUUAUGCAUAAUGUUGAUUGCUUUGUUUGUUUUCUAUAGGUAUUACUACAACAAGGCUACUAGAACGUCCCAAUGGAGAAUGCCUGAUGAAGUCAAGGUGGUGUUAGAUUUAAAUCCAUUAUGGGUUUGUUCCGUGCUUUAAAUAGCAUGAUAAGAAGGGAUUGUUCAGCUCUUUAAAUAGCAUGAUAAGAAGGGACAAUAUUCUGUUUUCUUGGAUGCUCUAGUUCUCAUAAAAUCUUUAUGCAUUCACAGUUGCUAGCAUGAUAAGAAGGGGCAAUAUUCUGUUUUCUUGGAUACUCUAUUCUCAUAAAGUUCAAUUAUUUAUAAAUUCACAGUUGGCUCGUGAAAAGGACACCAUUUCGCAUGCUUCUAAUUUUGGAUCCAUUUCUGUUGUUAAAAUAUCAUUCCAGAUGUAGAUAGUUCAUUAGUCUCGGCACACGGUGCUAAAUUGUCAUGACCCGAGUAUUCUGAACCAUCAAGGCCCGAAACACCCCUUAUCUAUCUGGUAAUGAUGCACAUGACUUAUAUGAAAAAGAAAUGCGGAAGAUACACUAUAUAACAGAAACAUAGUCAAGAAUCAUAUGAAAACAAUUAUGGGGAAUAAUGUCCCACAAUCUCAAUCAACAUCUCUAUAACGUCUGCAAAAUCUCUACUAUAUGACUAAAAUAAAUGUCUAUCUGAAAACUGGGACAAGGCCCCCAGUAGAUCCAAAACUAAUAAAUGAUAAAUUAAACUGCAGACAUCAGGCCUUACGAAAUAUAGAAGGCUCACCACUUGAUUCUGCGAUCUAUUGGAAGGAAUCUACUGCUUGUCUGGACCCCUAGAUUGUGCCUCCGAACCUGGGAGGAGAGGGAGUCAAUACAAAAGUACUGGUACACAGAGAAAUCAAAGAAGAAAUAUAAUAUUUUUACACAAUAUAGGUGAGAGCCAUUAUAAAGCAGUUUCAUAUAAAGUUAUUUGAAAACACAUCGGCAUAAUGUAAUAGUUUUCAAUACCAAUGUAAUGCGAUUGAGCUAGGUAGAAUACCCUACAAUUGUAAUUCCACGGCUAUGUAGAUCCGCCUCUGGUGCUUGGUGGCCAAUCCUCCAAUCCAAGUAGCCGCCAGGAUUUGGAGCCAGUAUACCCCCCAUGUGAGUACACCGUAGGGAAUCCCCCCAUGUGAGAUGUCCCAAUUAUUUUAUUAUCCUCCCAUGUAGGAUACAAUAUCAUAUGACCUGCAUCGGCAACUACGGUUUCCAGUGAUAAGCCCUUUCACUCAAACGCGUUCUUCGGGCAUCCACCUUUCUCAUGAAAGUCAAUGCAUUCAAGCUUUGUUCAAAUCAAUCACAAGUCAUACUCUGUAGGGUAUCUUCAUACCCGACUUGCAAGCCAUCAAUAUCACAUCAUUCUUCUCAUUCAACCAUUGUAUUCAACAUGAAUAACCUUCUCGUUUUCAAGUCAAAAUCAUAUCAAUUCUCAAAAUAUUUCAUGUCAUGCUGUUCAAGAUGUUUUCAAACAAUUAACAUCAUAUGAACAUUUAAAACAAAUUCACAUCAAGAGAGGAAAUUUCAUAUCAUUCAUGCUCUCAAGUUAACAUCUUUUCAGAAUACAUGCAUAUACAUAUAUCCUAUAGCAAAUCACUUUGGGAGUAGGCCUAAGGGCCAAAUCAACAUCAUAAAAAGUUUAAAACAUAAUCAUAUUCGUUAUUUCAAAACCCCCACGAUUACUACGAGUAUUAGGUGUUUCUUGAAGCCUACGUUGAGAGGAUUCCAAAUAUGCAAUUAGUUUCUAAAACCCACAGUUGAAUCUUGAGUUUCUUGGGUUUUUAUUUUGAAACCCUAGAGAGAGUUCUUGAACAAUUUUGAUGAAUAAAGGUGUAUUUUGGGGUCUUUAGGAACUGAAUUUCGUGUUUAGGGCUAAGUAAGGAUAGAAAAGGACCAUUUUGCCCCAAAAAUAGAGUGUUUCAGUCACUUGAAACCUUUACAUAGGCUCUGUCUAUGCUAUCGCCUAUGUUUACAUAGGCGCCACCUAUGCUAUCGCCUAUGUUUACAUAGGCGCCACCUACUACUUUGAAAGGCCAUAACUUCUUGCUCGGGUGUCGGAUUUUAGAAAAAUUGGUAUCAUUGGAAAGCUAACUCGAAGAACUAUCAUUUGACACAUAGUAGGCUCUAUAAUUCGACACAUACAGAGAGUUAUGGUAUAUGGAAACUGACACAAAUUACAAUAUCCACUAAAACUUAAUCGAUCGAAAUAGUUUCAACUCGUCCUUGAGUUGAAGGACCUCUAUGGUGUAAAUUCAAGCUUGAAUGGAUUUACAUACUACACAAAUAAUUAACAUGCCAUAUUGGCAUAGGAUAUAUGGCUUUGGGAUUAUCAAAGCAUCGAAAUCAUGGUCUAUAUUGUAGCUCGAAAUGCGGGGCGUUACAAGAAUAAUUCAGUUUGGGUCUAUAUACCUAGGAACGACGGUCUAACCUCUAGCCCAAAAAUAUGGGGUGUUACAUUAUCUCCCCCUUGGGAUCAUUCGUCCUCGAAUGAUGGGUAGGAACAUAUUGAAGCUUAGAGGUCUGGAAUAACGCGGACAUGAUAUAUUCUCUAAGAAAGAAUACACUGAUCUAAAACAUGACUAUAAGACUGGAACUACUGAUAUUCUAAAUUCUUAUACCGGACGUGCAUAUCUGAUGCAGGGAAUACACAACUGAAGAAACUCAUAGGCUGAAUUCUCAUAAUGAAUCAUGCAUAUAUGAUGCGUGGAUUUGUUACUGAGUUGUUCUCAUGAACGCAAAACUGAAUACACUGAUAAGUUGAACUUUUCUAUUGAAAAUGCAUUUCUAAUGCAUGCAUAUCUGACUGAACUGACGUAUGACGUAUGACUGAAUACGCAAUGAUAACUGGUGCGAAGCUUAUAAUGAGAAUCUAUGCAUGCAGAUAAAUAGGGUAUCUCCCCCUUGGGACCCUAUGUCCCUUUAUGAAUGAUUAAUUCACUAAGAUACUCGAAAAACUGAGGCGAUGCACAGGGCACCUACGGAUUGAAUCAUGACUGAACCUCUGGAAUCUGAAUCUAAUACAUGACGCAUGAACUGAUCAAUACUUGCAAUUACUAGUAUACUCUAUCUUGGAAUAGUAGCAUGUCUGAGAUUUCGGGUAGCAUGAAUAAGUGCAAAGACAAUAAAACAAGUCAUGCGAAUCUGACUGCUAAACUGACUUAUUGUCCAUACAGACUUAAUUAUACUACACCCUCAUACUUAAUUGGAGUAUUCUCUUCAACACUCUCUCUAAGAAAGUUCUAGCAGUAAUAGAGAGCCACGAAUCAUGGGUAUGGAUUACACAAGACACCCACUAAGGAAUCAUCACAAUGACACCACUCUGUAGUCUGGAAUAUAGACAUAUAACUCCUAAAUUAGGAUAGAAUUUCCAGACCUUUGGCAAUACAACUUCUUACUUUCAAGCUUAGCACAUUUCUUGAAUAUCCCUUAACUAUACUAUUCCUAUAAAUAUCAUAUUCAUUCAAUUCAGCUUAAAAUUCUCAUAUGAGCACUGACAAUACAUGCAUACAUGCAUAUCGUAGACUUAACAUGAAUGACUACCUUCUGGGAUACACUUACCAAUAGUCAUAGUAUAAUGCUUGCACACUUAUUUCUAUCGGUUCAACCUUCAAAACUCAAACUUAAAUUCUAACACUUAACAUGACUAUUUAGAUCACCAUAUACCAUCUAACUAGUCUUUCUCCACUUAACAAUUCAAUGGUACCACUUAAUCUGAUACUAUAACCCCAUACAAUCUUCUCUAUUUAUGUGGAUUUCUCAGCUUAUACUUACUUACUUAAGCAUACAUUUAGACUGCCUUCAAAUUCCUCAAAAAAGCAUGAGUCUAUAAUCAUAACUUACUCGCUAAUAUAGCUAUUUUCACAUUCAAGCAACCAAUAAAUCACCCUGACUAACAACUCCUUCUCUACCUUCUACUAAUAGCACAAAAGGACGAAUCAUCUCUUUACCGGCUCAAUCUGAUGCAACCAGAUUCAGCUAUACAUACAUUAAACCUACACAAGAACCACAAGUUGGACAACAAGUUGCUAGUGAAUCGAAAUAGGCCUCACACGGCUUCACUAGACUUUGAUUUUGUAUUUUGAACAAGAAAAUGGGAUGAAUGACAAGUCAACUAUUCUAGUGAAUCAAAAGAGCCCCACACGACUUCACUAGACUUUAUGUUUCAACAACACUUUGAUGACAAUAUUUCAUGAGAUAGAGAUUUAAUACGCAAUAUUCAAUGAACUAAAAAUACACAUCUUACUCUGUAGAAAUAAAAUCGGAGUCAAACUCUUCCUCUAUGGACUACCAUACUGUCCACACAUACUGCUAGCUACCAAAUUAGUUUAUCACUAUAAAGGGUUAAUCAUCCUCACUCUGACUUCUAACUUUGUGACUUCACAUCACCAACUUUUUGGUCUAAUUUUAUUACCAAUAGAUCAUGACAACAACACUUUAACGUAUACUAUUAUUUGGGUGGAAAUACAGUUCUAACAUUCUGCUACACCUUAUUACCUCUGAAGCAUGACACUAGCAACAUAAGUUCGAAAAAGAACUAAAUAUACUUAAUCCUGCAGGCUGAAAAGUACGAUUUUAUCAAAAUCAAGGUUCAUACUAGAACCAACACAUUCUGAAGUACUAACAAACUCUUCUCAAGUCCUUGUAAAAAUCUUAUAUGAUUCGAUCAGAAUGAACCAUACCAUUUAGACUCUAAACUUCUGUACUUAAAUCGGCCCAAUGAUGAGACAUGUCUGAGAAUGUCUGAGUAAGAAAAGAAUUAGGAUGACUGUUGCUUUCGUAUGGGCGACACCAUAGCAUAAAUUUGAGUAUGAAAGAGGAACAUUCUAACUCUAUUGCAUGAACUAGAACAUGAAGAAAGAGAGACAUUCCUAAAUGCCUAGUAUCCUCCUACUUAUAAGUGUGUCGCGCUAACACCCAUAAAUAAGACUCUACCCGACACAAUUUCACAGACACCCUGGGACCAUGAACACUACUCUGAUACCAAGUUUGUCACAACCCGAACUGGGGCCCUAGCCGUGUCGAGUAUUCCGAACCAUCAAGGCCUGAAAUACCCUUUAUCUAUCUGGUAAUCAUGCACAUGACUUAUAAAAAAAAGAAAAGCGGAAGAUACACUAUAUAACGGAAACAUGGUCAAGAAUCAUAUGAAAACAAUAAUGGGGAAUAAUGUCCCACAAUCUCAAUCAACAUCUCUAUAACGUCUACAAAAUCUCUACUACAUGACUAAAACAAAUGUCUAUCUAGAAACUGGGACAAGUCCCCCAGUAGACCCAAAACUAAUAAAUGAUAAAUUAAACUGCAGACAUCAGGCCUUCCAAAAUAUUAAAGGCUCACCACUUAAUUCUGCGAUCUUUUGGAAGGAAUCUACUGGUUGUAUGGACCCCUAGACUGUACCUCUAAACCUGGGAGGAGAGGGGGUUAAUACAAAAGUACUGGUAUGCAGAGAAAUCAAAACAGAAAUAUAAUAUUUUUACACAAUACAGGUGAGAGCCAUUAUAAAGCAGUUUCAUAUCAAGUUAUUUGAAAACACAUCGGCAUAAUGUAAUAGUUUUCAAUACCAAUGUAAUGCGAUUGAGCUAGGUCGAAUACCCUAUAAUUGUAAUUCCACGGCUAUGUGGAAUCCACCUCUGGUGCUCGGCGGCCAAGCCUCCAAUCCAAGUAGCCGUCAGGAUUUGGAGCCGGUAUACCCCCGUGUGAGUACACCAUAGGGAAUCCCCUCAUGUGAGAUGUCCCAAUUAUUUUAUUAUCCUCCCAUGUAGGAUACAAUAUCAUAUGACCUGCAUUGGCAACUAUGGUUUCCAGCAAUAAGCCCUUUCACUCAAACCCCUUCUUCGGACAUCCACUUUUCUCAUGAAAAUCAAUGCAUUCAAUCUUUGUUCAAAUCAAUCACAUGUCAUACUCUGUAGGGUAUCAUCAUACCCGACUUGCAAGCCAUUAAUAUCACAUUAUUCUUCUCAUUCAACCAUUGUAUUCAACAUGAAAAACCUUCUCGUUUUCAAGUCAAAAUCAUAUUAAUUCUCAAAAAAUUUCAUGUCAUGCUCUUCAAGAUGUUUUCAAACAAUUUACAUCAUAUGAACAUUUAAAAAAAUUCACAAGAGAGGAAAUUUUAUAUCGUUCAUGCUUUAAAGUUAACACCUUUUCGGAAUACAUGCAUAUACAUAUAUCCUAUAGCAAAUCACUUUGGGAGUAGGCCUAAGAGCCAAAUCAAUAUCAUAAAACGUUUAAAAUAUAAUCAUAUUCAUAAUUUCAAAACCCCCAUCUGAAAACAUGAAUUUUUAAAGCCCGUGAGAUUUUUGAGAUAACCCCACAUACCUCAAUUACUACGAAUAUUAGGUGCUUCUUGAAGCCUACGUUGAGAGGAUUCCAAAUAUGCAAUUAGUUUAUAAAACCCACAGUUUGGAUUUUUAUUUUGAAACCCUAGAGAGAGUUCUUGAACAAUUUUGAUGAAUAAAGGUGUAUUUUGGGAUCUUUGGGAACUGAAUUUCAUGUUUAGGGCUAAGUAAGGGUGGAAAAGGACCAUUUUGCCCCCAAAACGGAGUUUUUAAGUCACUUGAAACCUUUACAUAGGCUCUGCCUAUGCUAUCGCCUAUGUUACAUAGACGCCGCCUAUGCUAUCACCUAUGUUUACAUAAGCACUGCCUACUACUUUGAAAGGCCAUAACUUCUUGCUCUGGUGUUGGAUUUUAGCAAAAUUGGUAUCGUUGGAAAGAUAACUCAAAGACCUAUCAUUUGACACAUAGUAGGCUCUCUAUUUUGACAUAUACAAAGAGUUAUGGUCGAUGGAAGCUGACACAAACUACAACAUCCACUAAAACUUGUCCUUGAGUUGAAGGACCUCUAUGGUCUAAAUUCGAUCUUGAAUGGAUUCACAUACUAUGUAAAUAAUUAACAUGCCAUAUUGACAUAGGAUUUAUGGCUUUGGUAUUAUCAAUGCAUCGAAAUCAUGGUCUAUAUUAUAGCCCAAAAUGUGGGGCAUUACAAGAAUAAUUCAGUUCGGGUCUAAUACGUAGGAACGAAGGUAUAAACUCUAGCUCAAAAAUAUGGGGUGUUACAUAAAUCAAGCCCAAUUGCUGUGUCAACAGCUGCUAACUUACCAACUAUUGUGGCUUCUGAAUCAUCAAGUUUAUCUGGUAAGGUUUCUUCUCCAAUGAUUGAAAUAGUCGAAAUAAAGAAUUCUUCAGAACCAACUUUGCCAGCUGUUGCUAAUUCAGAGAAAAUUGCAAUAGCAGUAACCUUGGGAAAUUCUGUCGUGCCACCAGAGUAUGUUUUUAGAUUUAUAUGUUAUAAAUUUGCCUCUGGUUUGUGUUGCUUCUUAUUUGGAAUUCAAUUUUUCUGUAGUUUUGAGACUACUACAACUCAAGAUGCAGUAGUGUAUGGUGAUGGAUUGUAUUUAGAGAAUAGAGAGGUACUUUGUCCUUCUGAAAUACUUAUAUGAUUAGUUAAUUACUACUGGUUACUGGUUAAAACACCAAGAAAGCUUUUCGUAGUUGUUAUGCUGGAUGUUGAUCCAAUAAUUUUGUAGUGCAGUAGUUAGUCAACUGCUAACAGGUGAAGAAUAUGCUCCAAAUUCCAAUGAGGUUUGCUCUUGUCCUUUGUGCUUGAUGUUGUGCCUAAAAUGUAGAAUGUCAAAAAAGAUGCUGCAGUAACUGAAAUCAGAGGUGCUACUCCAUCAAAUGAGAAAACAGUUGAGCUGGGACCAUUAGUUUAUGAGAGCAAAGCGGUAUAGUUGAUUAUUGCUUUUUGUCCUAUUCAAUGUAUGUUCUCGAAAUUUCUCUUAUUUCUAUUUUAAGUAUCUGAUUUUAUUUAGGAGGCAAAGAGUGCAUUCAAAACUCUUUUGGAAUCUGCAAAUAUUGGGUCUGAUUGCACGUGGGAUCAGUUUAUUACUUGACUAUUUUGUGCGUACCAAACAAUUGAGGGAGAUUAUUUGACAUGAAUUGUAUUUGACAGGCCAUGAGAGCAGUAAUCAAUGACCAGAGAUAUGGUGCUCUAAAAUCCCUUUGUGAGCGGAAGCAAGCUUUUAAUGAGGUAUCUCUACAAUUCAGCAUUGGAAUGGGUUAAUUCUUGCUUAAUGUUUCAGUAUACCGUAUUGCAAAAAGAUACAUUGUGUUUGAUAUCCUAUUGUUUCAUUUUGGUUGACUUAAAUAUUUUGGAAAAUGUUUUCCAAAUCAACUUAUUUUUCUUAAAUUUAAGGAAAAUGAAUUCCCUUCAAAAAGUAGGAAAAACAUUUUCCAAAACUCUUUUUCAAUCUCAGUGUUAAGUUGAAAUGUUUAUACAACUCUCAAAUGUAUUUUCUAAAAAAUAUUUUUUUAUUCACCAACCAAACACUAGAAAAUAUUUUUUGAAAAAUGUUUUCCUUUCAUCAACCAAACAUAAGAAAACAAGUAAGAAACCAACUUGUUUUCUAGGAAAACAUUUUCCUUCAUACCAAACACACCCAAGGUCUAUAGUGAUCAUUCUGAAGUUGUGUCUGUUCCAGUAUCUGAGCCAAAAGAAAAAACUGGAAGCUGAAGAGAGGCGUGUUAAACAGAAAAAACCUUGGGAAGAUUUCAGGAUAAUGUUAGAAGUAAGUGAAAUUUUCUUUUGUGGGUAUCUUCCAUAUCAUAUAUCAUGAUAUUCACAUUACCAGUUUCAAAAAUAAAACGAUAUUAUCAUAAUAUUCAUGAUGUGUUAGAGACUGGCAUUUGAUUUGUUCAAAAGAAUAAGUGGUAUUUUUCAAAACAAUGUCCGUUGUUCUCAAUCUUACAGGAUUGGAAGGAGCUGUCACCAUCGUCAAGAUAAAGGUUUGUCUUUCACAUGUAAUGUUAAGUUGUCUGCUGCUUGUUUUCUAAUCUUGGUCAUUGUUUGUAUGUGUUUUGGUACCUUGAAGUUUAUCCAUUACUUGUGUAAGUUCCAUUUGAUCCACUAACUAUUUGCUAUUGAUUAUUCAGUAAGGAAAUCUCCAUAUUCGAACAUGAUGAAAGUUUUAAAGCUGUUGAGCGAGCUAAAGAACGUGAGGACCUUUUUGAAGAUUAUGUGGAGGAACUUGAGAAAAAGGUGAAGCUCCUUUUGCAGAACUUUUUUGUAAGCUUCUAUAUGUUAAAAACUAAGUGUGCGGACUGUAGUUUCCUUAUAUGGUCUUUGGCUCCUCAUAAAUUGAGUUAGCCUUUCAUUUGAGAUAGAAACAAUGUCCAAUUUCUUAAACAUGGUAUUAGAGACAGAUCUAUCUUGAUGUUAUACUAUUAGAUGUUAGCCAACCUAGGUUAACUGAUGCUACAAAUGUCUAGUCUUGGUGUGCGAUUAAUGUAUGAGAAUCCCACACUAGUAAGGUGUAUGUGCUGUAGUUUCCUUAUAUGAUCUUGGACAAUCUUCACCACCUGACCUAGUUUUCGAAGUUGAGUUAGGCGCUGGUCCACUUGAUUAACAACAGUCAUUCCAUUCCUUUCCUAUGCAGUAUGCCUUUUAGUUUGUUCCCUUUUUUUUUUUUUGCUUGAAGAGUAGAAAGAAGGAAUGUUGUAGAUAUUCAACUUAAAAUCUUGUGUUCUUUGAAAACAUUUUUAAUGUCUUCUCAAGGUACAAUAUUUAAAUUUGUUCACCAUUAAAUUACAAUUUAAAUAGACUUCCAUGUAUUGUAUGUAAUUUUUCUUGAAACUUGAAACUAUGAUAUGCUUCUUCCUCUGCCCCCUCCGUCAUAAAAUAGAAAAAGUUUUUCAAUAAUUUCAUGCAAGUGUAGUUAAAGUCUCUUUGUAAAUAUUGUUUUCUUUAUAGAGAAAUUUUAUUUUUUUUACUUUGUACUGGAUUUUACUAGGAGCAUGCGAUGGCAUUGGAGGUGCAGAAACACAAUAGAGUGGAGUACUUAGAAUUUUUAAAAUCCUGUGACUUUAUUCAGGUAUUUGUUCUAGUGGAAUUAGCAUCAGUUCCUAGAUUAUGUUUUUCUAUUUCCAGGAGAUAGAACUUCCAUAGUUCCAUUGUUGCUGACUUCUUUUGUUCAGGCCAGUAGUCAAUGGCAGAAAGUUCAGGACCGCUUGGAAACUGAUGAAAGAUGCUCCUGCCUUGAGAAAAUUGAUCGCUUAGAGAUUUUCCAGGUACGACUCAUUUUUCUAAUACAUAAAUAACUUUUUCCAAACAUCUCAUUUGUACGCCUCAGUUUUAAAGUUAUGUUGCGACCUUUUCUGUUUUAGGAAUAUAUACGUGAUUUAGAGAGCGGCGAGGAGGACCAAAGGAAACUGAGGAUGGUGUAUUGCUUAUUAGACUCGGGGGUUAAAAUUAAAUUUAUGUUUGGAGACUUUGAUUUAUCUCUUUCUCAUUGGGCAUACACCGUUGAUUCAAAUAGGAAGAAUUGAGGAAAGCUGAACGUAAAAAUCAUGAUGAGUUCUAAAAACUGAUGGAAGAGCAUGUUUCUAGGGGAAUACUUAAUGCAAAAACUAACUGGCAUGAUUAUUGCAUCAAAGUUAGUUUUUCUUUCUUGUGUUUAGGGAGUGAUUACCUUCAUGAGUUCCCUUUUCAUCUUUUUGAAUUUUUCAUCUAAUAAUUUCUUUCUUUAUUUUGUGCUUGAAGAUUAAAGAUUUUGCUGCAUAUCUAGCUAUCUCAUCAAAUACUUCAGGAUUUAUAGUAAAAGUCUUAUUUACAGAUGUUAUGGAUGAGCUGGAGAAAUAGGUGUAAUAGGUUGAUAAUAGGAGUAUUGAAUUGUGUCAACUACAUUUGUUACACUAAGCCAUAUUUAUAGACUUUACACUACAAUCCCUUUUCAUUUUCUUUCACUUAAGGUCUGAAUCUGAAUGGUUAAGAUAUGAGCCCAUUAAGUGUUUUUUUAUUUAAAAGAUUCAACCAGUUAAUACAUCUUAAUGAAUCAGAUGCUAAACAAAGUCUGAAAAUCAUUUAGUUCCUUACUAAAAAGUUCAAUUCAUUAGGUAAAUAAGGAAGUUAGUGCAUUACUAUGUGGGAAUAUACUAGGUUUGUUGUUGUUGUUGUUAUUGUGCAUUAAAGAAUAGAACAUACUUGGUAGGAUAAAAGCAUGAGAUUGAGAUUUGAGAGUUACCCCUCUGCUUGGUUUUUUUUAAAUCACACAUAUUUUGUUGAGAUAAGAACAAUGACCGGUUGUUCCUAUUAAAAUUCUGUGUUGUUUCUCUUUAUGCCAAUUAGUUUCCUCUUUUUUUUUUACUAGAUAGUAGGUAUUUAGGCUGAUAGGAAUGGUAUUGUCGUAAACUUUUAAGUUAGGGGUUCCAUGCUUUUAAUGUAGUAUAGAUAUAGAUGAUUCUUUCAAUCUAGCCAAGCUAUAUUAAAUGCUACUUCACGGACAAUUGUAAUUGACUUCUCCUCCGUUGAAUGCUGUUAAUGGUUAUUUUACCUUAAUAUUUAUAGUUUCUCGAGCAGAACAACUUUGACAAGUGAUCAUCAAACUUCCAUAUUUUCACGUAGUUUCUUUGACUUUCGAGGACUCCUUUAAAGUAUCAUACAACCACACCAUUGUGUUUCAGCUAAGACUGCAUUUGUUUUUAUUAAUAUUCAGACAUUUGAAUCAUUUUGAAUGCACAUUUGAAUAGUUAAGAUAUUGUCUCUAGAUCUGAAAACUAAAUGAUUAAGGUUGGGUGUUUCUCAAUAUCUGAAUGUGCAAAAUUUGUUUAUUUCUAAAUAUAAUAUAAUUAUAUAUUAGAAAUUUUUUUAAUUUAAUGCAAUUAAAUUAUUAUUUGAUUAAAAAAAAUAUUUAUGUUUGUUAGUGAUAGUGGAGAUGGUGUGUAAUAGUGGUGGUGCUUGUAAUAGGUUAGUUGAUGUUAGUGAUUAGCAAUGUUGGUGAUGAUAGUUGUGAUAGUAGAGAUAGUUGGCAUUGUAAUAACUGUCAUGAUAUUGGCGAUUGGUGGUGGUGGUGGUUGUGAUAUGAAGUUGAUUAAUGUUAGUAGUUGGAGGUGUUGAUCGAGGUGACGGAAAACUGUAUGCAUGAUAGUUGACGAUGUGUUGGUGGUUGUUGGAGAUGCUGUUACCUAUGAUGGUGGAAUGGUUGUUAGUAUAGAUACUGUAGCGAGUGUAGCGGAUGGUGGUGGUAGAGGUGGUGACGCCGGUGAAAGUGGUGGUGAUGGUGUUCGAAGGAUGUGUGGAAGUUGAUGAUGUGUUAGUGGUUGUUAGCGAUAUAUAGAAGUUGAUGAUGUGAUGGUGGUUAUUAGUGGUAGUGCUAGUUCUGAUAGAUGAGUUGGUUGGUAGUAGGGAUCGACCGGUAGCAGUUGAUGGUGGCGGCGUUGGCGGUAGGGGUGUUCAUGGGUCAAUAUGGGUUGGUUAUUGAUCAAAACCAUAACCAAACCAACUUAAUUGGUUUUAAAAUUUCAAAAACCAAACCAAACCAAACAAAAAAUAACCAUCAGUUUGGUUUUUGUCGGUUUAGUUCAGUUUGAUUCGUUUUUUUUUGUUUUAUAUCUUUAGUUAAUGAUAAAAGUUGAAAAUUUUAAAAAACAAAUCCAAUCUAACAUAUGAGAUAUCAACCGAAUGUUGUAUCUCAAUCUCGAAACUAUGAUGUCAACUGAGUGUUAUACUUCGGUAAAGCCAUGAUAACACCAUAUGAACGCUUUUCAAAAAAUAUUUAAAAACUAUAUUUAAUAGAAUGAUAUGAUAAACCACCAAAAGGUGAACACAUAAACUUCUUGCUCAACAAGGUUCAAAAGAAAGUUAAAAUUAGUGAUUAUGUAUAGUCUAAUGAAUUUCAGCUGUAAAUUUCAAUAUAUAACAAGAUAUUAUUUUCACAAUUAGUAUCAUUUUUCAUUCAAAAUAUGAAAUUCAUUUAGAAUCUCAUAAUGUAUUGUCAACUAGAUGAAGACAUAUGACUGAAUGUGUUACAAACCAAACCAAAUUAGUAUCGGUUUUUUAAAAUUCAAAUCCAAACCAAACCUAACCAAAUAUAGGUUUUUUUUAAUCGGUUUGGUUUGGAUCGCGGUUCAGUUUGGUUAAAAACCAAACCGUGAACACCCCUAGUUGGCGGUGGAUAUAAUUAGAAUAAUGGAAGUGGUAGGUGUGGUAGCGGCUGGCAGUGUAGUUGGUAGUGAUGUUGGUUGUGAUGGUGGAAGUGGUUGAUGGUGGUAACAGGUGAUUGUGGAUAGAGUGGUGGUGAAUUUUAUCCUACACAAGAAUAUCUGAAAAUGAUAUUUAGACUUGGUUCCACAUCUGAACGAUUAAGACCUACUCAGACCUAUUAAGAGCUAAAAUCCUAACAAAAACAAAUGCACUUAAUGGUUUGAGGUCUAAACAGGUUCAUAAAUCCAAUAAGUACAAACAAAUGAGACCUGAAAGUAGUUUGUCUGGUCAAGUUUCGACUAUGUUUUGUCCAUUUGUACCACACCCCAGUUUUGAUUUCACUUUGGAUGAUAUCGUGCAACUUAAAACCAAAUUCAAAAUAUAUUGUGUUGUCAACCAUAUAAAUUGGACUAAAUAAACUUAGUGUCAGAAUUCGCCUCUGAAGAGGUAGUUGAGAUGUAAUGAAAGUAAAGUCUUGGAAAAGAUUAGCCUCGGAAAAAGUGCCUGAGAGCAUCUCUGUUUCUCUAAAUAAAGUUGCAUCUCCCUCACUAUGAUUUUUUGGCCAUAAUACACACUUACAACUGACUAAACGAUAUAUUGUUUCAUCCUCUGCCCUUUCUAAAAAGAGUUGAAGCUGAAUGAUCAAAUGUUAUUGGCAUUUGAGUUUACCUGGUAUCCUAGCAUGGUAAUGAUCCUGUUCGUACUCUUAUUCAAUGAUUGAAUUUGGUAAUGUUUUCUUGAGUUAGGCUCUUGCUAUGGGAUGGUGAGAGUUAUACAUAAACUCAGAUGCUGAAAAUAUUUUCUUUUUCCCUUGUAAGAUAAAGAUAUCAACUUCUAUCUUUAAAGUUUAUAUUAUUGUUUGUGUGCAUAAAUGAUUCUUCUUAAUCUAUAGACUUUAUGGUAACUCAAAUGCAUAGACAAGGCUCCAUUUGGUAUCCUAUUUUUGUUACUGAUAAGCAUUCUGAAUUUUUGUUACUUGUAUGUUGAUUCAGUAUCUUGAUGGCAAGUCACAAAUAAAGAUACAGUUAGGAUGGCCAAGGUAAUCACCACUCUUCAUUUUAACCUUUGUUGUGUUUCGGUUAGUACCUAAUAUAUUGGCCGAGCCAUCUCUACUUUCAGAUUGGAGGAUGCUUGAUGAUUUUAAGGUUGCAAUCGCGAAGUAUAUUACACAUCCACCAAUGUCAGAUACCAACUUAAAGGUCUAAUUAUGGCUAAGCACUGUGUACUAUUUCACAUCGACCCAUGUUAAAUUUAAUAUUGUGGAAAUUGAAGUACCCCAUUCACUAAAUGGAUUUCUAUGUAGUUGUCCCCUUUUUGUCUUUGGGACAGGUCCUGCAUAAGAUGAGUGGAUUGAGUGCAAAAGAAUUAGUAGUACUUCCAUGUUAUGUUUCACUGGAAGUCGGUCAGUUUGUGAUUGCUACAUUGGCAACUCGUAGGUCGUCAACUGUGGUUAAUGGAAUUUUCCUUUAGUAUCAACCAUAACCUAUCCCACAUUAAAUUUGGAUCUUCUUGUAAUGGAGUUAAUAGAAGAGUAGUGUGUUAGGUAGCAAGUAAGCCUGAAACCUUCAAGAAUAAAGACGAGGACCACAUUGAUCAAAUAUUUGGUGUUAGCUUUUGCUUCCAAUUCUUCAGUUUUGGUACCAUUUUCCUUAGUUUUUAUUUCCUUGAUGGCGGUGUUUAAUAUUACACCUACCGCACAUAUCUUAAGUUGCUUAAUUUAAAGCAAUUUGCCUUGUAGUUUUCUAUUUUUACGGUUAGUGGAUAAGAGUUUUACUCUACGAAACUGGUUAAACAGCAUAACUGGAUGAUAUCAAUGAUCAUUUACUAUUUUUGUAAUAAGGAUAUUCUUCAUAUAUUAUUUGGAUUUUAGAGGUUAUUUAUGGUCAUGGCAUAUAAUCUAUAUAUGUGGGAAGAGGGAAUUGCAAGGGGUACCUUGUCGAAGAAUUAUGCUUCGACAGUUGGGUCUCUUAAGGCUUUUAGUUUACUUUCAAUAGCUCAAAACUUUUGCAAAGCAUUUUAUCAAAGAUUAUAAUGUGAGGAGUUACUCCAAAAGAUGGUAAUAAUACUUUUACAUUAUAUCCCCUUUGCCUUCCAAAUGAAGGAAUAAGAGGACAUACAUGGAUUAUACUGAAUCUUAUUCCAUACUUCCUUUCUAAACUUUAUGUUCUACGCGUUUGGCCUUGCCGGGUCAUUGAGUAUUGAAUGUGUAUAUUUCAUCUGCAUAGUUUGUCUUUGAGGAGUUACUGGAAAGGGCCAGGGAGAAAGAAGAAAAAGAAGCUAAAAAGAGUAAACGUCUAGCAAAUGAGUUCUAUGAAAUUCUUCAUGCAUCAAAGGUAUAGUAAAUAGUUUACAAUCUCUCAUAUUGCAAUGGAUGGGAUCCCAUGAUAUUUACUUUAAACCAUAAUCUAUUUGUUUGUUGUGGUUGCAGGAAAUUACUGCAUCAUCGAAAUGGGAGGACUGCAAAUCCCUCUUCGGAGAUAGGCAAGUAGCUUCAUUUUCUUUUAUUGAUCUAGAAUUAGUAACACGAUUGCAAGAACCAUUGGAGAAUGAUAAUUGAUAUUAUUUUCAAGGACCAACUGCUUUAAUAUUCUUAACUCAGUAAUUCACAUGGUUCUAGAAUGUACCUUAGAAUAAUAGCUGUGUUAAAUGAUUUGUUGUUUUAUAUUCCUCAACAUUAGGUAGGCUAUUUCUUUAUAGUAUUAGCAUGAAUUACCAUUUUUCUAAGUGAUUUUUAAUGUUGAACUUAUCCCUCUAGAAAUUGGUUGAUGUCAAUUAUUAGUUGUUCUAACACUAGGUGUUUAAUAGCUCUAGCAGUUAGUUUUUAAAUUUUUGACAUUUGUGAUUGUUUUAGUUUUUUAAUUUCUAGCAUUUGUGAUUGUUUCACGGUUCUGAUGAAGUAUGCUGCUAAAUCUCUAGUUUCAAUUUGUCUAGCCUCUUUGGCUAUAAAAUGAAAUGCUCUGGAUUUUUACUUUUUUAUUCAUAAUCUCAUGAUUCUCAUUAUGUCGUAACAUUGAAUGUGAAUUUCUUUGCUGUUAUUAUUUUACAGAAUAAUGGGUGAUGAGGGCUUGCUGCUUGAAAUAUUUAACAAAUUUGUUAAUGAACUAAAAGAGAAGAAGUGCAAGCGUCAAGAGGAUAAGGUACUUGAAUUACUACAAACCCUUAUUCUUCUACUACUUUCGGGUGGGGCCUAAUAUCUAUUCUUUGAACAUUUUUUCGAAUUUCAAAAAUACGUAAAGAUUUUAUUCUCAUACUCUAUGAACUACAAAGCAACAUCGAAUAUGAGACCAGCAAAAUAGUUUAUAGAGUCGAAGCAUUAAAGCUAACUAGUAACAUUCAGACAGAAUAAAAUGAGAGAGAUCAAGCAUGAACGACAGACAAUCAAACACGGGCAGGAAUGAGUUUUUUAGUAGAACAAUAUAUCAAACACGAAAAUCCUAUGCCUUCCAGGCCUCUAUAGCAGUCAUUCCCAGCAAACAGAAGUGGAACCACGAAGAAGAAAAUAAUAACCACAACAAAAUUCAAAAGAAAGGUGUAUUUACCUCUUUCGGGGCAGCAAAAUGAGAUAACAAGCUGACGAUAGGAUUCCGACCACCGAAAAACUCACAACUGCUUCGACAGUUCAGACGUGCCUCCUAAGAAUGUAUGUUUCUUAGGCGUAAAGAGAAUAUUUUUUCCCUCUAAGAGCCCCCCUUUCUAAUCCCUUUUUUUUUUGUGCAUUUCUGAAUUUUUGAAGAUUUUCUCUAACCCCAAAUUUUCAAUCCAAAACUUUUGAACCCCCUUUGCCUCUAAUAUUUCGAACUCCAAAGAGAAAGAAGAGGAGAACCCAUAAAGGAAAGGAGAGGCCAGUGAAAUAAAAUUCCAAAAUCCCCCAAAAAAAUCCCUUUUUCUUGCUCUAAAGAGAGCUACUUAUAAAAGGGGAUUGAGGGUUCAUUUUUGAAAUUCAAAAGAUCCGGACCCUAACGAACUGUAUCUCUAUUUUGAUUUUCUUGAACGGAAUUCCAAAAAGUGGCCAAUAGAAAUUGGUGGAAAGGGAAUAAUCUUCACAAGCCAAUGAAAAUACUCCACCUAUGUACGAAUUCGUAAACCUCUAUUCGAGAAUUUUGGGAUUUGAACGUUGGAUUAGACACCUAAGUGUGUUUCUAGAAGAUUCUCAGCAUCUUCUCAUAUGGAUUCACGUGGAACGCACGUGAUCAUAAACAGGAAAAAGAAAACGGGUUGGAUUUGGGUGCUGCGUCCUAUUUGAAGUCAUUCGCACCUGUGGUUUUGAUUUGACAUUUUCAUCCUUUCGGAUUCUCUCGACAAUGCUUCAAGCAAAAAGUGUUAGUGCUAAACAUAAUUCACGAAAGAGGUAUGCAGUCUUGUACCAUAUCCCCAUGUGAGUUGUGGCCUGAAAACCAGAGUCAUCUCUUCAUGUACCUUUUUGGAAUGAAAUAACCGGCAAUACCAAACACAAUAACCCUCUUGGUUGUUGUAUAAUUAUGACAUUUUUCGGUUAAAUAUGUCUUCAAAGUGGGUGGCCCUUUUGGACACCAGCGAUACUUUAUGCAAAAUGGUCUCUACAAUCGUGUAAUCUUGUGCUGGUGUGGCAAUCCUUUGGGUACCUAUAUCAUUUGUUGCAUGUGGAAUGAUAACCUCUCCGGUUAUAGCCGAUGAUCGAUUUAUAAAUUUUCUUUAAAUUAUAAAUCUAUGGAUAACCUUACGCAUUAUUUGAUCUUGGAUACGAGACCUAUUAGAUCUAUUUAACCUAAUUAAUCCGCACAACCCCCCUACAAAUGGUAUCAGAGCACAGCAAUUUAAAAAGUACGGAAGAGAUACACAUUAGAAUUAGAGCUAGAGUUAGAAAAUAUAUGUUAGAGUCAAAAAUAGAUUUAGAGUUAAAACAAUUUACUUAUAAUUAAUUAAUUAUGCGAAGACCAUUUAAAAAUAGAGAAGCUUUUAGAAAAAUUAAAGAAUCUUUAAUUAGUAAUUAUUCAGAAUAUAUAAGUCUAAAUAAAACAAAAGAAAAUCCACAAAAACUAGCCUACUUAAUUACAUUAAUAUCUAGUAUUGAAUCAAAAUUAAUAACACAUUUAAAAUCUAGAAGAAUGAAACAUAUACCACCUAAUUAUGAUAAAAUUAGAUUUAGAUAUCCACCGAGAUAUUAUAAAUAUAAUUUAAAAUGAAUAAAAUACAACAAUAUAAAGAAUUAAAACAAAUUAUCUCUGAAAAACGUAAAGAAUUAAAAAUAAGAAUAGAAAGACUACAUUAUAAUAUAUUUGCCGGAGUUAGUAAAAAUUCAAUAGAUACACAAAAAGAUGAAAUAUCAAAAUUAGAAUCACAAAUAGAUAGUUUAGAAUAUGUAUAUCAACAUGACCUAUUCACAAUAAAAUGAAUAAAGAAGAAUUUAUAAUAGAUGAAAAAAUAUAUGAAAACUACGAAGGAUCAAAAAUAAAAAUAGUAUUUUCUAAUCUAGGACGAAGAUAUAAGAAAAUAGGUGAACAUUUAUAUCUAAUGUUAGAAAAAGAAGAAUUAAAAUUAGAAGAUAAAUUAACAGCAAUGGUAAGAAUAGAAAAAGAAAAUGAAGAGAUAGAUAGGAAAAAAGAAAUAGAAAAAAUAAAACAACAAACUACGGAAGAAAUACGAAAAAUAGAAGAAACCAAAAAUAGUAGAAUUGCUGAAUUAGAAAAAGAAUUACAAAUGUUAAAAGAACUGUAUGAACAAAGACAAAAAGAAAAAGAAGAAAAAGAUAGAGAACAGAAAUUACUAAAUGAGAUAAAUCAAUUUAAGGAAAAAUUAGAAAUAAAAAAUGAAGAAUUAGAAAUAAAUAAUAUAGAUAUUGAAGAGACAGAUAAUUAUGAGUCCGAAGAUAGUGAAACAUACACAGAAAUAUUAACAAAUACAAAAAAUUUAGAAAUCAAUGAAGAACAAAAAAUUAAUGAGGAAAACUUAGAAAAUACCCACACAGAAAUAAAUACUCUUGAUAAAAAAGAAAAUGAAAAUAUAAUACCUAAAACAACAGAAAUAAGAAAACCUAUAUACCAUAAGAAUAAGUUUAAAAAAUAUAAUGAAUAUGAUAAAUGGAAACCAAAACAAAUAGUGAAUAAAAAUUAUAACUUUUUAGAUCUAGACUGUGUAAUAGAUACAGAAAAAACAAUACAAUUAUGGAUAGGAUAUAUGACAAAACAAUUAUUAGAUAAUAAUAUAAAUAUAACAGAUGCACCGGAAUAUAUAGAAAAAACACUAAUAGGAUCAGUAAAACUAUGGUUUGCAAAUCUAACCGAAAAUAGCAAAAAAGUAUUAAGAACUAAUAAACCUAUAGAAGGAACAUCAUCGACAACAACUAAACUAACACCUAUAGAAUUAUUAAAAAAAUAUGAAACAGCUAUAAAAGAUGAAUUUGGUAGUACGACAACAAUCGAAGAAGAACAAAAUGAAGAAAAAGAUACAAAUAGAAAUUUAAUGUUAAAAUUAGCAAUAUGUAAUAUGUGUUAUAUAGAUGAAUAUACUUGCGCAUUUAAAGAAUAUUAUUACAAAGGAGCAUAUAGUAUAGAAGAAAGUAAAGAAAUAAGAAAAUUAUAUUUUAAUAAAUUACCCGAGCCAUUUAGUUCGAAAAUAAUAAAAAGUUGGGAAGAAGCAAAAAUAGUAGAUACGUUAGGAGCAAGAAUAAAAUAUUUACAACAAUGGUAUAGAAACUUAUGUGAAAAAUAUAGAGAAGAAUUAAAAAUGGAAAAAACAUUAAUAAGAAAUUUAGCUUGUUGCAAAAAUAAAAUAGCACCCCAAUUUGGAUGCGAAGAAAGAUAUUAUAAGAAAAGAAAAAGACAUAAGAAAUAUAAGAAAUAUAAAAAAUCAAAAUAUAAAUAUAAAAAACCAAGAAAAAGAUACUAUGUAAAAAAUUAUAAACAUAAAAGACCAUAUAGAAAAAAGAAAUCUAUAAAAGAAUGUACUUGUUAUAAUUGUGGAAAGUUAGGACAUUUAGCUAGAGAUUGUAAAUUACCUAAAAAUCCAAAAAAUAAACAAAUAUCAGAAAUAAAAAUAGAAAAUACCGAAUACAUGCAGAUAGAUUAUAUAGAUUAUGAAUUAGAAAGUGAAGAUAGUAUAUAUGAAAUUUCAGAAAACGAAACAGAUAAUGAAAUAGAUAGCGAAAUAGAUGAAUCAAAUGACUGAAGAAGAUAUAAAAAUAAUAACAAAGGAAGAAUAUUUAAAUGAUGAAGGAACGGAACAAAAAAUAAUAUUUGACAGUAAUAUAUUUGAUGAAAUAAAAGGAAAAGAAUUAGAUUUAAGUGUAGACAAAAUAUUUAAAAUACCAACAAUAAAAAAUAUUUUUACUAGGAAAAAAGAUGAAUAUUAUGUAGUAUGCCAAAAAGAACAUGUAAUAGAUUGCAGAUAUGCAAAAGGAAAAGCUAGUAUACCACUAGUAACAAAAAGAAUAAUUAAUAAAGAAAUAAAUGAUAUAAAAAGUAAAGGAGAUCCAAUAAAAUAUGUACACCUUGGAGGUACAGAGAUAUUAAUAAAAGCAUGUUUUAGAGAAGGAAUAGAUACACCAAUAGAAUUAUAUUUAGCAGACGAUAGAAUUAUAAAACCUAUAGAAAAAAGCAUAAUAACUGCCGUAAAAGGAAAUCUAAUAUACCAAAAAUUUAAAUUUAUAAUAAGUGCAAAUUAUUCAGUAGCAGUAACAGAUAGGAAUAUAGAUAAAUCAUUAGUAUUAUAUUGGAAAAUAUCAGGAAUAGAGUUAACCCCAGGAAGUAAAAUAUUUACAGCAAGAUGUAAAAACCUAUAUGUAUUAACAACAAAACAUAAAAUAACAGGAAAAAAUAAGAUUAACAAAAUACAAAUAGAAAGCCCAUUCGAACAAAUAGUAAAAACAAUAGAUUAUAAUGAUUAUACCUAUAGAGACAUAGAUACAGAAGAAAAUUUAGAAAUAGUAAAUGAUAGAAUAAGUACAACGAAAAGAAUAGCUAAUGAAAAGCCAGAAUCAUCAAGCUCAUCAAAAAGAACAAGUUAUGAAACAAACUCAAUAAGUAAUUUAAACCAAUAUUACAUAACGGGAAAAAUAAAUGAAAAAGAAUAUUUAAUACUUUUGAACACAGGACAAGAAGAAAAUUAUAUAGCAAAAUAUCUAGUAAAAAAUGAAGAAAUAAAAACCGACAAUAAUAUAUGCCCAGACUUACCAAGAAGUUUAAUAAAUAAUAAAAAUCUAGCAGAAAAAGAAAUAAUAUUAGGAGUUAGAAAAAUAAAAAUAGAAUUCGAAGUAAAAGAAGAAAUGCAAAAAGCAGAUAUAAUAUUAGGAAUAAAAUGGUUAGAACAAGUAAAACCAUAUAAUAUAGAACAUACACAAUUAACCUUAACAUAUAACCAAGAAAAGUUAUUCUUAAAAAGAGCCUUAACAUGAAAUGAAGAUACAUGUAUUAAUGAAGAUAGUAGUAGAAGGAUAUUACAGUAGAUAUUAUACGCCUAUGAUAGAUACAGGAGCAGAAGCUAAUUUAUGUAGAUAUAAUUGCUUACCAGAAAGCAAAUGGGAUAAACUAAAAACACCAAUAAUAGUUAAAGGAUUUAAUAAUGAAGGAAGCUUAAUUACUUAUAAAGCUAGGAAUGUAAAAAUACAAGUAUGGGAUAAGAUAUUAACAAUAGAAGAAAUUUAUAACUAUGAAUUAACAUCAAAAGAUAUACUUUUAGGAAUGCCAUUUUUAGAUAAAUUAUACCCACAUAUAAUAACUAAAACAGACUGGUGGUUUACAACACCAUGCAAACAAAAAGUAAGAGCAAAAAGAGUUAAUAAUAAAAUAAGAAAGAAAACUGAUUGGAUAAAAGGAAGUGAAAAAAUUACACAAAAGUUAGAAAAUAUAAACAAUACUGAAGAUACAGUAGAACUAGUAGUAUUUUCGAUAAAUAAAACAGAAAUAACUAUAUUUUCAAUAAAUAAAAUAGAAAUAAUUCAGAAAAAAUUAGAACAAUUAUAUAGUGAAGAUCCAUUAAAAGGAUGGGAAAAACACAAAACUACUAUAAAAAUUGAAUUAAUAGAUAAGAAUAGCAUAAUAACACAAAAACCAUUAACAUAUAAUUUUGAUGAUUUAAAAGAAUUUAAAAUGCACAUAGAUGAAUUAUUAGAAAAACAAUAUAUACAAAAAAGUAAUAGUAAACAUAAUAGUCCAGCAUUUAUAGUAAAUAAACAUAGUGAACAAAAAAGAGGAAAAAGUAGGAUGGUUAUUGACUAUAGAAAUUUAAAUGCAAAAACUAUAACAUAUAAUUAUCCGAUACCAAAUAAGAUAUUAAAAAUAAGACAAAUCCAAGGAUAUAAUUAUUUUAGCAAAUUUGAUUGUAAAUCAGGAUUUUACCACCUAAAGCUAGAAGAAGAAUCUAAAGAAUUAACCGCAUUUACGGUACCACAAGGAUUUUAUGAAUGGAACGUGUUACCAUUUGGAUAUAAAAAUGCACCAGGUAGAUAUCAACAUUUUAUGGAUAAUUAUUUUAAACAAUUAUCUAAUUGUAUAGUAUACAUAGAUGAUAUAUUAUUAUACACCAAAACCAAAGAAGAACAUUUAAAAUUAUUAGAACAAUUCACAGAUAUAAUAGAAAAAUCAGGAAUAAGUCUAAGCAAAAAGAAAGCUGAAAUUAUGAAAAACCAGAUAGAAUUUUUAGGAAUACAAAUAGAUAAAAGUGGAGUAAAAAUGCAACAACAUAUAGUACAAAAAAUAAUAAAUUCGAAAGAAGAAUUAGAUACAAAAAAGAAAUUACAAUCAUUUUUAGGAUUAGUAAACCAAGUAAGAGAAUAUAUUCCAAAAUUAGCAGAAACCUUAAAACCACUGCAGAAAAAAUUAAAAAAGGAUAUAGAAUAUAAUUAUGAUGAAAAAGAUAAAAAACAAGUUCAAAAAAUAAAAUUACUUUGUAGAGAAUUACCAAAAUUGCAAUUUCCAGAUGAAAAUAGAAAAUUUAUAUAUAUAGUAGAAGCAGAUGCAAGUGAAUAUAGUUACGGAGGAGUACUUAAAUAUCGAUAUGAAGCAGAAAAAAUAGAACACCAUUGUAGAUACUACUCAUAUUGUUGUAUUUUAUUCAUUUUAAAUUAUAUCUAUAAUAUCUCGGUGGAUAUCUAAAUCUAAUUUUAUCAUAAUUAGGUGGUAUAUGUUUCAUUCUUCUAGAUUUUAAAUGUGUUAUUAAUUUUGAUUCAAUACUAGAUAUUAAUGUAAUUAAAUAGGCUAGUUUUUGUGGAUUUUCUUGUGUUUUAUUUAGACUUAUAUAUUCUGAAUAAUUACUAGUUAAAGAUUUUUUAAUUUUUCUAAAAGCUUCUCUAUUUUUAAAUGGUCUUCGCAUAAUUAAUUUAAUAUUUUUGUAGGUAAAUUUUUUAACUCUAAAUCUAAUUUUGACUCUAACAUAUAUAUUCUAAUUUUGACUCUAACAUAUAUAUUCUAACUCUAGCUCUAACUCUAAUGUAUAUCUCUUCCGUACUUUUUAAACUGCUGUGCUCUGAUAAAAUUCCACUAACCACAGUUGACUACCUAUGAGUUGCCAAUUUAGCAAUCACAAACUAACCGACUUCUAGUGAAACAUAACAUGGAAGUACUACCAAUGCUUUUGCACUCAAUCCACUCAUCUUAUGCAGGACCUGUCCCAAAGACAAAAAGGGGACAAAUACAUAGAAAUCCAUUUAGUGAAUGGGGUACUUCAAUUUUCACAACAUUCAAUUCAACAUGGGUCGAUGUGAAACAGUAUACAGUGCUUAGCCAUAAUUAGACCUUUAAGUUGGUAUCUGACAUUGGUGGAGAGCUAAUAUACUUGGAGAUUAUAACCUUAAAAUCAUCAAGUGUCCAGGCUGAUGUAAAUCCAAUCUGAAAGUAGAGAUGGCUCAGCCAAAAUAUUAGGUACUAACUGAAGCACGACAGAGGUUAAAAUGAAAAGUGGUGAUUACCUCGGCCGUCCUAACUACAUCUUUAAUUUGUGACUUGUCAUCAAUAUACUGAAGCAACAUACAAGUAACACAAAUUCAGAAUGCUUAUCAGUAACAAAAGUAGGAUACCAAAUGGAGCCUUGUCCAUGCAUUUGAGUUACUAUAAAGUCUAUAAAUUACAAGCAGGGUGAUGGGGAUGAAAUUUCUUUCAUGAAUACCAACAUUUCUCCACUUGUUCAAAGUCAUCUACAAUAUCACAAGACACUUGACACAUAAACUUAAUUGCAUUGAUUAGGUUAAAUUGAAGGAAAAAUCAAGCACCCCUAUUUGGAUAAUAGAAAAAAAGUGAAUAAAUAAAAAUGUUAUAUUUACUUAAUAAGAAUCAUUUAUGCACACAAACAGUAAUACAAACUUUAAAGAUAGAAGUUGACAUCUUUAUCUUACAAGGGAAAAAGAAAAGAUUUUCAGUAUCUGAGUUUAUGUAUAACUCUCACUAUCCCAUAACAAGAGCCUAACUCAAGAAAACAUUACCAAAUUCAAUCAUUGAAUAAGAGUACGAACAGGAUCAUUACUAUGCUAGGAUACCAGGUAAACUCCCCCUUUCAUCAAGCAAGGACAUAAAUGCUAAUAACAUUUGAUCAUUCAACUUCAAUUCUUUUCAGAAAGGGCAGAGAAUGAAACAAUAUAUUAUUUAGUUAGUCGCAAGUGUGUAUUACAGCUAAAAAAAUCAUAGUGAGGGAGAUGCAACUUUAUUUAGAGAAACAGAGAUGUUCUCAGGCACUUUUUUCGAGGACAAUCAAUUCUAAGCCUUUACUUUCAUUACAUCUCAACUACCUCUUCAGAGGCAAAUUCUGGCACUAAGUUUAUUUAGAAUGGUUGACAAAACAAUAUAUUUCGAAUUGGGUUUUAAGUUGCACGAUAUCAUCCGAAGUGAAAUCAAAAUUGGGGUGUGGUACAAAUGGACAAAACAUGGUCGAAACUUGACCAGACAAACUGCUUUCAGGUCUCAUUUGUUUGUACUUAUUGGAUUUAUGAACCUGUUCAGACCUUAAACCAUUAAGUGCAUUUGUUUUUAUUAGGAUUUUAGCUCUUAAUAGGUCUGAGUAGGUCUUAAUCAUUCACAUGUAGAACCAAGUCUAAAUAUCAUUUAAAAAUAUUCUUGUGUAGGAUAAAAUUCACCACCACUCUAUCCAUAAUCACCUGUCACCACCACCAACCACUUCCACCAUCACAACCAACAUCACUACCAACUACACUGCCAGCCGCUACCGCACCUACCACUUCCAUUAUUCUAAUUAUAUCCACCGCCAACUAGGGGUGUUCAUGGUUUGGUUUUUAACCAAACUGAACCACGAUCCAAAUCAAACCGAUUAAAAAAACCUAUAUUUGGUUAGGUUUAGUUUGGAUUUGAAUUAAAAAAAAUCGAUACUAAUUUGGUUUGGUUUGAUUUGGUUUUACUCUAAAAUAACCGACAAAAUAACCAAACCAAACCGAUAUACAUAUAUAUUAUAAUUAUUUAUAUGUUUUUCAUAAAUGUAAUCUAAAUAUUUGUUACAUUUUAUAAUUUAAUCAUGAUUUAACUUUAGUCGUAACACAUUCAGUCAUAUGUCCUCAACUAGUUGACAAUACAUUAUGAGAUUCUAAAUGAAUUUCAUAUUUUGAAUGACAAAUGAUACUAAUUGUGAAAAUAAUAUCCUGUUAUAUAUUGAAAUUUACAGCUGAAAUUCAUUAGACUAUACACAAUCACUAAUUUUAACUUUCUUUUGAACCUUGUUGAGCAAGAAGUUUAUGUGUUCACCUUUUGGGGGUUUAUCAUAUCAUUCUAUUAAAUAUAGUUUUUAAAUAUUUUUUUAAAAGCGUUCAUAUGGUGAUGUCAUGGCUUUACCGAAGUAUAACACUCAGUUGACAUCAUAGUGUUAAGAUUGAGAUACAACACUCGGUUGCCAUCUCAUAUGUUAGAUUGAAUUUGUUUUUUAAAAUUUUCAACUUUUAUCAUUAACUAAAGUUAUAAACCAAAAAACCCAAAUCAAGCUAAACUAAACCGACAAGAACCAAACUAAUGGUUAUUUUUUUGUUUGGUUUGGUUUUAGAAAUUUAAAAACCGAUUAAGGUGGUUUGGUUAUGGUUUUGACCAAUAACCGACCCAUAUCGAUCCAUGAACACCCCUACUGCCAACGCCGCCACCAUCAACUGCUACCGGUCGAUCCUUACUAUCAACCAACUCAUCUAUUAGAACUAGCACUACCACUAAUAACCACCAACACAUCAUCAACUUCCACACAUAGCUAGCAACCACUAACACAUCAUCAACUUCCACGCAUUCUUCGGACACCAUCACCACCACUGUCACUGGUGUCACCACCUCUACCACCAGAAUCCACUACACUCGCUACAGUAUCUGUACUAACAACUAUUUCACCAUCACAGCUAACAGCGUCUCCAACGAGCACCAACACAUCGUCAACCAUCAUGCAUACAGUUUUCCAUCACCACAAUCAACAUCUCCAACUACUAACAUUAACCAACUUCACAUCACAACCACCACCACUACUACCAAUCGCCAAUAUCAUGAUAGUUACUAUAAUGUCAACUAUCUCUACUAUCACAACUAUCAUCACCAACAUUGCUAAUCACUAAUAUCAAUUAAUUUAUUACAACCACCACCACCAUUACAAACCAUCUCCACUAUCACUAACAAACAUAAAUGUUUAUUUUUUUAAUCAAAUAAUAAUUUAAUUACAUUAAAUUAAAAUAAUUUCUAAUAUAUAAUUAUAUUAUAUUUAGAAAUAAAUAAAUUUUGCACAUUCAGAUAUUGAGAAACACCCAACCUUAAUCAUUUAGUUUUCAGAUCUAGAGACAAUAUCUUAACCAUUCAAAAGUGCAUUCAAAAUGAUUCAAAUGCCUGAAUAUUAAUAAAAACAAAUGCAGUCUUAGCUGAAACACAAUGGUGUGGUUGUGUGCUACUUUAAGGGAGUCCUCAAACGUCAAAGAAACUACGUGAAAACAUGGAAGUUUGAUGAUCACUUCUCAGAGUUGUUCUACUCGAGAAACUAUAACAAUUAAGGUAAUAUAACCAUUAACAGCAUUCAACGGAGGAAAAGUCAAUUACAAUUAUCCAUGAAGUAGCAUUUAAUAAAGCUUGGCUAGAUUGAAAGAAUCAUCUAUAUCUAUACUACUUUAAAAGCAUGGAACCCCUAACUUAAAAGUUUACGACAAUACUAUUCCUAUCAACCUAAAUACUUACUAUCUAGUAAAACAAAAGAGGAAACUAAUUGGCAGAAAGAGAAACAACACAGAUGUUUAAUAGGAACAACCGGUCAUUGUUCUUAUCUCAACAAAAUAUGUGUUAUUUAAAAAAAAAGCAAGUAGAGGGAUAACUCUCAAAUCUCAAUCUCAUGCUUUUAUCCUACCAAGCAUGUUCUAUUCUUUAAUGCACUACUACUACAACAACAACAAACCCAGUAUAUUCCCACAUAGUAAUGCACUAACUUCCUUUUUUACCUAAUGAAUUGAACUUUUUAGUGAGGAUCUAAAUGAUUUUCAGACUUUGUUUAACAUCUGAUUCAUUAAGAUGUAUUAACAGGUUGAAUCUUUGUUUUCAAAAAAAAAAGCACUUAAUGGGCUGAUAUCUUAACCAUUCAGAUUCAGACCUUCAUUAAGUGAAAGCAAAUAAAAAGGGAUUGUAGUGUAAAGUCUAUAAAUAUGGCUUAGUGUAACAAAUGUAGUUGACACAAUCCAAUACUCCUAUUAGCAACCUAUUUCACCUAUUUCUCCAGCUCAUCCAUAACAUCUAUAAAUAAGUCUUUUGCUGUUAAUCCUGAAGUAUUUGAUGAGACAGCUAGAUAUGCAGCAAAAUCUUUAAUCUGCAAGCACAAAAUAAAGAAGGAACUAUUGGAUAAAAAAUUCAAAAAGACAAAAAGGGAACUCAUGAAGGUAAUCACUCACUGAACACAAGAAAGAAAAACUAACUUUGAUGCAAUAAUCACGCUAGUUAGUUUUUGCAUUAAGUAUUCCCGCAACAACAUGCUCUUCCAUUAGUUUUCGAAACUCAUCAUGAUUUUUACGUUUACUUUUCCUCAAUUCUUCCUAUUUGAAUCAACGGUGUAUGCCCAGUGAGAAAGAGAUAAAUCAAAGUCUCCAAACAUAAAUUUAAUUUUAACCCUCGAGUCUAAUAAGCAAUAUACCAUCCACAGUUUCCUUUGCUCCUCCUCUUCGCUCUCUAAAUCAUGUAUGUAUUCCUAAAACAGAAAAGGUUGCAACAUAACUUUAAGACUAAGGCGUACAAAUGAGAUGUUUGGAAAAAUUUAUUUAUGAUGUAUUAGAAAAAUGAGUAGUACCUGGAAAAUAUCCAAGCGAUCGAUUUUCUCAAGGCGGGAGCAUCUUUCAUCAGUUUUCGAGCGGUCCUGAACUUUUCGUCACUAACUACUGGCCUGAAUAAAAGAAGUCAGCAACAAUGGAACUAUAGAAGUUCUAUCUCCUGGAAAUAGAAAAACAUAAUCUAGGAACUGAUGCUAAUUCCACUAGAACAAAUACCUUAAUAAAGUCACAGGAUUUUAAAAAUUCUAAGUACUCCACUCUAUUGUGCUUCUGCUCCUCCAGUGCCUUCGCAUGCUCUUAAUAAAAUCCAGUACAAAGUAAAAAGAAUAAAAUUUCUCUAUAAACAUGACAAUAUUUACAAAGAGACUUUAACUAAACUUGCAUGAAAGUAUUGAAAAACUUUUUCUAUUUUACGAAGGAGGGGGGAGAGGAAGAAGCAUAUAAUAGUUUCAAGUUUCAAGAAAAAUUGCAUACAAUACAUGGAAGUCUGUUUAAAUUGGAAUUUAAUGGUGAACAAAUUGAAAAGUUGUACCCUUGAGAAGCCAGUAAAAAUGUAUUCAUAGAACACAAGAUUCUAAGUUGAAUAUCUACAACAUUUCUUCUUUCUACUCCUUAAGUAAGACAAAAAAGGGAAUAAACUAAAAGACAUCCUGCAAAGGAAAAGAAUGGAAUGACUGUUGUUAAUCAAGUGGACCAGCGCCUUACUCAACUUUGAAAACUAGGUCAGGUGUUGAAGAUUGUCCAAGAUCAUAUAAGGAAACUACAGCACAUACACCUUACUAGUGUGGGAUUCUCAUACAUUAAUCGCACACCAAGACUAUACAUUUGUAGCAUCAGUUAACCUAGGUUGGCUAAAAUCUAAUAGUCUAACAUCAAGAUAGAUCUGCCUCUAAUACCAUGUUUAAGAAUUUGGAACUUGUUUCUAUCUUAAAUGAAAGGCUAACUUAAUUUGUGAGGAGCCAAAGACCAUAUAAGGAAACUAUUGUCCUCACACUUAGUUUUUAACAUAUAGAAGCUUACAAGAAAGUUCUGCAAAAGGAGCUUCACUUUUUUCCGAAGUUCCUCCUCAUAAUUUUCAAAAAGGUCCUCAUGGUCUUUAGCUCACUCAACAGCUUUAAAACGUUCAUCAUGUUUGAAUAUGGACAUUGCCUUACUGAAUAAUUAAUAGCAAAUAAUUAGUGGAUCAAAUGGAACUUACACAAGUAAUGGAUCAACUUCAAGGUACCAAAACACAUAAAAACAAUGACUAAGAUUAGAAAACAAGCAGCAAACAACUUAAAAUUACAAGUGAAAGACAAACCUCCAUCUUGACGAUGGUGACAGCUCCUUGCAAUCCUGUAAGAUUGAGAACAACGGACAUUGUUGUGAAAAAUACCACUUAUUCUUUUGAACAAUUCAAAUACCAGUAUCUAACACAUCAUGAAUAUUAUGAUAAUAUCUUUUUAUUUUUGAAACUGGUAAUGUGAAUAUCAUGAUAUAUCAAAUGGAAGACACCCACAAAAGAAAAUUUCACUUACUUCUAACAUUAUCCUGAAAUCUUCCCGAGUUUUUUUCUGUUUAACACGCCUCUCUUCAGCUUCUAGUUUUUUCUUUUAGCCCAGAUACUGGAACAGACACACAACCAAAAUGAUCACUAUAGACCUUGGGUGUGUUUGGUAGUGAAGGAAAAUGUUUUCCUAGCAAACAAGUUGGUUUCUUACUUGUUUUCUUAUGUUUGGUUGAUGAAUGGAAAACAUUUUUCAGAAAAUGUUCUCGAGUGUUUGGUUGGUGAAUAAAAAACUAUUUUUCAGAAAAUACAUUUGAGAGUUGUAUAAACAUUUUAAUUGAGUGAGAUUGAAAGAGAGUUUUGGAAAAUGUUUUUCCUACUUUUUGAAGGGAAUUCAUUUUCCUUAAAUUUAAGGAAAAUAAGUUGAUUUGGAAAACAUUUUCCAAAAUAUUUAAGUCAACCAAACAUGAAACAAUUGGACAUCAAACACAAUCUAUCUUUUUGCAAUAUGGUAUGCUGAAACAUUAAAGUAGCAAUUAACCCAUUCCAAUGCCGACUUGGAGAGAUACCUCAUUAAAAGCUUGCUUCUGCUCACAAAGGGAUUUUAGAGCACCAUAUCUCUGGUCAUUAAUUACUCCUCUCAAUGCCUGAAAAAUACUAUUCAUGUCAAAUGAUCUCCCUCAAUUGUUUGGUACGCACAAAACAGUCAAGUAAUAAACCUGAUCCCACAUGCAAUCAGACCCAAUAUUUGUAGAUUCCAAAAGAGUUUUGAAUGCACUCUUUGCCUCCUAAAUAAAAUCAGAUACUUAAAAUAGAAAUAAGAGAAAUUUGAGAACAUACAUUAAACUGGACAAAAAGCAAUAAUCAACUAUACCUCUUUGCUCUCAUAAACAAAUGGUCCCAGCUUGACUGUUUUCUCAUCUGAUAGAGUAGCACCUCCGAUUUCAGUUAUUGCAGCAUCUUUCUUGACAUUCUGCAUUUUAGGCACAAUAUCAUGCACAAUGGACAAAAGCAAACCUCAUUGGAAUUUGGACCAUAUUCUUCAGCAGUUAGCAGUUGACUAACAACUGCACUACAAAAUUAUUGGAUCAACAUCCAGUAUAACAGCUACAAAAAGCUUUCUUGGUGUUUUAACUAGUAACCAGUAGUAAUUAACUAAUCGCAUAAGUAUUUCAGAAGGACAAAGUACCUCUCUAUUCUUCGAAGAAAUUCCAUCACCAUACACUACUGCAUCUUGAGUUGUAGUAGUCUCAAAACUACAGAAAAAUUGAAUUCCAAAUAACAAGCAACACAAACCAGAGGCAAAUUUAUAACAUAUAAAUCUAAGAAUAUACACCGAUGGCACGAUAGAAUUUCCCAAGGUUACUGCUAUUCCAAUUUUCUCCGAAUUAGCAACAGCUGGCGAAGCAGGUUCUGAAGAAUUCUUCAUUUCGACUGUUUCAAUCAUCGGAGAAGAAACCUUACCAGAUAAACUUGAUGAUUCUGAAGCCAUAAUAGUUGGUUAGUUAGCAGCUGGUGACACAACAGUUGGGCUUGAUUUAGCACUGCCUACCUGGGGAUGAUGUUUUAAGGAACAAAGAUAUGAGAGAAAAAGUGGUAGUGCUCUCUGUGGUGGACAAUUGACAAGAAGACUAGAGGGUUGGGGAUAAAGAACCUAAAAAUUCAAAGUAAGGCUCUCGUGAUGAAAUGGCUGUGGAAAUAUGCAAACAAUAACCAGUUGCUAUGGAGGAAAGUGAUUGGGGCUAAAUAUCCUGAAGAAGAUAGAUGGAUGACUAAAGAAGUGACCACACCAUACAGGGUUAGCCUCAAGAGAUCUAUUAGACACUAGUGGAAUGAAGUUAAAAGCAACUCAAAGGUUAAAGUGAUGGAUGGAAACAAGACUGGGUUCUAGAAGGAGAAUUGACAUGAGAAUGGGAAUAUGGAAGUGAUUUUUCCAGAUAUCUACAACUUGGUAUUGUUUUAAUAAAGGACUAUAGAAGAAUUAUGGACACCACAUGGGUGGAACUUCAAUUUCGUAAGGCAACUUAAUGACCGGGAGUUAAUGAGAGUAGUUGAAUUUUUUAAUACCGUCGACUUAUUCAAUGGACUACAGACAGUGAAGGACAUACUAUGGUGGAUGGGAAAUGAAAAAGGAAUGUUCAGUGUCAACAAAGCCUAGAAGAUGAUGAACCAAAUAAAUCACCUGGAUCCAAGAUGGCCGUAGAAGCAAAUAUGGAAAAGUAGGAUACCUCACACAGUGUCGUGCUUUGUCUUUGUCUGGUUACUGACCAAGGAAGUAGUUCUUACACAAGAUAAUGUCAUGAAGAAAGGGAAAACCUUGUGCUCCAGAUGUUUCCUCUGUGGAGAAACUAUAGAGACGGUUAACCAUGUAUUUCUACAUUAUAAGUACACCCAAAAACUUUGGAGAAUCGUCUUAAGAUUAAAAGGCAUUUCUAGGGCAAUGCCUAGGUAAGUAUCCGAGACUUUAAUGUGAUGGGAGAAGUAGGUGUACAUGCGAAGGACAGAGGUAGAUAGAGAAUUAUCCCUGGUGCUAUAUGGUGGGAUAUAUGGAAAGAAAGGAAUUCUAGAUGUUUUGAGAGCAUAAAGAAUAGUGUGCAGAAGUUUAAACUCAACUGCAUUUUGCUUUUAUGUUUUUGGUGUAAUCAACUAUACUCUAAUGAUACUGCCUCGAUAAUUGAUGUUCUAGACUAAAUUUAGAUAUAGAACAGUCGAUUUAGGAGUACUCUUGUAUAUAAAGGUUUCAGUACAACCCAUGCACUGUGUGAUAUAAUACAAAGUUACCAAGUUAAAAAAAAAGUAAUUUUUCAAGUACUAAAAGUUUAUAAAAUAACAAAUAAAGCAAUUAAAUCUGAGUUCAAAUUGGGUGGGUUGGGUUAUGACCCGAAUUUUAGAGCAUUUCAACCCAACCCAUUUCAGCCCAAGUAGCUUUAGGGCGGGAUAAUAACCCGGCCAUUUCUUAACUCAGAUCUCUUUGAUCCACCCAAAUCUAGCCAACCCCGCCCAUUUGACACCUUUAGUUUAAUAGAAGUAAUGUGGACCAUGCCAGAACACAUACCAGAUCUAUUGAGUUGAAGUAAAGUGGACUAUCAAAGGAUAAAACAACAAUCUGUUGAGCUGUUGGAUUAGAGGGGAUUAGCAAGAGUUAGAAGAAAUGGGGGAUAAAAAUCCUUCCUUGUAUUUGGUGGACUGUAUGGAGCGAGAAAGUUGAAGGCAUUUUGAAGAUAAAUAUAAUUCCAUUCAGAAAGUUAAAUGGAAUAGCAUUGUAGAUUUUUGUUUUUUGUUUAAGGGCCAAUGUGUACGGGAUGCAUAACAGGUAGUAGAUCUCUUCGAAUCCUCACAUUAUUUUCAUUAUUCUUCAUUUCUUUUGGACUGCUAGCAUAACCAUAACGUUGAUGAAUACAAAGUAAUAUCUCCAAAAAAAAAAACUGUUUAUCUGAAAAAAGAAAAGAAUAAAAAUGUUCAAACUUCCUAACAACUCCAGUUGUUGGUCCCUUAAUACUUGUCCCUCACAACCAGCCAAACUUUCUUUGAUAACCGUCAUGUUUGGGGCAGCUUGCACCUUGACUAUUUACACCAGGUACUGCUACCUCCCACCAGCACAGAUAAUGGGUAACUCUGUCCAUCAAGGCUUGGAAAGACGGUAAGAAAUCACCUAGUGUUUUUAUCUCUGUUGGAAAUUAAACCUGAGACCUCAUGGUUCUCAAUCUACUUCAUUGACCACUAGGUCACACUCUUGGGUGCAAGUGUGCAACUAGACAAACUAUUAUUUUGUAAACCAGAAUGAGAAGUGUGAACCAUAAUAUUAUAUCAAGUUUUCUCUCUCCAUAUCGCCAUAGAGUUACAAUAACAUUACAUUAAUCAGAAAGUAAAUAAAAUUGUUUAAAAUAGACCAAAUAUAAUCCUGCCGUGUAUGAUUAAACACAUUUUUAGAACAAUAGUGUUAAAAUAAAAUCUUUUAGAACUAUAUUGGAAAUAAAAGGUCAAUGCAAAUCCCAAAUGAAGCCUACAUAGUAUAGUAAGAUCGAGGAAAUCUGCUCGCUAAACAAACUUUCAACAGAAAUCACAUAUACUUAGGAAAGAAAAAGUGGUUCUACGAAGCUUCAUAGAAAAAGAAUUGUGUACUUCUUUUUUCAUUGAUAAGCACAAGAAACUGGAUAAAACUACCCAUAAAAAUCUCGAUGACACGAGACCUCACCUCCAUUUCUGUCAUCAACUCUCGAGGUUUCUCCCAGGUGGAGAUUCUUGUCCUUCUAUUAUAAUAGUAUCUAAAAAUCAAUUCAACAAUUGUAAGAAUGUUAUUAAUUAGUUGGAGUAAUAAAUCCAUUGGAAAUAUGAAAACAUUAGCAACCAUAAUUGGCCUACUGAUCAUCAAAAGAUACUAAAAAUAGCAAUACCUACUAGCAUUUAGCCACAUGUAAAAUAUGUAUGAUAAUAGAGAAAUGGGGUCAAAAUGAAGUUAUCGGUAGCGGCGUAUCAAGUUCUGCUGAUCAACAGUUAGGUAGAAUUUGGUAGCGGUGAAUGGCAGCCCAUAUGAUAACUUUGACAAAGAGGACUGAAGCAAAGGGGCCUAUUAUCUCCAGUGCUAAUGGAAGCAGAAUGAUGCACAAAGCACUAGAUGUGGAUAAUUGAGGGAUUUCUUGGCAGUGAUGGGGGCCAACAUAUCCACCACUUGUUCAUAGACAAGACAUUAAGUGUUUGUGAUGCAGACAUUAACCUAUUCAUAUGAGUAACCUAUGUGAAUAUAAUCCAAAAGCAAGAAUUCCGGAAAGCCAAAUCGGCAUGCUCUUUUUUCUGUCUAGAGAACACAAAGUAAAAAGAUUGGAUCUAAAUGAAAAUGAUAUUUUUGCAGAGCUCCUUUUCUUAUAUACCGCAGUUUUACACCUUUUUUGUUCACUGGAAUCUUAAUUUGCUUACAAAAAACUAUCAUAGAAUUUAAAUGUUGACUCUCUCAGUCAACACACACCCAUUAACCCAUUUACUUAAGCAUGUUACUUGUUGACAAUAUUUAUGCAAAAUGGGUACAAUAAAACACAUUGAAUUCUCACCGGAACAACCAAGGGAGCUGCUAAAUCUCCUGUCUUCUGCAUAGUUGUCGCAGAAUUCACAUUAUGAAUACUUAUUGGCAUCCAGGGUUGUACCCCUGAUGGAAACCUAUGAUCAUUUAUCUGUGUUUGAUACUGGGAGCCAGAAGAAUCUACAUUUACCUGCCGUUAGAGACGAUAACAAAAUGUAUUUCAUCAAUAUAUGAAUGGAAAAUCGGAAACUGAUUUACAAUAACCACAAAAGAUCUUACCAAGGCCUUACAUUAUAUGAAGAAGAAAGAGGUUAAUUUGGGCCACCAAAACCAGGCAUGUGGUUAUUUGACAUCGAAAGAUUUCGCUGAAAAUCAUGGAGAAUAGGUGGUCCCUGAGGCAUACUAUGCAUUCCUACUAUAGGUCUACCAGUAACCUAUUGCAUAGGUUGAGGAAAUUGGAUUUGAGAAGGUUGAGACAUCGCAACAUUUUCAUGUCCAAGUGGCAGAAAUAGUUGAGAUGAACCGGAACCAUAAGGUUGUGCCUGCUGGGCUGGAAGCAUAGGCUGGAAUUGCUAAAUAUGUGGGGAAAAUAGUUAUCAUAAUAUCUCUACAUUCAAAAGUCAUUUAUUCCUCCCCCAAACCUCCACAACUUUACCUGCAGUGACAUGGAUAGAAUAGCACCAGGAGCAGGACCAGCCAACGGAGGUAUAGGAGGCUUCUCAACCAAUAUCCAUGCAAGAAAGAACAGAUGAAAUCAGAAUAUAGGUACUUUUCAAUCAUAUUUAGUUAAUUUUCCAAUCAAUGUUGAAAUCUUGUAUCCAUGCGCAACUCCCUAAAUUAAUUUGAAGGACAAGGCAAGAAUUUUGAAGCCAAACCACAUAGUAACAUAAAACCCUUUUCUUCAUCUAAUAAAUAGAAAUCUUGAAACGAGAAUAUAGAGAGAUAGGAAAUAGAUGACCUAUCACAGCGUUAGACAAGAAUAGACAAAAUGAUAAACAUCUUUACCGUAUGGCUUGGGUUCAACAGCUAGUGAUGGCCUAAGUAUCUUUUCUUUGGGUGUAAAGAAGCACGUCUGUUAAUACUGAGACCGGAAUAGGUUGAGCAUCACUCUUCCCUUCUGAUGUUCUAUGUCAUACUGACAUCACUACUAGAAUCUGAAAGCCUGACUUAGUUAUUCACUCUAUCAUCUCCCCCUUAGCUUCAAGCCAUCAUAUUAAGUUUGGGAGAUCCCUUACUAGACUCUAAACUGAAGUACACUCACUGCACUCUGGGGUCUGGAAAACUACUAUACACGCAUUUCAUGGCACUUAACCUAAAUGACUACACCUGAAAGUGGAAAAUCCACUGUUAAUACUACCUUCUGGGAUACACUUUAUCAUUCUAUAGACCCAGUAGUCAUCAUAUAAUACUUACUAACUUCGGGUCUUCAUGGGUAUCCCCAUAGUCGGAGUGCACACCCUCUAGUGCUUUAACUCUUAUUCUAUUAGUUCAACCUUCGAAAACUCAAACUUAGAAUCUAGCACUCAAGAUGGAUAUCGCCAAGACUUCAAUGAAUCAUACUACUUCCGACAUAGCAUACCAAUAUCGCGAGUCCAAACUUAUAUCGCUCUACUAUGAGAAUCAAGAUCAUAUAAAAAGGCUCAACACUAUCAAUCAAAACUCCUUAACUUGGCUAUUUAGAAAACCAUGUACCAUCUAACUAGUCUUUCUCCACCUAGCAACUCAACGGUACCACUCGUCACACAAAACGUGUAAUAGUCUUAUAAAAUACCGAAAACUCAGAUCACCUUGGACAUACUUCUACAUUAUAUAUGCAACAUCAUACUUCACUACGAAUCAAAUAAACUUAAGCUCNNNNNNNNNNNNNNNNNNNNNNNNNNNNNNNNNNNNNNNNNNNNNNNNNNNNNNNNNNNNNNNNNNNNNNNNNNNNNNNNNNNNNNNNNNNNNNNNNNNNNNNNNNNNNNNNNNNNNNNNNNNNNNNNNNNNNNNNNNNNNNNNNNNNNNNNNNNNNNNNNNNUUUUUUCCCACAAAACAUACAUCAUUAAUCUCAUGCCACUAUUUUUACCACCACAUUCUACAUUAAAUUCAAACAUAUAGUCCUGUACCAAUCAUCUAUCACUACUGAAAAAUGCAACAUAAUAUGCUAGUCCAUAAAAUUUGGGACAUACUAUACAAGCGCCUCAAAAAUCACUACAUACCUUCUCACAAGUAGUACUAGUUUACAAUUACGAACAAAAAGCAGGUCAAGGGGUAAAGUUACAUAAUAGACAUGAUCAACCUUAACCUUAUAUUAUAACCCCAUACAAUCUUUUUGACAUACGGAUUUCUCACCUCAUACUUACUUACCCAAACAUACAUUUAGACUACCUUCAAAUUCCACAAAAAAUCAUGAGUCUAUACUUAUAACUUACUGGCUAAUAUAGCCAUUUUCAUACUUCAAGCAAUCGAGAAAUCACCCUAACUAACAACUCCUUCUCUACGUUCUACUAAACUAACACACAAGGACAAAUCACCUCUUUACCAACCCAAUCUCAUGCAAACAUAUUCAGCUAUAUAUAUAUAUUAAACCAACACAAGAACAACAAGUUGCUAGUUAAUCGAAAUAGGCCUCACAUGGCUUUACUAGACUUUGAUUUUGUAUUUUGAACAAAAAAAUGAGAUGAAUGACAAGUCAACUAUGCUAGUGAAUCAAAAGAGCCCCACAGGGCUUCACUAGACUUUAUUUUUUUCAACAACACCUUGAUGACAAGAUUACAUGAGAUAGAAAUUUAAUACGCAAUAAGUAAUGAACUAAGAAUACACAUCUUACUCUGUAUAUAUAAAAUCAGAGUCAAACACUUCCUUCACGGACUACCAUACCUUCCACACAUGCUACUAGUUACCACAUUAGUCUAUCAUCAUUAGGGGUAAAUCAUUCUCGAAUAUCGAUUAUUCAAUUAAAAUAUUCAUUUACACAAAAGUCACCCUCGCUCUGACUUCUAACUUUGUGACUUCACAUCACCAACUUCUUGGUCUAAUUUCCCUAACAAUAGGUCAUGACAACAAUACUUUAAUGCAUACUACUAUCCGGGUGGAAAUACAGUUCCUACAUUCUACUACACAUCAUCCCCCCCUUAAGCAAGACAUUUGUAACAUAAAUUUAAAGAGGACUAAGUGCAAUUAAUACCUUAAGAUGAAAAGCACGAUUCCAUCAAAAUCAAUGUUUACAUUGGAAUUAAUACACACUGAAGCACUAAUGGACUCUUCUCAAGUUCUUACACAAAUUUUAACUCUUAUAUGGUUCAAUCAAAAAGGACCAUACCAUUUAGAUUCUAAACUUCUGCUCUUGAAUCACCUCAAUAAUGAGACAUAUCUGAGGACAUUAGAGUAAGGACAGAAUUUAGGAUGACUUUCUUUUUACUUUCGUAUGGGUGAUACCAUAGCACAAAUUAGAGUGUGAAAGAGAAACAUUCUGACUCUAUUGCACGAAAUAGAACACGAAGAAAGAGAGACAUUCCUAAAUGCCUAGUAGCCUCCUGCUUAUAAGUGUGGCACGCUAUAUACCCAUAAAUAAGACUCUCCCCGACGUGAUUUCACAGACACCCUGGGACCAUGAACCAUGCUUUGAUACCAAGUUUGUCACGACCUGAACUGGGGCCCUGGCCGUGACAAGUAUUCUAAACCAUGAACGCCCGAAACACCCCUAUCUAUCUGGUAAUCAUGCACAUAAUUCAUAUGAUAAUAAGAUAUGCAGAAGAUACACAAUGUUAUGAAAAAAAAUAGUCAUAAAUCAAAUAAAAUCAACAAAGGAGAAAUAAUGUUCCAUAACAUAUAUUGACAUCUGAACAACCAUCUGCGAAAUCUCUAAUACAUGACAGAAAUAAAUUAUUGUCUGAAAACUAGGACAAGGCCCCCAAUAGACCCAAAACUACUAAAUGAUAAAUGAACUGACAGACAUCAGGCCUUUCGAAAUAUAAAAGGCUCACUACUUGAUUCUGCAAACCUAUCGAAGAGAUCUAUUGGUUAUCUAGACCCCUAAACUAUGCCUCCAAACUUGGGAGGGAAGGGGGUCAAUACAAAAGUACUAGUACGCAGAGAAACCAAAAGCAAAAUAUAAUAUUUUUUUCCAAACAUAGGUGAGAGCCAUUAUAAAGCAGUUCCAUAUCAAAUCAUUUGAAAACACAUGGGCAUAAUGUAAUAGUUUUCAACAAUAAUGUAAAGCAGCUGAGCUAGGUGGAAUACCCUACAUAUAACAUUUACACCAACUGUCAAAUCUCGGUUGCCGCCAAGAUUAGAGUAUAAGUGAGGGGAAGACACAAAAGAUCAUACAGCAGGGUGACAAAAGAUCACACAGCAGGGUGUCUCGACCCAAUAAAGUAUAGUAGUGCCCAAGAUCACUUAGCCUGGGCUCCUAACCACAGUCCCAAUUUGGGAAUGACAUAAAGUCAAGUACACAAGAUCAUUUAGCCUGGUACCAAAUCCGCAUGUCGGCAAACACGAUUUCCAGCGAUGAGCCCUUACACUCAAAUGCUUUCUUUGGGUAUCCACCUAUCUCAUGUAAAAUCAAUGCAUCAAACUCCAUUUAAUUCAAUCACAUAUCUUAUUCUAUAGGGUAUCAUCAUACCCAACUUGCAAGCCAUCAAUAUCACAUCAUUCUUUCAUGCAACCAUCAUAUUCAUCAUAUUUCAUCAUAACAACCCUCCCAUUACAAGUCAAAACCAUGACCAUUUUCAAAAAAUUUCAUGUGAUGCUUGUCAAGAUGAUUUCAAACAUUUCACAUCAUAUGAGAAUUUAAAAUGAGAUCAUAUAAAAGAGGGAUUUCAUAUAAUUCAUGCUCUCAAGUUAACAUCUUUUUGGAAUACAUGCAUAUACAUAUAUCAUAUAUCAAACCACUUCGGGAAUAGGCCUAAAUACCAAAUCAAUAUCAUAAAACAUUUAAAACGGGAUUAUAUUCAUAAUUUCAAAACUCUCAUUUUUAAAACAUGAAUUUUUAAGCUCAUGAGAUUUUUGAGAUAACCCCACAUACCUCUAUAUGCGAAGAUGAUAGGUACCUCUUCAAGCCUAUGUUCUAGGGAUUCCAAAUAUGCAAUUAGUUUCAAAAACCCACGAUUGAAUCUUGAGUUGCUUGGGUUUUUAUUUUGAAACCCUAAGGAGAGUUCUUGAGCAAUUUUGAUGAAUGAAGGUGUAUUUUGGGAACUGAAUUUCGUCUUUAUGGCUAAAUAAGGGUGGGAAAAGGACCAUUUUGCCCCAAAAACGGAGUGUUUAAGUCUCUUGAGUAAUAAUAUAUGUGGCGCAAACCUUACCGCAUAAUAUAGGUUGUGCAGCGCACUCUUUAUCGUACACAUUAGGUUGUACGUCGCACACCUUAUGGCAUAAGUUAGGGUGUGCGUCGCACACCUUAUAGCAUAAGUUAGGGUGUGCGUCGCACAUCUUAUGCUGUAUGACACACUCCACUUUGCAAAGCCAUAACUUCUUUCUCGAGUGUCGAAAUUUUGUGAAAUUGGUAUCGUAGGAAAGAUAAUUCGAAUACCCUUCAUUUGAUCUAUAGUAUGCACUCUAAUUCAAUAUAUACAAAGAGUACUAGUCGAUUGAAGUUGACCUAAGUUUCAACGCUCACUAAAAUUCAAACGAUAGGAAAACUUUCAACUUGUCCUUGAGCUUGGGGACCUCUAUGAUCUCAAUUCAUGCUUAAAUAGGUUUCCACACUACAUAAUUUAUUAACGCACUAAACUUGCUUUGGAUUUAUGGAUUUUGGAACCUUUAUGUGAAGAAAAUGAUGAUUUUUGUUCUCGUCCGAAAUGCGAGGUGUUACAAAAUUUUGUUAGAAAAUGGAAAAUACAACCAUAUAGAGUACAUUUUAGCUGCACCAUACUGUAAAUACACUAAACUAAACUUUAAAAGUACUAAUGCAUUUCUUACCUGUUGGUGUGUAGCAUUCAAAAGUUUUAUUGUCUUUGGUCGGAAGAUAGCCACAACAACGGUUUCAAGAAUGAAGAUUAAACUGAAAAGAAGUCAUGCUCGCUCUGGAGUUCCUGUUACAUGAUGCAACAUUACUCUACAAUGUUAAAGCCACUUUCCUAAUCCUUGGAGUCUAAGUUCUUUCGAGAAUGAAAUUUGAUUAGGUAACACAUCCUCAACGUCAUUUGAAUCAGUGAUAGGAGGGUUACUGUCGUGAUAUUCUCGAUCAGCGUCCAAACUACUUCUCUGCAAGGCAUCUCAUCUAGCUGCUAAUGGGUCUGUAACUGAUAAAUGCCAUGAAACAAUAGCACCCAACAGCACAGAUGCUACAACUACAUAACUGAUACAAUGUCUAAAGUACCUGAAACAAAAUUGUUACAGUAAAAAAUUAGAAGAUUUUUUAGAGAACAAAAGAUUAAAAGUUUCUAUUCAACAAAUAAUAUAAAAAGGGAUGCAUAUGCCACAAGUAUAAGAAGACUUGAUUAUGGAAGAAAAUGAAUUAGCAUGGGUUAACAACAAACCAGUAAUAAACUCCAAAAUAGAUCAAGAACACCCGAGAGGUACCAACAAUAAAAAGUAUGAUGACUCGACUUUUCAGAAGCUUAAAACUAUACAAGCAAGCUCCUAAGUUCCAAUCUGAUUGAAUGAAAAGCUAGUGAAUUCAUUACUUACCAAAAAGAAAUAAGAAAUUAUUUCACAAUACAAGUCAGAAAAAGAGACAGAUAUAUGUAAGAAAUGAACUACCAAGGAUUAUUACGGCAGCUGAUAUUGUAGCCCCAAGCCAGUUUGAUUCCUUUACUGUCAGACCAUACAGGAUAGAAUACACAAUAAGUACUAAAAGUGAACCGACAUAUAGAAGUCUAAGAUGUAGAGCCCUGCAGAGCCCAAGUUCAAAGUAAAGAAGAGUAAAUUAUAGACUUCAGAGAAAAUAUUGAAAAGAUAGUGCAGAAAAUAUGAUGAGCAGUAUAAAUGAGAACCCACUGAACAAAUAAUAUAACAAGGUGACUUUCAAAUCUAAAGUAGCAUUUAAAUUAAUUUGCUUAGUAGUGGGAUUUUAAGAUCUACUGUUUUUACUAGACUACUGGAGAGUGUGUUUUGUUCUCUCAGAGUUAGUAUUCCUUUUAUUCAAAUGGAUUUGAGUUACACCCAUUGUUUAUCAUUCUUUGGCUCUUAAUUUUAAAAGUCUAUUAGUUGAGAACAUUUUGGCAUAUCUUCAUAUCUUCCAUAUCUUAUAACAAAAAUUAUGUUCCAUCCAAAAAAAGAGUUGUCAUAUUAGUCAUCCCUGCCCUUUAUAUAGAGCUCUUCCCAUCUUUGUUCAAAUCCCUAGCCAUAAAAAAUGAUGUCCCCCUUCAAAAAGUAUUACAUCUUACUCUGUCUUUCUUUUGCCUAUAAACAGUCUAGCACAUCAUUGAUGUCUUCUGUUAGAACUAAUCAUCGUGUUUACACCAAAAAUAAAGAAGUGCUAAACUAUUCAUGUUGAUCUUCUAGACAUCCUCAAAACAACCCUUGUUUCUUUCUGUCCAAACUGUCCACCAUAUACAUGUUGAACAAUUUUCCAUCUCUCCUCCUUUAUUACAUUUACAUCCCCAUUCCAGCUGCUUAGUACUUUUUUAAUGCUCCCAAGUUCUACCCACCUGAUCCCCUUCAGGUUGAAAAAAUUCUCUACAGCUGCUCUGUCCGUUUCCAAUGUAAGUAAAGAUGGUUAAUUGUGUAAAGAAAGGAUCUUGGACAUUACUCAACCCCAAAAUCUAGCACAUGAGGGGAGGAUUUCUCAAGUCUAUAUAAGAAGACCGACAGUUCACUCCCCAAUAAUGUGGGACUUUCACUCACUCUAACACCACCUUCACGCCCAGGCCCAACAAGAGCGUGGUCCAGGAGCUCAAACAUGGAUGAACCUGCUGUUUGAGAAAGAAUGCCAACUUCUAUUUGUAUGCAAGAGAGAAUAGAUGAGCUGUUGUUACUAAAUGCAUUGGGUCGAUCAUCACGUACAGGUCCAUGGAUUAUGCCAUUAGGUUUUGCAGCAGUUCCAAUAUUUUCAGCAGCACCACAAGUUGAAUUUUGAUGCACUAUAGUAAAGAAAGAAAACUUACACAUUAACUUGAGAAAACAACACAAGCUUCUCAAAUGCAGGUUCUAGCAAGAACAAAGAUAACAAGCAAAUAGAAGGCAAUGAAGAUAAGGAUAAGUCUAGACGAGCUUAGGGAUAGGCUCCAAACUGAACAUAGUGUUCGUCAUUCUUGUUGCAGAUAAGAUCAGACAACUUAUUAUUUUGACGUUAAGAGUUUCUUGUAGAUGGUGCUGAAUCCAUUUUGCAACUUUGGAGGCCUUGUAAAGCACAGAGAGGCUCAUUUUUGUAAAGAAAAUACUGCCCACAUAGUAUAUAUGUUAUCAUUUUCAAAAAAAAUAUGGUGCUUGCUGGUUUUACCAAUAUAAUGUAUGCUUGUACCUUCCAAUGCAACCUCCUGGCGAAAAAACUAACCACCAAUAGGCAUCUUUCAGCACAGAAGAUUCUAAGACUGUCUUACUAGGAAUUAGGUAAGUGCAAGUUCUUAAAGGGAAAUUAUUUGCAUCAUUGAAGAUCAAAAAGCCAGGUAUACAGGAGAUUAGACAUGUUAAAGAAAAAAUGAUAGGUUUAAUCUCAGGAAAUAGAUCAAAAACUCUCAUUAACAUAUAAAUGAUGGAUCCCAAAUAACGUCAGAAGUUACACACAAAAGGAAAAUGGUACAGAAACCAAUUCCACCUUCAUAAUAACUAUGUCUGCUUGAUGUAAGCAUAAACAUAAGGAACAUACUAACAUACCAAAAAAUUAUCAAAAUGUUCUACAAUGUAGUGCAUAGUUUUUUUUGUUUUUUGAAAUUGAACACAGUGCAUAGUUUAAAAAUAUGCAAACAACAUUUAAUGUGGUAGGUCAAGCAUCAGGUACUGGAAGGAAAAUUUAAAACAUAGUGGAGGCAAAUGAAAGAGGGUAUCUAAAAGAAUGAUCAGAGGGCAGGGUGGAACUCCCCCAUAGCAAGUCAAAUGAAGUUUAAAACUAUAUAAAGAAGAUGACACUAGAGGCUUCUGUAGGUGUCUCACAUACUUGGCAUAAACCAUGUGUGAAUGAGCACAACAGAAUCAAAUAUACUGAGAUAAAGCAGGCAUUUGAUUGCAGAUCAAAUGGAAGAGUCUACCAACCGACCAGAUUUAAGAGCAUCUCUGGUCUAUGCACUAUUUUGAGGUAAAGUUAUAUGGUUAAAAAUUUGGACGUUACUUAAUAUAUGCACAAACUGAAUAUGAACUGCCCAGUUAGACAAGUGCUUUUUGUAGCUACCCAGUAACAACCUUAGUUAAAGAAUACAUCAAACUCAGUAAGCUUAAUGAGCUUUCCCCUGCAAGGAAUAAAAGUGUGGAUGACCCGACAUCAAAUAUACCAUUGUUAUUAUACACACAAUCUCCAUACAAUAGCAACAACAUACCCGAUGUAUAUUUGAGCAGAAUAUAUGCAAACCAUACCUCUACCUCAGAGACGAGAACAAAAUGGUAGAACCAUUCCUCACUAAAAACUUCAAAAGACAAAAAACAGCCAAUAUUUACAAAACCAAAUGAAGCAAAAGAAGUUCAUUAUCUUGAUCACCAGUAAGUAAAAGAAAUGUUUACAAUUGGAGAUUCAAAAAGGUUGCAAAAGAAAGAAGCAAACUUUCUAUUUAACAAGAAUCAAAGGGGGGAAAGAAUAAGAGUAAAACUAGUAAGAAUACGAGAAGUAUGAACACUAUAGUCAAUGACCAAAAUAUGAAUUGUAGUUUGGCCAUUUAGCAUCCAUCACUCCAACAGAGAAUCAAGACUUGCAAGCAGGUCGAAAGGUUUGCCUAUCGAGUCUUUCAAGAUUGUGAUUUGACCUUCUUUCAUAAGAAAGUCUUUAUCAAGGGUAUCUACCUUUCUUUUCAACAUGUUUAUCUCAUAAUUCAAUAGCAUGUUCAUCUCACUGUAGCUCUUAACUUCCUCCCACAUGAAAUCUCUCUCUUGAAACACUUUUGGUAGUAUCUCCUUCACAACGCCAAGUUCCUUCAUGCAUUCUUGCAAAUCAUUCGUGAGAUGGUUGAUAUUUUUGUCCUUUUUUUAGCACCUUCCAGAAUCAACUGUAAACCAUGAAAAAUAGGAAAGACACAAAGAUCACCAAUAAUAUUUCAUCAGAAAUUCAAAACAAACUCAUAGCCUAGAAGUUCAACCAAAUCAUGAAUCCUUUUUAACUGUUAAAAUUCACAGUAGAUAACUCGUGAGCUUGUGCAAGAAUUAAGUCAGAUGAACAAGAAAACUUACUAAAACCCCUUUGGGUAACUUUACCAUAUCAGAGCACAAUCAGAUCAAUGGGUUUGAGGAUAUCACAAAGUUUAUCAUGUUCUUGGUUGGUUCCAGUGAUUACACAUUAAGGUGAUCAUACAUUUCACAGAAGACUACCACAUGCCAGCAACUCAUGUAUACAAGUUCAUAAAGAAAACCGUGAACUUCAGAUAGAACAAAGAUGAACGUAAAAUCAAACAGAAGUAGAAAGCUAAUGCAGAGAGAGUAACAUGCGAACAUGCUAUCAUAUAUGAAGACGAGGUAUCCAAAGUUGAAAAAUAAAAACUAUUUCGUUGCAACGAGAUCUUAACAUUGCUUGCUUACCUGAAGCUCGAGAUAUUACAACUUGGGUGUCUCAUAAGAAAGAGCGUCCAGCACAUUUUGCACUUCAUAUUUGAGAAUGUCGUUACCUGUAACUGUUGUGGAUAGAUCAGCCUGAAGUUGUUUUAUGUCCAUCUCCUCGGAAUAGAGCUUCUCUCUUAGCACAGUUGUCAGCAAGGUCUCCGAUUUAACCACUUUAACCUUUUCCUGGUAGUUUUCCCGGACAUAAUCUCUAUUCUCUUGAGCUACUCGAUAUUCCGCUUGUAACUGAGUGAGCUGCUGCCUUAGAUUUUGAUUCUCCUCUGACACUUGCUCUAUUCUCUUAGACAAAUCUUCAAGGUGUUUCUCCGAAAAUGACAUCUUGAUUCUAUUAUCUACUUCUUUCUCAUUAAACAAAGAGACUUCCCUUUGUAGAGAGACAUUCUGCUCUACAAGCUUUCUCGCCCUUUCAUGGAGUCUAUGUUGUUCAAUUGGGUAUUUCUCAAGUUUUAGAGACCAAUCACUGGAUCUUCUAUCCAAAUCCUUUUUAAGUACUGAUUGUAACUCAUUCUUUUCUGUCUCCAAUCUUCGUGUCCAUGAAUCUAGUUCUGCCUAUAAUAUGCUGGUUUCUUCCUUAGCAGAAGCCUUUUCAACAACUUGAUUCCGUAGCAUGCUUGAAACUUUAGAAGCCAUUUGUACCUUUUCCUCUGUCAAUCUUCUAAUAGUCCAAAUCAACAUUGGAACUCUAAGGUCUCUUCCGUGAAGAAACAUUUUAUUACUUUGGACAAGCAAAUGCAAAUUAAAACAUCAGUUUAAGUGUGAGAAAGGAAGCUACAGCAAAAUGAUAUGCAUACUGGCUUGAAUCACGACCAGAUUUCUUAGGAUGAACUUUCUUACUUUGACCAUGGGAGAUUUGCUUAGAUCCGUGAAAUUCUUUUUCCCUGACCCACUGUCAUAGAAGGAUCCAAAUGACAAUGAAACACUCCUCCAUGAAGAAACUUCCUUAGACUUUAAUGGUGGUGAAGGGGUCUUGUUUGCAUCAUUAGUUGAUGAUCGAAAAAAUAAGAAGUUGUUCUUCAUCAUCUCUAUGUAAGGAGACUGUACAUAAAUCAAACUAGUGUCCAUGAGAUUUCAAAGGACAAAGCAAAACACUCAUAAACAGCCACUCACAAAUCAUUAUCCAUUCGUGUAAAUACUGCAAGCUAACUAAAUACUUAUGAGAUAAAGCAAAACAUCUCUCUUUCUACAUGCUUCUUCUUUAACAACAACAUACGUAACCCCUACCUUGGCAAGUAGAAAAUUUAUUUCCUAUAAAUCUUCAGCAAGGAAAGCAAAAACACGAGGAUAUUAACAACAGUAGCAAGUAAGAAAACAGAGGUAUACGAUACAACAAGUAGAAAAGAAAAAUAUGUACUAAUACUACUACCAGAAGAGAUAUGACGCGAAACGAUUUACUACUAGUCUUCUACUAAAAAUUAAUAAAAUACCCCACAAACAAAUAGCACAAGAACAAUUCAAAGAACUUAUCAAAUCCUUCUGAUAAAAAAAAUAAUCAUGGUAAAUAAUACAAAAAAGAGAAAUUACUCAAUCAAAGAGUUGAAAGAGUAAGAGCCGGCAAAAGGUUAUCGGAAUCUGUAGGAUUCUUGUCAUUUUUUCUUGAAAUGUAAAAAUAGCAAAAGACUAAAAUGGAGAAAAAAAAAUUUCUGUGUCUUUUAUUCAUCAUCGUACAAUGCAUAUAUACAACUAACAAGGAUCUGUAAAUUGCAAGUAAAUAUUUACAAGGAUCUGUAAAUGGCAAGUGAAUAUUUACAAGGAUUCAGAAAUAUGGUAGUGAAUAUUUACAUACUCAUAAUUAAAAAUUUGAGAAAUACCCAUUAGAGAGAGAAGAAAAGUGUAACAAAUAAUUUGUGUUAUUCAAUGGCUAUAAAUAACCAUAUGAGGUCAAAUUUUCCAUAUAAUAGAAAUAAAAUUUAAACUAUAAAUUAGCUUUUUCAAAUUAACACACAAAUUAACUUAAAUUAUGAAAUUUAAGAUAUUUAUUUUGUCAAAAUUUAAAUUUUCCAUAUAAACAUCACUGAAUUGAUAUAAACAAUAUUUUGAAAUGUGAUAGAUUAAUUAAAUAACCCAAAAAUAUUGUAAUAUUGUAUUUCUUUUAUCUCUAGAUCUUUUUUUAAUACAAAAGAAAUACUAAAGUCAUACAAUAAUCUCCUUUCUUUUUAUAGUCUAAACUUACCAUUUAAAAAUUAUUUCAUUUGAAUUAAUAAGAUCAUAGUAGAUUGUACAAAAUCAGUUAAUAAAUGAUAUAUAUUUCCAUUAAAUAAAUAAAGUAUGAUAUAAUUGUAAUAAGACUAUACAAUCAACUAAUUAGUUUCACUUAAUUAGAUUAAAUUUUAUGAUCAUAAUAUAUAGACUAAAGUUCCUUAAAUUGAAUGUUGUAAAUUUAAAAAUAUAUUUAUGGCUAAAGUAGUAGUCCAUGUUCAUUGUUUUAUUUAAUCAAUAUAUGUAUAUCAAUUACAGAACUUUGCAUAUAUUUUUUAUUAAAAUAAUUAUCAAUAUUAACUGAUUUUUACCGUAAUUUAAUCUAAUUAGUUUGAUAACAAUACAAUUAUUAUUAAUAUUAUAUAUUUGUUAACGAUAAAUUUUGUCCUAAUUUUAUAGCUUGAUUAUAUUUAAUUAAUCUAAAAUUACAUAAAGGACUCAAAUAUGGAAACAAUUGAUAUUAAUUACCNNNNNNNNNNNNNNNNNNNNNNNNNNNNNNNNNNNNNNNNNNNNNNNNNNNNNNNNNNNNNNNNNNNNNNNNNNNNNNNNNNNNNNNNAAUUUUUAAAAGGUAACAAUUAUUUUUUUCCUAAUUGCUGAUUUAUUUCUCAAAAAUUUCUUAUAAAUUUAUAAUUUGAUUAUAGUUAAUUGAUUAUUUAAUUAUCUUUCUAAUUUGCUAAAACUCAAAUAAGUUAACCAUUAUUUUUUUCUCAAUUACAGAUUUUCUUAAAUUUAAUCCUUUAUUGUUUUACUAAAAUAAUUCAAAUUUAAUUGUUUUGAGGCAUUACAUCUUUUUGUCUUUAAAUCUUUUUUAAUACAUAAGAAAUGCUAAAGUCAUACAAUAAUUUCCUUUAUUUUUAUAAUCCAAACUUACCAUUUAAAAAUCAUUUCAUUUUAAUUAAUAAGAUCAUAGUAGAUUGCACAAAAUCAAUCAAUUAAUUAUAUGUAUUUUUAUUAAAUAAAUGAUGUGCGAAAUUAUUGUAAUAAAACUAUAUAAUCAACUAAUUAAUUUCAAUUAAUUAGAAUCAAUUUUAUGAUCAUAAUAUAUAGACUCAAGUUCUUUAAAUUUAAUAUUUUAAAUUUUAAAAUAUAUUUAUGGCUAAUGUAGAAGUCACUGUUCGUUGUUUUUGUAACCAAUAUAUGUAUAUCAAUUAUGAAACUUUUCAUAUAUUUUUUAUUAAAAUAAUUGUCAAUAUUAACUGAUUUCUAACUCAAUUUAAUCUAAUUAAUUUGAUAACAAUAAAAUUAUUAUUAAUAUUAUAUAUUUAUUUACCAUAAAUCCAUCCUAAUUUUAUAGCUUGAUUGUAGUUAAUUAAUCUACAAUUACAUAAAGGGCUCAAAUAUGAAAACAAUUGAUAUUAAUUACAUUUAUAAUUUCGGCAAUUCAAUCCCAUAAAUUUCUAAUGUUUUUUUAUAGAUUGAUAUAUUAAAAUGAUAUCAAUUACCUUUUUAAUUUUGUGAAGAAUUUUAAAAAGGUAACUAUUAUUUUUUUUCCUAAUUACUGAUUUAUUUCUCAAAAAAUUCUUAUAAAUUCAUAAUUUGAUUAUAGUCAAUUUAUUAUUUAAUUAUCUUUAUAAUUUGCUAAAAGCUCAAAUAGGGUAACAAUUCUUUUUUCCUAAAUUAUGGAUUUUCUUAUAUUCAAUCUUUUAUUGUUUUACUAAAAUAGUUCAAAUUUAAUUGUUUUGAGGGAUGACAACUUUUUGGCUCUAAAUCUUUUUUAAUAAAUAAGAAAUGCUAAAGGCAUACAAUAAUCUCCUUUCUUUUUAUAAUCCAAACUUACCAUUUAUAAAUUAUUUCAUUUGAAUUAAUAAGAUCAUAGUAGCUUGCACAAAAUCAAUUAAGUAGUUGUAUAUAUUUUUAUAUAAAAAAUGAUGUAUGACAUAAUUGUAAUAAAAUUACAUAAUCAACUAAUUAAUUUCAAUUAAUUAGAAUCAAUUUUAUGAUCAUAAUAUAUAGACUCAAAUUCCAUAAAUUUAAUGUUCUAAAUCUUAAAAUAUAUUUAUGGCUAAAGUAGUAAUCAAUGCUCAUUGUUAUUUUACCAAUAUAUGUAUAUCAAUUACGAAACUUUGCAUAUAUUUUUUAUUAAAAUAAUUGUCAAUAUUAACUGAUUUCUAUCUCAAUUUGAUCUAAUUAAUUUUGUAACAAUAAAAUUAUUAUUAAUAUUAUAUAUUUAUUUACCAUAAAUCUAUCCUAAUUUUAUAGCUUGAUUAUAUUUAAUUAAUCUACAAUUACAUAAAGGACUCAAAUAUGGAAACAAUUGAUAUUAAUUACUUUUAUAAUUUCAAAAAUUUAAUCCCAUGAAUUUCACAUAUUCUUAUAGUUUGGUUAUAUCAAAUUUAUAUUAAUUACCUUUAUAAUUUUGGGAAGAAUUUUAAAAAGGUAACGAUUAUUUCUUUUCCUAAUUACUGAUUUAUUUCUCAAAAAUUNNNNNNNNNNNNNNNNNNNNNNNNNNNNNNNNNNNNNNNNNNNNNNNNNNNNNNNNNNNNNNNNNNNNNNNNNNNNNNNNNNNNNNNNNNNNNNNNNNNNNNNNNNNNNNNNNNNNNNNNNNNNNNNNNNNNNNNNNNNNNNNNNNNNNNNNNNNNNNNNNNNNNNNNNNNNNNNNNNNNNNNNNNNNNNNNNNNNNNNNNNNNNNNNNNNNNNNNNNNNNNNNNNNNNNNNNNNNNNNNNNNNNNNNNNNNNNNNNNNNNNNNNNNNNNNNNNNNNNNNNNNNNNNNNNNNNNNNNNNNNNNNNNNNNNNNNNNNNNNNNNNNNNNNNNNNNNNNNNNNNNNNNNNNNNNNNNNNNNNNNNNNNNNNNNNNNNNNNNNNNNNNNNNNNNNNNNNNNNNNNNNNNNNNNNNNNNNNNNNNNNNNNNNNNNNNNNNNNNNNNNNNNNNNNNNNNNNNNNNNNNNNNNNNNNNNNNNNNNNNNNNNNNNNNNNNNNNNNNNNNNNNNNNNNNNNNNNNNNNNNNNNNNNNNNNNNNNNNNNNNNNNNNNNNNNNNNNNNNNNNNNNNNNNNNNNNNNNNNNNNNNNNNNNNNNNNNNNNNNNNNNNNNNNNNNNNNNNNNNNNNNNNNNNNNNNNNNNNNNNNNNNNNNNNNNNNNNNNNNNNNNNNNNUAGUUCAAUUUAAUCUAAUUAAUUUGAUAGCAAUAAAAUUAUUAUUAAUAUUAUAUAUUUAUUUACCAUAAAUCUGUCCUAAUUUUGUAGCUUGAUUAUAUUUAAUUAAUCUACAAUUGUAUAAAGGGCUCAAAUACGUAAAUAAUUGAUAUUAAUUACCUUUAUAAUUUUGGAAAUUCAAUCCCAAAAAUUUCUUAUGGUUUUAUAGAUUGAUUACUCUAAUUGAUAACAAUUACCUUUUUAAUUUUGGAAAGAAUUUAAAAAAGGAAACAAUUAUUUAUUUUCUUAAUUACUAAUUUAUUUUUAAAAUAUUUCUUCUAAAUUUAUAAUUUAAUUAUAGUGAAUUGAUUGUUAUUAUCUUUAUAAUUUGUUAAAAACUCAAAUAAGGUAACAAUUAUUUUUUCCUAAUUAUGGAUUUUUUUAUAUUCUUUCAUUUAUUUGUUUACAAAAAUAGGUCAAACUUAAUUAUUUUGAGGGAUGACACCUUUUUUUAAUAUUUUUUAUUCAGAAUGAUUACAAUUCAAAUAGGCAGUUCUCAAUAUGACACUUGUCUUAGUUUUAGUCUAGACUAUCCUCCUUUAUUAUAUAGAUAGAUAAUUUCAACAAAAUUAAUUAGAGUAUUUUCUUAUAAAAAUAAUAUAAAAUAUGGUAUAGUAAUAAUAUUUGCAUUAAUUAUGCUUCUAUUUUCUUACGCAGUAUUUGAUUCUACAUAUUAAAAAUAACAUUGAAUCAAUGGUGAAAGUAGAGGGACUUGUUUCUUUAUUGGGUUUUUUCUUUUUGGGAAAGCUGAGAUUUUCUUGACUACUAACCACCCUACAAAAAGCUGACACUUCUUGGUAGAUUGGCUUUUUCUUCAUACGGUACUAAUUUAUAUACAUUUUCUUUGAUAUUUGUUAUAUUGUUAGUUUUAUUUUGUGUAUCGUAUUAGUUUAUAUGCAUUUAUCUUUUAUGUUUGUUAUAUUAUUAUGAUCCUAAGCGGAGAGUCUAUCGGAAAAAUCCUCUAUACUUCACCUGAGUAGUGAUAUGAUCUGCAUACACUAACCUCCCCAGACCCCACUAUGUGGGAAUACACUGGGUGUUGUUGUUGUUGUUGUUGUUUCUUAUACAGUAUUUGAUUCAAUAUAUUAAAAAUAACACGAAUUAUAUAAUUUUUCUUACAUAAUACCCCCACUUUAAGCAUGUUAAUGCAUGCAUUAGAUUCAUUGCAUUACUAAUGUUAUAAAUUUUGAGGUAUUAGUAAUACAUACCUCAAUACACAAUAGAGUAUAUAACUAAUUUUUGCAUUAGUUAUACAUAAGAUAAAAAGAUAUAUAUCAAAUAAGGGACUAUUAAUACACAUUAAAUUAAAGGAUGCAUUAAUAUUUACGUAAUACAUUCCAUGCUUUAUCACAGAUUUGAUUAUUAUUCUUUGUCUUGAGCCGGGAGUCUAUCGGAAAUAGCCUUUCUACUUCUCCGGAGGUAGUGAUAUGGACUAUGUACAUCUUACCCUCUCCAGACCCCACUAUGUGCAAAUACACUGAAUUUAUUGUUGUUGUUGUUAUUAAUUUUUUAAUACACUCUAUCAAAAGGCUUCAUGCUUCUCAUUUAAUUAUACCUUUAGCUCCUCUUUAAUUAUGAUAAUUGCUCUCUGACUCCACCUUGAUUUUUUAAAAUAUAAAUAAAUAGCAAUGAAUUUAAUUUUGUUCAUUACUCUACUAAUUGUACUAAUGUUAGGUGAAUUCAUCAACUUAAAAUUAGAGUACAUUCACUCAUGCUACAUAUUAUAGCUAUAGUUCCAAAAACGAAUUAUACGUUUGACAUAAUACAUAAAUGUGUUUUCAACUUGACAUCAUCAGCAAAUAUUUAUAUAUUUUAAUUCUGAGUGUUGCACAAAUAAAUACUUAGACUAUCAUAUAAAGUUAAAAUAAAUAUAUAUAUGCGAGUCUUGUAUCGCAAUUUGUCAUGCAAAAUAUGUGCAUCUCAUACAAUUUGUCAAGUAAUUAAAGCGUUUGUGUCUAGGGGAGUGCAUCGGUCGGUUCGAUUGGGUUUUAUAUAUUAUCAUUAGAUUUAUCGGUUUUCGAUUUUUAAAUAUGCUAAACCAAUAACCAAACCAAUAAAAUACUUUUUUCGGUUUUUAGUCCUUAACGAUUCGGUUUUCGGUUUAACCGAUAAGAAAAUACUCAUAAAAUAAAAAUAGUAGUAACUAACAUAUAAAAAUGAAUCUUAGUUGCAACAAAAAUCCUACAUGAAGUAUUUAAAUUUACAAAAAUCUUCAAGUUUGAACUAAAUGUUGUUUGGAGAAAUUAAGAGUUUAUAUAAUUGAAAUAAUAAGUUUUUUAAUUUGUAGAAAUAAAAGAUAAAUAUAUAAUAAGUCAUACAGAGGCUUCAAGAAACACCUAUCAUAUUUGCAUAUAGAGGUACGUGGGGUUAUCCUAGAAUCUCAUGGGCCUUUAAAUUCAUGUUUUACAAUGGGGGGUUUUGAAACUAUGAAUAUAAUCAUGUUUUGAACGUUUCUAUAAUAUUAAUUUGGUCUUUAGGUUAUUUUGAAUAUAGUGUUUUAAUCAACUAUGUGGUGUAUAAAUCUAGUUGAGCAUGAAUUGAGAUAUAGAGGUCCCUUAACUCAAGGACGAGUUGAAAGCUUUUCCAUCGAUUGAGUUUUAGUAAGCGUUAAAACUUGGGUCAACUUCAAUCGGUCAUUACACUUUUUAUAUAUUGAAUUAGAGUACCUACUUAUAUCAAAUGAAAGGACAUCGAAUUAUCUUUCCAACGAUACCAAUUUUGCAAAAAUCCAACACCCGAGGAAGAAGUUAUGGCCUUGCAAAGUGGAGUGUGUCGUGCAGCAUAAGGUGUGCGACGCACACCCUAACUUAUUCCAUAAUGUGUGCGACGCACAACCUAAUGUGUGUGAUAAAGAGUGCACCACACACCCUAUAUUAUGCAAUAAGGUGUGCGCCGCAUGCAUUACUACUCAAGUGACUUAAACACUCCAUUUUUGGGGCAAAAUGGUCCUUUUCCCACCCUUAUUUAGCCAUAAACACGAAAUUCAGUCCCCAAAUACCCCAAAAUAAACCUUCAUUCAUCAAAAUUUCUUAAGAACUCUCCUUAGGGUUUCAAAAUAAAAUCCAAGCAACUCAAGAUUCAACCGUGGGUUUUUGAAACUAAUUGCAUAUUUGGAAUCCCUAGAAUGUAGGCUUCAAGAAACGCCUAUCAUCUUCGCAUACAGAGGUACGUGGGGUUAUCCUAAAAUCUCAUGGGCCUUUAAAUUCAUGUUUUACAAUGAGGGUUUUGAAACUACGAAUAUAAUCAUGUUUUGAACGUUUCUAUAAUAGUGAUUUGGUCUUUAGGCCUAUUUCCGAAGUGAUUUGACAUAUUAUAUAUGUAUAUGCAUUUGUUUCGAAAAGGUGUUAAUUUGAGAGCAUGAAUUUUUUGGAAUCCCUCUCUAGAUGUGAAUUUGUUUUAAAUGUUCAUAUGAUGUAAAUUGUUUGAAGAUAUAUUGAAAAGCAUGACAUGAAAUGUUUUAAGAAUUGAUAUGAUUUUGACUUGAAAAUGAGAGGGCUAUUUGUGUUGAAACAUGUUGAAUACAAUGGUUGAAUGAGAAGAAUGGUGUGAUAUUGAUGGCUUGAAAGUCGGGUAUGACAAUACCCUACAGAAUAUGAUAUGUGAUUGAAUCAGAUAAAAUUUGAAUGCAUUGAUUUUACAUGAGAUAGGUGGAUGCCCGAAGAAGGUGUUUGAGUGUAAGGGCUCAUUGCUAACAACUGCUAACACAUCAUCAACUUCCACACAGUCUUCAGACACCAUCGCCACCACUGUCACCGGCGUCACCACCUCUACCACUACCAUCCGCUACACUCGCUACAGUAUCUAUACUAAUAACCAUUCCACCAUCAUAGCUAACAACGUCUCCAACGACCACCAACACAUCGUCAACCGUUAUGCAUAUAGUUUUCCAUCACCACGAUCAACACCUCCAACUACUAACAUUAACCAACUUCACAUCACAACCACCACCACCACUACCAAUCGCCAAUAUCAUGACAGUUACUACAAUGCCAACUAUCUCUACUAUCACAACUAUCAUCACCAACAUGGCUAAUCACUAACAUCAAUUAAUUUAUUUCAACCACCACCACCAUUACAAACCAUCUCUACUAUCACUAACAAACAUUAAUGUUUCUUUUUUUAAUCAAAUAAUAAUUUAAUUGGAUUAAAUUAAAAAAAUUUCUAAUAUAUAAUUAUAUUAUAUUUAGAAAUAAAUAAAUUUUGCACAUUCAGAUAUUGAGAAACACCCAACCUUAAUCAUUUAGUUUUCAGAUCUAGAGACAAUAUCUUAACCAUUCAGAUGUGCAUUCAAAGUGAUUCAAAUGUCUGAAUAUUAAUAAAAAAAUGCAGUCUUAGCUGAAACAAAUGGUGUGGUUAUGCGAUACUUUAAAGGAGUCCUCCAAAGUCAAAGAAACUACGUAAAAACAUGGAAGUUUGAUGAUCACUUCUCAGAGUUGUUCUGCUCAAGAAACUAUAACAAUUAAGGUAAUAUAACCAUUAAUAGCAUUCAACAGAGGAGAAGUCAAUUACAAUUAUCCGUGAAGUAGCAUUUAAUGCAGCUUGGCUAGAUUAAAAGAAUCAUCUAUAUCUAUACUACAUUAAGAGCAUGGAACCCCUAACUUAAAAGUUUACGACAAUACCAUUCCUAUCAGCCUAAAUACCUACUAUCUAGUAAAAAAAAGAGAUGAAACUAAUUGGCAUAAAGAGAAACAACACAGAUGUUUAAUAGGAACAACCGGUCAUUGUUCUUAUCUCAACAAAAUAUGUGUUAUUUAAAAAAAAAAAGCAAGCAGAGGGGUAACUCUCAAAUCUCAAUCUCAUACUUUUAGCCUACCAAAUAUGUUUUAUUCUUUAAUGCACUACAACAACAACAAAAACAAACCCAUUAUAUUCCCACUUAGUAAUGCACUAACUUCCUUUUUUACCUAAUGAAUUGAACUUUUUAGUGAGGAUCUAAAUGAUUUUCAGACUUUGUUUAACAUCUGAUUCAUUAAGAUGUAUUAACAGGUUGAAUCUUUUUUUAAAAAAAAAGAACUUAAUGGGCUGAUAUCUUAACCAUUCAGAUUCAGACCUUCAUUAAGUUAAAGCAAAUGAAAAGGGAUUGUAGUGUAAAGUCUAUAAAUAUGGCUUAGUGUAACAAAUGUAGUUGACACAAUUCAAUACUCCUAUUAGCAACCUAUUUCACCUGUUUCUCUAGCUCAUCCAUUACAUCUGUAAAUAAGUAUUUUGCUAUUGAUCCUGAAGUAUUUGAUGAGACAGCUAGAUAUGCAGCAAAAUCUUUAAUCUGCAAGCACAAAAUAAAGAUGGAAAUUAUUGGAUGAAAAAUUCAAAAAGAUGAAAAGGGAACUCAUGAAGGUAAUCACUCACUGAACACAAGAAAUAAAAACUAACUUUGAUGCAAUAAUCACGCCAGUUAGUUUUUUUAUUAAGUAAUCCUGCAGCAACAUACUCUUCCAUCAGUUUUCGGAACUCAUCACAAUUUUUACGUUCAGCUUUUCUCAAUUCUUCCUAUUUGAAUUAAUGGUGUAUGCCCAGUGAGAAAGAGAUAAAUCAAAGUCUCCAAACAUAAAUUUAAUUUUAACCCCCAAGUCUAACAAGAAAUAUACCAUCCGCAGUUUCCUUUGCUCCCCCUCUUCGCUCUCUAAAUCACGUAUGUAUUCCUAAAACAGAAAAGGUUGCAACAUAACUUUAAAACUAAGGUGUACAAAUGAGAUUCUUGGAAAAAGUUAUUUAUGAUGUAUUAGAAAAGUGAAUAGUACCUGGAAAAUCUCCAACCGAUUGAUUUUCUAAAGGCGGGAGCAUCUUUCAUCAAUUUCCAAGCAGUCCUGAACUUUCCGCCACUACCUACUGGCCUGAACAAAAGAAGUCAGCAACAAUGAAACUAUGGAAGUUCUAUCUCCUGGAAAUAGAAAAACAUAAUCUAGGAACUGAUGCUAAUUCCACUAGAAUAAAUACCUUAAUAAAGUCACAGGAUUUUAAAAAUUCUAACUACUCCACUCUAUUGCGCUUCUGCUCCUCCAAUGCCUUCGCAUGUUCCUAAUAAAAUCUAGUACAAAGUAAAAAAAAUAAAAUAUCUCUAUAAAGAAGACAAUAUUUACAAAGAGACUUUAACUACACUUGCAUGAAAGUAUUGAAAAACUUUUUCUAUUUUAUGAUGGAGGGGGGAGAGGAAGAAGCAUAUCAUAGUUUCAAGUUUCAAGAAAAAUUACAUGCAAUACAUGGAAGUCUGUUUAAAUUGGAAUUCAAUGGUGAACAAAUUUAAAUGUUGUACCCAUGAGAAGCCAUUAAAAAUGUAAUCAAAGAACACAAGAUUUUAAGUUGAAUAUCUACAACAUUCCUUCUUUCUACUCUUUAAGCAAAACAAAAAAAUGGAACAAACUAAAAGACAUCCUACAAAGGAAAAGAAUGGAAUAACUGUUGUUAAUCAAGUGGACCAACGCCUAACUCAACUUCGAAAACUAGGUCAGGUGGUGAAGAUUGUCCAAGAUCAUAUAAGGAAACUAUAGCACAUACACCUUACUAGUGUAGGAUUUUUAUACAUUAAUUGCACACCAAGACUAGACAUUUGUAGCAUUAGUUAACCUAGGUUGGAUAACAUCUAAUAGUCUAAUAUCAAGAUAGAUCUGCCUCUAAUACCAUAUUUAAGAAAUUGGACCUUGUUUCUAUCUCAAAUGAAAGGCUAACUUAAUUUAUGAGGAGCCAAAGACCAUAUAAGGAAACUAUAGUCCGCACACUUAGUUUUUAACAUAUAGAAGCUUACAAGAAAGUUCUGCAAAAGGAGCUUCACCUUUUUCUCAAGUUCCUCCACAUAAUCUUCAAAAAGGUCCUCACGGUCUUUAGCUCGCUCAACAGCUUUAAAACGUUCAUCAUGUUUGAAUAUGGAGAUUGCCUUACUAAAUAAUCAAUAGCAAAUAGUUAGUGGAUCAAAUGGAACUUACACAAGUAAUGGAUCAACUUCAAGGUACCAAAACACAUACAAACAAUGACCAAGAUUAGAAAACAAGCAGCAGACAACUUUACAUUACAAGUGAAAGACAAACCUCCAUCUUGACGUAAGAUUGAGAACAACGGACAUUGUUUUGAAAAAUACCACUUAUUCUUUUGAACAAGUCAAAUACCAAUCUCUAACACAUCAUGAAUAUUAUGGUAAUAUCUUUUUAUUUUUGAAACUGGUAAUUUGAAUAUCAUGAUAUAUCAAAUAGAAGACACCCACAAAAGAAAAUUUCACUUACUUCUAACAUUAUCCUGAAAUCUUCCCGAGCUUUUUUCUAUUUAACACGCCUCUCUUCAGCUUCCAGUUUUUUCUUUUGGCUCAGAUACUGGACAGACACACAACUUCUAAAUGAUCACUAUAGACCUUGGGUGUGUUUGGUAUGAAGGAAAAUUUUUCCUGGAAAACAAGUUGGUUUCUUACUUGUUUUCUUAUGUUUGGUUGAUGAAAGGAAAACAUUUUUCAGAAAAUGUUUUCUAGUGUUUGGUUGGUGAAUAAAAAAAUAUUUUUCAGAAAAUACAUUUGAGAGUUGUAUAAACAUUUCAACUUAAGAGUGAGAUUGAAAGAGAGUUUUGGAAAAUGUUUUUCCUACUUUUUGAAGGGAAUUCAUUUUCCUUAAAUGUUUUUCCUACUUUUUGAAGGGAAUUCAUUUUCCUUAAAUAUUUAAGUCAACCAAACAUGAAAUAAUUGGGUAUCAAACACAAUCUAUCUUUUUGCAAUACGGUAUGCUGAAACAUUGAAGCAGCAAUUAACCCAUUCCAAUGCCGACUUGGAGAGAUACCUCAUUAAAAGCUUGCUUCCGCUCACCAAGGGAUUUUAGAGCACCAUAUCUCCGGUCAUUAAUUACUGCUCUCAUGGCCUGACAAAUACAAUUCAUGUCAAAUGCUCUCCCUCAGUUGUUUGGUACGCACAAAAUAGUCAAGUAAUAAACCUGAUCCCACAUGCAAUCAGACCCAAUAGUUGCAGAUUCCAAAAGAGUUUUGAAUGCACUCUUUGCCUCUUAAAUAAAAUCAGAUACUUAAAAUAGAAAUAAGAGAUAUUUUGAGAACGUACAUUAAGCGAGACAAAAAGCAAUAAUCAACUUUACCGCUUUGCUCUCAUAAACUAAUGGUCCCAGCUUGACUGUUUUCUCAUCUGAUGGAGUAGCACCUCCGAUUUCAGUUAUUGCAGCAUCUUUCUUGACAUUCUGCAUUUUAGGCACAACAUCAAGCACAAAAGACAAAAGCAAACCUCAUUGGAAUUUGGAGCAUAUUCUUCACCUGUUAGCAGUUGACUAACAACUGCACUACAAAAUUGUUGGAUCAACAUCCAGCAUAACAGCUACGAAAAGCUUUCUUGGUGUUUUAACCAGUAACCAGUAGUAAUUAACUAAUUGCAUAAGUAUUUCAGAAGGAGAAGGUACCUCUCUAUUCUUUGAAGAAAAUCCAUCACCAUACACUACUGCAUCUUGAGUUGUAGUAGUCUCAGAACUACAGAAAAAUUGAAUUCCAAAUAAGAAGCAACACAAACCUGAGGCAAAAUUAUAACGUAUAUAUCUAAAAAUAUACACCGGUGGUGCGACAGAAUUUCCCAAGGUUACUGCUAUUCCAAUUUUCUCUGAAUUAGCAACAGAUGGCGAAGUAGGUCCUGAAGAAUUCUUCAUUUUGACUAUUUCAAUCAUCGGAGAAGAAACCUUACUAGAUAAACUUGAUGAUUCUGAAGACACAAUAGUUGGUAAGUUAGUAGCUGGUGACACAGUAAUUGGGCUUGAUUUAGCACCGUGUGCCGAGACUAAUGAACCAUCUGCACCCGGGGAUGAUAUUUUAACAACAGAAAUAGAUCCAAAAUUAGAAGCGUGUGAAAUAGUGUCCUUUUCACGAGCCAACUGUGAAUUUAUAAAUAAUUAAACUUUAUGAGAAUAGAGUAUCCAAGAAAAUAGAAUAUUGCCCCUUCUUAUCAUGCUAGCAACUGUGAAUGCAUAAAGAUUUUAUCAGAACUAGAGCAUCCAAGAAAACAGAAUACUGUCCCUUCUUAUCAUGCUAUUUAAAGCACAGAACAAUCCCUUCUUAUCAUGCUAUUUAAAGGACGGAACAAACCCAUAUUGGAUUUAAAUCUAACAUCACCUUGACUUCAUCAGGUCUUCUCCAUUUGGACGUUCUAGUAACCUUGUUGUAGUAAUACCUACAGAAAACAAACAAAGCAAUUAGCAUUAUGCACAAGUAACACACAAAAGUACCCACUGUAGAAGAACAAUUGGAAAGAGGCCAAGAAAAUAUAUAAGUUACAUACUUUCUUCCCUCAGGACUUGUAAAUUCUCUCCAGUCAGUUGUUGUGUCUGCCCUCUGUCCCAAUGAAAACAGCAUGAAAGCAGGUCAAGUCAAAAAACAAAACAUAAAUAGUGCCCUGAGAGUAGAAAUCAGUAACUUCCAGAAGUACAAUAUUGGAUGGAAGUGUUAGAAUAUGAAUGAUAUAAUAUCCUAAAUGGAAAAGGACAAGAAUGUACUGUGUAGAAUAUAAAUACAAGCAGGGUGGAAACAUUUCCAAGAUGCGGCCGAGCUACAACUAUAUUUAUACAUAGGUCAAAUUUUGUCAUUUCUGAGUAUUUUUUAAUGAACACCCUUUCCACAAAAAAGAAGACUGAGUGUGACAGUAAGGGUGUUCAAAUCCUGCACUGAGGUUCUAAGUUCCAUACUCAACAUAGCCCACCAUAAUUUUUUUUCCAUUUUGACACGUUUGAAACUCAUAAACUACAGUUAUGCUUUUUUCGAUGAAUCAAUUUCUGAACAUGUGGUUUUUGUCCCAAUUAGCUCUUACAAAAGAGCUAGUAACUAGAAUGCCAUGUAUAAGAAUUUUGUUAAAAUAAACUUAAAGGUAAAUUUAUAAAGUGGUUGUUAUACUAGCUAUAUUGCAUGGGGCAGAGUGUUUGGUUGGUCAAGAGCUCGUAUGUUCGAAAGAUAGACGUAGCAGAAAUAAGGAUGUUAAGAUUGGUGUGGGGGCAUACUAGGAGAGAUAGAAUAAGGAACAAAGAUAUACGAGAAAAAUGGUAGUUCUCUCUGUGGUGGACAAUUGACAAGAAGAUAGAGAGUUGGGGAUAAAGAACCUAAAGAUUCAAAGUAAGGCUCUCGUGAUGAAAUGGUUGUGGAAAUAUGCAAACAAUAACCAACUGCUAUGGAGGAAAGUGAUUGGGGAUAAAUAUCUGAAGAAGAUAGAUAGAUAACUAAAGAAGUGACCACACUAUAUGAGGUUAGCCUCUAGAGAUCUAUCAGACACUAGUGGAAUGAAGUUAAAAGAAACUCAGAGGUUAAAGUGAUGGAUGGAAACAAGACUAGGUUCUGGAAGGAUAACUGACAUGAGAAUGGGAAUAUAGAAGUGAUUUUUCUAGAUAUCUACAACUUGGUAUUGUUUCAAUAGAGGACUAUAGCAGAAUUAUGGACAACACAUGGAUGGAACUUCAAUUUCAGAAGGCAACUUAAUGACCGGGAGGUAAUGAGAGUAGUUGAAUUUUUUAAUACCGUGGACUUAUUCAAUAGACUGCAACAGUGAAGGACGUGUUAUGGUGGAUGGGAAAUGAAAAAGGAAUGUUUGGUUUUAAAAAAGCCUACAAGAUGCUGAACCAAAUAAAUCACCUGGAUCCAAGAUGGCCAUGGAAGCAAAUAUGGAAAAGUAGGAUACCUCUCACAGUGUUGUGCUUUGUAUUUGUCUGGUUACUGACCAAGAAAGUAGUUCUUACAUAAGAUAAUGUCAUGAAGAAAGGGAAAACCUUGUGCUCCAGAUGUUUCCUCUAUUGAGAAACUUUAGAGAUGGUUAACCAUGUAUUUUUACAUUGUAAGUACACCCAACAACUUUGGAGAAUCGUCUUAAGACUAAAAGGCAUUUCCAGGACAAUGCCUAGGAAAGUAUCUGAGACUUUAAUGUGCUGGGAGAAGCAGGUGUAAAUGCGAAGGACAGGGGUAGAUGGUGAAUUAUCCCUGGUGCUAUAUGGUGGGCUAUAUGGAAAGAAAGGAAUUCUAGAUAUUUUGAGAGCAUAGAGAAUAGUGUGCAGAAGGUUAAACUCAACUGCAUUUUCCUUUUGUGUUUUUGGUGUAAUCAACUAUACUCUAAUGAUACUGCCUCGAUAAUUGAUGUUCUAGACUAAAUUUAGAUAUAGAACAGUCGAUUUAGGAGUACUCUUGUACAUAAAGGUUUCAGUACAACCCAUGUACUGUGUGAUAUAAUACAAAGUUACCAAGUUUGAAAAAAAAAAUAAUUUUUCAAGUACUAAAAGUUUAUAAAUUAAAAAAUAAAGCAAAUAAAUUUGAGUUCAAAUUAGGUGGGUUGGGUUAUGACCCGCAUAUUAGAGAAUUUCAACCCAACCUAUUUCAGCCCAAGUAGCUUUAGGACGGGUUAAUAACUCGCCCAUUUAUUAACUUAGACCUCUUUGAUCCGUCCAAAUCCAGCCAACCCUGCCCAUUUGACACCUUUAGUUUAAUAGAAGAAAAGUGGACCAUUCCAGAACACGUACCAGAUCUAUUGAGUUGAAGUAAAGUGGACUAUCAAAGGAUACACAACAAUCUGUUGAGCUGUUGGAUUAGAGAGGAUUAGCAAGAGUUAGAAGAAAUGGGGGAGAACAAUCCUUCCUUGUAUUUGGUGGACUGUAUGGAGCGAGAAAAGUUGAAGGUAUUUUGAAGAUAAAUAUAAUUCCAUUCAGAAAGUUAAAUGGAAUAGCAUUGUAGAUUUAUGUUUUUUGUUUAAGGGACAAUGUGUACAGGAUGCAUAACAGGUAGUAGAUCUCUUCGAAUCCUCGCAUUAUUUUCAUUAUUUUUUAUUUCAUUUGGACUGAUAGCAUAACCUUAACGUUGAUGAAUACAAAGUAAUAUCUCCGGAAAAAAACUAUUUAUCUCAAAAAGAAAAGAAUAAAAAUGUUCAAACUUCCUUACAGCUCUAGUUCUUGGUCCCUUAAUACUUGUCCCUCACAACCAGCCAAACUUUCUUUGAUAACCGCCAUGUUUGGGCCAGGUUGCACCUUCACUAGUUACACCAGGUACUGCUACCUCCCACCAGCACAGAUACAGGGUAAGUCUAUCCAUCAAGGCUUGGACAGGCGGUAAGAAAUCACCUAGUGUUUUUAUCUUUGUUGGAAAUUAAACCUGAGACCUCAUGGUUCUCAAUCUACUUCAUUGACCACUAGGUCACACUCUUAGGUGCAAGUGUGCGACCAGCCAAACUAUUAUUCUAAUAAACCAUAAUGAGAAGUGUGAACCACAAUAUUAUAUCAAGUUUCCUCUCUCCAUAUCGCCAUAGAGUUACAAUAACAUUACAUUAAUCAGAAAGUAAAUAAAAUUGUUUAAAAUAGACCAAAUAUAAUCCUGUCGUGUAUGCUUAAACACAUUUUUUAGAACAAUAGUGUUAAAUAUAAAAUCUUUUAGAACUAUAUUGGAAAUAAAAGGUCAAUGCAAAUCCCAAAUGAAGCCUACAUAGUAUAGUAAGAUCGAGGAAGUCUGCUCGCUAAACAAACUUUCAACAGAAAUCACAUAUACUUAGGAAAGAAAAAGUGGUUCUACGAAGCUUCAUAGAAAAAGAAUUGUCUACUUCUUUUUUCAUUGAUAAGCACAGGAAACUAGAUAAAACUACCCAUAAAAAUCUCGAUGACACGAGACCUCACCUCAAUUUCUAUCAUUAGCUCUCGAGGUUUCUCCCAGGUAGAGAUUCUUGUCCUUCUAUUAUAAUAGUAUCUAAAAAUCAAUUCAAGAAUUGUAAGAAUGUUAUUAAUUGGUUGGAGUAAUAAAUCCAUAGGAAAUAUGACAACAUUAACAACCAUAAUUGGCCUACUGAUCAUCAAAAGAUGCUAAAAAUAGCAAUACCUACUAGCAUUUAGCCACAUGUAAAAUAUGUAUGAUAAUAGAGAAAUAUGGUCAAAAUGAAGUUAUCGGUAGAGGUGUAUCAAGUUCUGCUGAUCAACAGUCAGGUAGAAUUUGGUAGCAGUGAACAGAAGCCCAUAUGAUAACUUUGACAAAGAGGACUGAAACAAAGUGGCCUAUUAUCUCCAGUGCUAAUGGAAGCAGAAUGAUGUACAAAGCACUAGAUGUGGAUACUUGAGGGAUUUCUUGGCAGUAAUGGGGGCCAACAUAUCCACCACUUGUUCAUAGACAAGACAUUAAGUGUUUGUGAUGCAGACAUUAACCUAUUCAUAUGAGUGACCUAUGUGAAUAUAAUCCAAAAGCAAGAAUUCCGGAAAGACAAAUCGACAUGCUUUUUUUUUCUGUCUGGAGAACACAAAGUGGUAAAAAGAUUGGAUCUGAAUAAAAAUGAUAUUUUUGCAGAGCUCCUUUUCUUGAAUACUGCGGUUUUACACCUUUUUUGUUCACUGAAUCUUAAUUUGCUUACAAAAAACUAUCAUAGAAUUUAAAUGUUGACUGUCUCAGUCAACACACACCCAUUAAUCCAUUAACUUAAGCAUGCUAUUUGUUGAUAAUAUUUAUGCAAAAUGGGUAUAAUAAAACACAUUGAAUUCUCAUCGAAACAACCAAGGGAGCUGUUAAUUCUCCAGUCUUGGGCAUAGUUAUCGUAGAAUUCACAUUAUGAUUACUUAUUGGCAUCCAGGGUUGUACCUCUGAUGGAAACCUAUAAUCAGUUAUCUGUGUUUGAUACUGGGAGUCAGAAGAAUCUGCAUAUACCUGUUGUUAAAAGACGAUAACAAAAUGUAUUUCAUCAAUAUAGGAAUGGAAUAUCAGAAACUGAUUGACAAUAACCACAAAAGAUCUUCCCAAGGCCUUACAUUAUAUGAAGAAAAAAGGGGUAAAUUUGGGCCACCAUAACCAGGCAUAUGGUUAUUUGACAUCGGAAGAAUUUGCUAAAAAUCAUGGGGAAUAGGUGGUCCCUGAGGCAUACUAUGCAUUCCUACUACAGGUCUACCAGUAAUCUGUUGCAUAGGUUGAGGAAAUUGGAUUUGAGAAGGUUGAGACAUCACAACAUUUGCAUGUCCAAGUGGCAAAAAUUGUUGAGAUGACCCGAAACCAUAAGGUUGUGCCUGCUGGGCUGGAAGCAUAGGCUGGAACUGCUUAAAAUGUGGGGAAAAUAGUUAUCAUUAUAUCUCUACAUUCAAUAGUCAUUUAUCCCUCCCACAAGCCUUCACAACUUUACUUGUAGUGACAUGGAUGGAAUAGCACCAGGAGCAGGACCAGCCAGAGGAGGUAUAGGAGGCUUCUCAACCAAUAUCCUUGCAAGGAAGAACAGAUGAAAUCAGAAUAUAGCUACUUUUGAAUCAUAUUUUGUAAAUUUUCCAAUCAAUGUUGAAAGCUUGUAUCCCUGCGCAACUCCCUAAAUUAAUUUAAAGGACAAGGCAAGAAUUUUGAAGCCAAACAACAUAGUAACAUAAAUCCCUUUUCUUCAUCUAAUAAACAGAAAGCUUGAAACGAGAACAAAGAGAGAUAGGAAAUAGAUGACCUAUCAUAGUAUUAGACGAGAAUAGACAAAAUGAUAUGUAUGUUUACCUUAUGGCUUGGGUUCAACAACUACUGAUGGCCUAAGUAUCUUUUCUUCGGGUGUAAAGAGGCAUGUCUGUUAAUGCAAAACUAUGAUCAUGGAACUGAAACGUGAGGUAUGAGUAGGUAUUAGGAUAACCGAAAAAUACUUAGACCGGAAUGGGUUGAGCCUCACUCUUCCCUUCUGAUGUUAUAUGUCAUGUGACAUCACUAUUAAUCUGAAAGCCUGACUUGGUUAUUCGCUCUAUCAUCUCCCUCUUAGCUUCAAGCCAUCAAAUUAAGUUUAGGAGAUCCCUUACUAGACUCUAAACUGAAGUACACUCACUGCACUGUGGGGUCUGGAAAACUACUAUACACGCAUAUCAUGGCACUUAACCCGAAUGACUACACCUGAAAGUGGAAAACCCACUGUUAAUACUACCUUCUCAGAUACAUUUUAUCAUUCUAUAGACCCAGUAGUCAUCGUAUAAUACUUUCAUACUUUCAUCGUAUAAUACUUUCAUACUUACUAACUUUGGGUCUUCAUGGGUAUCCCCACAAUCGGAGUGCACACCCUCUAGUGCUUUAACUCUUAAUUCUAUUAGUUCAACCUUCAAAAACUCAAACUUAGAAUCUAGCACUCAACAUGGAUAUCACCAAGCCUUCAAUGAAUCAUACUACUUCCGACAUAGCCUACCAAUAUCGCGACUCCAAACUUACAUCUCUUUACUAUGAGAAUCAAGAUCAUAUAAAAAGGCUCAACACUAUCAAUCAAAACUCCUUAACUUAGCUAUUUAGAACACCAUAUACCAUCUAACUAGUCUUUCUCCACCUNNNNNNNNNNNNNNNNNNNNNNNNNNNNNNNNNNNNNNNNNNNNNNNNNNNNNNNNNNNNNNNNNNNNNNNNNNNNNNNNNNNNNNNNNNNNNNNNNNNNNNNNNNNNNNNNNNNNNNNNNNNNNNNNNNNNNNNNNNNNNNNNNNNNNNNNNNNNNNNNNNNNNNNNNNNNNNNNNNNNNNNNNNNNNNNNNNNNNNNNNNNNNNNCAUCCACCUUCAUGGACAUCAAUUGUUCAAAACUUAAUGUCUAGUGCUAGACAUGAUUUUACAACCCAACCUUAUGCAUGAUUCUCACUUGGAUACCAUGAAAUAGACAUCAAGAAACACUAGUACACUAGAACUUCCAAACAACAAAUAAUUGAUCUUGACCUUACGAUCUUCCUUAUCAUAACUCAUUAGCCUUAAUAUUUUAACACAUCAAGCCUACUAAUUUUUUCCCACAAAUCAUACAUCAUUAAUCUCAUGCCAUUUAUUUUACCACCACAUUCUACAUUAAAUUCAAGCAUAUAGUCAUGUACCAAUCAUCUAUCACUACUGAAAAAUGCAACAUAAUAUGCUAGUCCAUAAAAUUUGGGACAUACUAUACAAGCACCUCAAAAAUUACUACAUACCUUCUCACAAAUAGUACUAGUUUACAAUUACCAGCGAAAAGAAGGUCAAGGGGUAAAGUUACAUAAUAGACAUGAUCAACCUUAAUCUUAUAUUAUAACCUCACACGGCUUCACUAGACUUUGAUUUUGUAUUUUGAACAAGAAAAUGAGAUGAAUGACAAGUCAACUAUGCUAGUGAAUUGAAAGAGCCCCACACGGGCUUCACUAGACUUUAUUAUUUUAAACAACACCUUGAUGACAAGAUUACAUGAGAUAGAAAUUUAAUACUCAAUAUCCAAUGAACUAAGAAUACACAUCUUACUCUGUAUAAAUAAAAUCAGAAUCAAACACUUCCUUCAAGGACUAUUAUACCAUCCACACAUGCUACUAGUUACCAUAUUAGUCUAUCACCAUAAGGGGGUAAAUCAUUCUCAAACAUCAGUUAUUCAACUAAAAUAUUCAUUUACACAAAAGUCACCCUUGCUCUGACUUCUAAUUUUGUGACUUCACAUCACUAACUUCUUGGUCUAAUUUCACUACCAAUAGGUCAUAAAAACAACACUUUAACGCAUACUACUAUUCGGGUGGAAAUACAGUUCCAAAAUUCUACUACACAUCAUCCCCCCCUUAUGCAAGACAUUUGUAACAUAAAUUUGAAGGGGACUAAAUGCAAUUAAUACCUCAAGCUGAAAAGCACGAUUCCAUUAGGAUCAGUGUUUACAUCGUAAUCAAUACACAUUAAAGCACUAACAGACUCUUCUCAAGUGCUUGCAUAAAUUCUAACUCUUAUAUGGUUCAAUCAGAAAGGACCAUACCAUUUAGAUUCUAAACUUCUGCACUUGAAUCACCUCAAUAAUGAGACAUAUUUGAGGACGUUAGAGUAAGGAAAGAAUUCGGGAUGACUUUUUUUUUACUUUCGUAUGGGCGACACCAUAGCACGAAUUAGAGUAUGAAAAAGGAACAUUCUUACUCUAUCGCAUGAACUAGAACAUGAAGAAAGAGAGACAUUCCUAAAUGCCUGGUAGCCUCCUGCUUAUAAGUGUGGCGCGCUACACACCCAUAAACAAGACUCUACCCGAUGCAAUUUCAUAGACACCCUGGGACCGUGAACGAUGCUUUGAUACCAAGUUUGUCAUAACUUGAACCGGGGCCCUAGCCAUGACGAGCAUUCCAAACCAUGAAAACCUGAAACACCUCUAUCUAUCUGGUAAUCAUGGACAUAAUUCAUAUGAUAAUAAGAUAUGCGGAAGAUACACAAUAUUAUGAAAAACAUGGUCAUAAAUCAAAUAAAAUCAACAAAGGGGAAAUAAUGUCCCACAACAUAUAUCGACAUCUGAACAACCGUCUAUGAAAUCUCUAAUACAUGACUGAAACAAAUUAUUGUUUGAAAAAUAGGACAAGGCCCCCAGUAGUCCCAAAACUAUUAAAUGAUAAAUGAACUGACAGACAUCAGGCCUUCCGAAAUAUAGAAGGCUCACCACUUGAUUCUGCAAAUCUGUCGGAAGAGAUCUACUGGUUAUCUGAACCCCUAAACUAUGCCUCCAAACCUGGGAGAGAAGGGGGCCAAUAUAAAAGUAAUAGUACGCAGAGAAACCAAAAAUAAAAUAUAAUAUUUUUUUUCCAAAUAUAGGUGAGAACCAUUAUAAAGCAGUUCCAUAUCAAAUCAUUUGAAAACACAUGGACAUAAUGUAAUAGUUUUCAACAACAAUGUAAUGCAGCUGAGCUAGGUGGAAUACUCUACAUAUAAUAUUUUCACCAAUUGUUAAAUCUCAAUUGCCGCCAAAAUUAGAGUAUAAGUGAGGAGAAGACAGACAAGAUCACAUAGCAGGGUGUCUCAACCCAAUAAAGUAUAGUAGUGCCCAAGAUUACUUAUCCUGGGCUCCUAACCAUAGUCCCAAUUUGGGAAUGACAUAAAGUCGAGUACACAAGAUCACUUAGCCUGGUACCAAAUCCCUAUGUCAGCAAACACGGUUUCCAGCGAUGAGCCCUUACACUCAAACACCUUCUUCGGGCAUCCACCUAUCUCAUGUAAAAUCAAUGCAUCAAACUCCAUUUAAUUCAAUCACAUAUCUUAUUCUAUAGGGUAUCGUCACACCCUACUUGCAAGGCAUCAAUAUCACAUCAUUCUUUCAUGCAACCAUUAUAUUCAUCAUAUUUCAACAUAACAACCCUCUCAUUGCAAUUCAAAACCAUGACCAUUUUCAAAAUAUUUCAUGUCACUCUUGUCAAGAUGAUUUCAAACAUUUCACAUAAUAUGAGAAUUUAAAACGAGAUCAUAUAAAAAGAGGGAUUUCAUAUAAUUCAUGCUCUCAAAUUAAAAUCUUUUCAGAAUACAUGCAUAUACAUAUAUCUUAAAUCAAACCACUUUGAGAAUAAGCCUAAAGACCAAAUCAAUAUCAUAAAAAGUUUAAAACGGGAUUAUAUUCAUAAUUUCAAAACCCCCAUUUUUAAAACAUGAAUUUUUAAGCCCAUGAGAUUUUUGAGAUAAACCCACGUACCUCUAUAUGCGAAGAUGAUAGGUUCUUCUUGAAGCCUACGUUCUAGGAGUUCCAAAUACGCAAUUAGUUUCAGAAACCCACAAUUGAAUCUUGAGUUGCUUGGGUCUUUAUUUUGAAACCCUAAGGAGAGUUUUUGAGCAAUUUUAAUGAAUGAAGGUGUAUUUUAAGGUAUUUUGGGAACUGAAUUUCGUGUUUAUGGCUAAAUAAGGGUGGGAAAUAGACCAUUUUUCCCCAAAAAUGGAGUGUUUAAGUCACUUGAAUAAUAAUAUAUGCGGCGCAAACCUUAUCAAAUAAUAUAGGUUAUGCGGCGCACUCUUUAUCGCACACAUUAGGUUGUACGUCUCACACCUUAUGGCAUAAUUUAGGGUGUGCGUCGCACACCUUAUGCUGCACAACACACUCUACUUUGCAAAUCCAUAACUUCUUCCUCUGGUGUUUGAAUUUUUUGAAAUUGGUAUCGUUGGAAAGAUAAUUCGAAUACCUUUCAUUUGAUAUAUAGUAGGCACUGUAAUUCAAUACAUACAAAGAGUAAGAGUCAAUUGAAGUUGACCUAAGUUUCAACUCUUACUAAAAUUCGAAUGAUAGGAAAACUUUCAACUUGUCCUUGAGCUUGGGGACCUAUAUGAUCUCAAUUCAUGCUCAACUAGGUUUCCACACUACAUAAUUUAUUAACACAUUAAACUUGCAUUGGAUUUAUGGCUUUUAGAACCUUUACGUGAAGAAAAUGAUGAUUUUCUUUCUCGUCCAAAAUGCGGGGUGUUACAAAAUUUUGUUAGAAAAUGGAAAAUACAACCAUAUGGAGUACAUUUUAGCUGCACCGUACUCCAAAUACACUAAACUGAACUUUAAAAGUACUAAUACAUUUCUUACCUGUUGGUGUUUAGCAUUCAAAAGUUUUAUUGUCUUUGGUCGGAAGAUAGCCACAACGACAGUUUCAAGAAUGAAGAUUAAACUGAAAAGAAGCCAUGCUCGCUCUGGAGUUCCUGCUACAUAAUACAACAUUACUCUACAACGUUGAAGCCACUUUCCUAAUCCUUGGAGUCUAAGUUCUUCCGAGAAUGAAAUAUGAUUAGGUAACACAUCCUCAACAUCAUUUGAAUUAGUGACAGGAGGGUUACUAUCGCGAUGUUCUCGAUCAGCGUACAAACUACUUCUCUGCAACAAGGCUAGAAUCAUUGGGUCCAAUACAUUCUCCUAUAGCAUCACUGCAAAAUUAGGAUCAAGCCCUUUAUCUUGCAAUAAAUUAGCUAAUUCACGAUCAGUGUGUCUUUCUUUCCUCUUUAACAUAGAUGUAAUCCUGGGAUCAAACAACUUUUCUUGAAAUGCAAGUGCCAAAUUCAAGUCCAGUAUCUGUUGGUUUGUAGAGGUGGAUGUACUAGAAUCACUGCCUUGGCUUUUAAGGCCACUGCUAGAACAAACAACCAAUGAACUAUUAUGCUCUAAAUUUUUGUCAACAUAUGAUGAUCCUACUUCAGGCUCUUGAACAACUGAACGACAGGAACUACUACGUAGAGCUAGACUUGGUCUUCCACUGUCUAUGCUCUUAUCACUAUUAAUCCCCUCAAUGUUAUUCCAGGUACUGCCAUCACCAGUGCAAGGCACAGUUUCAUUACCAAAAUGACCAGCAUCAGCACUACUACUGCAUUUGACACUUGAGCCACACCCCUCAGAAGAGCUUGCGGAGCUAUUUUGGUCUUUUUUGCAGAAACCUUCUCUAAGGCGGAUAACUGUGGUCUGCAUGGCAUCUCGUCUAGCUGCUAAUGGGUCUGUAACUGAUAAAUGCCGUGAAACAGCAGCACCCAACAGCACAGAUGCUACAACUGCAUAACUGAUACAAUGUCCAAAGUACCUGAAAUAAAAUUGUUGCAGUUAAACAUUAGAAGAUUUUUUUUUAUAACAAAAGAUUAGAAGUUUAUAUUCAACAAAUAAUAUUAAAAGGGAUGCAUAUGCCACAAGUAUUAGAAGACUUGAUUAUGGAAGAAAAUGAAUUAGCAUGGGUUAACAACAAACUAAUAAUGAACUCCAAAACAGAUCAAGAACACCCGAGAUGUACCGACAACAAAAAGUAUGAUGAAUCAACUUUUUAGAGGCUUAAAACCAUACGAGCAAGCUCCCAAGUUCCAAUCUGAUUGAAUGAAAUGUUAGUGAAUUCAUUACUUACCACAAAGAAAUAAGAAAUUAUUUCACAAUAUGAGUCAGAAAAGGAGACAAAUAUAUGUAGGAAAUGAACUACCAAGGAUUAUCAGGGCAGCUGAUGUUGUAGCCCCAAGCCAGUUUGAUUCCUUUGCUGUCAGAUCAUACAGGAUAGAAUACACAAGAAGUACUACAAGUGAACCAACAUAUAGAAGUCCAAGAUGCAGAGCCCUGCAGAGCCCAAGUUCAAAGUGAAGAAGAGUAAAUUAUAGACUUCAGAUAAAAUGUUGAAAAGAUAGUGCAGAAAAUAUGAUGAGCAGUAUAAAUGAGAACCCACUGAACACAUAAUAUAACAAGGUGACUUUCUAAUCUAAAGCAGCAUUUAAAUUAAUUUGCUUAGCAGUAGGAUUUUAAGAUCUACUAUUUUUACUAGACUACUGGAGAGUGUGUUUUGUUUUCUUAGAGUUAGUAUUCCAUUUAUUCAAAUAGAUUUGAGUUACACCCAUUGUUUAGCAUUCUUUGGCUCUUAAUUUUAAAAGUCUGUUAGUUGAGAACAUUUUGGCCUAUCUUCCUAUCUUUGUUCAAAUCCCUAGCCAACAAGAAUGAUGUCCCCCUUCAUAAAGUAUACAUCUUACUCUGUCUUUCUAUUGCCUAUAAACAUUCUAGCACAUCAAUGAUGUCUUCUGUUAGAGCUAAUCAUCGUGUUUACACCAAAAAUAAAGAAGUGCUAAACUAUUUAUGUUGAUCUUCUGGACAUCCUCAAAACGACCCUUGUUUCUUUCUGUCCAAACUAUCCACCAUAUAUAUGUUGAACAAUUUUCUAUCUCUCCUUCUUUAUUACAUUUACAUCCCCAUUCUAGCUGCUUAGUACUUUUUUAAUGCUCCCAAGUUCUACCCACCUGAUCCCCUUCAGGUUGAAAACAUUCUCUACAGCUGCUCUAUCUGUUUCCAAUGUAAUGAAAGAUGGUUGACUGUGUAAAGAAAGGAUCUUGGGCCUAACUCAACCCUAAAAGCUAGCACAUGAGGGGAGGAUUUAUCAAGUCCAUAUAAGAAGACUGACAGUUCACUCCCCAACAAUAUAGGACUUUCACCCACUCUAAUACCACCUUCACGCCCAGGCCUAACAAGAGCGUGGUCCGGGAGCUUAAACGUGGAUGGACCUGCUAUUUGAGAAGGAAUAUCAACUUCUAUUUUUAUACAAGAGAGACUAGAUGAGCUGUUGUUACUAAAUUCAUUGGGUCUAUCAGCACGUACAGGUUCAUGUAUUGUGCCGUUAGGUUUUGCAGCAGUUCCAACAUUUUCAGUAGCACCACAAGUUGAAUUUUGAUGCACUGCAGUAAGGAAAGAAAACUUAAACAUAACUUGAUAUAACAACACAAGCUUCUCAAAUACAGGUUCUAGAAAGAACAAAGAUAACAAACAAAUAGAAGGCAAUAAAGAUAAUGAUAAGUCUAGACGAGCUUAGGGACAGGCUCCAAACUGAACACAGUGCUCGUCAUUCUUGUUCUAGAUAAGAUCAGACAACUUAUUAUUUUGAUGUUAAGAGUUUCUUGUAGAGGGAGCUGAAUCUGUUUUGCAACUUUGGAGGCCUUGUAAAGUACAAAGAGGCUCAUUUUUGUAAAGAAAAUACCGUCCACAUAGUAUAUAUGCUAUCAUUUUAAAAAAAAUAUGGUGCUUGCUGGUUUUACCAAUAUCAUGUAUGCUUGUACUUUCUAAUGCAACCUCCUGGCGAAAAAACUAACCACCAAUAGGCUUCUUUCAGCAUAGAAGAUUCUAAGACUGUCUUACUAGGAAUUAGGUAAGUGCAAGUUCUUGAAGGGAAAUUAUUUGCAUCAUUGAAGAUCAGAAAGCCAGGUAUACAAGAGAUUAGACAUGUUAAAGAAAAAAUAACAGGUUUAAUAUCAGGAAAGACAUCAAAAACUCUCAUUGACAUAUAAAUGAUGGAUCCCAAAUAACUUCAGAAGUUACACACAAAAGAAAAAUGGUAUAGAAACCAAUUCCACCUUCAUAAUAACAAUGUUUGCUUGAUGUAAGCAUAAACAUUAUCAGGAAAGACAUCAAAGACUCUUAUUGACAUAUAAAUAAUGGAUCCCAAAUAACUUCAGAAGUUACACACAAAAGAAAAAUGGUAUAGAAACCAAUUCCACCUUCAUAAUAACAAUGUUUGCUUGAUGUAAGCAUAAACAUAAAGAACAUACUGACAUACCAAAAAAUUAUCAAAAUGUUCUACAAUGUAGUGCAUAUUUUUUUUUCAUUUUUUGAAAUUGAACGCAGUGCAUACUUUAAAAAUGUGCAAACAAUAUUUAAUAUGGCAGGUGAAGCAUCAAGUACUGGAAGGAAAAUUUAAAACAUGGUGGAGAAAAAUGAAAGAGGGUAUCUGAAAGAAUGAUGAGAGAGUAGGGUGGAACUCCCUCAUAGCAAGUCAAAUGAAGUUUAAAACUAUAUAAAGAAGAUGAAACUAGAGGCUUCUGUAUGUGUCUCACAUACUUGGCAUAAACCAUAUGUGAAUGAGCAUAACAGAAUCAGAUGUACUGAGAUAAAGCAGGCAUUUGAUUGCAGAUCAAAUGGAAGAGUCAGCCAACCGACCAGAUUUAAGAGCAGCUCUGGUCCAUGCACCAUUUUGAGGUAAAGUUAUAUGGUUAAAAAUUUAGACGUUACUUAAUAUAUGAACAAAUUGAACAUGAACUGCCCAGUUAGAAAAGUGCUUUUUGUAGCUACCCAGUGACAACCUUAGUGAAAGAAUACAUCAAUGAGAAGUUAACUCAGUAAGCUUAAUGAGCUUUCCCCUGCAAGGAAUGAAAGUGUAGAUGACCUGACAUCAAAUAUACGAUUGUUAUUAUACACACAAUCUCCAUACAACAGCAACAACAUACCCGAUGUAUAUUCGGGCAGAAUAUAUGCAAACCAUACCUCUACCUCAGAGACGAAAAGAAAAUGGUAGCACCAAUCCUCAUUAAAUACUUCAUAAGAUAAAAAACAGCCAAUACUUACAAAAUCAAAUGAAGCAAAAGAAGUUCAUUGUCUUGAUCACCAGCAAGUAAAAGAAAUGUUUACAAUUGGAGAUUCAAAAAGGUUGCAAAAGAAAGAAGCAAACUUUCUAUUUAACAAGUAUCAAAGGGGGGAAAAAUAAGAGUAAAACCAAUAAGUAUACGAGAAGUCUGAAUACUAUAGUCAAUGAACAAAAUAUGAAUUGUAGUUUGGCCAUUUAGCAUCCAUCACUCCAACAGAGAAUCAGGACUUGCAAAAAGGUCGAAAGGUUUGCUUAUCGAGUAUUUCAAGAUUGUGAUUUGAACCUCUUUCAUAAUAAAGUCUUCGUCGAGGGUAUCUACCUUUCUUUUCAACAUGUUGAUCUCAUAAUUCAACAGCAUGUUCAUCUCACUGUAGCUCUUAACUUCCUCCCACAUAAAAUCCCUCUCCUGAAACACUUUUGGUAGUAUCAUCUUUACAAUGCCAAGUUCCUUUAUGCAUUCUUGCAAAUCAUUAGUGAGCUGGUUGAUAUUUUCAUCCUUUUUUAGCACCUUCGAGAAUCAAUCGUAAACCAUGAAAAACAAGAAAGACACAAAGAUUACCAAUAACAUUUCAUAAGAAAUUCAAAACAAACUCAUAGCCUAGAAGUUAAACCAAAUCAUGAAUCCUUUUUAACUAUUAAAAUUCAUAGUAGACAACUCAUGAGCUUGUCCAAGAAUUAAGUCAGAUGAACGAGCAAACUUCGGGUAACUUUACCACAUCAGAGCACAAUUAGAUCAAUGGGUUUGAGGACAUAACAAAGUUUUUCAUGUUCUUAGUUGGUUCAAGUGAUUACACAUUAAGGUGAUCAGACAUUUCACAAAAGACUACCACAUGCCAGCAACUUAUGUAUACAAGUUCAUAAAGAAAACUGUGAACUUUAGAUGGAACAAAGAUGAACCUAAAAUAAAAAAGAAGUAGAAAGAUAAUGCAGAGAGAGUAACAUGCGAACAGGCUAUCAUAUAUGAAGACAAGGUAUCCAAAGUUGAAAAAUAAAAACUAUUCAAUUACAACGAGAUCUUAACAUUGCCUGCUUACCUGAAGCUCGAGAUAUUUCAACUUGGGUGUGGCAUAAGAAAGAGCGUCCAGCGCAUUUUGCACUUCAUAUUUGAGAAUGUCGUUACCUCUAACUGUUAUGGCUAGAUUAGCCUGAAGUUGUUUUAUGUUCAUCUCCUCGGAAUAGAGCUUCUCCCUUAGCACAGUUGUCAGCAAAGUCUCUGAUUUAAGCUCUUUAACCUUUUCCUAGUAGUUUUCCCGAACAUAAUCUCUAUUGUUUGGAGCUACUUGAUAUUCCACUUGUAACUAAGUGAGAUACUGCCUUAGAUUUUGAUUCUCCUCUGACACUUGCUCUAUUCUCUUAGACAAAUCUUCAAGGUGUUUCUCCGAAAAUGACAUCUUGAUUCUAUUAUCUACUUCCUUCUCAUUAAAUGAAGAGACUUUCCUUUGUAGAGAGACAUUCUGCUCUACAAGCUCCCUCGUCCUUUCACGAGUCUAUGUUGUUUAAUUUGGAAUUUCUCAAGUUUUAGAGACCAAUUGCUGGAUCUUCUAUCCAACUCCUUUUCUAAUACUGAUUGUAACUCAUUCUUUUCUGCCUCCAAUCUUCGUGUCCAUGAAUCUAGUUCUGCCUGUAAUAUGCUGGCUUGUUGCUUAGCAGAAGCCCUUUCAGUAACUUAAUUCUGUAGCAUGCUUGAAACUUCCGAAGACAUUUUUACCUUCUUUUUUUUCAAUCUUGUAAUAGUACGAAUCAACAAUGGAACGCUAAGGUCUCUGCCAUGAAGAAACAUUUAUUAUUACUUUGGACAAGCAAAUACAAAUUAAAACAUCAGUUUAAGUAUGAAAAAGAAAGCUAUAGCAAAAUGAUAUGCAUACCGUCUUGAAUUACGACUAGAUUUCUUAGGAUGAACUUUCUUACUGUGACCAUGGGGAGAUUUACUCAGAUCCGUGAAAUUCUUUUUUUCCUGACCCACUGUCAUAGAAGGAUCUAGAUGACAAUGAAACACUCCUCCAAGAAGAAACUUCUUUGGACUUUAAUGGUGGUUAAGGGGUCUUGUUUGCAUCAUUAGUUAAUGAUCGAAAAAAGAAGAAGUUGUUCUUCAUCAUCUCUAUGUAUGUAGACUGUACAUGAAUCAAACUAGUGUCCAUGAGAUUUCAAAGGACAAAGCAAAACACUCAUAAAUAGCCACUCAAAAAUCAUUAUCCAUUCAUGAAAAUAUUGUAAGCUAACUAAAUACUUUGAGACAAAGCAAAACAUCUCUCUUUCUACAUGCUUCUUCUUCAAAAACAACAUACGUAAAUUGCACAAGAACAAUUCAAAGAACUUAUCAAAUCAUUUUGAUAAAACAAAUAAUCAUGGUAAAUAAUUAAAAAAAAAAAUUACUAAAUCAAAGAGUUGAAAGAGUAAGAGCUGGCAAAAGGUUGUUAGAAUCUGUAGGAUUCUUGUUAGUUUUUCUUGAAAUGUAAAAAUAGCAAAAGACUAGAAUGGAGAAAACUUUUUUUUCUGUGUCUUUCAUUCAUCAUCGUACAAUGCAUAUAUACAACUAACAGGGAUCUGUAAAUUGCAAGUAAAUAUUUACAAGGAUCCAGAAAUAUGGCAAGUGAAUAUUUACAUACUCAUAAUGAAAAACUUGAGAAAUACCCAUGAGAGAGAGAGAAGAAAAGUGUAACAAAUAUUUUGUGUUAUUCAAUGCCUAUUAAUAGCCAUAUAAGGUCAAAUUUUCCAUAUAAUAAAAAUAAAAUGUAAACUAUAAAUUAACUUUUUCAAAUUACAACACAAAUUAACUUAAAUUAUGAAAUUUAAGAUAUUUAUUUUUUCAAAAUUUAACUUUUCCAUAUAAACAUCACUGAAUUGAUAUAAACACUAUUUUGAAACAUGAUAAAUUAAUUAAAUAACCCAAAAAUAUUGUAAUAUUGUAUUUCUUUUAUCUCUAGAUCUUUUUUUAAUACAUAAGAAAUACUGAAGUCAUACAGUAAUCUCUUUUCUUUUUAUAGUCUAAACUUACCAUUUAAAAAUUAUUUCAUUUGAAUUAAUAAGAUCAUAGUAGAUUAUACAAAAUCAGUUAAUAAAUGAUAUAUAUCUCCAUUAAAUAAAUAAAGUACGAUAUAAUUGUAAUAAGACUACACAACAAUAAAUUAAUCUCACUUAAUUAGAUUAAAUUUUAUGAUCAUAAUAUAUAGACUAAAGUUCCAUAAAUUUAAUGUUGUAAAUUUCAAAAUAUAUUUAUGGCGAAAGUAGUAGUCAAUGUUUGUUGUUUUUUUUAAUCAAUAUAUGCAUAUCAAUUACGGAACAUUGCAUAUAUUCUUUAUUAAAAUAAUUGUCAAUAUUAACUUAUUUUUACCGCAAUUUAAUCUAAUUAGUUUGAUAACAAUACAAUUAUUAUUAAUAUUAUAUAUUUGUUAACCAUAAAUUUGUCCUAAUUUUAUUGCUUGAUUAUAUUUAAUUAAUCUACAAUUACAUAAAGGGCUCAAAUGUGGAAGCAAUUGAUAUUAAUUACCUUUAUAAUUUAAAAAAUUUAAUCCCAUGAAUUUCUCAUAUUCUUAUAGUUUGAUUAUAUCAAAUUGAUAUUAAUUACCUUUAUAAUUUUGGGAAGAAUUUUUAAAUGGUAACGAUUAUUUUUUUCCAAAUUGCUGAUUUAUUUCUUAAAAAUUUCUUAUAAAUUUAUAAUUUGAUUAUAGUUAAUUGAUUAUUUAAUUAUCUUUAUAAUUUGCUAUAAACUCAAAUAAGGUAACCAUUAUUUUUUUCUCAAUUACAGAUUUUCUUAAAUUCAAUCUUUUAUUAUUUUACUAAAAUCGUUCAAAUUUAAUUAUUUUGAGGCAUGACAUCUUUUUGUAUAUAAAUCUUUUUUAAUACAUAAGAAAUGCUAAAGUCAUUCAAUAAUCUCCUUUAUUUUUAUAAUACAAACUUACCAUUCUAAAAUCAUUUCAUUUGAAUUAAUAAGACAUAGUAGAUUGCACAAAAUCAAUCAAUUAAUUAUAUGCAUUUUUAUUAAAUAAAUAAUGUACGAAAUUGUUGUGAUAAAACUAUAUAAUCAACUAAUUAAUUUCAAUUAAUUAGAAUCAAUUAUAUGAUCAUAAUAUAUAGACUCGAUUUCUUUAAAUUUAAUGUUGUAAAUUUUAAAACAUAUUUAUGGCUAAAGUAGAAGUCAGUGUUCGAUGUUUUUGUAACCAAUAUAUGCAUAUCAAUUACGAAACUUUGCAUGUAUUUUUUAUUAAAAUAAUUGUCAAUAUUAACUGAUUUCUAACUCAAUUUAAUCUAAUUAAUUUGAUAACAACAAAAUUAUUAUUAAUAUUAUAUAUUUACUUACCAUAAAUUUGUCCUAAUUUUAUAGCUUGAUUGUAGUUAAUUAAUCUACAAUUACAUAAAGGGCUCAAAUAUGAAAACAAUUGAUAUUAAUUACCUUUAUAAUUUUGGCAAUUCAAUCCCAUGAAUUUCUCAUGUUUUUUAUUGAUUGAUUAUAUUAAAUUGAUAUCAAUUACCUUUUUAAUUUUGGGAAGAAUUUUAAAAAGGUAACGAUUAUUUUUUUUCCUAAUUACUAAUUUAUUUCUCAAAAAAAUCUUAUAAAUUCAUAAUUUGAUUAUGAUUAUUUAAUUAUCUUUAUAAUUUUCUAAAAUCUCAAAUAAGGUAAAAAUUAUUUUUUUUCUAAAUUAUGGAUUUUUUUAUAUUUAAUCUUUUAUUGUUUUACUAAAAUAGUUCAAAUUUAAUUAUUUUCAGAGAUGACAACUUUUUAUCUCUAAAUCUUUUUUAAUACAUAAGAAAUGCUAAAGGCAUACAAUAAUCUUUGUUCUUUUUAUAAUCCAAACUUACCAUUUAUAAAUUAUUUCAUUUGAAUUAAUAAGAUCAUAGUAGCUUCCACAAAAUCAAUUAAUUAAUUAUAUCUAUUUUUAUAUAAAAAAAAUGAUGUACGACAUAAUUGUAAUAAAAUUACACAAUCAACUAAUUAAUUUCAAUUAAUUAGAAUCAAUUUUAUGAUCAUAAUAUAUAGACUCAAGUUCCUUAAAUUUAAUAUUGUAAAUUUUAAAAUAUAUUUAUGGCUAAAGUAGUAGUCAGUGUUCGUUGUUUUUGUACCAAUAUAUGUAUAUCAAUUACGAAACUUUGCAUAUAUUUUUUUAUUAAAAUAAUUGUCAAUAUUAACUGAUUUUUACAUCAAUUUGAUAUAAUUAAAUUUAUAACAAUAAAAUUAUUAUUAAUAUUAUAUAUUUAUUUACUAUAAAUCUAUCCUAAUUUUAUAGCUUGAUUAUAUUUAAUUAAUCUACAAUUACAUAAAGGACUCAAAUAUGGAAACAAUUGAUAUUAAUUACUUUUAUAAUUUCAAAAAUUUAAUCCCAUGAAUUUCACAUAUUCUUAUAGUUUGGUUAUAUCAAAUUUAUAUUAAUUAUCUUUAUAAUUUUGGGAAGAAUUUUAAAAAGGUAACGGUUAUUUCUUUUCCUAAUUACUGAUUUAUUUCUCAAAAAUUUCUUAUCAAUAUACAAUUUGAUUAUUUAAUUAUAUUUACAAUUUACUAAAGACUCAAAUAAGAUGACAAUUAUUUCUUUUCUUAAUUAUGGAUUUUCUUAUAUUCAAUCUUUAAUUGUUUCACUAAAAUAGUUCAAAUUUAAUUGUUUUGAGGAAUGAUACUUUUUUGUCUAUAAAUCUUAUUUAAUAUAUAAGAAAUGCUAAAGUCAUACAAUAAUCACCUUUAUUUUUAUAAUCCAAACUUAUCAUUUAAAAAUAAUUUCAUUUGAAUUAAUAAAAUCAUAGUAGAUUGCACAAAAUCAAUCAGUUAAUUAUAUGUAUUUUUAUUAAAUAAAUGAUGUACAAAAUUGUUGUAAUAAAACUAUACAAUCAACAAAUUAAUUUCAAUUAAUUAGAAUCAAUUUUAUGAUCAUAAUAUAUAGACUCAAGUUCCUUAAAUUUAAUGUUGUAUGUAAAUUUUAAAAUAUAUUUAUAGCUAAAGUAGUAGUCAACGUUCGUUGUUUUUCUUACCAAUAUAUGCAUAUCAAUUACGAAUCUUUCCAUAUAUUAUUUUACUAAAGUAAUUUUCAAUAUUAACUAAUUUCUAGUUAAAUUUAAUCUAAUUAAUUUGAUAGCAAUAAAAUUACUAUUAAUAUUAUAUAUAUAUUUACCAUAAAUCUGUCCUUAUUUUGUAGCUUUAUUUUAUUUAAUUAAUCUACAAUUGUAUAAAGGGCUCAAAUAUGAAAAUAAUUGAUAUUAAUUACCUUUAUAAUUUCAGAAAAUCAAUCCCAUGAAUUUCUCAUGUUUUUAUAGAUUGAUUACAUUAAAUUGAUAUCAAUUACCUUUUUAAUUUUUGAAAGAAUUUUAAAAAGGUAUCAAUUAUUUAUUUUCCUAAUUACUAAUUUAUUUUUCAAAUAUUUCUUAUAAAUUUAUAAUUUAAUUAUGGUCAAUUUAUUAUUAUUAUCUUUAUAAUUUGCUAAAAACUCAAAUUAGGUAACAAUUAUUUUUUUCCUAAUUACGGAUUUUCUUAUAUUCAUUCAUUUAUUUGUUUACAAAAAUAGGUCAAACUUAAUUAUUUUGACGGAUGACAACUUUUAUUAAUAUAUUUUUAUUCAGAAUGAUUACAAUAUUUUCUAUAUAAAUUGAUCAAUUACUAUUUAUUAAUUGGUUAUUCUCUUAAAUAAUUUUUCUUGUAAUAUUUCUUUCAGUCAUUUGAAAUGAAAUCAUUCAUAUUUAUUUUCUCAUAAUACUAUUAUUAAAAACAUAUGAAAUGUAAUUUAUUAAAUAUGAAAUAUGAAAUAAUAUUAAAUAUUUAAAUAAUCAGCAAAAUAGCCUUUUGUUAUGAAAUGAUGGUUUUUUGUUGUAAAAAUUCAAAUAGGUAGUUCUCAAUAUGAAACUUGUCUUAGUUUUAGGCUAGACUAUCCUCCUUUAUUAUAUAGAUAGAUAAUUUCAACAAAAUUAAUUAGAGUAUUUUCUUAUAAAAAUAAUAUAAACUAUUAUUUUUAAUUAUGCUUCUAUUUUAUUACGCAGUAUUUGAUUCUACGUAUUAAAAAUAACAUUGAAUCAAUGGUCAAAGUGGAGGGACUUCUUUCUUUAUUGGGUUUUUUUUUUGGGAAAGAAGACACUUUCUUGACUACCAACCACCCAACACAAAGCUUACACUUCUUGGUAGAUUGGCUAUUUUUUCAUACGGUACUUAUUUAUAUAUAUUUUCUUUGAUAUUUGUUAUAUUGUUAGUUUUAUUCUGAGUAUCGUAUUAGAUUAUAUGCAUUUAUCUUUUAUGUUUGGUAUAUUAUUAUGAUCCUAAGCUGGGAGUCUAUCGAAAACAUCCUCUCUACUUCACCUGAGUACUGAUAUGAUCUGCAUAUACUAACCUCCCCAGACCCCACUAUGUGGGAAUACACUGGGUGUUGUUGUUUCUUAUACAGUAUUUGAUUCAAUGUAUUAAAACUAACACGAAUUACAUGAUUUUUUUUUACAUAAUACCCCCACUGUAAGCGUGUUAAUGCAUGCAUUAGAUCCAUUACAUUACUAAUGUCAUAAAUUUUAAGGUAUUAGUAAUACACACCUCAAUACACAAUAAAGUAUAUAACUAAUUUUUGCAUUAGUUAUACAUAAGAUAAAAAGAUAUAUAUCAAACAAGGGACUACUAAUACAUAUUAAAUUAAUGGAUGCAUUAAUUUUUAUGUAAUACAUUACAUGCUUUAUCACAGAUUUGAUUAUUAUUCCUUGUCUUGAGCCGGGAGUCUAUCGGAAACAACCUUUCUACUUCUCCGGAGGUAGUGAUAUGGACUAUGUAUAUUUUAAUUUUGAGUGUUGCACAAAUAAAUACUUAGACUAUCAUAUAAAGUUAAAAUAAAUAUAUAUAUGCGAGUCUUGUAUCACAAUUUGUCAUGCAAAAUUUGUGCAACUCAUACAAUUUGUCAAGUAAUUAAAGCAUUUGUGUCUAGGGGAGUGCAUCGGUCGGUUCGGUUGGAUUUUACAUAUUAUCGUUAGAUUUAUCGAUUUUUGGUUUUUAAAUAUGCUAAACCAAUAACCAAAUCCAUAAAAUAUUUUUCUCAGUUUUUAGUAUUUAACGAUUUGGUUUUCGGUUUAACUGAUUAAAAAAUACUCAUAAAAUAGAAAUAGUAGUAACUAACAUGUAAAAAAUGAAUCUUAGUUGCAACAAAAAUCCUACAUGAAGUGUUUAAAUUUACAAAAAUCUUCAAGUUUGAACUAAAUGUUGUUAGGAGAAAUUAAGAGUUUAUAUAAUUGAAAUAAUAGGUUUGUUAAUUUGUAUAAAUAAAAGAUAAAUAUAUAAUAAGUAAUAUAUAUUUUCUUAUUGGGUUAUCGGUUUACCCAAUAACUCAAUAAAAAAAAAAUCGAAUCGAACCAAUAAUCCAAUAAUUUUUUGUAACACCCCAUACUUUCAGACUUGAACGUAAAUUGUCAUUUCUACUUGUACACAUUCCAAAAACCAUAAAUCUAUUGUGAAUAUAGUAUUUUAAUCAACUAUGUAGUGUAUAAAUCUAGUUGAGCAUGAAUUGAGAUCAUAGAGGUCCCCUAACUCAAGGACGAGUUGAAAGCUUUUCCAUCGAUUGAGUUAUAGUAAGCAUCAAAAUUUGGAUCAAGUUCAAUCGGUCAUUACUUUUUGUAUAUAUUGAAUUAUAGUGCCUACAAUAUAUCAAAUGAAAGGCCUUCAAAUUAUCUUUCCAACGAUACCAAUUUCGCAAAUAUCCGACACCUGAGGAAGAAGUUAUGGCUUUGCAAAGUGGAGUGUAUCGUGCAGCAUAAGGUGUACGACGCACACCCUAACUUAUGCCAUAAGGUGUGCGACGCACAACUUAAGGUGUGAGAUAAAGAGUACGCCGUACAACCUAUAUUAUGUGAUAAGGUGUGCGCCGCAUACAUUACUACUCAAGUGACUUAAACACUCCAUUUUUGGGGCAAAAUGGUCCUUUUCCCACCCUUACUUAGCCAUAAACACGAAAUUCAGUCCUUAAAUACCCUAAAAUACACCUUCAUUCAUCAAAAUUGCUCAAGAACUCUCCUUAGUGUUUCAAAAUGAAAACCCAAGAAACUCAAGAUUCAACCGUGGUUUUUGAAACUAAUUGCAUAUUUGUAAUCCCCAGAAUGUAGGCUUAAAAAAACACCUCUCAUCUUCACAUAUAUAGGUACGUGGGGUUAUCCUAAAAUCUCAUGGGCAUUUAAAUUCAUGUUUUAUAAUGGGGUUUUUGAAACUACAAAUAUAAUCAUGUUUUGAACAUUUCUAUAAUAUUGAUUUGGCCUUUAGGCCUAUUUCCAAAGUGAUUUGACAUAUUAUAUAUGUGUAUGCAUUUGUUUCAAAAAGGUGUUAAUUUGAGAGCAUGAAUUAUAUGGAAUCCCUCUCUUGAUGUGAAUUUGUUUUAAAUGUUCAUAUGAUUUAAAUUAUUUAAAAACAUCUUGAAAAGCAUGACAUGAAAUAUUUUGAGAAUUGAUAUGAUUUUGACUUGAAAACGAGAGGGCUAUUUGUGUUGAAACAUGUUGAAUACAAUGGUUUAAUAAGAAGAAUAAUGUGAUAAUGACACAAUUGGGAAAGACUAUAUCAUGUAGAUUCUAAACUUUUUGCACUUGAAUCACACCAAUAAUGGGAUAUGUCGGAGAACAUCAGAGUAAGGAAAGAAUUUGAGAUGACUUUACCUUCAUAUGGGCGACACCAUAGCUCGAAUGACAGUAUGAAAGAGGAAUAUUUUGACUCUAUUGCAUGAACUGGAACAUGAAGAAAGAGAGACAUUCCUAAAUGCCUAGUAGCCUCCUGCUUAUAAGUGUAGUGCACUACACACCCAUAAAGAAGACUCUACCUGACAUGAUUUUGUAGAAACCCUGAGACUAUGAAUCGUGCUCUAAUACCAAGUUUGUCACAACCCGAACUGGGGCCCUGGCCGUGAUGAGCAUUCCGAACCAUGAAGGCCUGAAACACCCCUAUUUGUCUGAUAAUCAUGCACAUAACUCAUAUGAUAAAAGAAAUAUGGAAGAUAAACAAUAUCACGAAAACAUGGUCAAAAAUCAUAUGAAAUCAGUAACGGGGAAAAAUGACCCACAAUCUCAACACAACAUCUCUAUAAAGUCUGCGAAAUCUCUACUACAUGACUGAAAUAAAUAUCUAUCUGAAAACUGGGACAAGGCCCCCAGUAGAUCCAAACUAAUAAAUGAUAAAUAAAACUACCAAAUAUUAGGCCUUUCAAAAUAUAGAAGGCUCACUAAGUGACUCUGCAAAUUUGUAUGAGGAAUCUAUUGAUUUUCUGGACCCCUAGACUGUGCCUCCAAACCUGAGAGGGAAGAUGGUCAGUAAAAAAGUACUGGUACGCAGAGAUAUCAAAACAAAACAUAAUAUUUUUACAAAAUAUAGUUGAGAGCCAUUAUAAAGAAGUUUCAUAUCAAAUCAUUUGAAAACACAUGGGCAUAAUGUAAUUGUUUUCAACAAUAAUGUAAUACAACUGAGCUAGGUGGAAUACCCUACAUAUCAUAUUUACACCAACUAUCAAACCUCGAUUGCCACCGAGAUUAGAGUAUAAGUGAGCGGAAAACACACAAUAUCACACAACAGGGUGUCUCGACCCAAUGGUAGUGUGCAAGAUCACAAAUCAGGGAUCCUAACCAUAGUCCCAACUUGGGAAUGACAUAAAGUCAGGUACGCAAGAUCACAAAGCAGGGUACGAAAUUCUCAUGUCGGCAAACACAGUUUCCAGCGAUGAUCCCUUACACUCAAACACCUUCUUCGGGCAUCCACCUAUCUCAUGUAAAAUUAAUGCAUUUAAAUUUUAUCUGAUUCAAUCACAUAUCAUAUUUUGUAGGGUAUCGUCAUACCCGACUUGUAAGCCAUCAAUAUCACAUCAUUCUUCUCAUUCAACCAUUGUAUUCAACAUGUUUCAACACAAAUAGCCCUAUCAUUUUUAAGUCAAAACCAUAUCAAUUGUCAAAAUAUUUUAUGUCAUGCUUUUCAAGAUGUCUUCAAACAUUUACAUCAUAUGAACAUUUAAAACAAAUUCACAUCAAGAGAGGGAUUCUAUAUAAUUCAUGCUCUCAAAUUAACACCUUUUUGAAACCCAUGCAUAUACAUAUAUAAUAUGUGAAAUCACUUCAGAAAUAGGCCUAAAGACCAAAUCAAUAUUAUAGAAACGUUCAAAACAUGAUUAUAUUCAUAGUUUCAAAACCCCCAUUGUAAAACAUGAAAUUAAAGGACCAUGAGAUUUUAGGAUAACCCCACGUACCUCUAUAUGCGAAGAUGAUAGGUUUUUCUUGAAGCUUACGUUCUGGGAAUUCCAAAUAUGCAAUUAGUUAGUUUCAAAAACCCACGGUUGAAUCUUGAGUUGCUUGGGUUUUUAUUUUGAAACCCGAAGGAUAUUUCUUGAGCAAUUUUGAUGAAUAAAGGUGUAUUUUGGGGUAUUUGGGGACUGAAUUUCGUGUUUAUGGCUAAAUAAGGGUGGGAAAAGGACCAUUUUGCCCUAAAAAGUGGAGUGUUUAAGUCAUUUCAGUAGUAAUGUAUGCAGCACACACCUUAUCGAAUAAUAUAGGUUGUGCGGCGCACUCUUUAUCGCACACAUUAGGUUGUGCGUCGCACACCUUAUGGCAUAAGUUAGGGUGUGCGUCACACACCUUAUGCUGCACGACACACUCCACUUUGNNNNNNNNNNNNNNNNNNNNNNNNNNNNNNNNNNNNNNNNNNNNNNNNNNNNNNNNNNNNNNNNNNNNNNNNNNNNNNNNNNNNNNNNNNNNNNNNNNNNNNNNNNNNNNNNNNNNNNNNNNNNNNNNNNNNNNNNNNNNNNNNNNNNNNNNNNNNNNNNNNNNNNNNNNNNNNNNNNNNNNNNNNNNNNNNNNNNNNNNNNNNNNNNNNNNNNNNNNNNNNNNNNNNNNNNNNNNNNNNNNNNNNNNNNNNNNNNNNNNNNNNNNNNNNNNNNNNNNNNNNNNNNNNNNNNNUCAACUAGAUUUAUACACCACAUAGUUGAUUAAAAUACUAUAUUCACAAUAGAUUUAUGGUUUUUGGAAUGUGUACAACUAGAAAUGACAAUUUACGUUCAAGUCUGAAAGUAUGGAUGUUACAAAAAAUUAUUGGGUUAUUGGUCCGGUUCGAUUUUUUCUUAUUGGGUUAUUGGGUAAACCAAUAACCCAAUAAGAAAAUAUAUAUGACUUAUUAUAUAUUUAUCUUUUAUUUUAACAAAUUAACAAACCUAUUAUUUCAAUUAUAUAAACUCUUAAUUUCUCCUAACAACAUUUAGUUCAAACUGGAAGAUUUUUGUAAAUUAAACACUUCAUGUAGGAUUUUGUUGCAACUAAGAUUCAUUUUUUACAUGUUAGUUACUACUAUUUCUAUUUUAUGAGUAUUUUCUUAUCGGUUAAAUGGAAAACCAAAUCGUUAAGGACUAAAAACCAAAAAAAAAAAUAAUUUAUUGGUUUGGUUAUUGGUUUAGCAUAUUUAAAAACCUGAUAAAUCUAACGAUAAUAUGUAAAAACCAACCAAACCGACCGAUGCACUCCUCUAGACACAAACGCUUUAAUUACUUGACAAAUUGUAUGAGAUGCACACAUUUUGCAUGACAAAUUGCGAUACAAGAUUCGCAUAUAUAUAUUUAUUUUAACUUUAUAUGAUAGUCUAAGUAUUUAUUUGUGCAACACUCAAAAUUAAAAUAUAUAAAUAUUUGCUGAUGAUGUCAAGUUGAAAACACAUUUAUGUAUUAUGUCAAACGUAUAAUUCCUUUUUUGAACUAUAGCUAAUGAGAAGCAUGGAGUCUUUUGAUAGAGUGUAUUAAAAAAUUAAUAACAACAACAACAACAAUAAAUUCAGUGUAUUUCCACAUAUUGGAGUCUGGAGAGGGUAAGAUGUAUGUAGUCCAUAUCACUACCUCCGGAGAAGUAGAAAAGUUGUUUCCGAUAGACUCCCGGCUAAAGACAAGGAAUAAUAAUCAAAUAUGUGAUAAAGAAUGGAAUGUAUUACGUAUAAAUCAAUGCAUCCAUUGAUUUAAUGUGUAUUAGUAGUCCCUUGUUUGAUAUAUAUCUUUUUAUUUUAUGUAUAACUAAUGCAAAAAUUAGUUAUAUACUCUAUUGUGUAUUGAGGUGUGUAUUACUAAUACCUCAAAAUUUAUGACAUUAGUAAUGCAAUGGAUCUAAUGCAUGCAUUAACAUGCUUAAAGUGGGGGUAUUAUAUGAAGAAAAAUUAUGUAAUUCGUGUUAUUUUUAAUACAUUGAAUCAAAUACUGUAUAAGAAACAACAACAGCAACAACAACACCCAGUGUAUUUCCACAUAGUGUGGUCUGGGGAGGUUAGUGUAUGCAGAUCAUAUCACUACUCAGGUGAAGUAGAGAGGAUGUUUCCGAUAGAUCCCUAACUUAGGAUCAUAAUAAUAUACGAAACAUAAAAGAUAAAUGCAUAUAAACUAAUACGAUGCGCAAAAUAAAACUAACAAUAUAACAAAUAUCAAAGAAAAUAUAUAUAAAUUAGUACCGUAUAAAAAAAUAGUCAAUCUACCAAGAAGUGUCAGCUUUGUGUUAGGUGGUUGGUAGUCAAGAAAGUGUCAGCUUUCCCAAAACGAAAAACCCCAAUAAAGAAAGAAGUCCCUCCACUUUCACCAUUGAUUCAAUGUUAAGUCUAAAAUGUAGAAUCAAAUACUGCGUAAGAAAAUAGAAGCAUAAUUAAUGCAAAUAUUAUUAAUAUACCAUAUUUUAUAUUAUUUUUAUAAAAUAAUAUUUUAUAUUAUUUUUAUAAGAAAUUANNNNNNNNNNNNNNNNNNNNNNNNNNNNNNNNNNNNNNNNNNNNNNNNNNNNNNNNNNNNNNNNNNNNNNNNNNNNNNNNNNNNNNNNNNNNNNNNNNNNNNNNNNNNNNNNNNNNNNNNNNNNNNNNNNNNNNNNNNNNNNNNNNNNNNNNNNNNNNNNNNNNNNNNNNNNNNNNNNNNNNNNNNNNNNNNNNNNNNNNNNNNNNNNNNNNNNNNNNNNNNNNNNNNNNNNNNNNNNNNNNNNNNNNNNNNNNNNNNNNNNNNNNNNNNNNNNNNNNNNNNNNNNNNNNNNNNNNNNNNNNNNNNNNNNNNNNNNNNNNNNNNNNNNNNNNNNNNNNNNNNNNNNNNNNNNNNNNNNNNNNNNNNNNNNNNNNNNNNNNNNNNNNNNNNNNNNNNNNNNNNNNNNNNNNNNNNNNNNNNNNNNNNNNNNNNNNNNNNNNNNNNNNNNNNNNNNNNNNNNNNNNNNNNNNNNNNNNNNNNNNNNNNNNNNNNNNNNNNNNNNNNNNNNNNNNNNNNNNNNNNNNNNNNNNNNNNNNNNNNNNNNNNNNNNNNNNNNNNNNNNNNNNNNNNNNNNNNNNNNNNNNNNNNNNNNNNNNNNNNNNNNNNNNNNNNNNNNNNNNNNNNNNNNNNNNNNNNNNNNNNNNNNNNNNNNNNNNNNNNNNNNNNNNNNNNNNNNNNNNNNNNNNNNNNNNNNNNNNNNNNNNNNNNNNNNNNNNNNNNNNNNNNNNNNNNNNNNNNNNNNNNNNNNNNNNNNNNNNNNNNNNNNNNNNNNNNNNNNNNNNNNNNNNNNNNNNNNNNNNNNNNNNNNNNNNNNNNNNNNNNNNNNNNNNNNNNNNNNNNNNNNNNNNNNNNNNNNNNNNNNNNNNNNNNNNNNNNNNNNNNNNNNNNNNNNNNNNNNNNNNNNNNNNNNNNNNNNNNNNNNNNNNNNNNNNNNNNNNNNNNNNNNNNNNNNNNNNNNNNNNNNNNNNNNNNNNNNNNNNNNNNNNNNNNNNNNNNNNNNNNNNNNNNNNNNNNNNNNNNNNNNNNNNNNNNNNNNNNNNNNNNNNNNNNNNNNNNNNNNNNNNNNNNNNNNNNNNNNNNNNNNNNNNNNNNNNNNNNNNNNNNNNNAUAUAAUUAAUUGAUUGAUUUUGUACAAUCUUCUAUAAUUUUAUUAAUUCAAAUGAAAUGAUUUUUAAAUGAUAGGUUUGGAUUAUAAAAAUAAAGGUGAUUAUUCUAUGACUUUAGCAUUUCUUAUGUAUUAAAAAAGAUUUAUAGACAAAAAAUAUCAUCCCUUAAAACAAUUAAAUUUGAACUAUUUUAGUGAAACAAUGAAAGAUUGAAUAAAAGAAAAUCUGUGAUUAAGAAAAGAAAUAAUUGUCACCUUAUUUAAGGUUUUAGCAAAUUGUAUAGAUAAUUAAAUAAUCAAAUUGUAAAUUGAUAAGAAAUUUUUGAGAAAUAAAUCAGUAAUUAGGAAAAGAAAUAAUCGUUACCUUUUUAAAAUUCUUUCCAAAAUUAUAAAGGUAAUUAAUAUAAAUUUGAUAUAACCAAACUAUAAGAAUAUGUGAAAAUAUAUUUUAAAAUUUACAUACAACAUUAAAUUUAAGGAACUUGAGUCUACAUAUUAUGAUCAUAAAAUUUAUUCUAAUUAAUUGAGAUUAAUUAGUUGAUUGUGUAAUUUUAUUACAAUUAUGUGGUACAUCAUUUUUUAUAUAAAAAUAAAUAUAAUUAAUUAAUUGAUUUUGUGGAAGCUACUAUGAUAUUGUUAAUUCAAAUAAAAUAAUUUGUAAAUGAUAAGUUUGGAUUAUAAAAAGAAAGGAGAUUAUUGUAUGCCUUUAGCAUUUCUUUUGUAUUAAAAAAGAUUUAGAUACAAAAAAUUGUCAUCCCUCAAUACAAUUAAAUUUGAACUAUUUUCGUAAAACAAUAAAAGAUUGAAUGAAAGAAAAUUCAAAAUUUAAAAAAAAUAAUUGUUACCUUAUUUGAGUUUUUAGUAAAUUAUAAAGAUAAUUCAAUAAUCAAUUGAUAAUAAUUAAAUUAUGAAUUUAUAAGAAUUUUUUGAGAAAUAAAUCAGUAAUUAGGAAAAAAAAUAAUCGUUACCUUUUUAAAAUUCUUCCCAAAAUUAAAAAGGUAAUUGAUAUCAAUUUAAUAUAAUCAAUCAAUAAAAAAACAUGAGAAAUUCAUGGGAUUGAAUUGCCGAACUUAUAAAGGUAAUUAAUAUCAAUUAUUUUCAUAUUUGAGCCCUUUAUGUAAUUGUAGAUUAAUUAACUACAAUCAAGCUAUAAAAUUAGGACAGAUUUAUGGUAAUAAAUAUAUAAUAUUAAUAUUAAUUUUAUUGUUAUAAAAUUAGUUAGAUCAAAUUGAAUUAGAAAUCAACUAAUAUUGAAAAUUAUUUUAAUAAAAAAUAUAUGCAAAGUUUCGUAAUUGAUAUAAAUAUAUUGGUUACAAAAACAACGAACACUGACUUCUACUUUAGCCAUAAAUAUAUUUUAAAAUUUACAACAUUAAAUUUAAAGAAUUUGAGUCCAUAUGUUAUGAUCAUAAAAUUGAUUCUAAUUAAUUGAAAUUAAUUAGUUGAUUGUAUAGUUUUAUUACAACAAUUUAGUACAUCAUUUAUUUAAUAAAAAUACAUAUAAUUAAUUUAUUGAUUUUGUGCAAUCUACUAUGAUCUUAUUAAUUCAAAUGAACUGAUUUUUAAAUGGUAAGUUUGGAUUAUAAAAAUAAAGGAGAUUAUUAUAUGACUUUAGAAUUUCUUAUGUGUUAAAAAAGAUUUAUAGACAAAAAGAUGUCAUGCCUCAAAACAAUUAAAUUUGAACUAUUUUAGUAAAACAAUAAAAGAUUGAAUUUAAGAAAAUCUGUAAUUGAGAAAAAAAUAAUUGUUACCUUAUUUGAGUUUUUAGCAAAUUGUAAAGAUAAUUAAAUAANNNNNNNNNNNNNNNNNNNNNNNNNNNNNNNNNNNNNNNNNCUUUUAAAAAUUCUUUCCAAAAUUAUAAAGGUAAUUAAUAUCAAUUUGAUAUAAUCAAACUAUAAGAAUAUGAGAAAUUCAUGGGAUUAAAUUUUUGAAAUUAUAAAGGUAAGUAAUAUCAAUUGUUUCCAUAUUUGAGUCCUUUAUGUAAUUGUAGAUUAAUUAAAUAUAAUCAAGCUAUAAAAUUGGGACAAAUUUAUGGUUAACAAAUAUAUAUUAUUAAUAAUAAUUGUAUUGUUAUCAAACUAAUUAGAUUAAAUUGCAGUAAAAACCAGUUAAUAUUGACAAUUAUUUUAAUAAAGAAUAUANNNNNNNNNNNNNNNNNNNNNNNNNNNNNNNNNNNNNNNNNNNNNNNNNNNNNNNNNNNNNNNNNNNNNNNNNNNNNNNNNNNNNNNNNNNACAUUAAAUUUAAGGAACUUUAGUCUAUAUAUUAUGAUCAUAAAAUUUAAUCUAAUUAAGUGAAAUUAAUUAGUUGAUUGUGUAGUCUUAUUACAAUUAUAUCGUACUUUAUUUAUUUAAUGAAAAUAUAUAUCAUUUAUUAACUGAUUUUGUACAAUCUACUAUGAUCUUACGAAUUCAAAUGAAAUAAUUUUUAAAUGGUAAGUUUAGAUCCUACAGAUUCUGACAACCUUUUGCCGACUCUUACUCUUUCAACUCUUUGAUUCAGUAAUUUCUCUUUUUUUGAUUAUUUACCAUGAUUAUUUGUUUUGUCAGAAGGAUUUGAUAAGUUCUUUGAAUUGUUCUUGUGCUAUUUGUUUGUGGGGUAUUUUAUUAAUUUUCAGUAGAAGACUAGUAGUAAAUAGUUUCGCAUCAUGUCUCUUCUGGUAGUAGUAUUAGUAUAUAUUUUUCUUUUCUACUUGUUGUACCAUAUACCUCUAUUUUCUUACUUGCUACUGUUGUUAAUAUCCUCAUGUUUUUGCUUUCCUUGCUGAAGAUUUAUGGGAAACAAAUUUUCUACUUGCGAAGGUAGGGGUUACGUAUGUUGUUAUUAAAGAAGAAGCAUGUAGAAAGAGAGAUGUUUUGCUUUGUCUCAUAAGUAUUUAGUUAGCUUGCGGUAUUUUCAUGAAUGGAUAAUGAUUUGUGAGUAGCUAUUUAUGAGUGUUUUGUUUUGUCCUUUGAAAUCUCAUGGACACUAGUUUGAUUUAUGUACAGUCUCCAUACAUAGAGAUGAUGAAGAACAACUUCUUCUUUUUCCGAUCAUCAACUAAUGAUGCAAACAAGACCCCUCCACCACCAUUAAAGUCCAAGGAAGUUUUUUCUUGGAGGAGUGUUUCAUUGUCAUUUGGAUCCUUCUAUGACAGUGGGUCAGGAAAAAAGAAUUUCACGGAUCUAAGCAAAUCUCCCCAUGGUCACAGUAAGAAAGUUCAUCCUAAGAAAUCUGGUCGUGAUUCAAGUCGGUAUGCAUAUCAUUUUGCUGUUGCUUCCUUUUUCACACUUAAACUGAUGUUUUAAUUUGCAUUUGCUUGUCCAAAGUAAUGACAAAUGUUUCUUCACGACAGAGACCUUAGAAUUCCAGUGUUGAUUUGGACUAUUAGAAGAUUGACAAUGGAGAAGGUACAAAUGUUUUCUAAAGUUUCAAGCAUGCUAAGGAAUCAAGUUGCUGAAAGGGCUUCUGCUAAGGAAGAAGCCAUCAUAUUACAGGCUGAACUAGAUUCACGGACACGAAGAUUGGAGACAAAAAAAUAAUAAGUUACAAUCAGUACUGGAAAAGGAGUUGGAUAAAAGAUCCAGCGAUUGGUUUCUAAAACUUAAGAAAUACCAAAUUGAACAACAUAGACUCCAUAAAAGGGCGAGGGAGCUUGCAGAGCAGAAUGUCUCUCUACAAAGGAAAGUCUCUUCAUUUAAUGAGAAGGAAGUAGAUAAUAGAAAGAUGUCAUUUUCGGAGAAACACCUCAAAGAUUUGUCUAAGAGAAUAAAGCAAGUGUCAAAGGAGAAUCAAAAUCUAAGGCAGCAGCUCACUCAAUUACAAGCGGAAUAUCGAGUAGCUCAAGACAAUAGAGAUUAUGUCCGGGAAAACUACCAGGAAAGGGUUAAAGAGGUUAAAUCGGAGACUUUGCUGACAACUGUGCUAAGGGAGAAGCUCUAUUCCGAGGAGAUGGACAUAAAGCAACUUCAGGCUGAUCUAGCCGCAACAGUUAGAGGUAAUGACAUUCUCAAAUGUGAAGUGCAAAAUGCGCUGGAUGCUCUUUCUUAUGCCACACCCAAGUUGAAAUAUCUCGAGCUUCAUGUAGGCAGUCAAUGUUAAGAUCUCAUUGCAACGGAAUAGUUUUUAUUUUUUAACUUUGGAUACCUCGUCUUCAUAUCUGAUAGCCUGUUCGCAUGUUACUCUCUCUGUAUUAGCUUUCUACUUCAGUUUGAUUUUACGUUCAUCUUUGUUCCAUCUGAAGUUCACAGUUUUCUUUAUGAACUUGUAUACAUGAGUUUCUGGCAUGUGGUAGUCUUCUGUGAAAUGUCUGAUUGCCUUAAUGUGUAAUCAGUUGAACCAACCAAGAACAUGAUAAACUUUGUGAUAUCCUUAAACCUAUUGAUCUGAUUGUGCUCUGAUGUGGUAAAGUUACCCGAAGGGGUUUCGGUAAGUUUGCUCAUUCAUCUUACUUAAUUCUUUGACAAGCUCACGAGUAUCUACUAUGAAUUUUAACAGUUAUAAAGGAAUCAUGAUUUGGUUGAACUUCUAGGCUAUGAGUUUGUUUUGAAUUUCUAAUGAAAUGUUAUUGGUGAUCUUUGUGUAUUUCUUGUUUUUCAUGGUUUACGGUUGAUUCUAGCAGGUGCUAAAAAGGACAAAAAUAUCAACCAGCUCACUAAUGAUUUGCAAGCAUGCAUGAAGGAACUUGGCAUUGUGAAGGCGAUACUACUAAAAGUGUUUUAGGAGAGGGAUUUCAUGUGGGAGAAAGUUAAGAGCUACAGUGAGAUUAACAUGCUGUUGAAUUAUGAGAUCAACAUGUUGAAAGGAAGGUAGAUACCCUCGACAAAGACUUUCUUAUAAAAGAGGGUCAAAUCACAAUCUUGAUAGACUCGAUAGGCAAACCUUUUGACCUUCUUGCUAGUCCUAAUUCUCUGUUGGAGUGAUGGAUGCUAAAUGGCCAAACUACAAUUCAUAUUUUGUUCAUUGACUAUAGUGUUCAUACUUCUUGUAUAAUUACUGGUUUUACUCUUAUUCUUUCCCCCCUUUGAUACUUGUUAAAUAGAAAGUUUGCUUCUUUCUUUUGCAAUCUUUUUGAAUCUCCAAUUGUAAAUAUUUCUUUUACUUGCUAGUGAUCAAGACAAUGAACUUCUUUUGCUUCAUUUGGUUUUGUAAGUAUUGGCUGUUUUUUGUCUUAUGAAGUAUUUAGUGAGGAUUGGUGCUACCAUUUUCUUCCUAUCUCUGAGGUAGAGGUAGGUUUGCAUAUAUUCUACCCGAAUAUACAUCGGCUAUGUUGUUUCUAUUGUAUGGAGAUUGUGUGUAUAGUAACAAUCAUAUAUUUGAUGUCGGGUCAUCCACACUUUCAUUCCUUACAGGGGAAAGCUCAUUAAGAUUACUGAGUUAACUUCUCAUUGAUGUAUUCUUUCACUAAGGUUGUCACUGGGUAGCUACAAAAAGCACUUUUCUAACUGGGCAGUUCAUGUUCAGCGUGUGCAUAUAGUAAGCAACGUCCAAAUUUUAACCAUAUAACUUUACCUCAAAAUGGUGCAUGGACCAAAGCUGCUCUUAAAUCUGGUCGGUUGGCAGACUCUUUCAUUUGAUCUACAAUCAAAUGCCUGCUUUGUCUCAGUAUAUUUGAUUCUGUUGUGCUCAUUCACAAUGGUUUAUGCCAAGCAUGUGAGACACAUAUAGAAGCCUCUAUUUUCAUCUUCUUUAUAUAGUUUUAAACUUUAUUUGACUUGAUAUGAGGGAGUUCCACCCUGCCCUCUGAUCAUUCUUUCAGAUACCCUCUUUCAUUUGCCUCCACCAUGUUUUAAAUUUUCCUUCCAGUACCUGAUGUUUUACCUACCACAUUAAAUAUUGUUUGCACAUUUUUAAACUAUGCACUGCGUUGAAUUUCAAAAGACGAAAAAAACUAUGCACUAUAUUGUAGAACAUUUUGAUAAUUUUUUGGUAUGUCAGUAUGUUCUUUAUGUUUAUGCUUACAUCAAGUAGACACGGUUAUUAUGAAGAUGGAAUUGGUUUCUAUACCAUUUUUCUUUUGCAUGUAACUUCUGAAGUUAUUUGGGAUCCAUUAUUUAUAAGCAAAUGAGAGUCUUUGAUGUCUUUCCUGAUAAUGUUUAUGCUUACAUCAAGCAACAUAGCUAUUAUGAAGGUGGAAUUGGUUUCUGUACCAUUUUCCUUUUGUGUGUAACUUCUGAAGUUAUUUGGGAUCCAUCAUUUAUAUGUCAAUGAGAGUAUUUAAUGUCUUUCCUGAUAUUAAACCUGUCAUUUUUUUCUUUAACAUGUCUAAUCUCCUGUAUACCUUGCUUUCUGAUCUUCAAUGAUGCAAACAAUUUCCCUUCAAGAACUUGUACUUACCUAAUUCCUAGUAAGACAGUCUUAGAAUCUUCUAUACUGAAAGAUGCCUAUUGGUGGUUAGUUUUUUUGCUAGGAGGUUGCAUUGGAAGGUACAAGCAUACAUGAUAUUGGUAAAACCAGCAAGCACCAUAUUUUUUUGAAAAUGAUAGCAUAUAUACUAUGUUGGCAGUAUUUUCUUUACAAAAAUGAGCCUCUCUAUGCUUUACAAGGCCUCCAAAGUUGCAAAAUGGAUUCAUUACCCUCUACAAGAAACUCUUAUCAUCAAAAUAAUAAGUUGUCUGAUCUUAUCUGCAACAAGAAUGAUGAGCAUUGUGUUUAGUUUAGAGCCUGUCCCUAAGCUCGUCUAGACUUAUCCUUAUCUUCAUUGCCUUCUAUUUACUUGUUAUCUUUGUUCUUGCUAGAACCUGCAUUUGAGAAGCUUGUGUUGUUGUCUCAAGUUAAUGUUUAAGUUUUAUUUCCUUACUGCAGUACAUCAAAAUUCAACUUAUGGUGCUGCUAAAAAUGUUGGAACUGUUGCAAAACCUAAUGGCAUAAUGCAUGAACCUGUGCGUGCUGAUAGACCCAAUGCAUUCAGUAACAACAGCUCAUCUGUUCUCUUUUACAUACAAAUAGCAGUUGAUAUUCCUUCUCAAACAGCAGGUCCAUCCACUUUUGAGCUCCAAGACCACGCUCUUGUUGGACCUGGGCGUGAAGGUGGUGUUAGAGUGGGUGAAAGUCCCACAUUAUUGGGGAGUGAACUGUUAGUCUUCUUAUAUGGACUUGAGCAAUCCUUCCCUCAUGUGCUAGCUUUUGGGGUUGAGUUAGGCCCAAGAUCAUUUCUUUACACAAUCAACCAUCUUUUCUUACAUUGGAAACAGACAGAACAGUUAUAGAGAAUGUUUUCAACCUAAAGGUGAUCAGAUGGGUAGAACCUAAGAGCAUUAAAAAAGUACUAAGCAGCUGGAAUGGGGAUGUAAAUGUAAUAAAGAAGGAGAGAUGGAAAAUUUUUCAACAUGUAUAUGGUGGACAGUUUGGAUAGAAAAAAACAAGGGUUGUUUUGAGGAUGUCCAGAAGAUUAACAGGAAUAGUUUAGAACUUCUUUAUUUUUAGUGUAAACACGAUGAUUAGCUCUAACAGAAGACAUCAUUGAUGUGCUAGACUGUUUAUAGUCAAUAGAAAUAUAGAGUAAGAUGUAAUACUUUUUGAAGGGGGACAUUAUUCUUGUUGGCUAGGGAUUUGAACAAAGAUGGGAAGAGCUCUAUAUAAAGGACAGGGAUGACUAAUAUGACAACUCUUUUUUUUAUGGAACAUAAUUUUUGUUAUAAGCUAUGGAAGAUAUAAAGAUAGGCCAAAAUGUUCUCAACUAACAAACUAUUAAAAUUAAGAGCCAAAGAACGCUAAACAAUUGGUGUAACUCAAAUCUAUUUGAUUAAAAGGAAUACUAACUCUGAGAGAACAAAACACACUCUCCAGUAGUCCAGUAAAAAAAGUAGAUCUUAAAAUCCCACUGCUAAGAAAAUUAAUUUAAAUGCUGCUUUAGAUUAGAAAGUCACCUUGUUAUAUUAUGUGUUCAGUGGGUUCUCAUUUAUACUGCUCAUCAUAUUUUCUGUACUAUUUUUUCAACAUUUUCUCUGAAGUCUAUAAUUUACUCUUCUUCACUUUGAACUUAGGCUCUGCAGGGCUUUGCAUCUUGGACUUCUAUAUGUUGGUUCAGUUGUAGUACUUCUUGUGUAUUCUAUCUUGUAUAGUCUGAUAGCAAAGGAAUAAAACUGGCUUGGGGCUACAACAACAGCUUCCGUGAAAAUCCUUGGUAGUUCAUUUCCUACAUAUAUCUGUCUCCUUUUCUGACUCGUAUUGUGAAAUAAUUUCUUAUUUCUUUUUGGUAAGUAAUGAAUUCACUAGAUUUUCAUUGAAUUAGAUUAGAACUUGGGAGCUUGCGUGCAUGGUUUUAAGCUUCUGAAAAGUUGAGUCGUCGUACUUUUUAUUGCCGGUACAUAUCGGGUGUUCCUAAUGUAUUUUGGAGUUCAUUACUGGUUUGUUGUUAACCCACGCUAAUUCAUUUUCUUCCAUAAUCAAGUCUUCUUAUACUUGUGGAAUAUGCAUCCCUUUUAAUAUUAUUUGUUGAAUAGAAACUACUAAUCUUUUGUUAUAAAAAACAAAUCUUCUAGUCUUUUACUGCAACAAUUUUGUUUCAGGUACGUUGGGCAUUGUAUCAGUUAUGCAGUUGUAGCAUCUAUGCUGUUGGGUGCUGCUGUUUCACGACAUUAUCAGUUACGGACCCAUUAGUAGCUAGACGAGAUGCCUUGCAGAGCACAGUUAUCCGCCUUAGAGAAGGUUUCCGCAGAAAAGACCAAAAUAGCUCCGCAAGCUCUCAAGUGUCAAAUGCAGUAGUAGUGCUGAUGCUAGUCAUCUUGGUAAUGCAACUGUGCCUUGCACUGGUGAUGGCAGUACCUGGAAUAAUAUUGAGGGGAUUAAUAGUGAUAAGAGCAUAGACAUUGGAAGACCAAGUCUAGCUCUACAUAGUAGUUCCUAUCGUUCAGUUGUUCAAGAGCCUAAAAUAGGAUCAUCAUAUGUUGAUAGAAAUUUAGAGCAUAAUAGUUCAUUGGUUGUUUGUUCUAUCAGUAGCCUUGAAAUCCAAGGCGGUGAUUCUAGUACAUCCACUUCUGCAAACCAAUAGAUACUGGACUUGAAUUUGGCUCUUGCAUUUUAAGAAAAGUUGAGUGAUCCCAGGAUUACAUCUAUGUUAAAGCGGAAAGGAAGACACACUGAUCGUGACUUAGCUAAUUUAUUGCAAGAUAAAGGGCUUAAUCCUAAUUUUGUAGUGAUGCUGAAGGAGAAUGGAUUGGACCUAAUGAUUCUAGCCUUGUUGCAAGAAGUAGUUUGGAUGCUGAUUGAGAAUAUCGCGACAGUAACCCUCCUAUCACUGAUUCAAAUAAUGUUGAGGAUGUGUUACCUAAUCGUAUUUCAUUCUUGGAAGAACUUAGACUCCAAUGAUUAGGAAAGUGUCUUCAACAUUGUAGAGUAGUGUUACAUCAUGUAGCAGGAACUCCAGAGCGAGCAUGGCUUCUUUUCAGUUUAAUCUCCAUUCUUGAAACCAUCAUUGUGGCUAUCUUCCGACCACAGACAAUAAAACUUUUAAAUGCUACACACUAACAAGUAAGAAAUGCAUUAGUACUUUUAAAGUUCAGUUUAGUGUAUUUGGAGUACGGUGCAGCUAAAAUGUAGUCCAUAUGGUUGUAUUUUCCAUUUUCUAACAAAAUUUUGUAACACCCCUUAUUUCGGACGAGAAUGAAAAUCGUCAUUUUCUUCACGUAAAGGUUCCAAAAGCCAUAAAUCCAAUGCAAGUUUAGUAUGUUAAUAAAUUAUGUAGUGUGGAAACCUAUUUGAGCAUGAAUUGAAAUCAUAGAGGUCCCCAAGCUCAAGAACAAGUUGAAAGUUUCCUAUCGUUCAAAUUUUAGUGAGUGUUGAAACUUAGAUAAACUUCAAUGGACCAUUACUCUUUGUAUUUAUUGAAUUAGAGUGCCUACUACAUAUCAAAUGAAAGGUAUUCAAAUUAUUUUUCCAACGAUACCAAUUUCCAAAAAUUUUGACAUUCGAGGAAGAAGUUAUGGCUUUGCAAAAUGGAGUGUUUCGUGCAGCAUAAGGUGUGCGACGCACACCCUAACUUAUCCCAUAAGGUGUGCGACGCACACCCUAACUUAUGCCAUAAGGUGUGCGACGCACAACCUAAUGUGUGCGAUAAAGAGUACGCUGCACAACCUAUAUUAUACGAUAAGGUUUGCGCCGCAUAUAUUAUUACUCAAGUGACCUAAACACUCCAUUUUUGGAAAAAAAAAUGGUCCUUUUCCCACCCUUAUUUAGCCAUAAACACAAAAUUCAGUUCCCAAAAUACCCCAAAAUACACCUUCAUUCAUCAAAAUUGCUCAAGAACACUCCUUAGGGUUUCAAAAUAAAAACUCAAGCAACUCAAGAUUCAACCAUGGUUUUUGAAACUAAUUGCAUAUUUGGAAUCCCCAGAACGUAGGCUUCAAGAAGAACCUAUCAUCUUCGCAUAUAGAGGUACGUGGGGUUAUCUCAAAAAUCUCAUGGGCUUAAAAAUUCAGUUUCAAAAAUAAGGGAAGUGGUUUUAUAUAUGAUAUAUGUAUAUGUAUGUAUUCCGAAAAGAUAUUAACUUGAGAGCAUGAAUUAUAUGAAAUCCCUCUUUUUAUAUGAUCUCGUUUUAAAUUCUCAAAUGAUGUGAAAUGUUUGAAAUUAUCUUGACAAGCGUGACAUGAAAUAUUUUGAAAAUAGUUAUGGUUUUGACUUGCAACGAGAGGGUUUUUAUGUUGAAAUAUGAUGAAUAUAAUGUUUUCAUGAAAGAAUGAUGUGAUAUUGAUGGCUUGCAAGUUGGAUAUGACGAUACCCUAUAGAAUAAGAUACGUGAUUGAAUUAAAUGGAGUUUGAUGCAAUUUUACAUGAGAUAGGUGGAUGCCCAAAGAAGGCGUUUGAGUGUAAGGGCUCAUCGCUGGAAACUGUGUUGGCCGACAUGGGGAUUUGGUACCAGGCUAAGUGAUCUUGUGUACUUGACUUUAUGUCAUUCCCAAAUUAGGACUAUGGUUAGGAGCCCAGGCUAAGUGAUCUUGGGCACUACUAUACUUUAUUGGGUCGAGGUGAUCUUGUGUGUCUUCCCCUCACUUAUACUUUAAUCUUGGCGGCAACCGAGAUUUGACAGUUGGUGUAAAUGUUAUAUGUAGGGAAUUCCACCUAGCUCAGCUGCAUUAAAUUAUUGUUGAAAACUAUUACAUUAUGCCCAUGUGUUUUCAAAUGAUUUGAUAUGGAACUGCUUUAUAGUGGCUCUCACCUAUAUUUGGUAAAAAAAUUAUAUUUUGUUUUUGGUUUCUCUGCGUUCUAGUACUUUUGUAUUGACCUCCUUCCCUCCCAGGUUUGGAGGCAUAGUUUAGGGGUCCAGAUAACCAGUAGAUCUCUUCCGACAGAUUUACAGAAUCAAGUGGUGAGCCUUCUAUAUUUUGGAAGUCCUGAUGUCUAUCAAUUCAAUUAUCAUUUAGUAGUUUUGAGUCUACUGGGGGCCUUGUGCGAGUUUUCAGACAAUAAUUUAUUUCAGUCAUGUAUUAGAGAUUUCACAGACGGUUGUUCAGAUAUCGAUAUAUGUUGUGGGACAUAAUUUCCCCUUUAUUGAUUUCAUUUGAUUUAUGACCAUGUUUUCCGUAAUAUUAUGUAUCUUUCGCAUAUCUUAUUAUCAUAUGAAUUACGUGCAUGAUUACCAGAUAGAUAGGGGUGUUUUGGGCCUUCACUGUUUGGAAUGGUCGUCAUGGCUAGGGCCCCCAUUUGGGUCGUGAAAAACUUGGUAUCAAAGUACGUUUCAUGGUCCCAGGGUGUCUAUGAAAUCUCAUCGGGUAGAGUCUUAUUUAUGGGUGUGUAGCGCACCACACUUAUAAGCAGGAGGCUACUAGUCGUUUUGGGUGAUUUCUUGAUUGCUUGAAGUGUGAAAAUGGCUAUAUUAGCUAAUAAGUUGUAAUAUAAGAUUAAGGUUGAUCAUAUCUAUUAUGUUAGUUUACCCCUUUACCUUCUUUUCAUUGGUAAUUGUAAACUAGUACUACUUGUGAGAAGGUAUGUAGUGAUUUUUGAGGUGCUUGUAUAGUAUGUCCCAGAUUUUAUGGACUAGCAUAUUAUGUUGCAUUUUUUAGUAGUGAUAGAUGAUUGGUAUAGGACUAUAUGCUUGAAUUUAAUGUAGAAUGUGGCGGUAAAAAUAGUGGCAUGAGAUUAAUGGUGGUGGUACCGUUGAAUUGCUAGGUGGAGAAAGACUAGUUAGAUGGUAUAUGGUUUUCUAGAUAAUCAAGUUAAGGAGUUUUGAUGAUAGUGUUGAGCCUUUUUAUAUGAUCUUGAUUCUCAUAGUAGAAAGAUAUAAGUUUGGAGUCGCGAUAUUGGUAGGCUAUGUCGGAAGUAGUAUGAUUCAUUGAAGGCUUGGUGAUAUCCAUGUUGAGUACUAGAUUCUAAGUUUGAGUUUUUGAAGGUUGAACUAAUAGAAAUAAGAGUUAAAGCACUAGAGGGCGUGCACUCCAACUAUGGGGAUACCCAUGAAGACCCGAAGUUAGUAAGUAUGAAAGUAUUAUAUGAUGACUACUGGGUCUAUAGAAUGAUAAAGUUUAUCUGAGAAGGUAGUAUUAACAGUGGGUUUUCCACUUUCAGGUGUAGUCAUUUGGGUUAAGUUCCAUAAUAUGCGUGUAUAGUAGUUUUCCAGACCACAGAAUCCAGUGAGUGUACUUCAGUAUAGAGUCUAGUAAAGGAUCUCCUAAACUUAAUUUGAUGGCUUGAAGAUAAGGGGGAGAUAAUAGAGCAAAUAACUAAGUCAGGCUUUCAAAUUAUAGUAGUAAUGUCAGUAUGACAUUGAACAUCAGAAGGGAAGGUGAGGCUCAACCCAUUCCAGUCUCAGUGUUUUUUGGUUAUCCUAAUACCUACUCAUACCUCACGUUUCAGUUCCAUGAUCAUAGUUUUGCAUUAACAGACGUGCUUCUUUACACCCGAAGAAAAGAUACUUAGGCCAUUAGUAGCCUUUGAACCCAAUCCAUAUGGAAAAGAUGCUUAUCAUUUUGUCCAUUCUCGUCUAACACUGUGAUAGGUCAUCUAUUUCCUAUCUCUCUUCAUUCUCAUUUCAAGCUUUCUAUUAAUUAGAUGAAGAAAAGGGUUUCAUGUUACUAUGUGGUUUGGCUUCAAAAUUCUUGCCUUGUCCUUCAAAUUAAUUUAGGGAGUUGCGCAUGGAUACAAGAUUUCAACAUUGAUUGGAAAUUAACUAGAUAUUAUUGAAAAGUAGCUAUAUUUUAAUUUCAUAUGUUCUUCCUUACAUGGAUAUUGGUUGAGAAGCCUCCUAUACCUCCUAUGGCUGGUACUGCUCCUGGUGCUAUUCCAUCCAUGUCACUGCAGGUAAAGUUGUGGAGGCUUGGGGGAGGGAUAAAUAACUUUUGAAUGUAGAGACAUUAUGAUAACUAUUUCCCCCCACAUCUUUAGCAGCUCCAGCCUAUGUUUCCAGCCUACCAGGCACAACCUUAUGGUUCCGGGUCGUCUCAACAAUUUCUGCCACUUGGACAUGCAGAUGUUGCAAUGUCUCAACCUUAUCAAAUCCAAUUUCCUCAACCUAUGCAAUAGGUUACUGGUAGAACUGUAGUAGGAAUGCAUAGUAUGCCUUAGGGACCACCUAUUCCCCAUGAUUUUCAUCGAAAUCUUCCUAUGUCAAAUAACAACAUGCCUGGUUCUGGUGGCCCAAAUUUACCUUUUUCUUCUUCAUAUAAUGUAAGGCCAUGGGAAGAUCUUUUGUGGUUAUUGUGAAUCAGUUUCCGAUGUUCCAUUCCUAUAUUGAUGAAAUACAUUUUGGUAUCGUCUUUAACAGAAGGUAAAUGCAGAUUCUUCUGACUCCCAGUAUCAGACACAGAUAAAUGAUCAUAGGUUUCCAUCAGGGGUACGACCCUGGAUGCCAAUAAGUAAUCAUAAUGUGAAUUCUGCGACAACUAUGCAUAAGAGUGGAGAAUUAGCAGCUCCCUUGGUUGUUCCGGUGAGAAUUCAAAGUGUUUUACUAUACCCAUUUUGAAUAAAUAUUGUCAACAAGUAACAUGCUUAAGUUAGCUAUAAAUAUAUUUUAAAAUUUACAUACAACAUUAAAUUUAAGGAACUUGAGUCUAUAUAUUAUGAUCAUAAAAUUGAUUCUAAUUAAUUGAAAUUAAUUAUUUGAUUGUAUAGUUUUAUUACAACAAUUUCAUACAUCAUUUAUUUAAUAAUAAUACAUAUAAUUAAUUGAUUGAUUUUGUGCAAUCUACUAUGAUUUUAUUAAUUCAAAUAAAAUAAUUUUUGAAUGAUAAGUUUGGAUUAUAAAAAUAAAGGUGAUUAUUGUAUGACUUUAGCAUUUCUUAUGUAUUAAAAAAGAUUUAUAGAUAAAAAUGGUCAUCUCUCAAAACAAUUAAAUUUGAACUAUUUUAGUGAAACAAUGAAAGAUUGAAUAUAAGAAAAUCCGUAACUAAGAAAAGAAAUAAUUGUCACCUUAUUUAAGUUUUUAGCAAAUUGUAAAGAUAGUUAAAUAAUCAAAUUGUAAAUUUAUAAGAAAUUUUUGAAGAAUAAAUCAGUAAUUAGGAAAAGAAAUAAUCGUUACCUUUUUAAAAUUCUUCCCAAAAUUAUAAAGGUAAUUUAAUAUAAAUUUGAUAUAUCAAAACUAUAAGAAUAUAUGAAAUUCAUGGGAUUAAAUUUUUGAAAUUAUAAAAGUAAUUAAUAUCAAUUGUUUUCAUAUUUGAGUCCUUUAUUUAACUGUAGAUUAAUUAAAUAUAAUUAAGUUAUAAAAUUAGGAUAGAUUUAUGGUAAAUAAACAUAUAAUAUUAAUAAUAAUUUUAUUGUUAUAAAAUUAAUUAGAUCAAAUUGAGAUAGAAAUCAGUUAAUAUUGACAAUUAUUUUAAUAAAAAAUAUAUGCAAAGUUUCGUAAUUGAUAUACAUAUAUUGGUAAAAAAACAACGAACACUGUCUACCAUGAAUAUAUUUUAAAAUUUACAACAUUAAACUUAAGGAACUUGAGUCUAUAUAUUAUGAUCAUAAAAUUGAUUCUAAUUAAUUGAAAUUAAUUAGUUGAUUGUGUAAUUUUAUUACAAUUAUGUCGUACAUCAUUUUUUAUAUAAAAAUACAUAUAAUUAAUUAAUUAAUUGAUUUUGUGCAAGCUACUAUGAUAUUAUUAAUUCAAAUGAAAUAAUUUGUAAAUGGUAAGUUUGGAUUAUAAAAAGAAAGGAGAUUAUUGUAUGCCUUUAGCAUUUCUUAUGUAUUAAAAAAGAUUUAGAGCUAAAAAGUUGUCAUCCCUCAAAACAAUUAAAUUUGAACUAUUUUAGUAAAACAAUUUUAAUUAAUUUAUCACAUUUCAAAAUAUUGUUUAUAUCAAUUCAGUGAUGUUUAUAUGGAAAAGUUAAAUUUUGAAAAAAUAAAUAUCUUAAAUUUCAUAAUUUAAGUUAAUUUGUGUGCUAAUUUGAAAAAGUUACUUUAUAGUUUACAUUUUAUUUCUAUUAUAUGGAAAAUUUGACCUCAUAUGGCUAUUUAUAGCCAUUGAAUAACACAAUAUUUGUUACACUUUUCUUCUCUCUCUCUCAUGGGUAUUUAUCAAGUUUUUCAAUAUGAGUAAGUAAAUAUUCACUUGCUAUAUUUCCGGAUCCUUGUAAAUAUUCACUUGUCAUAUACAGAUCCUUGUAAAUAUUUACUUGCAAUUUAUAGAUCCUUGUUAGUUGUAUAUAAGCAUUGUACGAUGAUGAAUGAAAGACACAGAAUUUUUUUUUUCUCCAUUCUAGUCUUUUGCUAUUUUUACAUUUCAAGAAAAAAUGACAAAAUCCUACAGAUUCUGACAACCUUUUGCCAGCUCUUACUCUUCCAACUCUUUGAUUUAGUAAUUUCUCUUUUUUUGUUGUUAUUUAACAUGAUUAUUUGUUUUAUCAGAAGGAUUUGAUAAGUUCUUUGAAUUGUUCUUGUGCUAUUUGUUUGUGGGGUAUUUUAUUAAUUUUCAUUAGAAGACUAGUAGUAACUAGUUUCGCAUUAUGCCUCUUCUGGUAGUAGUAUCGGUAUAUAUAUUUUUUUCUACUUGUUGUAUCGUAUACCUCUGUUUUCUUACUUGCUACUGUUGUUAAUAUCCUCGUGAUUUUGCUUUUCUUACUGAGGAUUUAUGGGAAACAAAUUUUCUACUUGCCAAGGUAGUAGUUACGUAUGUUGUUGUUGAAGAAGAAACAUGUAGAAAGAGAGAUGUUUUGCUUUGUCUCAUAAGUAUUUAGUUAGCUUGCAGUAUUUUCAUGAAUGGAUAAUGAUUUGUGAGUGGUUGUUUAUGACUGUUUUGCUUUGUCCUUUUAAAUCUCAUGGACACUAGUUUGAUUCAUGUACAGUCUCCAUACAUAGAGAUGAUGAAGAAUAACUUCUUCUUUUUUUGAUCAUCAACUAAUGAUGCAAACAAGACCCCUUCACCACCAUUAAAGUCCAAGGAAGUUUCUUUUUGGAGGAGUGUUUCAUUGUCAUCUGGAUCCUUCUAUGACAGUGUGUCAGGAAAAAAGAAUUUUACGAAUCUGAGCAAAUCUCCCCAUGGUCACAGUAAGAAAGUUCAUCCUAUGAAAUCUGGUCAUGAUUCAAGUCGGUAUGCAUAUCAUUUUGCUGUAGCUUUCUUUUUCACACUUAAACUAAUGUUUUAAUUUGCAUUUGCUUGUCCAAAGUAAUGACAAAUGUUUCUUUACGGCAGAGACCUUAGCGUUCCAGUGUUGAUUCGAACUAUUAGAAAAUUGACAAAAGAGAAGGUACAAAUAGCUUCUGAACAUUCAAGCAUGAUAUGGAAUUAAGUCGCUGAAAGGGCUUCUGCUAAGGAAGAAGCCAGCAUAUUAUAGGCAGAAUUAGAUUCACGGACACGAAGAUUGGAGACAAAAAAGAAUGAGUUACAAUCAGUACUAGAAAAGGAGUUGGAUAGAAGAUCCAGUGAUUGGUCUCUAAAACUUGAGAAAUACCAAAUUGAACAACAUAGACUCCGUGAAAGGGCGAGGGAGCUUGCAGAGUAGAAUGUCUCUCUACAAAGGAAAGUCUCUUCAUUUAAUGAGAAGGAAGUAGAUAAUAGAAUCAAGAUGUCAUUUUCGGAGAAACACCUUGAAGAUUUGUCUAAGACAAUAGAGCAAGUGUCAGAGGAGAAUCAAAAUCUAAGGCAGCAUCUCACUCAGUUACAAGCAGAAUAUCGAGUAGCUCAAGACAAUAGAGAUUAUGUCCAGGAAAACUACCAGGAAAAGGUUAAAGAGCUUAAAUCUGAGACUUUGCUGACAACUGUGCUAAGGGAGAAGCUCUAUUCCGAGGAGAUGAACAUAAAGCAACUUCAAGAUGAUCUAGCCACAACUGUUAGAGGUAACGACAUUCUCAAAUGGGAAGUACAAAAUGCGCUGGACGCUCUUUCUUAUGCCACACCCAAGUUGAAAUAUCUCGAGCUUCAGGUAAGCAGACAAUGUUAAGAUUUUGUUGCAAUGGAAUAUUUUUUAUUUUUUAACUUUGAAUACCUCGUCUUCAUAUAUGAUAGCCUGUUCGCAUAUUACUCUCUCUGCAUUAGCUGUCUACUUCUGUUUGAUUUUAGGUUCAUCUUUGUUCCAUCUGAAGUUCACAGUUUUCUUUAUGAACUUGUAUACAUGAGUUGCUGGCAUGUGGUAGUCUUCUAUGAAAUGUCUGAUCGCCUUAAUGUGUAAUCACUUGAACCAACCAAAAACAUGAUAAACUUUGUGAUAUCCUCAAACCCAUUGAUCUGAUUGUGCUCUGAUAGGGUAAAGUUACCCAAAGGGUUUUCGGUAAGUUUGCUCAUUCAUCUGACUUAAUUCUUGGACAAGCUCACAAGUUAUCUACUGUGAAUUUUAACAGUUAAAAAGGAUUCAUGAUUUGGUUGAACUUCUAGGCUAUGAGUUUGUUUUGAAUUUCUGAUGAAAUAUUAUUGGUGAUCUUUGUAUCUUUCUUAUUUUUUCAUGGUUUACAAUUGAUUCUGGCAUGUGCUAAAAAUGACAAAAAUAUCAACAAGAUCACUAAUGAUUUGCACGAAUGCAUGAAGGAACUUGGCGUUGUGAAGGCGAUACUACCAAAAGUGUUUCAGAAGAGGGAUUUCAUGUGGGAGGAGGUUAAGAGCUAUAGUGAGAUGAACAUGUUGUUCAAUUAUGAGAUCAACAUGUUGAAAAGGAAGGUAGAUACCCUCGACGAAGACUUUCUUAUGAAAGAGGGUCAAAUCACAUCUUGAAAGACUCAAUAGGCAAGCCUUUCGACCAUCUUGCAAGUCCUGAUUCUCUGUUGGAGUGAUGGAUGCUAAAUGGCCAAACUACAAUUCAUAUUUUUUUCAUUAACUAUAGUGUUCAUACUUCUCGUAUACUUACUGGUUUUACUCUUAUUCUUUCCCCCCUUUGAUACUUGUUAAAUAGAAAGUUUUCUUCUUUCUUUUGCAACCUUUUUGAAUCUCCAAUUAUAAACAUUUCUUUUACUUGCUGGUGAUCAAGACCAUGAACUUCUUUUGCUUCAUUUGGUUUUGUAAGUAUUGGCCGUUUUUUGUCUUAUGAAGUAUUUAGUGAGGAUUGAUGCUACCAUUUUCUUCUCGUCUCUGAGGUAGAGGUAUGGUUUGCAUAUAUUCUGCCAGAAUAUACAUCAGGUAUGUUGUUGUUGUUGUAUGGAGAUUUUGUGUAUAAUAAAAAUCGUAUAUUUCAUGUCGGGUCAUCCACACUUUCAUUCCUUGCAGGGGAAAGCUCAUUAAGCUUACUGAGUUAACUUCUCAUUGAUGUAUUCUUUCACUAAGGUUGUCAUUGGGUAGCUACAAAAAGCACUUGUCUAACUGGGCAGUUCAUGUUCAGUUUGUGCAUAUAUUAAGUAACGUCCAAAUUUUUAACCAUAUAACUUUACCUCAAAAUGGUGCAUGGACCAGAGCUGCUCUUAAAUCUGGUCGGUUAACAGACUCUUCCAUUUGAUCUGUAAUCAAAUGCCUGCUUUGUCUCAGUACAUUUGAUUCUAUUAUGCUCAUUCACACAUAGUUUAUGCCAAGUAUGUGAGACACAUACAGAAGCCUCUAGUUUCAUCUUCUUUAUAUAGUUUUAAAAUUCAUUUGAAUUGCUAUGAGGGAGUUCUAUCCUUCCCUCUGAUCAUUCUUUUAGAUACCUUCUUUCAUUUGCCUCUACUAUGUUUUAAAUUUUCCUUCCAGGUUUCACUUGCCACAUUAAAUGUUGUUUGCACAUUUGUAAACUAUGCACUACAUUCAAUUUCAAAAAAUAAACAAAACUAUGCACUACAUUGUAGAACAUUUUGAUAAUUUUUUGGUAUGUCAGUAUGUUGUUUAUGUUUAUGCUUACAUCAAGAAGACCCAGUUAUUAUGAAGGUGGAAUUGGUUUCUGUACCAUUUUCCUUUUGCGUGUAACUUCUGAAGUUAUUUGGGAUCCAUCAUUUAUAUGUCAAUGAGAGUUUUUGAUGUCUUUCCUGAUAAUGUUUAUGCUUACAUCAAGAAGACCCAGUUAUUAUGAAGGUGGAAUUGGUUUCUGUACCAUUUUCCUUUUGCGUGUAACUUCUGAAGUUAUUUGGGAUCCAUCAUUUAUAUGUCAAUGAGAGUUUUUGAUGUCUUUCCUGAUAUUAAUCCGGUCAUUUUUUCUUUAACAUGUCUAAUCUUCUGUAUACCUAGCUUUCUAAUCUUCAAUGAUGCAAACAAUUUCCCUUCAAGAACUUGCACUUACCUAAUUCCUAGUAAGACAGUCUUAGAAUCUUCUAUGCUGAAAGAUGCCUAUUGGUGGUUAGUUUUUUCGCUAGGAGGUUGCAUUGGAAGGUACAAGCAUACAUGAUAUUGGUAAAACCAGUAAGCACCAUAUUUUUUUGAAAAUGAUAGCAUAUAUACUAUGUGGGCAGUAUUUUCUUUACAAAAAUUAGCCUCUCUGUGCUUUACAAGGCCUCCAAAGUUGCAAAAUGGAUUCAGCACGCUCUACAAGAAACUCUUAAUGUUAAAAUAAUAAGUUGUCUGAUCCUAUCUGCAACAAGAAUGACGAGCACUGUGUUUAGUUUGGAACCUGUCCCUAAGCUCAUCUAGACUUAUCCUUAUCUUCAUUGCCUUCUAUUUGCUUGUUAUCUUUGUUCUUGCUAGAACUUGCAUUUGAGAAGCUUGUGUUGUUGUCUCAAGUUAAUGUGUAAGUUUUCUUUCCUUACUGCAGUGCAUCAAAAUUCAACUUGUGGUGCUGCUGAAAAUGUUGGAACUGCUGCAAAACCUAAUGGACCUGUACGUGCUAAUAGACCCAAUGCAUUCAGUAACAAUAGCUCAUCUGUUCUCUCUUGUAUACAAACAGCAGUUGAUAUUCCUUCUCAAACAGCAGGUCCAUCCAUGUUUGAGCUCCUGGACCAUGCUCUUUUUGGGCCUAGGCGUGAAGGUGGUGUUAGAGUGGGUGAAAGUCCCACAUUGUUAGGGAGUGAACUGUCGGUCUUAUUAUAUGGACUUGAGAAAUUCUCCCCUCAUGUGCUAGCUUUUGGGGUUGAGUUAGGUCCAAGAUCCUUUCUUUACACAAUCAACCAUCUUUUCUUACAUUGGAAACGAACAGAGCAACUAUAGAGAAUGUUUUCAACCUAAAGGGGAUCAGGUGGGUAGAACCUGGGAGCAUUAAAAACGUACUAAGCAGCUGGAGUGGGGAUGCAAAUAUAAUAAAAGAGGAGAGAUGGAAAAUUGUUCAACAUGUAUAUGGUGGACAGUUUCGACAGAAAGAAACAAGGGUUGUUUUGAGGAUGUCCAGAAGAUCAACAUGAAUAGUUUAGCACUUCUUUAUUUUUGGUGUAAACACAAGACAUCAUUGAUGUGCUAGACUGUUUAUAGGCAAUAGAAAGACAGAGUAAGAUGUAAUACUUUUUGAAGGGGGACAUCAUUCUUGUUGGCUAGGGAUUUAAACAAAGAUGGGAAGAGCUCUAUAUAAAGGACAGGGAUGACUAAUAUGACAACUCUUUUUUUGGAUGGAACAUAAUUUUAUUAUAAGAUAUGGAAGACAUGAAGAUAGGCCAAAAUGUUCUCAACUAACAGACUUUUAAAAUUAAGAGCCAAAGAACACUAAACAAUGGGUGUAACUCAAAUCUAUUUGAAGAAAAGGAAUACUUACUCUGAGAGAACAAAACACACUCUCCAGUAGUACAGUAAAAAUAGUAGAUCUUAAAAUCCCACAGCUAAGCAAAUUAAUUUAAAUGUUGCUUUAGAUUAGAAAGUCACCUUGUUAUAUUAUGUGUUCAGUAGGUUCUUAUUUAUACUGCUCAUCAUAUUUUCUGCACUAUCUUUUCAACAUUUUCGUUGAAGUCUAUAAUUUACUCUUCUUCACUUUGAACUUGGGCUCUGCAUCUUGGACUUCUAUAUGUUGGUUCACUUGUAGUACUUCUUGUGUAUUCUAUCCUAUAUGGUCUGACUGCAAAGGAAUCAAACUGGCUUGGGGCUACAACAUCAGCUGCCAUGAUAAUCCUUGGUAGUUCAUUUCCUACAUAUAUAUAUCUCCUUUUCUGACUCGUAUUGUGAUAUAAUUUCUUAUUUCUUUUUGGUAAGUACUGAAUUCACUAGCUUUUCAUUCAAUCAGAUUAGAACUUGGGAGUUUGCUUGUAUGGUUUUAAGCUUCUGAAAAGUCGAGUCAUCAUACUUUUUACUGCCGGUACAUCUCGGGUGUUCCUGAUCUGUUUUGGAGUUCAUUACUGGUUUGUUGUUAACCUAUGCUAAUUCAUUUUCUUCACGUAAAGGUUCCAAAAGCCAUAAAUCCAAUGCAAGUUUAGUGUGUUAAUAAAUUAUGUAGUGUGGAAACCUAUUUGAGCAUGAAUUGAGAUCAUAGAGGUCCCCAAGCUCAAGGAGAAGUUGAAAGUUUUCCUAUCGUUCGAAUUUUAGUGAGCGUUGAAACUUAGGUCAAAUUAAAUUGAUCAUUACUCUUUGUAUAUAUUGAAUUAGAGUGCCUACUACAUAUCAAAUGAAAGGUAUUUGAAUUAUCUUUCCAACGAUACCAAUUUCGCAAUAUUCUGACACCCGAGGAAGAAGUUAUGGCUUUGCAAAGUGGAGUGUGUCGUGCAGUAUCAGGUGUACGACACACACCCUAACUUAUGCCAUAAGGUGUGCGACGCACACCCUAACUUAUGCCAUAAGGUGUGCGACGCGCAACCUAAUAUGUGCGAUAAAGAGUGCGCCGCACAACCUAUAUUAUGCAUUAAGGUUUGCGCCACAUAUAUUAUUACUCAAUUGACUUAAACACUCCGUUUUUGGGUUAAAAUGGUCCUUUUCCCACCCUAAUUUAGCCAUAAAUACAAAAUCCAGUUCCCAAAAUACCCCAAAAUACACUUUCUUUCAUCAAAAUUGCUCAAGAACUCUCCUUUGGGUUUCAAAAUAGAAAUCCAAGCAACUCAAGAUUCAACCAUGAGUUUUUGAAACUAAUUGCAUAUUUGGAAUCCCCAAAACGUAGUCUUCAAGAAGCAACUAUCAUCUUCACAUAUAGAGGUACGUGGGGUUAUCUCAAAAAUCUCACGGGCUUAAAAAUUCAUGUUUUAAAAAUGGGGGUUUUGAAAUUAUGAAUAUAAUCCCGUUUUAAAUGUUUUACGAUAUUGAUUUAGUCUUUAGGUCUAUUCCCGAAGUGGUUUGAUAUAUGAUAUAUGUAUAUGCAUGUAUUCCGAAAAGAUGUUAACUUGAGAGCAUGAAUUAUAUGAAAUCCCUCUUUUUAUAUGAUCUCGUUUUAAAUUAUCAAAUGAUGUGAAAUGUUUGAAAUCAUCUUGACAAGCGUGACAUGAAAUUUUUUGAAAAUGGUCAUGGUUUUCACUUGCAACGAGAGGGUUGUUAUGUUGAAAUAUGAUUAAUAUAAUGGUUGCAUGAAAGAAUGAUGUGUUAUUGAUGGCUUGCAAGUCGGGUAUGACAAUACCCUACAGAAUAAGAUAUGUGAUUGAAUUAAAUGGAGUUUGAUGCAGUGAUUUUACAUGAGAUAGGUGAAUGCCCAAAGAAGGCAUUUGAGUGUAAAGUCUCAUCACUGAAAACCGUGUUUGCCGACAUGGGGAUUUGGUACCAGGCUAAGUGAUCUUGUGUACUUGACUUUAUGCCAUUCCCAAAUUUGAACUAUGGUUAGGAGCCCAGGCUAAGUGAUCUUAGGCACUACUAUACUUUAUUGGGUCGAGACACCCUGCUGUGUGAUCUUGUGUAUCUUCACCUCACUUACACUCUGAUCUUAGCGUCAACCAAGAUUUGAUAGUUGGUGUAAAUGUUAUAUGUAGGGUAUUCUACCUAGCUCAGCUGCAUUAAAUUAUUGUUGAAAACUAUUACAUUAUGCCCAUGUGUUUUCAAAUGAUUUGAUAUGGAACUUCUUUAUAAUAGCUCUCACCUAUAUUUGGAAAUAAAUAUUAUAGUUUUUUUUGGUUUCUCUAUGUACUAGUACUUUUGUAUUGACCCACUUCCCUCCCAGGUUUGGAGGCAUAGUUUAGGGGUCCAGAUAGCCGAUAGAUCUCUUCCGACAGAUUUAUAGAAUCAAGUGGUAAGCCUUCUAUAUUUUGGAAGGCCUAAUGUCUGUCAGUUCAUUUAUCAUUUAGUAGUUUUGGGUCUACUGGGGGCCUUGUCCCAGUUUUCAGACAGUAAUUUAUUUCAGUCAUGCAUUAGAGAUUUCGUGGACGGUUGUUCAGAUAUCGAUAUAUGUUGUGGGACAUUAUUUCCCCUUUGUUGAUUUCAUUUGAUUUAUGACCAUGUUUUUCAUAAUAUUGUGUAUCUUCCGCAUAUCUUAUUAUCAUAUGAAUUAUGUGAAUGAUUACCAGAUAGAUAGGGGUGUUUUGGGCCUUCAUGGUUCGGAAUGCUUGUCACGGCCAGGGCCCUGGUUCGGGUCGUGACAACAUAGUAUCAAAGCACGGUUCAUGGUCCCAGGGUAUCUGUGAAAUCGCAUCGGGUAGAGUCUUAUUUAUGGGUGUAUAGCGCGCCACACUUAUAAGCAAGAGGCUACCAGGCAUUUAGGAAUGUCUCUCUUUCUAGUUCAUGCAAUAGAGUCAGAAUGUUUCUCUUUCAUACUCUGAUUCGUUCUAUGGUGUCGCCCAUACGAAAGUAAAAAAAAAGUCAUCCCAAAUUCUUUCCUUACUCUAAUGUCCUCAGAUAUGUCUCAUUAUUAAGGUGAUUCAAGUGCAAAAUUUUAGAAUCUAAAUGGUAUGGUCCUUUCUGAUUGAACCAUAUAAGAGUUAAAAUUUGUGCAAGGACUUGAGAAGAGUCCAUUAGUGCUUCAAUGUGUAUUGAUUCCGUUGUAAGCAUUGAUUCUGAUGGAAUCGUGCUUUUCAUCUUGAGGUAUUAAUUGCAUUUAGUCCCCUUUAAAUUUAUGUUACAAAUGUCUUGCUUAAGGGGGGGGAUGAUGUGUAGUAGAAUGUUUGAACUGUAUUUCCACCCGAAUAGUAGUAUGCGUUAAAGUGUUGUUGUCAUGACCUAUUGGUAGUGAAAUUAGACCAAGAAUUUGGUGAUGUGAAGUCACAAAGUUAGAAGUCAUAGCGAGGGUGACUUUUGUGUAAAUGAAUAUUUUAGUUGAAUAACCAAUGUUCGAGAAUAAUUUACCCCCUUAUGGGGAUAGACUAAUGUGGUAACUAGUAGCAUGUGUAGAUGGUAUGGUAGUCCGUGGAGGAAGUGUUUGACUUCGAUUUUAUUUAUACAGAGUAAGAUGUGUAUUCUUAGUACUUGAUGUGUUAAAAUAGUACAUGCUAAUGAGUUAUGAUAAGGAAGACCAUAAGGUCAAGAUCAAUUAUUUUUUGUUUGGAAGUUCUAGUGUACUAGUGUUUCUUGAUGUCUAUUUCAUGGUAUCCAAGUGAGAAUCAUGCGUAAGGUUGGGUUGUAAAAUCAUGUUUAGCACUAGACAUUAAGUUUUGAACAAUUGAUGUCCAUGAAGGUGGAUGUGAUGAUUUCUUGGUUAGUGAUACUAGUUUUAUGGAAAUAAUCUAAUAGUCUUGAACGAUAUAUGCAAGACCUUAAGUUUAUUUGAUUCGUAGUGAAGUAUGAUGUUGCAUAUAUAAUGUAGAAGUAUUCCCAAGGUGAUCUGAGGUUGCGGUGUUUUCUAAGACUAUUACACGUUUUGUGUGACGAGUGGUAUAGUUGAUUUGCUAGGUGGAGAAAGAUUGGUUAGAUAGUAUAUGGUUUUCUAAAUAGCCAAGUUAAGGAGUUUUGAUUGAUAGUGUUGAGCCUUUUUAUAUGAUCUUGAUUCCCAUAGUAGAGAGAUUUAAGUUUGGAGUCGCGAUAUUGGUAGGCUAUGUCGGAAGUGGUAUGAUUCAUUGAAGGCUUGGUGAUAUCCAUGUUGAGUGCUAGAUUCUAAGUUUGAGUUUUUAAAGGUUGAACUAAUAGAAAUAAGAGUUAAAGCACUAGAGGGUGUGCACUUCGACUCUAGGGAUACCCAUGAAGACCCGAAGUUAGUAAGUAUGAAAGUAUUAUAUGAUGACUACUGGGUCUAUAGAAUGAUAAAGUGUAUCUCAGAAGGUAGUAGUAACAGUGAGUUUUCCACUUUCAGGUUUAGUCAUUCGGGUUAAGUGCCAUGAUAUGUGUGUAUAGUAGUUUUCCAAACCCCAGAGUGCAGUGAGUGUACUUCAGUUUAAAGUCUAGUAAGGGAUCUCCCAAACUUAAUAUGAUGGCUUGAAGCUAAAGGGGAGAUGAUAGAGCGAAUAACCAAGUCAGGCUUUCAGAUUCUAGUAGUGAUGUCAGUAUGACAUAGAACAUCAGAAGGGAAGAGUGAGGCUCAACCCAUUUCGGUCUUAGUAUUUUUUAGUUAUCCUAAUACCUACUCAUACCUCACGUUUCAGUUCCAUGAUCAUGGUUUUGCAUUAACAGACAUGCUUCUUUACACCCGAAGAAAAGUUACUUAGGCCAUCAGUAGCUGUUGAACCCAAUCCAUAAGGUAAAGAAGCUUAUCAUUUUGUCCAUUCUCAUCUAACGCUGUGAUAGGUCAUCUAUUUCCUAUCUCUCUUUAUUGUCGUUUCAAGCUUUCUAUUUAUUAGAUGAAGAAAAUGGUUUCAUGUUACUAUGUUGUUUGGCUUCAAAAUUCUUGCCUUGUCCUUCAAAUUAAUUUAGGGAGUUGCGCAUGGAUACAAGAUUUCAACAUUGAUUGGAAAAUUAACUAAAUAUGAUUGAAAAGUAGCUAUAUUCUGAUUUCAUCUGUUCUUCCUUGCAUGGAUAUUAGUUGAGAAGCCUCCUAUACCUCCUCUGGCUGGUCCUGCUCUUGGUACUAUUCCAUCCAUGUCACUGUAGGUAAGGUUGUGGAGGUUUGGGGGAGGGAUAAAUGACUUUUGAAGGUAGAGACAUUAUGAUAACUAUUUUCCCCACAUCUUUAGCAAUUCCAGCCUAUGCUUCCAGCCCACAGGCACAACCUUAUGGUUCCGGGUCAUCUCAACAAUUUCUACCACUUGGACAUGCAAAUGUUGCUAUGUGUCAACUUUCUCAAAUCUAAUUUCCUCAACCUAUGCAACAGGUUACUGGUAGACCUGUAGUAGGAAUGCAUAGUAUGCCUCAGGGACCACCUAUUCCCCAUGAUUUUCAGCAAAAUCUUUCAAUGUCAAAUAACCACAUGCCUGGUUCUAGUGGCCCAAAUUUACCUCUUUCUUCUUCAUAUAAUGUAAGGCCUUGGAAAGAUCUUUUGUGGUUGUUGUCAAUCAGUUUUCGAUGUUCCAUUCAUAUAUUAAUGAAAUACAUUUUGUUAUAGUCUUUAACAGCAGGUAAAUGCAGAUUCUUCUGGCUCCUAGUAUCAUAUAUAGAUAAAUGAUCAUAGGUUUCCAUCAGGGGUACAACCCUAGAUGCCAAUAAGUAAUCAUAAUGUGAAUUCUAUGACAACUAUGCAGAAGACUGGAGAAUUAGCAGCUCCCUUGGUUGUUCCGGUGAGAAUUCAAUGUGUUUUAUUGUACCUGUUUUGCAUAAAUAUUGUCAACAAGUAACAUGCUUAAGUUAAUGGGUUAGUGGGUGUGUGUUGAUUGAGAGAGUCAACAUUUGAAUUGUAUGACAGUUUUUUGUAAGCAAAUUAAGAUUCCAGUGAACAAAAAAGGUGUAAAACUGCGGUAUACAAGAAAAGGAGCUCUGCAAAAAUAUCAUUUUCAUUUAGAUCCAAUCUUUUUACCACUUUGUGUUCUCCAGACAGAAAAAAGAGCAUGCCGAUUUGGCUUUCUGGAAUUCUUGCUUUUGGAUUAUAUUCACAUAGGUUACUCAUAUAAAUAGGUUAAUGUCUGCAUCAUAAACACUUAAUGUCUUGUCUAUGAACAAGUGGUGGAUAUGUUGGCCCCCAUCACUGCCAAGAAAUCCCUCAAGUAUCCACGUCUAGUGCUUUGUACAUCAUUCUGUUUCCAUUGGUACUGGAGAUAAUAGGCCCUAUGUUUCAGUCCUCUUUGUCAAAGUUAUCAUAUGGGCUGCCGUUCACCGCUGCCAAAUUCUACCUGACUGUUGAUCAGCAGAACUUGAUACACCUCUACCAAUAACUUCAUUUUGACCUCAUUUCUCUAUUAUCAUACAUAUUUUAUAUGUGGCUAAAUGCUAGUAGGUAUUGCUAUUUUCAGCAUAUUUUGAUGAUCAAUAGGACAAUUAUGGUUGCUAAUGUUGUCAUAUUUCCUAUGGCUUUAUUACUCCAACUAAUUAAUAACAUUCUUACAAUUCUUGAAUUGAUUUUCAGAUGCUAUUAUAAUAGAAGGACAAGAAUCUCAACCUGGGAGAAACCUCGAGAACUGAUGACAGAAAUGGAGGUGAGGUCUCGUGUCAUCGAGAUUUUUAUGGGUAGUUUUAUCCAGUUUCUUGUGCUUAUCAAUGAAAAAAGAAGUACACAAUUCUUUUUCUAUGAAGCUUUGUAGAACCACUUUUUCUUUCCUAAGUAUAUGUGAUUUCUGUUGAAAGUUUGUUUAGCGAGCAAAUUUCCUCAAUCUUACUAUACUAUGUAGGUUUUAUUUGGGAUUUGCAUUGACCUUUUAUUUCCAAUAUAGUUCUAAAAGAUUUUAUAUUUAACACUACUGUUCUAAAAAUGUGUUUAAGCAUACACGACAGGAUUAUAUUUGGUCUAUUUUAAACAAUUUUAUUUGCUUUCUGAUUAAUGUAAUGUUAUUGUAACUCUAUGGUGAUAUGGAGAGAGGAAACUUGAUAUAAUAUUAUGGUUCACAUUUCUUAUUCUGGUUUACAGAAUAAUAUUUUGGCUGGUUGCACACUUGCACCCAAGAGUGUGACCUAGUGGUCAAUGAAGUAGAUUGAGAACCAUGAGGCCUCAGGUUUAAUUUCCAACUGAGAUAAAAACACUAGGUGAUUUCUUACCGUCUGUCCAAGCCUUGAUGGAUAGAGUUACCCUGUAUCUGUGCUGGUAGGAGGUAGUAGUACCUGGUGUAAAUAGUCAAGGUGCAAGCUAGCCCAAACGCGACGGUUAUCAAAGAAAGUUUUGCUGGUUGUGAGGGACAAGUAUUAAGGGACCAACAACUGGAGCUGUAAGGAAGUUUGAACAUUUUUAUUCUUUUCUUUUUGAGAUAAACAGUUUUUUUUUCGGAGAUAUUACUUUGCAUUCGUCAGCGUUAAGGUUAUGCUAGCAGUCCAAAAGAAAUGAAAAAUAAUGAAAAUAAUGCGAGGAUUCGAAGAGAUCUACUACCUGUUAUGCAUCCUGUACAAAUUGGCCCUUAAACAAAAAACAAAAAUCUACAAUGCUAUUCCAUUUAACUUUCUGAAUGGAAUUAUAUUUAUCUUCAAAAUACCUUUAACUUUUCUCUCUCCAUACAGUCCAUCAAAUACAAGGAAAUAUUUUUCUCCUCCAUUUCUUCUAACUCUUGCUAAUCCCUUCUAAUCCAACAGCUCAAUAGAUUGUUGUUGUUUCCUUUGAUAGUCUACUUUACUUCAACUCAAUAGAUCUGGUAUGUGUUCUGGCAUGGUCCACUUUACUUCUAUUAAACUAAAGGUGUCAAAUGGGCGGGCUUGGCUGGAUUUGGGCGGAUCAAAGAGGUCUGAGUUAAUAAAUGGGCGGGUUAUUAACCCUCCUUAAAGCUACUUGGACUGAAAUGGGUUGGGUUGAAAUGCUCUAAAAUGCGGGUCAUAACCCAACCCACCCAAUUUGAACUCAGAUUUAAUUGCUUUAUUUGUUAUUUUAAAAACUUUUAGUACUUGAAAAAUUAUUAUCUUUUUUUUUUUUAACUUUGUAACUUUGUAUUAUAUCACAUAGUACAUGGGUUUUACUGAAACCUUUAUAUACAAGAGUACUCCUAAAUCGACUGUUCUAUAUCUAAAUUUAGUCUAGAACAUCAAUUAUCGAGGCAGUAUCAUUAGAGUAUAGUUGAUUACACCAAAAACAUACAAGAAAAAUCCAGUUGAGUUUAACCUUUUGCACACUAUUCUCUAUGCUCUCAAAUCAUCUAGAAUUCCUUUCUUUCCAUAUAUCCCACCAUAUAGCACCAGGGAUAAUUCUUGAUCUACCUCUGUCCUUCGCAUGUACACCUGCUUCUCCCAGCACAUUAAAGUCUCGAAUACUUUCCUAGGCAGUAUCCUGGAAAUGCCUUUUAAUCUUAAGAUGAUUCUCCAAAGUUGUUGGGUGUACUUACAAUGUAGAAAUACAUGGUUAACCAUCUCUAAAGUUUCUCCACAGAGGAAACAUCUGGAGCACAAGGUUUUCCCUUUCUUCAUGACAUUAUCUUGUGUAAGAACUACUUCCUUGGUCAGUAACUAGACAAAGACAAAGCACGACACUGUGUGAGGUAUUAUACUUUUCCAUAUUUUCUUCCAUGGCCAUCUUGGAUCUGGGUGAUUUAUUUGGUUCAUCAUCUUGUAGGCUUUGUUGAAACUGAACAUUCCUUUUCAUUUCCUAUCCACCAUUGUACGUCCUUCACUGUCUGCAGUCUAUUGAAUAAGUGGACGGUAUUAAAAAAUUCAACUAUUCUCAUUACCUCCCAGUCAUUAAGUUGCCUUCUGAAAUUGAAGUUCCGCCAAUGUGGUUUCGAUAAUUUUGCUAUAGUCCUCUAUUGAAACAAUACCAAGUUGUAGAUAUCUGGAAACAUCACUUCCAUAUUCCCAUCCUCAUGUCAAUUAUCCAUCCAGAACCUAGUCUUGUUUCCAUCCAUCACUUUAACCUUUGAGUUGCUUGUAACUUCAUUCCACUAGUGUCUAAUAGAUCUCUAGAGGCUAACCCCAUAUAGUGUGGUCACUUCUUUAGACAUCCAUCUAUCUUCUUCAGAAUAUUUAUCCCCAAUCACAUUCCUCCAUAGAAGCUGGUUAUUGUUUGCAUAUUUCCACAACCAUUUCAUCACAAGAGCCUUUCCACAACCAUUUCAUCACGAGAGCCUUACUUUGAAUUUUUAAGUUCUUUAUCCCCAAUCCUCUAGUCUUCUUGUAAAUUGUCCACCACAGAGAGCACUACCAUUUUUUCUCGCAUAUCUUUGUUCCUUAUUCUAUCUAAACUAGUAUGCCCACACACCAAUCUCAGCAUCCUCAUUUCUGCUAUGUUUAUCUUUCGAACAUGCGAGCUCUUGACCAGCCAAACACUUUGCCCCAUGCAAGUUAGCUAGUAUAACAACCACUUUAUAAAUUUACCUUUAAGUUUAUUUUAACAAAAUUCUUAUACAUGGCAUGCUAGUUACUACCUCUUUUGCAAGAGCUAAUUGGGACAAAAAACACAUGUUCAGAAAUUGAUUCAUAAAAAAAAAAGCAUAACUGUAGUUUAUGAGUUUCAAACGUGUCCAAAUGGAAAAAAAAUUAUGGGGGGGCUAUGUUGAGUAUGGAACUUAGAACCUUAGAGCAGGAUUUGAACACCCUUACUGUCACACUCAGUCUUGUUUUUUUAGGCAAGGGUGUUCAUUAAAAAAUACUCAGAAACGACAGAAUUUGACCUAUAUAUAUAUAUACAAAAUGCGAUUAUCAGGUGAAUGUUGUUCAGUUGAUCACCCUUGGAUAGCUGUAGCUUGGCCGCAGCUUGGCAAUGCUUCCACCCUUCUUGUAGUUAUAUUCUACACAGUACAUUCUAGUCCUUUUCCAUGUGGGACAUUAUAUCAUUCAUAUUCUAACACUUCCAUCUAGUAUUGUACUGCUAGAAGUUACUAAUUUCUACUUCCAGGGUACUGUUUAUGUUCUGUUUUUUAAUUGACCUGCUUUCAUGCUAUUUUCAUUGGGACAGAGGGCAAACGUAUCAACUGACUUGAGAGAAUUUAUAAGUCCUAAGGGAAGAAAGUGUGUAACUUAUAUAUUCUCGUGGCCUCUUUCCAAUUGUUCUUCUACAGUGGGUACUUUUAUGUGUUACUUGUGCAUAAUGCUGAUUGCUUUGUUUGUUUUCUGUAGGUAUUACUACAAAAAGGUUACUAGAACGUCCAAAUGGAGAAUGCUGAUGAAGUCAAGGUGAUGUUAGAUUUAAAUCCAAUAUGGGUUUAUUCCGUGUUUUAAAUAGCAUGAUAAGAAGGGAUUGUUUUGUGCUUUAAAUAGCAUGAUAAGAAGGGACAAUGUUCUGUUUUCUUGGAUGCUCUAGUUCUCAUAAAAUCUUUAUGCAUUCACAGUUGCUAGCAUGAUAAGAAACGGAAAUAUUCUAUUUUCUUGGAUACUCUAUUCUCAUAAAGUUCAAUUAUUUAUAAAUUCACAGUUGGCUCUUGAAAAGGACACCAUUUUACACGCUUCUGAUUUUGGAUCCAUUUCUAUUGUUAAAACAUCAUCCCCGGGUGCAGAUGGUUCAUUAGUCUCGGCACACGGUGAUAAAUCAAUCCCAACUGUUGUGUUACCAGCUGCUAACUUACCAACUAUUAUGGCUUCAGAAUCAUCAAGUUUAUCUGGUAAGGUUUCUUGUCCAAUGAUUGAAACAGUCGAAAUGAAGAAUUCUUCAGAACCUGCUUCACCAGCUGUUGCUAAUUCAGAGAAAAUUGGAAUAGUAGUAACCUUGGAAAAUUUUGUCGCGUCACCGAUGUAUGUUUUCAAAUUUAUAUGUUAUAAAUUUGCCUUUGGUUUGUGUUGCUUCUUAUUUGGAAUUUACUUUUUCUGUAGUUCUGAGACUACUACAACUCAAGAUGCAAUAGUGUAUGGUGAUGGAUUUUGUUUGUAGAAUAGAGAGGUACUUUGUCCUUCUGAAAUACUUAUGUGAUUAGUUAAUUACUACUGGUUUCUGGUUAAAACACCAAGAAAGAUUUUUGUAGCUGUUAUGCUGGAUGUUGAUCCAACAAUUUUGUAGUGUAGUGUUAGUCAACUGCUAACAGGUGAAGAAUAUGCUCCAAAUUCCAAUGAGGUUUGCUUUUGUCCUUUGAGCUUGAUGUUUUGCCUAAAAUGCAGAAUGUCAAGAAAGAUGCUACAAUAACUGAAAUCGGAGGUGCUACUCCAUCAGAUGAGAAAACAGUUAAGCUGGGACCAUUUGUAAAUGAGAGCAAAGCGGUAUAGUUGACUAUUGCUUUUGUUCCCGUUUUAUGUAUGUUCUUAAAAUUUCUCUUAUUUUUAUUUUAAGAAUUUGAUUUUAUUUAGGAGGCAAAGAGUGCAUUCAACUCUUUUGGAAUCUGCAAAUAUUGGGUCUGAUUGCACGUGGGAUCAGGUUUAUUACUUGACUGUUUUGUGCAUACCAAACAAUUGAGGGAGAUCAUUUGACAUGAAUUGUAUUUGUCAGGCCAUGAGAGCAGUAGUUAAUGACCAGAGAUAUGGUGCUCUAAAAUCCCUUUGUGAGCGAAAGCAAACUUUUAAUGAGGUAUCUCUCCAAGUCGGCAUUGGAAUGGGUUAAUUACUGCUUCAAUGUUUCAGCAUACCAUAUUGCAAAAAGAUAGAUUGUGUUUGAUAUCUAAUUUUUUCAUGUUUGGUUGACUUAAAUAUUUUGGAAAAUGUUUUCCAAAUCAACUUAUUUUCCUUAAAGUUAAGGAAAAUGAAUUCCCUUCAUAAAGUAGGAAAAACAUUUUCCAAAACUCUCUUUCAAUCUCACUCUUAAGUUAAAAUGUUUAUACAACUCUCAAAUGUAUUUACUAAAAAAUAUUUUUUUAUUCACCAACCAAACACUAGAAAACAUUUUCUGAAAAAUGUUUUCCUUUCAUCAACCAAACAUAAGAAAACAAGUAAGAAACUAACUUGUUUUCUUGGAAAAAAUUUUCCUUCAUACCAAACACACCCAAGGUCUAUAGUGAUAAUUUUGAAGUUGUGUGUCUGUUCCAGUAUCUGAGCCAAAAGAAAAAACUGGAAGCUGAAGAGAGGCUUGUUAAACAAAAAAAAAACUCAGGAAGAUUUCAGGAUAAUGUUAGAUGUAAGUGAAAUUUUCUUUUGUGGGUGUCUUCCAUUUGAUAUAUCAUGAUAUUCACAUUACCAGUUUCAAAAAUAAAAAGAUAUUAUCAUAAUAUUCAUGAUGUGUUAGAGAUUGGUAUUUGACUUGUUCAAAAGAAUAAGUGGUAUUUUUCACAACAAUGUCCGUUGUUCUCAAUAUUACAGGAUUACAAGUAGUUGUCACCAUCGUCAAGAUGGAGGUUUGUCUUUCACUUGUAAUGUUAAGUUGUCUGCUGCUUGUUUUCUAUUCUUGGUCAUUAUUUGUAUGUGUUUUGGUACCUUGAAGUUGAUCCAUUACUUGUGUAAGUUCCAUUUGAUCCACUAACUAUUUGCUAUUGAUUAUUCAGUAAGGCAAUCUCCAUAUUCAAACAUGAUGAACGUUUUAAAGCUGUUGAGUGAGCUAAAGACCAUGAGGACCUUUUUGAAGAUUAUGUGGAGGAACUUGAGAAAAAGGUGAAGAUCCUUUUGCAGAACUUUCUUGUAAGCUUCUAUAUGUUAAAAACUAAGUGCGCGGACUGUAGUUUUCUUAUAUGGUCUUUGGCUUCUCACAAAUUAAGUUAGCCUUUCAUUUGAGAUAGAAACAAGGUCACUAGGUUAACUGAUGCUACAAAUGUCUAGUCUUGGUGUGCGAUUAAUGUAUAAGAAUCCCACACUAGUAAGGUGUAUGUGCUGAAGUUUCCUUAUAUGAUCUUGGACAAUCUUCACCACCUGACCUAGUUUUCAAAGUUGAGUUAGGUGCUGGUCCACUUAAUUAACAACAGUCAUUCUGUUCCUUUCCUUUGCAAGAUGUCUUUUAGUUUGUUCCCUUUUUUUGUUUUGCUUAAAGAGUAGAAAGAAGAAAUGUUGUAGAUAUUCAACAUAAAAUCUUGUGUUCUUUGAAUACAUUUUUAAUGGCUUCUCAAGGGUACAGCAUUUAAAUUUGUUCACCAUUGAAUUCUAAUUUAAACAGACUUCCAUGUAUUGUAUGUAAUUUUUCUUGAAACUUGAAACUAUUAUAUGCUUCUUCCUCUCCCCCCUUCGUUGUAAAAUCGAAAAAGUUUUUCAAUACUUUCAUGCAAGUGUAGUUAAAGUCUCUUUGUAAAUAUUGUGUUCUUUAUAGAGAAAUUUUAUUUUUUUUACUUUGUACUGGAUUUUAUUAAGAGCAUGCGAAGGCAUUGGAAUUAGCAUCAGUUCCUAGAUUAUGUUUUUCUAUUUCCAGGAGAUAGAACUUCCAUAGUUCCAUUUUUGCUGACUACUUUUGUUCAGGCCAGUAGCCAGUGGCAGAAAGUUCAGGACCGCUUAGAAACUGAUAAAAGAUGCUCCCGCUUUGAGAAAAUCGAUCGCUUGGAGAUUUUCCAGGUACUACUCAUUUUUCUAAUACAUCAUAACUAACUUUUUCCAAACAUCUCAUUUGUACGCCUCAGUUUUAAAGUUAUGUUGCAACCUUUUCUAUUUUAGGAAUACAUACGUGAUUUAGAGAGCGAAGAGAAGGAGCAAAGGAAACUGCAGAUGGUAUAUUGCUUAUUAGACUUGAGGGUUAAAAUUAAAUUUGGGUUUGGAGACUUUGAUUUAUCUCUUUCUCACUGGGCAUACAUCGUUGAUUCAAAUAGGAAGAAUUUAGGAAAGCUGAACAUAAAAAUUGUGAUGAGUUCAGAAAACUAAUGGAAGAGCACGUUGCUGCGGGAAUACUUAAUGCAAAAACUAACUGGCGGGAUUAUUGCAUCAAAGUUAGUUUUUCUUUCUUGUGUUCAGUGAGUGAUUACCUUCAUGAUUUCCCUUUUCAUCUUUUUGAAUUUUUCAUCCAAUAAUUUCCUUCUUUAUUUUGUGCUUGCAGAUUAAAGAUUUUGCUGCAUAUCUAGCUGUCUCAUCAAAUACUUCAGGAUCAACAGCAAAAGACUUAUUUACAGAUUUUAUGGAUGAUCUGGAGAAAUAGGUGAAAUAGGUUGCUAAUAGGAGUAUUGAAUUGUGUCAACUACAUUUGUUACACUAAGCCUUAUUUAUAGACUUUAAACUACAAUCCCUUUUCAUUAGCUUUUACUUAAUGAAGGUAUGAAUCUGAAUGGUUAAGAUAUCAGCCCACAAAGUCUAAAAAUCAUUUAGAUCCUCACUAAAAAUUUUAAUUCAUUAAGUAAUAAAGGAAGUUAGUGCAUUACUAUGUGGGAAUAUACUGGGUUUUUUGUUGUUGUUGUUGUUGUGCAUUAAAGAAUAGAACAUACUUGGUAGGAUAAAAUCAUGAGAUUGAGAUUUGAGAGUUACCCCUCUUCUUGCUUUUUUUUUUUUUUAAAUAACACAUAUUUUGUUGAGAUAAGAACAAUGACCUGUUGUUCCUAUUAAACAUCUGUGUUGUUUCUCUUUAUGCCAAUUAGUUUUCUCUUUUUUUUACUAGAUAGUAGGUAUUUAGGCUGAUAGUAUGUCAAUUAUUAGUAUGUUCCAACACUGGGCGUUUAAUAGCUCUAGCAAUUAGUUUUUAAAUUUCUGACAUUUUUGAUUGUUAUAGUUUUUUAAUUUCUGGCAUUUGUGAUUGUUUCACGGUUCUGAUGAAGUAUGCUGCUAAAUCUCUAGUUUCAAUUUGUCUAGCCUCUUUGGCUAUAAAAUUAAAUGCUCUGGAUUUUUACUUUUUUAUUCAUAAUCUCAUGAUUCUCAUUAUGUCGUAACAUUGAAUGUGAAUUUCUUUGUUGUUAUUAUUUUACAGAAUAAUGGGUGGUGAGGGCUUGCUGCUUGAAAUAUUUAACAAAUUUGUUAAUGAACUAAAAGAGAAGAAGUGCAAGCGUCAAGAGGAUAAGGUACUUGAAUUACUACAAACCCUUAUUCUUCUGCUACUUUCAGGUGGGGUAGUAGAUGUGUGGAUGUGAUUGGGUGUUGAUAUUGUUUUGCAGAAAUUUUGACUUACUGAGAUUCGCCACUUAAUUUUGAAAAGGAAUUAAGAAACCUUUAGAGAGCUACUGCAAAUGAUUCAAAAUAGAAAAAUCAUUUUAAGUUAGAGAUUCUAGAUAAGAGGUUCCUAUUAACGUUUUAGGAAGGGAUUAGGCACCUAAAAUGUCCUCUAACUUGCGGUUAUCCAGACUAUUUGAAAAUCGUCUUUUGAUCAACUUUGAAAAAGUUUAUUUUUUGAAAAGAAAAGCGAUUUUAGGAAUAUUUUGGUGUUUAUGCAAAACCAGUUUUUUAGCGACUUGACUAAGGAUUUUACUAGGUUCGCAAAACACACGUAAAACAAGUAAGCAAAUAAGACAAAAGGAAAGGGGAGAAGUAGUGAUUUAGGAUUUUAAGCCCAAACCAUCGACCCUGUCCUAAUCUAGUUAGGUUUUUGACCCAUCUUUCACCUGUCUUAAUUUUAUGUUUUAGAGCCCUUUUUGGCUCGAGUCUCGCUCCACCUAUUUUAAAUUUACAACUUUGGCUUCGAUGCCCAAAUGAAUAAAUAAAUAAGUCACUAAAUAAAUAAAAAUAUAAAUAAGUAAAUAAAUAAAUAAUGGAAACAAUGGAUAAAUAAAUCAAUAAAGAAGAAAUAACUAGAUUUUCAAGUCCCGUUUGCCGCUUCAAAGAUGGAACUUUAACCCAUUCUUCUUUCAAUUCCUCGUAUCCAUACGCCAUGCGAUGGAUUCUUGGAUUUUCUUUUUGGCUUAACUCGGAAGGAUAGGCCUCAUUGGCCCAUUUAUGAAAUGCAAAGAGAGAAGGGGCCCAUUUGAAUUCCAAGGGGGGUGCAUGCAAAGAAAGGAAUGAAGAAAUUAACAUACGUCCAAGAUUUUAACAAUUAAUAAGCUAUAGCAUUCAUGCUUCAUUCAAAUACACUCAUACACAGGUAAAAAUGCCACAGGAGCAAAAGUCUAUAAUGUUUGAAGAAACUAUUCAUAAUUAAUUAAAGAAAUUUCAACUACAGGAGGAAAUACAGCUUCAACAAGAAAUUCUUAUGGUCUUUAGCAAAAUAAAGAAAAUAAUUUAUCACUUUAAUGCCACAAAAGGACCCAAUUAAGCAUGUCACAAAAAAGAGUUACAACUCCUGGAUCAUACUACAUAAACAAUGGAUCACAAGCAACGUUCAAAUUCCAGAAUGCCAAACAUACAAAAUUAAAGACUUAAUCACUUUAGGCAAGGAAUACGAUAGCUAAAACUUCAAGAAAAGCAAGGCUAAAAUCUUAACGCCUUCGUUACCACUGGGUUAACAAACAAAUGAGAUUAAAACACUACAUAAACCCAAUUUUAGGUAAUUUAAUCAUGAGACAAGAUGCCACAACUUAUAUACGAACAAGAAAAGCAAGAAAGGAAAGAAACAUUAGCCCGUCAAACUUUAAUUUGUUCUCAUGAGUCAAUACAACAAAUUGAAUUAGCCAUGAAGAAAACAUAAUUCAUCCCUAUGGUCCACUCUCAUAUUUUAAAAUAAACUUUAGAAUCAAAUAAGACUAUUGUACAUCGAGAGUGGCAAGUCAGAAGAAAAUUACAUUCGAGUUCUUAUUUAUAAAAAUUUCCUGCGUUUGAGCAAAAAAGAUAUGCGAACAGGCUUCCUAAUAUCUAUUCUUUGAACAUUUUUUUGCAUUUCAAAAAUACGUAAAGAUUUUAUUCUCCUACUCUAUGAACUACAAAGCAACAUUGAAUAUGAGACCAACAAAAUAGUUUCUAAUGUCGAAGAAUUAAAGCUAACUAGUAACAUUCAGACAGAAUAAAAUGAGAGAGAUCAAGCAUGAUCGACAACCAAUCGAACACGGGAAAGAAUGAGUUUUUUAGUAGAACAAUAUAUCAAACACAAAAAUCCUAUGCCUUCCAUGCCUCUACAACAGUCAUUCCCAGAAAACAGAAGUGGAACCACGAAGAAGAAAAUGAUAACCACAACAAAAUUAAAAAGAAAGGUGUAUUUACCUCUUUCGAGGUAGCAAAAUGGGAUAACGAGCUGACGAUAGGAUUUCGACCACCGAAAAACUCACAACUGCUUCGACAGUUCAAACGCGCCUCCUAGGAAUGUAUGUUUCUUAGGCGUAAAGAUAAUAUUUUAUCCUUCUGAGAGCCCCCCUUUCUAACCCUUUUUUUUGUGUAUUUCUGAAUUUUUGAAGAUUUUCUCAAACCCUAAAUUCUCAACCCAAAAAUUUUGAACCCCCUUUGCCUCUAAAAUUUUGAACUCCAAAGAGAAAUAAGAGGAGAACCCAUAAAAGAAACGAGAGGCCAGUGAAAAAAAUUCCAAAAUCCCCCCAAAAAAUCCCCUUUUCUUGCUCUAAAGAGAGCUACUUAUAGAAGGGGAUUAAGGGUUCAUUUUUGAAAUUCAAAAGAUCCAGACCCUACCGAAUCGUACCUCUAUUUUGAUUUUCUUGAAUGGAAUUCCAAAAAGUGGCCAAUAGAAAUUGGUGGAAAGGGAUUAAUCUUCACAAGCCAAUGAAAAUACUCCACCUAUGUACGAAUUCAUAAACCUCUAUCCGAGAAUUUUGGGAUUUGAACGUUGGAUGAGACACCAAAGUGUGUUUCUAGAAGAUUCUCGGCAUCUUCUCAUUUAGAUUCGCGUGGAACGUGCGUGAUCAUAAAGAGGAAAAAGAAAAUAGGUUGAAUUUGGGUGCUGCGUCCUAUUUGAAGUCAUCUGCACCUGUGGUUUUGAUUUGAGAUUUUCAUCCUCUCAGAUGCUCUCGACAAUACUUCAAGCAAAAAGUUUUAGUUUUAAACAUAAUUCACGAAAGAGGUAUGCAGUCUUUUACCAUAUCUCCACGUGAGUUGUGGCCUGAAAAGAUGAGUCAUCUCUUCAUGUACCUGUUUGGAAUGAAAUAACCGGCAAUACCAAACACAACAACCCUCUUGGUUGUUGUAUAAUUAUGAAAUUUGUCGGUUGAAUAUGUCUUCAAAGUGGGUGGCCCUUUUGGACACCGGUGAUACUUUAUGCAGAACGGUCUCUAUAACCGUGUAAUCUUGUGCUGGUGUGGAAACCCUUUGGGUACCUAUAUCAGUUCCUAGAUUAUGUUUUUCUAUUUCCAGGAGAUAGAACUUCCAUAGUUCCAUUUUUGCUAACUUGUUUUGUUCAGGCCAGUAGACAGUGGCGGAAAGUUCAGGACCGCUUGGAAACUGAAGAAAGAUGCUCCCGCCUCGAGAAAAUCGACCGCUUGGAGAUUUUCCAGGUACUACUCAUUUUUCUAAUACAUCAUAAAUAACUUUUUCCAAACAUCUCAUUUGUACGCCUCAGUUUUAAAGUUAUGUUGCAACCUUUUCUAUUUUAGGAAUACAUACGUGAUUUAGAGAGCGAAGAGAAGGAGCAAAGGAAACUGCAGAUGGUAUAUUGCUUAUUAGACUCGAGGGUUAAAAUUAAAUUUAUGUUUGGAGCCUUUGAUUUAUCUCUUUCUCACUGGGCAUACACCGUUGAUUCAAAUAGGAAGAAUUUAGGAAAGCUGAACGUAAAAAUCGUGAUGAGUUCAGAAAACUAAUGGAAGAGCACGUUGCUGCGGGAAUACUUAAUGCAAAAACUAACUGGCGUGAUUAUUGUAUCAAAGUUAGUUUUUCUUUCUUGUGUUCAGUGAGUGAUUACCUUCAUGAUUUCCCUUUUCAUCUUUUUGAAUUUUUCAUCCAAUAAUUUCCUUCUUUAUUUUGUGCUUGCAGAUUAAAGAUUUUGCUGCAUAUCUAGCUGUCUCAUCAAAUACUUCAGGAUCAACAGCAAAAGACUUAUUUACAGAUUUUAUGGAUGAUCUGGAGAAAUAGGUGAAAUAGGUUGCUAAUAGGAGUAUUGAAUUGUGUCAACUACAUUUGUUACAAUAAGCCAUAUUUAUAGAAUUUAAACUACAAGCCCUUUUCAUUAGCUUUUACUUAAUGAAGGUAUGAAUCUGAAUGGUUAAGAUAUCAGCCCAUUAAGUGCUUUUUAAAAAAAAAAGAUUCAACCUGUUAAUAUAUCUUAAUGAAUCAGAUGUUAAACAAAGUCUGAAAAUCAUUUAGAUCCUCACUAAAAAUUUUAAUUCAUUAAGUAAUAAAGGAAGUUAGUGCAUUACUAUGUGGGAAUAUACUGGGUUUUUUGUUGUUGUUGUUGUUGUGCAUUAAAGAAUAGAACAUACUUGGUAGGAUAAAAUCAUGAGAUUGAGAUUUGAGAGUUACCCCUCUUCUUGCUUUUUUUUUAAAUAACACAUAUUUUGUUGAGAUAAAGAACAAUGACCGGUUGUUCCUAUUAAACAUCUGUGUUGUUUCUCUUUAUGCCAAUUAGUUUCCUCUUUUUUUUUACUAGAUAGAAGGUAUUUAGGCUGAUAGGAAUGGUAUUUUCGUAAGGUUUUAAGUUAGGGGUUCCAUACUUUUAAUGUAGUAUAGAUUUAGGUGAUUCUUUCAAUCUAGCCAAGUUGUAUUAAAUGCUACUUCACGGAUAAUUGUAAUUGACUUCUCCUCCGUUGAAUGCUGUUAAUGGUUAUAUUACCGUAAUUGUUAUAGUUUAUCGAGCAGAACAACUCUGAGAAGUGAUCAUCAAACAUCCAUGUUUUCACGUAGUUUCUUUGACUUUCGAGGACUCCUUUAAAGUAUCACACAACCACACCAUUGUGUUUCAUCUAAGACUGUAUUUGUUUUUAUUAAUAUUCAGACAUUUGAAUCAUUUUGAAUGCACUUCUGAAUGGUUAAGAUAUUGUCUCUAGAUCUUAAAACUAAAUGAUUAAGGUUGGGUGUUUCUCAAUAUCAGAAUGUGCAAAAUUUAUUUAUUUCUAAAUAUAAUAUAAUUAUAUAUUAUAAAUUUUUUUAAUUUAAUGCAAUUACAUUAUUAUUUGAUUAAAAAAAUAAAUAUUUAUAUUUGCUAGUGAUAGUGGAGAUGGUUUGUAAUGGUGGUGGUGGUUGUAAUAAAUUAAUUGAUGUUGGUGCUUAGCAAUAUUGGUGAUGAUAGUUGUGAUAGUAGAGAUAGUUGGCAAUGUAGUAACUGUCAUGAUAUUGGCGAUUGGUAAUGGUGGUGGUGGUUGUGAUGUGAAGUUGGUUAAUGUUAGUAGUUGGAGGUGUUGAUUGUGGUGAUGGAAAACUGUUUACAUGAUGGUUGAAGAUAUGUUGGUGGUCGUUGGAGACGCUAUUAGAUGUGAUAGUGGAAUGGUUGUUAGUACAGAUACUGUAGCGAGUGUAGUGGAUUUUAGUGGUAGAGGUGGUGACACCGAUGACAGUGGUGGUGGUUGAAGAAUGUUUGGAAGUUGAUGAUGUGUUAGUGGUUGUUAGCGAUGUGUGGAAGUUGAUGAUGUGUUGGUGGUUAUUAGUGGUAGUGCUAGUUCUGAUAGAUGAGUUGGUUGGUAGUAGGGAUCGACCGGUAGCAGUUGAUGGUGGCGGCGUUGGCUGUAGGGGUGUUCAUGGGUCAAUAUGUGUCGGUUAUUGGUCAAAACCAAAACCAAACAAUCUUAAUCGGUUUUUAAAUUUCUAAAACCAAACCAAACCAAACAAAAAAAUAACCAUUGGUUUGGUUCUUGUCGGUUUAGUUCGGUUUGAUUUGGAUUUUUUGGUUUAUAACUUUAGUUAAUGAUCAAAGUUGAAAAUUUUAAAAACAAAUCCAAUCUAACAUAUGAGAUGGCAAUCGAGUGUUGUAUCUCAAUCUUGAAACUAUGAUGUCAACUGAGUGUUAUACUUCGGCUAAGCCACGAUAACACCAUAUGAACGCUUUUAAAAAAAUAUUUAAAAACUAUAUUUAAUAGAAUGAUAUGAUAAACCCCCAAAAGGUGAACACAUAAACUUUUUGCUCAACAAGGUUGAAAAGAAAGUUAAAAUUAGUGAUUGUGUAUAGUCUAAUGAAUUUCAGCUGUAAAUUUCAAUAUAUAACAAGAUAUUAUUUUCACAAUUAGUAUCAUUUGUCAUUCAAAAUAUGAAAUUCAUUUAGAAUCUCAUAAUGUAUUGUCAACUAGAUGAAGAUAUAUGACUGAAUGUGUUGCGACUAAAGUUAAAUCAUGAUUAAAAUAUAAAAUGUAACAAAUAUUUAGAUUACAAUUAUGAAAAACAUAUAAAUAAUUAUAAUAUAUAUGUAUAUAGGUUCAGUUUGGUUAUUUUGUCGAUUAUUUUAGAGUAUAACCAAACCAAACCAAACCAAAUUAGUAUCUGUUUUUUCAAAUUCAAAUCCAAACCAAACCUAACCAAAUAUAGGUUUUUUUAAUCGGUUUGGUUUUGAUCGCGGUUUAGUUUGGUUAAAAACCAAAUCAUGAACACCCCUAGUUGGCGGUGGAUUUAUUUAGAAUAAUGAAAGUGGUAGGUGUGGUAGCGGCUGGCAGUGUAGUUGCUAUGAUGUUGGUUGUGAUGGUGGAAGUGGUUGGUGGUGGUGACAGGUGAUUAUGGAUAGAGUGGUGGUGAAUUUUAUCCUACACAAGAAUAUUUGUAAAUGAUAUUUAGACUUGGUUCCACAACUGAAUGAUUAAGACCUACUCAGACCUAUUAAGAGCUAAAAUCCUAAUAAAAACAAAUGCGCUUAAUGGUUUGAGGUCUGAACAGGUUCAUAAAUCCAGUAAGUGCAAACAAAUAAGACCUGAAAGUAGUUUGUCUGGUCAAGUUUCGACCAUGUUUUGUCCAUUUGUACCACACCCCAGUUUUGAUUUCACUUCGGAUGAUAUUACAACAACAACAACAACAAACCCAGUGUAUUCCCACUUAGUGGGGUCUGGGGGGGGUAAGAUGUACGCAGUCCAUACCUCUACCUCUGAUGAGGUAGAAAGGCUGUUUCCGAAAUCCCCCCGGCUCAAGUCACGAGAUAUCACACAAACACAUAGUACAGCACAGAAGCAGAUGACAUAACAUAGAUGCGGCACCCAUAAGGAAUAUAAAGCAGAGUAAAGCAUGAAUGCAGGAGUAUAAAGCAGAGGAAAGCACACAUAUUCGUAAUAAACAUGGAACACGGAACACGGAACAUUGAAUACGGAAUCAUAACAGGAAUACACCCCCACCAAUUAAUUCCNNNNNNNNNNNNNNNNNNNNNNNNNNNNNNNNNNNNNNNNNNNNNNNNNNNNNNNNNNNNNNNNNNNNNNNNNNNNNNNNNNNNNNNNNNNNNNNNNNNNNNNNNNNNNNNNNNNNNNNNNNNNNNNNNNNNNNNNNNNNNNNNNNNNNNNNNNNNNNNNNNNNNNNNNNNNNNNNNNNNNNNNNNNNNNNNNNNNNNNNNNNNNNNNNNNNNNNNNNNNNNNNNNNNNNNNNNNNNNNNNNNNNNNNNNNNNNNNNNNNNNNNNNNNNNNNNNNNNNNNNNNNNNNNNNNNNNNNNNNNNNNNNNNNNNNNNNNNNNNNNNNNNNNNNNNNNNNNNNNNNNNNNNNNNNNNNNNNNNNNNNNNNNNNNNNNNNNNNNNNNNNNNNNNNNNNNNNNNNNNNNNNNNNNNNNNNNNNNNNNNNNNNNNNNNNNNNNNNNNNNNNNNNNNNNNNNNNNNNNNNNNNNNNNNNNNNNNNNNNNNNNNNNNNNNNNNNNNNNNNNNNNNNNNNNNNNNNNNNNNNNNNNNNNNNNNNNNNNNNNNNNNNNNNNNNNNNNNNNNNNNNNNNNNNNNNNNNNNNNNNNNNNNNNNNNNNNNNNNNNNNNNNNNNNNNNNNNNNNNNNNNNNNNNNNNNNNNNNNNNNNNNNNNNNNNNNNNNNNNNNNNNNNNNNNNNNNNNNNNNNNNNNNNNNNNNNNNNNNNNNNNNNNNNNNNNNNNNNNNNNNNNNNNNNNNNNNNNNNNNNNNNNNNNNNNNNNNNNNNNNNNNNNNNNNNNNNNNNNNNNNNNNNNNNNNNNNNNNNNNNNNNNNNNNNNNNNNNNNNNNNNNNNNNNNNNNNNNNNNNNNNNNNNNNNNNNNNNNNNNNNNNNNNNNNNNNNNNNNNNNNNNNNNNNNNNNNNNNNNNNNNNNNNNNNNNNNNNNNNNNNNNNNNNNNNNNNNNNNNNNNNNNNNNNNNNNNNNNNNNNNNNNNNNNNNNNNNNNNNNNNNNNNNNNNNNNNNNNNNNNNNNNNNNNNNNNNNNNNNNNNNNNNNNNNNNNNNNNNNNNNNNNNNNNNNNNNNNNNNNNNNNNNNNNNNNNNNNNNNNNNNNNNNNNNNNNNNNNNNNNNNNNNNNNNNNNNNNNNNNNNNNNNNNNNNNNNNNNNNNNNNNNNNNNNNNNNNNNNNNNNNNNNNNNNNNNNNNNNNNNNNNNNNNNNNNNNNNNNNNNNNNNNNNNNNNNNNNNNNNNNNNNNNNNNNNNNNNNNNNNNNNNNNNNNNNNNNNNNNNNNNNNNNNNNNNNNNNNNNNNNNNNNNNNNNNNNNNNNNNNNNNNNNNNNNNNNNNNNNNNNNNNNNNNNNNNNNNNNNNNNNNNNNNNNNNNNNNNNNNNNNNNNNNNNNNNNNNNNNNNNNNNNNNNNNNNNNNNNNNNNNNNNNNNNNNNNNNNNNNNNNNNNNNNNNNNNNNNNNNNNNNNNNNNNNNNNNNNNNNNNNNNNNNNNNNNNNNNNNNNNNNNNNNNNNNNNNNNNNNNNNNNNNNNNNNNNNNNNNNNNNNNNNNNNNNNNNNNNNNNNNNNNNNNNNNNNNNNNNNNNNNNNNNNNNNNNNNNNNNNNNNNNNNNNNNNNNNNNNNNNNNNNNNNNNNNNNNNNNNNNNNNNNNNNNNNNNNNNNNNNNNNNNNNNNNNNNNNNNNNNNNNNNNNNNNNNNNNNNNNNNNNNNNNNNNNNNNNNNNNNNNNNNNNNNNNNNNNNNNNNNNNNNNNNNNNNNNNNNNNNNNNNNNNNNNNNNNNNNNNNNNNNNNNNNNNNNNNNNNNNNNNNNNNNNNNNNNNNNNNNNNNNNNNNNNNNNNNNNNNNNNNNNNNNNNNNNNNNNNNNNNNNNNNNNNNNNNNNNNNNNNNNNNNNNNNNNNNNNNNNNNNNNNNNNNNNNNNNNNNNNNNNNNNNNNNNNNNNNNNNNNNNNNNNNNNNNNNNNNNNNNNNNNNNNNNNNNNNNNNNNNNNNNNNNNNNNNNNNNNNNNNNNNNNNNNNNNNNNNNNNNNNNNNNNNNNNNNNNNNNNNNNNNNNNNNNNNNNNNNNNNNNNNNNNNNNNNNNNNNNNNNNNNNNNNNNNNNNNNNNNNNNNNNNNNNNNNNNNNNNNNNNNNNNNNNNNNNNNNNNNNNNNNNNNNNNNNNNNNNNNNNNNNNNNNNNNNNNNNNNNNNNNNNNNNNNNNNNNNNNNNNNNNNNNNNNNNNNNNNNNNNNNNNNNNNNNNNNNNNNNNNNNNNNNNNNNNNNNNNNNNNNNNNNNNNNNNNNNNNNNNNNNNNNNNNNNNNNNNNNNNNNNNNNNNNNNNNNNNNNNNNNNNNNNNNNNNNNNNNNNNNNNNNNNNNNNNNNNNNNNNNNNNNNNNNNNNNNNNNNNNNNNNNNNNNNNNNNNNNNNNNNNNNNNNNNNNNNNNNNNNNNNNNNNNNNNNNNNNNNNNNNNNNNNNNNNNNNNNNNNNNNNNNNNNNNNNNNNNNNNNNNNNNNNNNNNNNNNNNNNNNNNNNNNNNNNNNNNNNNNNNNNNNNNNNNNNNNNNNNNNNNNNNNNNNNNNNNNNNNNNNNNNNNNNNNNNNNNNNNNNNNNNNNNNNNNNNNNNNNNNNNNNNNNNNNNNNNNNNNNNNNNNNNNNNNNNNNNNNNNNNNNNNNNNNNNNNNNNNNNNNNNNNNNNNNNNNNNNNNNNNNNNNNNNNNNNNNNNNNNNNNNNNNNNNNNNNNNNNNNNNNNNNNNNNNNNNNNNNNNNNNNNNNNNNNNNNNNNNNNNNNNNNNNNNNNNNNNNNNNNNNNNNNNNNNNNNNNNNNNNNNNNNNNNNNNNNNNNNNNNNNNNNNNNNNNNNNNNNNNNNNNNNNNNNNNNNNNNNNNNNNNNNNNNNNNNNNNNNNNNNNNNNNNNNNNNNNNNNNNNNNNNNNNNNNNNNNNNNNNNNNNNNNNNNNNNNNNNNNNNNNNNNNNNNNNNNNNNNNNNNNNNNNNNNNNNNNNNNNNNNNNNNNNNNNNNNNNNNNNNNNNNNNNNNNNNNNNNNNNNNNNNNNNNNNNNNNNNNNNNNNNNNNNNNNNNNNNNNNNNNNNNNNNNNNNNNNNNNNNNNNNNNNNNNNNNNNNNNNNNNNNNNNNNNNNNNNNNNNNNNNNNNNNNNNNNNNNNNNNNNNNNNNNNNNNNNNNNNNNNNNNNNNNNNNNNNNNNNNNNNNNNNNNNNNNNNNNNNNNNNNNNNNNNNNNNNNNNNNNNNNNNNNNNNNNNNNNNNNNNNNNNNNNNNNNNNNNNNNNNNNNNNNNNNNNNNNNNNNNNNNNNNNNNNNNNNNNNNNNNNNNNNNNNNNNNNNNNNNNNNNNNNNNNNNNNNNNNNNNNNNNNNNNNNNNNNNNNNNNNNNNNNNNNNNNNNNNNNNNNNNNNNNNNNNNNNNNNNNNNNNNNNNNNNNNNNNNNNNNNNNNNNNNNNNNNNNNNNNNNNNNNNNNNNNNNNNNNNNNNNNNNNNNNNNNNNNNNNNNNNNNNNNNNNNNNNNNNNNNNNNNNNNNNNNNNNNNNNNNNNNNNNNNNNNNNNNNNNNNNNNNNNNNNNNNNNNNNNNNNNNNNNNNNNNNNNNNNNNNNNNNNNNNNNNNNNNNNNNNNNNNNNNNNNNNNNNNNNNNNNNNNNNNNNNNNNNNNNNNNNNNNNNNNNNNNNNNNNNNNNNNNNNNNNNNNNNNNNNNNNNNNNNNNNNNNNNNNNNNNNNNNNNNNNNNNNNNNNNNNNNNNNNNNNNNNNNNNNNNNNNNNNNNNNNNNNNNNNNNNNNNNNNNNNNNNNNNNNNNNNNNNNNNNNNNNNNNNNNNNNNNNNNNNNNNNNNNNNNNNNNNNNNNNNNNNNNNNNNNNNNNNNNNNNNNNNNNNNNNNNNNNNNNNNNNNNNNNNNNNNNNNNNNNNNNNNNNNNNNNNNNNNNNNNNNNNGGUAGGCUGGGGGGUGGAGAGAGGGUCGGGAGAGAGAGAGAGGGGGAGAGAGCCGUUGGGAGAGGGUCGGGAGAGAGAGAGAGCAACUUAAAUCCCAAUUCAAAAUAUAUUGUGUUGUCAACCAUAUAAAUUGGACUAAAUAAAAUUAGUUCCAGAAUUCGCCUCUGAAGAAGUAGUUGAGAUGUAAUGAAAGUAAAGGCUUAGAAAAGAUUAGCCUCGGAAAAAGUGCCUAAGAUCAUCUCUGUUUCUCUAAAUAAAGUUGCAUCUCCCUCACUAUGAUUUUGUUAGCCGUAAUCCACACUUGCGACUAACUAAACGAUAUAUUGUUUCAUCCUCUACCCUUUCUGAAAAGAAUUGAAGUUGAAUGAUCAAAUGUUAUUAGCAUUUAUCUCCUUGCUUGAUGAAAGAGAGAGUUUACCUGGUAUCCUAGCAUGGUAAUGAUCUUGUUCGUACUCUUAUUCAGUGAUUGAAUUUGGUAAUGUUUUCUUGAGUUAGGCUCUUGCUAUGGGAUGGUGAGAGUUAUACAUAACUCAGAUGCUGAAAAUCUUUUCUUUUUCUCUUGUAAGAUAAAGAUGUCAACUUCUAUCUUUAAAGUUUGUAUUACUGUAUGUGUGCAUAAAUGAUUCUUAUUAAGUAAAUAUAACGAAAGCGCUGUUCACAGAGAUGCUAUCCAUUUUUAUUUAUUCACUUUUUUUAUUAUCAAAAUAGGGGUGCUUGAUUUUUUCCUCAAUUUAACCUGAUCAGUGCAAUUAAGUUUAUGUGUCAAGUUUCUUGUGAUAUUGUAGAUGACUUUGAACAAGUGGAGAAAUGUUGGUAUUCAUGAAAGAAAUUUCAUCCCCAUCACCCUGCUUGUAAUUUAUAGACUUUAUGGUAACUCAAAUGCAUGGACAAGGCUCCAUUUGGUAUCCUAUUUUUGUUACUGAUAAGCAUUCUGAAUUUGUGUUACUUGUCUGUUGCUUCAGUAUCUUGAUGACAAGUCACAAAUUAAAGAUGCAGUUAGGAUGGCCGAGGUAAUCACCACUCUUCAUUUUAACCUCUUUUGUGCUUCGGUUAGUACCUAAUAUUUUGGCUGAGCCGUCUCUACUUUCAGAUUGGAUUGACAUCAACCUGGGCAUUUGAUGAUUUUAAGGUUGAAAUCACCAAGUAUAUUAGCUCUCCAACAAUGUUAGAUACCAACUUAAAAGUCUAAUUAUGGCUAGGAACUGUAUACUGUUUCACAUCGACCCAUGUUGAAUUGGAUGUUGUGAAAAUUGAAGUACCCCAUUCACUAAAUGGAUUUCUAUGUAUUUGUCCCCUUUUUGUCUUUGGGACAGGUCCUGGAUAAGAUGAGUGGAUUGAGUGCAAAAGCAUUAGUAGUACUUCCAUGUUAUGUUUCACUGGAAGUCGGUCAGCUUGUGAUUGCUAAAUUGGCAACUCAUAGGUAGUCAACUAUGAUUAGUGGAAUUUUCCUUUAGUAUCAACCAUAACCUAUCCCAUAUUAAAUUUGGAUCUUCUUGUAAUGGAGUUAAUAGAGGAGUAGUGUGUCGGUUAGCAAGUAAGCCUGAAACCUUCAAGAAUAAAGACGAGGACCACAUUGAUCAAAUAUUUGGUGUUAGCUUUUGCUUCCAAUUCUUCAGUUUUGGUUCCAUUUUCCUUAGUUUUUAUUUUUUGGAUGGCGUUGUUUAAUAUUACACCUACCGCAUACAUCUUAAGUUGCUUAAUUCAAAGCAAUUUGCCUUGUAGUUUUCUAUUUUUACGGUUAGUGGAUAAGAGUUUUACUCUACGAAACUGGUUAAAAAUCAUAACUGGAUGAUAUCAACGAUCAUUUGCUAUUUUUGUAAUGAGGAUAUUCUUCAUUUAUCAUUUGGAUUUUGGAGGUUAUUUAUGGUCAUGGCGUAUAAUCUAUGUAUGUGGGAAGAGGGAAUUGCAAGGGNNNNNNNNNNNNNNNNNNNNNNNNNNNAUGGUAAUAAUACUCUUACAUUAUAUCCCCUUGCCUUCCAAACGAAGGAAUAAGAGGACAUACAUGGAUUAUACUUAAUCUUAUUCCAUACUUCCUUUCUAAACUUUAUGUUCUACGCGUUUGGGCUUGCCGGGUCAUUGAGUAUUGAAUGUGCAUAUUUCAUCUGCAUAGUUUUUCUUUGAGGAGUUACUGGAAAGAGCCAGGGAGAAAGAAGAAAAAGAAGCUAAAAAGCAUAAACGUCUAGAAGAUGAGUUCUAUGAACUCCUUCAUGCAUCAAAGGUAUAGUAAACAGUUUACAAUCUCUCACAUUUCAAUGGAUGGGAUCCCAUGAUAUUUCCUUUAAACCAUAAUCUAUUUGUUUGCUGUGGUAGCAGGAAAUUACUGCAUCAUCGAAAUGGGAGGACUGUAAAUCCCUCUUCGGAGAUAGGAAAGUAGCUUCUUUUGCUUUUAUUAUUCUAGAAUUAGUAACAUGAUUGCAAGGACCAUUGGAGAAUGAUAAUUGAUAUUAUUUUCAAGGACCAACUCCUUCAAUAUUCUAAACUCAGUAAUUCACAUAGUUCUAGAAUGUACCUUAGAAUAAUAGCUGUGUUGAAUGAUUUGUUGUUUUAUAUUCCUCAACAUUUAGGUAGGCUAUUUCUUUAUAGUAUUAGCAUGAAUUACCAUUUUGCUAAGUGAUUUUUAAUGUUGAACUUAUCCCUCUAGAAAUUGGUUGAUGUCAAUUAUUAGUUGUUCCAACACUGGGCGUUUAAUAGCUCUAGAAAUUAGUUUUUAAAUUUCUGACAUUUGUGAUUGUUAUAGUUUUUUAAUUUCUGGCAUUUGUGAUUGUUUCACGGUUCUGAUGAAGUAUGCUGCUAAAUCUCUAGUUUCAAUUUGUCUAGCCUCUUUGGCUAUAAAAUUAAAUGCUCUGGAUUUUUACUUUUUUAUUCAUAAUCUCAUGAUUCUCAUUAUGUCGUAACAUUGAAUGUGAAUUUCUUUGUUGUUAUUAGUUUACAGACUAAUGGGUGAUGAGGGCUUGCUGCUUGAAAUAUUUAACAAAUUUGUUAAUGAACUAAAAGAGGAGGAGCACAAGCAUCAAGAGGAUAAGGUACUUGAAUUACUACAAACCCUUAUUCUUCUGCUACUUUCAGGUGGGGUAGUAGAUGUGUGGAUGUGAUUGUGGUUGAUAUUGUUUUGCAGAAAUUUUAACUUUUUGAGAGUCGCCACUUAAUUUUGAAAAGGAAUUAAGAAAACCUUUAGAGAGCUACUGUAAAUAAUUCAAAAUAGAAAAAUUAUUUUAAGUUAGAGAUUCUAGAUAAGAGGUUCCUAUUAACGUUUUAGGAAGGGAUUAGGCACCUAAAAUGUCCUCUAACUUGCGGUUAUCCGGACUAUUUGAAAAUCGUCUUUUGAUCAACUUUGAAAAAGUUUAUUUUUUGAAAAGAAAAGCGAUUUUAGGAAUAUUUUGGUAUUUAUGCAAAACCAGUUUUUUAGCAACUUGACUAAGGAUUUUACUAGGUUCCCAAAACACACGUAAAACAAGUAAGCAAAUAGACAAAAGGGAAAGGGGAGAAGUAGUGAUUUAGGAUUUUAAGCCCAAACCAUCGACCCUGUCCUAAUCUAGUUAGGUUUUUGAUCCAUCUUUCACCUGUCUUAAUUUUAUGUUUUCGAGCCCUUUUUGGCUCGAGUCUCGCUCCACCUGUUUUAAAUUUACAACUUUGGCUUCGAUGACCAAAUGAAUAAAUAAAUAAAUAAGUCACUAAAUAAACAAAAAUAUAAAUAAGUAAAUAAAUAAAUAAUGGAAACAAUGGAUAAAUAAAUCAAUAAAUAAGAAAUAACGAGAUUUUCAAGUCCCCUUUGUCUCUUCAAAGAUGGAACUUUAACCCAUUCUUCUUUCGAUUCCUCGUAUCCAUACGCCAUGUGAUGGAUUCUUGGAUUUACUUUUGGGCUUAACUCGGAAGGAUAGGCCUCAUUGGCCCAUUUAUGAAAUGCAAAGGGAGAAAGGCCCAUUUGAACGCCAACGGGGGUGCAUGCAAAGAAAGGAAUGAAGAAAUUAACAUACGUCCAAGAUUUUAACAAUUAAUAAGCUAUAGCAUUCUUGCUUCAUUCAAAUACACUCAUACACAGGUAAAAAUGCCACAGGAGAAAAAGUCUAUAAUGUUUGAAGAAAAUGUUCAUAAUCAAUUAAAGAAAUUUCAACUACAGGAGGAAAUACAGCUUCAACAAGAAAUUCUUAUGGUCUUUAGCAAAAUAAAGAAAAUAAUUUAUCACUUUGAUGCCACAAAAGGACCCAAUUAAGCAUGUCACAAAAAAGAGUUACAACUCCUGGAUCAUACUACAUAAAUGAUGGAUCACAAGCAACGUUCAAAUUCCAGAAUGCCAAACAUACAAAAUUAAAGACUUAAUCACUUUAGGCAAGGAAUACGAUAGCUAAAACUUCAAGAAAAGCAAGGCUAAAAUCUUAAUGCCUUCGUUACCACUGGGUUAACAAACAAAUUAGAUUAAAACACUACAUAAACCCAAUUUUAGGUAAUUUAAUCAUGAGACAAGAUGCCACAACUUAUAUGCGAACAAGAAAAGCAAGAAAGGAAAGAAACAUUAGCCCAUCAAACUUUAAUUUGUUCUUAUGAGUCAAUUACAGCAAAUUGAAUUAGCCAUGAAGAAAACAUAAUUCAUCCCUAUGGUCCACUCUCAUAUUUUAAAAUAAACUUUAGAAUCAAAUGAGACUAUUGUACAUCGAGAGUGGCAAGUCAAAAGAAAAUUACAUUCGAGUCCUUAUUUAUAACAAUUUCCUGCGUUUGAGUGAAAAAGAUAUGCGAACAGGCUUCCUAAUAACUAUUCUUUGAACAUUUUUUUGCAUUUCAAAAAUACGUAAAGAUUUUAUUCUCCUACUCUAUGAACUACAAAGCAACAUUGAAUAUGAGACCAGCACAAUAGUUUCUAAUGUCGAAGAAUUAAAGCUAACUAGUAACAUUCAGACAGAAUAAAAUGAAAGAGAUCAAGCAUGAUCGACAACCAAUCAAACACGGGCAAGAAUGAGUUUUUUAGUAGAACAAUAUAUCAAACACAAAAAUCCUAUGCCUUCCACGCCUCUACAACAGUCAUUCCCAGCAAACAGAAGUGGAACCACGAAGAAGAAAAUGAUAACCACAACAAAAUUAAAAAGAAAGGUGUAUUUACCUCUUUCGAGGUAGCAAAAUGGGAUAACGAGCUGACGAUAGGAUUUCGACCACCGAAAAACUCACAACUGCUUCGACAGUUCAAACGCACCUCCUAGGAAUGUAUGUUUCUUAGGCGUAAAGAUAAUAUUUUAUCCUUCUGAGAGCCCCCCUUUCUAACCCUUUUUUUGUGUAUUUCUGAAUUUUUGAAGAUUUUCUCAAACCCUAAAUUUUCAACCCAAAACUUUUGAACCCCCUUUGCCUCUAAAAUUUUGAACUCCAAAGAGAAAUAAGAGGAGAACCCAUAAAAGAAACGAGAGGCCAGUGAAAAAAAUUCAAAAAUCCCCCAAAAAAUCCCUUUUUCUUGCUCUAAAGAGAGCUACUUAUAGAAGGGGAUUAAGGGUUCAUUUUUGAAAUUCAAAAGAUUCGGACCCUACCGAACCGUACAUCUAUUUUGAUUUUCUUGAAUGGAAUUCCAAAAAGUGGCCAAUAGAAAUUGGUGGAAAGGGAUUAAUCCCCAAAAGCCAAUGAAAAUACUCCACCUAUGUACGAAUUCAUAAACCUCUAUCCGAGAAUUUUGGGAUUUGAACGUUGGAUGAGACACCUAAGUGUGUUUCUAGAAGAUUCUCGGCAUCUUCUCAUAUAGAUUCACGUGGAACGUGCUUGAUCAUAAAGAGGAAAAACAAAAUAGGUUGAAUUUGGGUGCUGCGUCCUAUUUGAAGUCAUCCGCACCUGUGGUUUUGACUUGAGAUUUUCAUCCUCUCAGAUGCUCUCGAUAAUACUUCAAGCAAAAAGUGUUAGUUUUAAACAUAAUUCACGAAAGAGGUAUGCAGUCUUUUACCAUAUCUCCACGUGAGUUGUGGCCUGAAAAGAUGAGUCGUCUCUUCAUGUACCUGUUUGGAAUGAAAUAUCCGGCAAUACCAAACACAACAACCCUCUUGGUUGUUGUAUAAUUAUGACAUUUUUCGGUUGAAUAUGUCUUCAAAGUGGGUGGCCCUUUUGGACACCGGUGAUACUUUAUGCAGAACGGUCUCUAUAAUCGUGUAAUCUUGUGCUGGUGUGGAAACCCUUUGGGUACCUAUAUCAUUUGUUGCAUGUGGGAUGAUAACCUCUCCGGUUAUAGCCGAUGAUCGAUUUAUAAAUUUCCUUUAAAUUAUCAAUCUUUGGAUAAUCUUACGCAUUAUUUGAUAUUGGAUACGAGGUGACUUACAGAUAUCCUUUUGAUUUCUAGGUUUUAGGUAAUCCUACACAUUAUCCGACUUUGAAUAAUAGAUGGCUUAUAGAUAUCCUUCCAAUUGCUAGCUUUCAGGUGUUCCUGCACAUUAUCCGACCUUGGAUACAAUGUGACUUUUAGAUAAUCCCUCAAAUUGUUAGUCUUGGGGUAAUCCUGCACAUAAUCGAUCUUGGAUAUGACACAACUUAUAGAGAACCCUUGGACGUAUCAAUUUGAUAAUCUUACAUAUUCUUCGGUAAGGAUUUAGUUGUGAAUUAUGUAUAACCUUUGAACUAUUGAUUUUUGGGCGAUCUUGCACACUAUCCGUUAGGAUGUUGUUAUGGCUUACGGAUGACCUACAGGCUAUCAACUCAUAGGUGAUUUUGCACACUAUCCUAUUUCAAAUAAUAUGACUUAUAGAUGACCCUCAAAUUGUAAAUUUCUAGGAAAUCUUAUAUAUCAUUUAUCCUUAGAUAGCGACUUAAAGGCGUCCCUUCAAAUCAUGUGCUCUCGAUGCAUUCAGAUGCUGAUUCAUAAAAUGAUAAGAUAUCAUCGACGCUAGUGUUUAUGUUUUGCAUGUUAAUAGAUAUAAAAUGAUGAUGAUAUCCUCAAUGCCAGCGUUGUGUCUUUCAUGUCAACAGAUAUAUUGAAUGCUGAUGAUAUCCUCGAUGCCAGCGUUGUGUCUUACACAUCAACAGAUAUAUUAAAUGUUGAUGAUAUCCUCGACGCCAGCAUUGUGUCUUGCACGUCAACAGAUAUUGCAUGAUGAUGAUAUCCUCAAUGCCAGCAUUGUGUCUUGCAUGUUAACAGAUAUUGCAUGUUGAUGAUAUCCUCGAUGCAAGCGUUGUAUCUUGCGUGUCAACAGAUAUAUAAUAAUGAUGAUAUCCUCGACGCCAGCGUUAUGUAUAGCCCAUCAAUAGAUGAUAUAUAUAUUAAAUGCUGAUGAUAUAUUCAAUGCCAGCAUUGUGUCUAGAGCAUCAACAGAUAUUGAAUGACGAUGAUAUGCAAUGGCCCUCUUGGCAAUGACAUGCAAUGGUUCUUCCAGUAAAUUAAAAACAGUUUCUCCUGAAAUCAUUUGUAAGGGUCUUGCUUUCUGCAUGUACCUGUACUCAAGGUAGAUGAUUAGUAGACAAAAAGUCGCUUUUGCUAGUGACUAUUUUUUUUUAUAAAAAUUUUAAAUACAAUAUUUGUAACGAAGACAAGACACUUUUGUUUGUCCUCCAUGAUCUCAAGAAAUGAGAUGGACAAUUCGAAAGGUCAUCAAUAAAUGGGUGUUGAACCGGUUUUUGGGCUACCAAAAGUAUCGUUAUUAAGCCUUAUAUGCUCUGUCAUGGCUCCCGACUUGAUUGGGGAUUUUUCAAAAAAAACGCUCAUUUUGUGUAUCGAUCCCUGCAUCCAUAAAAAUGAUUAAUUUGAAAGAAACUACUCCGUGUUGACCUCCUACGAUCCUUGAUUUGCCCUUGCCAUCUUUUAGGUAUUUCAUCAUGUUGGGACUUCCACCCCUAACUCCCCGUCCUAAUUGAUGUCUAGGAAAUCACUAAGUAAAAGAUUUAUAUAGAUUUUUUUCAAAGUAUUCUUAAUUUUUUAGAAAAUUGUUUCGAGAACUCCUGCAAAACUUCAAAAAAUCUCUCCCAGUCAUGUACUACAAUCCAAAUACUUCAUAAUUUGCUACAUACCUUCUCAUAAGUAGUACUAGUUUACAACUACCAACGAAAAAAGUCAAGGGGUAAGGUCACAUAAAAGGCAUGAUCAACCUUAAUCUGAUACUAUAACCCCAUACGAUCUUAUCUACUUAUGCGGAUUUGUCACCUCAUACUUACUUACUCAAGCAUACAUUUAGAUUGCCUUCAAAUUCCUCAAACUACAAUGAGUCUAUAAUCAUAACUUACUCGCUAAUAUAGCCAUUUUUCAUAUUCAAGCAACCAACAAAUCACCCUGACUAACAACUCCUUCUCUACCUUAUACUAAACUAACUCACAAGGAUGAAUCACCUCUUUACCAACUCUAUCUCAUGCAAACAGAUUCAGCCAAACAUAUAUUAAACCAACAAAAGAACAACAAGUUGCUAGUGAAUCGAAAUAGGCCUCACAAGGCUUCACUAGUCUUUGGUUUUGUAUUUUGAACAAGAAAAUGAGAUAGAUGACAAGGCAACUAUGCUAGUGAAUCAAAAGAGCCCCACACGGCUUCACUAGACUUAAAAAAAAAUUUCAAAAACACCAUGAUAACAAGAUUACAUAUUACAAGAGAUGGGAAAUUGACACAUAAUAUUUAAUGGUCUAAUACACAUCUUACUCCGUAUAAAUAAAAAUCUAAGUAAAAUACUUCCCCCAUGGACUACCAUACCAUCCACAAGUGCUACUAGCUACCACAUUAGUUUAUCACUAUAAAGGGGUAAAUCAUCCUCAAAUAUUGGUUAUUCAACUAAAAUAUUCAUUUACACCAAAAAUCACCCUCACUCUGACUUCUAACUUUGUGACUUCACAUCACUAACUUCUUGGUCUAAUUUUAUUACCGAUAGGUAAUGACAACAACACUUUAACUUGUGUUACUAUUCGAGUGAAAAUACAGUUCCAACAUUCUGCUAUACACCGUCCACAUCUGUAUCAAGAUUUUUGGGAGGGACUAGAUGCACUUAAUACCUUAAUAUGGAAAGCACAAUUCCAUCAGGAUCAAUGUUUACAUCAGAAUCAACACAUAUUGAAGCACCAACAGACUCAUCUCGAGUCUUUGUACUAUUUUUUUCUUAUAUGACACAGUCGGAAAAGACUAUAUUAUGUAGAUUCUAAACUUUUUGCACUUGAAUCACUCCAAAAAUGGGACAUGUUUGAGAACAUCAGAGUAAGGAAAGCAUUUGGGAUGACUUUACCUUCAUAUGGGCGACACCAUAGCAUGAAUGACGAUAUGAAAGAGGAACAUUUUGACUCUAUUGCAUGAACUGGAACAUGAAGAAAGACAGACAUUCCUAAACGCCUAGUAGCCUCCUGCUUAUAAGUGUGGCGUGCUACACACCCAAAAAAAGACUCUACCUGACGUGAUUUUGCAGACACCCUGGGACCAUGAACCGUGCUCUGAUACUAAGUCUGUCACGACCCAAACUGGGGCCCUGGCCGUGACAAGCAUUCUGAACCAUGAAGGCCCGAAACACCCCUAUUUGUCUAAUAAUCAUGCACAUAACUCAUAUGAUAAAAGAAAUGUGGAAGAUAAAUAAUAUUACGGAAACAUGGUCAAGAAUCAUAUGAAAUCAAUAACGAGGAGUAAUGUCCCACAAUCUCAAUACAACAUCUCUAUAACGUCUGCGAAAUCUCUACUGCAUGACUGAAAUAAAUAUCUAUCUGAAAACUAGGAUAAGGACCCCAGUAGAUCCAAAACUAAUAAAUGAUAAAUAAAACUACCAGAUAUCAGGCCUUUUGAAAUAUAGAAGGCUCACCAAGUGACUAUGUAAAUCUGUCUGAGGAAUCUACUGAUUUUCUGGACCCCUAGACUGUGCCUCCGAACCUGUGAGGGAAGGGGGUUAAUACAAAAGUACUGGUACGCAGAGAUAUCAAAACAAAACAUAAUAUUUUUACAAAAUAUAGUUGAGAGCCAUUAUAAAGUAGUUUCAUAUCAAAUCAUUUGAAAACACAUGGGCACAAUGUAAUUGUUUUCAACAACAAUAUAAUGCAGUUAAGCUAGGUAGAAUACCCUACAUAUCACAUGUACACCAACUGUCAAAUCUCAGUUGCCGCUGAGAUUAGAGUAUAAGUGAGGGGAAAACACACAAGAUCACACAACAGGGUGUCUCGACCCAAUGGUAAUGCAUAAAAUCAUAAAGUAGGGCUCCUAACUAUAGUCCCAACUUGGGAAUGACAUAAAGUCAGGUACACAAGAUCACAAAGCAGGGUACCAAAUUCCUAUGUCGGAAAAAACACGGUUUCUAGCGAUGAACCCUUACACUCAAACGCCUUCUUUGCGCAUCCACCUAUCUCAUGUAAAACCAAUGCAUUCAAAUUUCAUCUGAUUCAAUCACAUAUCAUAUUCUGUAGGGUAUCGUCAUACCCGACUUGUAAGCCAUCAAUAUCACAUCAUUCUUCUCAUUCAACCAUUGUAUUCAACAUGUUUCAAUACAAAUAGCCCUCUCGUUUUCAAGUCAAAAUCAUAUCAAUUCUCAAAACAUUUCAUGUCAUGCUUUUCAAGAUGUUUUCAAACAAUUUACAUCAUAUGAACAUUUAAAAAAAAUUCACAUCAAGAGAGGGAUUUCAUAUAAUUCAUGCUCUCAAAUUAACACAUUUUCGAAACACAUGCAUAUACAUAUAUAAUAUGUCAAAUCACUUCGGAAAUAGGCCUAAAGACCAAAUUAAUAUUAUAGAAACGUUCAAAACAUGAUUAUAUUCAUAGUUUCAAAACCCCCCAUUGUAAAACAUGAAUUUAAAGGCCCAUGAGAUUCUAGGAUAACCCCACGUACCUCUAUAUGCAAAUAUGAUAGGUGUUUCUUGAAGCCUCUGUAUGACUUAUUAUAUAUUUAUCUUUUAUUUCUACAAAUUAAAAAACUUAUUAUUUCAAUUAUAUAAACUCUUAAUUUCUCCAAACAACAUUUAGUUCAAACUUGAAGAUUUUUGUAAAUUUAAACACUUCAUGUAGGAUUUUUCUUGCAACUAAGAUUCAUUUUUUACAUGUUAGUUACUACUAUUUCUAUUUUAUGAGUAUUUUCUUACCGGUUAAACCGAAAACUGAAUCAUUAAGGACUAAAAACCGAAAAAAAAUAUUUUAUUGGUUUGGCUAUUGGUUUAGCAUAUUUAAAAACCGAAAACAAAUAAAUCUAAUGAUAAUAUGUAAAACCCAACUGAACCGACCGAUGCACUCCCCUAGACACAAAUGCUUAAAUCACUUGACAAAUUGUAUGAGAUGCACAAAUUUUGCAUGACAAAUUGCGAUACAAGACUCGCAUAUAUAUAUUUAUUUUAACUUUAUAUGAUAGUCUAAGUAUUUAUUUGUGCAACACUCAAAAUUAAAUAUAUAAAUAUUUAUUGAUGAUGUCAAGUUGAAAACACAUUUAUGUAUUAUGUCAAACGUAUAAUUCCUUUUUUGAACUAUAGCUAUAACAUGUAGCAUGAGUGAAUGUACUCUAAUUUUAAGUUGAUGAAUUCACCUAACAUUACUACAAUUAGUAGAUUAAUGAGCAAAAUUAAAUUCAUUGCUAUUUAUUUAUAUUUUAAAAAAGCAAGGUGGAGUCAGAGAGCAAUUAUCAUAAUUAAAGAGGAGCUAAAGGUAUAAUUAAAUGAGAAGCAUGGAGUCUUUUGAUAGAGUUUUUUAAAAAAUUAAUAACAACAACAACAAUAAAUUCAUUAUAUUUCCACAUAGUGGGGUCUGGAGAGGGUAAGAUGUACGUAGUCUAUAUCACUACCUUCGGAGAAGUAGAAAGACUGUUUUCGAUAGAUUUUUGGCUUAAGAAAAGGAAUAAUAAUCAAAUCUGUGAUAAAGCAUGGAAUGUAUUACGUAAAAAUUAAUGCAUCCAUUAAUUUAAGGUAUAUUAGUAAUACCUUUUUUGAUAUAUAUAUAUAUAACUAAUGCAAAAAUUAGUUAUAUACUCUAUUGUGUAUUGAGGUGUGUAUUUCUAAUAUCUCAAAAUUUAUGACAUUAGUAAUGCAAUGGAUCUAAUGCAUGCAUUAACAUGCUUAAAGUGGGGGUAUGAUUAUGUAAAAAAAAUAUGUAAUUCGUGUUAUUUUUAAUACUUUGAAUCAAAUACUGUAUAAGAAACAACAACAACAACAACAACACCCAGUGUAUUCCCACAUAGUGGGGUCUGGGGAGGUUAGUGUAUGCAGUUCAUAUCACUACUCAGGUGAAGUAGAGAGAAUGUUUUCGAUAGACUCCCAACUUAGGAUCAUAAUAAUAUACCAAACAUAAAAGAUAAAUGCAUAUAAACUAAUACGAUACGCAAAAUAAAACUAACAAUAUAACAAAUAUCAAAGAAAAUGUAUAUAAAUUAGUACCGUAUGAAAAAAUAGUCAAUCUACCAAGAAGUGUCAGCUUUGUGUUGGGUGGUUGGUAGUCAAGAAAGUGUCAGCUUUCCCAAAAAGAAAAACCCCAAUAAAGAAAGAAGUCCCUCCACUUUCACCAUUGAUUCAAUGUUAUUUUUAAUACGUAGAAUCAAAUACUGCGUAAGAAAAUAGAAGCAUAAUUAAUGCAAAUAUUAUUAAUAUACUAUAUUUUAUAUUAUUUUUAAAAGAAAAUGCUCUAAUUAAUUUUGUUGAAAUUAUCUAUCUAUAAUAAAGGAGGAUAGUCUAGUCUAAAACUAAGACAAGUGUCAUAUUGAAAACUACCUAUUUGAAUUUUUACAACAAAAAACCAUCAUUUCAUAACAAAAAGAUAUUUUAUUGAUUAUUUAAAUAUUUAAUAUUAUUUCAUAUUUCAUAUUUAAUAAAUUACAUUUCAUAUGUUUUUAAUAAUAUUAUUAUAAGAAAAUAAAUAUGAAUGAUUUGAUUACAAUUUACUAAAAGAAAUACUACAAGAAAAAAUAAAUUCUCAUAUGAUGUGAAAUGUUUGAAAUCAUCUUGACAACCUUGAAAUGAAAUAUUUUGAAAAUGGUCGUGGUUUUAACUUGCAAUAAGAAGGUUGUUAUGUUGAAAUAUGAUGAAUAUAAUGGUUGCAUGAAAGAAUGAUGUGAUAUUGAUGACUUGCAAGUCAGGUAUGACGAUACUUUACAGAAUAAGAUAUGUGAUUGAAUUAAAUGGAGUUUGAUGCAUUGAUUUUACAUGAGAUAGGUGGAUGCCCAAAGAAGGUAUUUGAGUGUAAGGGCUCAUUACUGGAAACCAUGUUUGCCAACAUAGGGAUUUGGUACCAGGCUAAGUGAUCUUGUGUACUUGACUUUAUGUCAUUCCCAAAUUUGAACUAUGGUUAGGAGCCCAGGCUAAGUGAUCUUGGGCACUACUAUACUUUAUUGGGUCGAGACACCCUGCUGUGUGAUCUUGUGUGUCUUCCUUUCACUUAUACUCUAAUCUCAGCGGCAACCGAGAUUUGACUAUUGGUGUAAAUGUUAUAUGUAGGGUAUUCCACCUAGCUUAGCUGCAUUACAUUGUUGUUGAAAACUAUUACAUUAUGCCCAUGUGUUUUCAGAUGAUUUGAUAUGGAACUGCUUUAUAAUGGCUCUCACCUAUAUUUGGAAAUAAAUAUUAUAUUUUGUUUUUGGUUUCUGUUAGUACUAGUACUUUUGUAUUGACCCCAUUCCCUUCCAGGUUUGGAGGCAUAGUUUAAGGGUUCAGAUAACCAGUAGAUCUCUUCUGACAGAUUUUUAGAAUCAAGUGGUGAGCCUUUUAUAUUUCGAAAGGUCUGAUGUCUGUCAGUUCAUUUAUCAUUUAGUAGUUUUGGGUCUACUGGGGGCCUUGUCCUAGUUUUCAAACAGUAAUUUGUUUCAGUCAUGUAUUAGAGAUUUCGCAGACAGUUGUUCAAAUGUCGAUAUAUGUUGUGGGACAUUAUUUCCCCUUUGUUUAUUUCAUUUGAUUUAUGACCAUGUUUUCUAUAAUAUUGUGUAUCUUCCGCAUAUCUUAUUAUUAUAUGAAUUAUGUGCAUGAUUACAAGAUAGAUAGGGGCAUUUUUGGGCCUUCAUGGUUCGGAAUGCUUGUCACGGCCAGGGCCCCAGUUUGGAAUGAGGCGCACUCUUUAUCGCACAUAUUAGGUUGUGUGUCGCACACCUUAUGGCAUAAGUUAGGGUGUGCAUCGCACACCUUAUGCUGCACAACACACUCCACUUUGCAUAGCCAUAACUUCUUCCUCGGGUGUUGGAUUUUUGCAAAAUUGGUAUCGUUAGAAAGAUAAUUCGAAGACCUUUUAUUUGACAUAUAGUAGGUACUCUAAUUCAAUAAAUACAAAUAGUAAUGAAUGAUUAAUGUUGACCCAUGUUUUGACGCUUACUAAAACUCAAUCGAUGGAAAAGCUUUCAACUCGUCCUUGAGUUAGGGGAGCUUUAUGAUCUCAAUUCAUGCUCAACUAGAUUUAUACACCAUAUAGUUGAUUAAAACACUAUAUUCACAAUAGAUUUAUGUUUUUUGGAAUGUGUACAAUUAGAAAUGACAAUUUAUGUUCAAGUUUGAAAGUAUGGGGUGUUAAAAAAAAUUAUUGGGUUAUUGGUUUGGUUCAAUUUUUUCUUAUUGGGUUAUUGUGUAAACCGAUAACCUAAUAAGAAAAUAUAUAUGACUUAUUAUAUAUUUAUCUUUUAUUUCUACAAAUUAACAAACCUAUUAUUGGGUUAAAUGAGAAGCUUGGAGUUUUUUGAUAGAGUGUAUUAAAAAAUUAAUAAAAAAAACAACAAUAAAUUUAUUGUAUUUCCACAUAGUGGGGUUUGGAGAGGGUAAGAUGUACGUAGUCCAUAUCACUAGCUCCAGAGAAGUAGAAAGACUGUUUCUGAUAGACUCCCGGCUCAAGACAAGGAAUAAUAAUCAAAUCUGUGAUAAAGCAUGAAAUAUAUUACGUAAAAAUUAAUGCAUCCAUUAAUUUAAUGUGUAUUAGUAGUUCCUUGUUUGAUAUAUAUCUUUUUAUCUUAUGUAUAACUAAUGCAAAAAUUAGUUAUAUACUCUAUUGUAUAUUGAGGUAUGUAUUACUAAUACCUCAAAAUUUAUGACAUUUGUAAUUCAUGUUAUUUUUAAUACAUUGAAUCAAAUACUGUAUAAAAAACAACAACACCCAGUGUAUUCCCACAUAGUGGGGUCCGGGGAGGUCAGUGUAUGCAGAUCAUAUCACUACUCAGGUGAAGUAGAGAGGAUUUUUUCAAUAGACUCCUAGCUUAGGAUCAUAAUAAUACACCAAACAUAAAAGAUAAAUGCAUAUAAACUAAUACGAUACGCAAAGUAAAACUAACAAUAUAACAAAUAUCAAAGAAAAUGUAUAUAAAUUAGUACCGUAUGAAAAAAUAGCCAAUCUACCAAGAAGUGUCAGCUUUGUGUUGGGUGGUUGGUAGUCAAGAAAGUGUCAGCUUUCCCAAAAAGAAAAACCCCAAUAAAGAAAGAAGUCCCUCCACUUUCACCAUUGAUUCAAUGUUAUUUUUAAUACAUAGAAUCAAAUACAGCGUAAGAAAAUAGAAGCAUAAUUAAUUCAAAUAUUAUUAAAGGAGGAUAGUCUAGCCUAAAACUAAGACAAGUGUCAUAUUGAGAACUACCUAUUAGAAUUUUUACAACAAAAAACCAUCAUUUCAUAACAAAAAGCUAUUUUGUUGAUUAUUUAAAUAUUUAAUAUUAUUUCAUAUUUCAUAUUUAAUAGAUUACAUUUCAUAUGUUUUUCAUAAUAGUAUUAUAAGAAAAUAAAUAUGAAUGAUUUCAUUACAAUUGACUAAGAGAAAUGUUACAAGAAAAAAUUAUUUAAGAGAAUAACCAAUUAAUAAAUAGUAACUGAUCAAUUUAUAUAGAAAAUAUUGUAAUCAUUCUGAAUAAAAAAAAUUAAAAAAAAGUGUCAUCCCUCAAAAUAAUUAAGUUUGACCUAUUUUUGUAAACAAAUAAAUGAAUGAAUAUAAGAAAAUCCAUAAUUAGGAAAAAAAAUAAUUGUUACCAUAUUUGAAUUUUUAGAAAAUUAUAAAGAUAAUAAUAAUCAAUUGACGAUAAUUAAAUUAUAAAUUUAUAAUAAAUAUUUGAAAAAUAAAUUAUAGAUUAAUUAAAUAUAAUCAAGCUACAAAAUUAGGACAGAUUUAUGGUAAAUAAAUAUAUAAUAUUAAUAAUAAUUUUAUUGCUAUCAAAUUAAUUAGAUUAAAUUGAACUAGAAAUUAGUUAAUGAUGACAAUUACUUAAAUAAAAAAAUAUAUGAAAAGAUUCGUAAUUGAUAUGCAUAUAUUGGUAAAAAAAACAACGAACCUUGACUACUCCUUUAGCUUUAAAUAUAUUUUAAAAUUUACAUACAACAUUAAAUUAAGGAACUUGAGUCUAUGUAUUAUGAUCACAAAAUUGAUUCUAAUUAAUUGAAAUUAAUUAGUUGAUUGUAUUGUUUUAUUACAAUAAUUUAGUACCUCAUUCAUUUAUUUAAUAAAAAUACAUAUAAUUAAUUGAUUGAUUUUGUGCAAUCUACUACAAUUUUAUUAAUUCAAAUGAAAUGACUUUUAAAUGAUAGGUUUGGAUUAUAAAAAUAAUGGUGAUUAUUGUAUGAAUUUAGCAUUUCUUAAGUAUUAAAAAAGAUCUAUAGACAAAAAAAUGUCAUCCCUCAAAACAAUUAAAUUUGAACUAUUUUAGUGAAACAAUGAAAGAUUGAAUAUAAGAAAAUCCGUAAUUAAGAAAAGAAAUAACUGUCACCUUAUUUGAGUUUUUAGCAAAUUGUAAAGAUAAUUAAAUAAUCAUAUUGUAAAUUGAUAAAAAAAAAUUUGAGAAAUAAAUAAGUAAUUAGGAAAAGAAAUAAUCGUUACCUUUUUAAAAUUCUUCCCAAAAUCAUAAAGGUAAUUAAUAUAAAUUUGAUAUAACCAAACUAUAAGAAUAUGUGAAAUUCAUGGGAUUAAAUUUUUGAAAUUAUAAAAGUAAGUAAUAUCAAUUGUUUCCAUAUUUGAGUCCUUUAUGGAAUUGUAGAUUAAUUAAAUAUAAUCAAGCUAUAAAAUUAGGAUAGAUUUAUUUAGAUUAAAUUGAGCUAGAAAUCAGCUAAUAUUGACAAUUAUUUUGAUAAAAAAUAUAUACAAAGUUUCGUAAUUGAUAUACAUAUAUUAGUAAAAAAAAAAAACAAUGAACACUAACUAAUACUUUAUCCAUAAAUAUAUUUUAAAAUUUACAAUAUUAAAUUUAAGGAAAUUGAGUCUAUAUAUUAUGAUCAUAUAAAUGAUUCUAAUUAAUUGAAAUUAAUUAGUUGAUUGUGUAUUGUGGGAAUACACUGGGUUUUUUGUUGUUGUUGUAGUUGAUUGUGUAGUCUUAUUACAAUUAUGUCGUAUAUUAUUUAUUUAAUAAAAAUAAUAUAAUUAAUUAAUUAGUUUUGUACAAUAUACUAUGAUCUUAUUAAUUCAAAUGAAAUGAUUUUUAUAUGGUAAGUUUGGGUUAUAAAAAAAAGGAGAUUAUUGUAUGGCUUUAUCAUUUCUUAUGUAUUAAGAAAAUUUUUGAGACAAAAAGAUGUCAUCCCUCAAAACAAUUAAAUUUGAACUAUUUUAGUAAAACAAAAAAAGAUUGAAUAUAAAAAAAUCCGUAAUUUAGAAAAAAAUAAUUUCUACCUUAUUUGAGCUUUUAGAAAAUUAUAAAGAUAAUUAAAUAAUUAAUUGACUACAAUCAAAUUAUGAAUUUAUAUGAAUUUUUUGAGAAAUAAAUCAGUAAUUAGGAAAAAAAAUAAUCGUUACCUUUUUUAUAUUCUUCCCAAAAUUAAAAAGUUAAUUGAUAUCAAUUUAAUAUAGUCAAUCUAUAAAAAACAUAAGAAAUUCAUGGGAUUGAAUUGCCGAAAUUAUAAAGGUAAUUAAUAUCAAUUAUUUUCAUAUUUGAGCCCUUUAGGUAAUUGUAGAUUAAUUAAACUACAAUAAAGCUAUAAAAUUAGGACAGAUUUAUGGUAAAUAAAUAUAUAUAAUUAAUAAUAAUUUUAUUUUUAGCAAAUUAAUUAGAUUAAAUUGAGUUAGAAAUAAGUAAAUAUUGACAAUUAUUUUAAUAAAAAAUAUAUGCAAAGUUUCAUAAUAGCUAUACAUAUAUUGGUUACAAAAACAACGAACACUAUCUUCUACUUUAGCCAUAAAUAUAUUUUAAAAUUUACAACAUUAAAUUUAAAGAACUUGAGUCUAUAUGUUAUGAUCAUAAAAUUGAAUCUAAUUAAUUAAAAUUAAUUAGUUAAUUGUAUAGUUUUAUUACAACAAUUUUGAACAUCAUUUAUUUAAUAAAAAUACAAAUAAUUAAUUGAUUGAUUUUGUGAAAUGUACUAUGAUAUUAUUAAUUAAAUGGAAUUAUUUUUAAAUGGUAAGUUUGGAUUAUAAAGAUAAAGGAGAUUAUUGUAUGACUUUAGAAUUUCUUAUGUAUUAAAAAAGAUUUAUAGACAAAAAUAUGUCAUACCUCAAAACAAUUAAAUUUGAACUAUUUUAGUAAAACAAUAAAAGAUUGAAUUUAAGAAAAAUUGUUAUUGAGAAAAAAAUAAUUGUUACCUUAUUUGAGUUUUUAGCAAAUUAUAAAGAUAAUUAAAUAAUCAAUUAACUAUAACCAAAUUAUAAAUUUAUAUGAAAUGUUUGAGAAAUAAAUUAGCAAUUAGGAAAAAAAUAAUCAUUACCUUUUAAAAAUUCUUCCCAAAAUAUAAAGGUAAUUAAUAUCAAUUUGAUAAAAUCAAACUAUAAGAAUAUGAUAAAUUCAUGGGAUUAACUUUUUAAAAUUUUAAAGGUAAUUAAUAUCAAUUGUUUCCAUAUUUGAGUCUUUUAUGUAACUGUAGAUUAAUUAAAUAUAAUCAAGCUAUAAAAUUAGGAAAAUUAUGGUUAACAAAUAUAUAAUAUUAAUAAUAAUUGUAAUGUUAUCAAACUAAUUAGAUUAAAUUACGGGAAAUCAGUUAAUAUUGAUAAUUAUUUUAAUAAAAAAUAUAUGCAAAGUUUCGUAAUUGAUAUACAUAUAUUGAUUAAAAAAAAAAACGAACAUUGAUUACUACUUUAGCCGUAAAUAUAUUUUGAAAUUUUCAACAUUAAAUUUAAGGAACUUUAAUCUAUAUAUUAUGAUCAUAAAAUUUAAUCUAAUUAAGUGAAAUUAAUUAGUUGAUUGUGUAGUCUUAUUACAAUUAUAUCGUACGUUAUUUUUUUAAUGGAAAUAUAUAUCAUUUAUUAACUGAUUUUGUAUAAUCCACUAUGAUCUUAUUAAUUCAAAUGAAACAAUUUUUAAAUGGUAAGUUUUGACUAUAAAAAGAGAGGAGAUUAUUGUAUGACUUUAGUAUUUCUUAUGUAUUAAAAAAAGAUCUAGUGAUAAAAGAAGUACAAUAUUACAAUAUUUUUGGGUUAUUUAAUUAAUUAUCACGUUUCAAAAUAUUGUUUAUAUCAAUUCAGUGAUGUUUAUAUGGAAGAGUUAAAUUUUGAAAAAAUAAAGAUAAUUAUAUUAAAUUACGGUAAAAAUCAGUUAAUAUUGACAAUUAUUUUAAUAAAGAAUAUAUACAAAGUUCCAUAAUUGAUAUACAUAUAUUGAUUAAAAAAGCAACGAACAUUGACUACUACUUUAGCCAUAAAUAUAUUUUGAAAUUUACAACAUUAAAUUUAAGGAACUUUAGUCUAUAUAUUAUGUUCAUAAAAUUUAAUCUAAUUAAGUGAAAUUAAUUAGUUGAUUGUGUAGUCUUAUUACAAUUAUGUCGUACUUUAUUUAUUUAAUGGAAAUAUAUAUCACUUAUUAACUGAUUUUGUACAAUCUACUAUGAUCUUAUUAAUUCAAAUGAAAAAAUUUUUAAAUGGUAAGUUUAGACUGUAAAAAGAAAGGAGAUUAUUGUAUGACUUUAGUAUUUCUUAUGUAUUAAAAAAAGAUCUAGAGAUAAAAGAAAUACAAUAUUACAAUAUUUUUGGGUUAUUUAAUUAAUUUAUCACGUUUCAAAAUAUUGUUUAUAUCUAUUCAGUGAUGUUUAUAUGGAAAAGUUAAAUUUUGAAAAAAUAAAUAUCUUAAAUUUCAUCAUUUAAGUUAAUUUGAAAAAGUUAAUUCAUAGUUUACAUUUUAUUUCUUUUAUAUGGAAAAUUUGACCUCAUAUGGCUAUUUAUAGCCAUUGAAUAACACAAAAUAUUUGUUACACUUUUCUUCUCUCUCUCUUUCUCUCAUGGGUAUUUCUCAAGUUUUUCAUUUUGAGUAUGUAAAUAUUCACUUCCCAUAUUUAUGGAUCCUUAUAAAUAUUCACUUGCCAUAAACAUAUCCUUGUAAAUAUUUACUUGCAAUUUACAGAUCCUUUUUAGUUGUAUAUGUGCAUUGUAUGAUGAUAAAUGAAAGACACAGAAAAAAAUUUUCUUCAUUGUAGUCUUUUGCUAUUUGUACAUUUCAAGAAAAAAUGACAAGAAUCCUACAGAUUCUGACAACCUUUUGCCGGCUCUUACUCUUUCAACUCUUUGAUUCAGUAAUUUCUCUUUUUUUUUAAUUAUUUACCAUGAUUAUUUGUAUUAUCAGAAGGAUUUGGUAAGUUCUUUGGAUUGUUCUUGUACUAUUUGUUUGUGGGGUAUUUUAUUAAUUUUCAGUAGAAGACUAGUAGUAAAUAGUUUCGUGUCAUGUCUCUUCUGAUUGUAGUAUUAGUAUAUAUUUUUCUUUUCUACUUGUUGUAUCCUAUACCUCUGUUUUCUUACUUUCUACUGUUGUUAAUAUCCUCGUGUUUUUGCUUUCCUUGCCGAGGAUUUAUGGGAAAUAAAUUUUCUACUUGCCAAGGUAGGGGUUACGUAUAUUGUUGUUGAAGAAGAAGCACGUAGAAAGAGAGAUGUUUUGCUUUGUCUCAUAACUUGUAGUAUUUUCAUGAAUGGAUAAUGAUUUGUAAGUGGCUGUUUAUGAUGAAGAACAACUUGUUCUUCUUUCGAUCAUCAACUAAUGAUGCAAACAAGACCCCUUCACCACCAUUAGAGUCCAAGGAAGUUUCUUCUUGGAGGAGUGUUUCAUUAUCAUCUGGAUCCUUCUAUGACAGCGGGUCAGGAAAAAAGAAUUUCACAGAUCUGAGCAAAUCUCCCCAUAGUCACAGUAAGAAAGUUCAUCCUAAGAAAUAUGGUCGUGAUUCAAGCUGGUAUGUAUAUCAUUUUUCUGUAGCUUCCUUUUUCACACUUAAACUAAUGUUUUAAUUUACAUUUACUUGUCCAAAGUAAUGACAAAUAUUUCUUCUCGGCAGAGACCUUAGCGUUCCAGUAUUGAUUCGGACUAUUAGAAGAUUGACAAAGGAGAAGGUACAAAUGGCUUCUGAAGUUUCAAGCAUGCUACGAAAUCAAGUUGCUGAAAGGGCUUCUGCUAAGGAAGAAGCCAGCAUAUUACAGGCAGAACUAGAUUCACAGACACAAAGAUUAGAGACAGUACUAAAAAAAGAGUUGGAUAGAAGAUCCAGCGAUUGAUCUCUAAAACUUGAGAAAUACCAAAUUGAACAACAUAGACUCCGUGAAAGGGUGAGGGAGCUUGCAGAGCAGAAUGCCUCUCUACAAAGGAAAGUCUCUUUAUUUAAUGAGAAGGAAGUAUAUAAUAGAAUAAAGAUCUCAUUUUUGGAGAAAUGCGUUGAAGAUUUGUCUAAGAGAAUAGAGCAAGUAUCAGAGGAGAAUUAAAAUCUAAGGCAGCAACUUGCUCAGUUAAAAGUGGAAAAUCGAGUAGCUCAAGACAAUAGAGAUUAUGUCCGGGAAAACUACUAGGAAAAGGUUAAAGAGCUUAAAUCAGAGACUUUGCUAACAACUAUGCUAAGGGAGAAGCUCUAUUCCGAGGAGAUGGAUAUAAAGAAACUUCAGGCUGAUCUAGCCGCAAUAGUUAGAGGUAACGGCAUUCUCAAAUGUGAAGUGUAAAAUGCACUGGACGCUCUUUCUUAUGCCACACCUAAGUUGAAAUAUCUCGAGCUUCAGGUAAACAGGCAAUGUUAAGAUCUCGUUGCAACGAAAUAGUUUUUAUUUUUUAACUUUGGAUACCUCAUCUUCAUAUAUGAUAGCCUAUUCACACGUUACUCUCUCUGCAUUAGCUUUCUACUUCUGUUUGAUUUUAGGUUCAUCUUUGUUCCAUCUGAAGUUCACGAUUUUCUUUAUGAACUUGUAUACAUGAGUUGCUGGCAUGUGGUAGUCUUCUGUGAAAUAUCCGAUCGUCUUAAUGUGUAAUAACUUGAACCAACCAAGAACAUGAUAUACUUUGUGAUAUCCUCAAACCUAUUGAUCUGAUUGUGCUCUAAUGUGGUAAAGUUACCCGAAGGGGUUUCGGUAAGUUUUCUCGUUCAUCUGACUUAAUUCUUGGAAAAGUUCAUGAGUUAUCUAUUGUGAAUUUUAACAGUUAAAAAAGAUUCAUGAUUUGGUUGAACUUCUAGGCUAUGAGUUUGUUUUGAAUUUCUGAUGAAAUGUUAUUGGUGAUCUUUGUGUCUUUCUUGUUUUUCAUGGUUUACGGUUGAUUCUGGAAGGUGCUAAAAAAGGACGAAAAUAUCAACNNNNNNNNNNNNNNNNNNNNNNNNNNNNNNNNNNNNNNNNNNNNNNNNNNNNNNNNNNNNNNNNNNNNNNNNNNNNNNNNNNNNNNNNNNNNNNNNNNNNNNNNNNNNNNNNNNNNNNNNNNNNNNNNNNNNNNNNNNNNNNNNNNNNNNNNNNNNNNNNNNNNNNNNNNNNNNNNNNNNNNNNNNNNNNNNNNNNNNNNNNNNNNUAAUCUUGAAAGACUUGAUAGGCAAACCUUUCGAUCUUCUUGCAAGUCCUGAUUCUCUGUUGGAGUGAUGGAUGCUAAAUUGCCAAAAUACAAUUCAUAUUUUGUUCAUUGACUAUAGUGUUCAUAAUUCUCGUAUACUUACUGGUUUUACUCUUAUUCUUUCCCCCCUUUGAUACUUCUUAAAUAGAAAGUUUGAUUCUUCGUUUAGCAACCUUUUUGAAUCUCCAAUUGUAAGCAUUUCUCUUACUUGCUGGUGAUCAAGACAAUGAACUUCUUUUGCUUCAUUUGGUUUUGUAAGUAUUGGCUUUUUUUUUUAUCUUAUGAAGUAUUUAGGGACGAUUGGUGCUACCAUUUUCUUUUCGUCUCUGAGGUAGAGGUAUGGUUUGCAUAUUUUCUACCCGAAUAUACAUCAGGUAUGUUGUUGCUGUUGUAUGGAGAUUGUGUGUACAAUAACAAUCGUAUAUUUGAUGUCGGGUCAUCCAUACUUUCAUUCCUUGCAGGGGAAAGCUGAUUAAGCUUACUGAGUUAACAUCUCAUUGAUGUAUUCUUUCACUAAGGUUGUCAUUGGGUAGCUAUAAAAAGUACUUGUCUAACUGGGCAUUUCAUGUUUAGUUUGUGCAUAUAUUAAGUAACGUCAAAAAUUUUAACCAUAUAACUUUACCUCAAAAUGGUGCAUGGACCAGAGCUGCUCCUAAAUCUGGUCGGUUGGCAGACUCUUCCACUUGAUCUGCAAUCAAAUGCCUGCUUUGUCUCAGUACAUUUGAUUCUGUUGUGCUCAUUCACACAUGGUUUAUGCCAAGUAUGUGAGACAUAUACAGAAGCCUCUAGUUUCAUCUUCUUUAUAUAGUUUUAAACUUCAUUUGACUUGCUAUGAGGGAGUUCCACCCUACCCUCUGAUCAUUCUUUCAGAUACCCUAUUUCAUUUGCCUCCACCAUGUUUAAAAUUUUCCUUCUGGUACCUGAUGCUUCACCUACCGCAUUAAAUGUUGUUUGAACAUUUUUAAACUAUGCACUGCGUUCAAUUUCAAAAAAUGAAAAAAAACUAUGCACUGUAGAACAUUUUGAUAAUUUUUUGGUAUAUCAGUAUGUUCUUUAUGUUUAUGCUUACAUCAAGCAGAUACAGUUAUUAUGAAGGUGGAAUUGGUUUCUGUACCAUUUUCGUUUUGCGUGUAACUUCUGAAGUUAUUUGGGAUCCAUUAUUUAUAUGUCAAUGAGAGUCUUUGAUGUCUUUCCUGAUAAUGUUUACGCUUACAUCAAACAGACAUAGUUAUUAUGAAGGUGGAAUUAGUUUCUGUACCAUUUUCCUUUUGUGUGUAACUUCUGAAGUUAUUUGGGAUCCAUCAUUUAUAUAUUAAUGAGAGUUUUUGCUGUCUUUCCUAAUAUUAAACCUGUCAUUUUUUCUUUAACAUGUCUAAUCUCCUGUAUACCUGGCUUUCUGAUCUUCAAUGAUGCAAACAAUUUCCUUUUAAGAACUUGCACUUACCUAAUUCCUAGUAGGACAAUCUUAGAAUCUUCUAUGCUGAACGAUGACUAUUGGUGGUUAUUUUUUUUGCCAGGAGGUUGCAUUGGAAGGUACAAGCAUACAUAAUAUUGGUAAAACCAGCAAGCACCAUAUUUUUUGAAAAUGAUAGCAUAUAUACUAUGUAGGUAGUAUUUUCUUUACAAAAAUGAGCCUCUGUGUGCUUACAAGGCCUCCAAAGUUGCAAAAUGGAUUCAGCACCCUCUACAAGAAACUCUUAAUGUCAAAAUAAUAAUUUGUCUGAUCUUAUCUGCAACAAGAAUGACGAGCACUGCGUUCAGUUUGGAGCCUGUCCCUAAGCUCGUCUAGAGUUAUCCUUAUCUUUAUUGCCUUUUAUUUGCUUGUUAUCUUUGUUCUUGAUAGAACCUGCAUUUGAGAAGCUUGUGUUGUUGUCUCAAGUUAAUGUUUAAGUUUUCUUUCCUUACUGCAAUGCAUCAAAAUUCAACUUGUGGUGCUGCUGAAAAUGUUGGAAUGACUGCAAAACCUAAUGGCAUAAUGCAUGUACCUGUACGUUCUGAUAGACCCAAUACAUUCAGUAACAACAACUCAUCUAUUCUCUCUUACAUACAAAAAACAGUUGAUAUUCCUUCUCAAACAGUAGGUCCAUCCAUGUUUGAGCUUCCGGACCAUGCUUUUGUUGGGCCUGGGCAUGAAGGUGGUGUUAGAGUGGAUGAAAGUCCCACAUUAUUGGGGAGUGAAUUGUCGGUCUUCUUAUAUGGACUUGAGCAAUCCUCCCCUCAUGUGCUAGCUUUUGGGGUAGAGUUAGGCCCAAGAUCCUUUCUUUACCUAAUCAACCAUCUUUUCUUACAUUGGAAAUAGAAAGAGCAGCUGUAGAGAAUGUUUUCAACCUUAAGGGGAUCAGGUAGGUAGAACCUGGGAGCAUUAAAAAAGUACUAAGCAACUGGAAUGGGGAUGUAAAUGUAAUAAAAGAGGAGAUAUGGAAAAUUGUUCAACAUGUAUAUGGUGGACAGUUUGGACAAAAAGAAACAAGGGUUGUUUUGAGGAUGUCUAGAAGAUCAACAUGAAUAGUUUAGCACUUCUUUAUUUUUGGUGUAAACACAAUGAUUAGCUCUAACAGAAGACAUCAUUGAUGUGCUAGACUGUUUAUAGGCAAUUGAAAGACAGAGUAAGAUGUAAUACUUUUUGAAGGGGGACAUCAUUCUUGUUGGCUAGGGAUUUAAACAAAGAUGGGAAGAGCUCUAUAUAAAGGACAGGGAUGACUAAUAUGACAACUUUUUUUUUGGAUAGAACAUAAUUUUUGUUAUAAGAUAUGGAAGAUAUGAAGAUAGGACAAAAUGUUCUCAACUAACAAACUUUUAAAAUUAAGAGCCAAAGAAUGCUAAACACUGGGUGUAACUCAAAUCUAUUUGAAUAAAAGGAAUACUAACUCUGAGAGAACAAAACACACUCUCCAGUAGUCCAGUAAAAAUAGUAGAUCUUAAAAUCCCACUGCUAAGCAAAUUAAUUUAAAUGCUGCUUUAGAUUAGAAAGUCACCUUGUUAUAUUAUGUGUUCAGUGGGUUCUCAUAUAUACUGCUCAUCAUAUUUUCUGCACUAUCUUUUUAACAUUUCUCUGAAGUCUAUAAUUUACUCUUCUUCACUUUGAACUUGGGCUCUGCAGGGCUCUGCAUCUUGGACUUCUAUAUGUUGGUUCACUUCUAGUACUUCUUGUGUAUUCUAUGUUGUAUGGCCUGACAGCAAAGGAAUCAAACUGGCUUAGGGCUACAACAUUAGCUACCGUGAUAAUCCUUGGUAGUUCAUUUCCAACAUAUAUCUUUCUCCUUUUCUGACAUGUAUUAUGAAAUAAUUUCUUAUUUCUUUGUGGUAAGUAAUGAAUUCACUAGCUUUUCAUUCAAUCAGAUUGGAACUUGGGAUCUUGCUUGUAUGGUUUUAAGCUUCUAAAAAGUCGAGUCAUCAUACUUUUUGUUGUUGGUACAUCUCGGGUGUUCCUAAUCUGUUUUGGAGUUCAUUACUAGUUUGUUGUUAACCUAUGCUAAUUCAUUUUCUUCCAUAAUCAAUUCUUCUUAUACUUGUGGCAUAUGCAUCCCUUUUAAUAUUAUUUGUUGAAUAGAAACUUCUAAUCUUUUGUUAUAAAAAAAAUCCUCUAAUCUUUUACUGCAAUAGUUUUGUUUCAGGUACUUUGGACAUUGUAUCAGUUAUGCAGUUAUAGCAUCUGUGCUGUUGCGUGCUAUUGUUUCACGGCAUUUAUCAGUUACAGACCCAUUAGCAGCUAGACGAGAUGCCUUACAGAGCACAGUUACCUUAGAGAAGGUUUCCACAAAAAAGACCGAAAUAGCUCCGUAAGCUCUUCUGAGGGGUGUGGCUCAAGUGCCAAACGUAGUAGUAGUGCUGAUGCUAGUUAUCUUGGUAAUGCAACGGUGCCUUGCACUGCUGAUGGCAGUACCUGGAAUAAUAUUGAGGGGAUUAAUAGUAAUAAGAGCAUAGACAGUGGAAGACCAAGUCUAGAUCUAUGUAGUAGUUCCUGUCAUUCAGUUGUUCAAGAGCCUGAAGUAGGAUCAUCAUAUGUUGACAGAAAUUUAGAGCAUAAUUUGGUUGUUUGUUCUAGCAGUGGCCUUGAAAGCCAAGGUGGUGAUUAUAGUACAUCCACUUCCGCAAACCAACAGAUACUGGACUUGAAUUUGGCACUUAAAUUUCAAGAAAAGUUGAGUGAUCCCAGGAUUACAUCAUUUUAAAGUGGAAAAGAAGACACACUGAUCGUGAAUUAGCUAAUUUAUUGCAAGAUAAAAGGCUUGAUCCUAAUUUUGUAGUGAUGCUGAAAGAGAAUGGGUUGGACCCAAUGAUUCUAGCCUUGUUGCAGAGAAGUAGUUUGGACGCUGAUCGAGAACAUCACGACAGUAACCCUCCUGUCACUGAUUCAAGUGAUGUUGAGGAUGUGUUACCUAAUCAUAUUUCAUUCUCGGAAGAACUUAGACUCCAAGGAUUAGGAAAGUGUCUUCAACGUUGUAGAGUAAUGUCGCAUCAUGUAAUAGGAACUCCAGAUCAAGCAUGGCUUCUUUUCAGUUUAAUCUUCAUUCUUGAAACUGUCGUUAUGGCUAUCUUCCGACCAAAAACAAUAACACUUUUGAAUGCUACACACCAAUAGGUAAGAAAUGCAUUAGUACUUUUAAAGUUCAGUUUGGCGUAUUUGGAGUACGGUGCAGCUAAAAUGUACUCCAUAUGGUUGUAUUUUCCAUUUUAUAACAAAAUUUUGUAACACCCCGCAUUUUGGACGAGAAUGAAAAUCGUCAUUUUUUUCACAUAAAGGUUCCAAAAGACAUAAAUCCAAUGCAAUUUUAGUGUGUUAAUAAAUUAUGUAGUGUGGAAACCUAUUUGAGCAUGAAUUGAGAUCAUAGAGGUCCCCAAGCUUAAGGACAAGUUGAAAGUUUUCCUAUCAUUUGAAUUUUAGUGAGUGUUGAAACUUAGGUCAAAUUCAAUCGACCAUUACUCUUUUUAUAUAUUGAAUUAGAGUGCCUACUAUAUAUCAAAUGAAAGGUAUUCGAAUUAUCUUUCCAACGAUACCAAUUUCGCCAAAUUCCAACACCCGAGGAAAAAGUUAUCGCUUUGCAAAGUGGAGUGUGUCGUGCAGCAUAAGGUGUGCGACGCACACCCUAACUUAUGCCAUAAGGUGUGGGACACACAACCUAAUGUGUGCAAUAAAGUGUGAGCCGCAGAACCUAUAUUAUGCGAUAAGGUUUGCGCCGCAUAUAUUAUUACUCAAGUGACUUAAACACUCCAUUUUUGGGGCAAAAUGGUCCUUUUCCCACCCUUAUUUAGCCAUAAACACAAAAUUUAGUUCCCAAAAUACACCUUCAUUCAUCAAAAUUGCUCAAGAACUCUCCUUAGACAAAAUAAAAACCCAAGCAAUUCAAGAUUCAACCGUGGGUUUUUGAAACUAAUUGCAUAUUUAGAAUCCCCAGAAUGUAAGAUUCAAGAAGCACCUAUCAUCUUUCCAUAUAGAGGUACGGGGGGUUAUCUCAAAAAUCUCAUGGGCUUAAAAAUUUAUGUUUUAAAAAUGGGAAUUUUUAAAUUAUGAAUAAAAUCCCGUUUUAAAUGUUUAUGAUAUUGAUUUGGUCUUUAGGCCUAUUCCCGAAGUGGUUUGAUAUAUGUAUAUGCGUGUAUUUCGAAAAGAUGUUAACUUGAGAGGAUGAAUUAUAUGAAAUCCCUCUUUUUAUAUGAUCUCAUUUUAAAUUCUCAUAUGAUGUGAAAUAUUUGAAAUCAUCUUGACAAGUGAGACAUGAAACAUUUUGAAAAUGGUCAUGGUUUUGACUUGCAAUAAGAGGGUUGUUAUGUUGAAAUAUGAUGAAUAUAAUGGUUGCAUGAAAGAAUGAUGUGAUAUUGAUGGCUUGCAAGUCGGGUAUGACGAUACCCUACAAAUAAGAUAUGUGAUUGAAUUAAAUGGAUUUUGAUGCAUUGAUUUUACAUGAUAUAGGUAGAUACCCGAAAAAGGCGUUUGAGUGUAAGGGCUCAUUGCUGGAAACCGUGUUUACCGACAUCGGAAUUUGACACCAGGCUAAGUGAUCUUGUGUACUUGACUUUAUAUCAUUCCCAAAUUAGGACUAUGGUUAGGAGCCCAGGCUAAGUGAUCUUGGAAACUACUAUACUUUAUUAGGUCGAGACACCCUGGCUGUGUGAUCUUGUGUAUCUUCCUCUCACUUAUACUCUAAUCUCGGUGGCAGCUGAGAUUUGACAGUUAGUGUAAAUAUUAUAUGUAGGGUAUUCCACCUAGCUCAGCUGCAUUACAUUGUUGUUGAAAACUAUUAAAUUAUGCCCAUGUGUUUUCAAAUGAUUUGAUGUGGAACUGCUUUAUAAUGGCUCUCACCUAUAUUUGGAAAAAAAAGUUAUAUUUUGUUUUUGGUUUCUCUGUGUACUAGUACUUUUGCAUUGACCUCAUUCCCUCCCAGGUUUGGAGGCAUAGUUUAGGGGUCCAGAUAACCAGUAGAUUUCUUUACGCAGAUUUGCAGAAUCAAGUAGUGAGCCUUCUAUAUUUCAGAAGGCCUGAUAUCUGUCAGUUCAUUUAUCAUUUAGUAGUUUUGGGUCUACUGGGGGCCUUGUCUUAGUUUUCAGACAGUACUUUAUUUUAGUUAUGUAUUAGAGAUUUCACAGACAGUUGUUCAGAUGUCGAUAUAUGUUGUGGGACAUUAUUUCCCCUUUAUUAAUUUCAUUUGAUUUAUGGCCAUGUUUUUCGUAAUAUUGUGUAUCUUUUGCAUAUCUUAUUAUCAUAGGGGUAUUUCGAGCCUUCAUGGUUUGGAAUACUCGUCACGGCUAGGGCCCCGGUUUGGGUCAUGACAAACUUGGCAUCAAAGUACGGUUCAUGGUCCCAGGGUUUCUGUGAAAUCGUGUUGGGUAGAGUCUUGUUUAUGGGUGUGUAUCACGCCACACUUAUAAGCAAGAGGCUACUAGGCGUUUAGGAACAUCUCUCUUUCUUCAUGUUCUAGUUCGUGCAAUUAAGUCAGAAUGUUCCUCUUUCAUACUCUAAUUCGUGCUAUGGUGUCUCCCAUACAAAAGUAAAAAAAAAUCAUCCCAAAUUCUUUCCUUACUUUAAUGUCCUCAGAUAUGUCUCAUUAUUGAGCUGAUUCAAGUGCAGAAGUUUAGAAUCUAAAUGGUAUGGUCCUUUCUGAUUGAAUAAUAUAAGAGUUAAAAUUUGUGCAAAGACUUGAGAAGAGUCUGUUAGUGCUUCAAUGUGUAUUGAUUCUGAUGUAAACAUUGAUCCUGAUGGAAUCGUGCUUUUCAGCUUGAGGUAUUAAUUGCAUUUAGUCCCCUUCAAAUUUAUGUUACAAAUGUCUUGCUUAAGNNNNNNNNNNNNNNNNNNNNNNNNNNNNNNNNNNNNNNNNNNNNNNNNNNNNNNNNNNNNNNNNNNNNNNNNNNNNNNNNNNNNNNNNNNNNNNNNNNNNNNNNNNNNNNNNNNNNNNNNNNNNNNNNNNNNNNNNNNNNNNNNNNNNNNNNNNNNNNNNNNNNNNNNNNNNNNNNNNNNNNNNNNNNNNNNNNNNNNNNNNNNNNNNNNNNNNNNNNNNNNNNNNNNNNNNNNNNNNNNNNNNNNNNNNNNNNNNNNNNNNNNNNNNNNNNNNNNNNNNNNNNNNNNNNNNNNNNNNNNNNNNNNNNNNNNNNNNNNNNNNNNNNNNNNNNNNNNNNNNNNNNNNNNNNNNNNNNNNNNNNNNNNNNNNNNNNNNNNNNNNNNNNNNNNNNNNNNNNNNNNNNNNNNNNNNNNNNNNNNNNNNNNNNNNNNNNNNNNNNNNNNNNNNNNNNNNNNNNNNNNNNNNNNNNNNNNNNNNNNNNNNNNNNNNNNNNNNNNNNNNNNNNNNNNNNNNNNNNNNNNNNNNNNNNNNNNNNNNNNNNNNNNNNNNNNNNNNNNNNNNNNNNNNNNNNNNNNNNNNNNNNNNNNNNNNNNNNNNNNNNNNNNNNNNNNNNNNNNNNNNNNNNNNNNNNNNNNNNNNNNNNNNNNNNNNNNNNNNNNNNNNNNNNNNNNNNNGUUGUUUGUGGAAUUUGAAGGUAGUCUAAAUGUAUGUUUGGGUAAGUAAGAAUGAGGUGAGAAAUCCGUUUAAGUAGAGAAGAUUGUAUGGGGUUAUAAUAUAAGAUUAAGGUUGAUCAUGUCUAUUAUGUAACUUUACCCCUUGACCUUCUUUUCAUUGGUAAUUGUAAACUAACACUACUUGUGAGAAGGUAUGUAGUGAUUUUUGAGGAGCUUGUAUAGUAUGUCCAAAAUUUUAUGGACUAGCAUAUUAUGUUGCAUUUUUCAGUAGUGAUAAAUGAUUAGUACAGGACUAUAUGCUUGAAUUUAAUGUAGAAUGUGGUGGUAAAAAUAGUGGAAUGAGAUUAAUGAUGUAUGUUUUGUGGGAAAAAAUUAGUAGGCUUGAUGUGUUAAAAUAGUUAUGUGUUAAAAUAGUACGUGCUAAUGAGAUAUGAUAAGGAAGACCGUAAGGUCAAGAUCAAUUAUUUGUUGUUUGGAAGUUCUAGUGUACUAGUGUUUCUUGAUGUCUAUUUCAUGGUAUCCAAGUGAGAAUCAUGCGUAAGGUUAGUUUGUAAAAUCAUGUUUAGCACUAGACAUUAAGUUUUGAACAAUUGAUGUCCAUGAAGGGGAUGUGAUGAUUUCUUGGUUAAUGAUACUAGUUUUAAGGAAGUAAUCUAGUAGGAUUGAACAAUAUAUUUUAUUAGAUUCGUAGUGAAGUAUGAUGUUGCAUAUAUAAUGUAGAAGUAUGCCCAAGGUUAUCUGAGGUUGCGGUAUUUUCUAAGACUAUUACACGUUUUGUGUGAUGAGUGGUACCGUUGAGUUGCUAGGNNNNNNNNNNNNNNNNNNNNNNNNNNNNNNNNNNNNNNNNNNNNNNNNNNNNNNNNNNNNNNNNNNNNNNNNNNNNNNNNNNNNNNNNNNNNNNNNNNNNNNNNNNNNNNNNNNNNNNNNNNNNNNNNNNNNNNNNNNNNNNNNNNNNNNNNNNNNNNNNNNNNNNNNNNNNNNNNNNNNNNNNNNNNNNNNNNNNNNNNNNNNNNNNNNNNNNNNNNNNNNNNNNNNNNNNNNNNNNNNNNNNNNNNNNNNNNNNNNNNNNNNNNNNNNNNNNNNNNNNNNNNNNNNNNNNNNNNNNNNNNNNNNNNNNNNNNNNNNNNNNNNNNNNNNNNNNNNNNNNNNNNNNNNNNNNNNNNNNNNNAAUGAUAAAGUGUAUCUCAGAAGGUAGUAUUAACAAUGGAUUUUCCACUUUCAGGUGUAGUCAUUCGGGUUAAGUGCCAUGAUAUGCGUGUAUAGUAGUUUUCCAGAUCCCAAAAUGCAGUGAGUGUACUUCAGUUUAGAGUCUAGUAAGGGAUCUCCUAAACUUAAUAUGAUGGCUUGAAGCUAAGGAGGAGAUGAUAGAGUGAAAAACCAAGUCAGGCUUUCAGAUUCUAGUAGUGAUGUCAGUAUGACAUAGAACAUUAGAAGGGAGGAGUGAGGCUCAACCUAUUCCGGUCUCAGUAUUUUUCGGUUAUCCUAAUACCUACUCAUACCUCACGUUUCAGUUCCAUGAUCAUAGUUUUGCAUUAACAAACGUGCUUCUUUGCACCCGAAGAAAAGAUACUUAGGCCAUGAGUAACUGUUGAAUCCAAGACAUAAGGUAAAAGUGCUUAUCAUUUUGUCCAUAAGGUUAAAAUGCUUAUCAUUUUGUCCAUUCUCGUCUAAUGCUGUGAUAGGUAAUCUAUUUACUAUCUCUUUUAAUUCUAGUUUCAAGCUUUCUAUUUAUUAAAUGAAGAAAAGGGUUUCAUGUUACUAUGUGGUUUGGCUUCAAAAUUCUUGCCUUGUCCUUCAAAUUAAUUUAGGGAGUUUCGCAUGGAUACAAGCUUUCAACAUUGAUUGGAAAAUUAACUAAAUAUGAUUGAAUAGUAGCUAUAUUCUGAUUUCAUCUGUUCUUCCUUGCAUGGAUAUUGGUUGAGAAGACUCCUAUACCUCCUCUGGCUGGUCCUACUCCUGGUGCUAUUCCAUCCAUGUCACUGCAGGUAAAGUUGUGGAGGCUUAGGGGAGGGAUGAAUGACUUUUGAAUGUAGACCUUAUGAUAACUAUUUUCCCCAAGUCUUUAGCAGUUCCAGCCUAUGCUUCCAGCCCAGCAGGCAAAACCUUAUGGUUCCGGGCCAUCUCAACAAUUUCUGCCACUUGGACAUGCAAAUGUUGCGAUGUCUUAACCUUCUCAAAUCCAAUUUUCUCAACCUAUGCAACAGGUUACUGGUAGACCUGUAGUAGGAAUGUAUAGUAUGCCUCAGGAACCACCUAUUCCCCAUGAUUUUCAGCGAAAUCUUUCGAUGUCAAAUAACCACAUGCCUGGUUCUGGUGGCCCAAAUUUACCUCUUUCUUCUUCAUAUAAUGUAAGGCCUUGGGAAGAUAAGCUGUGGUUAUUGUCAAUCAGUUUCCGAUGUUCCAUUCAUAUAUUGAUGAAAUAAAUUUUGUUAUCGUCUUUAACAGCAGGUAAAUGCAGAUUCUUCUGGCUCCCAGUAUCAGACACAGAUAAAUGAUCAUAGGUUUCCAUCAGGGAUACAACCCUGGAUGCCAAUAAGUAAUCAUAAUGUCAAUUCUGCGACAACUAUGCAGAAGACUGGAGAAUUAGCAGCUCCCUUGGUUGUUCCGGUGAGAAUUCAAUUUGUUUUAUUGUACCCGUUUUGCAUUAAUAUUGUUGACAUCUGAAAUAGGAUUUUAGGUUGAAGGUGACAGGUUCUUUAUUUUUUGGGUUUCAGGAAGCAAAUUACGUAGUUGACCCUGUUAAGACUAUUUAGUCAGAUUGGAUUGAGCAUACUUCUCGAAAGGGGAAAAAGUAUGUGAUUCCCCUUUUUGAAUUGUCACCAAGUAACAUGCUUAAGUUAAUGGGUUAAUGGGUGUGUGUUGACUGAGAGAGUCAACAUUUGAAUUCUAUGAUAGUUUUUUGUAAGCAAAUUAAGAUUCCAGUGAAUAAAAAAGAUGUAAAACCGCAGUAUACAAGAAAAGGAACUCUGCAAAAAUAUCAUUGUCAUUCAAAUCCGAUCUUUUUACCACUUUGUGUUCUCCAGACAGAAAAAAGGGAAUGCCGAUUUGGAUUUCUGGAAUUCUUGCUUUUGGAUUAUAUUCACAUAGGUUACUCAUAUGAAUAGGUUAAUGUCAGCAUCACAAACACUUAAUGUCUUAUCUAUGAACAACUGGUGGAUAUGUUGUCCCCCAUCACUGCCAACAAAUCCCUCAAGUAUCCACAUCUAGUGCUUUGUACAUCAUUCUGCUUCCAUUAGCACUGGAGAUAAUAGGCCCCUUUGUUUCAGUCCGCUUUGUCAAAGUUAUCAUAUGGGCUGCCGUUCAGUGCUACCAAAUUCUACCUGACUGUUGAUCAGCAAAACUUGAUACACCUCUACCGAUAACUUCAUUUUGACCCCAUUUCUCUGUUAUCAUAAAUAUUUUACAUGUGGCUAAAUGCUAGUAGGUAUUGCUAUUUUCAGCACCUUUAGAUGACCAGUAGGACAAUUAUGGUUGCUAAUGUUGUCAUAUUUCCUAUGGCUUUAUUACUCCAACCAAUUAAUAACAUUCUUACAAUUCUUGAAUUGAUUUUUAGAUACUAUUAUAAUAGAAGGACAAAAAUCUCUACCUGGGAGAAACCUCAAGAGCUGAUGACAGAAAUGGAGUGAGGUCUCGUGUAAUCGAGAUUUUUAUGGGUAGUUUUAUCCAGUUUCCUGUGCUUAUCAAUGAAAAAAGAAGUACACAAUUCUUUUUCUAUGAAGCUUUGUAGAACCACUUUUUCUUUCCUAAGUAUAUGUGAUUUCUGUUGAAAGUUUGUUUAGCGAGCAGAUUUCCUCGAUCUUACUAUACUAUGUAGGCUUCAUUUGGGAUUUGCAUUAACCUUUUAUUUCAAAUAUAGUUCUAAAAGAUUUUAUAUUUAACACUAUUAUUCUAAAAAAUGUGUUUAAGCAUACACGACAGGAUUAUAUUUGGUCUACUUUAAACAAUUUUAUUUACUUUUUGAUUAAUGUAAUGUUAUUGUAACUCUAUGGUGAUAUGGAGAGAGAAAACUUGAUAUAAUAUUGCGGUUCACACUUCUCAUUCUGGUUUACAGAAUAACAGUUUGGCUGGUUCCACACUUGCACCACAGAGUGUGACCUAGUGGUUAAUGAAGUAGAUUGAGAACCAUGAGGUCUCAGGUUUAAUUUCCAACUGAGAUAAAAACACUAGGUGAUUUCUUACCGUCUGUCCAAGUCUUGAUGGACAGAGUUACCCAGUAUCUGUGCUGGUGGGAGGUAGCAGUACCUGGUGUAACUAGUCAAGGUGCAAGCUGUCCCAAACACGACGGUUAUCAAAGAAAAUAUGGCUGGUUGUGAGGGACAAGUAUUAAGGGACCAACAACUGGAGCUGUAAGCAAGUUUGAACAUUUUUAUUCUUUUCUUUUUGAGAUAAACAGUUUAUUUUUCUGGAGAUAUUACUUUGUAUUCGUCAGCGUUAAGGUUAUGCUAGCAGUCUAAAAGAAAUGAAAAAUAAUGAAAAUAAUGCGAGGAUUCGAAGAGAUCUACUACCUGCUAUGCAUUCUGUACAAAUUGGCCCUUAAACAAAAAACAAAAAUCUACAUUGCUAUUCCAUUUAACUUUCUGAAUGGAAUUAUAUUUAUCUUCAAAAUACCUUAAACUUUUCUUGCUCCAUACAGUCCACCAAAUACAAGGAAGGAUUAUUCUCCCCUAUUUCUUCUAACUCUUGCUAAUCCCCUCUAAUCCAACAGCUCAACAGAUUGUUGUGUGUCCUUUGGUAGUCCACUUUACAUCAACUCAAUAGAUUUGGUAUGUGUUCUGGCAUGGUCCACUUUACUUCUAUUAAACUAAAGGUGUUAAAUGGGCGGGGUUGGCUGUAUUUGGGCAGAUCAAAGAGGUCUGAGUUAAUAAAUGGGCAGGUUAUUAACCCCCCCUAAAGCUACUUGGGCUGAAAUGGGUUGGGUUGAAAUGCUCUAAAAUACGGGUCAUAACCCAACCCACCCAAUUUGAACUAAGAUUUAAUUGCUUUAUUUGCUAUUUUAUAAACUUUUAGUACUUGAAAAAUUACUAUCUUUUUUUUUUGAACUUUGUAACUUUGUAUUAUAUCACACAGUACAUGGGUUGUACUGAAACCUUUAUAUACAAGAGUACUCCUAAAUCGACUGUUCUAUAUCUAAAUUUAGUCUAGAAAAUCAAUUAUCGAGGUAGUAUCAUUAGAGUAUAGUUGAUUACACCAAAAACAUAAAAAGCAAAAUGCUAUUGAGUUUAACCUUCUGCACACUAUUCUCUAUGCUCUCAAAACAUCUAGAAUUCCUUUCUUUCCAUAUAGCCCACCAUAUAGCACCAGGGAUAAUUCUACAUCUACCUCUUUCCUUCGCAUGCACACCUGCUUCUCCUAGCACAUUAAAGUCUCGGAUACUUUCUUAGGCAUUUUCCUAGAAAUGCCUUUUAUUCUUAAGACGAUUCUCCAAAGUUGUUGGGUGUACUUACGAUGUAUAAAUACAUGGUUAACCGUCUCUAAAAUUUCUCCAUAGAGGAAACAUCUGGAGCACAAGGUUUUUCCUUUUGUUCAUGACAUUAUCUUGUGUAAGAACUACUCACUUGAUCAGUAACCAGACAAAGACAAAGCAUGACACAGUGUGAGGUAUCCUACUUUUCCAUAUUUUCUUCCAGGGCUAUCUUGGAUCCAGGUGAUUUAUUUGGUUCAUCAUCUUGUAGGCUUUGUUGAAACUGAACAUUCCUUUUUCAUUUCCCAUCCACCAUAGUAUGUCCUUCACUGUUUGCAGUCCAUUGAAUAAGUCCACGGUAUUAAAAAAUUCAACUACUCUCAUUACCUUCUGGUCAUUAAGUUGCCUUCUAAAAUUGAAGUUCCACCCAUGUAGUGUCCAUAAUUCUGCUAUUGUCCUCUAUUGAAACAAUACCAAGUUGUAGAUAUCUGGAAAAAUCACUUCCAUAUUCCCAUCCUCAUGUCAAUUAUCCUUCCAGAACCUAGUCUUGUUUCCAUCCAUCACUUUAACCCUUGAGUUGCUUUUAACUUCAUACCACUAGUGUCUAAUAGAUCUCUAGAGGCUAACCCCAUAUGGUGUGGUCACUUCUUUAGUCAUCCAUCUAUCUUCUUCAAGAUAUUUAGCCCCAAUCACUUUCCUCCAUAGAAGCUGGUUAUUGUUUGCAUAUUUCCACAACCAUUUCAUCACGAGAGCCUUACUUUUAAUUUUUAGGUUCUUUAUCCCCAACCCUCUAGUCUUCUUGUCAAUUGUCCACCAGAGAGAGCACUACCACUUUUUCUCGCAUAUCUUUGUUCCUUAUUCUAUCUCUCCUAGUAUGCAAACACACCAAUCUCAACAUCCUCAUUUCUGCUACAUUUAUCUUUCGAACAUGCGAGCUCUUGACCAGCCAAACACUCUGCCCCAUGAAAGAUAGCUAGUAUAACAACCACUUUAUAAAUUUACCUUUGAGUUUAUUUUAACAAAAUUCUUAUACAUGUCAUGCUAGUUACUAGCUUUUUUAGAAGAGCUAAUUGGGACAAAAAACACAUGUUCAAAAAUUUAUUCAUCGAAAAAAAGCAUAACUAUAGUUUAUGAGUUUCAAACGUGUCAAAAUGGAAAAAAAAUUAUGGGGGGCCUGUGUUUAGUAUGGAACUUAGAAUCUCAGUGCAGGAUUUGAACACCUUUACUGUCAUAUUCAGUCUUAUUUUUUGUGGCAAGGGUUUUCAUUAAAAAAUACUCAGAAAUAACAGAAUUUGACCUAUAUAUUUAUAUACAAAAUGCGAUUAUCAGUUGAAUAUUGUUUAGUUGAUCACCCUUGGAUACCUGUAGCUCAGCCGCAGCUUGGCAAUGUUUCCACCCUGCUUGUAGUUAUAUUCUACACAGUAUAUUCUAAUUCUUUUCCAUGUGGGACAUUAUAUCAUUCAUAUUCUAACACUUCCAUCCAGUAUUGUACUGCUGGAAGAUACUGAUUUCUAGUCUUAGGGUACUGUUUAUGUUCUAUUUUUUGACUUGACCUACUUUUAUGCAGUUUUCAUUGGGACAGAGGGCAGACGCAUCAACUGACUGGAGAGAAUUUACAAGUCCUGAGGGAAGAAAAUGUGUAACUUACAUAUUUUCUUGGCCUCUUUCCAAUUAUUCUUCUACAGUGGGUACUUUUGUGUGUUACUUGUGCAUAAUGCUGAUUGCUUUGUUUGUUUUCUGUAGGUAUUACUACAACAAGAUUACUAGAACAUCCAAAUAAAGAAUGCCUGAUGAAGUCAAGGUGAUGUUAGAUUUAAAUCCAAUAUGGGUUUGUUCUGCGCUUUAAAUAGCAUGAUAAGAAGGGAUUGUUCUGUGCUUUAAAUAGCAUGAUUAGAAGGGACAAUAUUCUAUUUUCUUGGAUGCUCUAUUCUCAUAAAGUUCAAUUGUUUAUAAAUUCACAGUUGGCACGUGAAAAGGACACUAUUUUGCAUGCUUCAAAUUUUGAAUCCAUUUCUGUUGUUAAAACAUCAUCCCGGGUGCAGAUGGUUCAUUAGGCUUGGCUCACGGUGCUAAAUCAAGCCCAAUUGCUAUGUCACCAUCUGCUAAUUUACCAACUAUUGUGGCUUCAGAAUCAUCAAGUUUAUCUAGUAAGGUUUCUUCUCCGAUGAUUGAAAUAGUCAAAAUAAAGAAUUCUUCAGAACCUGCUUUGCCAGCUGUUGCUAAUUCAGAGAAAAUUGGAACAGCAGUAAACUUGGGAAAUUCUGUCACGCCACCGGUGUAUGUUUUCAGAUUUAUAUGUUAUAAAUUUGCCUCUGGUUUGUGUUGCUUCUUAUUUAGAAUUCAAUUUUUUUGUUGUUCUGAGACUACUACAACUUAAGAUGUAGUAGUGUAUGGUGGUGGAUUUUUUUCGGAGAAUAGAGAGGUACUUUGUCCUUCAAAAAUACUUAUGAGAUUAGUUAAUUACUACUAGUUACUGGUUAAAACACCAAGAAAGCUUUUCAUAGUUGUUAUGCUGGAUGUUGAUCCAUCAAUUUUGUAGUGCAGUUGUUAGUCAACUGCUAACAGGUGAAGAAUAUGCUACAAAUUCCAAUGAGGUUUGCUUUUGUCCUUUGUGCUUGAUGUUGUGCCUAAAAUGCAGAAUGUCAAGAAAGAUGCUGCAAUAACUGAAAUCGGAGGUGCUACUCCAUCAGAUGAGAAAACAGUCGAGCUGGGACCAUUAGUUUAUGAGAGCAAAUCGGUAUAGUUGGUUAUCGAUUUUUUCCCUGUUUAAUGUAUGUUCUCGAAAUUUCUCUUAUUUCUAUUUUAAGUAUCUAAUUUUAUUUAGGAGUCAAAGAAUGCAUUCAAAACUCCUUUAGAAUCUGCAAAUAUUGGGUCUGAUUGCACGUAGGAUCAGGUUUAUUACUUGACUGUUUUGUGCGUACCAAACAAUUAAGGGGGAUCAUUUGACAUGAAUUGUAUUUGUCAGUCCAUGAGAGCAGUAAUUAAUGACGGGAUAUAUGGUGCUCUAAAAUCCCUUUGUGAGUGGAAGCAAGCUUUUAAUGAGGUAUCUCUCCAAGUCGGCAUUGGAAUGGGUUAAUUGCUGCUUCAAUGUUUCAGCAUGCCGUAUUGCAAAAAGAUAGAUUGUGUUUGAUAUCCAACUAUUUCAUGUUUGGUUGACUUAAAAAUUUUGGAAAAUAUUUUCCAAAUCAACUUAUUCUCCUUAAAUUUAAGGAAAAUGAAUUCCCUUCAAAAUAUAGGAAAAAUAUUUUCCAAAACUCUCUUUCAAUCUCACUCUUAAGUUGAAAUGUUUAUACAACUCUCAAAUGUAUUUUCUGAAAAACAUUUUUUUAUUCACCAACCAAACACUAGAAAAAAUUUUCUGAAAAAUGUUUUCCUUUCAUCAACCAAACAUAAGAAAACAAGUAAGAAACCAACAUGUUUUCUAGGAAAACAUUUUCCUUCAUACCAAACACACCCGAGGUCUAUAGUGAUCAUUUUGAAGUUGUGUUUCUGUUCCAAUAUCUGAGCCAAAAGAAAAAACUGGAAGCUGAACAAAGGUGUGUUAAAUAGAAAAAAGCUCGGGAAGAUUUCAGGAUAAUGUUAGAAGUAAGUGAAAUUUUCUUUUGUGGUUGUCUUCCAUUUGAUAUAUCAUGAUAUUCACAUUACCAGUUUCAAAAAAUAAAAAGAUAUUAUCAUAAUAUUCAUGAUGUGUUAGAGACUGGUAUUUGACUUGUUCAGAAGAAUAAGUGGUAUUUUUCACAAUAAUGUCCGUUGUUCUCAAUCUUACAGGAUUGCAAGGAGCUGUCACCAUCGUCAAGAUGGAGGUUUGUCUUUCACUUGUAAUGUUAAGUUGUCUGCUGGUUGUUUUCUAAUCUUGGUCCUUAUUUGUAUGUGUUUUGGGACCUUGAAGUUGAUCCAUUUCUUGUGUAAGUUCCAUUUGAUCCACUGACUAUUUGCUAUUGAUUAUUCAGCAAGGAAAUCUCCAUAUUGGAACAUAUUCGAACAUGAUGAACAUUUUAAUAUGGAGAUUUCCUUACUGAAUAAUCAAUGAGUAAUUACCUUCAUGAGUUCCCUUUUUGUCUUUUUGAUUUUUUCAUCCAAUAAUUUCCUUCUUUAUUUUGUUCUUGCAAAUUAGAGAUUUUGCUGCAUAUCUAGCUUUCUCAUCAAAUACUUUAGAAUCAAUAGCAAAAGACUUAUUUACAGAUGUUAUGGAUGAGCUGGAGAAACAGGUGAAAUAGGUUGCUAAUAGGAGUAUUGAAUUGUGUCAACUACAUUUGUUACACUAAGCCAUAUUUAUAGACUUUACACUACAAUCCCUUUUCAUUUGCUUUCACUUAAUGAAGGUCUGAAUCUUAAUGGUUAAGAUAUCAGCCCAUUAAGUGUUUUUUUUUAAGAUUCAACCUAUUAUUAAUAUAUCUUAAUGAAUCAGAUGUUAAACAAAGUCUGAAAAUCAUUUAGAUCCUCACUAAAACGUUCAAUUAAUUAGGUAAAAAAGAAAGUUCGUGCAUUACUAUGUGCGAAUAUACUGGGCUUGUUGUUGUUGUUGUUGUUGUUGUACAUUAAAGAAUAGAACAUACUUGGUAGGAUAAAAGCAUGAGAUUGACAUUUGAGAGUUGCCCCUCGGCUGGCUUUUUUUUAAAUAACAUAUAUUUUGUUGAGAUAAGAACAAUGAUCGGUUGUUCCUAUUAAACAUCUGUCUUGUUUCUCUUUAUGCCAAUUAGUUUCCUCUUUUUUUUACUGGAUAGUAGGUAUUUAGGCUGAUAGGAAUGGUAUUGUCGUAAACUUUUAAGUUAGGGGUUCCAUGCUUUUAAUGUAGUAUAGAUAUAGAUGAUUCUUUCAAUCUAGCAAAGCUGUAUUAAAUGCUACUUCACGGAUAAUUGUAAUUGACUUCUCCUCCGUUGAAUGUUGUUAAUGUUUAUAUUACCUUAAUUGUUAUAGUUUCUCGAGUAAAACAACUCUGAGAAGUGAUCAUCAAACUUCCAUGUUUUCACGUAGUUUCUUUGACUUUCGAGGACUCCUUUAAAGUAUCACACAACCACACCAUUGUGUUUCAGCUAAGACUGCAUUUGUUUUUAUUAAUAUUCAGACAUUUUAAUCAUUUUGAAUGCACAUCUGAAUGGUUAAGAUAUUAUCUCUAGAUCUGAAAACUAAAUGAUUAAGGUUGGGUGUUUCUCAAUAUCUGAAUGUGCAAAAUUUAUUUAUUUCUAAAUAUAAUAUAAUUAUAUAUUAGANNNNNNNNNNNNNNNNNNNNNNNNNNNNNNNNNNNNNNNNNNNNNNNNNNNNNNNNNNNNNNNNNNNNNNNNNNUCAUGAUAUUGGCGAUUGGUAGUGGUGGUGGCGGUUGUGAUGUGAAGUUGGUUAAUGUUAGUAGUUGGAGGUGUUGAUCGUGGUGAAGGAAAACUGUAUGCAUGAUGGUUGACGAUGUGUUGGUGGUCGUUGGAGACGCUGUUAGCUGUGAUGGUGGAAUGGUUGUUAGUACAGAUACUGUAGCGAGUGUAGCGGAUGGUGGUGGUAGAGGUGAUGACGCCGAUGACAGUAGUAGUGAUAGUGUCCGAAGAAUGUGUGGAAGUUGAUGAUGUGUUAGUGGUUGUUAGUGAUGUGUGGAAGUUGAUGAUGUGCUGGUGGUUAUUAGUGGUAGUGCUAGUCCUGAUAGAUGAGUUGGUUGGUAGUAGGGAUCGACCGGUAGCAGUUGAUGGUGGCGGCGUUGGCAGUAGGGGUGUUCAUGGGUCUAUAUGGGUCGGUUAUUUGUCAAAACCAUAACCAAACCAACUUAAUCGGUUUUUAAAUUUCUAAAACCAAACCUAACCAAACAAAAAAAUAACCAUCAGUUUGGUUCUUGUCGGUUUAGUUCGGUUUGAUUCGGGUUUUUUUGUUUAUAACUUAGUUAAUGAUAAAAUUUGAAAAUUUUAAAAAACAAAUCCAAUCUAACAUAUGAGAUGUCAACUGAGUGUUGUAUCUCAAUCUUGAAAAUAUGAUGUCAACUGAGUGUUAUACUUCGGCAAACCCAUGAUAACACCAUAAGAACGCUUUUAAAAAAAUAUUUAAAAACUAUAUUUAAUAGAAUGAUAUGAUAAACCCCAAAAGGUAAACACAUAAACUUCUUGCUCAAUAAGGUUCAAAAGAAAGUUAAAAUUAGUGAUUGUGUAUAGUCUAAUGAAUUUCAGAUGUAAAUUUCAAUAUAUAACAAGAUAUUAUUUUCACAAUUAGUAUCAUUUGUCAUUCAAAAUAUGAAAUUCAUUUAAAAUCUCAUAAUGUAUUGUCAACUAGAUGAAGACAUAUGACUGAAUGUGUUACGACUAAAGUUAAAUCAUGAUUAAAAUAGAAAAUGUAACAAAUAUUUAAAGUACAUUAAUGAAAAACAUAUAAAUAAUUAUAAUAUAUAUGUAUAUCGGUUCGGUUUGGUUAUUUUGUUGGUUAUUUUAGAGUAAAAUCAAACCAAACCAAACCAAAUUAGUAUCCGUUUUUUAAAAUUCAAAUCCAAACCAAACCUAACCAAAUAUAGGUUUUUUUAAUCGGUAUGGUUUGGUUCGCGAUUUGGUUUGGUUAAAAACUAAACCGUGAACACCCCUAGUUGGCGGUGGAUAUAAUUAGAAUAAUGGAAGUUGUAGGUGUGGUAGCAGCUGGCAGUGUAGGUGGUAGUGGUGUUUGUUUUGAUGGUGAAAGUGGUUGGUGGUGGUGGCAGGUGAUUGUGGAUAGAUUAGUGGUGAAUUUUAUCCUACACAAGAAUAUCUGUAAAUGAUAUUUAGACUUGGUUCCACAUCAGAAUGAUUAAGACCUACUCAGACCUAUUAAGAGCUAAAAUCCUAAAAAAAUAAAUGCACUUAAUGGUUUGAGGUCUGAACAGGUUCAUAAAUCCAAUAAGUGCAAACAAAUGAGACCUGAAAGUAGUUUGUCUGGUUAAGUUUUGACCAUGUUUUGUCCAUUUGUACCACACCGCAGUUUUGAUUUAACUUCGGAUGAUAUCAUGCAGCUUAAAACCUAAUUCAAAAUAUAUUGUGUUGUCAACCAUAUAAAUUGGACUAAAUAAACUUAGUGCCAGAAUUCGCCUCUGAAGAGGUACUUGAAAUGUAAUGAAAGUAAAGGCUUAGAAAAGAUUGGCCUCGGAAAAAGUGCCUAAGAUCAUCUCUGUUUCUCUAAAUAAAGUUGCAUCUCCCUCACUAUAAUUUUUUUCGCCGUAAUACACACUUGCGCCUAACUAAACGAUAUAUUGUUUCAUCCUCUGCCCUUUCUAAAAAGAAUUGAAGUUGAAUGAUCAAAUGUUAUUAGCAUUUAUCUCCUUGCUUGAUAAAAGAGGGAGUUUACCUGGUAUCCUAGCAUGGUAAUGAUCUUGUUCGUACUCUUAUUCAAUGAUUGAAUUUGGUAAUAUUUUCUUGAGUUAGGAUCUUUCUAUGGGAUGGUGAGAGUUAUACAUAAACUCAGAUGCUGAAAAUCUUUUCUUUUUCCCUUGUAAGUUAAAGAUGUCAACUUCUAUCUUUAAAGUUUGUAUUACUGUUUGUGUGCAUAAAUGAUUCUUAUUAAGUAAAUAUAACGAAAGCGCUAUUAAAAGAGAUGCUAUCCAUUUUUAUUUAUUCACUUUUUUCUAUUAUCCAAACAGGGGUGCUUGAUUUUUCCUUCAAUUUAGCCUGAUCAGUGAAAUUAAGUUUAUGUGUCAAGUGUCUUGUGAUAUUGUAGAUGACUUUGAACAAGUGGAGAAAUGUUGGUAUUCAUGAAAGAAAUUUCAUCCCCAUCACCCUGCUUGUAAUUUAUAGACUUUAUGGUAACUCAAAUGCAUGGACAAAGCUCCAUUUGGUAUCCUAUUUUUGUUACUGAUAAGCAUUCUGAAUUUGUGUUACUUGUAUGUUGCUUCAGUAUCUUGAUGACAAGCCACAAAUUAAAGAUGCAGUUAGGAUGGCCGAGGUAAUCACCAUUGUUCAUUUUAACCUCUGUUGUGCUUCAGUUAGUACUUAAUAUUUUGGCUGAGCCGUCUCUACUUUCAGAUUAGAUUGACGUCAUCCUGGACACUUGAUGAUUUUAAGGUUGAAAUCACCAAGUAUAUUAGCUCUCCACUAAUGUCAGAUACCAACUUAAAGGUCUAAUUAUGGCUAAGCACUGUAUACUGCUUCACAUCGACCCAUGUUGAAUUGAAUGUUGUGAAAAUUGAAGUACCCCAUUUACUAAAUGGAUUUCUAUGUAUUUGUACCCUUUUUGUCUUUAGGACAGGUCCUGCAUAAGAUGAGUGGAUUGAGUGCAAACGCAUUAGUAGUACUUCCAUGUUAUGUUUCACUGGAAUUUGGUCAGUUUGUGAUUGUUAAAUUGGCAACUCGUAGGUAGUCAACUGUGGUUAGUGGCAUUUUCCUUUAGUAUCAACCAUAACCUAUCCCACAUUAAAUUUGGAUCUUCUUGUAAUGGAGUUAAUAGAAGAGUAGUGUGUCGGUUAGCAAGUAAGCCUGAAACCUUCAAGAAUAAAGACGAGGACCACAUUGAUCAAAUAUUUGGUGUUAGCUUUUGCUUCCAAUUCUUCAGUUUUGGUACCAUUUUCCUUAUUUUUUAUUUCCUGGAUGGCGGUGUUUAAUAUUACACCUACCGCACAUAUCUUAAGUACAACAUAACUGGAUGAUAUCAACGAUCAUUUUCUAUUUUUGUAAUGAGGAUAUUCUACAUAUAUCAUUUGGAUUUUGGAGGUUAUUUAUGGUCAUGGCGUAUAAUCUAUGUAUGUGGGAAGAGGGAAUUGCAAGGGGUAUCUUGUCGAAGAAUUAUGCUUAGACGGUUGGGUCUCUUAAGGCUUUCAGUUUACUUUCAAUAGCUCAAAACUUUUGUAAAGCAUUUUAUCAAAGAUUAUAAUGUGAGGAGUUACUCCAAAAGAUGGUAAUAAUACCCUUACAUUAUAUCCCCCUUGCCUUCCAAUCGAAGGAAUAAGAGGACAUACAUGGCUUAUACUCAAUCUUAUUCCAUACUUCCUUUCUAAACUUUAUGUUCUACGCGUUUGGGCUUGCCGGGUCAUUGAGUAUUGAAUGUGCAUAUUUCAUCUACAUAGUUUGUCUUUGAGGAGUUACUGGAAAGGUCCAGGGAGAAAGAAUAAAAAGAAGCUAAAAAGCGUAAACGUCUAGCAGAUAAGUUCUAUGAACUUCUUCAUGCAUCAGAGGUAUAGUAAAGAGUUUACGAUCUCUCACAUUCCAAUGGAUGGGAUCCCAUGAUAUUUCCUUUAAACCAUAAUCUAUUUGUUUGCUGUGGUUGCAGGAAAUUACUGCAUCAUCGAAAUAGGAGGACUGCAAAUCCCCCUUCGGAGAUAGGCAAGUAGCUUCUUUUGCUUUUAUUGAUCUAGAAUUAGUAACACAUUGCAAGGACCAUUGGAGAAUGAUAAUUGAUAUUAUUUUGAAGGACCAACUCCUUCAAUAUUCUAAACUCAGUAAUUCACAUAGUUCUAGAAUGUACCUUAGAAUAAUAGUUGUGUUGAAUGAUUUGUUGUUUUAUAUUCCUCAACAUUUAGGUAGGCUAUUUCUUUAUAGUAUUAGCAUGAAUUACCAUUUUGCUUAGUGAUUUUUAAUGUUGAACUUAUCCCUCCAGAAAUUCGUUGAUGUUAAUUAUUAGUUGUUCUAACACUGGGCGUUUAAUAGCUCUAGCAGUUAGUUUUUUAAUUUAUGACAUUUGUGAUUGUUUUAGUUUUUUAAUUUCUGGCAUUUGUGAUUGUUUCACGGUUCUGAGGAAGUAUGCUGCUAAAUCUCUAGUUUUAAUUUGUCUAGCCUCUUUGGCUAUAAAAUGAAAUGCUCUGGAUUUUUACUUUUUUAUUCAUAAUCUCAUGAUUCUCAUUAUAUCGUAACAUUGAAUGUGAAUUUCUUUGCUGUUAUUAUUUUACAGAAUAAUGGGUGAUAAGGGCUUGUUGCUUGAAAUAUUUAACAAAUUUGUUAAUGAACUAAAAUAGAAGGAGCGCAAGAGUCAAGAGGAUAAGGUACUUGAAUUGCUACAAACCCUUAUUCUUCUGCUACUUUUGGGUGGGGGUAGUAGAUGUGUGGAUGUGAUUGUGGUUGAUAUUGUUUUGCGGAAAUUUUGAAUUUUUGAGAGUCGCCACUUAAUUUUGAAAAGGAAUUAAGAAACCGUUAGAGAGUUACUGCAAACGAUUCAAAAUAGAAAAAUCGUUUUAAGUUAGAGAUUCUAGAUAAGCAGUUCCUAUUAACGUUUUAGGAAGGUAUUAGGCACCUAAAAUGUCCGCUAACUUAUGGUUAUCCGGACUGUUUGAAAAUCGUCUUUUGAUUAACUUUAAAAAAGUUUAUUUUUUUUAAAAGAAAAGCGAUUUAAGGAAUAUUCUGUUGUUUAUAAAAAACCAGUUUUUUAGCGACUUGACUAAGGAUUUUACUAGGUUCACAAAACACGCGUAAAACAAGUAAGCAAAUAGCUCGAGUCUCGCUCCACCUGUUUUAAAUUUACAACUUUGGCUUCAAGGCUCAAAUUAAUAAAUAAAUAAUUCACUAAAUAAACAAAAAUAUAAAUAAGUAAAUAAAUAAAUAAUGGAAACAAUGGAUAAAUAAAUUAAUAAAGAAGAAAUAACGAGAUUUUCAAGUCCCCUUUGCCGCUUCAAAGAUGGAACUUUAACCCAUUCUUCUUUCGAUUCCUCGUAUCCAUACGCCAUGAGAUAGAUUCUUGGAUUUUCUUUUGGGAUUAACUAGGAAGGAUAGGCCUCAUUGGCCCAUUUAUGAAAUGCAAAGAGAGAAGGGGCCCAUUUGAACUCCAAGGGGAGUGCAUGCAAAGAAAGGAAUGAAGAAAUUAACAUACGUCCAAGAUUUUAACAAUUAAUAAGCUAUAGCAUUCCUGCUUCAUUCAAAUACAUUCACACAGGUAAAAAUGCCACAGGAGCAAAAGUCUAUAAUGUUUGAAGAAAAUGUUCAUAAUCUAAUGCCACAAAAGGACCCAAUUAAGCAUGUCACAAAAAAGAGUUACAACUCCAGGAUCAUACUACAUAAAUGAUGGAUCACAAGCAACGUUCAAAUUCCAGAAUGCCAAACAUACAAAAUUAAAGACUUAAUCAGUUUAGGCAAGGAAUACGAUAGCUCAAACUUCAAGAAAAGCAAGGUUGAAAUCUUAAUGCCUUCAUUACCAUUGGGUUAACAAACAAAUGAGAUUCAAACACUACAUAAACCCAAUUAUAGGUAAUUUAAUCAUGAGACAAGAUUCCAUAACUUAUAUGCGAACAAGAAAAGCAAGAAAGGAAAGAAACAUUAGCCCAUCAAACUUUAAUUUGUUGUCAUGAGUCAAUUACAGCAAAUUGAAUUAGCCAUGAAGAAAACAUAAUUCAUCCCUAUGGUCCACUCUCAUAUUUUAAAAUAAACUUUAGAAUAAAAUAAGACUAUUGUACAUCGAAAGUGGCAAGUCGAAAGAAAAUAACAUUCUAGUUCUUAUUUAUAACAAUUUCCUGCGUUUGAGUGAAAAAAGAUAUGCAAACAGGCUUCCUAAUAUCUAUUCUUUGAACAUUUAUUUGAAUUUAGAAAAUACGUAAAGAUUUUAUUCUCCUACUCUAUGAACUACAAAGAAACAUCGAAUAUGAGACCAGCAAAAUAGUUUCUAUAGUCGAAGCAUUAAAGCUAACUGUAACAUUCAGACAAAAUAAAAUAAGAGAGAUCAAGCAUGAACAAAAGCCAAGCAAACACGGGCAAAAAUGAGUUUUUUAGUAGAACAAUAUAUCAAACAUGAAAAUCCUAUGCCUUCCAGGCCUCUACAUCAGUCAUUCCCAGCAAACAGAAGUGGAACCACGAAGAAGAAAAUGAUAACCUCAACAAAAUUAAAAAGAAAGGUGUAUUUACCUCUUUCGGGGAAGCAAAAUGAGAUAAUGAGCUGAUGAUAGGAUUCCGACCACUGAAAAACUCAUAACUGCUUCGAUAGUUCAGAUGCACCACCUAAGAAUGUAUGUUUCUUAGGCGUAAAAAGAAUAUUUUUUUCCCUCUGAGAGCCCCCUUUCUAACCCUUUUUUUGUGUAUUUCUGAAUUUUUGAAGAUUUUCUCUAACCCUAAAUUUUCAACCCAAAACUUUUGAACCCUCUUUUCCUCUAAAAUUUCGAACUCCAAAGAGAAAGAAGAGGAGAACCCAUAAAGGAAAGGAGAGGCCAGUGAAAAAAAUUCCAAAAUCCCAAAAAAAAUCCCUUUUUCUUGCUCUAAAGAGAGCUACUUAUAGAAGGGAAUUGAGGGUUCAUUUUUGAAAUUCAAAAGAUCCGGACCCUAAUGAACUGUACCUCUAUUUUGAUUUUCUUGAAUGGAAUUCCAAAAUGUCGCCAAUAGAAAUUGGUGGAAAGGGAAUAAUCUUCACAAGACAAUGAAAAUACUCCACCUAUGUACGAAUUCGUAAACCUCUAUCCAAGAAUUUUGGGAUUUGAACGUUGGAUGAGACACCUAAGUGUGUUUCUAGAAGAUUCUUGGCAUCUUCUCAUAUGGGUUCGCGUGGAACGCGCGUGAUCAUAAAGAGGAAAAAGAAAACGGGUUGGAUUCGGGUGCUACAUCCUAUUUGAAGUCAUAUGCACCUGUGGUUUUGAUUUGAGAUUCUCAUCCUCUCGGAUACUCUCGACAAUGCUUCAAGCAAAAAGUGUUAGUGCUAAACAUAAUUCACUAAAGAGGUAUGCAGUCUUUUACCAUAUCUCCACGUGAGUUGUGGCCUGAAAAGCGGAAUGAAAUAAUCCACAAUACCAAACACAACAACCCUCUUGGUUGUUGUAUAAUUAUGACAUUUGUUGGUUGAAUAUGUCUUCAAAGUGGGUGCCCCUUAUGGACACCGGCGAUACUUUAUGCAGAACGGUCUCUACAACUGUGUAGUCUUGUGCUGGUGUGGCAACCCUUUAGGUACCUAUAUCAUUUGUUGCAUGUAGAAUGAUAACCUCUCCAUUUAUAGUCGUGAUCAAUUUAUAAAUUUCCUUUAAAUUAUCAAUCUUUGGAUAAUCUUACGCAUUAUUUGAUGUUGGAUACGAGGCGAAUUACAAAUAUCCUUUUGAUUUCUAGCUUUUAGGUAAUCCUGCAAAUUACCAGACUUUGAAUAAGAGAUGGCUUACAGAUAUCCCUCCAAUCACUAUCUUUCAGGUGUUCCGGUACAUCAUCCGACCUUGGAUAAAAUAUGACUUAUAGAUAAUCCCUCAAAUUAUUAGUCUUUGGGUAAUCCUGCACAUUAUCGAUCUUGGAUAUGACACGGCUUAUAAAGAACCCUUGGACGUAUCAAUUUGAUAAUCUUCCAUAUUCUCCGGUAAGGAUUUAGUUGUGACUUAUGGAUUUGAACUAUCGAUUUUUGGGCUAUCUUGCACACUAUCCGGUUAGGAUGUUGUUAUGGCUUACGGAUGACCUACCGGUUAUCAACUCAUAGGUGAUCUUGCACACUAUCCUAUUUCAAAUAAUAUGACUUAUAUAUGACCCUCAAAUUGUCAAUUUCUAGGAAAUCUUAUAUAUCAUUCAUCCUUAGAUAGCGACUUAAAGGCGUCCCUUCAAAUCGUAUGCUCUCGAUGCAUUCAGAUGUUGAUUUAUAAAAUGAUAAGAUAUCCUCGAUGCCAUCAUUUAUAUCUUGCGUGUCAACAGAUAUAAAAUGAUGAUGAUAUCCUCGACGCCAGUGUUGUGUCAUACACAUCAACAGAUAUUACAUGAUGAUGAUAUCCUAACCGCCAGCAUUGUGUCUUGCAUGUCAACAGAUAUUGUGUGAUGAUGAUAUCCUCAAUGCCAGUGUUGUGUCUUCCAUAUCAAUAGAUAUUGCAUGAUUAUGAUAUCCUCGAUUCCAAUGUUGUGUCUUGCAUGUCAAUAGAUAUAUAAUAAUGAUAAUAUCUUCGACGCCAGCGUUGUGUCUAGUGCGUCAACAAAUAUUGAAUAAUGAUGAUAUACUCGAUGCCAGCAUUGUGUCUUGUGUAUUAACAAAUAUAUUGAAUGCUGAUGAUAUCCUCGAUGCCAGCAUUGUCUAGCGCAUCAACAAAUAUUGAAUAAUGAUAAUAUCCUCGAUGCCAGUGUUGUGUAUUGCGUGUCAACAAAUAUAUUGAAUGCUGAUGAUAUCCUUGACGCCAGCGUUGUGUCUAGCGUGUCAACAGAUAUUGAAUGAUGCUGAUAUCCUUGACGCUAGCAUUGUGUCUUUCGUGUUAAUGGAUAUAUUGAAUGAUGAUGAUAUCCUCGAUGCCAGUGUUGUGUCUAGCGCGUGAACAGAUAUUGAAUAAUCAUGAUAUGCAAUGGCCCUUUUGGCAAUGACAUGUAAUGGUUCUUUCGAUAAAUUAAAAGCAGUUUCUCCUAAAAUCAUUUGUCAGGGUCUUUCUUUAUGCAUGUACCUAUACUCAAGGUAGAAGAUUAGUAGACACAAAGUUGCUUUUGCUAGUGACUAUUUUUUUUAGAAAAAUUCUAAAUACAAUAUUUGUAAAGAAGACAAGACACUUUUGUUUGUCCUCCAUGAUCUCAAGAAAUGAGAUGGAUAAUUAAAAAGGUCGUCAAUAAAUGGGUGUUGAGCCAGUUUUUGGGCUACCAAAAGUACCGUUAUUAAGCCUUAUAUGCUCUAUCAUGGCUCCUGACUUGCUUGGGGAUUUUUCGAAAGAAACGCUCAUUUUGUGUAUCGAUCCCUGAAUCCACAAAAAAUGAUUAGUCUGAAAGAAACUACUCCGUGUUGACCACCUACGAUCCUUGAUUUGCCCUCGCCAUAUAUUAGGUAUUUCAUCAUGUUGGGACUUCCACCCCUGACUCCCCGUCCUAAUUGAUGUCUAGGCAAUCACUAAGUAAAAGAUUUAUAUAGAUUUUUUUCAAAGUACUCUUAAUUUUUUAGAAAAUAGUUUUGAUAACUCCUGCAAAACUUCGAAAAAUCUCUGCCAGUCAUUUAGUACUAAUCCAAAUACCUCAUAAUUUGCUACAUACCUUCUCAUAAGUAGUACUAGUUUACAACUACCAACGAAAAAAGUCAAGGGGUAAGGUCACAUAAUAGACAUGAUCAACCUUAAUCUGAUAUUAUAACCCUAUACGAUCUUAUCUACUUAUGCAGAUUUCUCACCUCAUACUUACUUACUCAAGCAUACAUUUAAAUCAACAACUCCUUCUCUAUCUUAUACUAAAAUAACUCACAAGGACGAAUCACCCCUUUACCAACUCCAUCUUAUGCAAACAGAUUCAGCCAUACGUAUAUUAAACCAACAAAAGAACAACAAGUUGGACAACAAGUUGCUAGUGAAUCGAAAUAGGCCUCACACGGCUUCACUAGACUUUGGUUUUGUAUUUUGAACAAGAAAAUGAGAUAGAUGACAAGGCAACUAUGCUAGUGAAUCGAAAGAUCCCCACAUAGCUUCACUAGACUUAAAAAUUUUUUUUUUCAAAAACACCAUGAUAACAAGAUUGCAUAUUACAAGAGAUAGGAAAUUGACACAUAAUAUUUAAUGGUCUAAGAAUACAUAUCUUACUCUGUAUAAAUAAAAAUCAGAGUAAAAUACUUCCCCCAUGGACUACCAUACCAUCCAUAUGUGCUACUAGCUACCACAUUAGUUUAUCACUAUAAAGGGGUAAAUCAUCCUCAAAUAUCGGUUAUUCAACUGAAAUAUUCAUUUACACCAAAAAUAACCCUCACUCUGACUUCUAAAUUUGUGACUUCACAUCACUAACUUCUUGGUCUAAUUUCAUUACCAAUAGUUCAUGACAACAACAAUUUAACUUAUGCUAUUAUUCGGGUGGAAAUACAGUUCCAACAUUCUACUAUACACCGUCCAUAUCUGUAUCAAGAUUUUUGGGAGGGACUAGAUGCACUUAAUACCUUAAGCUGGAAAGCACAAUUCCAUCAGGAUCAAUGUUUACAUCAGAAUUAACACAUAUUGAUGCACCAACAGACUCCUCUCGAGUCUUUGCACAAUUUUUUUCUUAUAUGACACAAUCGAAAAAGACUAUAUCAUGUAGAUUCUAAACUUUUUGCACUUGAAUCACCCCAAUAAUGGGACAUGUCUGAGAACAUCAGAGUAAGCAAAGAAUUUGGGAUGACUUUACCUUCAUAUGGGUGACACCAUAUCACAAAUGACAGUAUGAAAGAGGAACAUUUUGACUCUAUUGCACAAACUGGAACAUGAAGAAAUAGAGACAUUCCUAAAUGCCUAGUAUCCUCCUGCUUAUAAGUGUGGCGCGCUACACUCCCAUAAAUAAGACUCUACUCGAUGUGAUUUUGUAAAAAUCUUGGGACCAUGAACCGUGCUCUGAUACUAAGUUUGUCACGACCCGAAUCAGUGCCCUGGCUGUAACGAGCAUUCCGAACCAUGAAGGCCCAAAACACCCUUAUUUGUCUGAUAAUCAUGUACGUAACUCGUAUCAUAAAAGAAAUGCGGAAGAUAAACAAUAUUAUGAAAACAUUGUCAAGAAUUAUAUGAAAUAAAUAAUGGGGAAUAAUGUCCCACAAUCUCAACACAAUAUCUCUAUAACGCCUGCGAAAUCUCUACUAUAUGACUGAAAUAAAUAUAUAUCUGAAAACUGGGACAAGGACCCCAGUAGAUCCAAAACUAAUAAAUGAUAAUUAAAACUGCCAUAUAUCAGGACUUUUGAAAUAUAGAAGGCUCACCAAGUGACUCUGCAAAUCUGUCUGAGGAAUCUACUGAUUUUCUGGACCCCUAGACUGUGCCUUCGAACCUGGAAGGGAAGAGGGUCAGUACAAAAGUACUGGUACGCAGAGAUAUCAAAACAAAACAUAAUAUUUUUACAAAAUAGAGUUGAGAUCCAUUAUAAAGAAGUUUCAUAUCAAAUCAUUUGAAAACACAUGGGCGUAAUGUAAUUGUUUUCAACAACAAUUUAAUGUAGCUGAGCUAGGUGGAAUACCCUACAUAUCACAUUUACACCAACUGUCAAACCUUGGUUGCUGUCGAGAUUAGAGUAUAAGUGAGGGGAAGACACACAAUAUUACACAAUAGGGUGUCUCGGCCUAAUAGUAGUGCGCAAGAUCACAAAGUAGGGCUCCUAACCAUAGUCCCAACUUGGGAAUGACAUAAAGUCAGGUAUGCAAGAUCACAAAGCAGGGUACCAAAUUCCCAUGUCGGCAAACACAGUUUUCAGUGAUGAUCCCUUACACUCAAACGUCUUCUUUGGGAAUCCACCUAUCUCAUGUAAAAUCAAUGCAUUCAAAUUUCAUCUGAUUCAAUCACAUAUCAUACUCUGUAGGGUAUCAUCAUACCCGACUUGUAAGCCAUCAAUAUCACAUCAUUCUUCUCAUUCAACCAUUGUAUUUAACAUGUUUCAACACAAAUAGCCCGCUUAUUUUCAAGUCAAAAUCAUAUCAAUUCUCAAAAUAUUUCAUGUCAUGCUUUUCAAGAUGUUUUCAAACAAUUUACAUCAUAUGAACAUUUAAAACAAAUUCACAUCAAGAGAGGGAUUCCAUAUAAUUCAUGCUCUCAAAUUAACACCUAUUCAAAACACAUGCAUAUACAUAUAUAAUAUGUUAAAUCACUUCGAAAAUAGGCCUAAAGACCAAAUCAAUAUUAUAUAAAUGUUCAAAACAUGAUUAUAUUCGUAGUUUCAAAACCCCCAUUGUAAAACAUGAAUUUAAAGUCCCAUGAGAUUUUAGGAUAACCCCACAUACCUCUAAAUGCGAAGAUGAUAGGUGUUUCUUGAAGCCUACGUUCUGGGGAUUCCAAAUAUGCAAUUAGUUUCAAAAUCCCACGGUUGAAUCUUGAGUUACUUGGGUUUUUAUUUUGAAACCCUAAGGAGAGUUUUUGAGAAAUUUUGAUGAAUGAAGGUGUAUUUUGGGGUAUUUACGAAUUGGAUUUCGUGUUUAUAGCUAAAUAAGGGUGGGAAAAGGACCAUUUUGCCCCAAAAAUAGAGUGUUUAAGUCACUUGAGUAGUAAUGUAUGCGGCGCACACCUUAUCACAUAAUAUAGGUUGUGCGGUGCACUCUUUAUCGCACAUAUUAGGUUGUGCGUCGCAUACCUUAUGGCAUAAGUUAGGGUGUGCGUCGCACACCUUAUGCUGCAUGACACACUCCACUUUGUAAAGCCAUAACUUCUUCCUUGAAUGUCGGAUUUUUACAAAUUUGGUAUCGUUGGAAAGAUAAUUCGAAGACCUUUCAUUUGAUAUAUAGUAGGCACUCCAAUUCAAUAUACACAAAAAGUAAUGAACGAUUGAAGUUGACCCAAGUUUUGCAUGACAAAUUGCGAUACAAGACUCGCAUAUAUAUAUAUAUAUAUAUUUAUUUUAACUUUAUAUGAUAGUCUAAGUAUUUAUAUGUGCAACACUCAAAUUAAAAUAUAUAAAUAUUUGCUGAUGAUGUCAAGUUGAAAACACAUUUAUGUAUUAUGUCAAACGUAUAAUUCCUUUUUUGAACUAUAGCUAUAAUAUGUAGCAUGAGUGAAUGUACUCUAAUUUUAAGUUGAUGUAAUGAGAAAAAUUAAAUUCAUUGCUAUUUAUUUAUAUUUUUAAAAAGCAAGGUGGAGUCAGAGAGCAAUUACCAUAAUUAAAGGGGAGCUAAAGGUAUAAUUAAAUGAGAAGCAUGAAGUCUUUUGAUAGAGUGUAUUAAAAAAUUAAUAACAACAACAACAAUAAAUUCAAUGUAUUUCCACAUAGUGGGAUCUGGAGAGGGUAAGAUGUACGUAGUCCAUAUCACUACCUUCGGAGAAGUAGAAAGGCUAUUUUUGAUAGACUCCCGGCUCAAGACAAGGAAUAAUAAUCAAAUCUGUGAUAAAGCAUGGAAUGUAUUACGUAAAAAUUAAUGCAUCCAUUAAUUUAAUGUGUAUUAGUAGUCCCUUGUUUGAUAUAUAUAUUUUUGUCUUAUGUAUAACUAAUGCAAAGAUUAGUUAUAUACUCUAUUGUGUAUUGAGGUGUGUAUUACUAAUACCUUAAAAUUUAUGACAUUAGUAAUGCAAUAGAUCUAAUGCAUGCAUUAACAUGCUUAAAGUGGGGGUAUUAUGUAAAAAAAAAAAUAUUUAAUUCGUGUUAUUUUUAAUACAUUGAAUCAAAUACUGUAUAAGAAACAACAGCAGCAACAACAACACCCAAUGUAUUCCCAUAUAGUGGGGUCUAAAGAGGUUAAUGUAUGUAGAUCAUAUCACUACUAAGGUGAAGUAGAGAGGAUGUUUCCGAUAGAUUCCCAGCUUAGGAUCAUAAUAAUAUACCAAACAUAAAAGAUAAAUGCAUAUAAACUAAUAAGAUAUGCAAAAUAAAACUAACAAUAUAACAAAUAUCAAAGAAAAUGUAUAUAAAUUAGUAUCGUAUGAAAAAAUAGCCUAUCUACCAAGAAGUGUCAGCUUUGUGUUGGGUGGUUGAUAGUCAAGAAAGUGUCAGCUUUCCUAAAAAGAAAAACUCCAAUAAAGAAAGAAGUCCCUCCACUUUCACCAUUGAUUCAAUGUUAUUUUUAAUACGUAGAAUCAAAUACUGCGUAAGAAAAUAGAAGCAUAAUUAAUGCAAAUAUUAUUAAUAUACCGAUAUGCAUAUAUUGGUAAAAAAACAACGAACGUUGACUACUACUUUAGCUAUAAAUAUAUUUUAAAAUUUACAUACAACAUUAAAUUUAAGGAACUUGAGUCUAUAUAUUAUGAUCAUAAAAUUGAUUCUAAUUAAUUGAAAUUAAUUAGUUGAUUGUAUAGUUUUAUUACAACAAUUUCGUACAUCAUUUAUUUAAUAAAAAUACAUAUAAUUAAUUGAUUGAUUUUGUGCAAUCUACUAUGAUUUUAUUAAUUCAAAUGAAAUGAUUUUUAAAUGAUAAGUUUGGAUUAUAAAAUAAAGGUGAUUAUUGUAUGAAUUUAGCAUUUCUUAUGUAUUAAAAAAGAUUUAUAGACAAAAAAAUGCCAUCCCUCAAAACAAUUAAAUUUGAACUAUUUUAGUGAAACAAUGAAAGAUUGAAUAUAAGAAAAUCCGUAAUUAAGAAAAGAAAUAAUUGUCACCUUAUUUGAGUUUUUAGCAAAUUGUAAAGAUAAUUAAAUAAAUAAAUUGUAAAUUGAUAAGCAAUUUUUGAGAAAUAAAUCAGUAAUUAGGAAAAGAAAUAAUCGUUACCUUUUUAAAAUUCUUCCCAAAAUUAUAAAGGUAAUUAAUAUCAAUUAUUUUUGUAUUUGAGCCCUUUAUACAAUUAUAGAUUAAUUAAAUAUAAUCAAGCUACAAAAUUAGGAUAGAUUUAUGGUAAAUAAAUAUAUAAUAUUAAUAAUAAUUUUAUUGCUGUCAGAUUAAUUAGAUUAAAUUGAACUAGAAAUUAGUUAAUAUUGACAAUUACUUUAAUAAAAAAUAUAUGGAAAGAUUCGUAAUUGAUAUGCAUUUAUUGGUAAAAAAAACAACGAACGUUGACUAUUACUUUAGCUGUAAAUAUAUUUUAAAAUUUACAUACAACAUUAAAUUUAAGGAACUUAAGUCUAUAUGUUAUGAUCAUAAAAUUGAUUCUAAUUAAUUGAAAUUAAUUUGUUGAUUGUAUAGUUUUAUUACAACAAUUUCGUACAUCAUUUAUUUAAUAAAAAUACAUAUAAUUAAUUGAUUAAUUUUGUACAAUCUAUUAUGAUUUUAUUAAUUCAAAUGAAAUGAUUUUUAAAUGAUAAGUUUGGAUUAUAAAAAUAAAGGUGAUUAUUGUAUGACCUUAGCAUUUCUUAUGCAUUAAAAAGAUUUAUAGAAAAAAAUAUGUCAUCCCUCAAAACAAUUAAAUUUGAACUAUUUUAGUGAAACAAUAAAAGAUUGAAUAUAAGAAAAUCCAUAAUUAAGAAAAGAAAUAACUGUCACCUUAUUUGAGUUUUUAGCAAAUUGUAAAGAUAAUUAAUUAAUGAAAUUGUGAAUUGAUAAGAAAUUUUUGAGAAAUAAAUCAGUAAUUAGGAAAUGAAAUAAUCGUUACCUUUUUAAAAUUCUUCCCAAAAUUAUAAAGGUAAUUAAUAUAAAUUUGAUAUAACCAUACUAUAAGAUUAUGUGAAAUUCAUGGGAUUAAAUUUUUAAAAUUAUAAAACUAAUUAAUAUCAAUUGUUUCAAUAUUUGAGUCCUUUAUGUAAUUGUAGAUUAAUUAAAUAUAAUUAAGCUAUAAAAUUAGGAUAGAUUUAUGGUAAAUAAAUAUGUAAUAUUAAUAAUAAUUUUAUUGUUAUAAAAUUUAUUAGAUCAAAUUGAGAUAGAAAUCAGUUAAUAUUGAAAAUUAUUUUAAUAAAAAAUAUAUACAAAGUUUCGUAAUUGAUAUACAUAUAUUGGUAAAAAAACAACGAACACUGACUAUUAAUUUGGCCAUGAAUAUAUUUUAAAAUUUACAACAUUAAAUUUAAGGAAUUCGAGUCUAUUUAUUAUGAUCAUAAAAUUGAUUUUAAUUAAUUGAAAUUAAUUAGUUGAUUGUGUAAUUUUAUUACAAUUAUGUCGUACAUCAUUUUUUUUAUAUAAAAAUACAUAUAAUUAAUUAAUUGAUUUUGUGCAAGCUACUAUGAUCUUAUUAAUUCAAAUGAAAUAAUUUGUAAAUGGUAAGUUUGGAUUAUAAAAAGAAAGGAGAUUAUUAUAUGCCUUAAGCAUUUCUUAUGUAUUAAAAAAGAUUUAGAGACAAAAAGUUGUAAUCCCUCAAAACAAUUAAAUUUGAACUAUUUUAGUAAAACAAUAAAUGAUUGAAUAUAAGAAAAUCCGUAAUUUAGAAAAAAAUAAUUGUUACCUUAUUUGAGAUUUUAGCAAAUUAUAAAAAUAAUUAAAUAAUCAAUUCACUAUAAUCAAAUUAUGAAUAUAUAAGAAUUUUUUGAGAAAUAAAUCAGUAAUUAGGAAAAAAUAUAAUUGUUACCUUUUUUAAAUUCUUCCCAAAAUUAAAAAGGUAAUUGAUAUCAAUUUAAUGUAAUCAAUCUAUAAAAAACAUGAGAAAUUCAUGGGAUUGAAUUUCCGAAAUUAUAAAGGUAAAUCAAUUGUUUUCAUAUUUGAGCCCUUUAUGUAAUUGUAGAUUAAUUAACUACAAUCAAGCUAUAAAAUUAGGACUGAUUUAUGGUAAAUAAAUAUAUAAUAUUAAUAAUUAUUUUAUUGUUAUCAAAUUAAUUAUAUUAAAUUGAGUUAGAAAUUAGUUAAUAUUGACAAUUAUUUUAAUAAAAAAUAUAUGCAAAGUUUCGUAAUUGAUAUACAUAUAUUGGUUACAAAAACAACGAACACUGACUUCUACUUUAGCCAUAAAUAUAUUUUAAAAUUUAAAACAUUAAAUUUAAAGAUCUUGAGUCUAUAUAUUAUGAUCAUAAAAUUGAUUCUAAUUUGAUACUAAUUAAUUGAAAUUAAUUAUUUGAUUGUAUAGUUUUAUUACAACAAUUUAGCACAUCAUUUAUUUAAUAAACAUAUAUAUAAAUAAUUGAUUGAUUUUGUGCAAUCUACUAUGAUCUUAUUAAUUAAAAUGAAAUUAUUUUUAAAUGGUAAGUUUGGAUUAUAAAAAUAAAGGAGAUUAUUUUAUGACUUUACCAUUUCUUAUGUAUUAAAAAAGAUUUAUAGACAAAAAGAUGUCAUACCUCAAAACAAUUAAAUUUGAAUUAUUUUAGUAAAACAAUAAAAGAUUGAAUUUAAGAAAAUCUGUAAUUGAGAAAAAAAAUAAUUUUUACCUUAUUUGAGUUUUUAGAAAAUUAAAAAGAUAAUUAAAUAAUUAAUUUACUAUAAUCAAAUUAUAAAUUUAUAAGAAAUUUUUGCGAAAUAAAUCAACAAUUAGGAAAAAAAUAAUCGUUAACUUUUAAAAAUUCUUCCCAAAAUUAUAAAGGUAAUUAAUAUCAAUUUGAUAUAAUCAAACUAUAAGAAUAUGAGAAAUUCAUGGGAUUAAAUUUUUGAAAUUAUAAUGGUAAUUAAUAUCAAUUUUUUCCAUAUUUGAGUCCUUUAUGUAAUUGUAGAUUAAUUAAAUAUAAUAAUCUAUAAAAUUAGGACAAAUUUAUGGUUAAAAAAUAUAUAAUAUUAAUAAUAAUUGUAUUGUUAUCAAGAUAAUUAUAUUAAAUUACGGUAAAAAUCAGUUAAUAUUGACAAUUAUUUUAAUAAAGAAUAUAUACAAAGUUCCAUAAUUGAUAUACAUAUAUUGAUUAAAAAAGCAACGAACAUUGACUACUACUUUAGCCAUNNNNNNNNNNNNNNNNNNNNNNNNNNNNNNNNNNNNNNNNNNNNNNNNNNNNNNNNNNNNNNNNNNNNNNNNNNNNNNNNNNNNNNNNNNNNNNNNNNNNNNNNNNNNNNNNNNNNNNNNNNNNNNNNNNNNNNNNNNNNNNNNNNNNNNNNNNNNNNNNNNNNNNNNNNNNNNNNNNNNNNNNNNNNNNNNNNNNNNNNNNNNNNNNNNNNNNNNNNNNNNNNNNNNNNNNNNNNNNNNNNNNNNNNNNNNNNNNNNNNNNNNNNNNNNNNNNNNNNNNNNNNNNNNNNNNNNNNNNNNNNNNNNNNNNNNNNNNNNNNNNNNNNNNNNNNNNNNNNNNNNNNNNNNNNNNNNNNNNNNNNNNNNNNNNNNNNNNNNNNNNNNNNNNNNNNNNNNUGAUGUUUAUAUGGAAAAGUUAAAUUUUGAAAAAAUAAAUAUCUUAAAUUUCAUAAUUUAAGUUAAUUUGUGUGCUAAUUUGAAAAAGUUAAUUUAUAGUUUACAUUUUAUUUCUAUUAUAUGGAAAAUUUGACCUCAUAUGGCUAUUUAUAGCCAUUGAAUAACACAAAUUAUUUGUUACACUUUUCUUCUCUCUCUCUUUCUCUCAUGGGUAUUUCUCAAGUUUUUCAUUUUGAGUAUGUAAAUAUUCACUUCCCAUAUUUAUGGAUCCUUAUAAAUAUUCACUUGCCAUAAACAUAUCCUUGUAAAUAUUUACUUGCAAUUUACAGAUCCUUGUUAGUUGUAUACAUGCAUUGUAUGAUGAUGAAUGAAAGACACAGAAAAAAAAGUUUUCUCCAUUCUAGUCUUUUGCUAUUUUUACAUUUCAAGAAAAAAUAACAAGAAUACUAUAGAUUCUGAUAACCUUUUGCCGGCUCUUACUCUUUCAACUCUUUGAUUCAGUAAUUUUUUUUUUGUUAUUAUUUACCAUGAUUAUUUGUUUUAUCAGAAGGAUUUGAUAAGUUCUUUGAAUUGUUCUUGUGUUAUUUGUUUGUGGGGUAUUUUAUUAAUUUUCAGUAGAAGACUAGUAGUAAAUAGUUUUGCGUCAUGUCUCUUCUGGUAGUAGUAUUAGUACAUAUUUUUCUUUUCUACUUAUUGUAUCGUAUACCUCUAUUUUCUUACUUGCUACUAUUGUUAAUAUCCUCGUGUUUUUGCUUUAUCCUUUGAAAUCUCAUGGACACUAGUUUGAUUCAUGUACAGUAUCCAUACAUAGAGAUGAUGAAGAACAACUUCUUUUUUCGAUCAUCAACUAAUGAUGCAAACAAGACCCCUUCACCACCAUUAAAGUCCAAGGAAGUUUCUUCUAGGAGGAGUGUUUCAUUGUCAUCUCGAUUCUUCUAUGACAGUGGGUCAGGAAAAAAGAAUUUCACGGAUCUAAGUAAAUCUCCCUAUGGCCACAGUAAGAAAGUUCAUCCUAAGAAAUCUGGUCGUGAUUCAAGACGGUAUGCAUAUCAUUUUGCUGUAGCUUUCUUUUUCACACUUAAACUGAUGUUUUAAUUUGCAUUUGCUUGUCCAAAGUAAUGACAAAUGUUUCUUUAUGGCAGAGACCUUAGCAUUCCAGUGUUGAUUCGGACUAUUAGAAGAUUGACAACGGAGAAGGUACAAAUGGCUUCUGAAGUUUCAAGCAUGCUAUGGAAUCAAGUUACUGAAAGGGCUUCUGCUAAGGAAGAAGCCAGCAUAUUACAGGCAGAACUAGAUUCAUGGACACGAAGAUUGGAGACCGAAAAGAAUGAGUUACAAUCAAUACUGGAAAAGGAGUUGGAUAGAAGAUCGAGUGAUUAGUCUUUAAACCUUGAGAAAUACCAAAUUGAACAACAUAGACUCCAUGAAAGGGUGAGGGAGCUUGCAGAGCAGAAUGUCUCCCUACAAAGGGAAGUCUCUUCAUUUAAUGAGAAGGAAGUAGAUAAUAGAAUCAAGAUGUCAUUUUCGGAGAAACACCUUGAAGAUUUGUCUAAGAAAAUAGAGCAAGUGUCAGAGGAGAAUCAAAAUCUAAGGUUGCAGCUCACUCAGUUACAAACAGAAUAUUGAGUAGCUCAAGACAAUAGAGAUCAUGUCCGAGAAAACUACCAGGAAAAGGUUAAAGAGCCUAAAUCAGAGACUUUUCUAACAACUGUGCUAAGGGAGAAGCUCUAUUCCGAGGAGAUGGACAUAAAGCAACUUCAGGCUGAUCAAGCUGCAACAGUUAGAGGUAACGACAUUCUUAAAUGUGAAGUGCAAAAUGCGUUGGAUGCUCUUUCUUAUGCCACACCUAAGUUGAAAUAUCUCGAGCUUCAGGUAAGCAGGCAAUCUUAAGAUCUCGUUGCAACGGAAUAGUUUUUAUUUUUCAACUUUGGAUACCUCGUCUUUAUAUAUGAUAGCCUGUUCAUAUGUUACUCUCUCUGCAUUAGCUUUCUACUUCUGUUUGAUUUUAGGUUCAUCUUUGUUCCAUCUGAAGUUCACGCUUUUCUUUAUAAACUUGUAUACAUGAGUUUCUGGCAUGUGGUAGUCUUCUGUAAAAUGUCUGAUCGCCUUAAUGUGUAAUCAGUUGAACCAACCAAGAACAUGAUAAACUUUGUGAUAUCCUCAAACCCAUUGAUCUAAUUGUGCUCUGAUGUGGUAAAGUUACCUGAAGGGGUUUCGGUAAGUUUGCUCGUUCAUCUGACUUAAUUCUUGGACAAGCUCACGAGUUAUCUACUGUGAAUUUUAACAGUUAAAAAGGAUUCAUAAUUUAGUUGAACUUCUAGGCUAUGAGUUUGUUUUGAAUUUCUGAUAAAAUGUUAUUGGUGAUCUUUGUGUCUUUCUUAUUUUUGAUGGUUUACGGUUGAUUCUGGUAGGUGCUAAAAAGGAUGAAAAUAUCAACCAGCUUACUAAUGAUUUGCAAGAAUGCAUGAAGGAACUUGGCGUUGUGAAGGUGAUACUACCAAAAGUGUUUUAGGAGAGGGAUUUCAUGUGAGAGGAAGUUAAGUGCUACAGUGAGAUGAACAUGCUGUUGAAUUAUGAAUCAAUAUGUUGAAAAGGAAGGUAGUUACCCUCGACGAAGACUUUCUUAUGAAAGAGGGUCAAAUCAUAAUCUUGAAAGACUCGAUAGGCAAACCUUUCGACCUUCUUACAAGUCAUGAUUCUCUGUUGGAGUGAUAGAUGCUAAAUGGCUAAACUACAAUUCAUAUUUUUUUCAUUGACUAUAGUGUUCAUACUUCUCGUAUACUUACUGAUUUUACUCCUAUUUUUCCCCCCUUUGAUACUUGUUAAAUAGAAAGUUUGCUUCUUUCUUUUACAACUUUUUUGAAUCUCCAAUUGUAAACAUUUCUUUUACUUGCUGGUGAUCAAGUCAAUGAACUUCUUUUGCUUCAUUUGGUUUUGUAAGUAUUGGCUGUUUUUUUGUCUUAUGAAGUAUUUAGUGAGGAUUGGUGCUACCAUUUUUUUUCUCGUCUCUGAGGUAAAGGUAUGAUUUGCAUAUAUUCUGCCUGAAUAUACAUCGGGUAUGUUGUUGCUGUUGUAUGGAGAUUGUGUGUAUAAUAACAAUUGUAUAUUUGAUGUCGGGUCAUCCACACUUUCAUUCCUUGCAGGGGAAAGCUCAUUAAACUUACUAAGUUAACUUUUCAUUGAUGUAUUCUUUCACUAAGGUUGUCACUGGGUAGCUACAAAAAGCACUUGUCUAACUGGGCAGUUCAUGUUCAGUUUGUGCAUAUAUUAAGUAACGUCCAAAUUUUUAACCAUAUAACUUUACCUCAAAAUGGUGCAUGGAAUAGAGCUGCUCUUAAAUUUGGUCGGUUGGCAGACUCUUCCAUUUGAUCUGCAAUCAAAUGCUUGCUUUGUCUCAGUACAUUUGAUUCUGUUGUGCUCAUUCACACAUGGUUUAUGCCAAGUAUGUGAGACACAUACAGAAGCCUCUAGUUUCAUCUUCUUUAUAUAGCUUUAAACUUUAUUUGACUUGCUAUGAGGGAGUUCCACCCUGCUCUAAUCAUUCUAACAGACUUUUAAAAUUAAGAGCCAAAGAACGCUAAACAAUGGGUGUAACUCAAAUCUAUUUGAAUAAAAGGAAUACAAACUCUGAGAGAACAAAACACACUCUCCAGUAGUCCAGUAAAAAUAGUAGAUCUUAAAAUCCCACUACUAAGAAAAUUAAUUUAAAUGAUGCUUUAGAUUAGAAAGUCACCUUAUUAUAUUAUGUAUUCAGUGGGUUCUCAUUUAUACUGCUCAUCAUAUUUUCUACACUAUCUUUUCAACAUUUUCUCUGAAGUCUAUAAUUUACUCUUCUUCACUUUGAACUUGGGCUCUGCAGAGCUUUGCAUCUUGGACUUCUAUAUGUUGGUUCACUUGUAGUACUUCUUGUGUAUUCUACCUUGUAUGGUCUGACAGUAAAGGAAUCAAACUGGCUUGGGCCUACAACAUCAGCUGCCGUGAUAAUCCUUGGUAGUUCAUUUUCUACAUAUAUUUGUCUCCUUUUCUGACUCGUACUGUGAAAUAAUUUCUUAUUUCCUUGUGGUAAGUAAUGAAUUCACUAUCUUUUCAUUCAAUCAGAUUGGAACUUGGGAGCUUGCUUGUAUGGCUUUAAGCUUCUGAAAGGUUGAGUCAUCAUACUUUUUGUUGUCGGUACAUCUCGGGUGUUCCUGAUCUAUUUUGGAGUUCAUUAUUGGUUUGUUGUUAAACCAUGCUAAUUCAUUUUCUUCCAUAAUCAAGUCUUUUUAUACUUGUGGCAUAUGCAUCCCUUUUAAUAUUAUUUGUUGAAUAGAAACUUCUAAUCUUUUGUUAUCAACAAAAAAUCUUCUAAUCUUUUACUGCAAUAAUUUUGUUUCAGGUACUUAGGACAUUGUAUAAGUUAUGCAGUUGUAGCAUCUGUGCUGUUGGGUGCUACUAUUUCACGGAAUUUAUCAGUUACAGACCCAUUAGCAUCUAGACGAGAUGCCUUGUAGAGCACAAUUAUCCGCCUUAGAGAAGGUUUCUGCAGAAAAGACCAAAAUAGCUCCGCAAGCUCUUCUGAGGGUUGUGGCUCAAGUAUCAAAUGCAGUAGUAGUGUUGAUGCUGGUCAUAUUAAUAAUGGAACUAUUCCUUGCACUAGUGAUGGCAGUACCUAGAAUAAUAUUGAGGGGAUUAAUAGUGAUAAGAGCAUAGAUAGUGAAAGACCAAGUCUAGCUGUACGUAGUAGUUCCUGUUGUUCAGUUGUUUAAGAGCCUAAAGUAGGAUCAUCAUAUGUUGACAGAAAAUUAGAGCACAAUAGUUCAUUGGUUGUUUGUUCUAGCAGUGGCCUUGAAAGCCAAGGCGGUGAUUCUAGUACAUCCACUUCUGCAAACCAACAGAUACUGGACUUGAAUUUCAAGAAAAUUUGAGUGAUCCCAGGAUUACAUCUAUGUUAAAGUGGAAAGAAAGACACACUGAUCAUGAAUUAGCUAACUUAUUGCAAGAUAAAGGGCUUGAUCCUAAUUUUGUAGCGAUGCUGAAGGAGAAUGGAUUGGGCCCAAUAAUUCUAGCCUUAUUGCAGAGAAGUAGUUUGGACGCUGAUAGAGAACAUCGUGGCAGUAACCCUCCUGUCACUGAUUCAAAUGAUGUUGAGGAUGCGUUACCUAAUCAUAUUUCAUUCUCGGAAGAACUUAGACUCCAAGGAUUAGGAAAGUGGCUUCAACUUUGUAGAGUAAUGUUCAUUAUGUAGCAGGAACUCCAGAGCGAGCAUGGCUUCUUUUCAGUUUAAUCUUCAUUCUUAAAACUGUCGUUGUGGCUAUCUUCCGAACAAAGACAAUAAAACUUUUGAAUGCUACACACCAAUAGGUAAGAAAUGCAUUAGUACUUUUAAAGUUCAGUUUAGUAUAUUUGGAGUACGGUUUAGCUAAAAUGUACUCCAUAUGGUUGUAUUUUCCAUUUUCUAACAAUUUUGUAACACCCCGCAUUUCGGACAAGAACGAAAAUCAUCAUUUUCUUCACGUAAAGGUUCCAAAAUCCAUAAAUCCAAUGCAAUUUUAGUGUGUUAAUAAAUUAUGUAGUGUUGAAGCCUAUUUAAGCAUGAGUUGAGAUCAUAGAGGUCCCCAAGCUCAAGGACAAGUUGAAAGUUUUCCUAGCGUUCGAAUUUUAGUGAGUGUUAAAACUUAGUUCAACUUCAAUCGACUAUUACUCUUUGUAUACAUUGAAUUAGAGUACCUACUAUAUAUCAAAUGAAAGUUAUUCGAAUUAUCUUUCCAACGAUACCAAUUUCACAAAAUUCCAACACCCGAGGAAGAAGUUAUGGCUUUGCAAAGUGUAGUGUAUCGUGCAGCAUAAGGUGUGCGACGCACACCCUAACUUAUGCCAUAAGGUGUAUGACGCAGAACCUAAUGUGUGCGAUAAAGAGUGCGCCGCACAACCUAUAUUAUGCGAUAUGGUUUGCGCCGCAUAUAUUAUUACUCAAGUGACUUAAACACUCCGUUUUUGGGUCAAAAUGAUCUUUUUCCCACCAUUAUUUAGCCAUAAACACGAAAUUCAGUUCCUAAAAUACCCCAAAAUACACCUUCAUUCAUCAAAAUUGCUCAAGAACUCUCCUGAGGGUUUCAAAAUAAAAAUCCAAGCAACUCAAGAUUCAACCGUGGGUUUUUGAAAUGAAUUGCAUAUUUGGAAUCCCCAGAAUGUAGGUUUCAAGAAGCACCUAUCAUCUUCACAUAUAGAGGUACGUGGGGUUAUCUCAAAAAUCUUAUAGGCUUAAAAAUUCAUGUUUUAAGAAUGGGGGUUUUGAAAUUAUGAAUAUAAUCCCAUUUUAAACAUUUUAUGAUAUUGAUUUGGUCUUUAGGCCUAUUCCCGAAGUGGUUUGAUGUAUGAUAUAUGUAUAUGCAUGUAUUCCAAAAAGAUGUUAACUUAAGAGCAUGAAUUAUAUGAAAUCCCUCUUUUUAUAUGAUCUCGUUUUAAAUUCUCAUAUGAUGUGAAAUGUUUGAAAUCAUCUUGACAAGCAUGACAUGAAAUAUUUUUAAAAUGGUCAUGAUUUUGACUUGCAAUAAGAGGGUUGUUAUGUUGAAAUAUGAUGAAUAUAAUGGUUGCAUGAAAGAAUAAUGUGAUAUUGACGGCUUGCAAGUCGGGUAUGACAAUACCCUACAGAAUAAGAUAUGAGAUUGAAUUAAAUGGAGUUUGAUGCGUUGAUUUUACAUGAGAUAAGUGGAUGCCCGAAGAAGGCAUUUGAGUGUAAGGGCUCAUUGCUUGAAACCAUGUUUGCCGACAUGGGGAUUUGGUACUAGGCUAAGUGAUCUUGUGCACUUGACUUUAUGUCAUUCCCAAAUUGGGACUAUGGUUAGGAGCCCAGGUUAACUGAUCUUGGGCACUACUAUACUUUAUUAGGUCAAGACACCCUGCUGUGUGAUCUUGUGUGUCUUUCCCUCACUUAUACUCUAAUCUCGGCGGCAAUCGAGAUUUGACAGUUGGUGUAAAUAUUAUAUGUAGGGUAUUUCACCUAGCUCAGCUGUAUUACAUUAUUGUUGAAAACUAUUGCAUUAUGCCCAUGUGUUUUCAAAUGAUUUGAUAUGGAACUGCUUUAUAAUGGCUCUCACCUAUAUUUGGAAUAAAAUAUUAUAUUUUGUUUUUGGUUUCUCUGCAUACUAGUACUUUUGUAUUGACCCCCUUCCCUCCCAGGUUUGGAGGCAUAGUUUAGGGGUUCAGAUAACUAGUAAAUCUCUUUCGACAGAUUUGCAGAAUCAAGUGGUGAGCCUUCUAUAUUUCGGAAGGUUUGAUGUUUGUCAGUUCAUUUAUCAUUUAGUAGUUUUGGGUCUACUGGGGACCAGUUUUCAGAUAGUAAUUUGUUUCAGUCAAAGUCAGAGCAAGGGUGACUUUUGUGUAAAUGAAUAUUUUAGUAUAAUAACCGAUGUUUGAGAAUGAUUUACCCCCUUGUGGUGAUAGACUAAUGUGGUAACUAGUAGCAUGUGUUGAUGGUAUGUAGUCCGUGGAGGAAGUGUUUGACUCCGAUUUUAUUUAUACAAAGUAAGAUGUGUAUUCUUAGUUGAUUGGAUAUUGCGUAUUAAAUUUCUCUCAUGUAAUCUUGUCAUCAAGGUGUUGUUGAAAAAAAUAAAGUCUAGUGAAGCUCUGUGGAGCUCUUUCAAUUCACUAGAAUAGUUGACUUGUCAUUCAUCUCAUUUUCUUGUUCAAAAUACAAAAUAAAAGUCCAGUGAAGCUGUGUGAGGCCUAUUUCGAUUCACUAGCAACUAGUUGUCCAACUUGUUGUUCUUGUGUUGGUUUAAUAUAUAUAUAUAUAUAUCUGAAUCUGUUUGCAUGAGAUUGAGUUGGUAAAGAGGUGAUUUGUCCUUGUGUGUUAGUUUAGUAAAAGGUAGAGAAGGAGUUGUUAGUUAGGGUGAUUUCUCGGUUGCUUGAAGUAUGAAAAUGACUAUAUUAGCCAGUAAGUUGUAAGUACAGACUCAUGGUUGUUUGUGGAAUUUGAAAGUAGUCUAAAUGUACGUUUGGGUAAGUAAGUAUGAGGUGAGAAAUCCGUAUAAGUAGAAAAGAUUGUAUGGGGUUAUAAUAUAAGAUUAAGGUUGAUCAUGUCUAUUAUGUAACUUUACNNNNNNNNNNNNNNNNNNNNNNNNNNNNNNNNNNNNNNNNNNNNNNNNNNNNNNNNNNNNNNNNNNNNNNNNNNNNNNNNNNAAAUUUUAUGGACUAGCAUAUUAUGUUGCAUUUUUCAGUAGUGAUAGAUGAUUGGUAAAGGCCUAUAUGCUUGAAUUUAAUGUAGAAUAUGGUGGUAAAAAUAGUGGCAUAAGAUUAAUGAUGUAUGUUUUGUGGGAAAAAAAUUAGUAGGCUUGAUGUGUUAAAAUAGUAUGUGCUAAUGAGUUAUGAUAAGGAAGACCGUAAGGUCAAGAUCAAUUAUUUGUUGUUUGGAAGUUCUAGUGUACUAGUGUUUCUUGAUGUAUAUUUCAUGGUAUCCAAGUGAGAAUCAUGCGUAAGGUUGGGUUGUAAAAUCAUGUUUAGCACUAGACAUUAAGUUUUGAACAAUUGAUGUCCACGAAGGUGGAUGUGAUUAUUUCUUGGUUAAUGAUACUAAUUUUAUGGAAGUAAUCUAAUAGGAUUGAACGAUAUAUGCAAGAGCUUAAGUUUAUUUGAUUCGUAGUGAAGUAUGAUGUUGCAUAUAUAAUGUAGAAGUAUGCCCAAGGUGAUCUGAGGUUGCGGUAUUUUCUAAGACUAUUACACAUUUUGUGUGACGAUACCAUUGAGUUCCUAGGUGGAGAAAGACUAGUUAGAUGGUAUAUGGUGUUCUAAAUAGCCAAGUUAAGAAGUUUGAUUGAUAGUGUUGAGACUUUUUAUAUGAUCUUAAUUCUCAUAGUAGAGAGAUGUAAGUUUGGAGUCGCGAUAUUGGUAGGCUAUGUCGGAAGUAGCAUGAUUCAUUGAAGUCUUGGUGAUAUCCAUGUUGAGUGUUAGAUUCUAAGUUUGAGUUUUUGAAGGUUGAACUAAUAGAAAUAAUAUUUUAAAGCACUAGAGGGUGUGUGCUCCGACUAUGGCGAUACCCAUUAAGACCCGAAGUUAGUAAGUAUGCAAGUAUUAUAUGAUGACUACUGGGCCUAUAGAAUGAUAAAGUGUAUCUCAUAAGGUAGUAUUAAUAGUGGGUUUUCAACUUUCAGGUGUAGUCAUUCGGGUUUAGUGCCAUGAUAUGAGUGUAUAGUAGUUUUCCAGACUCCAGAGUUCAGUGAGUGUACUUCAGUUUAGAGUCGAGUAAGGGAUCUCCCAAACUUAAUAUGAUGGCUUGAAGCUAAAGGGGAGAUGAUAGAGCAAAUAACCAAGCCAGGCUUUUAGAUUCUAGUAGUGAUGUCAGUAUGACAUAGAACAUCAGAAGGGAAGAGUGAGGCUCAACCCAUUCCGGUCUCAGUAUUUUUCGGUUAUCCUAAUACCUACUCAUACGUCACGUUUCAGUUCCAUGAUCAUAGUUUUGCAUUAACAGACGUUCUUCAUUACACCCGAAGAAAAGAUACUUAGGACAUCAGUAGAUAUUGAACCCAAGCCAUAAGGUAAAGAUGCUUAUCAUUUUGUCCAUUCUCGUCUAACGCUGUGAUAGGUCAUCUAUUUCCUAUCUCUCUUUAUUCUCGUUUCAAGCUUUCAAUUUAUUAGAUGAAGAAAAGGGUUUCAUGUUACUAUAUGGUUUGGCUUCAAAAUUCUUGCCUUGUCCUUCAAAUUAAUUUAAGGAGUUGCGCAUGGAUACAAGCUUUCAACAUUGAUUGGAAAAUUAACUAAAUAUGAUAGAAAAGUAGCUAUAUUCUAAUUUCAUCUGUUCUUCCUUGCAUGGAUAUUGGUUGAGAAGCCUCCUAUACCUCCUCUGGCUGGUCCUGCUCCUGGUGCUAUUCCAUCUAUGUCACUGCAGGUAAAGUUGUGGAGGCUUAGGGGUGGGAUAAAUGACUUUUGAAUGUUGAGACAUUAUGAUAACUAUUUUCCCCAAAUCUUUAGUAGUUCUAGCCUAUGCUUCCAGCCCAGCAGGCACAACCUUAUGGUUCCGGGUCAUCUUAACAAUUUUUUCCACUUGGACAUGCAAAUGUUGCAAUGUCUCAACCUUCUCAAAUCCAAUUUCCUCAACCUAUGCAACAGGUUACUGGUAGACCUGUAGUAGGAAUGCAUAGUAUGCCUCAGGGACCACCUAUUCCCUAUGAUUUUCAGCGAAAUCUUCCGAUGUCAAGUAACCACAUGCCUGGUUCUGGUGGCCCAAAUUUACCUCUUUCUUCUUCAUAUAAUGUAAGGCAUUGGGAAGAUUUUUUUGGUUAUUGUCAAUCAGUUUCUGAUGUUCCAUUCAUAUAUUGAUGGAAUACAUUUUGUUAUCGCCUUUAACAACAGGUAAAUGCAGAUUCUUCUGGAUCCCAGUAUCAGACACAGAUAAAUGAUCAUAGGUUUCCAUCAGGGGUACAGCCCUGGAUGCCAAUAAGUAAUCAUAAUGUGAAUUCUGCGACAACUAUGCAAAAGACUGGAGAAUUAGCCGCUCCCUUGGUUGUUCCGGUGAGAAUUCAACGUGUUUUUUUGUACUCGUUUUGCAUAAAUAUUGUCAACAAGUAUGCUUAAGUUAAUGGGUUAAUGGGUGUGUGUUGACUGAGAGAGUCAACAUUUGAAUUAUAUGAUAGUUUUUUGUAAGCAAAUUAAGAUUCCAGUGAACAAAAAUGGUGUAAAACCGCGGUAUACAAGAAAAGGAGCUCUGCAAAAAUAUCAUUGUCAUUCAGAUCUAAUCUUUUUACCACUUUGUGUUCUCCAGACAGAAAAAAGAGCAUGCCGAUUUGGCUUUCCGGAAUUCUUGCUUUUGGAUUAUAUUCACAUAGGUUACUCAUAUGAAUAGUUUAAUGUCUGCAUCACAAACACUUAAUGUCUUUUCUAUAAACAAGUGGUGGAUAUGUUGGCCCCCAUCACAGCCAAGAAAUCCCUCAAGUAUCCAGAUCUAGUGCUUUGUACAUCAUUCUGCUUCCAUUAGCACUGGAGAUAAUAGGCCUCUUUGUUUCAGUCCUCUUUGUCAAAGUUCACCGCUACCAAAUUCUACCUGACUGUUGAUCAGCAGAACUUGAUACACCUCUACCGAUAACUUCAUUUUGACCCUAUUUAUCUAUUAUCGUACAUAUUUUACAUUUGGGUAAAUGCUAGUAGGUAUUGCUAUUUUCAGCAUCUUUUGAUGAUCAGUAGGCCAAUUAUGAUUGCUAAUGUUGUCAUAUUUCCUAUUGCUUUAUUACUCCAACCAAUUAAUAACAUUCUUACAAUUCUUGAACUGAGUUUUAGAUACUAUUAUAAUAGAAGGAAAAGAAUCUCUACCUGGGAGAAACCUCGAGAGCUGAUGACAGAAAUGGAGGUGAGGUCUCGUGUCAUCGAGAUUUUUAUGGGUAGUUUUAUCCAGUUUCCUGUGCUUAUCAAUGAAUAAAAAAGUGCACAAUUCUUUUUCUAUGAAGCUUCGUAGAACCACUUUUUCUUUCCUAAGUAUAUGUGAUUUCUGUUGAAAGUUUGUUUAGCGAGCAGAUUUCCUCGAUCUUACUAAACUAUGUAGGCUUCAUUUGGGAUUUGCAUUGACCUUUUAUUUCCAAUAUAAUUCUAAAAGAUUUUAUAUUUAACACUAUUGUUCUAAAAAUUGUGUUUAAGCAUACACGGCAGGAUUAUAUUUUGUCUAUUUUAAACAAUUUUAUUUGCUUUCUCAUUAAUAUAAUGUUAUUGUAACUCUAUGGAGAUAUGGAGAGAGAAAACUUGAUAUAAUAUUGCGGUUCGCACUUCUCAUUCUGGUUUACAGAAUAAUAGUUUGGCUGGUUGCACACUUGCACCCAAGAGUGUGACCUAGUGGUCAAUGAAGUAGAUUGAGAACCAUGAGGUCUCAGGUUUAAUUUCCAACAGAGAUAAAAACACUAGCUGAUUUCUUACCGUCUGUCCAAACCUUGAUGGAUAGAGUUACCCAGUAUCUAUGCUGGUGGGAGGUAGCAGUACCUGGUGUAACUAGUCAAGGUGCAAACUAGCCCAAACACGACGGUUAUCAAAGAAAAUUUGGCUGGUUGUGAGGGACAAGUAUUAAGGGACCAGCAACUGUAGCUAUAAGGAAGUUUGAACAUUUUUAUUCUUUUCUUUUUGAGAUAAACAUUUUUUUCCAGAGAUAUUACUUUGUAUUCGUCAGCAUUAAGGUUAUGCUAGCAGUCCAAAAGAAAUGAAAAAUAAUGAAAAUAAUGCGAGGAUUCGAAGAGAUCUACUACCUGUUAUGCAUCCUGUACACAUUGGCCCUUAAACAAAAAACAAAAAUCUACAAUGCUAUUCCAUUUAACUUUAUGAAUGGAAUUAUAUUUAUCUUCAAAAUACCUUCAACUUUUCUCGCUCCAUAUAGUCCACCAAAUACAAGGAAGGAUUGUUCUCCCCCAUUUCUUCUAACUCUUGCUAAUCCCCUCUAAUCCAACAGCUCAACAGAUUGUUGUGUGUCCUUUGAUAGUCCACUUUACUUUAACUCAAGAUCUGGUAUGUGUUCUGGCAUGGUCCACUUUACUUCUAUUAAACUAAAGGUGUCAAAUGGGCGGGGUUGGCUGGAUUUGGGCAGAUCAAAGAGGUCUGAGUUAAUAAAUGGUCGGGUUAUUAACCCGCCCUAAAGCUACUUGGGUUGAAAUGGGUUGGGUUGAAAUGCUCUAAAAUGCGGGUCAUAACCCAACCCACCCAAUUUGAACUCAGAUUUAAUUGCUUUAUUUGUUAUUUUAUAAACUUUAAGUACUUGAAAAAUUAUUAUCUUUUUUUUUAACUUGGUAACUUUGUAUUAUAUCACACAGUACAUGGGUUGUACUGAAACCUUUAUAUACAAGAUUAAUCCUAAAUCGACUGUUCUAUAUCUAAAUUUAGUCUAGAACAUCAAUUAUCGAGGCAGUAUCAUUGGAGAAUACUUGAUUACACCAAAAACAUAAAAGCAAAAUGCAGUUGAGUUUAACCUUCUGCACACUAUUCUCUAUGCUCUCAAAACAUCUAGAAUUCCUUUCUUUCCAUAUAGCCCACCAUAUAGCACUAGGGUUAAUUCUCCAUCUACCUCUAUCCUUCGCAUGUACACCUGCUUCUCCUAGCAAAUUAAAGUCUCGGAUACUUUCCUAGGCAUUGUCCUGGAAAUACCUUUUAGUCUUAAGACGAUUCUCCAAAGUUGUUGGGUGUACUUACAAUGUAGAAAUACAUGGUUAACCGUCUCUAAAGUUUCUCCACAGAGGAAACAUCUGGAGUACAAGGUUUUCCCUUUCUUCAUGACAUUAUCUUGUGUAAGAACUACUACCUUGGUCAGUAACCAGACAAAGACAAAGCACGACACUGUGCUAGGUUUCCUACUUUUCCAUAUUUGCUUCCAAGGCCAUCUUGGAUCCGAGUGAUUUAUUUGGUUCAUCAUCUUGUAGGCUUUAUUGACACUGAACAUUCCUUUUUAAUUUCCCAUCCACCAUAGUACAUCCUUCACUGUCUGCAGUCCAUUGAAGAAGUCCAUGGUAUUAAAAAAUUCAUCUACUCUCAUUACCUCCCGGUCAUUAAGUUGCCUUCUGAAAUUGAAGUUCCAUCCAUGUGGUGUCCAUAAUUCUGCGAUAGUCCUCUAUUGAAACAAUACCAAGUUGUAGAUAUCUGGAAAAAUCACUUCCAUAUUCCCAUCCUCAUGUCAAUUAUCCUUCCAAAACCUAGUCUUGUUUCUAUCCAUCACUUUAACCUUUGAGUUGCUUUUAACUUCAUUCCACUAAUGUCUAAUAGAUCUAAUAGAUCUCUAGAGGCUAACCCCGUAUGGUGUGGUCACUUUUUUGGUCAUCCAUCUAUCUUCUUCAGGAUAUUUAGCCCCAAUCACUUUCCUCCAUAGCAGCUGGUUAUUGUUUGCAUAUUUUCACAACCAUUUCAUCACGAGAGCCUUACUUUGAAUUUUUAGGUUCUUUAUCCCCAAUCCUCUAGUCUCCUUGUCAAUUGUCCACCACAGAGAGCACUACCACUUUUUCUCACAUAUCUUUGUUCCUUAUUCUAUCUCUCCUAGUAUGCCCACACACCAAUGUCGAUAUCCUCAUUUCUGCUACAUUUAUCUUUCGAACAUGCGAGCUCUUGAUCAGCCAAACACUCUGCCCCAUGUAAGAUAGCUAGUAUAACAACCACUUUAUAAAUUUACCUUUAAGUUUAUUUUAACAAAAUUCUUAUACAUGGUAUGAUAGUUACUAGCUCUUUUGCAAGAACUAAUUGGGACAAAAAACAUAUGUUCAGAAAUUGAUUCAUAAAAAAAAACAUAAUUGUAGUUUAUGAGUUUCAAACGUGUCCAAAGGGAAAAAAAUUAUGGGGGGGCUGUGUUGAGUUUAGAACUUAGAACCUCAGUGUAGGAUUUGAACACCCUUACUGUUACACUCAGUCUUGUUUUUUGUGGCAAGGGUGUUCAUUAAAAAGUACUCAGAAAUGACAGAAUUUGACCUAUAUAUAUAUAUACAAAAUACGAUUAUCAGGCGAAUGUUGUUCAGUUGAUCACCCUUGGAUAGCUGUAGCUCGACCACAGCUUGGCAAUGUUUCCACCCUGCUUGUAGUUAUAUUCUACAUAGUACAUUCUAGUCCUUUUCCAUGUGGGACAUUAUAUCAUUCAUAUUCUAACACUUCCAUCCAGUAUUGUACUACUGGAAGUUACUGAUUUCUACUCUCAGGGUACUGUUUAUGUUCUAUUUUUUGACUUGACCUGCUUUCAUGCUGUUUUCAUUGGGACAGGGGACAGACGCAUCAACUGACUUUAGAGAAUUUACAAGUCCUGAGGGAAGAAAGUGAGUAACUUGUAUAUUUUCUUGGCCUCUUUCCAAUUGCUCUGCUACAGUGGGUACUUUUGUGUGUUACUUGUUCAUAAUGCUGAUUACUUUCUUUAUUUUCAAUAGGUAUUACUACAACAAGGUUACUAGAACGUCCAAAUGGAGAAUGUCGGAUGAAGUCAAGGUGAUGUUAGAUUUAAAUCCAAUAUGGGUUUGUUCUGUGCUUUAAAUAGCAUCAUAAGAAGAGAUUGUUCUGUGCUUUAACUAGCUCUAGUUCUCAUAAAAUCUUUAUGCAUUCACAGUUGCUACCAUGAUAAGAAGGGGCAAUAUUCUAUUUUCUUAGAUACUCUAUUCUCAUAAAGUUUAAUUAUUUAUAAAUUAACAGUUGGCUCGUGAAAAGGACACCAUUUCGCACGCUUCUGAUUUUGGAUCCAUUUCUGUUGUUAAAACAUCAUCCUCGGGUGCAGAUGGUUCAUUAGUCUCGACACACGGUGCUAAAUCAAGCCUAACUGUUGUGUCACCAGCCGCUAACUUACCAACUAUUGUGGCUUCAGAAUCAUCAAGUUUAUCUGGUAAGGUUUCUUCUUCGAUGAUUGAAAUAGUUGAAAUGAAGAAUUCUUCAGAACCUGCUUCGCCAGCUGUUGCAAAUUCAGAGAAAAUUGGAAUAGCAGUAACCUUGGGAAAUUCUAUCGUGCCACCGGUGUAUGUUUUUAGAUUUAUAUGUUAUAAAUUUGCCUCUGGUUUGUGUUGCUUCUUAUUUGGAAUUCAAUUUUUCUGUAGUUCUGAGAAUACUACAACUCAAGAUACAGUAGUGUAUGGUGAUGGAUUUUCUUCAGAGAAUAGAGAGGUACUUUGUCCUUCUGAAAUACUUAUGUGAUUAGUUAAUUACUACUGGUUACUGGUUAAAACACUAAGAAAGCUUUUCGCAGUUGUUAUGCUGGAUGUUGAUCCAACAAUUUUGUAGUGCAGUUGUUAGUCAACUACUAACAGAUGAAGAAUAUGCUCCAUAUUCCAAUGAGAUUUGCUUUUGUCCUUUAUGCUUGAUGUUGUGCCUAAAAUGCAGAAUGUCAAGAAAGAUGCUGCAAUAACUGAAAUUGGAGGUGCUACUCCAUCAGAUGAGAAAACAGUCGAGCUGGGACCAUUAGAUUAUGAGAGCAAAGCGGUAUAGUUGAUUAUAGCUUUUUAUCCCGUUUAAUGUAUGUUCUCAAAAUUUCUCUUAUUUCUAUUUUAAGUAUCUGAUUUUAUUUAGAAGGCAAAGAGUGCAUUCAAAACUCUUUUGGAAUCUGCAAAUAUUGGAUCUGAUUGCACGUGGGAUCAGGUUUAUUACUUGAUUGUUUUGUGCGUACCAAACAAUUGAGGAGAUCAUUUGACAUGAAUUGUAUUUGUCAGGCCAUGAGAGCAGUAAUUAAUGACCGGAGAUAUGGUGUUCUAAAAUGCCUUUGUGAGUGGAAGCAAGCUUUUAAUAAGGUAUCUCUCCAAGUCGGCAUUGGAAUGGGUUAAUUGUUGCUUCAAUGUCUCAACAUACCGUAUUGCAAAAAGAUAGCUUGUGUUUGAUAUCCAAUUGUUUCAUGUUUGGUUGACUUAAAUAUUUUGGAAAAUGUUUUCCAAAUCAACUUAUUUUCCUUAAAUUUAAGGAAAAUGAAUUCCCUUCAAAAAGUAGGAAAAACAUUUUCCAAAACUCUCUUUCAAUCUCACUCUUAAGUUGAAAUGUUUAUACAACUCUCAAAUGUAUUUUCUAAAAAAUAUUUUUUUAUUCACCAACCAAACAAUAGAAAACAUUAUCUGAAAAAUGUUUUCCUUUCAUCAACCAAACAUUAGAAAACAAGUAAGAAACCAACUUGCUUUCUAGGAAAACAUUUUCCUUCAUACCAAAAACACCCAAGGUCUAUAGUGAUCAUUUUGAAGUUGUGUGUCUGUUCCAGUAUCUGUGCCAAAAGAAAAAACUGGAAGCUGAAGCGAGGCGUGUUAAACAGAAAAAAGCUCGGAAAGAUUUCAAGAUAAUGUUAGAAGUAAGUGAAAUUUUCUUUUGUGGGUGUCUUCCAUUUGAUAUAUCAUGAUAUUCACAUUACCAGUUUCAAAAAUAAAAAGAUAUUAUCAUAAUAUUCAUGAUGUGUUAGAGACUGGUAUUUGACUUGUUCAAAAGAAUAAGUGGUAUUUUUCACAACAAUGUCCGUCGUUCUCAAUCUUACAGGAUUGCAAGGAGCUGUCACCAUCAUCAAGAUGGAGGUUUGUCUCUCACUUGUAAUCUUAAGUUGUCUGCUGCUUUUUUUUCUAAUCUUGGUCAUUGUUUGUAUGUGUUUUUGUACCUUGAAGUUGAUCCAUUAUUUGUGUAAGUUCCAUUUGAUCCCCUAACUAUUUGCUAUUGAUUAUUCAGUAAGGCAAUCUCCAUAUUCAAACACGAUGAACAUUUUAAAGCUGUUAAGCGAGCUAAAGACCGUGAGGACCUUUUUGAAGAUUAUGUGGAGGAACUUGAGAAAAUGGUGAAGCUCCUUUUGCAGAGCUUUCUUGUAAGCUUCUAUAGGUUAAAAACUAAGUGUGUGGACUGUACUUUCCUUAUAUGGUCUUUGGCUCCUCACAAAUUGAGUUAGCCUUUCAUUUGAGAUAGAAACAAAGGUCCAAUUUCUUCAACAUGGUAUUAGAGGCAGAUCUAUCUUGAUUUUAGACUAUUAGAUGUUAGCCAACCUAGGUUAACUGAUUCUACAAAUGUCUAGUCUUGGUGUGCGAUUAAUGUAUGAGAAUCCCAUACUAGCAAGGUGUAUGUGCUAUAGUUUCCUUAUAUGAUCUUGGGCAAUCUUCACCACCUGACCUAGUUUUCGAAGUUGAGUUAGGUGCUGGUCCACUUGAUUAACAACAAUCAUUCCAUUCCUUUCCUUUACAGGAUGUCUUUUAGUUUGUUCCUUGUUUUGUUUUGCUUAAAGAGUAGAAAGAAGGAAUGUUCUAGAUAUUCAACUUAAAAUCUUGUGUUCUUUGAAUACAUUUUUAAUGGCUUCUCAAGGGUACAACAUUGAAAUUUGUUCACCAUUGAAUUCCAAUUUAAACAGACUUCCAUGUAUUGUAUGUAAUUUUUCUUGAAACUUGAAACUAUGAUAUACUUCUUCCUCUCCCCCCUCUAUCGUAAAAUAGAAAAAGUUUUUCAAUACUUUCAUGCAACUGUAGUUAAAGUCUCUUUGUAAAUAUUGUCUUCUUUAUAGAGAAAUUUUAUUUUUUUACAUUGUACUGGAUUUUAUUAGGAGCAUGCGAAGGCAUUGGAGGAGUAGAAGCGCAAUAGAGUGGAGUACUUAGAAUUUUUAAAAUCCUAUGACUUUUUUAAGGUAUUUGUUCUAGUGGAAUUAGCAUCAGUUCCUAGAUUAUGUUUUUCUAUUUCCAGGAGAUAGAACUUCCAUAGUUCCAUUGUUGCUGACUUCUUUUGUUCAGGCCAGUAGCCAGUGGCGAAAAGUUCAGGACCGCUUGGAAACUGAUGAAAGAUGCUCCCACCUUGAGAAAAUCGAUCGCUUGGAGAUUUUCCAGGUACAACUCAUUUUUCUAAUACAUCAUGAAUAAAUUUUUCGAAACAUCUCAUUUGUACGCCUUAGUUUUAAAGUUAUGUUGCAACCUUUUCUAUUUUAGGAAUAUAUACGUGAUUUAGAGAGCAAAGAGGAGGAACAAAGGAAACUGCGGAUGGUAUAUUUCUUAUUAGACUCGGGGGUUAAAACUAAAUUUAUGUUUGGAGACUUUGAUUUAUCUCUUUCUCACUGGGCAUACAUCGUUGAUUCAAAUAGGAAGAAUUGAGGAAAGCUGAAUGUAAAAAUCGUGAUGAGUUCCAAAAACUGAUGGAAGAGCAUGCUACUGCAGGAAUACUUAAUACAAAAACUAACUGGCGUGAUUAUUGCAUCAAAGUUAGUUUUUAUUUCUUAUGUUCAGUGAGUGAUUACCUUCAUGAGCUCCCUUUUUGUCUUUUUUGAAUUUUUCAUCCAAUAAUUUCCUUCUUUAUUUUGUGCUUGCAGAUUAAAGAUUUUGCUGCAUAUCUAGCUGUCUCAUCAAAUACUAUAGGAUCAACAGCAAAUGGCUUAUUUACAGAUGUUAUGGAUGAGCUGGAGAAACAGGUGAAAUAGGUUGCUAAUAGGAGUAUUGAAUUGUGUCAACUACAUUUGUUACACUAAGCCAUAUUUAUAGACUUUACACUACAAUCCCUUUUCAUUUGCUUUCACUUAAUGAAGGUCUGAAUCUGAAUGGUUAAGAUAUCAGCCCAUUAAGUGCUUUGUUUUUUCUUAAAAAAGAUUCAACCUGUUAAUGCAUCUUAAUGAAUCAAAUGUUAAACAAAGUCUGAAGAUCAUUUAGAUCCUCACUAAAAAGUUCAAUUCAUUAGGUAAAAAUGGAAGUACAUUACUAUGUAGGAAUAUACUGGGUUUGUUGUUGUUGUUGUUUUAGUGCAUUAAAGAAUAGAACAUACUUGGUAGGAUAAAAGCAUAAGAUUGAGAUUUGAGAGUUACCCCUCUACUUGAUUUUUUUAAAAAUAACACAUAUUUUGUAGAGAUAAGAACAGUGACCGGUUGUUCCUAUUAAACAUCUGUGUUGUUUCUCUUUAUGCCAAUUACUUUCCUUUUUUUUACUAGAUAGUAGGUAUUUAGACUGAUAGGAAUGGUAUUGUCGUAAACUUUUAAGUUAGGGGUUCCAUACUUUUAAUGUAGUAUAGAUAUAGAUUAUUCUUUCAAUCUAGCCAAGCUGUAUUAAAUGCUACUUCACAAACAAUUGUAAUUGACUUCUCCUCUGUUGAAUGCUGUUGAUGGUUAUAUUACCUUAAUUGUUAUAAUUUCUUGAGAAGAACAACUCUGAGAAGUGAUAAUCAAACUUCCAUGUUUUCACGUAGUUUCUUUGACUUUCAAGGACUCCUUUAAAGUAUCACACAACCACACCAUUGUGUUUCAGCUAAGACUGCAUUUGCUUUUAUUAAUAUUCAGACAUUUGAAUCAUUUUGAAUGCACAUCUAAAUGGUUAAGAUAUUGUCUCUAGAUCUGAAAACUGAUUGAUUAAGGUUGGGUGUUUCUCAAUAUCUGAAUGUGCAAAAUUUAUUUAUUUCUAAAUAUAAUAUAAUUAUAUAUUAGAAAUUUUUUUAAUUUAAUGCAAUUAAAUUAUUAUUUGAUUAAAAAAAUAAACAUUUAUGUUUGUUAGUGAUAGUGGAGAUGGUUUGUAAUGGUAGUGGUGGUUGUAAUAAAUUAAUUGAUGAUAGUGAUUAGCAAUGUUGGUGAUGAUAGUUGUGAUAGUAGAGACAGUUGGCAUUGUAGUAACUGUCAUGAUAUUGGCGAUUGGUAGUGGUGGUGGUGGUUGUGAUGUGAAGUUGGUUAAUGUUAGUAGUUGGAGGUGUUGAUUGUGGUAAAGAAAAACUGUAUGCAUGAUGGUUGACGAUGUGUUGGUGGUCAUUGGAGACACUUUUAGCUGUGAUGGUGGAUUGGUUGUUAGUACAGAUAUUGUAGCGAGUGUAGCGGAUGAUGGUGGUAGAGGUGGUGACGCCGGUAACAGUGGUGAUGAUGGUGUUCGAAGAAUGUAUGGAAGUUGAUGAUGUGUUAGUGGUUGUUAGUGAUGUGUGGAAGUUGAUGAUGUGUUGGAGGUUAUUAGUGGUAGUGCUAGUUGUAGUUCUGAUAGAUGAGUUGGUUAGUAGUAGGGAUCGACCGCUAGCAGUUAAUGGUGGCGGCGUUGGCGGUAGGGGUGUUCAUGGGUCGAUAUGGGUUGGCUAUUGGUCAAAACCAUAACCAAACCAACUUAAUCGGUUUUUAAAUUUCUAAAACCAAACCAAACCAAACAAAAUAAUAACCAUUGAUUUGGUUCUUGUCGGUUUAGUUCGGUUUGAUUCGGGUUUUUUGGUUUAUAACUUUAGUUAAUGAUAAAAGUUGAAAAUUUUAAAAAACAAAUCCAAUCUUAUACUUCGGCAAAGCCAUGAUAACACCAUAUGAACGCUUUUAAAAAAAUAUUUUAAAACUAUAUUUAGUAGAAUGAUAUGAUAAACCCCCAAAAGGUGAACACAUAAACUUCUUGCUUAACAAGGUUCAAAAAACAGUUAAAAUUAGUGAUUGUGUAUAGUCUAAUGGAUUUCAGCUGUAAAUUUCAAUAUAUAACAAGAUAUUAUUUUCACAAUUAUUAUCAUUUGUCAUUCAAAAUAUGAAAUUCAUUUAGAAUCACAUAAUGUAUUGUCAACUAGAUGAAGACAUAGGACUGAAUGUGUUACGACUAAAGUUAAAUCAUGAUUAAAAUAUAAAAUGUAACAAAUAUUUAGAUUACAUUUAUGAAAAACAUAUAAAUAAUUAUAAUAUAUAUGUAUAUUGGUUCGGUUUGGUUAUUUUGUCAGUUAUUUUAGAGUAAAACCAAACCAAACCAAACCAAAUUAGUAUCGGUUUUUUAAAAUUCAAAUCCAAACCAAACCUAACUAAAUAUAGGUUUUUUUAAUUGGUUUGGUUUGGAUUGCAGUUCAGUUAGGUUAAAAACCAAAUCGUGAACACCCUUUGUUGGCGGUGGGUAUAAUUAGAAUAAUGGAAGUAGUAGGUGUGGUAGCGGCUGGCAGUGUAGUUGGUAGUGAUGUUGGUUAUGAUGGUGGAAGUGGUUGGUGGUGGUGACAGGUGAUUGUGGAUAGAGUGGUGGUGAAUUUUAUCCUACACAAGAAUAUCUAUCUAUAAAUGCUAUUUAAACUUGGUUCCACAUCUGAAUGAUUAAGACCUACUCAGACCUAUUACAAGUUAAAAUCCUAAUAAAAACAAAUGCACUUAAUGGUUUAAGGUUUGAAUAGGUUCAUAAAUCCAAUAGGUGCAAACAAAUGAGACCUGAAAGUAGUUUUUCUGGUCAAGUUUUGAUCAUGUUUUGUCCAUUUGUACCACACCCCAGUUAUGAUUUCACUUCGGAUGAUAUGGUGCAACUUAAAACCCAAUUCAAAAUAUAUUGUGUUGUCAACCAUAUAAAUUGUACUAAGUAAACUUAGUUCAAGAAUUCACCUCUGAAGAGGUAGUUGAGAUGUAAUAAAAGUAAAGGCUUAGAAAAGAUUGGCCUCGAAAAAAGUUCCUGAGCGCAUCUCUAUUUGUAAUACCUUGGGAAAUUUUUUGUUGAAAUUUUGUGUGUAAACGUGUUGGGUUCUAUCUUAAAGAAUGAAUUAUAAAUUUUUCAUGCAAAAUGUCUUAGAUUAUGACCCACCAUUGCAUAGCUUAUCGAAUAAGAUUCCCAAUGAUAUGUGGAUCAUCCAAAACGGACACCCGAGCGAUGAGUUAUGAACAUUUCGAUCGAAUCGUGAAUAGUAGUGAGCAGUAAAACGUGCAGGAAAAAGUACUGAGGCCUGGCAUAUUUUUGCUCCAAUUUUAAAUGAUCAUAACUCCUUGUACAUAAUGAUCUGGGUGAUCUACUAUAUAUCAACGGAAAGUUCUGCGAGUCCUUUUUCCAAUGAAAUUGGUUUCAUCCAAUAUGUCUAUCGGAGCAAAAAGUUAUGGUCGAUCUACUUCAACCUAUCAAAAGUGAAUUUUUGGGUCAACUUCAAACGAUCAUAACUCCUCGAACACAGUGAUCUUUGUGAGAUACUAUAUAUCAAUGGAAAGAAAUGUGAGUCCUCUUUCUAAUGAAAGUGGUUUCAUCCAAUUUGAGUAUCGGAGUAAAACGUUAUGGUUGAUCUGCUUUAGAUUAUCAAAACAGUCCACCAAAGGAUAGAUUCGAGAAUUUUUUUGAUUUUUAGGGGCAUUUUGGUAACUUCCCCUCACCCAAAAUCCGUCCAAACCCUAUAUUAAAGCCUAUUAGAAGCAUUAUAUGUUAUAUUUCAUCAAACUCCCUCAAAAAGAAAACCCUAAUCUCAUACAUCCAACUUUAAGAACCUCUAAAGUUCACCAUUAACUCUGCAAAUUUAUUCAAGAUUCCAAGUUCCUAGUUCAAGAACUCCAAGAACCAUCAUUCAAAGGCACGAUUAGCAUCUCAAAAACGAGUAUCGAUCUAAAGUUCAUCAUUCAAGGUAUGUGGAGUUUUUCAACAAGAACUCUCUUUCGUUCAAUUUGAAGCAUGAACCCAUAUUUUAUGAUGAUUAUUAUGAAAUCUUGAUGUUUAUGAUUUUGAAAGAUGAAUUUACAUGUGUGAUGAUAUAAAGCAUGAAUCUUGAACGAUAUUUAUCAUGAUUUUGAUAUUUGGGUCGUGAAUCCCCAUUUGAAAUUGUGUUUUUUUGGAAAGUGUUUAUAAGCACGUUGAUGUUGAAUAUCUAAGAUAUUUUAAAUGAUUUGACCUUUUGAUAUUAAUGGAGUUGUUUUGAACUCGAGUAUGAAAGAAAUCCACAACGUGGUUGAUUUUGAUAGAUGGGAAGCAUGAUGGCUCCCGAUGUAUAUUUAUAUAUUACUAAAAUUAUUUUGUUGUGGAUUUUCUUUGANNNNNNNNNNNNNNNNNNNNNNNNNNNNNNNNNNNNNNNNNNNNNNNNNNNNNNNNNNNNNNNNNNNNNNNNNNNNNNNNNNNNNNNNNNNNNNNNNNNNNNNNNNNNNNNNNNNNNNNNNNNNNNNNNNNNNNNUCCAUGUAGCUCACAUGGUUUAUGUCGGUUAUAGGAUUUCCCAGUGUGUGUGUGUUUCGUUGUGUCUAUGGUGAAUGGUGAAGUGAUAUAAAAGUGGAAUUGUGAAAGUUAUUCUUUCAAAAGAUUUAAAUGAUAUUUACAUUAUGAGAAUUGCUAUUCUCGAUGAACUGAAAGUGAUUGACAAAUUAUAUGAUGACUCACAUAUGUUAUUGUACUUAUUUCAUCCUCUCAUGAUUAUAAUGAUUUUCUUCGGGCAAUAUGAGUCUUUCAUACAUCCUGCAUAUUUCUUAUAAAUAUUUAUGAUGAUAAUGUUUAUACAACUGCAUACAACCCCAUAUACUCGGUUCCUUUCCAUAGUACUGACCCUCAUCUUCGGAUGUGGGCUGUAUUUUCUCAGAAUGUAGGUUCAGGUGCUCAGUUCCAGGUUUGACAGUGAUUCUUUAGGCACGUUGUUCUACAUCCUCUAUUGUGGUGAGUCCUCAUGUUCCGAGGAUGUGUGUCUGAUGUUGGUUUCAUGGAAUUGUUUACAUAUGAUAACUGAGUAUGAGUCAGUUGGGGCAUGUCUCAAUGGCUCGCUGGUUUUAUUGAUUUUCUUAGAGGUUUGUUAGACUAGUAUAGAUGUUGGGAGUUGAAUAAUAAGUCAUAUUUUGUUAUCUUUCUGAAAUUCUUUUAUUCUUGGAUGACGAUUACUAUGUUGAUAUUUGAGGGUUAUUUAUGGAAACCUCGUUGAUUUGUGUUGAACUGAAUGAAAAUGGCUCAAAGGGUUAGCUUGGGGCUACUCACAGCCUUAAGCACCAUGUGAUGCUUUGGGACCCAUUUUAUGGGGCGUUACAAACUUGGUAUUAGAGCCUAAGGUUUUAAGGUGUCCUAGGGAUUCUGACAAGCCAUGUUAAGUAGAGUCUUGAUCAUUGGUGUGUAGCGUGCCACAUCUAUGAGCAAGAGGCUCCAAGACAUUUUAGGAAAAAGUGUUUUUUUUCUUUCAGAAGUCUAUCGUGCUUAAAGUGUCUCUCUCUACUAUUGAUUCGUGCUCUCCUCUUUCAGAAAUAUGCCUCCACGUCGAGCGAGAAGAAAUAAUGAUUAUCAGUAACCUCAACCCGCUGACCCAUUGAAUAAAAACGUGUCUCAUACUGAAUUUUGAGAAGCCUUUCAGGCGCUGGCCCAAGCUGUUACUGCAAAUGUUCAGGCCAACCCGGCCCCAGCUCCACAGUAGUAGGGAGGUGAUUUAGCUGCUGCCAGGAUCCAUGACUUUAUGUAGAUGAAUCUGUCAGAAUUCUAUAGGUCCAAGUCUGAUGAGGAUCUAUGAUUGUUUUUAGAGGAGGUGCAGAAGAUUACUCAGGUGAUUCAUGUAUCUGAGGAACAUAGUGUGGAGUUGGCUAUGUAUAGGUUAAAAUACCUUGCUUAUGAAUGGGUUGUUGCUUGGAAGAAAGGUAGAGGUGAGGGAGCUAUCCUUACAACUUGGCAAGAGUUCCAGGAUGCAUUCCUGGAUAAGUUUUUCCCUUUAUAGAUAAGGGAGGUGAAGGUGGAAGAGUUUAUAAACCUGCGACAGGGCUCUAUGACUGUUAGGGAGUAUUGUCUAAAGUUUAAUCAGUUGGCCAAGUAUGCUCCUGACUUAGUGGCUGAUAAUUGGGCUAGUAUGAGUAAGUUUGUGACUGGAGUGUCUAGUUAUGUGGUUAAGGAGUGUAGGUCUGCUAUGCUGAAUAGUGAGAUGAAUCUUUCUAGGAUGAUGACUCAUGCCCAAUAGAUUGAGGCAGACAAGAUUAAGGAGAAAGAUAGAAUGAGAGGGAAUAAAAGAGCUAGGUCUAAGCAGCAUGGACAGGGUGAGACUAGAUCGCAGGGAAGGAGUUACCCUCAGUAUCAGGAUCAUUCAUCUAUGCUAGCACCGUCAUCUGCUAGUGCUCCUGUGCCUAGAGGUAGGUAGGAGCAAAGUACCAGGUCAUAUGUAUCUAGGGCCCAGUAUAGUACUGGCAGUAAGCUAAAUCGUCCCCUAUGUCCUUAGUGUGGUAGGGCUCAUUUAGAUGAGUGUUGGGGUGAGAAGAGGGGUUGUUUUCGGUGUGGUGACAUGGGUCACAGAGUUAGAGAUUGUCUGCAGGAUGGACAAGGACGUCGUGGCUAUUGCCUUCAGACCUAGACUCAGACUGUUAGUGCUCCAGUUCCAGUGACUCGUCCAGCCCCAGCUCAGGGUGCCUCUUUUAGCAAUGCUGGCAGGUAGCGCCAGAAUAGAUUCUAUGCUUUACCACCACACCAGGAACAGGAGGACUUUCCCAAUGUUGUUACUGGUAUGCUUCAUAUAUUUCAGUUUGAUGUGUAUGCUUUAUUGGAUCCUGGAUCCAAUUUCUCAUACGUUACACCUUUGAUUGCUGUGAAUUUUGAAAUGAGUCCUGAGAUUAUUCCUAACCCUAUCCUAGUUUCUACCCCAGUGGGUAAUUCAAUUGUUGCCCAGAAAGUGUAUAAAAAGGAUCCUAUUACCGUUCUUCAUAAAGUGUUGUUGGCUGAUCUGAUUGAGUUAGACAUGGUUGAUUUUGAUGUGAUUCUGUUAUGGACUGGCUGUAUUCUUUUUAUGCCUCUAUUGAUUGCCGGACCCGAGUGGUCAAGUUUCAGUUUUCGGGUGCAUCCGUGUAUGAGUGGUCUGGGAAUUCUGUGUCACCCAAGAGUCAUUUUAUCUUUUACCUCAAAGCUAGAAAGCUUAUUUCUAAGGGGUGUAUUUACCAUUUGGUUAGAAUCAAAGACACUAAGUCUGAGACUCCAACUCUCCAGUCUAUUAACGUCGUCAAUGAGAUUUCUAAUGUCUUUCCGGAUGAUCCUGAUAGAGAGAUAAAGUUUGGCUAAGGUCAUUUGCUUUUCUAGGUCAUAUCAUUUCUUCCGAGGGAAUUAGAGUUGAUCCCCAAAAGACCAAAGCUGUUAGAAAUUAGCCUAGGCCUAUUUCUCCGACUGAUAUCUGAAGUUUCUUGGGUUUAGCUGGCUAUUUCUGCCAUUUUGUUGAGGGUUUCUCCUCUAUAGCGUCUCCUAUGACUCGGUUGACCCAAAAGAAAGUAAAGUUCUUAUGGUCUGAAUCUUGUGAGAAGAGUUUUCAAGAGUUGAAGACUCGACUCACUUCAGCCCCUGUUUUGACUUUGCCUGAUGGUGUUGAUGGUUUUGUGGUGUACUGUGAUGCUUCGAGAGUUGGGUUGCGUUGCGUAUUGAUACAGAAGAGUAAGGUGAUAUCUUAUGCUUCUUGACAGUUGAAACCCCAUGAGAAAAAUUACCCCACCCAUGACCUUGAGUUGUCUGCUGUUGUAUUUGCUUUAAAAAUCUGGAGACACUAUUUGUAUGGUGUCCAUGUUGAUGUUUUCACUGAUUAUAAGAGUCUGCAGUAUGUGUUUACCCAUAAAGAAUUGAAUCUUAGGCAGAGAUAAUGGUUAGAAUUAUUAAAGGACUAUGACAUGAGUGUGCCGUACCAUCUAGGAAAGGCCAAUGUUGUGGAGGAUACCUUAAGUAGAGUGUCCAUGGGCAGUGUUUCGCAUGUGGUAGAAGGUAAGAAAGAGUUGACUCAUGAUGUACAUCAUUUGGCUAGAUUGGGGGUUAGGUUGUUUGACUCUGCUGAAGGUAGUAUAGGGGUUCAGAGUAGUUCCGAAUCCUCCUUGGUUUCGGAAGUGAAGGAAAAGCAAUACUUAGAUGCUAGUUUGGUCAGACUGAAGGAGUCAUGGCUGAAGCACAUGGGGCACGAUAUUCUAUUCAUCCUGGUGCCACCAAGAUGUACCGAGACUUGCGGGAAAUCUAUUGGUGGAGUGGCAUGAAGAAAGAUAUAGCAGCAUUUGUAGCUAAGUGUGCAACAUUCCCACCGGUUAAGGUUGAACACCAAAGACCUGGUGUUAUGAUGCAGGAAUUUAGUAUUCCCACCUGGAAGUGGGAAGAGAAAAAUAUGGUCUUCGUGAUUUGUUUACCUCCUUCCUGACGCCAUCAUGAUUCCAUUUGGGUUGUGGUUGAUAGGUUGACUAAGUCUGCUCAUUUCUUGCCUGUUCAUACUUCAUAUACUGCUGAGGAUUACCUAGAUUGUAUAUUCGAGAGCUAGUCAGACUACAUGGAGUUCCCUUAUCUAUUAUUUUGGAUAGCGGUACUCAAUUCACUUCACAAUUUCGGAAAGUUUUUCAGAAGGGUCUUGGUACCCAAGUGCUUUUGAGUUCUUCUUUUCAUCCGCAGACCGAUGGUUAGGCUGCGCGGACCAUCCAUACCUUAGAGGAUAUGUUGACAGAUUAUGCACUUGACUUAAGCGAAGUUGAGAUGAUCACUUACCAUUGAUAGAGUUUCUUACAAUAACAGUUUCUACUCUAGUAUUGGUAUGGCUUCGUUUGAAGCCUUAUAUGGGAGGAAGUAUAGAUCACCCAUAGGUUGGUUCGAGGUGGGUUAAACGACUGUAAGUGGUCCUGAUUCAGUAUUUGAGGCUAUGGAAAAGGUUAAGUUGAAUAGGGAAAGGUUGAAAACUGUGUAGAGUCGUCAGAAGUCAUAUGCGGAUGUUAGAAGGAGAGAGCUUGAGUUUGAAGUUGGUGACCUAGUGUAUCUAAAAAUUUCAUCCAUGAGGGGGGUGAAGAGAUUCUGAAAUAAGGAGAAGCUUAGUCUCCGUUAUGUUGGUCCUUACAAAAUUCUUAGCCGUGUUGGUAAGGUAGCUUAUGAAGUCGAGUUGCCUUCCGAGUUAUCCUCUGUUCAUCCAAUAUUCCAUGUCUCCAUGAUUAGAAAGCAUAUUAGCAAUGUUGUGGUAGUGGAUUCCUCUGUGAGUGCUGACAUUCAAGAAAAUCUUUCUUUUGAUGAGAUUUUUGUUGAGAUUCUUAUUUCAAUUUCCAAAGACUAAGGAACAAAAAAGUUCCAUUAGUCAAAGUGUUGUGGCGAAACCAAUCUGUUGAGGGUGCAACUUGGGAAGCUGAGGCAGAUAUGCGAUCCAAGUACCAUACCUAUUUUCCGCAAACUCCGAUCAAGCCGAAGGUACCGUUCUUUCCUAAAUCAUGCACUUUUGAUAAAAGUUGCAGCAGUUCAGCUGUCAUUUAUUAUAUGUUCAGCUGUAGUUUCUUGAAUUUAUGCAUUCUAUGUUGUAUUCGGAGUGAGAAACGAUGUGGUGAUGAGUCUAACGAAUGGUUUCAACUAUAUACUCUAUUCCCUAUCUAUUCUUGGCAUGUCUAGUGUCAUUCGAGGAUGAAUCUUUCCAAGGGGGGAUGAUGUAAAACCCCGGGAAAUAUUUUGUUGAAAUUUUAUGCGUAAACAUGUUGGGUUCUAUCUUCUAGAAUGAAUUAUAAAUUUUCCAUGAGAAAUGUCUUACAUUAUUACCCACCAUUGCGUAGUGUAUCGAAUAAGCUUUCCAACGAUAUGUGGAUCAUCCAAAACGGACACCCGAGCGACGAGUUAUGAACAUUCCGAUCGAACCAUGAAUAGUAGUGAACAGUAAAAUGUGCAGGAAAAAGUACUGAGGCCUGGCGUAUUUUUUCUCCAAAUUUAAAUGAUCAUAACUCCUUGUACAUAAUGAUCUGAGUGAUCUAAUAUAUAUCAACGGAACGUUCUGCGAGUCCUCUUUCCAAUGAAAUUGGUUUCAUCCAAUUUGAAUAUCGAAGUAAAACGUUAUGGUUGAUCUACUUCAGACUAUCGAAACAGUCCACCAAAGGACAGAUUCUAGAAAUUUUUUGAUUUUUAGGGGUGUUUUGGUCAUUCUCCCUCACCCANNNNNNNNNNNNNNNNNNNNNNNNNNNNNNNNNNNNNNNNNNNNNNNNNNNNNNNNNNNNNNNNNNNNNNNNNNNNNNNNNNNNNNNNNNNNNNNNNNNNNNNNNNNNNNNNNNNNNNNNNNNNNNNNNNNNNNNNNNNNNNNNNNNNNNNNNNNNNNNNNNNNNNNNNNNNNNNNNNNNNNNNNNNNNNNNNNNNNNNNNNNNNNNNNNNNNNNNNNNNNNNNNNNNNNNNNNNNNNNNNNNNNNNNNNNNNNNNNNNNNNNNNNNNNNNNNNNNNNNNNNNNNNNNNNNNNNNNNNNNNNNNNNNNNNNNNNNNNNNNNNNNNNNNNNNNNNNNCAUAUCUUAUGGUGAUUAUUAUGAAAUCUUGAUGUUUAUGAUUUUGAAAGAUGAAUUUACAUGUGUGGUGAUAUAAAGCAUGAAUCUUGAAUGAUAUUUAUCUUGAUUUUGAUAUUUGGGUCGUGAAUCCCUAUUGGAAAUUGUGUUUUUUUAGAAAGUGUUUAUAAGCACAUUGAUGUUGAAUAUCUAAGAUAUUUUAAAUGAUUUGACCUUUUCAUAUUAAUGGAGUUAUUUUGAACUCGAGUGUGAAAGAAAUCCACAAUGUGGUUGAUUUUGAUAGAUGGGAAGUAGUAUGGCUCCCGAUGUAUAUUUAUAUAUUACUAAAAUUUUUUUGUUGUGGAUUGUCUUUGAAAUGAUCUGAGCUAAGUCCAGGAGAAAUCUUUAGCAUCGAGUGGGAGNNNNNNNNNNNNNNNNNNNNNNNNNNNNNNNNNNNNNNNNNNNNNNNNNNNNNNNNNNNNNNNNNNNNNNNNNNNNNNNNNNNNNNNNNNNNNNNNNNNNNNNNNNNNNNNNNNNNNNNNNNNNNNNNNNNNNNNNNNNNNNNNNNNNNNNNNNNNNNNNNNNNNNNNNNNNNNNNNNNNNNNNNNNNNNNNNNNNNNNNNNNNNNNNNNNNNNNNNNNNNNNNNNNNNNNNNNNNNNNNNNNNNNNNNNNNNNNNNNNNNNNNNNNNNNNNNNNNNNNNNNNNNNNNNNNNNNNNNNNNNNNNNNNNNNNNNNNNNNNNNNNNNNNNNNNNNNNNNNNNNNNNNNNNNNNNNNNNNNNNNNNNNNNNNNNNNNNNNNNNNNNNNNNNNNNNNNNNNNNNNNNNAUUUUCUUCAGGCUAUGUGAGUCUUUCAUACAUCCUGCAUAUUUCUUAUAAGUAUUUAUGAUGAUAAUGUUUAUACAACUGUAUACAACCCCAUAUACUCGGUUCCUUUCCAUGGUAUUGACCCACAUCUUUGGAUGUGGGCUGUAUUUUCUCGAAAUGUAGGUUCAGGUUCUCAGUUGCAGGUUUGACAGUGAUUCUUUGGGCAUGCUGUUCUACAUCCUCUAUUGUGGUGAGUCCUCAUGUUUCGAGAAUGUGAUGUCUGAUGUUGGUUUCACGAAAUUAUUUAUAUUUAAUAACUGGGUAAGAGUCAGUUGGGGCAUGUCUCAAUGGCUCGCUGGUUUUAUUGAUUUUCUUAGAGGCUUUUCAGACUAGUAUAGAUGUUGGGAGUUGACUAAUAAGUCGUAUUUUGUUAUCUUUCUAAAAUUCUUUUAUUCUUUAAUGAUGAGUACUCUGUUGAUAUUUGAGGGUUAUUUAAGGAUACCCCAUUGAUUUGUGUUUAACUAAAUGAAAAUGGCUCAAAGGGUUAGCUUGGGGCUACUCAUAGCCUCAAGCACCGUAUGACGCUCCGGGACCCAUUUUCUGGGGCAUUACAAACUUGGUAUCAGAGCCUAAGGUUUUAAGGUGUCCUAGGGAGUCUGACAAGUCGCAUUAAGUAGAGUCUUGAUCAUCGGUGUGUAGCGUGCCAUAUCUAUGAGCAAGAGGCUACAAAAUAUUUUAGGAAAAAGUGUGAUUCUUUAUUUUAGAAGUCUAUCGUUCUUAAAGUGUCUCUAUCUGCUAUUGAUUCGUGCUCUCCUCUUUUAGAAAUAUGCCUCCACGUCGAGCGAUAAUGAUGGUCAGCAACCUCAACCUGCUGACCCAUUGAAUGAAAACGUGUCUCAUGCUGAAUUUUAGGCAGCCUUUCAGGCACUGGUUCAAGUUGUUACUACAAAUGUUAGCUGCUGCCAGGAUCCGUGACUUCAUACGGAUAAAUCCAUCAGAAUUCUAUGGGUCCAAAUCUGAUAAGGAUCCACGGUUGUUUUUAGAGGAGGUGCGAAAGAUUACUUAGGUGAUGCAUGUACCUGAGGAACAAAGUGUGGAGUUGGCUGCGUAUAGGUUGAAAGACCUUGCUUAUGAAUGGGUUGUUGCUUGGAUGAAAGGUAGAGGUAAGGGAGCUCUCCCUACAACUUUGCAAGAGUUCCAAGAUGCAUUCCUGGAUAAGUUUUUCCCUUUGGAGAUGAGGGAGGCAAAGGUGGAAGGGUUUAUGAACCUGCGACUGGGCUCUAUGACUGUUAGGGAGUACUGUCUAAAGUUCAAUCAAUUGGCCAAGUAUGCUCCUGACUUAGUGGCUGAUAAUCGGGCUAGUAUGAGUAAGUUUAUGACUGGAGUAUCUAGUUAUGUGGUUAAGGAGUGUAGGUCUACUAUGCUUCGUAUAUUUCAGUUUGAUGUGUAUGCUUUGUUGGAUCCUGGAUCCAGUUUCUCAUAUGUUACACCUUUGAUUGCUGUGAAUUUUGAAAUGAGUCGUGAGAUUAUUGCUGACCCUAUCCUAGUUUCUACCCCAGUGGGUGAUUUGAUUGUUGCCUAGAAAGUGUAUAAAAAGUGUCCUGUUACCGUUCUUCAUAGAGUCUUGUUGGCUGAUUUGAUUGAGUUAGACAUUGUAGAUUUUGAUGUGAUUCUAUUAUGGAUUGGCUGUAUUCUUCUUAUACCUCUAUUGAUUGUUGGACCCGAGUGGUCAAGUUUCUAUUUUCGGUUGCAUCUGUGUUUGAGUUGUCUGGGAUUUUGUGUCACCCAAGAGUCAUUUUAUCUCUUACCUCAAAGCUAGAAAGCUUAUUUCCAAGGGGUGUAUUUACCAUUUGGUUAGAGUCAAAGACACUAAGUCUAAGACUCCAACUCUCCAGUCUGUUAACAUCGUCAAUGAGUUUUCUAAUGUCUUUUCGGAUGAUCUCCCAAGGAUACCUCCUGAUAGAGAGAUAGAGUUUGGGAUUGAUCUUCUUCGUGAUACUCAACCCAUUUCUAUUCCUAAUUAUCGUAUGGCCCCUGCAGAACAUAAGGAGUUGAAAGAGCAACUCAAAGAUCUACUUAAUAAGGGUUUCAUAAGGCCUAGUGUUUCUCCUUAGGGUGAUCCUGUGUUGUUUGUGAGAAAGAAAGAUAGCUCUUUGCGUAUGUGCAUUGAUCAUCGCCAACUGAAUAAAGUCACCAUAAAAAAUAAGUACCCCAUUUUUAGAAUAGAUGAUUUUUUUAACCAAUUGCAGGGUGCAAGUUGUUUGUCAAAGAUAGACCUUCAUUCCAGCUAUCAUCAACUCAAAGUUAAGGAGUAUGACAUCCCAAAAACCGCUUUCUAAACUCGUUAUGGCCAUUUUGAGUUUCUUGUUAUGUCUUUUGGGUUAACUAAUGCCCCAACAGCUUUCAUGGACCUUAUGAAUCGAGUGUUCAGACCAUAUCUGGAUAUGUUUGUCAUAGUGUUCAUCGAUGAUAUACUGGUGUACUCCCGUAGUGAGGAUGAACAUUCUGAUCAUCUNNNNNNNNNNNNNNNNNNNNNNNNNNNNNNNNNNNNNNNNNNNNNNNNNNNNNNNNNNNNNNNNNNNNNNNNNNNNNNNNNNNNNNNNNNNNNNNNNNNNNNNNNNNNNNNNNNNNNNNNNNNNNNNNNNNNNNNNNNNNNNNNNNNNNNNNNNNNNNNNNNNNNNNNNNNNNNNNNNNNNNNNNNNNNNNNNNNNNNNNNNNNNNNNNNNNNNNNNNNNNNNNNNNNNNNNNNNNNNNNNNNNNNUAAGGUCAGUUGCUUUUCUGGGUCAUAUCAUUUCUUUCGAGGGUAUUAAAGUUGAUCCCCAAAAGAUCGAAGCUGUUAGAAAUUGGCCUAGACCUAUUUCUCCAAUUGAUAUCCAAAGUUUCUCAGGUUUAUCUUGCUAUUACCAUCAUUUUGUUUAGGGUUUAUCCUCUAUAACGUCUCCUAUGACUCGGUUGACCCAAAAGAAAGUGAAGUUCUUGUGGUUCGAAUCUUGUGAGAUGAGUUUUCAGGAGUUGAAGACUCGACUCACUUCAGCCCCUGUUUUGACUUUGUCAGAUGGUAUUGAUGGUAUUGAUGGUUUUGUGGUGUACUAUGAUGCUUCGAGAGUUAGGUUGGGUUGCGUAUUAAUGCAGAAGGGUAAGGUGAUAGCUUAUUCUUCUAGACAGUUGAAACCCGAUGAGAAAAAUUACCCCACCCAUGACCUUGAGUUAGCUGCUAUUGUGUUUGCUUUAAAAAUCUGGAGACACUAUUUGUAUGGUGUCCAUGUUGAUGUUUUCACUGAUCAUAAGAGUCUGCAGUAUGUGUUUACCCAGAGAGAAUUGAAUCUUAGGCAGAGAUGAUGGUUAGAAUUGUUAAAGGACUAUGAUAUGAGUGUGUUGUACCAUCCGGGCAAGGCCAAUGUUGUAAAGGAUGCCCUAAGUAGAGUGUCCAUGGGUAGCGUUUUGCAUGUGGUAGAAGGUAAGAAAGAGUUGGCUCGUGAUGUACAUCGUUUGGCUAGAUUGGGGGUUAGGUUGUUUUACUCUGCUGAAGGUAGUAUAGGGGUUCAGAGUAGUCCCAAAUCCUCCUUGUUUUCGGAAGUGAAGGAAAAGCAAUACUUAGAUACUAGUUUGGUCAGACUGAAGGAGUCAUUCAAGGACCAAAGAGUGGAGGUUUUCUCCUAAGGGGGAGAUGGUUUGUUGAUAUUGCAAGGUAGAUUGUGUGUUCCGAAUGUUGAUCAUCUAAGAUAGAGGAUUAUGGCUGAAGCGCACGGGGUGCGAUAUUCUAUUCAUCCUGGUGCCACCAAGAUGUACCAAGACUUGCAGGAAAUCUAUUGGUGGAGUGGAAUGAAGAAAGAUAUAGUAGCAUUUGUAGCUAAGUAUGCAACAUGCCCACAAGUUAAGGUUGAACACCAAAGACCUAGUGGUAUGAUGCAAGAGUUUAGUAUUCCCACCUGGAAGUGGGAAGAGAUAAUUAUGGACUUCAUGAUUGGUUUACCUCCUUCUUGGCGCCAUCAUGAUUCCAUUUAGGUUGUGGUUGAUAAGUUGACUUAGUCUGCUCAUUUUUUGCCUGUUCAUACUUCAUAUACUGCUGAGGAUUACGCUAGAUUGUAUAUCCGAGAGCUAGUCAGACUACAUGGAGUUCCCUUGUCUAUCAUUUCGGAUAGCGGUACUCAGUUCACUUCGCAAUUUUGGAAAGCUUUUCAGAAGGGUCUUGGUACCCAAGUGCUUUUGAGUUCUGCUUUUCAUCUACAGACUGAUGGUCAGGAUGAGAGGAUCAUCUAGACCUUAGAGGAUAUGUUGAAAGCUUGUGCACUUGACUUUAAGGGAAGUUGGGAUGAUCACNNNNNNNNNNNNNNNNNNNNNNNNNNNNNNNNNNNNNNNNNNNNNNNNNNNNNNNNNNNNNNNNNNNNNNNNNNNNNNNNNNNNNNNNNNNNNNNNNNNNNNNNNNNNNNNNNNNNNNNNNNNNNNNNNNNNNNNNNNNNNNNNNNNNNNNNNNNNNNNNNNNNNNNNNNNNNNNNNNNNNNNNNNNNNNNNNNNNNNNNNNNNNNNNNNNNNNNNNNNNNNNNNNNNNNNNNNNNNNNNNNNNNNNNNNNNNNNNNNNNNNNNNNNNNNNNNNNNNGAAAGAAGGGAAAGCUUAGUCCCCGUUAUGUUGGUUCUUACAAAAUUCUUAGCCUUGUUGGUAAGGUAGCUUAUGAGGUCGAGUUGCCUUUUGAGUUGUCCUCUGUUCAUCCAAUAUUCCAUGUCACCAUGCUUAGAAAGCAUAUUAGCGAUGUUGCGGUAGUGGAUUCCUCUGUGAGUGCUGACAUUCAAGAAAAUCUUUAUUUUGAUUAGAUUCCUGUUGAGAUUCUUGAUUUCAGUUUCCGAAGACUAAUGAAUAAAGAAGUUCCCUUGGUCAAGGUGUUGUGGCGAAACAAAUCUGUUGAGGGUGCAACUUGGGAAGCUAAGGCGGAUAUGCGAUCCAAGUACCCGCACCUAUUUUUUGUGAACUUCGAUCAAUCCUAAGGUACCAUUCUUUCCUAAAUAAUGCACUUUUGAUAAAAGUUGCAGCAGUUCAGCUGUCAUUUAUUAUGUGUUCAGCUAUAGUUUCUUGAAUUUAUGCAUUCUAUGUUGCAUUCGGAGUGACAAGCGAUGUGGUGAUGAGUCUAACAAAUGGUGUCAGUUGUAUGCUCUAUUCCCUAUCUAAUCUUUGCAUGUCUAGCGUCAUUCGAGGAUGAAUAUUUUUAAGGGGGGAUGAUGUAAUACCCCGGGAAAUUUUUCGUUGAAAUUUUAUGCGUAAACGUGUUGGGUUCUAUCUUCUAGAAUGAAUUAUAAAUUUUUCGUGUAAAAUAUCUUAGAUUAUGACCCACCAUUUUGUAGUGUAUCGAAUAAUCUUUCCAACGAUAUGUGGAUCAUCCAAAACGGACACCCGAGCGACAAUUAUCUUAAUUAUCAUAUGGGCUUCCGUUCACCGCUACCAAAUUCUACCUGACUGUUGAUCAGCAGAACUUGAUACACCUCUACCGAUAACUUUAUUUUGACCCCAUUUCUCUAUUAUCAUACAUAUUUUACAUGUGGCUAAAUGCUAGUAGGUAUUGCUAUUUUCAGUAUCUUUUGAUGAUCAGUAGGCUAAUUAUGGUUGCUAAUAUUGUCAUAUUUCCUAUGGCUUUAUUACUCCAACCAAUUAAUAACAUUCUUACAAUUCUUGAAUUGAUUUUGUAGAUACUAUUAUAAUAGAAGGACAAGAAUCUCUACCUGGGAGAAACCUCGAGAGCUGAUGACAGAAAUGGAGGUGACAUCUCAUGUCAUCGAGAUUUUUAUGGGUAGUUUUAUCCAGUUUUCUGUGUUUAUCAAUGAAAAAAGAAGUACACAAUUCUUUUUCUAUGAAGCUUCGUAGAACCAUUUUUUCUUUCCUAAGUAUAUGUGAUUUCUGUUGAAAGUUUGUUUAGCGAGCAGAUUUCCUCGAUCUUACUAUACUAUGUAGGCUUCAUUUGGGAUUUGCAUUGAACUUUUAUUUCCAAUAUAGUUCUAAAAGAUUUUAUAUUUAACACUAUUAUUCUAAAAAAUCCCUGAAUGUGUGUAGUGCUUAUGCGCUGCAAGUGGGCUUGGAUGGGGAGGAGAAGAUGCGGUUUUGGGAGGCUUUGAAUAAGGUGGUGAGAGGUGUGCCUAGCUCAGAGAAGGUUGUUGUAGCAGGAGAUUUCAAUGGGCACAUCAGGGCAUUACCGGGAGGCUUUGGUGAUGUGGAUGGCGGUUUUGGUUUUGGGGAAAGAAAUGAAGAGGGGGAUACUCUAUUGGAUUUUGCGAGGUCCUUUAGGCUGGUGGUGAUGAAAUCGGGCUUCCCGAAGAAGGAGGAUCACCUGAUCACCUUCCGAAGUGCGAUAGCCAAGACCUAGAUUAACUUUUUGUUGCUUAGAAAAGGGGAUAGGGUGUUGUGUAAGGACUGUAAGGUCAUCCUGAGUGAGAAUCUUUUGACCCAGCAUAGGCUUUUGGUUAUGGAUUUAGGUAUAAUGAAGGACAGGAAGAGAAAGGGUGAGGAGUGUAGACCUAGAAUUAAGUGGGGCGGCUUGACGCUAGUGAAUACGUGGGAGAUAGGGGAGAAGUUGGCGGGAAUAAGGGUGUGGGAGUGUAGGGGUGACAUGGAUAGUAUAUGGGAUAGGGUGGCUAGGUGCAUCAGGGAGAAUGCUAGUGAGGUAUUAGGUUUUUCUAGGGGCCAGGCCGGGCAUCGUCGGGGGGAUUGGUGAUGAAAUGAGGAGGUUAAGAAGAAAGUAGAGACCAAGAAAGGGGCGUAUGCUAAGUUGGUUGAGAGUAGGUACGAAGAAGAGAAGCGGGUAAAUAGGAAAAAGUACAAGUUAGCUAGGAAGGAGGCUAAGUUAGCAGUUACGGCGGCUAAGAUGGCAGCUUUUGAGAGCUUGUAUGCGGGGUUACAGGAGAAAGGAGGGGGAAAAAGCUGUUUAGACUCGCUAAGGCUAGGGAGAGGAAGGGUCGUGACCUCGACCAGGUGAAGUGCAUUAAGGGGGAGGAUGGUACAGUAUUGGUGGAGGACGACCUCAUUAAGAAUAGAUGGCAGUUGUAUUUUCAUAUGCUCUUGAAUGACGAAGGGGAUAGAGCUAUUGUCUUAGGGGAGAUGGAGCACUCAAAGGAGUGUCGAGAUUUUAGUUAUUGUAGACGUUUUAAGGUAGAGGAGGUUAGAGAGGUUGUUCGCAGGAUGCGAAGGGUUAGGGCGACGUGGCCUGAUGAGAUACCGGUGGAUUUGGGAUGUAUUCUGGAGAGGCUGGUUUAAGGUAGUUGACUGGAUUGUUUAACAAAAUUUUCAAGACGGCGAAAAUGCCCGAGGCUUGGAGGUGGAGUACUAUGAUCCCUCUUUAUAAGAACAAGGGUAACAUUCAGAGUUGCAAUAACUAUAGGGGUAUUAAGUUAUUAAGUCAAUCUAUGAAGAUUUGGGAGAGAAUGGUUGAGGUGAGGAUGAGAUGGAUAGUGUCUAUUUCAGAGAACCAGUUUGGAUUUAUGCCUGGCCGCUUAACGACGGAGGCAAUUCACCUGGUACGCAGGCUGGUGGAACAGUAUAGGUAAAGGAAGAAGGACCUACACAUGGUGUUUAUCGACUUAGAGAAGGCAUAUGACAAAGUCCCCAGGGAGGUGCUUUAGAGAUGCUUGGAGGUGAGUGGAGUCCCGGUGGCAUAUAUAAAAGCAAUUAAGGACAUGUAUGAUGGAGCUAAAACUAAGGUGAGGACGGCGGGAAAAGACUCAGAGCAUUUCACUGUCUUGAUAGGAUUGCAUCAGGGAUCUACUCUUUGUCCCUUUUUGUUUGCUUUGGUGAUGGAUGUGUUGACGCGGCAUAUUGAAGGAGACGUGCCUUGGUGUAUGCUUUUCGCAGAUAAUGUAGUUUUGAUUAUUGAGACGCGGGGUGUGUGAAUAAUAAAUUAGAGGUGUGGAGACAAACUCUUGAGUCUAAAGGGUUCAGGUUGAGUAGAAGCAAGACAGAGUAUUUGGAAUGCAAGUUUAAUAAUGUGAGGCUGGAGAAUGAGGUGGUAGUGAAGUUGGAAUCACAGGUGGUAUGCAAGAGGGAUAGUUUCAAGUAUCUCAGGGUCGUGAUUCAGGGUAACAAUAAGAUUGACAAGGAUGUCUCGCACCGUAUUAGGGUGGGAUGGAUAAAGUGGAAUCUCGCUUCGAGGGUGUUGUGUGAUAAGAAGGUGCCGCCCAAGCUUAAAGGCAAAUUCUACAAGGUGGCAGUCCGUCCGGCCAUGUUGUAUGGAGCAAAGUGUUGGCCAGUGAAGAACUCCCACAUUCAAAAAAUGAAGGUGGCAGAAAUGUAGAUGUUGCACUGGAUGUGUGGGCUGACUAGGGGGGACAGAGUUCGAAAUGAGACUAUCAGGGAGAAGUUUGGUGUGACUCCAGUGGAGAAUAAGAUGUGGAAAGUCCGAUUGAGAUGGUUCUGAUAUGUGAUGAGGAGGGGCAUGGAUGCCCCGGUUCGUAGGUGUGAGAGGCUAGCUUUGGAUGGUUUUAGGCGGGGUAAGGGUAGGUCGAAGAAGUACUAAGGAGAGGUGAUUAGGCAGGACAUGGAGUAGUUACAGCUCACUGAGGACAUGACCCUAGAUAGGAAGAUCUUGAGGACGCGAAUUAGGGCAGAAGGAUAGGGUCAGUUUGGGUCGCUAGUAUAGGGAAUUACUUGGUGGGGGUAUUAUUCUUGUUAUGAUACCUUGUCUCAUCCUUUAUUACGAAUCUGUUUACUUUUCUCUAUUUUCUAUUACUUGUGGGUGUUGUAUUUAUGUUAUGCCAUCUUGUUCCAUGUUUUACUAUGUAUUUAUGUAGUAUUCCGUGUCUCGAGCCGUGGUCUAUCGAAAACAGCCUUUCUACUUCUUUAGAGGUAGAGGCAUGGACUGUAUAAAUCUUACCCUCCCCACACCUCACUAUGUGGGAAUACACUGGGUUUGUUGUUGUUGUUGUUGUAUUGUUCUAAACAAUGUGUUUAAGCAUACACGGCAGGAUUAUAUUUGGUCUAUUUUAAACAAUUUUAUUUACUUUCUGAUUAAUGUAAUGUUAUUGCAACUCUAUGGCGAUAUGGAGAGAGGAAACUUGAUAUAAUAUUGCGGUUCACACUUCUCAUUCUGGUUUACAGAAUAAUAGUUUGGCUGGUUGCACACUUACACCCAAGAGUGUGACCUAGUGGUCAAUGAAGUAGAUUGAGAACCAUGAGGUCUCAGGUUUAAUUUCCAAUAGAGAUAAAAACACUAAUUCUUGUCUCAUAAGGAGACUUUUUAGGAUUUUUAGAAAACGUGUAAGUAAUGUAAAGACUUUUGUAAAAAAUUCAUUCUUUAAAUGAGAAGAACCGAAGGCAUUGCAAGGCAAGCCUUCAUGUGUUGAAGCACAAAUACUCUCUCCUAUCCGCAACAAAUAUUUUGCUUAGUUAAUUAAAAAACUGAUAUAUUUCAAUGGAAAAAGCUAUGGAGGAACAAACCUCANNNNNNNNNNNNNNNNNNNNNNNNNNNNNNNNNNNNNNNNNNNNNNNNNNNNNNNNNNNNNNNNNNNNNNNNNNNNNNNNNNNNNNNNNNNNNNNNNNNNNNNNNNNNNNNNNNNNNNNNNNNNNNNNNNNNNNNNNNNNNNNNNNNNNNNNNNNNNNNNNNNNNNNNNNNNNNNNNNNNNNNNNNNNNNNNNNNNNNNNNNNNNNNNNNNNNNNNNNNNNNNNNNNNNNNNNNNNNNNNNNNNNNNNNNNNNNNNNNNNNNNNNNNNNNNNNNNNNNNNNNNNNNNNNNNNNNNNNNNNNNNNNNNNNNNNNNNNNNNNNNNNNNNNNNNNNNNNNNNNNNNNNNNNNNNNNNNNNNNNNNNNNNNNNNNNNNNNNNNNNNNNNNNNNNNNNNNNNNNNNNNNNNNNNNNNNNNNNNNNNNNNNNNNNNNNNNNNNNNNNNNNNNNNNNNNNNNNNNNNNNNNNNNNNNNNNNNAUAAAUUUAAAAUACUUAUUUUGUAUGCACUUAAGGAUAUAAAAGUAAUAGAUAUAAGAAAAAUCAUAUUAGAAAAAAUAUUUGAUAAAUAUUAUAUGACUAGAAUAAACUACAUACCAUACCUACCUAACUACUCUUAAAAAUACUUACCAUGAUAAAUUACAUAGAAUUUUUGGAAAAAAAUAUGAGAAACAUACAGUUAAUAGAAAAACAGAUGAAACUAAAUUUAAACAAAUACAUGGAAACUAAAGAUAUAAAAUAUAUAGAAUUUCUUAAUGAAAAUAUGCAAGAACUACUAAGACUAAAACAAACAACUAGAAAACAUUAUAAUAAAAUGUUUAGUCAAUUUUAAAUGAUAAAUAAUCUUAAAGUCUUAAUCUUAUAUAUAUUUAGAGAUAUAGAAAUUAUAGAUAUUAAGAAAAUAAUAUUAGAAAAAGUAUUAGACUAUGAAAUUGAAACCAUAAAUUGGAUAGCACAGUUAUACCUAGAUAAUUAUCCAGAAGGAUAUUAUUCAGAUUAAGAGAUGUUAGAAUAUAUUAGAAAAACUAGAGAAAAUCAAGAUAAUCUAAAUAAGGAAAUUAAUUAUAGAAACCGAAUUAGAAAAAUAAUAGAGAAUCUAAAAGAAAAAUUAAUAUGGAUCGAAGAAACCUUAAAAAAUUUAGAAAAAAGUAAAUGUGAUAGUUUAUAUAAUUUUAAAAACUCACUAUGAGAACAACAACACAAGAUAAUAAAUAACAUUGAAAAUCUAGAAUUAGAUAUACAUUACAGUACAAUUAGGAUAAAUUAUUAUACAGAUAUUUGUAACUCUGCAAUUACUACAGGAUAAAAUAAUAAACCAUACAAAUUAAUAAAUACAUCUUACGAAAAGAAUAAAUCAUUAAAAUAUAUUGAAACAAAAUUUAAGAAAUAUCCACGCACAAGGAAAAAUAGAUUCAUUAUAAAUAUAAUAGAUCUAUUACAUAAGUUAGUUAUCCGCAUAGAUCCACACCCCCUACAAAUGAUAUCAAAGCCCAGUUAUUUAAAAAAUACAGCAGUAGUAUAUAUGUUUGAAUUUAUGUUGAAUCUCACUCUUAAGUUGAAAUGUUUAUACAACUCUCAAAUGUAUUUUCUGAAAAAUAUUUUUUUAUUCACCAACCAAACAAUAGAAAACAUUUUCUGAAAAAUGUUUUCCUUUCAUCAACUAAACAUAAGAAAACAAGUAAGAAACCAACUUAUUUUCUAGGAAAACAUUUUCCUUCAUACAAAACACACCCAAGGUCUAUAGUGAUCAUUUUAAAGUUGUAUGUCUGUUCCAGUAUCUGAGCCAAAAGAAAAAACCGGAAGCUGAAGAAAGGCGUGUUAAACAGAAAAAAGCUCGGGAAGAUUUUAGGAUAACGUUAGAAGUAAGUGAAAUUUUCUUUUGUGGGUGUAUUCCAUUUGACAUAUCAUGAUAUUAACAUUACCAGUUUCAAAAAUAAAAAGAUAUUAUCAUAAUAUUCAUGAUGUGUUAAAGACUGGUAUUUGACUUGUUCAAAAGAAUAAGUGGUAUUUUUUACAACAAUGUCCGUUGUUCUCAAUCUUAUAGGAUUGCAAGGAGCUGUCACCAUCGUCAAGAUGGAGGUUUGUCUUUCACUUGUAAUGUUAAGUUGUCUGCUGUUUGUUUUCUAAUCUUGGUCAUUGUUUGUAUGUGUUUUGGUACCUUGAAGUUGAUCCAUUACUUGUGUAAGUUUUAUUUGAUCCACUAACUAUUUGCUAUUGAUUAUUCAGUAAGGCAAUCUCCAUAUUCGAACAUGAUGAACAUUUUAAAGCUGUAGAGCGAGCUAAAGACCGUGAGGACCUUUUUGAAGAUUAUGUGGAGGAACUUGAGAAAAAGGUGAAGCUCCUUUUGCAGAACUUUCUAGUAAGCUUCUAUAUGUUAAAAACUAAGUGUGCGGACUGUUGUUUUCUUAUAUGGUCUUUGUCUCCUCACAAAUUGAGUUAGCCUUUCAUUUGAGAUAGAAACAAGGUCCAAUUUCUUAAGCAUGGUAUUAGAGGCAGAUCUAUCUUGAUGUUAGACUAUUAGAUGUUAGCCAACCUAGGUUAACUGAUGCUACAAAUGUCUAGUCUUGGUGUGCGAUUAAUGUAUGAGAAUCCCACACUAGUAAGGUGUAUGUGCUGUAGUUUCCUUAUAUGAUCUUGGACAAUUUUCACCACCUGACCUAGUUUUCGAAGUGGAGUUAGGUUGAUUAACAACAAUCAUUCCAUUCCUUUCCUUUGCAGGAUGUCUUUUAGUUUGUUCCCUUUUUUUGUUUUGCUUAAAGAGUAGAAAGAAGGAAUGUUGUAGAUAUUCAACUUAAAAUCUUAUGUUCUUUGAAUACAUUUUUAAUGGCUUCUCAAGGGUACAACAUUUAAAUUUGUUCACCAUUGAAUUCCAAUUUAAACAGACUUCCAUGUAUUGCAUGUAAUUUUUUUUGAAACUUGAAACUAUGAUAUGCUUCUUCCUCUCCCCCCUCCGUCGUAAAAUAGAAAAAGUUUUUCAAUACUUUCAUGCAAGUGUAGUUAAAGUCUCUUUGUAAAUAUUGUCUUCUUUAUAGAGAAAUUUUAUUGUUUUUACUUUGUACUGGAUUUUAUUAGGAGCAUGCUAAGGCAUUGGAGGAGCAGAAGCGCAAUAGAGUGGAGUACUUAGAAUUUUUAAAAUCCUCCGACUUUAUUAAGGUAUUUGUUCUAGUGGAAUUAGUAUCAGUUCCUAGAUUAUGUUUUUCUAUUUCCAGGAGAUAGAACUUCCAUAGUUCCAUUGUUGCUGACUUUUUUUGUUCAGGCCAGUAGCCAGUGGUGGAAAGUUCAAGACCACUUGGAAACUGAUGAAAGAUGCUCCCUCCUUGAGAAAAUCAAUCGCUUGGAGAUUUUCCAGGUACUACUCAUUUUUCUAAUACAUCAUAAAUAACUUUUUCCAAACAUCUCAUUUGUACGCCUCAGUUUUAAAGUUAUGUUGCAACCUUUUCUAUUUUAGGAAUACAUACGUGAUUUAGAGAGCAAAGAGGGGGAGCAAAGGAAACUGCAGAUGGUAGAUUGCUUAUUAGAUUCUGGGGCUAAAAUUAAAUUUAUGUUUGGAGACUUUAAUUUAUCUCUUUCUCAAUGGGCAUACACCAUUGAUUCAAAUAGGAAGAAUUGAGGAAAGCUGAACGUAAAAAUCAUGAUGAGUUCUGAAAACUGAUGGAAGAGCAUAUUACUACGGGAAUACUUAACGUAAAAACUAACUGGCGUGAUUAUUGCAUCAAAGUUAUUUUUUCUUUCUUGUGUUCAGUGAGUGAUUACCUUCAUGAGUUCCCUUUUCGUCUUUUUGAAUUUUUCAUCCAAUAAUUUCCUUCUUUAUUUUGUGCUUGCAGAUUAAAGAUUUUGCUGCAUAUCUAGCUGUCUCAUCAAAUACUUUAGGAUCAAUAGUAAAAGACUUAUUUACAGAUGUUAUGGAUGAGCUGGAGAAACAGGUGAAAUAGGUUGCUAAUAGGAGUAUUGAAUUGUGUCAACUACAUUUGUUACACUAAGCCAUAUUUAUAGACUUUACACUACAAUCCCUUUUCAUUUGCUAUCACUUAAUGAAGGUCUGAAUCUGAAUGGUUAAGAUAUCAUCCCAUUAAGUGCUUUUUAUUAACAGAUUCAACCUAUUAGUACAUCUUAAUGAAUCAGAUGUUAAACAAGUCUGAAAAUCAUUUAGAUCCUCACUAAAAAGUUCAAUUCAUUAGGUAAAAAAGAAAGUUAGUGCAUUACUAUGUGGGAAUAUACUGGGUUUGUUGUUGUUGUUGUUGUUGUUGUGCAUUAAGGAAUAGAACAUACUUGGUAGGAUAAAAGAAUGAGAUUGAGAUUUGAGAGUUACCCCUCUGCUUACUUUUUCUUUUUAAAUAACACAUAUUUUGUUGAGAUAAGAACAAUGACCGGUUCUUCCUAUUAAACAUCUGUGUUAUUUCUCUUUAUGCCAAUUAGUUUCCUUUUUUUUUACUGGAUAGUAGGUAUUUAGGCUGAUAGGAAUGGUAUUGUCGUAAACUUUUAAGUUAAGGGUUCCAUGCUUUUAAUGUAGUAUAGAUAUAGAUGAUUCUUUCAAUCUAGCCAAGCUGUAUUAAAUGCUACUUCACGGACAAUUGUAAUUGACUUCUCCUCUGUUGAAUGUUGUUAACGGUUAUAUUACCUUAAUUGUUAUAGUUUCUCGAGCAGAAUAACUCUGAGAAGUGAUCAUCAAACUUCCAUGUUUUCACGUAGUUUCUUUGACUUUCGAGGACUCCUUUAAAGUAUCACACAACCACUCCAUUGUGUUUCAGCUAAGACUACAUUUGUUUUUUUUAAUAUUCAGACAUUUGAAUCAGUUUGAGCGGACAUCUGAAUGGUUAAGAUAUUGUCUCUAGAUCUGAAAACUAAAUGAUUAAGGUUGGGUGUUUCUCAAUAUCUGAAUGUGCAAAAUUUAUUUAUUUCUAAAUAUAAAAUAAUUAUAUAUUAGAAAUUUUUUAAUUUAAUGCAAUUAAAUUAUUAUUUGAUUAAAAAAGAAACAUUUAUGUUUGUUAGUGAUACUGGAAAUGGUUUGUAAUGGUGGUGGUGGUUAUAAUAAAUUAAUUGAUAUUAGUGAUUAGCAAUGUUGGUGAUGCUAGUUGUGAUAGUAGAUAUAGUUGGCAUUGUAGUAACUUUCAUGAUAUUGGCAAUUGGUAGUGGUGGUGGUGGUUAUGAUGUGAAGUUGGUUAAUGUUAGUAGCUGGAGGUGUUGAUCGUGGUGAUGGAAAACUAUAUGCAUGAUGGUUGAUGAUGUGUUGGUGGUCGUUGGAGAUGCUGUUAGCUGUGAUAGUGAAAUGGUUAUUAGUACAGAUACUGUAGCGACUGUAGUGGAUAGUGGUGGUAGAGGUGGUGACGCCGGUGACAGUGGUGGUGAUGGUGUCUGAAUAAUAUGUGUAAGUUGAUUAUGUGUUAGUGGUUGUUAGCGAUGUGUGGAAGUUGAUGAUGUGUGGUGGUUAUUAGUCGUAGUGCUAGUUCUAAUAGAUGAGUUAGUUGGUAGUAGGGAUCGACCGGUAGCAAUUGAUGGUGGUGGCGUUGGUGGUAGGGGUGUUCAUGGGUCGAUAUGGGUCGGUUAUUGGUCAAAACCAUAACUAAACCAACUUAAUCGAUUUUUAAAUUUCUAAAACCAAACCAAACCAAACAAAAAAAUAACCAUCGGUUUGGUUCUUGCCGGUUUAGUUCAGUUUGAUUCGGAUUUUUUGGUUUAUAACUUUAGUUAAUGAUAAAAUUUGAAAAUUUUAUAAAACAAAUCCAAUCUAACAUAUGAGAUGUCAACCGAGUGUUGUAUCUCAAUCUUGAAACUAUGAUGUCAACUGAGUGUUAUACUUCGGCAAAGCCAUGAUAACGCCAUAUGAACGCUUUUAAAAAAAUAUUUAAAAACUAUAUUUAAUAGAAUUAUAUGAUAAACCCCCAAAAGGUGAGCACAUAAACUUCUUUCUCAACAAGGUUCAAAAGAAAGUUAAAAUUAGUGAUUGUGUAUAGUCUAAUGAAUUUCAGCUGUAAAUUUCAAUAUAUAACAAGAUAUUAUUUUUACAAUUAGUAUCAUUUGUCAUUCAAAAUAUGAAAUUCAUUUAGAAUCUCAUAAUGUAGUGUCAACUAGAUGAAGAAAUAUGACUGAAUGUGUUACGACUAAAGUUAAAUCAAGAUUAAAAUAUAAAAUGUAACAAAUAUUUAGAUUACAUUUAUGAAAAACAUAUAAAUAAUUAUAAUAUAUUUGUAUAUCGGUUUGGUUAUUUUGUCGGUUAUUUUAGAGUAAAACCAAACCAAACCAAACCAAAUUAGUAUCAGUUUAUUAAAAUUCAAAUCUAAACCAAACCUAAUCAAAUAUAGGUUUUUUUAAUCGGUUUGGUUUGGAUCGCGGUUCAGUUUGGUUAAAAACCAAACCGUGAACACCCCUAGUUGGCGGUGGAUAUAAUUAGAAUAAUGGAAGUGGUAGGUGUGGUAGCGGUUGGCAGUGUAGUUGGUACUGAUGUUGGUUGUGAUGGUGGAAGUGGUUGGUGGUGGUGACAGGUGAUUGUGGAUAGAGUGGUGGUGAAUUUUAUCCUACACACGAAUAUCUGUAAAUAAUAUUUAGACUUGGUUCCACAUCUGAAUGAUUAAGACCUACUCAGACCUAUUAAGAGCUAAGAUCCUAAUAAAAUCAAAUGCACUUAAUGGUUUGAGGUCUGAACAGGUUCAUAAAUCCAAUAAGUGCAAACAAAUGAGACCUGAAAGUAGUUUGUCUGUUCAAGUUUCGACCAUGUUUUGUCCAUUUGUACCACACCCCAGUUUUGAUUUCACUUCGGAUGAUAUCGUGCAACUUAAAACCCAAUUCAAAAUAUAUUGUGUUGUCAACCAUAUAAAUUGGAAUAAAUAAACUUAGUGCCAAAAUUCGCCUCUGAAGAAGUAGUUGAGAUGUAAUGAAAGUAAAGGCUUUGAAAAGAUUAACCUCGGAAAAAAUGCCUGAGAGCAUCUCUGUUUCUCUAAAUAAAGUUGUAUCUCCCUCACUAUGAUUUUUUUGGCCGUAGUACACACUUGCGACUUACCAAACGAUAUAUUGUUUCAUCUUCUGCCCUUUCUGAAAAGAAUUGAAGUUGAAUGAUCAAAUGUUAUUAGCAUUUAUCUCCUUGCUUGAUGAAAGAGGGAGUUUACCUAGUAUCCUAGCAUGUAAUGAUCCUGUUCAUAUUCUUAUUCAAUGAUUGAAUUUGGUAAUGUUUUCUUGAGUUAGGCUAUUGCUAUGGGAUGGUGAGAGUUAUACAUAAACUCCGAUGCUAAAAAUCUUUUCUUUUUCCCUUGUAAUUACUGUUUGUGUGCAUAAAUGAUUCUUAUUAAGUAAAUAUAACGAAAGCGCUGUUAAAAGAGAUGCUAUCCAUUUUUAUUUAUUCAUUUUUUUCUAUUAUCCAAACAGGGGUGGUUGAUUUUUCCUUCAAUUUAACCUGAUCAGUGCAAUUAAGUUUAUGUGUCAAGUGUCUUGUGAUAUUGUAGAUGACUUUGAACAAGUGGAGAAAUGUUGGUAUUCAUGAAAGAAAUUUCAUCCCCAUCACCCUGCUUGUAAUUUAUAGACUUUAUGUUAACUUAAAUGUAUGGACAAGGCUCCAUUUGGUAUCCUAUUUUUGGUACUGAUAAGCAUUCUGAAUUUGUGUUACUUGUAUGUUGCUUCAGUAUCUUGAUGACAAGUCACAAAUUAAAGAUGCAGUUAGGAUGGUCGAGGUAAUCACCACUCUUCAUUUUAACCUCUGUUGUGCUUCGGUUAGUACCUAAUAUUUUGGCUGAGCCAUCUCUACUUUUAGAUUGGAUUGACAUCAGCCUGGACGCUUGAUGAUUUUAAGGUUGCAAUCGCCAAGUAUAUUAGCUCUCCACCAAUGUCAGAUACCAACUUAAAGGUCUAAUUAUGGCUAAGCACUGUAUACUGUUUCACAUCGACCCAUGUUGAAUUGAAUGUUGUGAAAAUUGAAGUACCCCAUUCACUAAAUGGAUUUCUAUGUAUUUGUCCCCUUUUUGUCUUUGGGACAGGUCCUGCAUAAGAUGAGUGGAUUGAGUGCAAAAGCAUUAGUAGAACUUCCAUGUUAUGUUUCACUAGAAGUCGGUCAGUUUGUGAUUGCUAAAUUGGCAACUCAUAGGUAGUCAACUGUGAUAAGUGGAAUUUUCCUUUAGUACCAACCAUAACCUAUCCCACAUUAAAUUUGGAUCUUCUUGUAAUGGAGUUAAUAGAAGAGUAGUGUGUUGGUUAGCAAGUAAGCCUGAAACCUUCAAGAAUAAAGACGAGGACCACAUUGAUCAAAUAUUUGGUGUUAGCUUUUGCUUCCAAUUCUUCAGUUUUGGUACCAUUUUCUAGAGUUUUUAUUUCUUGGACGGCGGUGUUUAAUAUUACACCUACCGCACAUAUCUUAAGUUGCUUAAUUCAAAGCAAUUUGCCUUGUAGUUUUCUUUUUUUACGGUAAGUGGAUAAGAGUUCUACUCUACGAAACUAGUUAAACAGCAUAACUAGAUGAUAUCAAUGAUCAUUUGCUAUUUUUGUAAUGAGGAUAUUCUUUAUAUAUCAUUUGGAUUUUGGAGGUUAUUUAUGGUCAUGGCGUAUAAUCUAUGUAUGUGGGAAGAGGGAAUUGCAAGGGGUAUCUUGUCGAAGAAUUAUGCUUAGACGGUUGGGUCUCUUAGGGAUUUUAGUUUACUUUUAAUAGAUCAAAACUUUUGUAAAGCAUUUUAUCAAAGAUUAUAAUGUGAGGAGUUACUCCAAAAGAUGGUAAUAAUACUCUUACAUUAUAUCCCCCUUGCCUUCCAAACAAAGGAAUAAUAGGACAUACAUGGAUUAUACAGAAUCUUAUUCCAUACUUCCUUUCUAAACUUUAUGUUCUACGCGUUUGAGCUUGCCGGGUCAUUGAGUAUUGAAUGUGCAUAUUUCAUCUGCAUAGUUUGUCUUUGAGGAGUUACUGGAAAGGGCCAGGAAGAAAGAAGAAAAAGAAGCUAAAAAGCCUAAACGUCUAGCAGAUGAGUUCUAUGAACUUUUUCAUGCAUCAAAGGUAUAGUAAACAGUUUACAAUCUCUCACAUUGCAAUGGAUGGGAUCCCAUGAUAUUUCCUUUAAACCAUAAUCUAUUUGUUUGCUGUGGUUGCAGGAAAUUACUGCAUCAUCGAAAUGGGAGGACUACAAAUCCCUCUUCGGAGAUAGGCAAGUAGCUUCUCUUUUAUUGAUCUAGAAUUAGUAACAUGAUUGCAAAGACCAUUUGAGAAUGAUAAUUGAUAUUAUUUUCAAGGACCAACUCCUUUAACAUUCUGAACUCAGUAAUUCACAUAGUUCUAGAAUGUACCUUAGAAUAAUUGCUGUGUUGAAUGAUUUGUUGUUUUAUAUUUCUCAAUAUUUAGGUAGGCUAUUUCUUUAUAGUAUUAGCAUGAAUUACCAUUUUGCUAAGUGAUUUUUAAUGUGGAACUUAUCCCUCUAGAAAUUGGUUGAUGUCAAUUAUUAAUUGUUCCAACACUGGGAGUUUAAUAACUCAAGCAGCCAGUUUUUAAAUUUCUGACAUUUGUGAUUACUUUAGUUUUUAAAUUUCUGGCAUUUGUGAUUGUUUCACGAUUCUGAUGAAGUAUGCUGCUAAAUCUCUAGUUUUAAUUUGUCUAGCCUCUUUGGCUAUAAAAUGUAAUGCUCUGGAUUUUUACUUUUUUAUUCAUAAUCUCAUGAUUCUCAUUAUGUCGAAACAUUGAAUGUGAAUUUCUUUGUUGUUAUUAUUUUAUAGAAUAAUGGGUGAUGAGGGCUUGCUGCUGGAAAUAUUUAACAAAUUUGUUAAUGAACUAAAAGAGAAGGAGCGCAAGCGUCAAGAGGAUAAGGUACUUGAAUUACUACAAACCCUUAUUCUUCUGCUACUUUCGGGUAGGGGCAGUAGAUGUGUGGAAGUGAUUGUGGUUGAUAUUGUUUUGCGGAAAUUUUGACUUUUUGAGAGUCGCCACUUAAUUUUGAAAAGAAAUUAAGAAACCUUUAGAGAGUUACUGCAAACGAUUCAAAAUAGAAAAAUCAUUUUAAGUUAGAGAUUCUAGAUAAGCGGUUCCUAUUAACAUUUUAGGAAGGUAUUAGGCACCUAAAAUGUCCGCUAACUUGCGGUUAUCCGGACUGUUUGAAAAUCGUCUUUUGAUUUACUUUGAAAAAGUUUAUUUUUUGAAAAGAAAAGCAAUUUUAGGAAUAUUUUGGUGUUUAUGCAAAACCAAUUUUUUAGAGACUUGACUAAGGAUUUUACUAGGUUUGCAAAACACACGGAAAACAAGUAAGAAAAUAGAAAAAAGGGAAAGGGGAGAAGUAGUGAUUUAGGCUUUUAAGCCCAAACCGCCAACCCUGUCCUAAUCUAGUUAGGUUUUUGACCCAUCUUUCACCUGUCUUAAUUUUAUAUUUUUGAGCCCUUUUCGGCUCGAGUCUCGCUCCACCUGUUUUAAAUUUACAACUUUGGCUUCGAGGUCCAAAUGAAUAAAUAAAUAAGUCACUAAAUAAACAAAAAUAUAAAUAAGUAAAUAAAUAAAUAAUGGAAACAAUGGAUAAAUAAAUCAAUAAAGAAGAAAUAACUAGAUUUUCAAGUCCCGUUUGCCGCUUCAAAGAUGGAACUUUAACCCAUUCUUCUUUCAAUUCCUCGUAUCCAUACGCCAUGCGAUGGAUUCUUGGAUUUUCUUUUUGGCUUAACUCGGAAGGAUAGGCCUCAUUGGCCCAUUUAUGAAAUGCAAAGAGAGAAGGGGCCCAUUUGAAUUCCAAGGGGGGUGCAUGCAAAGAAAGGAAUGAAGAAAUUAACAUACGUCCAAGAUUUUAACAAUUAAUAAGAAUCAAAUACUGCAUAAGAAAAUAGAAGCAUAAUUAAUGCAAAUAUUAUUAAUAUACCAUAUUUUAUAUUAUUUUUAUAAAAUAAUGUUUUAUAUUAUUUUUAUAAGAAAAUACUCUAAUUAAUUUUGUUCAAAUUAUCUAUCUAUAUCAUAAAGGAGGAUAGUCUAACCUAAAACUAAGACAAGUGUCAUAUUGAGAACUACCUAUUUGAAUUUUUAAAACAAAAAACCAUCAUUUCAUAACAAAAAGUUAUUUUGUUGAUUAUUUAAAUAUUUAAUAUUAUUUCAUACUAAAUAUAAAUUACAUUUCAUAUGUUAUUAAUAAUAGUAUUAUAAGAAAAUAAAUAUGAAUGAUUUCAUUACAGUGGACUAAAAGAAAUAUUACAAGAAAAAAAUUAUUUAAGAGAAUAACCAAUUAAUAAAUAGUAACUGAUCAAUUUAUAUAGAAAAUAUUGUAAUCAUUCUGAAUAAAAAUUAUUGAAAAAAGGUGUCAUCCCUCAAAAUAAUUAAGUUUGACCUAUUUUUGUAAACAAAUAAAUGAAUGAAUAUAAGAAAAUCCGUAAUUAGGAAAAAAAUAAUUGUUACUUUAUUUGAGUUUUUAGCAAAUUAUAAAAAUAAUAAUAAUCAAUUGACUAUAAUUAAAUUAUAAAUUUAUAAGAAAUAUUUGAAAAAUAAAUUAGUAAUUAGGAAAAUAAAUAAUUGUUACCUUUUUAAAAUUCUUUCCAAAAUUAAAAAGGUAAUUGAUAUCAAUUUAAUGUAAUCAAUCUAUGAAAACAUGAGAAAUUCAUGGGAUUGAAUUUCCNNNNNNNNNNNNNNNNNNNNNNNNNNNNNNNNNNNNNNNNNNNNNNNNNNNNNNNNNNNNNNNNNNNNNNNNNNNNNNNNNNNNNNNNNNNNNNNNNNNNNNNNNNNNNNNNNNNNNNNNNNNNNNNNNNNNNNNNNNNNNNNNNNNNNNNNNNNNNNNNNNNNNNNNNNNNNNNNNNNNNNNNNNNNNNNNNNNNNNNNNNNNNNNNNNNNNNNNNNNNNNNNNNNNNNNNNNNNNNNNNNNNNNNNNNNNNNNNNNNNNNNNNNNNNNNNNNNNNNNNNNNNNNNNNNNNNNNNNNNNNNNNNNNNNNNNNNNNNNNNNNNNNNNNNNNNNNNNNNNNUGAUUGAUUUUGUGCAAUCUACUAUGAUUUUAUUAAUUCAAAUGAAAUGAUUUUUAAAUGAUAGGUUUAGAUUAUAAAAAUAAAGGUGAUUAUUGUAUGACUUUAGCAUUUCUUAUGUAUUGAAAAAGAUUUAUAGACAAAAAGGUGUCAUCCCUCAAAAGAAUUAAAUUUAAACUAUUUUAGUGAAACAAUGAAAGAUUGAAUAUAAGAAAAUCCGUAACUAAGAAAAGAAAUAAUUUUCACCUUAUUUAAGUUUUUAGAAAAUUGUAAAGAUAAUUAAAUAAUAAAACUGUAAAUUGAUAAGAAAUUUUUUAGAAAUAAAUCAGUAAUUAGGAAAAGAAAUAAUCGUUACCUUUUUAAAAUUCUUCCCAAAAUUAUAAAGGUAAUUAAUAUAAAUUUGAUAUAACCAAANNNNNNNNNNNNNNNNNNNNNNNNNNNNNNNNNNNNNNNNNNNNNNNNNNNNNNNNNNNNNNNGUAACUAAUAUCAAUUGUUUCCAUAUUUGAGUCCUUUAUGUAAUUGUAGAUUAAUUAAAUAUAAUCAAGCUAUAAAAUUAGGAUAGAUUUAUGUUAAAUAAAUAUAUAAGAUUAAUAAUAAUUUUAUUGUUAUAAAAUUAAUUAGAUCAAAUUGAGAUAGAAAUCAGUUAAUAUUGACUUCUACUUUAGCCAUAAAUAUAUUUUAAAAUUUACAAAAAUAAAUUUAAAGAACUUGAGUCUAUAUUUUAUAAAAAUAUAUAUAGUCAUUUAUUUAAUAAAAAUACAUAUAAUUAAUUGAUUGAUUUUGUGCAAUCUACUAUGAUCUUAUGAAUUCAAAUUAAAUAAUUUUUAAAUGAUAAGUCUGAAUUAUAAAAAUAAAGGAGAUUAUUGUAUGACUUUAGCGUUUCUUAUGUAUUAAAAAAAAUUUAUAGACAAAAAAAUGUCAUGCCUCAAAACAAUUAAAUUUGAAUUAUUUUAGUAAAACAAUAAAAGAUUGAAUUUAAGAAAAUUUGUAAUUGAGAAAAAAAUAAUGGUUACCUUAUUUGAGUUUUUAGCAAAUUAUAAAGAUAAUUAAAUAAUCAAUUAACUAUAAUCAAAUUAUAAAUUUAUAAGAAAUUUUUGAGAAAUAAAUCAGCAAUUAGGAAAAAAAUAAUCGUUACCUUUUAAAAAUUCCUCCCAAAAUUAUAAAGGUAAUUAAUAUCAAUUUGAUAUAAUCAAACUAUAAGGAUAUGAGAAAUUCAUGGGAUUAAAUUUUUGAAAUUAUAAAGGUAACUAAUAUCAAUUGUUUCCAUAUUUGAGUCCUUUAUGUAAUUGUAGAUUAAUUAAAUAUUAUCAAGCUAUAAAAUUAGGACAUAUUUAUGGUUAACAAAUAUAUAAUAUUAAUAAUAAUUGUAUUUUUAUCAAACUAAUUAGAUUAAAUUGCGGUAAAAAUCAGUUAAUACUGACAAUUAUUUUAAUAAAGAAUAUAUUGACAAUUAGAUUAAACUAAUAUUGUUGUAAAUAUAUUUUGAAAUUUACAACAAUAAAUUUAAGGAACUUUAGUCUAUAUAUUAUGAUCAUAAAAUUUAAUCUAAUUAAGUGAAAUUAAUUAGUUGAUUGUNNNNNNNNNNNNNNNNNNNNNNNNNNNNNNNNNNNNNNNNNNNNNNNNNNNNNNNNNNNNNNNNNNNNNNNNNNNNNNNNNNNNNNNNNNNNNNNNNNNNNNNNNNNNNNNNNNNNNNNNNNNNNNNNNNNNNNNNNNNNNNNNNNNNNNNNNNNNNNNNNNNNNNNNNNNNNNNNNNNNNNNNNNNNNNNNNNNNNNNNNNNNNNNNNNNNNNNNNNNNNNNNNNNNNNNNNNNNNNNNNNNNNNNNNNNNNNNNNNNNNNNNNNNNNNNNNNNNNNNNNNNNNNNNNNNNNNNNNNNNNNNNNNNNNNNNNNNNNNNNNNNNNNNNNNNNNNNNNNNNNNNNNNNNNNNNNNNNNNNNNNNNNNNNNNNNNNNNNNNNNNNNNNNNNNNNNNNNNNNNNNNNNNNNNNNNNNNNNNNNNNNNNNNNNNNNNNNNNNNNNNNNNNNNNNNNNNNNNNNNNNNNNNNNNNNNNNNNNNNNNNNNNNNNNNNNNNNNNNNNNNNNNNNNNNNNNNNNNNNNNNNNNNNNNNNNNNNNNNNNNNNNNNNNNNNNNNNNNNNNNNNNNNNNNNNNNNNNNNNNNNNNNNNNNNNNNNNNNNNNNNNNNNNNNNNNNNNNNNNNNNNNNNNNNNNNNNNNNNNNNNNNNNNNNNNNNNNNNNNNNNNNNNNNNNNNNNNNNNNNNNNNNNNNNNNNNNNNNNNNNNNNNNNNNNNNNNNNNNNNNNNNNNNNNNNNNNNNNNNNNNNNNNNNNNNNNNNNNNNNNNNNNNNNNNNNNNNNNNNNNNNNNNNNNNNNNNNNNNNNNNNNNNNNNNNNNNNNNNNNNNNNNNNNNNNNNNNNNNNNNNNNNNNNNNNNNNNNNNNNNNNNNNNNNNNNNNNNNNNNNNNNNNNNNNNNNNNNNNNNNNNNNNNNNNNNNNNNNNNNNNNNNNNNNNNNNNNNNNNNNNNNNNNNNNNNNNNNNNNNNNNNNNNNNNNNNNNNNNNNNNNNNNNNNNNNNNNNNNNNNNNNNNNNNNNNNNNNNNNNNNNNNNNNNNNNNNNNNNNNNNNNNNNNNUUGUAUCGUAUACCUCUAUUUUCUUACUUGCUACUGUUGUUAAUAUCCUCGUGUUUUUGCUUUCCUUGCCGAGGAUUUACGGGAAAUAAAUUUCUACUUGCCAAGGUAGGGGUUAUGUAUGUUGUUGUUGAAGACGUAUCAUGUAGAAAGAGAGAUGUUUCGCUUUGUCACAUAAGUAUUUAGUUAGCUUGCAAUAUGUUCAUGAAUGGAUAAUGAUUUGUAAGUGGCUGUUUAUGAGUGUUUUUCUUUGUCCUUUGAAAUCUCAUGGACACUAGUUUGAUUCAUGUACAGUCUCCAUACAUAGAGAUGAUGAAGAACAACUUCUUCUUUUUUCGAUCAUCAACUAAUGAUGCAAACAAGACCCCUUCACCACCAUUAAAGUCCAUGGAAGUUUCUUCUUGGAAGAGUGUUUCAUUGUCAUCUGGAUCCUUCUAUGACAGUGGGUCAGAAAAAAAGAAUUUCACGGAUCUGAGAAAAUCUCCCCAUGGUCACAGUAAGAAAGUUCAUCCUAAUAAAUAUGGUCGUAAUUCAAGUCGGUAUCUAUAUCAUUUUGCUGUAGCGUUCCAGUGUUGAUUCGGACUAUUAGAAGAUUGACAAAGGAUAAGGUACAAAUGGCUUCUGAAGUUUCAAGCAUACUACGGAAUCAAGUUACUGAAAGGGCUUCUGGUAAGGAAGAAGCCAGCAUAUUACAGGCAGAACUAGAUUCACGGACAUGAAAAUUGGAGACAGAAAAGAAUGAGUUACAAUCAGUACUGGAAAAGGAGUUGGAUAGAAGAUCCAAUGAUUGUUCUCUGAAACUUAAGAAAUACCAAAAUUGAAUAACAUAGACUCCGUGAAAGGGCGAGGGAGCUUGCAGAGUAAAAUGUCUCUCUACAAAGGAAAGUCUCUUCAUUUAAUGAGAAGGAAGUAGAUAAUAGAAUCAAGAUGUCAUUUUUGGAGAAACACCUUAAAGAUUUGUCUAAGAGAAUAGAGUAAGUUUCAGAGGAGAAUCAAAAUCUAAGGCAGUAGCUCACUCAGUUACAAGCAAAAAAUCGAGUAGCUCAAGAAAAUAGAGAUUAUGUCCAGGAAAACUACCAGGAAAAGGUUAAAGAGCUUAAAUCAGAGACUUUGCUAACAACUGUGCUACGGGAGAAGCUCUAUUCCGAGAAGAUGGACAUAAAACAAUUUCAGGCUGAUCUAGCCGCAACAGUUAGAGGUAACGACAUUCUCAAAUGUGAAGUGAAAAAUGUGCUGGAUUCUCUUUCUUAUGACACACCCAAUUUGAAAUAUCUCGAGCUUCAGGUAAGCAAGAAAUGUUAAUAUCUUAUUGCAACGAAAUAGUUUUUAUUUUUCAACUUUGGAUACCUCAUCUUCAUAUAUGAUAGCCUGAUCGCAUAUUACUCUCUAUGCAUUAGCUUUCUACUUCUGUUUGAUUUUAGGUUCAUCUUUGUUCCAUCUGAAGUUCACGAUUCAUCGUUGUUCCAUCUGAAGUUCAUGGUUUUCUUUAUGAACUUGUAUACAUGAGUUUCUGGCAUGUGGUAGUCUUUUGUGAAAUGUCUGAUUGCCUUGAUAUGUAAUCACUUGAACCAACCAAGAACUUGAUAAACUUUGUGAUAUCCUUAAACCCAUUGAUCUGAUUGUGCUCUGAUGUGGUAAAGUUAUCUGAAGGGGUUUCGGUAAGUUUGCUCGUUCAUCUAACUUAAUUCUUGGACAAGCUCACGAGUUAUCUACUAUGAAUUUUAAUAGUUAAAAAUGAUUCAUGAUUUGGUUGAACUUCUAGGCUAUGAGUUUAUUUUGAAUUUCUGAUGAAAUGUUAUUGGUGAUCUUUGUAUCUUUCUUGUUUUUCAUGGUUUACCGUUGAUUCUGGUAGGUGCUAAAAAAGACAAAAAUAUCAACCAACUCACUAAUGAUUUACAAGAAUGCAUGAACGAACUUGGCAUUGUGAAGGCAAUACUACCAAAAGUGUUUCAGGAUAGGGAUUUCAUGUGGGAGAAAGUUAAGAGCUGCAGUAAGAUAAACAUUCUGUUGAAUUAUGAGAUCAACAUGUUGGAAAGAAAGGUAGAUACCCUCGACGAAGACUUUCUUAUGAAAGAGGGUCAAAUCAUAAUCUUACUGGUUUUACUCUUAUUCUUUCCCCCCUUGAUACUUGUUAAAUAGAAAGUUUGCUUCUUUCUUUUGCAAUCUUUUUGAAUCUCUAAUUGAAAGAUUUCCUUUACUUGCUAGUGAUCAAGACAAUGAACUUCUUUUGCUUCAUUUGGUUUUGUAAGUAUUGUCUGUUUUUUGUCUUAUGAAGUAUUUAGUGAGGAUUGGUGCUACCAUUUAAGGUAGAGGUAUGGUUUGUAUAUAUUCUUCCCGAAUAUACAUCGGGUAUGUUGUUGCUGUUGUAUGGAGAUUAUGUGUAUAAUAACAAUUGUAUAUUUGAUGUCGGAUCAUCCACUCUUUCAUUCCUUGAAGGGGAAAGCUCAUUAAGCUUACUGAUUUAACUUCUCAUUAAUGUAUUCUUUCACUAAGGUUGUAACUGUGUAGCUACAAAAAGCACUUGUCUAACUAGGUAGUUCAUGUUCAGUUUGUGCAAAUAUUAAGUAACGUCCAAAUUUUUAACCAUAUAACUUUACCUCAAAAUGGUGCAUGGACCAGAGCUGCUCUUAAAUCUAGUCGGUUGGCAGACUCUUCCAUUUGAUCUGCAAUCAAAUGCCUGCUUUGUCUCAGUACAUUUGAUUCUGUUAUGCUCAUUCAUAUAUGGUUUAUUCCAAGUAUGUGAGACACAUACGGAAGCCUCUAGUUUCAUACUCUUUAUAUUGUUUUAAACUUUAUUUGACUUGCUAUGAGAGAGUUCCACCCUGUCUUCUGAUCAUUCUUCAGAUACCCUCUUUCAUUUGCCUCCACCAUGUUUUAAAUUUUCCUUUCAGUACCUGAUGCUUCACUUGCCACAUUAAAUAUUGUUUGCACAUUUUUAAACUAUGCAUUGCGUUUAAUUUCAAAAAACGAAAAAAACUAUGCACUACAUUGUAGAACAUUUUGAUAAUUUUUUGGUAUGUCAGUAUGUUCUUUAUGUUUAUGCUUACAUCAAGCAGACACAAUUAUUAUGAAGGUGGAAUUGGUUUCUGUACCAUUUUUCUUUUAUGUGUAACUUCUGAAGUUAUUUGGGAUCCAUUAUUUCUAUGUCAAUGAAAGUCUUUGAUGUCUUUCCUGAUAAUGUUUAUGCUUACAUCAAGCAGACAUAGUUAUCUGCAAUAAGAAUGACGAGCACUGUGUUCAAUUUGGAGUCUGUCCCUAAGCUCUUCUAGACUUAGUCUUAUCUUCAUUGCCUUCUAUUUGCUUGUUAUCUUUGUUCUUGCUAGAACCUGCAUUUCAGAAGCUUAUGUUGUUGUCUCAAGUUAAUGUUUAAGUUUUCUUUCCUUACUAUAGUGCAUCAAAAUUCAACUUCUGGUGCUGCUGAAAAUGUUGGAACUGCUGCAAAACCUAAUGGCAUAAUACAUGAACCUGUACGUGCUGAUAGACCUAAUGCAUUCAGUAACAACAGCUCAUCCGUUCUCUCUUGUAUACAAACAAAAGUUGAUAUUCCUUCUCAAACAGCAGGUCCAUCCACGUUUGAGCUCCCAGACCAUGUUCUUGUUGGGCCUGGGCGUGAAGGUGGUGUUAGAGUGGGUGAAAGUCCCACAUUAUUGGGGAGUGAACUGUCGGUCUUCUUAUAUGGACUUGAGCAAUCCUCCCCUUAUAUGCUAGCUUUUGGGGUUGAGUUAGGCCCAAGAUCCUUUCUUUACACAAUCAACCAUCUUUUCUUACAUUAGAAAUAGACAGAGCAGCUGUAGAGAAUGUUUUCAACCUGAAGGGGAUCAGGUGGGUAGAACCUGGGAGCAUUUAAAAAGUACGAAGCAGCUGGAAUGGGGAUGUAAAUGUAAUAAAGAAGGAGAGAUGGAAAAUUGUUCAACAUGUAUAUGGUGGACAGUUUGGAUAAAAAAAAAACAAGGGUUGUUUUGAGGAUGUCCAAAAUAUCAACAUGAAUAGUUUAAAACUUCUUUAUUUUUGGUGUUAACACGAUGAUUAGUUCUACCAGAAGACAUCAUUGAUGUGCUAGACUAUUUCUAGGCAAUAGAAAGACAGAGUAAGAUGUAAUACUUUUUGAAGGGGGACAUCAUUCUUGUUGGCUAGGGAUUUGAACAAAGAUGGGAAGAGCUCUAUAUAAAGGACAGGGAUGACUAAUAUGACGACUCUUUUUUUGGAUGGAACAUAAUUUUUGUUAUAAUAUAUGGAAGAUAUGAAGAUAGGCCAAAAUGUUCUCAACUAACAGACUUUUAAAAUUAAGAGCCAAAGAACGCUAAACAAUGGGUGUAACUCAAAUCUAUUUGAAUAAAAGGAAUACCAACUGUGAGAGAACAAAACACACUCUCCAGUAGUCCAGUAAAAACAAUAGAUCUUAAGAUCCCACUGCUAAGCAAAUUAAUUUAAAUGCUGCUUUAGAUUAGAAAGUCACCUUGUUAUAUUAUGUGUUCAGUGGGUUCUCAUUUAUACUGCUCAUUAUAUUUUCUACACUAUCUUUUCAACAUUUCCUCUGAAGUCUAUAAUUUAGUCUUCCUCACUUUGAACUUGGGCUCCGCAGGGCUCUGCAUGUUGGACUUCUAUAUGUUGGUUCACUUGUAGUACUACUAGUGUAUUCUAUCCUGUAUGGUCUGACAACAAAGGAAUCAAACUGGCUUGGGGAUACAAUAUCAGCUGCCGUGAUAAUCCUUGGUAGUUCAUUUCCAACAUAUAUCUGUCUCUUUUUCUGACUCGUAUUAUGAUAUAAUUUCUUAUUUCUUUGUGGUAAGUAAUGAAUUCACUAGCUUUUCAUUCAAUCAGAUUGGAACUUGGGAGCUUUCUUGUAUGGUUUUAAGCUUUUGAAAAGUCGAGUUGUCAUACUUUUUGUUGCCGGUACAUCUCGGGUGUUCCUGAUCUAUUUUAGAGUUCAUUACUGGUUUGUUGUUAACCCAUGCUAAUUCAUUUUCUUCCAUAAUCAAGUCUUCUUAUACUUGUGGAAUAUGCAUCCUUUUUAAUAUUAUUUGUUGAAUAGAAACUUCUAAUCUUUUGUUAUAAAAAAAAUCUUCUAAUCUUUUACUGCAAUAAUUUUGUUUCAGGUACUUUGGACAUUGUAUCAGUUAUGCAGUUAUAGCAUCUAUGCUGUUGGGUGCUGCUGUUUUACGACAUUUAUCAGUUACAGACCCAUUAGCAACUAGAUGAGAUGCCUUGUAGAGCACAGUUAUCCGCCUUAGAGAUGGUUUCCACAGAAAAGACCAAAGUAGCUCCGCAAGCUCUUCUGAGGGGUGUGGCUUAAGUGUCAAACGCAGUAGUAGUGCUGAUGCUGGUCAUCUUGGUAAUGCAACUAUUCCUUGCACUGGUGAUGGCAGUACCUGUAAUAACAUUAAGGGUAUUAAUAAUGAUAAAAGCAUAGACAGUGGAAGACCAAGUCUAGCUCUACGUAGUAGUUCCUAUUGUUCAGUUGUUCAAGAGCCUGAAGUAGGAUCAUCAUAUGUUGACAGAAAUUUAGAGCAUAAUAGUUCAUUGGUUAUUUGUUCUAGCAGUGGCCUUGAAAGCCAAGGCGGUGAUUCUAGUACAUCCACUUCUGCAAACCAACAGAUACUGGACUUGAAUUUGGCACUUGCAUUUCAAGAAAAGUUGAGUGAUCCCAGGAUUACAUCUAUGUUAAAGCGGAAAGGAAGACACACUGAUCGUAAAUUAGCUAAUUUAUUGCAAGAUAAAGGUCUUGAUUCUAAUUUUGCAGUGAUGCUGAAGGAGAAUGGAUUGGACCUAAUGAUUCUAGCCUUGUUGCAGAGAAGUAGUUUGGAUGCUGAAAAAGAACAUCACGACAGUAACCUUCCUGUCACUGAUUCAAAUGAUGUUAAGGAUGUGUUACAUAAUCAAAUUUCAUUCUCGGAAGAACUCAGACUCCAAGGAUUAGGAAAGUGGCUUCAACGUUGUAGAGUAAUGUUGAAUCAUGUAGCAGGAACUCCAGAGCGAGCAUGGCUUUGUUUCAGUUUAAUCUUCAUUCUUGAAACCGUCAUUCUAGCUAUCUUCUGACCAAAGACAAUAAAACUUUUGAAUGCUACACACCAACAGGUAAGAAAUGCAUUAGUACUUUUAAAGUUCAGUUUAGUGUAUUUGGAGUACGGUGCAUCUAAAAUGUACUCCAUAAGGUUGUAUUUUCCAUUUUCUAACAAAAUUUUGUAACACCCCGCAUUUCGGAUGAGAACGAAAAUUGUCAUUUUCUUCACGUAAAGGUUCCAAAAGCUAUAAAUCCAAUGCAAGUUUAGUGUGUUAAUAAAUUAUGUAGUGUGGAAACUUAUUUGAGCAUGAAUUGAGAUCAUAGAGGUCCCCAAGCUCAAGAACAAGUUGAAAGUUCUCCUAUCGUUCAAAUUUUAGUAAGCGUUGAAACUUAGGUCAACUUCAAUCAACCAUUACUCUUUGUAUAUAUUGAAUUACAGUUCCUACUAUAUAUCAAAUGAAAGGUAUUCGACUUAUCUUUCCAACGAUACCAAUUUCGCAAAAUUCCGAUACCCAAUGAAGAAGUUAUGGCUUUGCAAAGUGGAGUGUGUCGUGAAACAUAAGGUGUGGGACGCACACCAUAACUUAUCCCAUAAGGUGUGCAACGCACACCCUAACUUAUGCCAUAAGGUGUACGACGCACAACCUAAUGUGUGCGAUAAAGAGUGCGCUGCACAACCUGUAUUAUGCGAUAAGGUUUGCGCCGCAUAUAUUAUUACUCAAGUUACCUAAAUACUCCAUUUUAGGGGCAAAAUGUUCCUUUUCCCACCCUUAUUUAGCCAUAAACAUGAAAUUCAGUUCCCAAAAUACCCUAAAAUACACCUUCAUUCAUCAAAAUUGCUCAAGAACUCUCCUUAGGGUUUCAAAAUAAAAACCCAAGCAACUCAAGAUUCAACCUAGGUUUUUGAAACUAAUUGUAUAUUUGGAAUCCCCAGAACGUAGGCUUAAAAAUUCAUGUUUUAAAAAUGGGGGUUUUGAAAUUAUGAAUAUAAUCCCGUUUUAAACAUUUUAUGAUAUUGAUUUGGUCUUUAGGCCUAUUCCUGAAGUGGUUUGAUAUAUGAUAUAUGUAUAUGCAUGUAUUCCGAAAAGAUGUUAACUGGAGAGCAAGAAUUAUAUGAGAUCCUCUUUUUAUAUGAUCUCAUUUUAAAUUCUCAUAUGAUGUGAAAUGUUUGAAAUCAUAUUGACAAGCGUGACAUAAAAUAUUUUUAAAAUGGUCAUGGUUUUGACUUCCAAUGACAGGGUUGUUAUGUUGAAAUGUGAUGAAUAUAAUGGUUGCAUAAAAGAAUGAUGUGAUAUUGAUGGCAUGCAAGUCGGGUAUGACUAUACCCUACAGAAUAAGAUAUGUGAUUGAAUUAAAUGGAGUUUGAUGCAAUAAUUUUACAUGAGAUAGGUGGAUGCUUGAAGAAGGAGUUUUAGUGUAAGGGAUCAUCGCUGGAAACCAUGUUUGUCGACAUGAGAAUUUGGUACCCUACUUUGUGAUCUUACGUACCUGACUUUAUGUCAUUCCCAAGUUAGGAUUAUGGUUAGGAGCCCUGCUUUGUGAUCUUGUGCACUACCAUUGGGUCGAGACACCCUGUUGUGUGAUCUUGUGUGUCUUUCCCUCACUUAUACUCUAAUCUCGGCGGCAACUGAGAUUUUACAGUUGGUGUAAAUAUUAUAUGUAGGGUAUUCCACCUAGCUCAGCUGCAUUACAUUGUUGUUGAAAACUAUUACAUGAUGACCAUGUGUUUUCAAAUGAUUUGAUAUGGAAUUGCUUUAUAAUGGCUCUCACCUAUAUUUGGAAAAAAAUAUUAUAUUUUGUUUUUGGUUUCUCUGCGUACUAGUACUUUUGUAUUGACCCCCUUCCCUCCUAGGCUUGGAGGCAUAGUUUAGGGGUCCAAAUAACCAGUAGAUCUCUUCCGACAGAUUUGCAGAAUCAAGUGGUGAGACUUCUAUAUUUUGGAAGGCCUGAUGUCUGUCAGUUCAUUUAUCAUUUAGUAGUUUUGGGUCUAUUGGGGGCCUUGUCCCAGUUUUCAAACAGUAAUUUGUUUCAGUCAUGUAUUAGAGAUUUCGCAGAUGGUUGUUUAGAUGUCGAUAUAUGUUGUGGGACAUUAUUUCCCCUGUGUUGAUUCAUUUGAUUUAUGACCAUGUUUUCCGUAAUAUUUUGUAUCUUUCGCAUAUCUUAUUAUCAGAUGAAUUAUGUGCAUGAUUACCAGAUAGAUAGGGGUGUUUUGGGCCUUCAUGGUUCGGAAUGCUCGUCACGAGCAGGGCCUCGGUUCGGGUCGUGACAAACUUGGUAUGAAAACACGGUUUAUGGUCCUAGGGUGUCUGUGAAAUUGCGUUGGGUAGAGUCUUAUUUAUAGGUGUGUAGCGCGCCACACUUAUAAGCAGGAGGCUACUAGGCAUUUAGGAAUGUCUCUCUUUCUUUAUGUUCUAGUUCGUGCAAUAGAGUCAUAAUGUUCCUCUUUCAUACUCUAAUUCAUGCUGUGGUGUUGUGUAUACAAAAGUAAAAAAAAAGUCAUCCCAAAUUCUUUCCUUACUCUAAUAUCCUCAGAUAUGUCUCAUUAUUGAGGUGAUUCAAGUGCAGAAGUUUAGAAUCUAAAUGGUAUGGUCCUUUCUGAUUGAACCAUAUAAGAGUUAAAAUUUAUGUAAGGACUUGAGAAGAGUCUGUUAGUGCUUCAAUGUGUAUUGAUUCUGAUGUAAACAUUGAUCCUGAUGGAAUCAUGCUAUUCAGCUUGAGGUAUUAAUUGCAUUUAGUCCCCUUUAAAUUUAUGUUACAAAUGUCUUACUUAAGGGGGGGUUGAUGUGUAGUAGAAUGUUGGAACUGUAUUUUCACCCGAAUAGUAGUAUGCGUUAAAGUGUUGUUGUCAUGACCUAUUGGUAGUGAAAUUAGACCAAGAAGUUGGUGAUGUGAAGUCACAAAGUUAGAAGUCAGAGCAAAGGUGACUUUUGUGUAAAUGAAUAUUUUAGUUGAAUAACCGAUGUUCGAGAAUGAUUUACCCCCUUAUGGUGAUAUACUAAUGUAGUAAAUAGUAGGAUGUGUGGAUGGUAUGGUAGUCCAUGGAGGAAGUGUUUGACUCCGAUUUUAUUUAUACAGAGUAAGAUGUGUAUUCUUAGUUCAUUGGAUAUUGCGUAUUAAAUUUCUAUCUCAUGUAAUCUUUUCAUCAAGGUGUUGUUGAAAAAAUAAAGUCUAGUGAAGUCCUGUGGGGCUCUUUCGAUUUACUAGCACAGUUGACUUGUCAUUCAUCUCAUUUUCUUGUUCAAAAUAGAAAAUCAAAGUCCAGUGAAGCCGUGUGAGGCCUAUUUCGAUUCACUAGCAACUUGUUGUCCAACUUGUUGUUCUUGUGUUGGUUUAAUAUAUAUAUAUUAAUCUAUUUGCAUGAGAUUGAGUUGGUAAAGAGGUAAUUUGUCCUUGUGUGUUAGUUUAGUAGAAGGUAUAGAUAUAGCUGAAUAUGUUUGCAUGGGAUUGAGUUGGUAAAGAGGUGAUUUGUCCUUGUGUGUUAGUUUAGUAGAAGGUAGAGAAGGAUUUGUUAGUUAGGGUGAUUUCUCAAUUACUUGAAGUGUGAAAAUGGCAAUAUUAUCCAGUAAGUUGUAAGUAUAGACUCAUGGUUGUUUGUGGAAUUUGAAGGUAGUCUAAAUGUACGUUUGGUUAAGUAAGUAUAAGGUGAGAAAUCCAUAUAAGUAGAAAAGAUUGUAUGGGGUUAUAAUAUAAGAUUAAGGUUGAUCAUGUCUAUUNNNNNNNNNNNNNNNNNNNNNNNNNNNNNNNNNNNNNNNNNNNNNNNNNNNNNNNNNNNNNNNNNNNNNNNNNNNNNNNNNNNNNNNNNNNNNNNNNNNNNNNNNNNNNNNNNNNNNNNNNNNNNAUAUUAUGUUGCAUUUUUCAGCAAUGAUAGAUGAUUGGUACAGGACUAUAUGCUUGAGUUUAAUGUAGAAUGUGGUGGUAAAAAUAGUGGCAUGAGAUUAAUGAUGUAUGUUUUGUGGGAAAAAUUAGUACGCUUGAUGUGUUAAAAUAAUAUGUGCUAAUGAGUUAUGAUAAGGAAGACCGUAAGGUCAAGAUCAAUUAUUUGUUGUUUGGAAGUUCUAGUGUACUAGUGUUUCUUGAUGUCUAUUUCAUGGUAUCCAAGUGACAAUCAUGCGUAAGGUUGGGUUGUAAAAUCAUGUUUAGCAAUAGACAUUAAGUUUUGAACAAUUGAUGUCCAUGAAGGUGGAUGUGAUGAUUUCUUGGUUAAUGAUACUAGUUUUAUGGAAGUAAUGUAAUAGGCUUGAAUGAUAUAUGCAAGAGCUUAAGUUUAUUUGACUCGUAGUGAAGUAUGAUGUUGCAUAUAUAAUGUAGAAGUAUGCCUAAGGUGAUCUGAGGUUGCCGUAUUUUCUAAGACUAUUACACGUUUUGUGUGACGAGUGUUAACGUUGAGUUGCUAGGUGGAGAAAGACUAGUUAGAUGGUAUAUGGUGUUCUAAAUAGCCAAGUUAAGGAGUUUUGAUUGAUAGUGUUGAGCCUUUUUAUAUGAUCUUGAUUCUCAUAGUAGAGAGAUGUAAGUUUGGAGUCGCGAUAUUGGUAGGCUAUGUCGGAAGUAGUAUGAUUCAUUGAAGGCUUGGUGAUAUCCAUGUUGAGUGCUAGAUUCUAAGUUUGAGUUUUUAAAGGUUGAAUUAAUAGAAAUAACAGUUAAAGCACUAGAGGGUAUACACUCCGACUAUGGGGAUACCCAUGAAGACCCGAAGUUAGUAAGUAUGAAAGUAUUAUAUGAUGACUACUGGGUCUAUAGAAUGAUAAAUUGUAUCUCAGAAGGUAGUAUUAACAGUGGGUUUUCCACUUUCAGGUGUAGUCAUUUGGUUUAAGUGCCAUGAUAUACGUGUAUAGUAGUUUUCCAGACCCCAGAGUGUAGUGAGUGUACUUCAGUUUAGAGUCUAGUAAGGGAUCUCCCAAACUUAAUAUGAUUUUCAGAUUCUAGUAGUGAUGUCAAUAUGACAUAGAACAUCAGAAGGGAAGAGUGAGGCUCAACCCAUUCCGGACUCAGUAUUUUUUUAGUUAUCAUAAUACCUACUCAUACCUCACGUUUCAGUUCCAUGAUCAUAGAUUUGCAUUAACAGAUGUGCUUCUUUACACCCGAAGAAAAGACACUUAGGCCAUCAGUAGUUGUUGAACCCAAGCCAUAAGGUAAAGAUGCUUAUCAUUUUGUCCAUUCUUGUCUAACGUUGUGAUAGUUCAUCUAUUUCCUAUCUCUUUUUAUUCUCGUUUCAAGCUUUCUAUUUAUUAGAUGAAGAAAAGGGUUUCAUGUUACUAUGUGGUUUGGCUUCAAAAUUCUUGCCUUGUCCUUCAAAUUAAUUUAGGGAGUAGCUCAUGGAUACAAGCUUUCAACAUUGAUUGGAAAAUUAACUAAAUACGAUUGAAAAGUAGCUAUAUUCUGAUUUCAUCUAUUCUUCAUUGCAUGGAUAUUGGUUGAGAAGCCUCCUAUACCUCCUCUGCCUGGUCCUACUCCUGGUGAUAUUCCAUCCAUGUCAAUGCAGGUAAAGUUGUGGAGGCUUGGGGGAGGGAUAAAUGAAUUUUGAAUGUAGAGACAUUAUGAUAACUAUUUUCCCCACAUCUUUAGCAGUUCCAGCCUAUGUUUCCAGCCCAGCAGGCACAACCUUAUGGUUCCAGGUCGUCUCAACAAUUUCUGCCACUUGGACAUGCAAAUGUUGCGAUGUCAAAUAACCACAUGCCUGGUUCUGGUGGCCCAAAUUUACCUCUUUUUUCUUCAUAUAAUAUAAGGCCUUGGGGAGAUCUUUUGUGGUUAUUAUCAAUCAGUUUCCAAUGUUCCAUUCAUAUAUUGAUGAAAUACAUUUUGUUAUCGUCUUUAACAGCAGGUAAAUGCAGAUUCUUUUGGCGGGUAUCAGGCACAGAUAAAUGAUCAUAGGUUUCCAUCAAGGGUACAACCCUGGAUGCCAAUAAGUAAUCAUAAUGUGAAUUCAUCGACCACUAUGCAGAAGACUGGAGAAUUAGCAGCUCCCUUGGUUGUUCUGGUGAGAAUUCAAUGUGUUUAUUGUACCCGUUUUGCAUAAAUAUUGUCAACAAGUGUGUUGACUGAGAGAGUCAACAUUUGAAUUCUAUGAUAGUUUUUUGUAAGCAAAUUAAGAUUCCAGUGAACAAAAAAGGUGUAAAACCGCGGUAUACAAGAAAAGGAGCUCUGCAAAAAUAUCAUUUUCAUUCAGAUCCAAUAUUUUUACCACUUUGUGUUCUCCAGACAGAAAAAGAGCAUGCUGAUUUGGCUUUCUGGAAUUCUUUCUUUUAGAUUAUAUUCACAUAGGUUACUCAUAUGAAUAGGUUAAUGUCUGCAUCACAAACACUUAAUGUCUUGUCUAUGAACAAGUGGUGGAUAUGUUGGCCCCCAUCACUAUUAAGAAAUCCCUCAAGUAUCCACAUCUAGUGCUUUGUACAUUAUUCUGCUUCCAUUAGCACUAAAGAUAAUAGGCCCCUUUGUUUCAGUCCUCUUUGUCAAAGUUAUCAUAUGGGCUGCUGGUCACCGUUACCAAAUUCUACCUGACUGUUGAUUAGCAGAACUUGAUACACCUCUACCGAAAACUUCAUUUUGACCCCAUUUCUCUAUUACCAUACAUAUUUUACAUGUGGCUAAAUGCUAGUAGGUAUUGUUGUUUUCAGCAUCUUUUGAUGAUCAGUAGGCCAAUUAUGGUUGCUAAUGUUGUCAUAUUUCCUAUGGCUUUAUUACUCCAACCAAUUAAUAACAUUCUUACAAUUCUUGAAUUGAUUUUUAGAUACUAUUAUAAUAGAACGACAAGAAUCUCUAUCUGGGAGAAACCUCGAGAGCUAAUGACAGAAAUGGAGGUGAGGUCUCUUGUCAUUGAGAUUUUUAUGGGUAGUUUUAUCCAGUUUCCUGUGCUUAGUAAUGAAAAAAGAAGUACACAAUUCUUUUUCUAUGAAGCUUCGUAGAACCACUUUUUCUUUCCUAAGUAUAUGUGAUUUCUGUUGAAAGUUUGUUUAGCGAGCAGAUUUCCUUGAUCUUACUAUACUAUGUAGGCUUCAUUUGGGAUUUGCAUUGACCUUUUAUUUCUAAUAUAGUUCUAAAAGAUUUUAUAUUUAACACUAUUGUUCUAAAAAAUGUGUUUAAGCAUACACGACAGAAUUAUACUUGGUCUAUUUUAAACAAUUUUAUUUACUUUCUGAUUAAUGUAAUGUUAUUGUAACUCUAUGGCGAUAUGGAGAGAGGAAACUUGAUAUAAUAUUGCGGUUCACACUUCUCAUUCUGGUUUACAGAAUAAUAGUUUGGCUGGUUGCACACUUGCACCCAAGAAUGUGGCCUAGUGGUCAAUGGAGUAGAUUGAGAACCAUGAGGUCUCAGGUUUAAUUUCUAACAGAUAUAAAAACACUAGGUAAUUUCUUACCGUCUGUCCAAGCCUUGAUGGACAGAUUUACCCAGUAUCUGUGCUGGUGAGAGGUAGCAGUACCUGUUAUAACUAGUCAAGGUGCAAGCUGGCCCAAACACGACGGUUAUCAAAGAAAGUUUGGCUGGUUGUGAGGGGCAAGUAUUAAGGGACCAACAACUGGAGCUGUAAGGAAGUUUGAACAUUUUUAUUCUCUUGUUUUUUAGAUAAACAGUUUUUUUUCCGGAGAUAUUACUUUGUAUUCGUAAGUGUUAAGGUUAUGCUAGCAGUCCAAAAGAAAUGAAAAAUAAUGAAAAUAAUGCAAGGAUUAGAAGAGAUCUACUACCUUUUAUACAUCCUACACAUUGGCCCUUAAACAAAAAGCAAAAAUCUACAAUGCUAUUCCAUUUAAAUUUCUGAAUGGAAUUAUAUUUAUCUUCAAAAUACCUUCAACUUGUCUCGCUCCAUACAGUUCACCAAAUACAAGGAAGGAUUGUUCUCCCCCAUUUCUUCUAACUCUUGCUAAUCCCCUCUAAUCCAACAGCUCAACAGAUUGUUGUGUGUCCUUUGAUAGUCCACUUUACUUCAACUCAAUAGAUCUGGUAUGUGUUUUGCCAUGGUUCACUUUACUUCUAUUAAACUAAAGGUGUCAAAUGGGCAGGGUUGGCUGGAUUUGGGCGGAUCAAAGAGGUCUGAGUUAACAAAUGGGCGGGUUAUUAACCCACCCUAAAGCUACUUGGGCUGAAAUGGGUUGGGUUAAAAUGCUCUAAAAUGUGGGUCAUAACCCAACCCACCCAAUUUGAACUCAGAUUUAAUUGCUUUAUUUGUUAUUUUAUAAACUUUAGUACUUGAAAAAUUAUUAUCUUUUUUUUUAACUUGGUAACUUUGUAUUAUAUUACACAGUACAUAGGUUGUACUGAAACCUUUAUAUACAAGAGUACUCCUAAAUCGACUGUUCUAUAUCUAAAUUUAGUCUAGAACAUCAAUUAUCGAGGCAGUAUCAUUAGAGUAUAGUUGAUUACACCAAAAACAUAAAAGCAAAAUGCAACUGAGUUUAACCUUCUGCACACUAUUCUCUAUGCUCUCAAAACAUCUAGAAUUCCUUUCUUUCCAUAUAGCCCACCAUAUAGCACCAGGGAUAAUUCUCCAUCUACCUCUGUCCUUCGCAUGUACACCUGCUUCUCCCAGCACAUUAAAGUCUCGGAUACUUUCCUAGGCAUUGUCCUGGAAAUGCCUUUUAGUCUUAAGACGAUUCUCCAAAGUUGUUGGGUGUACUUACAAUGUUGAAAUACAUGGUUAACCGUCUCUAAAGUUUCUCCACAGAGGAAACAUCUGGAGCAUAAGGUUUUCCCUUUCUUCAUGACAUUAUCUUGUGAAAGAACUACUUCUUUGGUCAGUAACCAGACAAAGACAAAGCACGACACUGUGUGAGGUAUCCUAGUUUUCCAUAUUUUCUUCCAUGGCCAUCUUGGAUCCGGGUGAUUUAUUUAGUUCAUCAUCUUGUAGGCUUUAUUGACACUGAACAUUCCUUUUUCAUUUCCCAUACACCAUAGUACGUCAUUCACUGUCUGCAGUCCAUUAAAUAAGUCCACGGUAUUAAAAAAUUCAACUACUCUCAUUACCUCCUGGUCAUUAAGUUGCCUUCUGAAAUUGAAGUUUCACCCAUGUGGUGUCCAUAAUUCUUCUAUAGUCCUCUAUUGAAACAAUACCAAGUUGCAGAUAUCUGGAAAAAUCACUUCCAUAUCCCCAUCCUCAUGUUAAUUAUCCUUCCAGAACCUAGUCUUGUUUCCAUCCAUCAAUUUAACCUUUGAGUUGCUUUUAACUUCAUUCCACUAGUGUCUAAUAGAUCUAAUAGAUCUCUAGAUACUAACCCCGUAUGGUGUGGUCACUUCUUUAGUCAUCCAUCUAUCUUCUUCAGGAUAUUUAGCCCCAAUCACUUUUCUCCAUAGCAGCUGGUUAUUGUUUGUAUAUUUCCACAACCAUUUCAUCACGAUAGCCUUACUUUGAAUUUUUAGGUUCUUUAUCCCCAACCCUCUAGUCUUCUUGUCAAUUGUCCACCACAGAGAGCACUACUACUUUUUCUCACAUAUCUUUGUUCCUUAUUCUAUCUCUCCUAGUAUGCCCACAAACCAAUCUCAACAUCAUUAUUUCCUCAUUCUAGUCUUGGUAUGCGAUUAAUGUAUGAGAAUCCCACACUAGUAACGUGUGUGUUCUGUAGUUUUCUUAUAUGAUCUUGGACAAUCUUCACCACCUGACCUAGUUUUUGAAGUUGAUUUAGGAGCUGGUCCACUUGAUUAACAACAGUCAUUCCAUUCCUUUCCUUUGCAGGAUGUCUUUUAGUUUGUUCCCUUUUUUUAUUUUGCUUGAAGAGUAGAAAGAAGGAAUGUUAUAGAUAUUCAACUUAAAAUCUUGUGUUCUUUGAAUACAUUUUUAAUGGCUUCUCAAGGGUACAACAUUUAAAUUUGUUCACCAUUGAAUUCCAAUUUAAACAGACUUCCAUGUAUUGUAUGUAAUUUUUCUUGAAACUUGAAACUAUGAUAUACUUCUUCCUCUCCCCCCUCCGUCGUAAAAUAGAAAAAGUUUUUCAAUACUUUCAUGCAAGUGUAGUUAAAGUCUCUUUGUAAAUAUUGUCUUCUUUAUAGAGAAAUUUUAUUGUUUUUACUUUGUACUGGAUUUUAUUAGGAGCAUGUGAAGGCAUUGGAGGAGCAGAAGCGCAAUAGAGUGGAGUACUUAGAAUUUUUAAAAUCCUAUGACUUUAUUAAGGUAUUUGUUCUAGUGGAAUUAGCAUCAGUUGCUAGAUUAUGUUUUUCUAUUUCCAGGAGAUAGAACUUCCAUAGUUCCAUUGUUGCUGACUUCUUUUGUUCAGGCCAGUAGCCACUGGCGGAAAGUUCAGGACCGCUUGAAAACUAAUAAAAGAUGCUCCCGCCUUGAGAAAAUCGAUCACUUGGAGAUUUUCCAGGUACUACUCAUUUUUCUAAUACAUCAUAAAUAACUUUUUCAAACAUCUCAUUUGUACACCUCAGUUUUAAAGUUAUGUUGCAACCAUUUCUGUUUUAGGAAUAUAUACGUGAUUUAGAGAGCGAAGAGGAGGAGCAAAGGAAACUAUGGAUGGUAUAUUGCUUAUUAGACUCGGGGGUUAAAAUUAAAUUUAUGUUUGGAGACUUUGAUUUAUCUCUUUCUCACUGGGCAUACACUGUUGAUUUAAAUAGGAAGAAUUGAGGAAAGCUGAACGUUAAAAUAGUGAUGAGUUCCGAAAACUGAUGGAAAAGCAAGUUGAUGCGGGAAUACUUAAUGCAAAAACUAACUGGCGUGAUUAUUGCAUCAAAUUUAGUUUUUCUUUCUUAUGUUCAGUGAGUGAUUACCUUCAUGAGUUCCCUUUUCAUCUUUUUGAAUUUUUCAUCCAAUAAUUUCCUUCUUUAUUUUGUGCUUGUAGAUUAAAGAUUUUGUUGCAUAUCAAGCUGUCUCAUCAAAUAUUUUAGGAUCAACAGCAAAAUAAUUAUUUACAGAUGUUAUGGAUGAGCUGGAGAAACAGGUGAAAUAGGUUGCUAAUAGGAGUAUUGAAUUGUGUCAACUACAUUUGUUACACUAAGCCAUAUUUAUAGACUUUACACUACAAUCCCUUUUCAUUUGCUUUCACUUAAUGAAGGUCUGAAUCUGAAUGGUUAAGAUAUCAACCCAUUAAGUGCUUUUUAAAAAAAAAAUAUUCAACCUGUUAAUACAUCUUAAUGAAUCAGAUGUUAAACAAAGUCUGAAAAUCAUUUAGAUCCUCACUAAAAAGUUCAAUUCAUUAGGUAAAAAAAGGAAGUUAGUGCAUUACUAUGUGGAAAUAUACUGGGUUUGUUGUUGUUGUUGUUGUUGUUGUUGUUGUGCAUUAAAGAAUAGAACAUACUUGGUAGGAUAAAAGGAUGAGAUUGAGAUUUGAGAGUUACCCCACUGCUUGCUUUUUUUUUUUUUAAAUAACACAUAUUUUGGUGAGAUAAGAACAAUGACCGGUUGUUCCUAUUAAACAUCUCUGUUGUUUCUCUUUAUGCCAAUUAGUUUCCUCUUUUUUUUACUAGAUAGUAGGUAUUUAGGCUGAUAGGAAUGGUAUUGUCAUAAACUUUUAAGUUAGAGGUUCCAUGAUUUUAAUGUAGUAUAGAUAUAGAUGAUUCUUUCAAUCUAGCCAAGCUGUAUUAAAUGCUACUUCACGGACAAUUGUAAUUGACUUCUCCUCCAUUGAAUGCUGUUAAUGGUUAUAUUACGUUAAUUGUUAUAGUUUCUCGAGCAGAACAACUCUGAGAAGUGAUCAUCAAACUUCUAUGUUUUCACAUAGUUUCUUUGACUUUCGAGGACUCCUUUAAAGUAUCAUACAAUCUCACCAUUGUGUUUCAGCUAAGACUGCAUUUGUCUUUAUUAAUAUUCAGACAUUUGAAUCAUUUUGAAUGCACAUCUGAAUGGUUAAGAUAUUAUCUCUAGAUCUGAAAACCAAAUGAUUAAGGUUGGGUGUUUCUCAAUAUUUGAAUGUGCAAAAUUUAUUUAUUUCUAAAUAUAAUAUAAUUAUAUAUUAGAAAUUUUUUUAAUUUAAUGCAAUUAAAUUAUUAUUUGAUUAAAAAAAGAAACAUUUAUGUUUGUUAGUGAUAGUGGAGAUGGUUUGUAAUGGUGGUGGUUGUAAUAAAUUAAUUGGUGUUAGUGAUUAGCAAUGUUGGUGAUGAUAGUUGUGAUAGUAGAGAUAGUUGGCAUUAUAGUAACUGUCAUGAUAUUGGCAAUUGGUAGUGGUGGUGGUGGUUGUGAUGUGAAGUUGCUUAAUAUUAGUAGUUGGAGGUGUUGAUCAUGGUGACGGAAAACUGUAUGCAUGAUGGUUGACAAGGUGUUGGUGGUCAUUGGAGACGCUGUUAGCUGUGAUGGUGGAAUGGUUGUUAGUACAGAUACUGUAACGAGUGUAGCAGAUGGUGGUGGUAGAAGUGGUAACGCCGGUGACAAUAGUGGUGAUGGUGUCCGAAGAAUGUGUGGAAGUUGAUGAUGUGUUAGUGGUUGUUAGCAAUAUGUGGAAGUUGAUGAUAUGUUGGUGGUUAUUAGUGGUAGUGCUAGUUCUGAUAGAUGAGUUGGUUGGUAGUAGGGAUCUACCGGUAGCAGUUGAUGGUGGCGGCGUUGGUGGUAGGGGUGUUAAUGGGUCAAUAUGGGUCGGUUAUUGGUCAAAACCAUAACCAAACCAACUUAAUCGAUUUUUAAAUUUCUAAAACCAAACAAAAAAACAACCAUCAGUUUGGUUCUUGUCGGUUUAGUUCGGUUUGAUUCGGGGUUUUUGGUUUAUAACUUUAGUUAAUGAUAAAAUUUGAAAAUUUUUAAAAAAAAAUCCAAUCUAACAUAUGAGAUGUCAACCGAGUAUUGUAUCUCAAUCUUGAAACUAUGAUGUCAGCUGAGUGUUAUACUUCGGCAAAGCCAUGAUAACACCAUAUGAACGCUUUUAAAAAAAUAUUUAAAAACUAUAUUUAAUAGAAUGAUAUGAUAAACUCUCAAAAGGUGAGCACAUAAACUUCUUGCUCAACAAGGUCCAAAAGAAAGUUAAAAUUAGUGAUUGUGUAUAGUCUAAUGAAUUUCAGCCGUAAAUUUCAAUAUGUAACAAGAUAUUAUUUUCACAAUUAGUAUCAUUUGUCAUUCAAAAUAUGAAAUUCAUUUAGAAUCUCAUAAUGUAUUGUCAACUAGAUUAAGACAUAUGACUUAAUGUGUUACGACUAAAGUUAAAUCAUGAUUAAAAUAUAAACUGUAACAAAUAUUUAGAUUACAUUUAUGAAAAACAUAUAAAUAAUUGUAAUAUAUCUGUAUAUCGGUUCGGUUUGGUUAUUUUGUCAGUUAUUUUAGAGUAAAAUCAACAAAUUAGUAUCGGUUUUUUAAAAUUCAAAUCCAAACCAAACUUAACCAAAUAUUGGUUUUUUUAACCGAUUUGGUUUGGAUCGCGGUUCAGUUUGGUUAAAAACCAAAUCAUGAACACCCUUAGUUUGCGGUGGAUAUAAUUAGAAUAAUGGAAGUGGUAGGUGUGGUAGCGGCUGGCAGUGUAGUUGGUAGUGAUGUUGGUUGUUAUGGUGGAAGUGGUUGGUGGUGGUGACAGGUGAUUGUGGAUAGAGUGGUGGUGAAUUUUAUCCUACACAAGAAUAUCUGUAAAUGAUAUUUAGACUUGGUUCCACAUCUGAAUGAUUAAGACCUACUCAGACCUAUUAAGAGCUAAAAUCCUAAUAAAAACAAAUGCACUUAGUGGUUUGAGGUCUGAACAGGUUCAUAAAUCCAAUAAGUGCAAACAAAUGAGUCCUGAAAGUAGUUUUUCUGGUCAAGUUUUGACCAUGUUUUGUCCGUUUGUACCACACCCCAGUUUUGAUUUCACUUCGGAUGAUAUCGUGCAACUUAAAACCCAAUUCAAAAUAUAUUGUGUUGUCAACCAUAUAAAUUGGACUAAAUAAACUUAGUGCCAGAAUUCACCUCUGAAGAGGUAGUUGAGAUGUAAUGAAAGUAAAGGCUUAGAAAAGAUUAACCUCGGAAAAAGUGCCUGAGAGCAUCUCUGUUUCUCUAAAUAAAGUUGCAUCUCCCUCACUAUGAUUUAUUUAGCCGUAAUACACACUUGUGACUAACUAAACGAUAUAUUGUUUCAUCCUCUGCCCUUUCUGAAAAGAAUUAAACUUGAAUGAUCAAAUGUUAUUAGCAUUUAUCUACUUGCUUGAUGAAAGAGAGAGUUUACCUGGUAUCCUAGCAUGGUAAUGAUCCUGUUCGUGCUCUUAUUCAAUGAUUGAAUUUGGUAAUGUUUUCUUGAGUUAGGCUCUUGCUAUGGGAUGGUGAGAGUUAUACAUAAACUCAGAUGCUGAAAAUCUUUUCUUUUUCCUUUGUAAGAUAAAGAUUUCAACUUCUAUCUUUAAAGUUUGUAGUACUUUUUGUGUGCAUAAAUGAUUCUUAUUAAGUAAAUAUAACGAAAGCGAUGUUAACAGAGAUGCUAUCCAUUUUUAUUUAUUCACCUUUUUUCUAUUAUCCAAACAGGGGUGCUUGAUUUUUCCUUUAAUUUAACCUGGUCAGUGCAAUUAAGUUUAUGUGUCAAGUGUCUUGUGAUAUUGUAGAUGACUUUGAACAAGUGGAGAAAUGUUGGUAUUCAUGAAAGAAAUUUCAUCCCCAUCACCCUGCUUGUAAUUUAUAGACUUUAUGGUAACUCAAAUGCAUGGACAAGGCUCCAUUUGGUAUCCUAUUUUUGUUACUGAUAAGAAUUCUGAAUUUGUGUUACUUGUAUGUUGCUUCAGUAUCUUGAUGACAAGUCACAAAUUAAAGAUGCAGUUAGGAUGGCCGAGGUAAUCACCACUCUUCAUUUUAACCUCUGUUGUGCUUCGGUUAGUACCUAAUAUUUUGGCUGAGCGGUCUCUACUUUCAGAUUGGAUUGACAUCAGCCUGGACGCUUGAUGAUUUUAAGGUUGCAAUUGCCAAGUAUAUUAGCUCUCCACCAAUGUCAGAUACCAACUUAAAGGUCUAAUUAUGGCUAAGCACUGUAUACUGUUUCACAUCGACCUUUGUUGAAUUGAUGUUGUGAAAAUUGAAGUACCCCAUUCACUAAUUGGAUUUCUAUGUAUUUGUCCCCUUUUUCUCUUUGGGACAGGUCUUGCAUAAGAUAAGUGAAUUGAGUGCAAAAGCAUUAGUAGUACUUCCAUGUUAUGUUUCACUGGAAGUCAGUCAGUUUGUGAUUGCUAAAUUGGCAACUCGUAGGUAGUCAACUGUGGUUAGUGGCAUUUUCCUUUAGUAUCAACCAUAACCUAUCCCACAUUAAAUUUGGUUCUUGUAAUAGAGUUAAUAAAAGAGUAGUGUGUUGGUUAGCAAGUAAGCCUGAAACCUUCAAGAAUAAAGACGAGGACCACAUUGAUCAAAUAUUUGGUGUUAGCUUUUGCUUCUAAUUCUUUCGUUUUGGUACCAUUUUCCUUUGUUUUUAUUUCCUGGAUGGUGGUGUUUAAUAUUACACCUACCACACAUAUGUUAAGUUGCUUAAUUCAAUGCAAUUUGACUUGUUGUUUUCUGCUUUUACGGUUAGUGGAUAAGAGUUUUACUCUAGGAAACUGGUUAAACAGCAUAACUGGAUGAUAUCAACGAUCAUUUGCUAUUUUUGUAAUGAGGAUAUUCUCCAUAUAUCAUUUGUAAAUUGGAGGUUAUUUAUGGUCAUGGAGUAUAAUCUAUGUAUGUGGGAAGAGGGAAUUGCAAGGGGUAUCUUAUCGAAGAAUUAUGCUUAGAUGGUUGGGUCUCUUAAAGCUUUUAGUUUACUUUCAAUAGCACGAAACUUUUGUAAAGCAUUUUAUCAAAGAUUAUAAUGUGAGGAGUUACUCCAAAAGAUGGUAAUAAUACUCUUACAUUAUAUCCCCCUUGCCUUCCAAAUGAAGGAAUAAGAGGACAUACAUGGAUUAUACUUAAUCUUAUUCCAUACUUCCUUUCUAAACUUUAUGUUCUACGCGUUUGGGCUUGCCGGGUCAUUGAGUAUUGAAUGUGCAUAUUUCAUCUGCAUAGUUUUUCUUUGAGGAGUUACUGGAAAGAGCCAGGGAGAAAGAAGAAACAACAACAACAACAACAAACCCAGUGUAUUCCCACUUAGUGGGGUCUGGGGGGGGUAAGAUGUACGCGUUUAAAAUCUUUCACAUUGCAAUGGAUGGGAUCCCAUGAUAUUUCCUUUAAACCAUAAUUUAUUUGUUUGUUGUGGUUACAGGAAAUUACUGCAUCAUCGAAAUGGGAGGGCUGCAAAUCCCUCUUCGGAGAUAGGCAAGUAGCUUCUUUUGGUUUUAUUGAUCUAGAAUUAGUAACACGAUUGCAAGGACCAUUGGAGAAUGAUAAUUGAUAAUAUUUUUAAGGACCAACUCCUUCAAUACUCUAAACUCAGUAAUUCACAUAGUUCUAGAAUGUACCUUAGAAUAAUAGUUGUGUUGAAUGAUUUGUUGUUUUAUAUUCCUCAACACUUAGGUAGGCUAUUUCUUUAUAGUAUUAGCAUGAAUUACCAUUUUGCUAAGUGAUUUUUAAUGUUGAACUUAUCCCUCUAGAAAUUUGUUGAUGUCAAUUAUUAGUUGUUCCGACACUGGGCGUUUAAUAGCUCUAGCAGUUAGUUUUAAAAUUUCUGACAUUUGUGAUUGUUUUAGUUUUUUAAUUUCUGGCAUUUGUGAUUGUUUCACGGUUUUGAUGAAGUAUGCUGCUAAAUCUCUAGUUUCAAUUUGUCUAGCCUCUUUGGCUAUAAAAUGAAAUGCUCUGGAUUUUUACUUUUUUAUUCAUAAUCUCAUGAUUCUCAUUAUGUCGUAACAUUGAAUGUGAAUUUCUUUGUUGUUAUUAUUUUACAGAAUAAUGGGUGAUGAGGGCUUGCUGCUUGAAAUAUUUAACAAAUUUGUUAAUGAACUAAAAUAGAAGGAGCGCAAGCGUCAAGAGGAUAAGGUACUUGAAUUACUACUAACCCUUAUUCUUCUGCUACUUUCGGGUGGGGGUAGUAGAUAUGUGGAUGUGAUUGUGGUUGAUAUUGUUUUGUGGAAAUUUUGACUUUUUGAGAGUCGCCACUUAAUUUUGAAAAGAAAUUAAGAAACCUUUAGAGAGUUACUGCAAACGAUUCAAAAUAGAAAAAUCAUUUUUAAGUUAGAGAUUUAGAUAAGCGGUUCCUAUUAACAUUCUAGAAAGGUAUUAGGCACCUAAAAUGUCCUCUAACUUGCGGUUAGCUGGACUGUUUGAAAAUCGUCUUUUGAUUAACUUUGAAAAAGUUUAUUUUUUGAAAAGAAAAGCGAUUUUAGAAAUAUUUUGGUGUUUAUGCAAAACCAGUUUUUUAGCGACUUGACUAAGGAUUUUAAUAGGUUCGCAAAACACACAUAAAACAAGUAAGCAAAUAGAAAAAAGGGAAAGGGGAGAAGUAGUGAUUUAGGAUUUUAAGCACAAACCGUCGACCAUGUCCUAAUCUAGUUAGGUUUUUGACCCAUCUUUCACCUGUCUUAAUUUUAUGUUUUCGAGCCCUUUUUGGCUCGAGUCUCGCUCCACCUGUUUUAAAUUUACAGCUUUUGCUUCGAGGCCUAAAUGAAUAAAUAAAUAAGUCACUAAAUAAACAAAAAUAUAAAUAAGUAAAUAAAUCAAUAAAGAAGAAAUAACGAGAUUUUCAAGUCCUCUUUGCCGCUUCAAAGAUAGAACUUUAACCCAUUCUUCUUUCGAUUCCUCGUAUCGAUACGCCAUGUGAUGGAUUCUUGGAUUUUCUUUGGGGCUUAACUCGGAAGGAUAGGCCUCAUUGGCCCAUUUAUGAAAUGCAAAGAGAGAAGGGGGUUGCAUGCAAAGAAAGGAAUGAAGAACCGUGUAAUCUUGUGCUGGUGUGGCAACUCUUUAGGUACCUAUAUCAUUUGUUGCAUGUGGAAUGAUAACCUCUCCGGUUAUAGCCGAUGAUCGAUUUAUAAAUUUCUUUUAAAUUACCAAUCUUUGGAUAAUCUUACGCAUUAUUUGAUGUUGGAUACGAGGCGACUUACAGAUAUCCUUUUGAUUUCUAGCUUUUAGGUAAUCCAGCAUAUUAUCCGACUUUGAAUAAGAGAUGGCUUACAGAUAUCCCUCCAAUCGCUAGCUUUCAGGUGUUCCUGCAUAUCAUCCGACCUUGGAUACAAUAUGACUUAUAGAUAAUCCAUCAAAUUGUUAGUCUUUAGGUAACCCUGCACAUAAUCAAUCUUGGAUAUGACACGACUUAUAGAGAACCCUUGGACGUAUCAAUUUGAUAAUCUUGAUUAUUCUCCGGUAAGAAUUUAGUUGCGACUUAUGGAUAAACUUUCAACUAUCAAUUUUUGGGCAAUCUUGCACACUAUCCGAUUAGGAUGUUGUUGUGGCUUACGGAUGACCUACAGGCUAUCAACUCAUAGGUGAUCUUGCACACUAUCCUAUUUCAAAUAAUAUGACUUAUAGAUGACCCUCAAAUUGUCAAUUUCUAGGAAAUCUUAUAUAUCAUUCAUCCUUAGAUAGCGACUUAAAGGCGUCCCUUCAAAUCGUGUGCUCUCGAUGCAUUCAGAUGCUGAUUCAUAAAGUGAUAAGAUAUCCUCGAUGCCAGCAUUUAUGUCUUGCGUGUCAACAGAUAUAAAAUGAUGAUGAUAUCUUCAACGCCAGCAUUGUGUCUUGCGUGUCAAUAGAUUUAUUGAAUGGUGAUGAUAUCCUCGACGCCAGCGUUAUGUCUUGUGCGUCAACAAAUAUAUUGAAUGUUGAUGAUAUACUUAACGCCAGCGUUGUGUCUUGCAUGUCAACAAAUAUUGCAUGAUGAUGAUAUCCUUGAUGCUAGCAUUGUGUCUUGCAUGUCAACAGAUAUAUAAUAAUGAUGAUAUCGUCGAUGCCAGCGUUGUGCCUAGCGCGUCAACAGAUAUUUAAUGAUGAUGAUAUCCUCGAUGCCAGCGUUGUGUCUUGUGUGUCAACAGAUAUAUUGAAUGCUGAUGAUAUCCCCAAUGCCAGCGUUGUGUCUAGCGCAUCAACAGAUAUUGAAUUAUGAUAAUAUCCUUGAUGCCAGCAUCAGGGUCUUGCUUUCUGCAUGUACCUGUACUCAAGGUAGACGAUUAGUAGACACAAAUUUUCUUUUGCUAGAGACUAUUUUUUUUAGAAAAUUCUAAAUACAAUAUUUGUAAAAAAGACAAGACACUUUUGUUUGUCCUCCAUGAUCUCAAGAAAUGAGAUGGACAAUUCUAAAGGUUGUCAAUAAAUAGGUGUUGAGCCCGUUUUUGGGCUACCAAAAGUAUCGUUAUUAAGCCUUAUAUGCUCUGUCAUGGCUCCCGACUUGCUUGGGGAUUUUUUGAAAGAAAUGCUCAUUUUGUGUGUCGAUCCCUGCAUCCACAAAAAAUGAUUAGUUUGAAAGAAACUACUCCAUGUUGACCUCCUACGAUCCUUGAUUUGCCCUCACCAUCUUUUAGGUAUUUCAUCAUGUUAGGACUUCCACCCCUAACUCCCCGUCCUAAUUGAUGUCUAGGCAAUCACUAAGUAAAAGAUUUAUGUAGAUUUUUUUCAAAGUACUCUUAAUUUUUUAGAAAAUAGUUUUGAGAACUCCUGCAAAACUUCGAAAAAUCUCUGCCAGUCAUGUAGUACUAUCCAAAUACCUCAUAAUUUGCCACACACCUUCUCAUAAGUAGUACUAGUUUACAACUACCAACGAAAAAAGUCAAGGGGUAAGGUCACAUAAUAGACAUAAUCAACCUUAAUCUGAUAUUAUAACCCCAUACGAUCUUAUCUACUUAUGUGGAUUUCUUACCUCGUACUUACUUACUCAAGCAUACAUUUAGACUGUCUUCAAAUUUCUCAAACAACCAUGAGUCUAUAAUCAUAACUUACUCACUAAUACAGCCAUUUUUCACAUUCAAGCAACCAAUAAAUCACCCUAACUAACAACUCCUUCUCUACCUUAUAUUAAACUAACUCACAAGGAGGAAUCACCUCUUUACCAACUCCAUCUCAUGCAAACAGAUUCAGCCAUACAGAUAUUAAACCAACAAAAGAACAACAAGUUGGACAACAAGUUGCUAGUGAAUCAAAAUAGGCCUCACACGGCUUCACUAGACUUUGGUUUUGUAUUUUGAACAAGAAAAUGAGAUGGAUGACAAGGCAACUAUGCUAGUGAAUCAAAAGAGCCCCACACGGCUUCACUAGACUUAAAUUUUUUUUUUUCAAAAACACCAUGAUAACAAGAUUACAUAUUAUAAGAGAUAGGAAAUUGACGCAUAAUAUUUAGUGGUCUAAGAAUACAAAUCUUACUCUGUAUAAAUAAAAAUCUGAGUAAAAUACUUCCCCCAUGGACUACCAUACCAUCCACACAUGCGACUAGCUACCACAUUAGUUUAUCACUAUAAAGGGGUAAAUCAUCCUUAAAUAUCGGUUAUUCAACAGAAAUAUUUAUUUACACCAAAAAUCACCAUCACUCUGACUUCUAACUUUGUGACUUCACAUCACUAACUUCUUAUUCUAAUUUUAUUACUGAUAGGUCAUGACAACAACACUUUAACUUAUGCAACUAUUCGGGCGGAAAUACAGUUCCAACAUUCUGCUAUACACCGUUCACAUCUGUAUCAAGAUUUUUAGGAGGGACUAGAUGCACUUAAUACCUGAAGCUGGAAAGCAUGAUUCCAUCAGGAUCAAUGUUUACAUCAGAAUCAACAUAUAUUGAAGCACCAAUAGACUCCUCUCGAGUCUUUGAACAAUUUUUUUCUUAUAUGACAUAAAUAGAAAAGACUAUAUCAUGUAGAUUCUAAACUUUUUCACUUGAAUCACCCAAAUAAUGGGACAUGUAUGAGAACAUCAGAGUAAGGAAAGAAUUUGGGAUGACUUUACCUUCAUAUGGGUGACACCAUAGCACGAAUGACAGUAAUUCAUGUUAUUUUUAAUACAUUGAAUCAAAUACUGUAUAAGAAACAACAACAGCAACAACAACACCCAGUGUAUUCCCACAUAGUGGGGUCUGGGGAGGUUAGUGUUUUUAGAUUAUAUCACUAUCAGGUAAAGUAGAGAGGAUAUUUCCGAUAGACUCUCAGCUUAGGAUCAUAAUAAUAUACCAAACAUAAAAGAUAAAUGAAUAUAAACUAAUAAGAUACGCAAAAUAAAACUAACAAUAUAACAAAUAUCAAAGAAAAUAUAUAUAAAUUAGUACCGUAUGAAAAAAUAGCCAAUCUACCAAGCAGUGUCAGCUUUGUGUUGGGUGGUUGGUAGUCAAGAAAGUGUUAGCUUUCCCAAAAGAAUAACCCCAAUAAAGAAAGAAGUCCCUCCACUUUCACCAUUGAUUGAAUGUUAUUUUUAAUACGAAGAAUCAAAUACAGCGUAAGAAAAUAGAAGCAAUAUUAAUGUAAAUAUUAUUAAUAUACCAUAUUUUAUAUUAUUUUUAUAAAAUAAUAUUUUAUAUUAUUUUUAUAAGAAAAUAAUCUAAUUAAUUUUAUUGAAAUUAUCUAUCUAUAUAAUAUAGGAGGACAGUCUAGCCUAAAACUAAGACAAGUGUCAUAUUGAGAACCACCUAUUUGAAUUUUUACAAUAAAAAACCAUCAUUUUAUAACAAAAAGCUAUUUUGUUGAUUAUUUAAAUAUUUAAUAUUGUUUCAUAUUUCAUAUUUAAUAAAUUACAUUUCAUAUGUUUUUAAUAAUAGUAUUAUAAGAAAAUAAAUAUGAAUGAUNNNNNNNNNNNNNNNNNNNNNNNNNNNNNNNNNNNNNNNNNNNNNNNNNNNNNNNNNNNNNNNNNNNNNNNNNNNNNNNNNNNNNNNNNNNNNNNNNNNNNNNNNNNNNNNNNNNNNNNNNNNNNNNNNNNNNNNNNNNNNNNNNNNNNNNNNGGUUUAGAUGGUUCUCCCAUAGGAAGAUUAGUGUGGGUACCACUCAUGGCCAUUUGGGUCGUGACAUUUCCGAAAUUAUAAAGGUAAUUAAUAUCAAUUAUUUUCGUAUUUGAGCCCUUUAUACAAUUGUAGAUUAAUUAAAUAUAAUCAAACUACAAAAUUAAGACAGAUUUAUGGUAAAUAAAUAUAUAAUAUUAAUAAUAAUUUUAUUGCUAUCAAAUUAAUUAGAUUAAAUUGAACUAGAAAUUAGUUAAUAUUGACAAUUACUUUAAUAAAAAAAAUAUAUGGAAAGAUUCAUAAUUGAUAUGCAUAUAUUGGUUAAAAACACAACGAAUAUUGACUACUACUUUAGCUAUAAAUAUAUUUUAAAAUUUACAUACAAUAUUAAAUUUAAGGAACUUGAGUCUAUAUAUUAUGAUCAUAAAAUUGAUUCUAAUUAAUUAAAAUUAAUUAAUUGAUUGUAUAGUUUUAGUACAACAAUUUCGUACAUCAUUUAUUUAAUAAAAAUACAUAUAAUUAAUUGAUCGAUUUUGUGUAAUCUACUAUGAUUUUAUUAAUUCAAAUGAAAUGAUUUUUAAAUGAUAGGUUUGGAUUAUAAAAAUAAGGGUGAUUAUUGUAUGACUUUAGAUUUCUUAUGCAUUAAAAAAAAUUUAUAGGCAAAAAGAUGUCAUCCCUCAAAACAAUUAAAUUUGAACUAUUUUAGUGAAACAAUGAAAGAUUGAAUAUAAGAAAAUCCGUAAUUAAGAAAAGAAAUAAUUGUCACCUUAUUUGAGUUUUUAGCAAAUUGUAAAGAUAAUUAAAUAAUCAAAUUGUAAAUUGAUAAGCAAUUUUUGAGAAAUAAAUCAGUAAUUAGGAAAAGAAAUAAUCGUUACCUUUUUAAAAUUCUUCCCAAAAUUAUAAAGGUAAUUAAUAUAAAUUUGAUAUAACCAAACUAUAAGAAUAUGUGAAGGGAUUGAAUUUCCGAAAUUAUAAAGGUAAUUAAUAUCAAUUAUUAUUGUAUUUGAUCCCUUUACACAAUUGUAGAUUAAUUAAAUAUAAUCAAGCUACAAAAUUAAGACAGAUUUAUGGUAAAUAAAUAUAUAAUAUUAAUAAUAAUUUUAUUGUUAUAAAAUUCAUUAGAUCAAACUGAGAUAGAAAUUAGUUAAUAUUGAUAAUUAUUUUGAUAAAAAAUAUAUGCAAAGUUUUGUAAUUGAUAUACAUAUAUUGGUUAAAAUAACAACGAACACUGACUACUACUUUAGCCAUAAAUAUAUUUUAAAAUUUACAACAUUAAAUUUAAGGAACUUGAAUCUAUAUAUUAUGAUCAUAAAAUUGAUUCUAAUUAAUUGAAAUUAAUAAGUUGAUUGUGUAAUUUUAUUACAACUAUGUUGUACAUCAUUUUUUAAAUAAAACUACAUAUAAUUAAUUAAUUGAUUUUGUGUAAGCUACUAUGAUCUUAUUAAUUCAAAUGAAAUAAUUUAUAAAUGGUAAGUAUGGAUUAUAAAAAGAAAGGAUAUUAUUGUAUGCCUUUAGCAUUUCAUAUGUAUUAAAAAACAUUUAGAGACAAAAAGUUGUCAUCCCUCAAAAUAAUUAAAUUUGAACUAUUUUAGUAAAACAAUAAAAGAUUGAAUAUAAGAAAAUCCGUAAUUUAGAAAAAAAAAAAUAAUUGUUACCUUAUUUGAGCUUUUAGAAUAUAAAGAUAAUUAAAUAAUCAAUUGACUAUAAUCAAAUUAUAACCUUGUAAGAAUUUUUUGAGAAAUAAAUUAGUAAUUAGGAAAAAAAAUAAUCGUUACCUCUUUUAAAUUCUUCCCAAAAUUAAAAAGGUAAUUAAUAUCAAUUUAAUUUAAUCAAUCUAUAAAAAAACAUGAAAUUCAAGGGAUAGAAUUGCCAAAAUUAUAAAGGUAAUUAAUAUCAAUUUUUUAUAUAUUUGAGCCCUUUAUGUAAUUGUAGAUUAAUUAAUUACAAUCAAGCUAUAAAAUUAGGAUAGAUUUAUGGUAAAUAAAUACAUAAUAUUAAUAAUAAUUUUAUUAUUAUAAAAUUAAUUAGAUUAAAUUGAGUAAGAAAUCAAUUAAUAUUGACAAUUAUUUUAAUAAAAAAUAAAUGCAAAGUUUCGUAAUUAAUAUACAUAUAUUGGUUACAAAAACAACGAACACUGACUUCUACUUUAGCCAUAAAUAUAUUUUAAAAUUUACAACAUUAAAUUUAAAGAACUUGAGUCUAUAUAUUAUGAUCAUAAAAUUGAUUCUAAUUAAUUUAAAUUAAUUAGUUGAUUGUAUAGUUUUAUUACAACAAUUUCGUACAUCAUUUAUUUAAUAAAAAUACAUAUAAUUAAUUGAUUGAUUUUGUGCAAUCUACUUUGAUCUUAUUAAUUCAAAUAAUUUUUAAAUGGUAAGUUUGGAUUAUAAAAAUAAAGGAGAUUAUUGUAUGACUUUAACAUUUCUUAUGUAUUAAAAAAGAUUUAUAAACAAAAAGAUGUCAUGCCUCAUAACAAUUAAAUUUGAACUAUUUUAGUAAAACAAUAAAAGAUUUAAUUUAAGAAAAUCUGUAAUUGAGAAAAAAUAAUGGUUACCUUAUUUGAGUUUUUAGCAAAUUAUAAAUAUAAUUAAAUAAUCAAUUAACUAUAAUCAAAUUAUAAAUUUAUAAGAAAUUUUUGAGAAAUAAAUCAGCAAUUAGGAAAAAAAUAAUCAUUACUUUUUAAAAACCCAAAAUUAUAAAGGUAAUUAAUAUCAAUUUGAUAUAAUCAAACUAUAAGAAUAUGAGAAAUUCAUGGGAUUAAAUUUUUGAAAUUAUAAAGAUAAUUAAUAUCAAUUGUUUCCAUAUUUGAGUCCUUUAUGUAAUUGUAGAUUAAUUAAAUAUAAUCAAGCUAUAAAAUUAGGAAAAAUUUAUGGUUAACAAAUAUAUAAUAUUAAUAAUAAUUGUAUUGUUAUCAAACUAAUUAGCUUAAAUUGCGGUAAAAAUCAGUUAAUAUUGACAAUUAUUUUAAUAAAGAAUAUACGCAAAGUUCCGUAAUUGAUAUACAUAUAUUGAUUAAAAAAACAACGAACAUUGACUACUACUUUAGCCAUAAAUAUAUUUUGAAAUUUACAACAUUAAACUUAAGGAACUUUAGUCUAUAUAUUAUGAUCAUAAAAUUUAAUCUAAUUAAGUGAAAUUAAUUAGUUGAUUGUGUAGUCUUAUUACAAUUAUAUCGUACUUUAUUUAUUUAAUGGAAAUAUAUAUUAUUUAUUAACUGAUUUUGUACAAUCUACUAUGAUCUUAUUAAUUCAAAUGAAACGAUUUUUAAAUGGUAAGUUUGGACUAUAAAAAGAAAGGAGAUUAUUGUAUGACUUUAGUAUUUCUUAUGUAUUAAAAAAGAUCUAGAGAUAAAAGAAAUACAAUAUUACAAUAUUUUUGUGUUAUUUAAUUAAUUUAUCACGUUUCAAAAUAUUGCUUAUAUCAAUUCAGUGAUGUUUAUAUGGAAAAGUUAAAUUUUGAAAAAAUAAAUAUCUUUAAUUUCAUAAUUUAAGUUAAUUUGUGUGCUAAUUUGAAAAAGUUAAUUUAUAGUUUACAUCUUAUUUCUAUUAUAUGGAAAAUUUGACCUCAUAUGGCUAUUUAUAGCCAUUGAAUAACACAAAAUAUUUGUUACACUUUUCUUCUCUCUCUCAUGGGUAUUUCUCAAGUUUUUCAUUAUGAGUAUGUAAAUAUUCACUUGCCAUAUUUCUGGAUCCUUGUAAAUAUUCACUUGCCAUAUAAAGAUCCUUGUAAAUAUUUACUUACAAUUUAUAGAUCCUUGUUAGUUGUAUAUAUGCAUUGUACAAUGAUGAAUGAAAGACACAGAAAAAAAGGUUUUCUCCAUUCUAACCUUUUGCUAUUUUUACAUUUCAAGAAAAAGUGACAAGAAUCCUAUAGAUUCUGACAACCUUUUGCCGGCUCUUACUCUUUCAACUCAUUGAUUCAGUAAUUUCUUUUUUUAUUAUUAUUAUUUACCAUGUUUAUUUGUUUUAUUAGAAGGAUUUGAUAAGUUCUUUGACUUGUUCUUGUGCUAUUUGUUUGUGGGGUAUUUUAAUAAUUUUUAGUAAAAGACUAAUAGUAAAUAGUUUCGCGUCAUGUCUCUUCUGGUAGUAGUAUUAGUAUAUAUUUUUAUUUUCUACUUGUUGUAUCGUAUACCUCUAUUUUCUUACUUGCUACUGUUGUUAAUAUCCUCGUGUUUUUGCUUUUCUUGCUGAGGAUUUAUGGGAAACAAAUUUUCUACUUUCCAAAGUAGGGGUUACGUAUGUUGUUGUUGAAGAAGAAGCAUGCCGAAAGAGAGAUGUUUUGCUUUGUCUCAUAAGUAUUUAGUUAGCUUGCAGUAUUUUCAUGAAUGGAUAAUGAUUUGUGAGUGGCUGUUUAUGAGUGUUUUGCUUUAUCCUUGGAAAUCUCAUGGACACUAGUUUGAUUCAUGUACAGUCUCCAUACAUAGAGAUGAUGAAGAAUAACUUCUUCUUUUUUCGAUCAUUAACCAAUGAUGCAAAAAGGACCCCUUCACCACCAUUUAAGUCCAAGGAUGUUUCUUCUUGGAGGAGUGUUUCAUUGUCAUCUGGAUCCUCUAUGACAGUGGGUCAGGAAAAAAGAAUUUCACGGAUUUGAGCAAAUCUCCCCAUUGUCAUAGUGAGAAAGUUCAUCCUAAGAAAUAUGGUCGUGAUUCAAGCCGGUAUGCAUAUCAUUUUGCUGUAGCUUUCUUUUUCACACUUAAACUGAUCUUUUAAUUUGCAUUUUCUUGUCCAAAGUAAUGACAAAUGUUUUUUCACGGCAGAGACCUUAGUGUUCCAAUGUUGAUUUGGACUAUUAAAAGAUUGACAAAGGAGAAGGUACAAAUGGCUUCUGAAGUUUCAAGCAUGCUACGGAAUCAAGUUGCUGAAAUGGCUUCUGCUAAGGAAGAAGCCAGCAUACUACAAGCAAAACUAGAUUCACGGACACGACGAUUGGAGGCAGAAAAGAAUGAGUUACAAUCAGUACUGGAAAAGUAGUUGGAUAGAAGAUCUAGCGAUUGGUCUCUAAAACUUGAGAAAUACUAAAUUGAACAACAUAGACUCCGUGAAAGGGUGAGGGAGCUUACAGAGCAGAAUAUCUCUCUACAAAGGGAAGUCUCUUAAUUUAAUGAGAAGAAAGUAGAUAAUAGAAUCAAGAUGUCAUUUUCGGAGAAACACGUUGAAGAUUUAUCUAAGAGAAUAGAGCAAGUGUCAGACGAGAAUCAAAAUCUAAGGUAGCAACUCACUUAGUUACAAGCGGAAUAUCGAGUAGCUCAAGACAAUAGAGCUUAUGUCCGGGAAAACUACCAGGAAAAAGUUAAAGAGCUUAAAUCGGAGACUUUGCUGACAACUGUGCUAAGGGAGAAACUCUAUUCUGAGGAGAUGGACAUAAAGCAACUUCAGGCUGAUCUAGCCACUGCAGUUAGAGGUAACAACAUUCUCAAAUGUGAAGUGCAAAAUGUGCUGGAUUCUCUUUCCUGUGCCACACCCAAGUUGAAAUAUCUCGAGCUUCAAGUAUGCAGGCAAUGUUAAGAUCUCAUUGCAACAGAAUAGUUUUUAUUUUUCAACUUUGGAUACCUCGUCUUCAUAUAUGAUAGCCUGUUUGCAUAUUACUCUCUCUACAUUAGCUUUCUACUUUCGUUUGAUUUUAGGUUCAUCUUUGUUCCAUCUGAAGUUCAUGGUUUUCUUUAUGAACUUGUAUACAUGAGUUGCUGGCAUGUGGUAGUCUUCUGUGAAAUGUCUGAUCGCCUUAAUGUGUAAUCAGUUGAACCAACCAAGAACAUGAUAAACUUUGUGAUAUCCUCAAACCCAUUCAUCUGAUUGUGCUUUGAUCUGGUAAAGUUACCUGAAGGGGUUUCGGUAAGUUUGCUCAUUCAUUUGACUUAAUUCUUGGACAAGCUCAUGAGUUAUCUACGGUGAAUUUUAGCAGUUAAAAAGGAUUCAUGAUUUGGUUGAACUUCUAGGCUAUGAGUUUGUUUUGAAUUUCUGAUGAAAUGUUAUUGGUGAUCUUUGUGUCUUUCUUGUUUUUCAUGGUUUAAGGUUGAUUCUGGCAGGUGCUAAAAAAGGAUGAAAAUAUCAACCAGCUCACUAAUGAUUUCAAGAAUGCAUGAAGGAACUUGGCAUUGUGAAGGCAAUACUACCAAAAAUGUUUCAGGAGAGGGAUUUCAUGUGGGAGGAAUUUAAGAGCUACAGUGAGAUGAACAUGCUGUUGAAUUAUGAGAUCAACAUGUUGAAAAGGAAGGUAAGAUUUAUUGUUUUUGGAAUGUGUACAAGUAGAAAUGACAAUUUACGUUCAAGUAUGAAAGUAUGCGUUGUUACACAAAAUUAUUGGGUUAUUGGUUCGGUUCGAUUUUUUCUUAUUGGGUAAUGAUUUUAUAAAAAAAAUUAUUGGGUUAUUGGUUCGAUUCGAUUUUUUCUUAUUGGGUUAUUGGGUAAACCGAUAACCCAAUAAGAAUAUAUAUAUGACUUAUUAUAUAUUUAUCUUUUAUUUUUACAAAUUAACAAACCUAUUAUUUCAAUUAUAUAAACUCUUAAUUUCUCCUAACAACAUUUAGUUCAAACUUGAAGAUUUUUGUAAAUUUAAACACUUCAUGUAGGAUUUUUGUUGCAACUACGAUUCAUUUUUUACAUGUUAGUUACUACUAUUUCUAUUUUAUGAGUAUUUUCUUAUCGGUUAAAUCGAAAAUCGAAUCGUUAAGGACUAAAAAUCGAAAAAAAUAUUUUAUUGAUUUGGUUAUUGGUUUAGCAUAUUUAAAACCCAAAAAUCGAUAAAUCUAACGAUAAUAUGUAAAACCCAACCGAACUGACCGAUGCACUCCGCUAGACACAAACGCUUUAAUUACUUGACAAAUUGUAUGAGAUGCACACAUUUUGCAUGACAAAUUGUGAUACAAGACUCGCAUAUAUAUAUUUAUUUUAACUUUAUAUGAUAGUCUAAGUAUUUAUUUGUGCAACACUCAAAAUUAAAAUAUAUAAAUAUUUGUUGAUGAUGUCAAGUUGAAAACACAUUUAUGUAUUAUGUCAAACGUAUAAUUCCUUUUUUGAACUAUAGAUAUAAUAUGUAGCAUGAGUGAAUGUACUCUAAUUUAAGUUGAUGAAUUCACCUAACAUUAUUACAAUUACUAGAGUAAUGAGCAAAAUUAAAUUCAUUGCUAUUUAUUUAUAUUUUAAAAAAAUCAAGGUGGAGUCAGAGAGCAAUUAUCAUAAUUAAAGAGGAGCUAGAGGUAUAAUUAAAUGAGAAGCAUGGAGUCUUUUGAUAGAGUGUAUUAAAAAAUUAAUAAUAACAACAAUAAAUUCAAUGUAUUUUCACAUAGUGGGGUCUAGAGAGGGUAAGAUGUACGUAGUUCAUAUCACUACCUCCGAAGAAGUAGAAAGGUUGUUUCCGAUAGACUUCCGGCUCAAGAUAAGGAAUAAUAAUCAAAUCUGUGAUAAAGCAUGGAAUGUAUUACGUAAAAAUUAAUGCAUCCAUUAAUUUAAUGUGUAUUAGUAGUUCCUUGUUUGAUAUAUAUCUUUUUAUCUUAUGUAUAACUAAUGCAAAAAUUAGUUAUAUACUCUAUUAUGUAUUGAGGUGUGUAUUACUAAUACCUCAAAAUUUAUGAUAUUAGUAAUGCAAAGGAUCUAAUGCAUGCAUUAACAUGUGGGGCUAUUAUGUAAAAAAAAAUUGUGUAAUUCGUGUUAUUUGUAAUACUUUGAAUCAAAUACUUUAUAAGAAACAACAAUAGCAACAACAACACCCAGUGUAUUCCCACAUAGUAGGGUCUAGGGAGGUUAGUGUAUGCAGAUCAUAUCACUACUCAGGUGAAGUAGAAAUGAUGUUUCCGAUAGACUCCCGCUUAGGAUCAUAAUAAUAUACCAAACAUAAAAGAUAAAUGCAUAUAAACUAAUACGAUACACAAAAUAAAACUAACAAUAUAACAAAUAUCAAAGAAAAUAUAUAUAAAUUAGUAAAGAGCCCCACACGGCUUUACUAGACUUUAAAUUUUUUUUCUCAGAAACAUCAUGAUAACAAGAUUACAUAUUACAAGAGAUAGGAAAUUGACAAAUAAUAUUUAAUGGUCUAAGAAUACACAUCUUACUCUGUAUAAAUAAAAAUCUGAGUAAAAUACUUCCCCCAUGGACUACCAUACCAUCCACACGUGCUACUAGCUACCACAUUAGUUUAUCACUAUAAAGGGGUAAAUCAGCCUUAAAUUCGGUUAUUCAACUGAAAUAUUCAUUUACACCAAAAAUCACCCUCACUCUGACUUCUAACUUUGUGACUUCACAUCACUAACUUCUUGGUCUAAUUUCAUUACCGAUAGGUCAUGACAAUAACACUUUAACUUAUGCUACUAUUCAGGUGGAAAUACAGUUCCAACAUUCUGCUAUACACCAUCCACAUCUUUGGGAGGGACUAGAUGCACAUAAUACCUUAAGCUGGAAAGCACGAUUCCAUCAGGAUCAAUGUUUACAUCAGAAUCAACACAUAUUGAAGCACCAGCAGACUCUUCUUGAGUCUUUGCAUAUUUUUUUUCUUAUAUGACACAAUCGGAAAAGACUAUAUCAUGUAGAUCCUAAACUUUUUACACUUGAAUCACCCCAAUAAUGGGACAUGUCUGAGAACAUCAGAGUAAGGAAAGAAUUUGGGAUGACUUUACCUUCAUAUGGGCGAUACCAUAGCACGAAUGACAGUAUGAAAGAGGAACAUUUUGACUCUAUUGCACGAACUGGAACAUGAAGAAAGAGAGACCUUCCUAAAUGCCUAUUAGCCUCCUGCUUAUAAGUGUGGUGCGCUACACACCCAUAAACAAGACUCUACCCGACGUGAUUUUGUAGACACCCUAGGACCAUCAAUCGUUCUCUGAUACCAAGUUCGUCAUGACCCAAAUUGGGGCUCUGGCCGUGAUGAGCAUUCCAAACCAUGAAGGCCCGAAACACCCCUAUUUGUCUGAUAAUCAUGCACAUAACUCAUAUGAUAAAAAAAAUGUGGAAGAUAAACAAUAUCACGGAAACAUGGUCAAGAAUCAUAUGAAAUCAAUAACACGAAAUAAUGUCCCACAAUCUCAACACAACAUCUCUUUAACGUCUGUAAAAUUUCUACUACAUGAUUGAAAUAAAUAUCUAUCUGAAAACUGGGACAAGGCCACAAGGCCCCCAGUAGAUCCAAAACUAAUAAAUGAUAAAUGAAACUGCCAGAUAUCAGGCCUUCCAAAAUAUAGAAGGCUUACCAAGUGACUCUGCAAAUCUGUCUGAGGAUUCUACUAAUUUUUUAGAUCCCUAGACUGUGCCUCCGAACCUGGGAGGGAAGGGGGUCAAUACAAAAGUACUGAUACGCAGAGAUAUCAAAACAAAACAUAAUAUUUUUACAAAAUAUAGUUGAGAGCCAUUAUAAAGUAGUUUCAUAUCAAAUCAUUUGAAAACAUAUAGGCGUAAUGUAAUUGUUUUCAGCAAUAAUGUAAUAUAGCUGAGCUAGGUGGAAUACCCUACAUAUCACAUUUACACCAACUGUCAAAUCUCGGUUGCCAUCGAGAUUAUAGUAUAAGUGAGGGGAAGACACACAAGAUCACACAGCAAGGUGUCUCGACCCAAUGGUAGUGCGCAAGAUCACAAAGCAGGGCUCCUAACCAUAGUCCCAACUUGGGAAUGACAUAAAGUCUGGUACGCAAGAUCACAAAGAAGGAUACCAAAUUCCUAUGUCGGCAAACACGGUUUCCAACGAUGGGCCCUUACACUCAAACGCCUUCUUCGGGUAUCCACCUAUCUCAUGUAAAAUCAAUGCAUUCAAAUUUCAUCUGAUUCAAUCACAUAUCAUAUUCUGUAGGCAAUCGUCAUACCCGACUUGCAAGCCAUCAAUAUCACAUCAUUCUUCUCAUUCAACCAUUGCAUUCAACAUGUUUCAACACAAAUAGCCCUCUCGUUUUAAAGUUAAAAUCAUAUGAAUUCUUAAAACAUUUCAUGUCAUGCUUUUCAAGAUGUUUUCAAACAAUUUAAAUCAUAUGAAUAUUUAAAACAAAUUCACAUUAAGAGAGGGAUUCCAUAUAAUUCAUGCUCUCAAAUUAACACCUUUUCGAAACACAUGCAUAUACAUAUAUAAUAUGUCAAAUCACUUUGGAAAUAGGCCUAAAGACUAAAUCAAUAUUAUAGAAACGUUCAAAACAUGAUUAUAUUCGUAGUUUCUAAACCCCCAUUGUAAAACAUGAAUUUAAAGGCCCAUGCGAUUUUAGGAUAACCCCAUGUACCUCUGUAUGCGAAGAUGAUAGGUGUUUCUUAAAGCCUACGUUCUGGGAAUUCUAAAUAUGCAAUUAGUUUCAAAAACCUAUGGUUGAAUCUUGAGUUGCUUGGGUUUUUAUUUUGAAACUCUAAGGAUAUUUAUUGAGCAAUUUUGAUGAAUGAAGGUGUAUUUUGGGGUAUUUGGAAACUGAACUUCAUGUUUAUGGCUAAAUAAGGGUGGGAAAAGGACCAUUUUACCCCAAAAAUGGAGUGUUUAAGUCACUUGAGUAGUAAUGUAUGCGGCGCACACCUUAUCGCAUAAUAUAGGUUGUGCGACGCACUCUUUAUUGCACACAUUAGGUUGUGCAUAGCACACCUUAUGGCAUAAGUUAGGGUGUGCGUCGUACACCUUAUGCUGCACUACACACUCCACUUUGCAAAGCCAUAACUUCUUCCUCGGGUGUUGGAUUUUUGCAAAAUUGGUAUCAUUGGAAAGAUAAUUCGAAGGCCUUUAAUUUGAUAUAUAGUAGUAACUCUAAUUCAAUAUAUACAAAGAGUAAUGACAGUUUGAAUUUGACCUAAGUUUUGACGCUUACUAAAACUCAAUUGAUGGAAAAGCUUUCAACUAGUCCUUGAGUUAAGGGACCUCUAUAAUCUCAAUUCAUUAUCAACUAGAUUUAUACACUACAUAAUAGAUUAAAACACUAUAUUCACAAUAUAUUUAUGGUUUUUGGAAUGUGUACAAGUCAAAAUGACAAUUUACGUUCAAGUCUGAAAGUAUGGGGUGUUACAAAAAAUUAUUGGGUUAUUGGUUCAUUCAAUUUUUUCUUAUUGGGUUAUUGGGUAAACCAAUAAUCCAAUAAGAAAAUAUAUAUGACUUAUUAUAGAUUUAUCUUUUAUUUCUACAAAUUAACAAAUCUAUUAUUUUAAUUAUAUAAACUCUUAAUUUCUCCUAACAACACUUCAUGUAGGAUUGUUGCUGCAACUAAGACUCAUUUUUUACAUAUUAGUUACUACUAUUUCUAUUUUAUGAGUAUUUUCUUAUUGGUUAAAUCGAAAAUCGAAUCGUUAAGGACUAAAAACCGAAAAAAAAUAUUUUAUUGGUUUGGUUAUUGGUUUAGCAUAUUUAAAAAUCAAAAAUCGAUAAAUCUAAAAAUAAUAUGUAAAACCCAACCGAACCGACCGAUGCACUCGCCUAGACACAAAAUGCUUUAAUUACUUGACAAAUUGUAUGAGAUGCACACAUUUUGCAUGACAAAUUACGAUACAAGACUCGCAUAUAUAUAUAUUUUAACUUUAUAUGAUAGUCUAAGUAUUUAUUUGUGCAACACUCAAAAUUAAAUAUAUAAAUAUUUGUUGAUGAUGUCAAGUUGAAAACACAUUUAUGUAUUAUGUCAAACGUUUAAUUCCUUUUUUGAACUAUAGCUAUAACAUGUAGCAUGAGUGAAUGUACUCUAAUUUUAAGUUGAUGAAUUCACCUAACAUUCCUACAAUUAGUAGAGUAAUGAGCAAAAUUAAAUUCAUUGCUAUUUAUUUAUAUUUUAAAAAAUCAAGGUGGAGUCAGAGAGCAAUUAUCAUAAUUAAGGAGGAGCUAAAGGUAUAAUUAAAUGAGAAGCAUGAAGUCUUUAGAUAGAUUGUAUUAAAAAAUUAAUAACAACAACAACAAUAAAUUUAGUGUAUUUCCACAUAGUGGGGUUUGGAGAGGGUAAGAUAUACGUAGUCCAUAUCAUUACCUUCGGAGAAGUAGAAAGGUUAUUUCCGAUAGAAUUCCGAUUCAAGACAAGGAAUAAUAAUCAAAUCUGUGAUAAAGCAUGGAAUGUAUUACGUAAAAAUUAAUGCAUCCAUUAAUUUAAUAUGUACUAGUAGUCCCUUAUUUGAUAUAUAUAUCUUUUUAUCUUAUGUAUAACUAAUGCAAAAAUUAGUUAUAUACUCUAUUAUGUAUUAAGGUUUGUAUUACUCAUACCUCAAAAUUUAUGACAUUAGUAAUGCAGUGGAUCUAAUGCAUACAUUAACAUGCUUAAAGUGGGGGUAUUAUGUAAAAAAAAGUUAUGUAAUUCGUGUUUUUUUAAUACUUUGAAUCAAAUACUAUAUAAGAAACAACAACAGCAACAACAACACCCAGUGUAUUUCCACAUAGUGGGGUCUGGGGAGGUUAGCGUAUGCAGAUCAUAUCACUACUCAGGUGAAGUAGAGAGGAUGUUUCCGAUAGACUCCCAGCUUAGGAUCAUAAUAAUAUACCAAACAUAAAAUAUAAAUGCAUAUAAAGUAAUACGAUACGCAAAAUAAAACUAACAAUAUAACAAAUAUCAAAGAAAAUGUAUAUAAAUUAGUACCGUAUGAAAAAAUAGCCAAUCUACCAAGAAGUGUCAGCUUUGUGUUGGGUGGUUGGUAGUCAAGAAAGUGUCAGUUUUCCCAAAAAAAAAACCCAAUAAAGAAAGAAGUCCCUCCACUUUCACCAUUGAUUCAAUGUUAUUUUUAAUACGUAGAAUCAAAUACUGCGUAAGAAAAUAGAAGCACAAUUAAUGCAAAUAUUAUUAAUAUACCAUAUUUUAUAUUAUUUUUAUAAGAAAAUACUCUAAUUAAUUUCGUUGAAAUUAUCUAUAUAUAUAAAAAGGAGGAUAGUCUAGCCUAAAACUAAGACAAGUGUCAUAUUGAGAACUACAUUUGAAUUUUUACAACAAAAACCAUCAUUUCAUAACAAAAAGCUAUUUUGUUGAUUAUUAAAAUAUUUAAUAUUGUUUCAUAUUUCAUAUUUAAUAAAUUACAUUUCAUUUGUUUUUAAUAAUAGCAUUAUAAGAAAAUAAAUAUGAAUGAUUUGAUUACAAUUGACUAAAACAAAUAUUACAAGAAAAAAUUAUGUAAGAGAAUCCUCACUAUGUGGGAAUACAGUAAGUUUGUUGUUGUUGAACCAAUUAAUAAAUAGUAACUGGUCAAUUUAUAUAGAAAAUAUUGUAAUCAUUCUGAAUAAAAAAUAUUAAAAAAAGGUGUCAUCCCUCAAAAUAAUUAAGUUUGACCUAUUUUUGUAAAUAAAUGAAUAAAUAUAAGAAAAUCCGUAAUUAGGAAAAAAAUAAUUUUUACCUUAUUUGAGUUUUUAGCAAAUUAUAAAGAUAAAAAUAAUCAAUAGACUAUAAUUAAAUUAUAAAUUUAUAAGAAAUAUUUGAAAAAUAAAUUUGUAAUUAGGAAAAUAAAUAAUUGUUACCUUUUUUAAAUUCUUUCCAAAACUAAAAAGGUAAUUGAUAUAAAUUUCAUGUAAUCAAUCUAUAAAAACAUGAGAAAUUCAUGGGAUUGAAUUUCCAAAAUUAUAAAGGUAAUUAAUAUAAAUUAUUUUCAUAUUUGAGCCCUUUAUACAAUUGUAGAUAUAUUAAAUAUAAUCAAGCUACAAAAUUAGGAUAGAUUUAUGGUAAUAAAUAUAUAAUAUUAAUAAUAAUUUUAUUGCUAUCAAAUUAAUUAGAUCAAAUUGAACUAGAAAUUAGUUAAUAUUGACAAUUACUUUAAUAAAAAAAUAUAUGGAAAGAUUCAUAAUUGAUAUGCAUAUAUUGGUAAAAAAAUAACGAAUGUUGACUACUACUUUAGCUAUAAAUAUAUUUUAAAAUUUACAUACAAUAUUAAAUUUAAGGAGCUUGAGUCUAUAUAUUAUGAUCAUAAAAUUGAUUCUAUUUAAUUGAAAUUAAUUAAUUGAUUGUAUAGUUUUAUUACAACAAUUUCAUACAUCAUUUAUUUAAUAAAAAUACAUAUAAUUAAUUUAUUGAUUUUGUCGAAUCUACUAUGAUUUUAUAAAUUCAAAUGAAAUAAUUUUUAAAUAAUAAGUUUGGAUACUAAAAAUAAAGGUAAUUAUUGUAUUACUUUAGCAUUUCUUAUGUAUUAAAAAAGAUUUAUAUACAAAAAAAUGUCAUCCCUCAAAACAAUAAAAUUUGAACUAUUUUAGUGAAACAACGAAAGAUUGAAUAUAAGGAAAUCCGUAAUUAAGAAAAGAAAUAAUAGUCACCUUAUUUGAGUUUUUAGCUAAUUGUAAAGAUAGUUAAAUAAUCAAAUUGUAAAUUGAUAAGAAAUUUUUGAGAAAUAAAUCAGUAAUUAGGAAAAAAUAUAAUCGUCACCUUUAUAAAAUUCUUCCCAAAAUUAUAAAGGUAAUUAAUAUAAAUUUGAUAUAACCAAACUAUAAUAAUAUGUGAAAUUCAUGGGAUUAAAUUUUUGAAAUUAUAAAAGUAAUUAAUAUCAAUUGUUUUCAUAUUUGAGUCCUUUAUGUAAUUGUAGAUUAAUUAAAUAUAAUUAAGCUAUAAAAUUAGGAUAUAUUUAUGGUAAAUAAAUAUAUAAUAUUAAUAAUAUUUUAUUGUUAUAAAUUUAAUUAUAACAAAUUGUGAUAGAAAUCAAUUAAUAUUGACAAUUAUUUUAAUAAAAAAUAUAUGCAAAGUUUCGUAAUUGAUAUACAUAUAUUGGAAAAACAACAACGAACACUGUCUACUACUUUAGACAUAAAUAUAUUUUAAAAUUUACAAUAUUAAAUUUAAGGAACUUGAGUCUAUAUAUUAUGAUCAUAAAAUUGAUUAUAAUUAAUUGAAAUCAAUUAGUUGAUUGUGUCUUUUUAUUACAAUUAUGUCCUACAUCAUUUUUUAUAUAAAAAUACAUAAAAUUAAUUAAUUGAUUUUGUGUGAACUACUAUGAUCUUAUUAAUUCAAAUGAAAUAAUUUUCAAAAGGUAAUUUUUGAUCAUAAAAAGAAAGGAUAUUAUUGUAUGCCUUUAGCAUUUCUUAUGUAUUAAAAAAGAUUUAGAGACAAAAAGUUGUCAUCUGUCAAACCAAUUAAAUUUGAACAAUUUUAGUAAAAAAAUAAAAUAUUGAAUAUAAGAAAAUCCAUAAUUUAGAAAAAAAUAAUUGUGACCUUAUUUGAGAUUUUAGAAAAUUAUAAAUAUAAUUAAAUAAUCAAUUAACUAUAAACAAAUUAUGAAUUUAUAAGAAUUUUUUGAAAAAUAAAUCAGUAAUUAGGAAAAUAAAUAAUCGUUACCUUUUUUAAAUUCUUUCCAAAAUUAAAAACAUAAUUGAUAUCAAUUUAAUUUAAUCAAUCCAUAAAAAACAAGAGAAAUUCAUGGGAUUGAAUUGCCAAAAUUAUAAAGGUAAUUAAUAUCAAUUUUUUUUCAUAUUUCAGCCCUUUAUGUAAUUGUAGAUUAAUUAACUACAAUCAAGCUAUAAAAUUAGGACAGAUUUAUGGUAAAUAAAUAUAUAAUAUUAAUAAUAAUUUUAUUAUUAUCAAAUUAAUUAGAUUAAAUACUUUAGCCAUAAAUAUAUUUUAAAAUUUACAACAUUAAAUUUAAAGAACUUGAGUCUAUAUAUUAUGAUCAUAAAAUUGAUUCUAAUUAAUUGAAAUUAAUUAUUUGAUUGUAUAGUUUUAUUACAACAAUUUCGUACAUCAUUUAUUUAAUAAAAAUACAUAUAGUUAAUUAAUUGAUUUUGUGCAAUCUACUAUGAUCUUAUUAAUUCAAAUGAAAUGAUUUUUAAAUGGUAAGUUUGGAUUAUAAAAAUAAAGGAGAAUAUUAUAUGACUUUAGCAUUUCUUAUGUAUUAAAAAAGAUUUAUAGACAAAAAGAUGUCAUGCCUCAAAACAAUUAAAUUUGAACUAGUUUAGUAAAACAAUAAAAGAUUGAAUUAAAGAAAAUCUGUAAUUGACAAAAAAAUAAUUGUUACCUUAUUUGAGUUUUUAGCAAAUUAUAAAGAUAAUUAAAUAAUCAAUUAACUAUGAUCAAAUUAUAAAUUUAUAAGAAAUUUUUGAGAAAUAAAUCAGCAAUUAGGAAAAAAUAAUCAUUACCUUUUAAAAAUUCUUCCCAAAAUUAUAAAGGUAAUUAAUAUCAAUUUGAUAUAAUCAAACUAUAAGAAUAUGAGAAAUUCAUGGGAUUAAAUUUUUGAAAUUAUAAAGAUAAUUAAUAUCAAUUGUUUCCAUAUUUGAGUCCUUUAUGUAAUUGUAGAUUAAUUAAAUAUAAUCAAGCUAUAAAAUUAGGAAAAAUUUAUGGUUAACAAAUAUAUAAUAUUAAUAAUAAUUGUAUUGUUAUCAAACUAAUUAGAUUAAAUUGUGGUAAAAAUCAGUUAAUAUUAACAAUUAUUUUAAUAAAGAAUAUAUGCAAAGUUCCUUAAUUGAUAUACAUAUAUUGAUUAAAAAAAACAAUGAACAUUGACUACUACUUUAGCCAUAAAUAUAUUUUGAAAUUUACAACAUUAAAUUUAAGAAACUUUAGUCUAUAUAUUAUGAUCAUAAAAUUUAAUCUAAUUAAAUGAAAUUAAUUAGUUGAUUGAGUAGUUUGAUUACAAUUAUAUCGUACUUUAUUUAUUUAAUGGAAAUAUAUAUCAUUUAUUAACUGAUUUUGUACAAUCUACUAUGAUCUUAUUAAUUCAAAUGAAACAAUUUUUAAAUGGUAAGUUUAGACUAUAAAAAGAAAGGAGAUUAUUGUACGACUUUAGUAUUUCUUAUGUUUUAAAAGAAGAUCUAGAGAUAAAAGAAAUACAAUAUUACAAUAUUUUGGGUUAUUUAAUUAAUUUAUCACAUUUCAAAAUAUUGUUUAUAUCAAUUCAGUGAUGUUUAUAUGGAAAAUUUAAAUUUUGAAAAAAUAAAUAUCUUAAAUUUCAUAAUUUAAGUUAAUUUGUGUGCUAAUUUGAAAAAGUUAAUUUAUAGUUACAUUUUAUUUCAAUUAUAUGGAAAAUUUGACCUCAUAUGACUAUUUAUAGCCAUUGAAUAACACAAAAUAUUUGUUACACUUUUCCUCUCUCUCUCUCUCUCUCAUGGGUAUUUCUCAAGUUUUUAUUAUGAGUAUGUAAAUAUUCACUUGCCAUGUUUUUGGAUCCUUGUAAAUAUUCACUUGCCAUAUAUAGAUCCUUGUAAAUAUUUACUUGCAAUUUACAGAUCCUUGUUAGUUGUAUACAUGCAUUGUACGAUGAUGAAUGAAAGACACAGAAAAAAAAGUUUUCUCCAUUCUAGUCUUUUGCUGUUUUUACAUUUCAAGAAAAAAUGACAAGAAUACUAUAGAUUCUGACAACCUUUUGCCGGCUCUUACUCUUUCAACUCUUUGAUUCAGUAAUUUCUCUUUUUUUUAUU